This 431631-nucleotide long non-coding RNA is filed under the name Brassica napus (rape). RNAcentral's name for it is "long non-coding RNA (BNAP_LNC015218)". The record is from RNAcentral. Lineage: Eukaryota; Viridiplantae; Streptophyta; Magnoliopsida; Brassicales; Brassicaceae.
UUGACUUGAAGAAAGAAAUGGAGCCAAAGGAGGAGUUGGGUUGAGUUUGGGUCUUGAGCAAGAAUAGGGACAAGAUCUUAAGAGAUUGUCUAUCAAGGCUUCAUGAAGGUUUAGAGAAGUCUAGAAGUGUCAUGAAGGCUGUGCAAAGAUAGGGUUUGAGUCCAGGAGGGACUUAGACACCAUUUGGAGACAGAUGGGUGAUGGUGCAAAGAUAGGGCGACCAGAUGAUCAGACGGUACGGACGGUACAAAACUGGACGGGCCGGGCAAUCUUAGGGCGACCCAAACCGAGUCAGGUCUAACCAUUGGAGAUGUUUGGGUGAGAUGUGCAAAAAUAGGGCGAGGUACGGACAGGCGGUACGUACCAUCAACCGUACUUCACCCAGGAUCGACCAGAAGUUGUGCAAACUUAGGGCGUCGGUUUAGAGAGCGAUUAGGCGACCUUGUCUGAUUGUAAUCAGACUGUUUGUGGAUAAGGAAGAGAGAGGACGUGGUCAACAAGGACAGGCUGUCAAGAGGUGUAAAAGGAAAGCAAAGGGGACCAUGUAUCUAGCUAAAGAAGUGGGAAGGUUCAUGGGAGCCUUUGAGGAACCAAUCAGAAGCCUGCCCUUGCCUUGACCAGUUUGAAUGGACCAAUCACCAGCCAGCCUUCCUUAACCAAUCAGAAGCCAUCACCAAGAUUGCAAAGACCAAAACAAGACUACAUCCAAGCCAUCCAUUUCACAAGUCAUUUCUAGCCAUUAGAUUAAGGGUUUCUAAUGUUUCAAAGUGUAAAGCUUAUAAAAGCAUGUGUAUGGACGAAAAUUAAAGCUCUUAAGAGAGUAUGGGGGAUUUCCCCAUCUCCUUCAUAUUAUAAAGUAUGUUCUUGAUCAGAUUCUCUUAAUCUCUCCCUUUCUUAGUCUCUAAUCUCUUAAUCUCUCAAAGUCUCUUUGUUUCUGAUCUAAGUUCAUACUAGUUCAUCAGAUUCUUUCUUCACCAUUUCAAGACUCUAUUCUGCCCUAAGAGGCUUGUUCUUCACACACACAUCCUAGACUCUUAAAUCUCAUAUGGUAUCAGAGCCAGGUUCAUUAGAACUUGGUUCAAGCUUCCGCUAAGCUCAAGGCUUCUCCCAUGUCAUUUCCAAACCAAGAAGAAGCUUCAUGUUCAGCCUGCUGUAAAACCUCUCCAAGAAGAAGGUGGGCUCAUACAUGGCGUCCAGUAGCUGUCUCUGGUUGUUCUCCACGUUCUCAUGUCCACCCUUGAAGAAAGAAGGCCUUGGAAGCAAAGGUUAUGAAGUGGUCUAGCUAGCCUCUUCAACAAACCAGAUCCAGGCGAGUCUCAUGGUGAUUCUCAUGAAGAAAGGUGGUCUCUUUGACAUGGUGGGUUCAAGAGGAAGGUCCAUGGAAGCAGGAGAUGUUGGGGUCGACACCAACAGCUCAGAUCUUGCCAUGUACUAAGGAGUUUCAAGGAACUAACACUAGUUCCUUGGCUGUAAGGAAAUCUCUUUCUCUUGUAUAAAGCUUGAGUAUUUGAACUGAAAAUUAUAUUAAACUGAUUGUGAUGUGGUGUUGUGAUUGAAAACUUGAGGAUAUAUUAAAGAUUGCUAAAUAAAAUGAAAUGAAUUUAGAAUCUGUCCCAUAAUGCUUAAAAAGUCUUGUUUGGUGGUUGAAAAGUUUAAAAAUGCUUAACCCUGAUUCUAGUGAGGCUUGUUAGGGAGUUAGAAGUUGUCUAAACCUGAUUGCUUUCAUGAAAUGAGAUCACCUAAGGUUAUGCAUUGGGUCUGAUAUUGGUUGUUGAUAGUAGUGCUUAACUAAGGUUCAUAGUGAUGCUUGUUGUGAUUGCUUAAAUCUGCUUGCAUACAUGGAUUGAAACCGUUUUAAAGUUAUUGCAUACUGUCUUGUGGCUGUCUUACAUUGAAGCAUUAGAUUCAUGUCUAAAUUGCUGAGUAAAGAAGCUUUAAAAAUUGCCUAAGUAGCUUGUAUUGAAUCUGUUAAGAUCAUGCUUGUGCUUAGAGAGUUUGCUUGCAAAGAUUAGAACUUGAAAAUGACUUGUUUAAUCUGUUGCAAUGCUUGUGAUAUUGGGAAUCAAACUUGAUGAUUAAUCAAGGAUUGAUCCCAAUACUAUUGUGUCUUAUCUUUGCUGGAGUUUGAGUGAUGUUUCAGGUUCACAAGAAGUGUUCUUUGCUCACCAUCCAUCCGAGUAUAAGAGGAAGACUUGUUGCCCAUUGUGUGUGCAAUGGAGAGUGGUUACUAGUGUGAUAUGGCGCCACUGGUGUGAAGUCUCACUGAAGCUCACUUCAAGCUUGAACCUAGAUUAGGCCAAGCUUGAGGAGGGGAGUUGAGUGAGCUUCCUAGGCAAUCCAAGAAGUCCAUUGCAAGCACCUGAAGAAGGAGCCAUCCGGGUUUAGGCUGUGGCGAGUCUAUUCAAGAGAGUACUCAAACUAAGACAGAGUACUCUUGGCUGUGAGAAGAUUAAGGCUACUCUAUCAAGGCGGCUUCUAGUGUGAGGUGGUUGAAGAGAUAGCUGAGGCUUCCACAAGCAUUCCAUUCAAGAUGGCGAGUUCAAGAAGAGGCUGCAAUGGUGUGUGUGUGUUGAUCAUGAAGCCAUCCGUUCAAGCUUGUUCCUGUGAGAGUCUCAAGCUUGAGGGGGAGUGUUGAAGCUUACAUGAUCAGAAUGAGCUUGGUGGUUAUUCUAGAAGAGGAAGCAACCUGUUGGGAAGUAUGAUGAAGGAUGAAGAAGCAAUGUCCAAGGCGGCUUCAAGUGUUGAGGUGAUUGGAGAGUGGCUGAAACAUCCUCAUGUAGUUCCAGCAACAAGGUGGCGACUCUAGAAGAAGAAGAAGCAGCCAAGACUCAGCAAGAGUGUUGUAUCUCCAAGAAGAGGCUGAUAUGGUGUGUCCGAGCACUUCAACCUAACAAGAGAUUAGGUGAAAGGGGGAGAGACCAAGAUCAGGCAGUAAGGAGAGUACAAGGCGUGGGGAGAAUGAAGAGGCCAUGAUCCAGAGUCUUUGUGUCCCUUACAUUGUUGGUAAGGCACAAAGACUCACUGGCCAAUCCCUAGGCCAUGGAGACUUUACUCUUUUUCCCUCAUCAAGGUUUUGUCCCAAAGGGUUUUCCUUGGUGAGGUUUUUAAUGAGGAAGUUCUUCAAGGUUCCAAGCUUGACUUAGGAUCAGCUAAAGUCAAGCUUGAGGGGGAGUGUUGACUUGAAGAAAGAAAUGGAGACAAAGGAGGAGUUGGGUUGAGUUUGGGUCUUGAGCAAGAAUAGGGACAAGAUCUUAAGAGAUUGUCUAUCAAGGCUUCAUGAAGGUUUAGAGAAGUCUAGAAGUGUCAUGAAGGCUGUGCAAAGAUAGGGUUUGAGUCCAGGAGGGACUUAGACACCAUUUGGAGAUAGUUGGGUGAUGGUGCAAAGAUAGGGCGUCUCGAGGUUCAGACGGUACUGACGGUACGGACAAACCGUGCAAACUUAGGGCGACCCAGAACCUGAUCACACUCAACCAUUGGAGAUGUUUGGGUGAGAUGUGCAAACUUAGGGCGCGGUACGGACAGGCGGUCCGUACCAUCAACCGUACUUCACCCAGGAUCGACCAGAAGUUGUGCAAACUUAGGGCGUCGGUUUAGAGAGCGAUUAGGCGACCUUGUCUGAUUGUAAUCAGACUGUUUGUGGAUAAGGAAGAGAGAGGACGUGGUCAACAAGGACAGGCUGUCAAGAGGUGUAAAGGGAAAGCAAAGGGGACCAUGUAUCUAGCUAAAGAAGUGGGAAGGUUCAUGGGAGCCUUUGAGGAACCAAUCAGAAGCCAGCCCUUGCCUUGACCAGUUUGAAUGGACCAAUCACCAGCCAGCCUUCCUUAACCAAUCAGAAGCCAUCACCAAGAUUGCAAAGACCAAAACAAGACUACAUCCAAGCCAUCCAUUUCACAAGUCAUUUCUAGCCAUUAGAUUAAGGGUUUCUAAUGUUUCAAAGUGUAAAGCUUAUAAAAGCAUGUGUAUGGACGAAAAUUAAAGCUCUUAAGAGAGUAUGGGGGUUUUCCCAUCUCCUUCAUAAUUAUAAAAGUGUGUUCUUGAUCAGAUUCCCUUAAUCUCUCCCUUUCUUAGUCUCUAAUCUCUUAAUCUCUCAAAGUCUCUUUGUUUAUGAUCUAAGUUCAUACUAGUUUCAUCAGAUUCUUUCUUCACCAUUUCAAGACUCUAUUCUGCCCUAAGAGGCUUGUUCUUCACACACACAUCCUAGACUCUUAAAUCUCAUAUGGAGGAGAGCUAGUUGAUAUCUGAUUGGUUUAUUCAAAUUGGUCAUAGGGAAGGCUGUUCUCCCAUUGGCUCCUUAUAGGCUCCCAUGUAUCCAGCCCUUAAUCAGAUCAGGUUCAUGGUAAAGGCUGUCUUUCACUUUACAGCUACAGCCAGCCUGUCCAUACUCCAAAGUAGCCAAUCAGCUCCAUCUCAGCUCUCAUUGGCCGCUUGCCUUCACAAGGGAUCUCCUUGAUUCCCUUUUGAUGCUCCACGACCAGACUCCUUUUACUCAGCCCUAAGUGUGCACAAAGCCUCCAUGACAUGUUCUGAUCACGCCCUAACUUUGCACAUCUUGUCCCGGACUUUGCACAAUCUCAAAACAUCUCAAAUGGCCAAGUUGUGUAUCCUCGGGUUGUCUCGGUCCGUACGGAUCCGUACAGGUCCGUACCAUCCGUACUGCCUCGCCCUAAGUAUGCACACUUGCCCAUUUGCUCCCAAACACUCUUCUAAGUCCCUCCUGGACUUGGCCCUAUCUUUGCACAGCCAUAUGAGCACUUCUGGACACCUUCAAACACUCCUAAAGUAUUCAUAGAUAAUCUCCGGAGGUCUUGCCCUAUUCUUGCUCAAGACUCAAUCUCAACUCAACACUUCACCACUCCAUUUCUUUUCUUCAAGUCAACACUCUCCAUCUGAACCAUCCAUUUAAACUUCAAGUAUUAUCAGCCAUUAGAUUUAGGUUUAUGAUUUGCAUCUUGUAAGAGCUUAUAUAAGCUUAGUAAUGGCGAUUUGUAAAGGUUAAGGGAGUAAGGGGGAUUUCCCCUCUCCACUUCAUGGAAAUAAGAAGUUGUGUUCUUGAAUCAGAUUCUCUUUAAUCUCUCCCUUUCUUAGUCUUUAAUCUCCUAAUCUCUCAAAGUCUUUUGUUUCUGAUUUAAGUAAACACUCUCAUCAAUCUCUCUUUCUAAAUCACCUAGAGCAAGCUCUCAUCUUUCUCCAUUGGAGUUUAUACACACACAAACACAACUAGAGAAGAGAACUCUAUAAAUCUCACAUGGUAUCAGAGCCAGGUUCAUCAGAACCUGAGCUGUAGCUUCCGCAAAUCACUUGCUCUCACCUCAGCUCAAUCCAAACCCUUGAAGCCUUUCCCAUCCGAGUUCAGUUUCUCCAUGAAGUAGAAGACUGAAGCUGGCGUGGCUCUUAUCCUUUCUCCUGUCCAUACUGAUGGAGAGACUCAUUGGAAGCAGAGGUGUAUGGAGAGGCCUCGCGAACCUCAUCCUAGGUGCCUUGUCCAAGAGCUUUCCCAUCCGGUUCAUCAAGCAAGCUGCCAAGAAGGUGGCGCCUAGAAGAGAAGGAGAAAGGAGGGGUCUUUGAGUUAGAGAAACAAGGAGGAAGUCAUGAACUGAAGGAGAAGGAGAGAGGUGACGACCUAGACUCUCAUAUCCACAAAGUCAUGAGCUUACCAUCCGAGAGUGAUAGAAGGACCAACCUGGUUCCUUGGCAGUAAGCGAUUCUUUAAACCUUAAGUGAUAAUGAGCUUGUGAUAAAAUCUGGUUGUUGUGUUGUGAUGUGAUUGAAAACCUGAGGAUUGUUUAAAGAUUGCUAAAUGAAUUUAGAAUCUAUCCCAGGAUGCUUAAAGAGACUUGUUUGGUGAUUGAGAUUGAUUUUAAAAUGCUUAGCUCCGGUUCAUUGUAGUGCUUGUUGUGAUUGAUUGAAUCUGCUUGCAUACAUGGAUUGAAACUGAAUUUAAAGCUGUUGCAUAUAGNNNNNNNNNNNNNNNNNNNNNNNNNNNNNNNNNNNNNNNNNNNNNNNNNNNNNNNNNNNNNNNNNNNNNNNNNNNNNNNNNNNNNNNNNNNNNNNNNNNNNNNNNNNNNNNNNNNNNNNNNNNNNNNNNNNNNNNNNNNNNNNNNNNNNNNNNNNNNNNNNNNNNNNNNNNNNNNNNNNNNNNNNNNNNNNNNNNNNNNNNNNNNNNNNNNNNNNNNNNNNNNNNNNNNNNNNNNNNNNNNNNNNNNNNNNNNNNNNNNNNNNNNNNNNNNNNNNNNNNNNNNNNNNNNNNNNNNNNNNNNNNNNNNNNNNNNNNNNNNNNNNNNNNNNNNNNNNNNNNNNNNNNNNNNNNNNNNNNNNNNNNNNNNNNNNNNNNNNNNNNNNNNNNNNNNNNNNNNNNNNNNNNNNNNNNNNNNNNNNNNNNNNNNNNNNNNNNNNNNNNNNNNNNNNNNNNNNNNNNNNNNNNNNNNNNNNNNNNNNNNNNNNNNNNNNNNNNNNNNNNNNNNNNNNNNNNNNNNNNNNNNNNNNNNNNNNNNNNNNNNNNNNNNNNNNNNNNNNNNNNNNNNNNNNNNNNNNNNNNNNNNNNNNNNNNNNNNNNNNNNNNNNNNNNNNNNNNNNNNNNNNNNNNNNNNNNNNNNNNNNNNNNNNNNNNNNNNNNNNNNNNNNNNNNNNNNNNNNNNNNNNNNNNNNNNNNNNNNNNNNNNNNNNNNNNNNNNNNNNNNNNNNNNNNNNNNNNNNNNNNNNNNNNNNNNNNNNNNNNNNNNNNNNNNNNNNNNNNNNNNNNNNNNNNNNNNNNNNNNNNNNNNNNNNNNNNNNNNNNNNNNNNNNNNNNNNNNNNNNNNNNNNNNNNNNNNNNNNNNNNNNNNNNNNNNNNNNNNNNNNNNNNNNNNNNNNNNNNNNNNNNUUCGUCAUUCUAAUCAAACCAGGAUGAAUCGCGAUGUAAGAACCUUCAUUUGGAUACAUAAAGUAGUGUAGAAUCACCAGGAAGUUGAAUAAAUCUCAUAGGAGUUAGGAUGAAGAAGUUAUCCCACUUUCAAAUAAGGUUAUCCCAGUUUCCCUGUUUGAGAAUAUGACAACUUCUUCGUCAUUCUAAUCAAACCAGGAUGAAUCGUGAUAUACAAAGCUUGAUUUGGAUACAUAAAGUAGUGGAGAAUCAUCAGGAAGUUGAAUAAAUCUUAUAGGAGUUAGGAUGGAGAAGUUAUCCCACUUUCAAAUAAGGUGAUCCCAGUUUCCUUGUUUGGGAAUAUGACAACUUCUUCGUCAUUCUAAUCAAACCAGGAUGAAUCGUGAUAUACAAAGCUUGAUUUGGAUACAUAAAGUAGUGGAGAAUCAUCAGGAAGUUGAAUAAAUCUUAUAGGAGUUAGGAUGAAGAAGUUAUCCCACUUUCAAAUAAGGUGAUCCCAGUUUCCUUGUUUGGGAAUAUGACAACUUCUUCGUCAUUCUAAUCAAACCAGGAUGAAUCGCGAUGUACAAAGCUUGAUUUGGAUACAUAAAGUAGUGGAGAAUCACCAGGAAGUUGAAUAAAUCUCGUAGGAGUUAGGAUGAAGAAGUUAUCCCACUUUUAAAUAAGGUGAUCCCAGUUUCCCUGUUUGGGAAUAUUAUUGUUGAGAUGAAGAGUGUCAAGUGAAGAAUAGAGAUGAGGGUUGAGUAGAAUGAAGAAUAGGAAGGAUAGGAAGGUUUGGGAGCUUUGGGAUCAGCCUGUCCGUACAAGGCCGUACAUGGCCGUACAUGACAGGACAGGCCGUACAAGAUAGGAUCGACCAAAGCUCAACCAACCCUCACCAUAAGUUAUCCGAGUUACUUAAGUAAAGAGGAGAAGUUACCUUGGCCUUUGUGGGUGGAUCAGACCGUUGGAAAGGAUAAGGGAGAGUCUUGGAUAGGCUGGCACAGCUGGACACGGAAAAGCGAAAGGUAUGAGCCAGCUAAUGAAGGCUCACACGCGCGGCUCACCUCAUUGGACAAGUUUGAAAUGGCCAUUGACUCCACAUGCUUACCUUAUCCUCUUAGCUACGAAAACCCUAGUCUCUUCUCUUAUAAAGUUGUAAACACUCUCAUUAAUACAAUCAAGCAAGUUAUGAGUCUCUCUUAGUCUUUCUAAAACUCUCUCUAGACUCCAAAUCUUAUUUCAGACUUUAAUCUUUUCUAAACUCAUUUUAAUCUUCUCUAAACACUCAGAUUACUCUUAACAUCACUAAAACUAUCAUGGUAUCAGAGCCAGGUUAGUGAGAGCCUGAGGUCGUGUGAGAUUCUUUGAAGUUACAAGUUUGAAACUUUGAAGAAACUCUUGUGUGUUCUUAUGUGUUUGAGAGGUUCUGGGUACUUUUCAAGUUCAAGACUAGUUGUGGUGUGUUGUCUGAAGCUGCGUGGGUUGAAGAUCGAGGCUGUGAAGGUUUCUACAAGUCAUUCAACUCAAGAUAGAGUUCCUGAAGCUUAGAGAGUUCAUCAUUCAACAUGGAGAGUGGGAUGAACAUGAACAUGAAGGUAGCCGUGUGUUUCAAGGGAAACAACUACUUGGUAUGGUCAAGGAUGGUGAGAACCACGGUGGGAAGCAAGGGGUUGUGGAAGCAUAUCAACCCCGGAGAAGCUCCAAAACUCAUCACUCAAGUAGAGGAUGAUGGUGAGGCUGCAAGCAACGCGGCUGAGAAGUGGUAUCAAGAGGACAUGCUGGUGAUGUCAGUGCUUCACGCAUCCCUUGAGCCAGCAAUCUUAGAUGCUUACAGCUACUGUGAGUCUGCUAAGGAACUGUGGGACACACUGAAGAAGGUGUAUGGGAAUACAUCAAACUUGAGCAGGGUGUUUGAGGUGAAGCAAGCGAUUAACAACCUGGUACAAGAGGAUAUGGAGUUCACUAAACACCUUGGGAGAUUCAGAUCACUAUGGUCCGAGAUGGAGAUGUUAAGGCCAAGCACUACAGAUGCAGAUGAGCUCAACAAGAGAAGAGAGCAAGACAAGGUCUUUGGCCUACUUCUCACCCUCAACCCGGCGUAUAAUGGUCUCAUCCAGCACCUGCUUAGAGAAGACACUCUACCUGACCUUGAGGAUGUGUGUGCGCGGAUUCAGAAGGAGCAAGGCUCCAUUGGGUUGUUUGCCAAGAAAGGAGACCUUUCCCUUGCAAGCCAAGCGACUCAAGAGGAAGGGAAUGAAGCUACACAAGCAAAUAAGGCUGCUGCGCAUGGGAAGUAUGAGGAGAGGAGGUUCAAUGGGAACUGUGAUCACUGCAAGAAGCAUGGCCACAAGAAGAGUCAAUGCUGGAUCCUUCACCCACACCUCAAACCGGCAAAGUUCAUGAAGGACCGUGAGGCAAGGGCUAAUGUAUCAGAUGGAACGAGUGGAGCUGGUUCAAGCAAAGGAAAGGAGAUAGAUGGGCGUGAAGGAGGUGAUGGGAAGUCUCUUGUAGCCUACACUGGAGCCCCAAGCAACCGUGGGAACUAUGAUCGAGAGUAUCUAAGGAGAUCCGACCUGGAUGCUCUCAUCAAGCUCUUUAAAGAGCAUGGUAACACAUUUGCUUAUUCCUUUGGUGCUAGGGCUAUAGAGAAUGAUGAGAAUCUAACUAGAACUGAUAGGAUGCAUGAAAGUGUGAUUGAGAUAUUAAACCAAUCUAGAACGGCUAGUUUUGCUAGGAAUGAUCAUGUAUUCAAACCGUCUAGUAUCCUUGCUCAUAUUGCUAGUUCACAUACCAUUAAGCCUUUAGUAGUUGAUUCUGGUGCAUCUCAUCAUAUGAUAAGUGACACUAGUUUAAUUAAAGACAUUGUACCAAUGAAUGGUAAUGUGAUGAUAGCUAAUGGAGAUAAGAUACCUAUUAGAGGAAUAGGAAGUCUUAAACUGUUUGGUAAGGAGACUAAAGCCUUUUAUAUGCCUGAAUUUACUUCAAACUUGUUAUCUGUUAAGAAAUGUGCUACUGAUUUGCAAUGCAAUGUCAUAUUCAGUCCUAAUGAUGUGAAGUUUCAGGAUAUUAAAAGCAGCAAGAUGAUUGGAAAGGGAGUGACUAAAGGAGAAUUGUAUUUACUCAAAGAUCUUGCUCCUGUUUCUAGUUAUAGCUGCUCGUUUACUUCUGUUUCUGGUUCUAGUUUAAGUAAAAAUGCAUUGUGGCAUGCUAGAUUAGGACACCCUCAUAAUAAGGCUUUAAAACUGAUGUUGCCAGGUGUUUCCUUUGAGAAUAAUGAGUGUGAAGCUUGCAUCUUAGGCAAGCAUUGUAGAACUGUCUUUACCAAGUCUACUACUGUUUAUGAAAAAUGUUUUGAUCUUAUUCAUUCUGAUGUUUGGACUGCACCUUGCCUUUCUAGAGACAAUCAUAAGUACUAUGUAACUUUCAUUGAUGAAAAAUCCAAAUACACCUGGUUAACUUUAAUUCCAACCAAAGAUAGGGUACUUGAUGCAUUUAAAAACUUUCAAGCCUAUGUGAUUAACCAUUACAAUGCCAAGAUAAAAAUUUUUAGGUCAGAUAAUGGAGGAGAGUACACGGGACAAGCAUUCAAGCUACAUCUAUCUCAACAUGGAAUACUUCAUCAGACAAGCUGUCCCUAUACACCACAACAGAAUGGUGUGGCUGAAAGGAAGAACAGGCACUUGAUGGAAGUAGCCAGGUCCAUGAUGUUUCAAUCCAAUGUGCCUAAGAAGUUUUGGAGUGAUGCAGUUGCUACGGCUUGUUAUCUCAUCAACAGGACACCAACUCUGAUCCUUCAAGGACAAUCACCAUUUGAGGUAUUGAAUCAGUACAAACCUUCACUCGAGCAUAUGAAGAUCUUUGUAUGUUUGUGUUUUGUGAUGGUGCCUGGAGAGAUAAGAAACAAGCUAGAAGCUAAUAGUUCAAAGGCAAUGUUCAUUGGAUACUCAUCAAGUCAGAAAGGAUACAAGUGCUAUGAUCCUAACACAAGGAGAGUGUUAGUAUCUAGAGAAGUAAAGUUUGUUGAAGAAAAAGGAUAUUAUGAGGAGCAGAUUCAAGAAGAUUUGAAGGAUCUUACAUCUGAUAGAGCUGAAACCUUGAGGUUGAUCCUAGAAGGGCUUGGAAUCAACAUGAAUCAAGGACAUCAGGGGGGGAGAAGCUGUUAACUUGAAGAGAAGAAAUGGAGAAACUAAAGGUGUUGAGUUGAGUUGGGGCUUGUGCAAAAGAUAGGGCAAGGUGUCCAGAAGUGUCAUGAUGGAUGUGCAAUGUUAGGGCCAAGUCUAGGAGAGACUUAGAAGUGUAUUUGGGAGCAAAUGGACGAGUGUGCAAAGAUAGGGAGAGGCAGUACGGACAUGUACGGACAGUACGGAUCUGUACAGACCAGGGCGACCCAGAUUUGCAUAACUCGGCCAUUUGAGAAGUUUAGGAAUUGGUGCAAAAAUAGGGUGAACCUGACGUCCCGGGAAAGCUUGUGCAAUGUCUGGGCAAGGUUUGAGAGUUAUAAAAGUGGUCCCAGUCUUGUGGAUAAGGUUCUGAUCAGAUGGCAUCAAAGGAGAAUCAAAAAGAUGCCAUUGGAGUGUGAUUGGCUAGUUUGGUCAUGGGACAGGCUGGCCUUGGCUGUAAAGACAAGGGGAGCCACGACCAUGAACCUGGACUGAUCUGUGGACAGAUUAUGAGGAGCCUAAGGAGAGCCAAUCACAGCCCAGCCUUCCCCAUUUUGAAUUAAACCAAUCAGGCUCCAUCUCCUCUUAACCAAUCAGCAUCAACUACUCAGAUUGCAACAAGACCAGCUCAUCUACACCAUCCAUUCCUCUUAAGUUAUUAUCAGCCAUUAGAUAUAGGUUUCUGAUUGUGUAAACCUGUGUAAGCUUAUAAAUAAGCAUGAUGGACGAAAUUGUAUCUCUCUAAGAGAGAGAGGGGGAUUUCCCCUCCUCCUUCAUCAAUGAAAGGGUUUUGAAAACCAGAAACACAAAUUUAUUCUCUAGUCUUAAUCUCUCAGUCUCUCAGUCUCUUAAUCUCUGUUUCUAAGUCUCUUAUACACUCAAAAACACUCUUAUCAAUCUCUGUUCUUAAAUCACCAUUAAAAGGCUCAAUUGGAGCUUAUGCACAUUCACACACACAACCAGAGUAGUACUCUAUAAAAACUCAUCAAUCUCUGUUCUUAAAUCACCAUUAAAAGGCUCAAUUGGAGCUUAUACACAUUCACACACACAACCAGAGUAGUACUCUAUAAAAACUCACAUGGUAUCAGAGCCAGGUUCAUCAGAACCUGGUUGAAGCUUCCGCACAUCUCACACUCAUACCUCAGCUCAAAUCAAGCCAUGAAGACAGCUCCAUCCAGUUCAGUUUCUCCAUGAAGAAGAAGACUGAAGCUUGGCGCUUGUUCCUGGUUCCUCAACCUUUCUCAUACCUGUCCUGAUGAAGAGCCACGUUGGAAGCAAAGGUAGAUGGAGAGGCCUAGCUAACCUGACUCCAAAACGCCUUGUCAAGUGUUUGUUGCAUCUGGUUACAAGAAAGAAGAUGUCUAGAAGAUGGUGACUGUAUGUAUGGAGAAAGGAGGGGUCUUUGAGCUGGAGAAACAAGAAAAUGGUCAUGAGUAGAAGGAAGAGAGGUUGGGUGACGACCUGUAACUCUCAGAUCCAACAAGCCAUGACCUUAAUACCAUUGGAGGUUCAAGGAACCAAACAGGUUCCUUGACUGUAAGCUAUUACUAUCCCUUCUUGAUAAUGAGCUUGUGUUAUUGACUGGUUGUGAUGUUGUGAUGUGAUUGAAAACCUGAGGAUUGUUUAAAGAUUGCUAAAUGAAAAUGAUUUAGAAUCUGUCCCAGGAUGCUUAAAGAGACUUGUUUGGUGAUUGAGAUUGAAUUAAUAUGCUUAGCUCCAGUUCAUAGUGAUGCUUGUUGUGAUUAAUUGAAUCUGCUUGUAUACAUGUAAUGAAUCUGAUUGAAAGCUGUUGCAUAUAGUCUUGUGGCUGUCUUACAUUGAAGCAUUAGAUUUAUGUCUAAAUUGCUGAGUAAAGAAGCUUAAAAAAUUGCCUAAGUAGCUUGUAUUGAAUCUGUUAGGAUCAUGCUAGUGCUUAGAGAGUUUGCUUGCAAAGAUUAGAACUUGAAAAUGUCUAGUUUAAUCUGUUGCAUUGCUUAAAGACAUUGGUGUUCAAACUUGAUGAUGCAUCAAGGGUUGACCCAAUGCACUUGUGUCUUAUCUUUGCUGGAGUUUGAGUGAUGUUUCAGGUUCACAAGAGGUGUUCUUGGUUCACCAUCCAUCCGAGUUGAAAGAGGAAGACUUUGCCCAUUGUGUGGAGCAAUGGAGAGUUGAGAAAGAAGUGGUGAUGCGCCACUGGUGUGAAGUCUCACUGAAGCUCACUUGCAAGCUUGGACCUAUACUCAAUCCAAGCUUGAGGAGGGGAGUUUAGUGAGCUAUCAGUCGGACCAAGAAGGUUCAGAAGGUCCAUUGCAAGCAACUGAAGAUGAAGGAGCCAUCCGGGUCUAGGCAGUGGCGUGUAAGAGUUUUAAGUAAUGUAAAAGAUAAUCUGAGUUUAGAUGAGAAUAAGGAAGAGAUUUGUGUAGUUUAAGAGAUUAAGAGACUAAUGGAGAAUCAUUAUGAAAAGUCUAGAGAGAUUAAUUGUUUAGAACUGUCUGAUUCUUAUUAAUGAUGAGCUCACAAUAUAUAUAGGUCCAUACACAUUAGGGUUUUCGAAAUCAUAAGGAUAAGCAAGCAUGUAGAGUCAAAGAGGAGCUGGUGCUUUAGUUUGAACCGGCCAAUGAUAGUCUCCACACGUUUGAAGCAUCUUCUUGAUCCAAGACUAGAUGUUCUUCCUUUCCAGCUCUUGCCAGCCUGUCCUAGCUGUCAAGCCGCGCCUCCCUUAUCCUCUCCAACGUUCGGAUAAGGUCUUGGUCAAGUGUAACUUCAAGUAAGUCCAUGUAAGUUACCCGGAGAGUUACUUGGCCGCUUUUACCUUUGUACGGCCAAUGGUACGGCCUAUCCGUCCGUACCAUCUCUAUCAACCCAUUUCUUCUCUUAACUCCUUUGCCCUCUUUAUGUCCUCAACUCCUUUGUGUCUUUACCUCUUAUCUCAUAUGUCUCAACUCAUCUCAACAGCGUGUCUAGGCAAGAGAGUGUUCAGAGCACUCUUGGCUGUGAGAAGAUGAAGACUUUAUCAGUGCGGCUUCUAGUGUGAGGUGGCUGAAGAGGUAGCUGAAGCUUCCACAAGCACUCCAUGAAGAUGGCGAGUUCAGAAGGUGUUGCAAUGGAGUAAUGGUGCAGAUCAUGAAGCUAUCCAUCCAAGCUUGUUCCUGUGAGAUUCUCAAGCUUGAGGGGGAGUGUUGAAGCUUACAUGAUCUGAGAGUACUUGGUGGUUAUUCAAGAAGAGGAGCAGAUCAGUUAUGAAGCAUAAUGAAGGAUGAAGAAGCAAUCACCAAUGCGGCCUCUAGAGUGAGGUGAUUGGUACUACAGUCUGAAGCAUCCUGUCAUGAAGGUUUCAGUAACAUGUGUUGAAGCUUACAUGAUCUGAGAGUACUUGGUGGUUAUUCAAGAAGAGGAGCAGAUCAGUUAUGAAGCAUAAUGAAGGAUGAAGAAGCAAUCACCAAUGCGGCCUCUAGAGUGAGGUGAUUGGUACUACAGUCUGAAGCAUCCAGUCAUGAAGGUUUCAGUAACAUGGUGGUGACUCAUGAAGAAGAAGCAGCCAAGACUCAGCUUGUAUCUAUCAAAGAAGAUCUGGUAGUCCGAGCACUUGAUCACAACAAGAAGGUUGUGAGAAAGAGGGAGAGACCAAGAUCUGUUUAAAGAAGAGUACAAGAAGUGUUGAUGAUGAGCAAGAGGAGUGGGUUCUAUCUUGCAUCACAUGAGGGCCAUGAUCCAGAGUCUUUGUGUCCCUUACAUUGUUGGUAAGGCACAAAAACUCACUGGCCAAUCCCUAGGCCUUGGAGACUUUACUCUUUUUCCCUCAUCAAGGUUUUGUCCCAAAGGGUUUUCCUUGGUGAGGUUUUUAAUGAGGAAGUUCUUCAAGGUUCCAAGCUUGACUUAGGAUCAACUAAAGUCAAGCUUGAGGGGGAGUGUUAACUUGAAGAGAAGAAAUGGAGAAACUAAAGGUGUUGAGUUGAGUUGGGGCUUGUGCAAAAGAUAGGGCAAGGUGUCCAGAAGUGUCAUGAUGGAUGUGCAAUGUUAGGGCCAAGUCUAGGAGAGACUUAGAAGUGUAUUUGGGAGCAAAUGGACGAGUGUGCAAAGAUAGGGAGAGACAGUACGGACAUGUACGGACAGUAUGGACAUGUACGGACAGUACGGAUCUGUACAGACCAGGGCGACCCAGAUUUGCAUAACUCGGCCAUUUGAGAAGUUUUGGAGUUGGUGCAAAAAUAGGGCGAACCUGACGUCCCGGGAAAGCUUGUGCAAUGUCUGGGCAAGGUUUGAGAGUUAUAAAAGUGGUCCCAGUCUUGUGGAUAAGGUUCUGAUCAGAUGGCAUCAAAGGAGAAUCAAGAAGAUGCCAUUGGAGUGUGAUUGGCUAGUUUGGUCAUGGGACAGGCUGGCCUUGGCUGUAAAGACAAGGGGAGCCAAGACCAUGAACCUGGACUGAUCUGUGGACAGAUUAGGAGGAGCCUAAGGAGAGCCAAUCACAGCCCAGCCUUCCCCAUUUUGAAUUAAACCAAUCAGGCUCCAUCUCCUCUUAACCAAUCAGCAUCAACUACUCAGAUUGCAACAAGACCAGCUCAUCUACACCAUCCAUUCCUCUUAAGUUAUUAUCAGCCAUUAGAUAUAGGUUUCUGAUUGUGUAAACCUGUGUAAGCUUAUAAAUAAGCAUGAUGGACGAAAUUGUAUCUCUCUAAGAGAGAGAGGGGGAUUUCCCCUCCUCCUUCAUCAAUGAAAGGGUUUUGAAAACCAGAAACACAAAUUUAUUCUCUAGUCUUAAUCUCUCAGUCUCUCAGUCUCUUAAUCUCUGUUUCUAAGUCUCUUAUACACUCAAAAACACUCUUAUCAAUCUCUGUUCUUAAAUCACCAUUAAAAGGCUCAAUUGGAGCUUAUACACAUUCACACACACAACCAGAGUAGUACUCUAUAAAAACUCACAUGGUAUCAGAGCCAGGUUCAUCAGAACCUGGUUGAAGCUUCCGCACAUCUCACACUCAUACCUCAGCUCAAAUCAAGCCAUGAAGACAGCUCCAUCCAGUUCAGUUUCUCCAUGAAGAAGAAGACUGAAGCUUGGCGCUUGUUCCUGGUUCCUCAACCUUUCUCAUACCUGUCCUGAUGAAGAGCCACGUUGGAAGCAAAGGUAGAUGGAGAGGCCUAGCUAACCUGACUCCAAAACGCCUUGUCAAGUGUUUGUUGCAUCUGGUUACAAGAAAGAAGAUGUCUAGAAGAUGGUGACUGUAUGUAUGGAGAAAGGAGGGGUCUUUGAGCUGGAGAAACAAGAAAAUGGUCAUGAGUAGAAGGAAGAGAGGUUGGGUGACGACCUGUAACUCUCAGAUCCAACAAGCCAUGACCUUAAUACCAUUGGAGGUUCAAGGAACCAAACAGGUUCCUUGACUGUAAGCUAUUACUAUCCCUUCUUGAUAAUGAGCUUGUGUUAUUGACUGGUUGUGAUGUUGUGAUGUGAUUGAAAACCUGAGGAUUGUUUAAAGAUUGCUAAAUGAAAAUGAUUUAGAAUCUGUCCCAGGAUGCUUAAAGAGACUUGUUUGGUGAUUGAGAUUGAAUUAAUAUGCUUAGCUCCAGUUCAUAGUGAUGCUUGUUGUGAUUAAUUGAAUCUGCUUGUAUACAUGUAAUGAAUCUGAUUGAAAGCUGUUGCAUAUAGUCUUGUGGCUGUCUUACAUUGAAGCAUUAGAUUUAUGUCUAAAUUGCUGAGUAAAGAAGCUUAAAAAAUUGCCUAAGUAGCUUGUAUUGAAUCUGUUAGGAUCAUGCUAGUGCUUAGAGAGUUUGCUUGCAAAGAUUAGAACUUGAAAAUGUCUAGUUUAAUCUGUUGCAUUGCUUAAAGACAUUGGUGUUCAAACUUGAUGAUGCAUCAAGGGUUGACCCAAUGCACUUGUGUCUUAUCUUUGCUGGAGUUUGAGUGAUGUUUCAGGUUCACAAGAGGUGUUCUUGGUUCACCAUCCAUCCGAGUUGAAAGAGGAAGACUUUGCCCAUUGUGUGGAGCAAUGGAGAGUUGAGAGAGAAGUGGUGAUGCGCCACUGGUGUGAAGUGUCACUGAAGCUCACUUGCAAGCUUGGACCUAUACUCAAUCCAAGCUUGAGGAGGGGAGUUUAGUGAGCUUCCAAGCGAUCCAAGAAGUCCAUUGCAAGCAUCUGAAGAAGGAGCCAUUCGGGCUUAGGCUGUGGCGAGUCUAUUCAAGAGAGUACUCAAACUAAGACAGAGUACUCUUGGCUGUGAGAAGAUGAAGGCAACUCUAUCAAGGCGGCUUCUAGUGUGAAGUGAUUGGAGAGAUAGCUGAAGCUUCCACAAGCAUUCCAUGAAGAUGGCAAGAUCAGAAGAGGAGCGGCAAUGGUGUGUGUGUGAGGAUCAUGAAGCAAUCCAUUCAAGCUUGUUCCUGUGAGAGUCUCAAGCUUGAGGGGGAGUGUUGAAGCUUACAUGAUCCAAGAGAGCUUGGUGGUUAUUCUAGAAGAGGAAGCAACCUGUUGAGAAGUAUGAUGAAGGAUGAAGAAGCAAUGUCCAAGGCGGCCUCAAGUGUUGAGGUGAUUGGAGAGUGGCUGAAGCAUCCUCAUGUAGCUCAAGCAACAAGGUGGCGACUCUAGAAGAAGAAGAAGCAGCCAAGACUCAGUAAGAGAAGUUGUAUCUCCAAGAAGAGGCUGAUCUGGUGUGUCUGAGCACUUCAACCUAACAAGAGGUUAGGUGAAAGGGGGAGAGACCAAGAUUAGGCAGUAAGGAGAGUACAAGGCGUGGGAUGAUUGUAGAGGCCAUGAUCCAGAGUCUUUGUGUCCCUUACAUUGUUGGUAAGGCACAAAGACUCACUGGCCAAUCCCUAGGCCUUGGAGACUUUACUCUUUUUCCCUCAUCAAGGUUUUGUCCCAAAGGGUUUUCCUUGGUGAGGUUUUUAAUGAGGAAGUUCUUCAAGGUUCCAAGCUUGACUUAGGAUCAGCUAGAGUCAAGCUUGAGGGGGAGUGUUAACUUGAAGAGAAGAAGUGGAGAAGCAAAAGUGAUGAGUUGAGUUGGUGCUUGUGCAAAGACAUGGCAAGAUCUUCAGAGAUUGUAUGUUAAGGCUUUGGGAGAGUCUUAAGGCUUCAGAAGUGGUCUGAUGAGUGUGCAAAGAUAGGGUUAAGUCCAGGAGGGACUUAGACACCAUUUAGAGAAGAUUUGGGUCAGACAGUAACUCCAAAGUUACCACAGUAACUUUGGAGAGUUACCACAGUAAGAUUGGAGAAGUUUGGGCAAGUUGGUGUAAAAGUGAAUAGUGAAUCACUAGUCACUAUUCAGGUUGACUAUUCACUAUUUGGAUCACUAUUCAGGAUGUGAGGCACCAAGGUUUGAAUCUAGUCAAAGGGAAUCAAGAAGAUGCUGUGUGGAGCUGAUUGGUUACUUUGGGGCAUGGACAGGCUGGCUGUUGCUGUAAAGGAAGAGCAGCCACGACCAUGCACCUAGACUGAUCUGUAGACAGAUACAAAGGAGCCUAAGGAGAGCCAAUCACAGCACAGCCUUGUUUGAAUUAAAGUGAGCCAGCUUAGCUCAUCCAAUCAGCACACAUCACUCAGAUCACAACAAGACCAACUCAUCCUCACCAUCCAUUCCUCUUAAGUUAUUUCUAUCCAUUAGAUAUAGGUUUAUGAGUUUGCAAGAGUGUAAAACCUAUAUAAAGACCCUCAUGGGCGUGUGUAACUCUCUUAAGAGAGUAUGGGGGUUUUCCCCAUCUCCUUCAUAAAUAUAAAAGUGUGUUCUUGAUCAGAUUCCCUUAAUCUACCCCUUUCUUAGUCUCUAAUCUCUUAAUCUCUCUAAGUCUCUUUGUUUCUGAUUCAAGUUCAUACUAGUUUCAUCAGACCUCUUAUUCAACUAGUUCAAGACCUUAUUCUUUGCCUCUAAUGGCUUCUCAUACACAUACACAGCCAGAGCUCUCAAAUCUCAUAAUUUAGUGAUUAGAACUGUCUAACUUUCAUUAAUAAUCUUGGGUUACAAUAUAUUCAAAUCUCAUAAUUUAGUGAUUAGAACUGUCUAACUUUCAUUAAUGAUCUUGGGUUANNNNNNNNNNNNNNNNNNNNNNNNNNNNNNNNNNNNNNNNNNNNNNNNNNNNNNNNNNNNNNNNNNNNNNNNNNNNNNNNNNNNNNNNNNNNNNNNNNNNNNNNNNNNNNNNNNNNNNNNNNNNNNNNNNNNNNNNNNNNNNNNNNNNNNNNNNNNNNNNNNNNNNNNNNNNNNNNNNNNNNNNNNNNNNNNNNNNNNNNNNNNGAACCUUUAAAGGAGGUAGCUGCUGAAGAAGGUCAGACAGCAAGGUUGGAGGUUCAUGAAGCCAAGGGCGUGAUCUAUAGUCUAAGACAAGGGAAGAAUGAGUUGUAUCAGCUUGUGAGGAGGCUGAGAGAAGUAGAAUCAGAGUUGAGUAUGGUAAAAACUCAUACAGCAAGUCCGAGUUGGUGUCAAGGAAGGAGGAAGCAAGAUGUGAUCUUUGGCUUUCUUAUGGGAGAGAUAUGUAAGCUGGUUGAACACAUGUGUGAUGUGUGGGAGAUAAACAAGAAGCCAGAUAGAUGAAGAGAGGUACAAGGUGCAAGAAGGGAAAGUUGAGAAAACUUUCUAAGAUGUGGGUCAUGAUGAGCAGAUUAUGGAGAAAGGAUAUCAAGGAGAGUAUGCAAGUAGGAGAAUGCUUGUACUCAGCUUACAUUGGAGAAUCUGUAGAGAGCAGUGGGGUUAUGAGGAAGCUAGAGUCCAAAGGAGCGGAUGAGCCUGUCACAAAGGAGGAAUGGGAUGAGUUUGUCAAGUAUGUGUAUGCUUUGGCUACGACCCGGAGACAAGGUGCUCCUGCCAAAGCAUCCACAUCCAACAAACCCAUCAUUGUUGAUUCUGGAGCAAGUCAUCACAUGAUUAGUGACAGAAGCUUAAUGAGUGAUGUAAAGAAAGCUACUGGAGGUGUGAUGAUAGCUAAUGGUGAUAGGAUUCCAAUAGAAGGAGUUGGAAAGCUCAAGCUAUUUGAUAAAGACUCAGAUGCCUUCUACAUGCCACAGUUUGCUUCAAAUCUACUAUCUGUGAGGAGAGCCACGAUUGAUCUUGGCUGUCAAGUAGUAUUCAGGCCAGAUGAUGUUGAAUUCCAAGAUUUGAAGACUGGAAUGGUCAUUGGGAGAGGAGACAGCAAGAAUAAUCUAUACCAGCUCCAAUUGGCUAAGAUCUCUAAACCCUUUGAUUCUAUGUGUUUGAGUAGUACUUAUGAGAAGAUUGAUAGUAUUACUUGGCAUGCUAGAUUGGGACAUCCUCAUGCUCGUGCUAUUGAAUUGAUAAUUCCUAAUAUGUCAUUUAAUCACUUGGAGUGUGAAGCAUGCAUAUUAGGAAAGCAUUGUAGGACUGUUUUUCCAACAUCAGAAACUACUUAUGAGCAUUGCUUUGAUCUAGUUCAUUCAGAUGUGUGGACUGCACCUUGUUUGUCUAGAGAUAGCCAGAAGUACUUUGUGACAUUCAUUGAUGAGAAGUCUAAGUAUACUUGGCUUACAUUGCUUCCAUCUAAAGAUAGGGUGCUAGAAGCAUUUAUGAACUUCCAAGCAUAUGUAUCUAAUCAAUACAAUGCUACUAUGAAGGUACUGAGAUCAGAUAAUGGAGGUGAAUACAUCAGCAAUGCCUUCAAGAGUCAUCUAGCCAAGCAUGGGAUCGUGCAUCAGACUAGCUGCCCUUAUACACCACAGCAGAAUGGUGUAGCUGAGAGGAAGAACAGGCACUUGAUGGAGGUUGCUAGAUCGAUGAUGUUUCAUGCAAAUGUCCCAAAACGUUUUUGGAGUGAUGCUGUGCAGACUGCUUGCUAUCUCAUCAACCGGGUUCCAACCAAGAUAUUGAAGAAUCUGUCUCCAUUUGAAGUGUUGAACAAGAGCAAACCUGUCAUUGAUCACCUACGUGUCUUUGGGUGUGUGUGCUAUGUCAUGGUUCCAGGAGAGCAGAGAAACAAGCUGGAGGCAAAGAGUACUAAGGCUAUGUUCAUUGGUUAUUCUAUCACUCAGAAGGGGUACAAGUGCUAUGAUCCUGAAGCAAGGAGGGUGAUGGUAUCUAGAGAAGUGAAGUUUGUUGAAACAAAAGGUUAUUAUGAAGAAAAGGAGUGGGAAAAUCUGAAGGAUUUGUCUCAAGCUCCAUCUGAUAAGGCAACAAUACUGAGAGUGUUGUUGGAGAAGCUCGGGAUAGGGUUGAGAAGCUUGAUUUGGAUACAUAAAGUGGUGGAGAAUCACCAGGAAGUUGAAUAAAUCUCAUAGGAGUUGGCAAGAAGAAUUUAUCCCACUUUCAAAUCAGGUGAUUCCAGUUUCCCAGUUUGGGAAUAGCACAGCUUCUUUGUCGUUCCAAUCAAACCAGGAUGAAUCACUUUGUGAGAAGCUUGAUUUGGAUACAUAAAGUGGUGGAGAAUCAACAAGAAGUUGAAUUAAUCUUGAUAAAAUGAAUGAGUUAUAAGAGUGGUGUUGAAUUGAGCUGAGUAUAAGAAGAAGAGAUGAGGGGUUGAAGGGAUAAAGAGAUAAGGAAGUGUAGAGUUGAGGAAUGGAGAGCAUGGAGAGUUUGGGAGAGUUUGGUACGGAUGGACCGUACAGGCCGUACAGGCCGUACCGGCCGUACACAUUGUAUCGACCAAACUCGACCAAAGGUAAAAGAAACUUACCCGAGUAACUCGGUUGAAGGGAAGAAGCUUUACCCAAAGCUUAGGAUGAGUUGUGACCGUUAAGGGAAAGGAAGAAGCUGGGCGUGACAGUCUGGCACAGCUGGAAAGGCAAAAGGGAUCUUAUCCAAGAUACUAGAUGCCUUACACAUGUGAAGAACCUCAUUGGAUCAAUUCAAAAGAAGCGCUCCACUCUCUUUGACUCCACAUGCUUUAGCUUAUCCUCUUGUGUUGUAAAACCCUAAUCUCGACACUAUAUAUUUGUAACUCAGUCUCAUUAAUAAGAUUAAGCAAGUUAUGAAGUCUCUCUUAGUCUCUCUUUAGUUCUUUAGACUCUUAAUCUCAUUUCAUACUUUAAUCUUCUCUAAAUCUCUUCUAAUCUUUCCUAAAUACUCAGAUCACUCUAAACAUCACUAAAAGUGAUAAGUGGCUUGUGUGAUUUAUCAAGAACAAAGAGAAGAGAUAGCUAGGGUUUUACUAAGAAUCCGAGAGAGAGAGAGAGAGAGAGAGAGAUUUCGAAAACAUAAGAGAGAAGUGAGGAAGUGUUUUAUUUUCCUUGAUCCAUUUGGUUCUGAUUACAUACUUUAAAUAGAUGCAACAAUGAAUAAACUAAUGGCAAGUUGACAUAGAAGAAAAGAAUAAACAAAGAGGCCUGAUCAAGGGCAGGUUGCGCACAGCCAAGGUGAAAGCGACAGCACCAAACGGCUCUCUCUCCUUUGAACCACCUUGUCUUCUUCUUCAACGGAUCCCUUCUCUUGGCCGACAUCUUUUAAAUAUCUUAAGGCAAGUAUAACAUCCUUCUUGAUCACAGAUAAGUCUCCUCUUGCCUUGCACGCCAAGUUAGAUCACACUUGUACGGACAAGCUUACUUUGAUCACUCCGGAUGUAUGCCUUGACUUGAUUUCUUCUUCCUCUAUGUCAUUCAUGCUUUCAUGUCAACACUCCCCCUCAAGCUUGACCGUGUGGGUCAAGUCAAGCUUGGACACCAUGAAGCUAUUCCCUCAUUAAAACCUUAGCUAGGAAAAACCUCAUGGGAUAAAACCCUAACCAAGGAAAAAGAGUAGAACACUUCAUGGGAGGAGAGAUCAGUGACAUGGAAGAUCCGUGAGUCCAAGUUUAGGGUGGAUGAACUCACAAACCUUGCUGCUGGCUGCCUUGGUGAAUAUGUCAGCUAGUUGAUCUUCACUUCUUGUGUAGCAUGGAAGAAUCACUUGCUGCUCCACUGCUUGUCUCACCUUGUGACAGUCCACUUCUAUAUGCUUAGUCCUCUCAUGGAACACAGAGUUUGAUGCAAUGUGUAUUGCUGCCUGAUUGUCACAAUGCAUAGUCAUUGGCGUGGAGAUCUCUAUGCCCAAGUCCUUUAGCAGUCCCUUGAUCCAUAUGAGUUCACUAGUAAGCUUCCUCAUAGAUCGGUACUCUGCCUCGGCACUUGAGCAAGAGACCACCUUCUGCUUCUUGCUCUUCCAUGUGACUAGGUUUCCUCCAAUAAAGGUGCAAUAGCCUGUGGUUGAUCUCCUAUCAACUCUAUCUCCAGCCCAAUCAGCAUCACAAUACCCAACAACUUCAGUACUCUUAUUGCAAGCCAUCCACACUCCCUGACCUGGCGCCUCUCUUAAGUAUCUCAAGAUCCUUUCCACCAUGUUCCAAUGAUGUACCUUAGGAGCUUGCAUGUGUUGGCUCACCUGGUUCACAGCAAAACACACAUCCGGCCUUGUGAUAGUAAGAUAGAUAAGCUUCCCAACCAUUCUUCUAUACCUCUUGACAUCCUCAAAGGGAGUUGCAUCAAACUCCCCCUCACGCAUAACCUUGUAGCCUUCUUCUAGUGGUGUCUUGGCCACUCUUCCUCCAAGGUCUCCUGCCUCCUUUAGGAUGUCCAAAGUAUACUUCCUUUGGGACAUGAACAAUCCCUCCCUUGAUCUACACAUCUCAAUGCCAAGGAAAUAUUUCAGUUCUCCUAGGUCUUUGAUGUCAAAUGCGGUCUUGAGGAAUGUCUUAGUUGAGCUGAUCUCUUCCUUGUCACUACCAGUGAUGAUGAUGUCAUCCACAUAGACCAGAAUCACAACGAUCCCUUGCUGGCUGGUGAGAGUAAACAGUGUGUGAUCCGCUUGAGACUUCACAAAGCCUCUCCCAUUUAGUGUGGUGCUUAGCUUGUGGUACCAAGCUCUUGGUGAUUGUUUCAGGCCAUAGAUAGCCUUCCUGAGUCUGAGAACAUUCCCUGGUUUCACCAUCUCUUCCAUUCCGGGAGGUGGCCUCAUAUAUACUUCAUCCUCUAGUUCACCUUGCAAGAAUGCAUUCUUCACAUCCAUUUGCCAAAGAUCCCAUUCUAGGUUCACUGCCAAUGAGAGGAGGAUCCGGAUAGUAUGGAGCUUGGCUACUGGUGCAGAAGUGUCUAGGUAGUCUUCUCCAUAUACUUGUGUGUAACCUCUUGCCACUAGUCUGGUCUUUUUUCUUUCUGGCUUCCCAUUUGCAAGGUACUUGAUGGUAUGUAUGAGCCUGCUAGUCACGGCUUUCUUUCCUUUUGGAAGCUCUGUCUCAUACCAGGUGUUAUUCCUUUCCAUGGCCCCCAUUUCAUCAUCCACUGAGCUCCUCCAUUCAUCAUCCUCCAUAGCUUCUGCAUACGUUUUUGGUAUCCAUUCCUGAUCCAAUGAACUCACAAAGGCUUGAUGUUCUUCUGGAUAUUGAGCAAGGGUGCAUACUCCACUUACUGGAUGUGCCACGGCUUGAGCAUUGUAGUAGAUUCUUGUCUUAACCCAAUCUGAAGUCGGUCUCCUGAUCCUUGUACUUCUUCUUAGGGCUGGUGUCUGCUCAGGUUCACUACCUUGAACUUCAGUUUCUGGUUGUUCCAUCUCAUCUUGAUCAUGAGACAAUACUGAGUUUUCUUCAGGUUGAGCUUGCGCAGAUUGUUCAGGUUGAUCUUGCGCAGAUUUUUCUCCAUUGCCCCCCUCAUGAUCAUGAUGAGAGACUUCAUUAUCUCGUACCUCAGCUCCAUCAUGCUGAGGGGUAGUAUCCCGGCUCUUUUCUGGUUCCCUUGGUAAGCUGAUGCCAAGUCUUUCCAUAAGAACUUUCAGGUUGUUAGCUCUGUCCGAGGCAGAAUGAGAUAGAUCUUUGAGUUCUCCCCAACUCUUCUCAUCAUAGUAGGCCUUGGAUUCCAUGAACUUAACAUCUCUGGAUACUAGGACUCUCCUUGUUUCUGGUACGUAGCAUUUGUACCCUUUCUGAUGUGUGGAGUACCCAAUAAACAUAGCCUUUGUGCUCUUUGCUUCUAGCUUGUUCCUUAAUUCUCCUGGAAUCAAAACAAAACACACACACCCAAACACACGCAAAUGGUCAAUGGAUGAUCUAGAUUUGUUUAGUACCUCAUAGGGAGUGGCAUCAAGGAGGACUCUUGUAGGUGUGCGGUUGAUUAGAUAGGUGACCGUGACCACUGCAUCUCCCCAAAAACGUUUAGGUACAUUGGCAUGGAACAUCAUACUCCUCGCCACUUCCAUCAAGUGUCUAUUCUUUCUCUCAGCAACUCCAUUUUGUUGAGGUGUAUAAGGGCAGCUAGUUUGUUGAAUGAUUCCAUGUGAGGCUAGGUGUUGUUUGAAGGCUGUGCUAGUAUACUCACCACCAUUAUCUGAUCUAAGAAUUUUGAUCUUAACAUUGAAAUGGUUAGUUAUAUAGCUCUGAAAGUUUUUAAAAGCUUCUAGCACUCUAUCCUUAGAUUGCAACAAGGUGAUCCAUGUGUAUUUAGAUUUUUCAUCAAUGAAUGUCACAAAAUAUUUAUGUUGCUCUCUAGAUGCACAUGGGGCAGUCCAUACGUCAGAAUGUAUGAGAUCAAAGCAAUUAUCAUAUUGAGUCUUUGAUUUAGGAAACACAGUUCUACAAUGUUUUCCUAAGAUACAAGCCUCACAAUCACUUUUAAAAGAAAUGCUAGGUAACAGGAUGUUCAAGGCAUGAGAAUGAGGAUGUCCUAGUCUAGCAUGCCAUAUUACAUCUUUAGGGAAUUCAGAAACAGAAUGAAAAGCAGGAAAUAAAUCAGUUGUGGAUCUUGUGUCCUCAAGCAAGUACAAGUCUCCCUUGGUAACACCUUUGCCAAGCAACUUACUAGAAUCAAUAUCCUGAAAGUACACACUGUUAGGCGUGAAUGUAACUUGACAAUUGAGAUCAUUAGUUACUUUCUUAACAGAUAAUAGAUUUGAAGCAAAGGUGGGCAUAUAGAAAGCCUUAGUUUCUUUAUCAAACAGUUUAAGGUUACCUACACCUUUUAUUGGGAUUUUAUCUCCAUUUGCUAUCAUCACAUUUCCUAAGGCCGGUUCUAUGUUUUUAAUCAGUUCUAAGUCACUUAUCAUGUGAUGAGAAGCACCAGAAUCUAUAACUAAGGGCUUAGCCGAUUUAAAAACUCUUAUAGUGUCAUUAGCAGUAUGUGAAGCAUUAAGAGAAACACCAAGGUUUUUAGAUAUACCAGAUUCUUUUAGAGCCUUGAUGAGAGCAGUUAAGUCAGACUUCUUGAUGGUCUCAUCCAGGUUGGCCCUUGGCGUGGCAUAGCCUGAUGUGGAGGCAGUUGCACUUCCCACACCUAGGUUGCUUAUGCCCAUGGUGAUUGGUGUUGUUGGCUCCGCACCAUCAGCUGAGAAGUUGGCCCUUGCAUCUUGGUAUUGGGAGCGAGUCUCCCUAAACUUGCUGGGCUUAAGGUGGGGGUGGAGUAUCCAGCAUUUGUCCUUCAAGUGACCCUUCUUCUUGCAGUGGUCACAGGUCAGGCCUUUCCUCUCAUCUUGUUUGUAAGCCGCCUUGUUUGCCACUGCUUGUUCUGCUUGAUGCGCCAUGCUUAAGUCUCCCUUGCCACCAAACAAGCCCACUGAGCCUUCUUCCUUCUGGAUUUGAGCACAUACUUCAUCCAGGUCAGGUAGCUUGUCAGCUCUUAGGAUGUGCUUGAUCAAGCUCCCAUAAGAUGGGUUAAGAGUGAGCAGCAGUCCAAACACUCUGUCCUCCUCACGCCUGGUUAGAAGCGUGGCAUGGUCAGUGGUGUGUGGUCUUAGCAGUUCCAUCUCUGCCCAAAGAGACCUAAACUUGCCAAAGUGUGGUUGAAACUCCACAUCUCCUUGGUUGAGCGCAUUGAUGGCUCUCUUCACUUCAAAGACUCUUGUGAGGUUGGAGACAUUUCCAUACACUUUGUAAAGUGUAUCCCACAGCUGUUUGGUAGUCUCACAGUAAGAGUAAGACUCCAUGAUGGCGGGUUCAAGAGAGCUGAGGAGCACUGUGAGAACCAUGAGGUCUUCCUGAGCCCACUUGUCUUCAUCAGCUACCACCAUUUCCUGUCCAUCUUCUCCUUGGUUGGUUUGUUUUGGAGCCGCUUCUGCUGAGACAUGACUCCACAAACCCUUUCCUCCAAGGGCAAUUUUCACCAUCCUGGCCCAUAAGAGGUAGUUAAUCCCCUUCAGAGUCACAGGUAUGCUGAUGCGGUUGUUGUUGUUGUUGUUGUUGUUGUUCUCCAUCUUGAGGAUUCAAAGACCGGCAAGAAAAGAAACAGAGAUUUGUUUUGCGGAAGUAGAUAAGGGUUUCAAGAGCUUUGUUGCUCUGAUACCAUGAUAAAAUGAAUGAGUUAUAAGAGUGGCUUGUGUGAUUUAUCAAGAACAAAGAGAAGAGAUAGCUAGGGUUUUACUAAGAAUCCGAGAGAGAGAGAGAGAGAGAGAGAGAUUUCGAAAACAUAAGAGAGAAGUGAGGAAGUGUUUAUUUUUCCUUGAUCCAUUUGGUUCUGAUUACAUACUUUAAAUAGAUGCAACAAUGAAUAAACUAAUGGCAAGUUGACAUAGAAGAAAAGAAUAAACAAAGAGGCCUGAUCAAGGGCAGGUUGCGCACAGCCAAGGUGGAAAGCGACAGCACCAAACGGCUCUCUCUCCUUUGAACCACCUUGUCUUCUUCUUCAACGGAUCCCUUCUCUUGGCCGACAUCUUUUAAAUAUCUUAAGGCAAGUAUAACAUCCUUCUUGAUCACAGAUAAGUCUCCUCUUGCCUUGCACGCCAAGUUAGAUCACACUUGUACGGACAAGCUUACUUUGAUCACUCCGGAUGUAUGUCUUGACUUGAUUUCUUCUUCCUCUAUGUCAUUCAUGCUUUCAUGUCAACACUCCCCCUCAAGCUUGACCGUGUGGGACAAGUCAAGCUUGGACACCAUGAAGCUAUUCCCUCAUUAAAACCUUAGCUAGGAAAAAAACCUCAUGGGAUAAAACCCUAACCAAGGAAAAAGAGUAGAACACUUCAUGGGAGGAGAGAUCAGUGACAUGGAAGAUCCGUGAGUCCAAGUUUAGGGUGGAUGAACUCACAAACCUUGCUGCUGGCUGCCUUGGUGAAUAUGUCAGCUAGUUGAUCUUCACUUCUUGUGUAGCAUGGAAGAAUCACUUGCUGCUCCACUGCUUGUCUCACCUUGUGACAGUCCACUUCUAUAUGCUUAGUCCUCUCAUGGAACACAGAGUUUGAUGCAAUGUGUAUUGCUGCCUGAUUGUCACAAUGCAUAGUCAUUGGCGUGGAGAUCUCUAUGCCCAAGUCCUUUAGCAGUCCCUUGAUCCAUAUGAGUUCACUAGUAAGCUUCCUCAUAGAUCGGUACUCUGCCUCAGCACUUGAGCAAGAGACCACCUUCUGCUUCUUGCUCUUCCAUGUGACUAGGUUUCCUCCAAUAAAGGUGCAAUAGCCUGUGGUUGAUCUCCUAUCAACUCUAUCUCCAGCCCAAUCAGCAUCACAAUACCCAACAACUUCAGUACUCUUAUUGCAAGCCAUCCACACUCCCUGACCUGGCGCCUCUCUUAAGUAUCUCAAGAUCCUUUCCACCAUGUUCCAAUGAUGUACCUUAGGAGCUUGCAUGUGUUGGCUCACCUGGUUCACAGCAAAACACACAUCCGGCCUUGUGAUAGUAAGAUAGAUAAGCUUCCCAACCAUUCUUCUAUACCUCUUGACAUCCUCAAAGGGAGUUGCAUCAAACUCCCCCUCACGCAUAACCUUGUAGCCUUCUUCUAGUGGUGUCUUGGCCACUCUUCCUCCAAGGUCUCCUGCCUCCUUUAGGAUGUCCAAAGUAUACUUCCUUUGGGACAUGAACAAUCCCUCCCUUGAUCUACACAUCUCAAUGCCAAGGAAAUAUUUCAGUUCUCCUAGGUCUUUGAUGUCAAAUGCGGUCUUGAGGAAUGUCUUAGUUGAGCUGAUCUCUUCCUUGUCACUACCAGUGAUGAUGAUGUCAUCCACAUAGACCAGAAUCACAACGAUCCCUUGCUGGCUGGUGAGAGUAAACAGUGUGUGAUCCGCUUGAGACUUCACAAAGCCUCUCCCAUUUAGUGUGGUGCUUAGCUUGUGGUACCAAGCUCUUGGUGAUUGUUUCAGGCCAUAGAUAGCCUUCCUGAGUCUGAGAACAUUCCCUGGUUUCACCAUCUCUUCCAUUCCGGGAGGUGGCCUCAUAUAUACUUCAUCCUCUAGUUCACCUUGCAAGAAUGCAUUCUUCACAUCCAUUUGCCAAAGAUCCCAUUCUAGGUUCACUGCCAAUGAGAGGAGGAUCCGGAUAGUAUGGAGCUUGGCUACUGGUGCAAAAGUGUCUAGGUAGUCUUCUCCAUAUACUUGUGUGUAACCUCUUGCCACUAGUCUGGUCUUUUUCCUUUCUGGCUUCCCAUUUGCAAGGUACUUGAUGGUAUGUAUGAGCCUGCUAGUCACGGCUUUCUUCCCUUUUGGAAGCUCUGUCUCAUACCAGGUGUUAUUCCUUUCCAUGGCCCCCAUUUCAUCAUCCACUGAGCUCCUCCAUUCAUCAUCCUCCAUAGCUUCUGCAUACGUUUUUGGUAUCCAUUCCUGGUCCAAUGAACUCACAAAGGCUUGAUGUUCUUCUGGAUAUUGAGCAAGGGUGCAUACUCCACUUACUGGAUGUGCCACGGCUUGAGCAUUGUAGUAGAUUCUUGUCUUAACCCAAUCUGAAGUCGGUCUCCUGAUCCUUGUACUUCUUCUUAGGGCUGGUGUCUGCUCAGGUUCACUACCUUGAGCUUCAGUUUCUGGUUGUUCCAUCUCAUCUUGAUCAUGAGACAAUACUGAGUUUUCUUCAGGUUGAGCUUGCGCAGAUUGUUCAGGUUGAUCUUGCGCAGAUUUUUCUCCAUUGCCCCCCUCAUGAUCAUGAUGAGAGACUUCAUUAUCUCGUACCUCAGCUCCAUCAUGCUGAGGGGUAGUAUCCCGGCUCUUUUCUGGUUCCCUUGGUAAGCUGAUGCCAAGUCUUUCCAUAAGAACUUUCAGGUUGUUAGCUCUGUCCGAGGCAGAAUGAGAUAGAUCUUUGAGUUCUCCCCAACUCUUCUCAUCAUAGUAGGCCUUGGAUUCCAUGAACUUAACAUCUCUGGAUACUAGGACUCUCCUUGUUUCUGGUACGUAGCAUUUGUACCCUUUCUGAUGUGUGGAGUACCCAAUAAACAUAGCCUUUGUGCUCUUUGCUUCUAGCUUGUUCCUUAAUUCUCCUGGAAUCAAAACAAAACACACACACCCAAACACACGCAAAUGGUCAAUGGAUGAUCUAGAUUUGUUUAGUACCUCAUAGGGAGUGGCAUCAAGGAGGACUCUUGUAGGUGUGCGGUUGAUUAGAUAGGUGGCCGUGACCACUGCAUCUCCCCAAAAACGUUUAGGUACAUUGGCAUGGAACAUCAUACUCCUCGCCACUUCCAUCAAGUGUCUAUUCUUUCUCUCAGCAACUCCAUUUUGUUGAGGUGUAUAAGGGCAGCUAGUUUGUUGAAUGAUUCCAUGUGAGGCUAGGUGUUGUUUGAAGGCUGUGCUAGUAUACUCACCACCAUUAUCUGAUCUAAGAAUUUUGAUCUUAACAUUGAAAUGGUUAGUUAUAUAGCUCUGAAAGUUUUUAAAAGCUUCUAGCACUCUUUUUUUUUUUUUUUUUUUUUUUUUUUUUUUUAAAAAUAUUUCCNNNNNNNNNNNNNNNNNNNNNNNNNNNNNNNNNNNNNNNNNNNNNNNNNNNNNCCCAGCCGAUGACUAUACUGACCCUGCGCCAGCAACAAGCUUCUAGCACUCUAUCCUUAGAUUGCAACAAGGUGAUCCAUGUGUAUUUAGAUUUUUCAUCAAUGAAUGUCACAAAAUAUUUAUGUUGCUCUCUAGAUGCACAUGGGGCAGUCCAUACGUCAGAAUGUAUGAGAUCAAAGCAAUUAUCAUAUUGAGUCUUUGAUUUAGGAAACACAGUUCUACAAUGUUUUCCUAAGAUACAAGCCUCACAAUCACUUUUAAAAGAAAUGCUAGGUAACAGGAUGUUCAAGGCAUGAGAAUGAGGAUGUCCUAGUCUAGCAUGCCAUAUUACAUCUUUAGGGAAUUCAGAAACAGAAUGAAACGCAGGAAAUAAAUCAGUUGUGGAUCUUGUGUCCUCAAGCAAGUACAAGUCUCCCUUGGUAACACCUUUGCCAAGCAACUUACUAGAAUCAAUAUCCUGAAAGUACACACUGUUAGGCGUGAAUGUAACUUGACAAUUGAGAUCAUUAGUUACUUUCUUAACAGAUAAUAGAUUUGAAGCAAAGGUGGGCAUAUAGAAAGCCUUAGUUUCUUUAUCAAACAGUUUAAGGUUACCUACACCUUUUAUUGGGAUUUUAUCUCCAUUUGCUAUCAUCACAUUUCCUAAGGCCGGUUCUAUGUUUUUAAUCAGUUCUAAGUCACUUAUCAUGUGAUGAGAAGCACCAGAAUCUAUAACUAAGGGCUUAGCCGAUUUAAAAACUCUUAUAGUGUCAUUAGCAGUAUGUGAAGCAUUAAGAGAAACACCAAGGUUUUUAGAUAUACCAGAUUCUUUUAGAGCCUUGAUGAGAGCAGUUAAGUCAGACUUCUUGAUGGUCUCAUCCAGGUUGGCCCUUGGCGUGGCAUAGCCUGAUGUGGAGGCAGUUGCACUUCCCACACCUAGGUUGCUUAUGCCCAUGGUGAUUGGUGUUGUUGGCUCCGCACCAUCAGCUGAGAAGUUGGCCCUUGCAUCUUGGUAUUGGGAGCGAGUCUCCCUAAACUUGCUGGGCUUAAGGUGGGGAUGGAGUAUCCAGCAUUUGUCCUUCAAGUGACCCUUCUUCUUGCAGUGGUCACAGGUCAGGCCUUUCCUCUCAUCUUGUUUGUAAGCCGCCUUGUUUGCCACUGCUUGUUCUGCUUGAUGCGCCAUGCUUAAGUCUCCCUUGCCACCAAACAAGCCAACUGAGCCUUCUUCCUUCUGGAUUUGAGCACAUACUUCAUCCAGGUCAGGUAGCUUGUCAGCUCUUAGGAUGUGCUUGAUCAAGCUCCCAUAAGAUGGGUUAAGAGUGAGCAGCAGUCCAAACACUCUGUCCUCCUCACGCCUGGUUAGAAGCGUGGCAUGGUCAGUGGUGUGUGGUCUUAGCAGUUCCAUCUCUGCCCAAAGAGACCUAAACUUGCCAAAGUGUGGUUGAAACUCCACAUCUCCUUGGUUGAGCGCAUUGAUGGCUCUCUUCACUUCAAAGACUCUUGUGAGGUUGGAGACAUUUCCAUACACUUUGUAAAGUGUAUCCCACAGCUGUUUGGUAGUCUCACAGUAAGAGUAAGACUCCAUGAUGGCGGGUUCAAGAGAGCUGAGGAGCACUGUGAGAACCAUGAGGUCUUCCUGAGCCCACUUGUCUUCAUCAGCUACCACCAUUUCCUGUCCAUCUUCUCCUUGGUUGAUUUGUUUUGGAGCCGCUUCUGCUGAGACAUGACUCCACAAACCCUUUCCUCCAAGGGCAAUUUUCACCAUCCUGGCCCAUAAGAGGUAGUUAAUCCCCUUCAGAGUCACAGGUAUGCUGAUGCGGUUGUUGUUGUUGUUGUUGUUGUUGUUCUCCAUCUUGAGGAUUCAAAGACCGGCAAGAAAAGAAACAGAGAUUUGUUUUGCGGAAGUAGAUAAGGGUUUCAAGAGCUUUGUUGCUCUGAUACCAUGAUAAAAUGAAUGAGUUAUAAGAGUGGCUUGUGUGAUUUAUCAAGAACAAAGAGAAGAGAUAGCUAGGGUUUUACUAAGAAUCCGAGAGAGAGAGAGAGAGAGAGUGAGAUUUCGAAAACAUAAGAGAGAAGUGAGGAAGUAUAUUUUUCCUUUAUCCAUUUGGUUCUGAUUACAUACUUUAAAUAGAUGCAACAAUGAAUAAACUAAUGGCAAGUUGACAUAGAAGAAAAGAAUAAACAAAGAGGCCUGAUCAAGGGCAGGUUGCGCACAGCCAAGGUGGAAAGCGACAGCACCAAACGGCUCUCUCUCCUUUGAACCACCUUGUCUUCUUCUUCAACGGAUCCCUUCUCUUGGCCGACAUCUUUUAAAUAUCUUAAGGCAAGUAUAACAUCCUUCUUGAUCACAGAUAAGUCUCCUCUUGCCUUGCACGCCAAGUUAGAUCACACUUGUACGGACAAGCUUACUUUGAUCACUCCGGAUGUAUGUCUUGACUUGAUUUCUUCUUCCUCUAUGUCAUUCAUGCUUUCAUGUCAACACUCCCCCUCAAGCUUGACCGUGUGGGACAAGUCAAGCUUGGACACCAUGAAGCUAUUCCCUCAUUAAAACCUUAGCUAGGAAAAAAACCUCAUGGGAUAAAACCCUAACCAAGGAAAAAGAGUAGAACACUUCAUGGGAGGAGAGAUCAGUGACAUGGAAGAUCCGUGAGUCCAAGUUUAGGGUGGAUGAACUCACAAACCUUGCUGCUGGCUGCCUUGGUGAAUAUGUCAGCUAGUUGAUCUUCACUUCUUGUGUAGCAUGGAAGAAUCACUUGCUGCUCCACUGCUUGUCUCACCUUGUGACAGUCCACUUCUAUAUGCUUAGUCCUCUCAUGGAACACAGAGUUUGAUGCAAUGUGUAUUGCUGCCUGAUUGUCACAAUGCAUAGUCAUUGGCGUGGAGAUCUCUAUGCCCAAGUCCUUUAGCAGUCCCUUGAUCCAUAUGAGUUCACUAGUAAGCUUCCUCAUAGAUCGGUACUCUGCCUCAGCACUUGAGCAAGAGACCACCUUCUGCUUCUUGCUCUUCCAUGUGACUAGGUUUCCUCCAAUAAAGGUGCAAUAGCCUGUGGUUGAUCUCCUAUCAACUCUAUCUCCAGCCCAAUCAGCAUCACAAUACCCAACAACUUCAGUACUCUUAUUGCAAGCCAUCCACACUCCCUGACCUGGCGCCUCUCUUAAGUAUCUCAAGAUCCUUUCCACCAUGUUCCAAUGAUGUACCUUAGGAGCUUGCAUGUGUUGGCUCACCUGGUUCACAGCAAAACACACAUCCGGCCUUGUGAUAGUAAGAUAGAUAAGCUUCCCAACCAUUCUUCUAUACCUCUUGACAUCCUCAAAGGGAGUUGCAUCAAACUCCCCCUCACGCAUAACCUUGUAGCCUUCUUCUAGUGGUGUCUUGGCCACUCUUCCUCCAAGGUCUCCUGCCUCCUUUAGGAUGUCCAAAGUAUACUUCCUUUGGGACAUGAACAAUCCCUCCCUUGAUCUACACAUCUCAAUGCCAAGGAAAUAUUUCAGUUCUCCUAGGUCUUUGAUGUCAAAUGCGGUCUUGAGGAAUGUCUUAGUUGAGCUGAUCUCUUCCUUGUCACUACCAGUGAUGAUGAUGUCAUCCACAUAGACCAGAAUCACAACGAUCCCUUGCUGGCUGGUGAGAGUAAACAGUGUGUGAUCCGCUUGAGACUUCACAAAGCCUCUCCCAUUUAGUGUGGUGCUUAGCUUGUGGUACCAAGCUCUUGGUGAUUGUUUCAGGCCAUAGAUAGCCUUCCUGAGUCUGAGAACAUUCCCUGGUUUCACCAUCUCUUCCAUUCCGGGAGGUGGCCUCAUAUAUACUUCAUCCUCUAGUUCACCUUGCAAGAAUGCAUUCUUCACAUCCAUUUGCCAAAGAUCCCAUUCUAGGUUCACUGCCAAUGAGAGGAGGAUCCGGAUAGUAUGGAGCUUGGCUACUGGUGCAAAAGUGUCUAGGUAGUCUUCUCCAUAUACUUGUGUGUAACCUCUUGCCACUAGUCUGGUCUUUUUCCUUUCUGGCUUCCCAUUUGCAAGGUACUUGAUGGUAUGUAUGAGCCUGCUAGUCACGGCUUUCUUCCCUUUUGGAAGCUCUGUCUCAUACCAGGUGUUAUUCCUUUCCAUGGCCCCCAUUUCAUCAUCCACUGAGCUCCUCCAUUCAUCAUCCUCCAUAGCUUCUGCAUACGUUUUUGGUAUCCAUUCCUGGUCCAAUGAACUCACAAAGGCUUGAUGUUCUUCUGGAUAUUGAGCAAGGGUGCAUACUCCACUUACUGGAUGUGCCACGGCUUGAGCAUUGUAGUAGAUUCUUGUCUUAACCCAAUCUGAAGUCGGUCUCCUGAUCCUUGUACUUCUUCUUAGGGCUGGUGUCUGCUCAGGUUCACUACCUUGAGCUUCAGUUUCUGGUUGUUCCAUCUCAUCUUGAUCAUGAGACAAUACUGAGUUUUCUUCAGGUUGAGCUUGCGCAGAUUGUUCAGGUUGAUCUUGCGCAGAUUUUUCUCCAUUGCCCCCCUCAUGAUCAUGAUGAGAGACUUCAUUAUCUCGUACCUCAGCUCCAUCAUGCUGAGGGGUAGUAUCCCGGCUCUUUUCUGGUUCCCUUGGUAAGCUGAUGCCAAGUCUUUCCAUAAGAACUUUCAGGUUGUUAGCUCUGUCCGAGGCAGAAUGAGAUAGAUCUUUGAGUUCUCCCCAACUCUUCUCAUCAUAGUAGGCCUUGGAUUCCAUGAACUUAACAUCUCUGGAUACUAGGACUCUCCUUGUUUCUGGUACGUAGCAUUUGUACCCUUUCUGAUGUGUGGAGUACCCAAUAAACAUAGCCUUUGUGCUCUUUGCUUCUAGCUUGUUCCUUAAUUCUCCUGGAAUCAAAACAAAACACACACACCCAAACACACGCAAAUGGUCAAUGGAUGAUCUAGAUUUGUUUAGUACCUCAUAGGGAGUGGCAUCAAGGAGGACUCUUGUAGGUGUGCGGUUGAUUAGAUAGGUGGCCGUGACCACUGCAUCUCCCCAAAAACGUUUAGGUACAUUGGCAUGGAACAUCAUACUCCUCGCCACUUCCAUCAAGUGUCUAUUCUUUCUCUCAGCAACUCCAUUUUGUUGAGGUGUAUAAGGGCAGCUAGUUUGUUGAAUGAUUCCAUGUGAGGCUAGGUGUUGUUUGAAGGCUGUGCUAGUAUACUCACCACCAUUAUCUGAUCUAAGAAUUUUGAUCUUAACAUUGAAAUGGUUAGUUAUAUAGCUCUGAAAGUUUUUAAAAGCUUCUAGCACUCUUUUUUUUUUUUUUUUUUUUUUUUUUUUUGUAACAAGCUUCUAGCACUCUAUCCUUAGAUUGCAACAAGGUGAUCCAUGUGUAUUUAGAUUUUUCAUCAAUGAAUGUCACAAAACAUUUAUGUUGCUCUCUAGAUGCACAUGGGGCAGUCCAUACGUCAGAAUGUAUGAGAUCAAAGCAAUUAUCAUAUUGAGUCUUUGAUUUAGGAAACACAGUUCUACAAUGUUUUCCUAAGAUACAAGCCUCACAAUCACUUUUAAAAGAAAUGCUAGGUAACAGGAUGUUCAAGGCAUGAGAAUGAGGAUGUCCUAGUCUAGCAUGCCAUAUUACAUCUUUAGGGAAUUCAGAAACAGAAUGAAACGCAGGAAAUAAAUCAGUUGUGGAUCUUGUGUCCUCAAGCAAGUACAAGUCUCCCUUGGUAACACCUUUGCCAAGCAACUUACUAGAAUCAAUAUCCUGAAAGUACACACUGUUAGGCGUGAAUGUAACUUGACAAUUGAGAUCAUUAGUUACUUUCUUAACAGAUAAUAGAUUUGAAGCAAAGGUGGGCAUAUAGAAAGCCUUAGUUUCUUUAUCAAACAGUUUAAGGUUACCUACACCUUUUAUUGGGAUUUUAUCUCCAUUUGCUAUCAUCACAUUUCCUAAGGCCGGUUCUAUGUUUUUAAUCAGUUCUAAGUCACUUAUCAUGUGAUGAGAAGCACCAGAAUCUAUAACUAAGGGCUUAGCCGAUUUAAAAACUCUUAUAGUGUCAUUAGCAGUAUGUGAAGCAUUAAGAGAAACACCAAGGUUUUUAGAUAUACCAGAUUCUUUUAGAGCCUUGAUGAGAGCAGUUAAGUCAGACUUCUUGAUGGUCUCAUCCAGGUUGGCCCUUGGCGUGGCAUAGCCUGAUGUGGAGGCAGUUGCACUUCCCACACCUAGGUUGCUUAUGCCCAUGGUGAUUGGUGUUGUUGGCUCCGCACCAUCAGCUGAGAAGUUGGCCCUUGCAUCUUGGUAUUGGGAGCGAGUCUCCCUAAACUUGCUGGGCUUAAGGUGGGGAUGGAGUAUCCAGCAUUUGUCCUUCAAGUGACCCUUCUUCUUGCAGUGGUCACAGGUCAGGCCUUUCCUCUCAUCUUGUUUGUAAGCCGCCUUGUUUGCCACUGCUUGUUCUGCUUGAUGCGCCAUGCUUAAGUCUCCCUUGCCACCAAACAAGCCAACUGAGCCUUCUUCCUUCUGGAUUUGAGCACAUACUUCAUCCAGGUCAGGUAGCUUGUCAGCUCUUAGGAUGUGCUUGAUCAAGCUCCCAUAAGAUGGGUUAAGAGUGAGCAGCAGUCCAAACACUCUGUCCUCCUCACGCCUGGUUAGAAGCGUGGCAUGGUCAGUGGUGUGUGGUCUUAGCAGUUCCAUCUCUGCCCAAAGAGACCUAAACUUGCCAAAGUGUGGUUGAAACUCCACAUCUCCUUGGUUGAGCGCAUUGAUGGCUCUCUUCACUUCAAAGACUCUUGUGAGGUUGGAGACAUUUCCAUACACUUUGUAAAGUGUAUCCCACAGCUGUUUGGUAGUCUCACAGUAAGAGUAAGACUCCAUGAUGGCGGGUUCAAGAGAGCUGAGGAGCACUGUGAGAACCAUGAGGUCUUCCUGAGCCCACUUGUCUUCAUCAGCUACCACCAUUUCCUGUCCAUCUUCUCCUUGGUUGAUUUGUUUUGGAGCCGCUUCUGCUGAGACAUGACUCCACAAACCCUUUCCUCCAAGGGCAAUUUUCACCAUCCUGGCCCAUAAGAGGUAGUUAAUCCCCUUCAGAGUCACAGGUAUGCUGAUGCGGUUGUUGUUGUUGUUGUUGUUGUUGUUCUCCAUCUUGAGGAUUCAAAGACCGGCAAGAAAAGAAACAGAGAUUUGUUUUGCGGAAGUAGAUAAGGGUUUCAAGAGCUUUGUUGCUCUGAUACCAUGAUAAAAUGAAUGAGUUAUAAGAGUGGCUUGUGUGAUUUAUCAAGAACAAAGAGAAGAGAUAGCUAGGGUUUUACUAAGAAUCCGAGAGAGAGAGAGAGAGAGAGUGAGAUUUCGAAAACAUAAGAGAGAAGUGAGGAAGUAUAUUUUUCCUUGAUCCAUUUGGUUCUGAUUACAUACUUUAAAUAGAUGCAACAAUGAAUAAACUAAUGGCAAGUUGACAUAGAAGAAAAGAAUAAACAAAGAGGCCUGAUCAAGGGCAGGUUGCGCACAGCCAAGGUGGAAAGCGACAGCACCAAACGGCUCUCUCUCCUUUGAACCACCUUGUCUUCUUCUUCAACGGAUCCCUUCUCUUGGCCGACAUCUUUUAAAUAUCUUAAGGCAAGUAUAACAUCCUUCUUGAUCACAGAUAAGUCUCCUCUUGCCUUGCACGCCAAGUUAGAUCACACUUGUACGGACAAGCUUACUUUGAUCACUCCGGAUGUAUGUCUUGACUUGAUUUCUUCUUCCUCUAUGUCAUUCAUGCUUUCAUGUCAACACUCCCCCUCAAGCUUGACCGUGUGGGACAAGUCAAGCUUGGACACCAUGAAGCUAUUCCCUCAUUAAAACCUUAGCUAGGAAAAAAACCUCAUGGGAUAAAACCCUAACCAAGGAAAAAGAGUAGAACACUUCAUGGGAGGAGAGAUCAGUGACAUGGAAGAUCCGUGAGUCCAAGUUUAGGGUGGAUGAACUCACAAACCUUGCUGCUGGCUGCCUUGGUGAAUAUGUCAGCUAGUUGAUCUUCACUUCUUGUGUAGCAUGGAAGAAUCACUUGCUGCUCCACUGCUUGUCUCACCUUGUGACAGUCCACUUCUAUAUGCUUAGUCCUCUCAUGGAACACAGAGUUUGAUGCAAUGUGUAUUGCUGCCUGAUUGUCACAAUGCAUAGUCAUUGGCGUGGAGAUCUCUAUGCCCAAGUCCUUUAGCAGUCCCUUGAUCCAUAUGAGUUCACUAGUAAGCUUCCUCAUAGAUCGGUACUCUGCCUCAGCACUUGAGCAAGAGACCACCUUCUGCUUCUUGCUCUUCCAUGUGACUAGGUUUCCUCCAAUAAAGGUGCAAUAGCCUGUGGUUGAUCUCCUAUCAACUCUAUCUCCAGCCCAAUCAGCAUCACAAUACCCAACAACUUCAGUACUCUUAUUGCAAGCCAUCCACACUCCCUGACCUGGCGCCUCUCUUAAGUAUCUCAAGAUCCUUUCCACCAUGUUCCAAUGAUGUACCUUAGGAGCUUGCAUGUGUUGGCUCACCUGGUUCACAGCAAAACACACAUCCGGCCUUGUGAUAGUAAGAUAGAUAAGCUUCCCAACCAUUCUUCUAUACCUCUUGACAUCCUCAAAGGGAGUUGCAUCAAACUCCCCCUCACGCAUAACCUUGUAGCCUUCUUCUAGUGGUGUCUUGGCCACUCUUCCUCCAAGGUCUCCUGCCUCCUUUAGGAUGUCCAAAGUAUACUUCCUUUGGGACAUGAACAAUCCCUCCCUUGAUCUACACAUCUCAAUGCCAAGGAAAUAUUUCAGUUCUCCUAGGUCUUUGAUGUCAAAUGCGGUCUUGAGGAAUGUCUUAGUUGAGCUGAUCUCUUCCUUGUCACUACCAGUGAUGAUGAUGUCAUCCACAUAGACCAGAAUCACAACGAUCCCUUGCUGGCUGGUGAGAGUAAACAGUGUGUGAUCCGCUUGAGACUUCACAAAGCCUCUCCCAUUUAGUGUGGUGCUUAGCUUGUGGUACCAAGCUCUUGGUGAUUGUUUCAGGCCAUAGAUAGCCUUCCUGAGUCUGAGAACAUUCCCUGGUUUCACCAUCUCUUCCAUUCCGGGAGGUGGCCUCAUAUAUACUUCAUCCUCUAGUUCACCUUGCAAGAAUGCAUUCUUCACAUCCAUUUGCCAAAGAUCCCAUUCUAGGUUCACUGCCAAUGAGAGGAGGAUCCGGAUAGUAUGGAGCUUGGCUACUGGUGCAAAAGUGUCUAGGUAGUCUUCUCCAUAUACUUGUGUGUAACCUCUUGCCACUAGUCUGGUCUUUUUCCUUUCUGGCUUCCCAUUUGCAAGGUACUUGAUGGUAUGUAUGAGCCUGCUAGUCACGGCUUUCUUCCCUUUUGGAAGCUCUGUCUCAUACCAGGUGUUAUUCCUUUCCAUGGCCCCCAUUUCAUCAUCCACUGAGCUCCUCCAUUCAUCAUCCUCCAUAGCUUCUGCAUACGUUUUUGGUAUCCAUUCCUGGUCCAAUGAACUCACAAAGGCUUGAUGUUCUUCUGGAUAUUGAGCAAGGGUGCAUACUCCACUUACUGGAUGUGCCACGGCUUGAGCAUUGUAGUAGAUUCUUGUCUUAACCCAAUCUGAAGUCGGUCUCCUGAUCCUUGUACUUCUUCUUAGGGCUGGUGUCUGCUCAGGUUCACUACCUUGAGCUUCAGUUUCUGGUUGUUCCAUCUCAUCUUGAUCAUGAGACAAUACUGAGUUUUCUUCAGGUUGAGCUUGCGCAGAUUGUUCAGGUUGAUCUUGCGCAGAUUUUUCUCCAUUGCCCCCCUCAUGAUCAUGAUGAGAGACUUCAUUAUCUCGUACCUCAGCUCCAUCAUGCUGAGGGGUAGUAUCCCGGCUCUUUUCUGGUUCCCUUGGUAAGCUGAUGCCAAGUCUUUCCAUAAGAACUUUCAGGUUGUUAGCUCUGUCCGAGGCAGAAUGAGAUAGAUCUUUGAGUUCUCCCCAACUCUUCUCAUCAUAGUAGGCCUUGGAUUCCAUGAACUUAACAUCUCUGGAUACUAGGACUCUCCUUGUUUCUGGUACGUAGCAUUUGUACCCUUUCUGAUGUGUGGAGUACCCAAUAAACAUAGCCUUUGUGCUCUUUGCUUCUAGCUUGUUCCUUAAUUCUCCUGGAAUCAAAACAAAACACACACACCCAAACACACGCAAAUGGUCAAUGGAUGAUCUAGAUUUGUUUAGUACCUCAUAGGGAGUGGCAUCAAGGAGGACUCUUGUAGGUGUGCGGUUGAUUAGAUAGGUGGCCGUGACCACUGCAUCUCCCCAAAAACGUUUAGGUACAUUGGCAUGGAACAUCAUACUCCUCGCCACUUCCAUCAAGUGUCUAUUCUUUCUCUCAGCAACUCCAUUUUGUUGAGGUGUAUAAGGGCAGCUAGUUUGUUGAAUGAUUCCAUGUGAGGCUAGGUGUUGUUUGAAGGCUGUGCUAGUAUACUCACCACCAUUAUCUGAUCUAAGAAUUUUGAUCUUAACAUUGAAAUGGUUAGUUAUAUAGCUCUGAAAGUUUUUAAAAGCUUCUAGCACUCUUUUUUUUUUUUUUUUUUUUUUUUUUUUUUUUUUUUUUUUUUUUUUUUUUUUUUUUUUUUUUUUUUUUUUUUUUUUUUUUUUUUUUUUUUUUUUUUUUUUUUUUUUUUUUUUUUUUUUUUUUUUUUUUUUUUUUUUUUUUUUUUUUUUUUUUUUUUUUUUUUUUUUUUUUUUUUUUUUUUUUUUUUUUUUUUGUAACAAGCUUCUAGCACUCUAUCCUUAGAUUGCAACAAGGUGAUCCAUGUGUAUUUAGAUUUUUCAUCAAUGAAUGUCACAAAAUAUUUAUGUUGCUCUCUAGAUGCACAUGGGGCAGUCCAUACGUCAGAAUGUAUGAGAUCAAAGCAAUUAUCAUAUUGAGUCUUUGAUUUAGGAAACACAGUUCUACAAUGUUUUCCUAAGAUACAAGCCUCACAAUCACUUUUAAAAGAAAUGCUAGGUAACAGGAUGUUCAAGGCAUGAGAAUGAGGAUGUCCUAGUCUAGCAUGCCAUAUUACAUCUUUAGGGAAUUCAGAAACAGAAUGAAACGCAGGAAAUAAAUCAGUUGUGGAUCUUGUGUCCUCAAGCAAGUACAAGUCUCCCUUGGUAACACCUUUGCCAAGCAACUUACUAGAAUCAAUAUCCUGAAAGUACACACUGUUAGGCGUGAAUGUAACUUGACAAUUGAGAUCAUUAGUUACUUUCUUAACAGAUAAUAGAUUUGAAGCAAAGGUGGGCAUAUAGAAAGCCUUAGUUUCUUUAUCAAACAGUUUAAGGUUACCUACACCUUUUAUUGGGAUUUUAUCUCCAUUUGCUAUCAUCACAUUUCCUAAGGCCGGUUCUAUGUUUUUAAUCAGUUCUAAGUCACUUAUCAUGUGAUGAGAAGCACCAGAAUCUAUAACUAAGGGCUUAGCCGAUUUAAAAACUCUUAUAGUGUCAUUAGCAGUAUGUGAAGCAUUAAGAGAAACACCAAGGUUUUUAGAUAUACCAGAUUCUUUUAGAGCCUUGAUGAGAGCAGUUAAGUCAGACUUCUUGAUGGUCUCAUCCAGGUUGGCCCUUGGCGUGGCAUAGCCUGAUGUGGAGGCAGUUGCACUUCCCACACCUAGGUUGCUUAUGCCCAUGGUGAUUGGUGUUGUUGGCUCCGCACCAUCAGCUGAGAAGUUGGCCCUUGCAUCUUGGUAUUGGGAGCGAGUCUCCCUAAACUUGCUGGGCUUAAGGUGGGGAUGGAGUAUCCAGCAUUUGUCCUUCAAGUGACCCUUCUUCUUGCAGUGGUCACAGGUCAGGCCUUUCCUCUCAUCUUGUUUGUAAGCCGCCUUGUUUGCCACUGCUUGUUCUGCUUGAUGCGCCAUGCUUAAGUCUCCCUUGCCACCAAACAAGCCAACUGAGCCUUCUUCCUUCUGGAUUUGAGCACAUACUUCAUCCAGGUCAGGUAGCUUGUCAGCUCUUAGGAUGUGCUUGAUCAAGCUCCCAUAAGAUGGGUUAAGAGUGAGCAGCAGUCCAAACACUCUGUCCUCCUCACGCCUGGUUAGAAGCGUGGCAUGGUCAGUGGUGUGUGGUCUUAGCAGUUCCAUCUCUGCCCAAAGAGACCUAAACUUGCCAAAGUGUGGUUGAAACUCCACAUCUCCUUGGUUGAGCGCAUUGAUGGCUCUCUUCACUUCAAAGACUCUUGUGAGGUUGGAGACAUUUCCAUACACUUUGUAAAGUGUAUCCCACAGCUGUUUGGUAGUCUCACAGUAAGAGUAAGACUCCAUGAUGGCGGGUUCAAGAGAGCUGAGGAGCACUGUGAGAACCAUGAGGUCUUCCUGAGCCCACUUGUCUUCAUCAGCUACCACCAUUUCCUGUCCAUCUUCUCCUUGGUUGAUUUGUUUUGGAGCCGCUUCUGCUGAGACAUGACUCCACAAACCCUUUCCUCCAAGGGCAAUUUUCACCAUCCUGGCCCAUAAGAGGUAGUUAAUCCCCUUCAGAGUCACAGGUAUGCUGAUGCGGUUGUUGUUGUUGUUGUUGUUGUUGUUCUCCAUCUUGAGGAUUCAAAGACCGGCAAGAAAAGAAACAGAGAUUUGUUUUGCGGAAGUAGAUAAGGGUUUCAAGAGCUUUGUUGCUCUGAUACCAAAUCAAGGUUUUUAAUGAGGUAUCAAGUUCACUUACACAUUCCUAGUUGAUGUAUCUUGGAUGCAACUCGGCCUAAGGCAUUGAUAAAAUGAAUGAGUUAUAAGAGUGGCUUGUGUGAUUUAUCAAGAACAAAGAGAAGAGAUAGCUAGGGUUUUACUAAGAAUCCGAGAGAGAGAGAGAGAGAGAGUGAGAUUUCGAAAACAUAAGAGAGAAGUGAGGAAGUAUAUUUUUCCUUGAUCCAUUUGGUUCUGAUUACAUACUUUAAAUAGAUGCAACAAUGAAUAAACUAAUGGCAAGUUGACAUAGAAGAAAAGAAUAAACAAAGAGGCCUGAUCAAGGGCAGGUUGCGCACAGCCAAGGUGGAAAGCGACAGCACCAAACGGCUCUCUCUCCUUUGAACCACCUUGUCUUCUUCUUCAACGGAUCCCUUCUCUUGGCCGACAUCUUUUAAAUAUCUUAAGGCAAGUAUAACAUCCUUCUUGAUCACAGAUAAGUCUCCUCUUGCCUUGCACGCCAAGUUAGAUCACACUUGUACGGACAAGCUUACUUUGAUCACUCCGGAUGUAUGUCUUGACUUGAUUUCUUCUUCCUCUAUGUCAUUCAUGCUUUCAUGUCAACACUCCCCCUCAAGCUUGACCGUGUGGGACAAGUCAAGCUUGGACACCAUGAAGCUAUUCCCUCAUUAAAACCUUAGCUAGGAAAAAAACCUCAUGGGAUAAAACCCUAACCAAGGAAAAAGAGUAGAACACUUCAUGGGAGGAGAGAUCAGUGACAUGGAAGAUCCGUGAGUCCAAGUUUAGGGUGGAUGAACUCACAAACCUUGCUGCUGGCUGCCUUGGUGAAUAUGUCAGCUAGUUGAUCUUCACUUCUUGUGUAGCAUGGAAGAAUCACUUGCUGCUCCACUGCUUGUCUCACCUUGUGACAGUCCACUUCUAUAUGCUUAGUCCUCUCAUGGAACACAGAGUUUGAUGCAAUGUGUAUUGCUGCCUGAUUGUCACAAUGCAUAGUCAUUGGCGUGGAGAUCUCUAUGCCCAAGUCCUUUAGCAGUCCCUUGAUCCAUAUGAGUUCACUAGUAAGCUUCCUCAUAGAUCGGUACUCUGCCUCAGCACUUGAGCAAGAGACCACCUUCUGCUUCUUGCUCUUCCAUGUGACUAGGUUUCCUCCAAUAAAGGUGCAAUAGCCUGUGGUUGAUCUCCUAUCAACUCUAUCUCCAGCCCAAUCAGCAUCACAAUACCCAACAACUUCAGUACUCUUAUUGCAAGCCAUCCACACUCCCUGACCUGGCGCCUCUCUUAAGUAUCUCAAGAUCCUUUCCACCAUGUUCCAAUGAUGUACCUUAGGAGCUUGCAUGUGUUGGCUCACCUGGUUCACAGCAAAACACACAUCCGGCCUUGUGAUAGUAAGAUAGAUAAGCUUCCCAACCAUUCUUCUAUACCUCUUGACAUCCUCAAAGGGAGUUGCAUCAAACUCCCCCUCACGCAUAACCUUGUAGCCUUCUUCUAGUGGUGUCUUGGCCACUCUUCCUCCAAGGUCUCCUGCCUCCUUUAGGAUGUCCAAAGUAUACUUCCUUUGGGACAUGAACAAUCCCUCCCUUGAUCUACACAUCUCAAUGCCAAGGAAAUAUUUCAGUUCUCCUAGGUCUUUGAUGUCAAAUGCGGUCUUGAGGAAUGUCUUAGUUGAGCUGAUCUCUUCCUUGUCACUACCAGUGAUGAUGAUGUCAUCCACAUAGACCAGAAUCACAACGAUCCCUUGCUGGCUGGUGAGAGUAAACAGUGUGUGAUCCGCUUGAGACUUCACAAAGCCUCUCCCAUUUAGUGUGGUGCUUAGCUUGUGGUACCAAGCUCUUGGUGAUUGUUUCAGGCCAUAGAUAGCCUUCCUGAGUCUGAGAACAUUCCCUGGUUUCACCAUCUCUUCCAUUCCGGGAGGUGGCCUCAUAUAUACUUCAUCCUCUAGUUCACCUUGCAAGAAUGCAUUCUUCACAUCCAUUUGCCAAAGAUCCCAUUCUAGGUUCACUGCCAAUGAGAGGAGGAUCCGGAUAGUAUGGAGCUUGGCUACUGGUGCAAAAGUGUCUAGGUAGUCUUCUCCAUAUACUUGUGUGUAACCUCUUGCCACUAGUCUGGUCUUUUUCCUUUCUGGCUUCCCAUUUGCAAGGUACUUGAUGGUAUGUAUGAGCCUGCUAGUCACGGCUUUCUUCCCUUUUGGAAGCUCUGUCUCAUACCAGGUGUUAUUCCUUUCCAUGGCCCCCAUUUCAUCAUCCACUGAGCUCCUCCAUUCAUCAUCCUCCAUAGCUUCUGCAUACGUUUUUGGUAUCCAUUCCUGGUCCAAUGAACUCACAAAGGCUUGAUGUUCUUCUGGAUAUUGAGCAAGGGUGCAUACUCCACUUACUGGAUGUGCCACGGCUUGAGCAUUGUAGUAGAUUCUUGUCUUAACCCAAUCUGAAGUCGGUCUCCUGAUCCUUGUACUUCUUCUUAGGGCUGGUGUCUGCUCAGGUUCACUACCUUGAGCUUCAGUUUCUGGUUGUUCCAUCUCAUCUUGAUCAUGAGACAAUACUGAGUUUUCUUCAGGUUGAGCUUGCGCAGAUUGUUCAGGUUGAUCUUGCGCAGAUUUUUCUCCAUUGCCCCCCUCAUGAUCAUGAUGAGAGACUUCAUUAUCUCGUACCUCAGCUCCAUCAUGCUGAGGGGUAGUAUCCCGGCUCUUUUCUGGUUCCCUUGGUAAGCUGAUGCCAAGUCUUUCCAUAAGAACUUUCAGGUUGUUAGCUCUGUCCGAGGCAGAAUGAGAUAGAUCUUUGAGUUCUCCCCAACUCUUCUCAUCAUAGUAGGCCUUGGAUUCCAUGAACUUAACAUCUCUGGAUACUAGGACUCUCCUUGUUUCUGGUACGUAGCAUUUGUACCCUUUCUGAUGUGUGGAGUACCCAAUAAACAUAGCCUUUGUGCUCUUUGCUUCUAGCUUGUUCCUUAAUUCUCCUGGAAUCAAAACAAAACACACACACCCAAACACACGCAAAUGGUCAAUGGAUGAUCUAGAUUUGUUUAGUACCUCAUAGGGAGUGGCAUCAAGGAGGACUCUUGUAGGUGUGCGGUUGAUUAGAUAGGUGGCCGUGACCACUGCAUCUCCCCAAAAACGUUUAGGUACAUUGGCAUGGAACAUCAUACUCCUCGCCACUUCCAUCAAGUGUCUAUUCUUUCUCUCAGCAACUCCAUUUUGUUGAGGUGUAUAAGGGCAGCUAGUUUGUUGAAUGAUUCCAUGUGAGGCUAGGUGUUGUUUGAAGGCUGUGCUAGUAUACUCACCACCAUUAUCUGAUCUAAGAAUUUUGAUCUUAACAUUGAAAUGGUUAGUUAUAUAGCUCUGAAAGUUUUUAAAAGCUUCUAGCACUCUUUUUUUUUUUUUUUUUUUUUUUUUUUUUUUUUAAAAACUUUCUACACCCUCUCCAUAGAUGAAUGAUACACAAAAUAUGCAUCUUCUUACAUAAGAUAAUCAAGUUUUUUUUUUUUUUUUUUUUUUGUAACAAGCUUCUAGCACUCUAUCCUUAGAUUGCAACAAGGUGAUCCAUGUGUAUUUAGAUUUUUCAUCAAUGAAUGUCACAAAAUAUUUAUGUUGCUCUCUAGAUGCACAUGGGGCAGUCCAUACGUCAGAAUGUAUGAGAUCAAAGCAAUUAUCAUAUUGAGUCUUUGAUUUAGGAAACACAGUUCUACAAUGUUUUCCUAAGAUACAAGCCUCACAAUCACUUUUAAAAGAAAUGCUAGGUAACAGGAUGUUCAAGGCAUGAGAAUGAGGAUGUCCUAGUCUAGCAUGCCAUAUUACAUCUUUAGGGAAUUCAGAAACAGAAUGAAACGCAGGAAAUAAAUCAGUUGUGGAUCUUGUGUCCUCAAGCAAGUACAAGUCUCCCUUGGUAACACCUUUGCCAAGCAACUUACUAGAAUCAAUAUCCUGAAAGUACACACUGUUAGGCGUGAAUGUAACUUGACAAUUGAGAUCAUUAGUUACUUUCUUAACAGAUAAUAGAUUUGAAGCAAAGGUGGGCAUAUAGAAAGCCUUAGUUUCUUUAUCAAACAGUUUAAGGUUACCUACACCUUUUAUUGGGAUUUUAUCUCCAUUUGCUAUCAUCACAUUUCCUAAGGCCGGUUCUAUGUUUUUAAUCAGUUCUAAGUCACUUAUCAUGUGAUGAGAAGCACCAGAAUCUAUAACUAAGGGCUUAGCCGAUUUAAAAACUCUUAUAGUGUCAUUAGCAGUAUGUGAAGCAUUAAGAGAAACACCAAGGUUUUUAGAUAUACCAGAUUCUUUUAGAGCCUUGAUGAGAGCAGUUAAGUCAGACUUCUUGAUGGUCUCAUCCAGGUUGGCCCUUGGCGUGGCAUAGCCUGAUGUGGAGGCAGUUGCACUUCCCACACCUAGGUUGCUUAUGCCCAUGGUGAUUGGUGUUGUUGGCUCCGCACCAUCAGCUGAGAAGUUGGCCCUUGCAUCUUGGUAUUGGGAGCGAGUCUCCCUAAACUUGCUGGGCUUAAGGUGGGGAUGGAGUAUCCAGCAUUUGUCCUUCAAGUGACCCUUCUUCUUGCAGUGGUCACAGGUCAGGCCUUUCCUCUCAUCUUGUUUGUAAGCCGCCUUGUUUGCCACUGCUUGUUCUGCUUGAUGCGCCAUGCUUAAGUCUCCCUUGCCACCAAACAAGCCAACUGAGCCUUCUUCCUUCUGGAUUUGAGCACAUACUUCAUCCAGGUCAGGUAGCUUGUCAGCUCUUAGGAUGUGCUUGAUCAAGCUCCCAUAAGAUGGGUUAAGAGUGAGCAGCAGUCCAAACACUCUGUCCUCCUCACGCCUGGUUAGAAGCGUGGCAUGGUCAGUGGUGUGUGGUCUUAGCAGUUCCAUCUCUGCCCAAAGAGACCUAAACUUGCCAAAGUGUGGUUGAAACUCCACAUCUCCUUGGUUGAGCGCAUUGAUGGCUCUCUUCACUUCAAAGACUCUUGUGAGGUUGGAGACAUUUCCAUACACUUUGUAAAGUGUAUCCCACAGCUGUUUGGUAGUCUCACAGUAAGAGUAAGACUCCAUGAUGGCGGGUUCAAGAGAGCUGAGGAGCACUGUGAGAACCAUGAGGUCUUCCUGAGCCCACUUGUCUUCAUCAGCUACCACCAUUUCCUGUCCAUCUUCUCCUUGGUUGAUUUGUUUUGGAGCCGCUUCUGCUGAGACAUGACUCCACAAACCCUUUCCUCCAAGGGCAAUUUUCACCAUCCUGGCCCAUAAGAGGUAGUUAAUCCCCUUCAGAGUCACAGGUAUGCUGAUGCGGUUGUUGUUGUUGUUGUUGUUGUUGUUCUCCAUCUUGAGGAUUCAAAGACCGGCAAGAAAAGAAACAGAGAUUUGUUUUGCGGAAGUAGAUAAGGGUUUCAAGAGCUUUGUUGCUCUGAUACCAUGAUAAAAUGAAUGAGUUAUAAGAGUGGCUUGUGUGAUUUAUCAAGAACAAAGAGAAGAGAUAGCUAGGGUUUUACUAAGAAUCCGAGAGAGAGAGAGAGAGAGAGUGAGAUUUCGAAAACAUAAGAGAGAAGUGAGGAAGUAUAUUUUUCCUUGAUCCAUUUGGUUCUGAUUACAUACUUUAAAUAGAUGCAACAAUGAAUAAACUAAUGGCAAGUUGACAUAGAAGAAAAGAAUAAACAAAGAGGCCUGAUCAAGGGCAGGUUGCGCACAGCCAAGGUGGAAAGCGACAGCACCAAACGGCUCUCUCUCCUUUGAACCACCUUGUCUUCUUCUUCAACGGAUCCCUUCUCUUGGCCGACAUCUUUUAAAUAUCUUAAGGCAAGUAUAACAUCCUUCUUGAUCACAGAUAAGUCUCCUCUUGCCUUGCACGCCAAGUUAGAUCACACUUGUACGGACAAGCUUACUUUGAUCACUCCGGAUGUAUGUCUUGACUUGAUUUCUUCUUCCUCUAUGUCAUUCAUGCUUUCAUGUCAACACUCCCCCUCAAGCUUGACCGUGUGGGACAAGUCAAGCUUGGACACCAUGAAGCUAUUCCCUCAUUAAAACCUUAGCUAGGAAAAAAACCUCAUGGGAUAAAACCCUAACCAAGGAAAAAGAGUAGAACACUUCAUGGGAGGAGAGAUCAGUGACAUGGAAGAUCCGUGAGUCCAAGUUUAGGGUGGAUGAACUCACAAACCUUGCUGCUGGCUGCCUUGGUGAAUAUGUCAGCUAGUUGAUCUUCACUUCUUGUGUAGCAUGGAAGAAUCACUUGCUGCUCCACUGCUUGUCUCACCUUGUGACAGUCCACUUCUAUAUGCUUAGUCCUCUCAUGGAACACAGAGUUUGAUGCAAUGUGUAUUGCUGCCUGAUUGUCACAAUGCAUAGUCAUUGGCGUGGAGAUCUCUAUGCCCAAGUCCUUUAGCAGUCCCUUGAUCCAUAUGAGUUCACUAGUAAGCUUCCUCAUAGAUCGGUACUCUGCCUCAGCACUUGAGCAAGAGACCACCUUCUGCUUCUUGCUCUUCCAUGUGACUAGGUUUCCUCCAAUAAAGGUGCAAUAGCCUGUGGUUGAUCUCCUAUCAACUCUAUCUCCAGCCCAAUCAGCAUCACAAUACCCAACAACUUCAGUACUCUUAUUGCAAGCCAUCCACACUCCCUGACCUGGCGCCUCUCUUAAGUAUCUCAAGAUCCUUUCCACCAUGUUCCAAUGAUGUACCUUAGGAGCUUGCAUGUGUUGGCUCACCUGGUUCACAGCAAAACACACAUCCGGCCUUGUGAUAGUAAGAUAGAUAAGCUUCCCAACCAUUCUUCUAUACCUCUUGACAUCCUCAAAGGGAGUUGCAUCAAACUCCCCCUCACGCAUAACCUUGUAGCCUUCUUCUAGUGGUGUCUUGGCCACUCUUCCUCCAAGGUCUCCUGCCUCCUUUAGGAUGUCCAAAGUAUACUUCCUUUGGGACAUGAACAAUCCCUCCCUUGAUCUACACAUCUCAAUGCCAAGGAAAUAUUUCAGUUCUCCUAGGUCUUUGAUGUCAAAUGCGGUCUUGAGGAAUGUCUUAGUUGAGCUGAUCUCUUCCUUGUCACUACCAGUGAUGAUGAUGUCAUCCACAUAGACCAGAAUCACAACGAUCCCUUGCUGGCUGGUGAGAGUAAACAGUGUGUGAUCCGCUUGAGACUUCACAAAGCCUCUCCCAUUUAGUGUGGUGCUUAGCUUGUGGUACCAAGCUCUUGGUGAUUGUUUCAGGCCAUAGAUAGCCUUCCUGAGUCUGAGAACAUUCCCUGGUUUCACCAUCUCUUCCAUUCCGGGAGGUGGCCUCAUAUAUACUUCAUCCUCUAGUUCACCUUGCAAGAAUGCAUUCUUCACAUCCAUUUGCCAAAGAUCCCAUUCUAGGUUCACUGCCAAUGAGAGGAGGAUCCGGAUAGUAUGGAGCUUGGCUACUGGUGCAAAAGUGUCUAGGUAGUCUUCUCCAUAUACUUGUGUGUAACCUCUUGCCACUAGUCUGGUCUUUUUCCUUUCUGGCUUCCCAUUUGCAAGGUACUUGAUGGUAUGUAUGAGCCUGCUAGUCACGGCUUUCUUCCCUUUUGGAAGCUCUGUCUCAUACCAGGUGUUAUUCCUUUCCAUGGCCCCCAUUUCAUCAUCCACUGAGCUCCUCCAUUCAUCAUCCUCCAUAGCUUCUGCAUACGUUUUUGGUAUCCAUUCCUGGUCCAAUGAACUCACAAAGGCUUGAUGUUCUUCUGGAUAUUGAGCAAGGGUGCAUACUCCACUUACUGGAUGUGCCACGGCUUGAGCAUUGUAGUAGAUUCUUGUCUUAACCCAAUCUGAAGUCGGUCUCCUGAUCCUUGUACUUCUUCUUAGGGCUGGUGUCUGCUCAGGUUCACUACCUUGAGCUUCAGUUUCUGGUUGUUCCAUCUCAUCUUGAUCAUGAGACAAUACUGAGUUUUCUUCAGGUUGAGCUUGCGCAGAUUGUUCAGGUUGAUCUUGCGCAGAUUUUUCUCCAUUGCCCCCCUCAUGAUCAUGAUGAGAGACUUCAUUAUCUCGUACCUCAGCUCCAUCAUGCUGAGGGGUAGUAUCCCGGCUCUUUUCUGGUUCCCUUGGUAAGCUGAUGCCAAGUCUUUCCAUAAGAACUUUCAGGUUGUUAGCUCUGUCCGAGGCAGAAUGAGAUAGAUCUUUGAGUUCUCCCCAACUCUUCUCAUCAUAGUAGGCCUUGGAUUCCAUGAACUUAACAUCUCUGGAUACUAGGACUCUCCUUGUUUCUGGUACGUAGCAUUUGUACCCUUUCUGAUGUGUGGAGUACCCAAUAAACAUAGCCUUUGUGCUCUUUGCUUCUAGCUUGUUCCUUAAUUCUCCUGGAAUCAAAACAAAACACACACACCCAAACACACGCAAAUGGUCAAUGGAUGAUCUAGAUUUGUUUAGUACCUCAUAGGGAGUGGCAUCAAGGAGGACUCUUGUAGGUGUGCGGUUGAUUAGAUAGGUGGCCGUGACCACUGCAUCUCCCCAAAAACGUUUAGGUACAUUGGCAUGGAACAUCAUACUCCUCGCCACUUCCAUCAAGUGUCUAUUCUUUCUCUCAGCAACUCCAUUUUGUUGAGGUGUAUAAGGGCAGCUAGUUUGUUGAAUGAUUCCAUGUGAGGCUAGGUGUUGUUUGAAGGCUGUGCUAGUAUACUCACCACCAUUAUCUGAUCUAAGAAUUUUGAUCUUAACAUUGAAAUGGUUAGUUAUAUAGCUCUGAAAGUUUUUAAAAGCUUCUAGCACUCUUUUUUUUUUUUUUUUUUUUUUUUUUUUUUUUUAAAAAAANNNNNNNNNNNNNNNNNNNNNNNNNNNNNNNNNNNUUCUUUUUUUUUUUUUUUUUUUUUUUUUUUUUUGUAACAAGCUUCUAGCACUCUAUCCUUAGAUUGCAACAAGGUGAUCCAUGUGUAUUUAGAUUUUUCAUCAAUGAAUGUCACAAAAUAUUUAUGUUGCUCUCUAGAUGCACAUGGGGCAGUCCAUACGUCAGAAUGUAUGAGAUCAAAGCAAUUAUCAUAUUGAGUCUUUGAUUUAGGAAACACAGUUCUACAAUGUUUUCCUAAGAUACAAGCCUCACAAUCACUUUUAAAAGAAAUGCUAGGUAACAGGAUGUUCAAGGCAUGAGAAUGAGGAUGUCCUAGUCUAGCAUGCCAUAUUACAUCUUUAGGGAAUUCAGAAACAGAAUGAAACGCAGGAAAUAAAUCAGUUGUGGAUCUUGUGUCCUCAAGCAAGUACAAGUCUCCCUUGGUAACACCUUUGCCAAGCAACUUACUAGAAUCAAUAUCCUGAAAGUACACACUGUUAGGCGUGAAUGUAACUUGACAAUUGAGAUCAUUAGUUACUUUCUUAACAGAUAAUAGAUUUGAAGCAAAGGUGGGCAUAUAGAAAGCCUUAGUUUCUUUAUCAAACAGUUUAAGGUUACCUACACCUUUUAUUGGGAUUUUAUCUCCAUUUGCUAUCAUCACAUUUCCUAAGGCCGGUUCUAUGUUUUUAAUCAGUUCUAAGUCACUUAUCAUGUGAUGAGAAGCACCAGAAUCUAUAACUAAGGGCUUAGCCGAUUUAAAAACUCUUAUAGUGUCAUUAGCAGUAUGUGAAGCAUUAAGAGAAACACCAAGGUUUUUAGAUAUACCAGAUUCUUUUAGAGCCUUGAUGAGAGCAGUUAAGUCAGACUUCUUGAUGGUCUCAUCCAGGUUGGCCCUUGGCGUGGCAUAGCCUGAUGUGGAGGCAGUUGCACUUCCCACACCUAGGUUGCUUAUGCCCAUGGUGAUUGGUGUUGUUGGCUCCGCACCAUCAGCUGAGAAGUUGGCCCUUGCAUCUUGGUAUUGGGAGCGAGUCUCCCUAAACUUGCUGGGCUUAAGGUGGGGAUGGAGUAUCCAGCAUUUGUCCUUCAAGUGACCCUUCUUCUUGCAGUGGUCACAGGUCAGGCCUUUCCUCUCAUCUUGUUUGUAAGCCGCCUUGUUUGCCACUGCUUGUUCUGCUUGAUGCGCCAUGCUUAAGUCUCCCUUGCCACCAAACAAGCCAACUGAGCCUUCUUCCUUCUGGAUUUGAGCACAUACUUCAUCCAGGUCAGGUAGCUUGUCAGCUCUUAGGAUGUGCUUGAUCAAGCUCCCAUAAGAUGGGUUAAGAGUGAGCAGCAGUCCAAACACUCUGUCCUCCUCACGCCUGGUUAGAAGCGUGGCAUGGUCAGUGGUGUGUGGUCUUAGCAGUUCCAUCUCUGCCCAAAGAGACCUAAACUUGCCAAAGUGUGGUUGAAACUCCACAUCUCCUUGGUUGAGCGCAUUGAUGGCUCUCUUCACUUCAAAGACUCUUGUGAGGUUGGAGACAUUUCCAUACACUUUGUAAAGUGUAUCCCACAGCUGUUUGGUAGUCUCACAGUAAGAGUAAGACUCCAUGAUGGCGGGUUCAAGAGAGCUGAGGAGCACUGUGAGAACCAUGAGGUCUUCCUGAGCCCACUUGUCUUCAUCAGCUACCACCAUUUCCUGUCCAUCUUCUCCUUGGUUGAUUUGUUUUGGAGCCGCUUCUGCUGAGACAUGACUCCACAAACCCUUUCCUCCAAGGGCAAUUUUCACCAUCCUGGCCCAUAAGAGGUAGUUAAUCCCCUUCAGAGUCACAGGUAUGCUGAUGCGGUUGUUGUUGUUGUUGUUGUUGUUGUUCUCCAUCUUGAGGAUUCAAAGACCGGCAAGAAAAGAAACAGAGAUUUGUUUUGCGGAAGUAGAUAAGGGUUUCAAGAGCUUUGUUGCUCUGAUACCAUGAUAAAAUGAAUGAGUUAUAAGAGUGGCUUGUGUGAUUUAUCAAGAACAAAGAGAAGAGAUAGCUAGGGUUUUACUAAGAAUCCGAGAGAGAGAGAGAGAGAGAGUGAGAUUUCGAAAACAUAAGAGAGAAGUGAGGAAGUAUAUUUUUCCUUGAUCCAUUUGGUUCUGAUUACAUACUUUAAAUAGAUGCAACAAUGAAUAAACUAAUGGCAAGUUGACAUAGAAGAAAAGAAUAAACAAAGAGGCCUGAUCAAGGGCAGGUUGCGCACAGCCAAGGUGGAAAGCGACAGCACCAAACGGCUCUCUCUCCUUUGAACCACCUUGUCUUCUUCUUCAACGGAUCCCUUCUCUUGGCCGACAUCUUUUAAAUAUCUUAAGGCAAGUAUAACAUCCUUCUUGAUCACAGAUAAGUCUCCUCUUGCCUUGCACGCCAAGUUAGAUCACACUUGUACGGACAAGCUUACUUUGAUCACUCCGGAUGUAUGUCUUGACUUGAUUUCUUCUUCCUCUAUGUCAUUCAUGCUUUCAUGUCAACACUCCCCCUCAAGCUUGACCGUGUGGGACAAGUCAAGCUUGGACACCAUGAAGCUAUUCCCUCAUUAAAACCUUAGCUAGGAAAAAAACCUCAUGGGAUAAAACCCUAACCAAGGAAAAAGAGUAGAACACUUCAUGGGAGGAGAGAUCAGUGACAUGGAAGAUCCGUGAGUCCAAGUUUAGGGUGGAUGAACUCACAAACCUUGCUGCUGGCUGCCUUGGUGAAUAUGUCAGCUAGUUGAUCUUCACUUCUUGUGUAGCAUGGAAGAAUCACUUGCUGCUCCACUGCUUGUCUCACCUUGUGACAGUCCACUUCUAUAUGCUUAGUCCUCUCAUGGAACACAGAGUUUGAUGCAAUGUGUAUUGCUGCCUGAUUGUCACAAUGCAUAGUCAUUGGCGUGGAGAUCUCUAUGCCCAAGUCCUUUAGCAGUCCCUUGAUCCAUAUGAGUUCACUAGUAAGCUUCCUCAUAGAUCGGUACUCUGCCUCAGCACUUGAGCAAGAGACCACCUUCUGCUUCUUGCUCUUCCAUGUGACUAGGUUUCCUCCAAUAAAGGUGCAAUAGCCUGUGGUUGAUCUCCUAUCAACUCUAUCUCCAGCCCAAUCAGCAUCACAAUACCCAACAACUUCAGUACUCUUAUUGCAAGCCAUCCACACUCCCUGACCUGGCGCCUCUCUUAAGUAUCUCAAGAUCCUUUCCACCAUGUUCCAAUGAUGUACCUUAGGAGCUUGCAUGUGUUGGCUCACCUGGUUCACAGCAAAACACACAUCCGGCCUUGUGAUAGUAAGAUAGAUAAGCUUCCCAACCAUUCUUCUAUACCUCUUGACAUCCUCAAAGGGAGUUGCAUCAAACUCCCCCUCACGCAUAACCUUGUAGCCUUCUUCUAGUGGUGUCUUGGCCACUCUUCCUCCAAGGUCUCCUGCCUCCUUUAGGAUGUCCAAAGUAUACUUCCUUUGGGACAUGAACAAUCCCUCCCUUGAUCUACACAUCUCAAUGCCAAGGAAAUAUUUCAGUUCUCCUAGGUCUUUGAUGUCAAAUGCGGUCUUGAGGAAUGUCUUAGUUGAGCUGAUCUCUUCCUUGUCACUACCAGUGAUGAUGAUGUCAUCCACAUAGACCAGAAUCACAACGAUCCCUUGCUGGCUGGUGAGAGUAAACAGUGUGUGAUCCGCUUGAGACUUCACAAAGCCUCUCCCAUUUAGUGUGGUGCUUAGCUUGUGGUACCAAGCUCUUGGUGAUUGUUUCAGGCCAUAGAUAGCCUUCCUGAGUCUGAGAACAUUCCCUGGUUUCACCAUCUCUUCCAUUCCGGGAGGUGGCCUCAUAUAUACUUCAUCCUCUAGUUCACCUUGCAAGAAUGCAUUCUUCACAUCCAUUUGCCAAAGAUCCCAUUCUAGGUUCACUGCCAAUGAGAGGAGGAUCCGGAUAGUAUGGAGCUUGGCUACUGGUGCAAAAGUGUCUAGGUAGUCUUCUCCAUAUACUUGUGUGUAACCUCUUGCCACUAGUCUGGUCUUUUUCCUUUCUGGCUUCCCAUUUGCAAGGUACUUGAUGGUAUGUAUGAGCCUGCUAGUCACGGCUUUCUUCCCUUUUGGAAGCUCUGUCUCAUACCAGGUGUUAUUCCUUUCCAUGGCCCCCAUUUCAUCAUCCACUGAGCUCCUCCAUUCAUCAUCCUCCAUAGCUUCUGCAUACGUUUUUGGUAUCCAUUCCUGGUCCAAUGAACUCACAAAGGCUUGAUGUUCUUCUGGAUAUUGAGCAAGGGUGCAUACUCCACUUACUGGAUGUGCCACGGCUUGAGCAUUGUAGUAGAUUCUUGUCUUAACCCAAUCUGAAGUCGGUCUCCUGAUCCUUGUACUUCUUCUUAGGGCUGGUGUCUGCUCAGGUUCACUACCUUGAGCUUCAGUUUCUGGUUGUUCCAUCUCAUCUUGAUCAUGAGACAAUACUGAGUUUUCUUCAGGUUGAGCUUGCGCAGAUUGUUCAGGUUGAUCUUGCGCAGAUUUUUCUCCAUUGCCCCCCUCAUGAUCAUGAUGAGAGACUUCAUUAUCUCGUACCUCAGCUCCAUCAUGCUGAGGGGUAGUAUCCCGGCUCUUUUCUGGUUCCCUUGGUAAGCUGAUGCCAAGUCUUUCCAUAAGAACUUUCAGGUUGUUAGCUCUGUCCGAGGCAGAAUGAGAUAGAUCUUUGAGUUCUCCCCAACUCUUCUCAUCAUAGUAGGCCUUGGAUUCCAUGAACUUAACAUCUCUGGAUACUAGGACUCUCCUUGUUUCUGGUACGUAGCAUUUGUACCCUUUCUGAUGUGUGGAGUACCCAAUAAACAUAGCCUUUGUGCUCUUUGCUUCUAGCUUGUUCCUUAAUUCUCCUGGAAUCAAAACAAAACACACACACCCAAACACACGCAAAUGGUCAAUGGAUGAUCUAGAUUUGUUUAGUACCUCAUAGGGAGUGGCAUCAAGGAGGACUCUUGUAGGUGUGCGGUUGAUUAGAUAGGUGGCCGUGACCACUGCAUCUCCCCAAAAACGUUUAGGUACAUUGGCAUGGAACAUCAUACUCCUCGCCACUUCCAUCAAGUGUCUAUUCUUUCUCUCAGCAACUCCAUUUUGUUGAGGUGUAUAAGGGCAGCUAGUUUGUUGAAUGAUUCCAUGUGAGGCUAGGUGUUGUUUGAAGGCUGUGCUAGUAUACUCACCACCAUUAUCUGAUCUAAGAAUUUUGAUCUUAACAUUGAAAUGGUUAGUUAUAUAGCUCUGAAAGUUUUUAAAAGCUUCUAGCACUCUUUUUUUUUUUUUUUUUUUUUUUUUUUUUUUUUUUUUUUUUUUUUUUUUUUUUUUUUUUUUUUUUUGUAACAAGCUUCUAGCACUCUAUCCUUAGAUUGCAACAAGGUGAUCCAUGUGUAUUUAGAUUUUUCAUCAAUGAAUGUCACAAAAUAUUUAUGUUGCUCUCUAGAUGCACAUGGGGCAGUCCAUACGUCAGAAUGUAUGAGAUCAAAGCAAUUAUCAUAUUGAGUCUUUGAUUUAGGAAACACAGUUCUACAAUGUUUUCCUAAGAUACAAGCCUCACAAUCACUUUUAAAAGAAAUGCUAGGUAACAGGAUGUUCAAGGCAUGAGAAUGAGGAUGUCCUAGUCUAGCAUGCCAUAUUACAUCUUUAGGGAAUUCAGAAACAGAAUGAAACGCAGGAAAUAAAUCAGUUGUGGAUCUUGUGUCCUCAAGCAAGUACAAGUCUCCCUUGGUAACACCUUUGCCAAGCAACUUACUAGAAUCAAUAUCCUGAAAGUACACACUGUUAGGCGUGAAUGUAACUUGACAAUUGAGAUCAUUAGUUACUUUCUUAACAGAUAAUAGAUUUGAAGCAAAGGUGGGCAUAUAGAAAGCCUUAGUUUCUUUAUCAAACAGUUUAAGGUUACCUACACCUUUUAUUGGGAUUUUAUCUCCAUUUGCUAUCAUCACAUUUCCUAAGGCCGGUUCUAUGUUUUUAAUCAGUUCUAAGUCACUUAUCAUGUGAUGAGAAGCACCAGAAUCUAUAACUAAGGGCUUAGCCGAUUUAAAAACUCUUAUAGUGUCAUUAGCAGUAUGUGAAGCAUUAAGAGAAACACCAAGGUUUUUAGAUAUACCAGAUUCUUUUAGAGCCUUGAUGAGAGCAGUUAAGUCAGACUUCUUGAUGGUCUCAUCCAGGUUGGCCCUUGGCGUGGCAUAGCCUGAUGUGGAGGCAGUUGCACUUCCCACACCUAGGUUGCUUAUGCCCAUGGUGAUUGGUGUUGUUGGCUCCGCACCAUCAGCUGAGAAGUUGGCCCUUGCAUCUUGGUAUUGGGAGCGAGUCUCCCUAAACUUGCUGGGCUUAAGGUGGGGAUGGAGUAUCCAGCAUUUGUCCUUCAAGUGACCCUUCUUCUUGCAGUGGUCACAGGUCAGGCCUUUCCUCUCAUCUUGUUUGUAAGCCGCCUUGUUUGCCACUGCUUGUUCUGCUUGAUGCGCCAUGCUUAAGUCUCCCUUGCCACCAAACAAGCCAACUGAGCCUUCUUCCUUCUGGAUUUGAGCACAUACUUCAUCCAGGUCAGGUAGCUUGUCAGCUCUUAGGAUGUGCUUGAUCAAGCUCCCAUAAGAUGGGUUAAGAGUGAGCAGCAGUCCAAACACUCUGUCCUCCUCACGCCUGGUUAGAAGCGUGGCAUGGUCAGUGGUGUGUGGUCUUAGCAGUUCCAUCUCUGCCCAAAGAGACCUAAACUUGCCAAAGUGUGGUUGAAACUCCACAUCUCCUUGGUUGAGCGCAUUGAUGGCUCUCUUCACUUCAAAGACUCUUGUGAGGUUGGAGACAUUUCCAUACACUUUGUAAAGUGUAUCCCACAGCUGUUUGGUAGUCUCACAGUAAGAGUAAGACUCCAUGAUGGCGGGUUCAAGAGAGCUGAGGAGCACUGUGAGAACCAUGAGGUCUUCCUGAGCCCACUUGUCUUCAUCAGCUACCACCAUUUCCUGUCCAUCUUCUCCUUGGUUGAUUUGUUUUGGAGCCGCUUCUGCUGAGACAUGACUCCACAAACCCUUUCCUCCAAGGGCAAUUUUCACCAUCCUGGCCCAUAAGAGGUAGUUAAUCCCCUUCAGAGUCACAGGUAUGCUGAUGCGGUUGUUGUUGUUGUUGUUGUUGUUGUUCUCCAUCUUGAGGAUUCAAAGACCGGCAAGAAAAGAAACAGAGAUUUGUUUUGCGGAAGUAGAUAAGGGUUUCAAGAGCUUUGUUGCUCUGAUACCAUGAUAAAAUGAAUGAGUUAUAAGAGUGGCUUGUGUGAUUUAUCAAGAACAAAGAGAAGAGAUAGCUAGGGUUUUACUAAGAAUCCGAGAGAGAGAGAGAGAGAGAGUGAGAUUUCGAAAACAUAAGAGAGAAGUGAGGAAGUAUAUUUUUCCUUGAUCCAUUUGGUUCUGAUUACAUACUUUAAAUAGAUGCAACAAUGAAUAAACUAAUGGCAAGUUGACAUAGAAGAAAAGAAUAAACAAAGAGGCCUGAUCAAGGGCAGGUUGCGCACAGCCAAGGUGGAAAGCGACAGCACCAAACGGCUCUCUCUCCUUUGAACCACCUUGUCUUCUUCUUCAACGGAUCCCUUCUCUUGGCCGACAUCUUUUAAAUAUCUUAAGGCAAGUAUAACAUCCUUCUUGAUCACAGAUAAGUCUCCUCUUGCCUUGCACGCCAAGUUAGAUCACACUUGUACGGACAAGCUUACUUUGAUCACUCCGGAUGUAUGUCUUGACUUGAUUUCUUCUUCCUCUAUGUCAUUCAUGCUUUCAUGUCAACACUCCCCCUCAAGCUUGACCGUGUGGGACAAGUCAAGCUUGGACACCAUGAAGCUAUUCCCUCAUUAAAACCUUAGCUAGGAAAAAAACCUCAUGGGAUAAAACCCUAACCAAGGAAAAAGAGUAGAACACUUCAUGGGAGGAGAGAUCAGUGACAUGGAAGAUCCGUGAGUCCAAGUUUAGGGUGGAUGAACUCACAAACCUUGCUGCUGGCUGCCUUGGUGAAUAUGUCAGCUAGUUGAUCUUCACUUCUUGUGUAGCAUGGAAGAAUCACUUGCUGCUCCACUGCUUGUCUCACCUUGUGACAGUCCACUUCUAUAUGCUUAGUCCUCUCAUGGAACACAGAGUUUGAUGCAAUGUGUAUUGCUGCCUGAUUGUCACAAUGCAUAGUCAUUGGCGUGGAGAUCUCUAUGCCCAAGUCCUUUAGCAGUCCCUUGAUCCAUAUGAGUUCACUAGUAAGCUUCCUCAUAGAUCGGUACUCUGCCUCAGCACUUGAGCAAGAGACCACCUUCUGCUUCUUGCUCUUCCAUGUGACUAGGUUUCCUCCAAUAAAGGUGCAAUAGCCUGUGGUUGAUCUCCUAUCAACUCUAUCUCCAGCCCAAUCAGCAUCACAAUACCCAACAACUUCAGUACUCUUAUUGCAAGCCAUCCACACUCCCUGACCUGGCGCCUCUCUUAAGUAUCUCAAGAUCCUUUCCACCAUGUUCCAAUGAUGUACCUUAGGAGCUUGCAUGUGUUGGCUCACCUGGUUCACAGCAAAACACACAUCCGGCCUUGUGAUAGUAAGAUAGAUAAGCUUCCCAACCAUUCUUCUAUACCUCUUGACAUCCUCAAAGGGAGUUGCAUCAAACUCCCCCUCACGCAUAACCUUGUAGCCUUCUUCUAGUGGUGUCUUGGCCACUCUUCCUCCAAGGUCUCCUGCCUCCUUUAGGAUGUCCAAAGUAUACUUCCUUUGGGACAUGAACAAUCCCUCCCUUGAUCUACACAUCUCAAUGCCAAGGAAAUAUUUCAGUUCUCCUAGGUCUUUGAUGUCAAAUGCGGUCUUGAGGAAUGUCUUAGUUGAGCUGAUCUCUUCCUUGUCACUACCAGUGAUGAUGAUGUCAUCCACAUAGACCAGAAUCACAACGAUCCCUUGCUGGCUGGUGAGAGUAAACAGUGUGUGAUCCGCUUGAGACUUCACAAAGCCUCUCCCAUUUAGUGUGGUGCUUAGCUUGUGGUACCAAGCUCUUGGUGAUUGUUUCAGGCCAUAGAUAGCCUUCCUGAGUCUGAGAACAUUCCCUGGUUUCACCAUCUCUUCCAUUCCGGGAGGUGGCCUCAUAUAUACUUCAUCCUCUAGUUCACCUUGCAAGAAUGCAUUCUUCACAUCCAUUUGCCAAAGAUCCCAUUCUAGGUUCACUGCCAAUGAGAGGAGGAUCCGGAUAGUAUGGAGCUUGGCUACUGGUGCAAAAGUGUCUAGGUAGUCUUCUCCAUAUACUUGUGUGUAACCUCUUGCCACUAGUCUGGUCUUUUUCCUUUCUGGCUUCCCAUUUGCAAGGUACUUGAUGGUAUGUAUGAGCCUGCUAGUCACGGCUUUCUUCCCUUUUGGAAGCUCUGUCUCAUACCAGGUGUUAUUCCUUUCCAUGGCCCCCAUUUCAUCAUCCACUGAGCUCCUCCAUUCAUCAUCCUCCAUAGCUUCUGCAUACGUUUUUGGUAUCCAUUCCUGGUCCAAUGAACUCACAAAGGCUUGAUGUUCUUCUGGAUAUUGAGCAAGGGUGCAUACUCCACUUACUGGAUGUGCCACGGCUUGAGCAUUGUAGUAGAUUCUUGUCUUAACCCAAUCUGAAGUCGGUCUCCUGAUCCUUGUACUUCUUCUUAGGGCUGGUGUCUGCUCAGGUUCACUACCUUGAGCUUCAGUUUCUGGUUGUUCCAUCUCAUCUUGAUCAUGAGACAAUACUGAGUUUUCUUCAGGUUGAGCUUGCGCAGAUUGUUCAGGUUGAUCUUGCGCAGAUUUUUCUCCAUUGCCCCCCUCAUGAUCAUGAUGAGAGACUUCAUUAUCUCGUACCUCAGCUCCAUCAUGCUGAGGGGUAGUAUCCCGGCUCUUUUCUGGUUCCCUUGGUAAGCUGAUGCCAAGUCUUUCCAUAAGAACUUUCAGGUUGUUAGCUCUGUCCGAGGCAGAAUGAGAUAGAUCUUUGAGUUCUCCCCAACUCUUCUCAUCAUAGUAGGCCUUGGAUUCCAUGAACUUAACAUCUCUGGAUACUAGGACUCUCCUUGUUUCUGGUACGUAGCAUUUGUACCCUUUCUGAUGUGUGGAGUACCCAAUAAACAUAGCCUUUGUGCUCUUUGCUUCUAGCUUGUUCCUUAAUUCUCCUGGAAUCAAAACAAAACACACACACCCAAACACACGCAAAUGGUCAAUGGAUGAUCUAGAUUUGUUUAGUACCUCAUAGGGAGUGGCAUCAAGGAGGACUCUUGUAGGUGUGCGGUUGAUUAGAUAGGUGGCCGUGACCACUGCAUCUCCCCAAAAACGUUUAGGUACAUUGGCAUGGAACAUCAUACUCCUCGCCACUUCCAUCAAGUGUCUAUUCUUUCUCUCAGCAACUCCAUUUUGUUGAGGUGUAUAAGGGCAGCUAGUUUGUUGAAUGAUUCCAUGUGAGGCUAGGUGUUGUUUGAAGGCUGUGCUAGUAUACUCACCACCAUUAUCUGAUCUAAGAAUUUUGAUCUUAACAUUGAAAUGGUUAGUUAUAUAGCUCUGAAAGUUUUUAAAAGCUUCUAGCACUCUAUCCUUAGAUUGCAACAAGGUGAUCCAUGUGUAUUUAGAUUUUUCAUCAAUGAAUGUCACAAAAUAUUUAUGUUGCUCUCUAGAUGCACAUGGGGCAGUCCAUACGUCAGAAUGUAUGAGAUCAAAGCAAUUAUCAUAUUGAGUCUUUGAUUUAGGAAACACAGUUCUACAAUGUUUUCCUAAGAUACAAGCCUCACAAUCACUUUUAAAAGAAAUGCUAGGUAACAGGAUGUUCAAGGCAUGAGAAUGAGGAUGUCCUAGUCUAGCAUGCCAUAUUACAUCUUUAGGGAAUUCAGAAACAGAAUGAAACGCAGGAAAUAAAUCAGUUGUGGAUCUUGUGUCCUCAAGCAAGUACAAGUCUCCCUUGGUAACACCUUUGCCAAGCAACUUACUAGAAUCAAUAUCCUGAAAGUACACACUGUUAGGCGUGAAUGUAACUUGACAAUUGAGAUCAUUAGUUACUUUCUUAACAGAUAAUAGAUUUGAAGCAAAGGUGGGCAUAUAGAAAGCCUUAGUUUCUUUAUCAAACAGUUUAAGGUUACCUACACCUUUUAUUGGGAUUUUAUCUCCAUUUGCUAUCAUCACAUUUCCUAAGGCCGGUUCUAUGUUUUUAAUCAGUUCUAAGUCACUUAUCAUGUGAUGAGAAGCACCAGAAUCUAUAACUAAGGGCUUAGCCGAUUUAAAAACUCUUAUAGUGUCAUUAGCAGUAUGUGAAGCAUUAAGAGAAACACCAAGGUUUUUAGAUAUACCAGAUUCUUUUAGAGCCUUGAUGAGAGCAGUUAAGUCAGACUUCUUGAUGGUCUCAUCCAGGUUGGCCCUUGGCGUGGCAUAGCCUGAUGUGGAGGCAGUUGCACUUCCCACACCUAGGUUGCUUAUGCCCAUGGUGAUUGGUGUUGUUGGCUCCGCACCAUCAGCUGAGAAGUUGGCCCUUGCAUCUUGGUAUUGGGAGCGAGUCUCCCUAAACUUGCUGGGCUUAAGGUGGGGAUGGAGUAUCCAGCAUUUGUCCUUCAAGUGACCCUUCUUCUUGCAGUGGUCACAGGUCAGGCCUUUCCUCUCAUCUUGUUUGUAAGCCGCCUUGUUUGCCACUGCUUGUUCUGCUUGAUGCGCCAUGCUUAAGUCUCCCUUGCCACCAAACAAGCCAACUGAGCCUUCUUCCUUCUGGAUUUGAGCACAUACUUCAUCCAGGUCAGGUAGCUUGUCAGCUCUUAGGAUGUGCUUGAUCAAGCUCCCAUAAGAUGGGUUAAGAGUGAGCAGCAGUCCAAACACUCUGUCCUCCUCACGCCUGGUUAGAAGCGUGGCAUGGUCAGUGGUGUGUGGUCUUAGCAGUUCCAUCUCUGCCCAAAGAGACCUAAACUUGCCAAAGUGUGGUUGAAACUCCACAUCUCCUUGGUUGAGCGCAUUGAUGGCUCUCUUCACUUCAAAGACUCUUGUGAGGUUGGAGACAUUUCCAUACACUUUGUAAAGUGUAUCCCACAGCUGUUUGGUAGUCUCACAGUAAGAGUAAGACUCCAUGAUGGCGGGUUCAAGAGAGCUGAGGAGCACUGUGAGAACCAUGAGGUCUUCCUGAGCCCACUUGUCUUCAUCAGCUACCACCAUUUCCUGUCCAUCUUCUCCUUGGUUGGUUUGUUUUGGAGCCGCUUCUGCUGAGACAUGACUCCACAAACCCUUUCCUCCAAGGGCAAUUUUCACCAUCCUGGCCCAUAAGAGGUAGUUAAUCCCCUUCAGAGUCACAGGUAUGCUGAUGCGGUUGUUGUUGUUGUUGUUGUUGUUGUUCUCCAUCUUGAGGAUUCAAAGACCGGCAAGAAAAGAAACAGAGAUUUGUUUUGCGGAAGUAGAUAAGGGUUUCAAGAGCUUUGUUGCUCUGAUACCAUGAUAAAAUGAAUGAGUUAUAAGAGUGGCUUGUGUGAUUUAUCAAGAACAAAGAGAAGAGAUAGCUAGGGUUUUACUAAGAAUCCGAGAGAGAGAGAGAGAGAGAGUGAGAUUUCGAAAACAUAAGAGAGAAGUGAGGAAGUAUAUUUUUCCUUGAUCCAUUUGGUUCUGAUUACAUACUUUAAAUAGAUGCAACAAUGAAUAAACUAAUGGCAAGUUGACAUAGAAGAAAAGAAUAAACAAAGAGGCCUGAUCAAGGGCAGGUUGCGCACAGCCAAGGUGGAAAGCGACAGCACCAAACGGCUCUCUCUCCUUUGAACCACCUUGUCUUCUUCUUCAACGGAUCCCUUCUCUUGGCCGACAUCUUUUAAAUAUCUUAAGGCAAGUAUAACAUCCUUCUUGAUCACAGAUAAGUCUCCUCUUGCCUUGCACGCCAAGUUAGAUCACACUUGUACGGACAAGCUUACUUUGAUCACUCCGGAUGUAUGUCUUGACUUGAUUUCUUCUUCCUCUAUGUCAUUCAUGCUUUCAUGUCAACACUCCCCCUCAAGCUUGACCGUGUGGGACAAGUCAAGCUUGGACACCAUGAAGCUAUUCCCUCAUUAAAACCUUAGCUAGGAAAAAAACCUCAUGGGAUAAAACCCUAACCAAGGAAAAAGAGUAGAACACUUCAUGGGAGGAGAGAUCAGUGACAUGGAAGAUCCGUGAGUCCAAGUUUAGGGUGGAUGAACUCACAAACCUUGCUGCUGGCUGCCUUGGUGAAUAUGUCAGCUAGUUGAUCUUCACUUCUUGUGUAGCAUGGAAGAAUCACUUGCUGCUCCACUGCUUGUCUCACCUUGUGACAGUCCACUUCUAUAUGCUUAGUCCUCUCAUGGAACACAGAGUUUGAUGCAAUGUGUAUUGCUGCCUGAUUGUCACAAUGCAUAGUCAUUGGCGUGGAGAUCUCUAUGCCCAAGUCCUUUAGCAGUCCCUUGAUCCAUAUGAGUUCACUAGUAAGCUUCCUCAUAGAUCGGUACUCUGCCUCAGCACUUGAGCAAGAGACCACCUUCUGCUUCUUGCUCUUCCAUGUGACUAGGUUUCCUCCAAUAAAGGUGCAAUAGCCUGUGGUUGAUCUCCUAUCAACUCUAUCUCCAGCCCAAUCAGCAUCACAAUACCCAACAACUUCAGUACUCUUAUUGCAAGCCAUCCACACUCCCUGACCUGGCGCCUCUCUUAAGUAUCUCAAGAUCCUUUCCACCAUGUUCCAAUGAUGUACCUUAGGAGCUUGCAUGUGUUGGCUCACCUGGUUCACAGCAAAACACACAUCCGGCCUUGUGAUAGUAAGAUAGAUAAGCUUCCCAACCAUUCUUCUAUACCUCUUGACAUCCUCAAAGGGAGUUGCAUCAAACUCCCCCUCACGCAUAACCUUGUAGCCUUCUUCUAGUGGUGUCUUGGCCACUCUUCCUCCAAGGUCUCCUGCCUCCUUUAGGAUGUCCAAAGUAUACUUCCUUUGGGACAUGAACAAUCCCUCCCUUGAUCUACACAUCUCAAUGCCAAGGAAAUAUUUCAGUUCUCCUAGGUCUUUGAUGUCAAAUGCGGUCUUGAGGAAUGUCUUAGUUGAGCUGAUCUCUUCCUUGUCACUACCAGUGAUGAUGAUGUCAUCCACAUAGACCAGAAUCACAACGAUCCCUUGCUGGCUGGUGAGAGUAAACAGUGUGUGAUCCGCUUGAGACUUCACAAAGCCUCUCCCAUUUAGUGUGGUGCUUAGCUUGUGGUACCAAGCUCUUGGUGAUUGUUUCAGGCCAUAGAUAGCCUUCCUGAGUCUGAGAACAUUCCCUGGUUUCACCAUCUCUUCCAUUCCGGGAGGUGGCCUCAUAUAUACUUCAUCCUCUAGUUCACCUUGCAAGAAUGCAUUCUUCACAUCCAUUUGCCAAAGAUCCCAUUCUAGGUUCACUGCCAAUGAGAGGAGGAUCCGGAUAGUAUGGAGCUUGGCUACUGGUGCAAAAGUGUCUAGGUAGUCUUCUCCAUAUACUUGUGUGUAACCUCUUGCCACUAGUCUGGUCUUUUUCCUUUCUGGCUUCCCAUUUGCAAGGUACUUGAUGGUAUGUAUGAGCCUGCUAGUCACGGCUUUCUUCCCUUUUGGAAGCUCUGUCUCAUACCAGGUGUUAUUCCUUUCCAUGGCCCCCAUUUCAUCAUCCACUGAGCUCCUCCAUUCAUCAUCCUCCAUAGCUUCUGCAUACGUUUUUGGUAUCCAUUCCUGGUCCAAUGAACUCACAAAGGCUUGAUGUUCUUCUGGAUAUUGAGCAAGGGUGCAUACUCCACUUACUGGAUGUGCCACGGCUUGAGCAUUGUAGUAGAUUCUUGUCUUAACCCAAUCUGAAGUCGGUCUCCUGAUCCUUGUACUUCUUCUUAGGGCUGGUGUCUGCUCAGGUUCACUACCUUGAGCUUCAGUUUCUGGUUGUUCCAUCUCAUCUUGAUCAUGAGACAAUACUGAGUUUUCUUCAGGUUGAGCUUGCGCAGAUUGUUCAGGUUGAUCUUGCGCAGAUUUUUCUCCAUUGCCCCCCUCAUGAUCAUGAUGAGAGACUUCAUUAUCUCGUACCUCAGCUCCAUCAUGCUGAGGGGUAGUAUCCCGGCUCUUUUCUGGUUCCCUUGGUAAGCUGAUGCCAAGUCUUUCCAUAAGAACUUUCAGGUUGUUAGCUCUGUCCGAGGCAGAAUGAGAUAGAUCUUUGAGUUCUCCCCAACUCUUCUCAUCAUAGUAGGCCUUGGAUUCCAUGAACUUAACAUCUCUGGAUACUAGGACUCUCCUUGUUUCUGGUACGUAGCAUUUGUACCCUUUCUGAUGUGUGGAGUACCCAAUAAACAUAGCCUUUGUGCUCUUUGCUUCUAGCUUGUUCCUUAAUUCUCCUGGAAUCAAAACAAAACACACACACCCAAACACACGCAAAUGGUCAAUGGAUGAUCUAGAUUUGUUUAGUACCUCAUAGGGAGUGGCAUCAAGGAGGACUCUUGUAGGUGUGCGGUUGAUUAGAUAGGUGGCCGUGACCACUGCAUCUCCCCAAAAACGUUUAGGUACAUUGGCAUGGAACAUCAUACUCCUCGCCACUUCCAUCAAGUGUCUAUUCUUUCUCUCAGCAACUCCAUUUUGUUGAGGUGUAUAAGGGCAGCUAGUUUGUUGAAUGAUUCCAUGUGAGGCUAGGUGUUGUUUGAAGGCUGUGCUAGUAUACUCACCACCAUUAUCUGAUCUAAGAAUUUUGAUCUUAACAUUGAAAUGGUUAGUUAUAUAGCUCUGAAAGUUUUUAAAAGCUUCUAGCACUCUAUCCUUAGAUUGCAACAAGGUGAUCCAUGUGUAUUUAGAUUUUUCAUCAAUGAAUGUCACAAAAUAUUUAUGUUGCUCUCUAGAUGCACAUGGGGCAGUCCAUACGUCAGAAUGUAUGAGAUCAAAGCAAUUAUCAUAUUGAGUCUUUGAUUUAGGAAACACAGUUCUACAAUGUUUUCCUAAGAUACAAGCCUCACAAUCACUUUUAAAAGAAAUGCUAGGUAACAGGAUGUUCAAGGCAUGAGAAUGAGGAUGUCCUAGUCUAGCAUGCCAUAUUACAUCUUUAGGGAAUUCAGAAACAGAAUGAAACGCAGGAAAUAAAUCAGUUGUGGAUCUUGUGUCCUCAAGCAAGUACAAGUCUCCCUUGGUAACACCUUUGCCAAGCAACUUACUAGAAUCAAUAUCCUGAAAGUACACACUGUUAGGCGUGAAUGUAACUUGACAAUUGAGAUCAUUAGUUACUUUCUUAACAGAUAAUAGAUUUGAAGCAAAGGUGGGCAUAUAGAAAGCCUUAGUUUCUUUAUCAAACAGUUUAAGGUUACCUACACCUUUUAUUGGGAUUUUAUCUCCAUUUGCUAUCAUCACAUUUCCUAAGGCCGGUUCUAUGUUUUUAAUCAGUUCUAAGUCACUUAUCAUGUGAUGAGAAGCACCAGAAUCUAUAACUAAGGGCUUAGCCGAUUUAAAAACUCUUAUAGUGUCAUUAGCAGUAUGUGAAGCAUUAAGAGAAACACCAAGGUUUUUAGAUAUACCAGAUUCUUUUAGAGCCUUGAUGAGAGCAGUUAAGUCAGACUUCUUGAUGGUCUCAUCCAGGUUGGCCCUUGGCGUGGCAUAGCCUGAUGUGGAGGCAGUUGCACUUCCCACACCUAGGUUGCUUAUGCCCAUGGUGAUUGGUGUUGUUGGCUCCGCACCAUCAGCUGAGAAGUUGGCCCUUGCAUCUUGGUAUUGGGAGCGAGUCUCCCUAAACUUGCUGGGCUUAAGGUGGGGAUGGAGUAUCCAGCAUUUGUCCUUCAAGUGACCCUUCUUCUUGCAGUGGUCACAGGUCAGGCCUUUCCUCUCAUCUUGUUUGUAAGCCGCCUUGUUUGCCACUGCUUGUUCUGCUUGAUGCGCCAUGCUUAAGUCUCCCUUGCCACCAAACAAGCCAACUGAGCCUUCUUCCUUCUGGAUUUGAGCACAUACUUCAUCCAGGUCAGGUAGCUUGUCAGCUCUUAGGAUGUGCUUGAUCAAGCUCCCAUAAGAUGGGUUAAGAGUGAGCAGCAGUCCAAACACUCUGUCCUCCUCACGCCUGGUUAGAAGCGUGGCAUGGUCAGUGGUGUGUGGUCUUAGCAGUUCCAUCUCUGCCCAAAGAGACCUAAACUUGCCAAAGUGUGGUUGAAACUCCACAUCUCCUUGGUUGAGCGCAUUGAUGGCUCUCUUCACUUCAAAGACUCUUGUGAGGUUGGAGACAUUUCCAUACACUUUGUAAAGUGUAUCCCACAGCUGUUUGGUAGUCUCACAGUAAGAGUAAGACUCCAUGAUGGCGGGUUCAAGAGAGCUGAGGAGCACUGUGAGAACCAUGAGGUCUUCCUGAGCCCACUUGUCUUCAUCAGCUACCACCAUUUCCUGUCCAUCUUCUCCUUGGUUGGUUUGUUUUGGAGCCGCUUCUGCUGAGACAUGACUCCACAAACCCUUUCCUCCAAGGGCAAUUUUCACCAUCCUGGCCCAUAAGAGGUAGUUAAUCCCCUUCAGAGUCACAGGUAUGCUGAUGCGGUUGUUGUUGUUGUUGUUGUUGUUGUUCUCCAUCUUGAGGAUUCAAAGACCGGCAAGAAAAGAAACAGAGAUUUGUUUUGCGGAAGUAGAUAAGGGUUUCAAGAGCUUUGUUGCUCUGAUACCAUGAUAAAAUGAAUGAGUUAUAAGAGUGGCUUUUGUGAUUUAUCAAGAACAAAGAGAAGAGAUAGCUAGGGUUUUACUAAGAAUCCGAGAGAGAGAGAGAGAGAGAGAGAUUUCGAAAACAUAAGAGAGAAGUGAGGAAGUAUAUUUUUCCUUGAUCCAUUUGGUUCUGAUUACAUACUUUAAAUAGAUGCAACAAUGAAUAAACUAAUGGCAAGUUGACAUAGAAGAAAAGAAUAAACAAAGAGGCCUGAUCAAGGGCAGGUUGCGCACAGCCAAGGUGGAAAGCGACAGCACCAAACGGCUCUCUCUCCUUUGAACCACCUUGUCUUCUUCUUCAACGGAUCCCUUCUCUUGGCCGACAUCUUUUAAAUAUCUUAAGGCAAGUAGAAAGCGACAGCACCAAACGGCUCUCUCUCCUUUGAACCACGUUGUCUUCUUCUUCAACGGAUCCCUUCUCUUGGCCGACAUCUUUUAAAUAUCUUAAGGCAAGUAUAACAUCCUUCUUGAUCACAGAUAAGUCUCCUCUUGCCUUGCACGCCAAGUUAGAUCACACUUGUACGGACAAGCUUACUUUGAUCACUCCGGAUGUAUGUCUUGACUUGAUUUCUUCUUCCUCUAUGUCAUUCAUGCUUUCAUGUCAACACUCCCCCUCAAGCUUGACCGUGUGGGACAAGUCAAGCUUGGACACCAUGAAGCUAUUCCCUCAUUAAAACCUUAGCUAGGAAAAACCUCAUGGGAUAAAACCCUAACCAAGGAAAAAGAGUAGAACACUUCAUGGGAGGAGAGAUCAGUGACAUGGAAGAUCCGUGAGUCCAAGUUUAGGGUGGAUGAACUCACAAACCUUGCUGCUGGCUGCCUUGGUGAAUAUGUCAGCUAGUUGAUCUUCACUUCUUGUGUAGCAUGGAAGAAUCACUUGCUGCUCCACUGCUUGUCUCACCUUGUGACAGUCCACUUCUAUAUGCUUAGUCCUCUCAUGGAACACAGAGUUUGAUGCAAUGUGUAUUGCUGCCUGAUUGUCACAAUGCAUAGUCAUUGGCGUGGAGAUCUCUAUGCCCAAGUCCUUUAGCAGUCCCUUGAUCCAUAUGAGUUCACUAGUAAGCUUCCUCAUAGAUCGGUACUCUGCCUCAGCACUUGAGCAAGAGACCACCUUCUGCUUCUUGCUCUUCCAUGUGACUAGGUUUCCUCCAAUAAAGGUGCAAUAGCCUGUGGUUGAUCUCCUAUCAACUCUAUCUCCAGCCCAAUCAGCAUCACAAUACCCAACAACUUCAGUACUCUUAUUGCAAGCCAUCCACACUCCCUGACCUGGCGCCUCUCUUAAGUAUCUCAAGAUCCUUUCCACCAUGUUCCAAUGAUGUACCUUAGGAGCUUGCAUGUGUUGGCUCACCUGGUUCACAGCAAAACACACAUCCGGCCUUGUGAUAGUAAGAUAGAUAAGCUUCCCAACCAUUCUUCUAUACCUCUUGACAUCCUCAAAGGGAGUUGCAUCAAACUCCCCCUCACGCAUAACCUUGUAGCCUUCUUCUAGUGGUGUCUUGGCCACUCUUCCUCCAAGGUCUCCUGCCUCCUUUAGGAUGUCCAAAGUAUACUUCCUUUGGGACAUGAACAAUCCCUCCCUUUAUCUACACAUCUCAAUGCCAAGGAAAUAUUUCAGUUCUCCUAGGUCUUUGAUGUCAAAUGCGGUCUUGAGGAAUGUCUUAGUUGAGCUGAUCUCUUCCUUGUCACUACCAGUGAUGAUGAUGUCAUCCACAUAGACCAGAAUCACAACGAUCCCUUGCUGGCUGGUGAGAGUAAACAGUGUGUGAUCCGCUUGAGACUUCACAAAGCCUCUCCCAUUUAGUGUGGUGCUUAGCUUGUGGUACCAAGCUCUUGGUGAUUGUUUCAGGCCAUAGAUAGCCUUCCUGAGUCUGAGAACAUUCCCUGGUUUCACCAUCUCUUCCAUUCCGGGAGGUGGCCUCAUAUAUACUUCAUCCUCUAGUUCACCUUGCAAGAAUGCAUUCUUCACAUCCAUUUGCCAAAGAUCCCAUUCUAGGUUUACUGCCAAUGAGAGGAGGAUCCGGAUAGUAUGGAGCUUGGCUACUGGUGCAAAAGUGUCUAGGUAGUCUUCUCCAUAUACUUGUGUGUAACCUCUUGCCACUAGUCUGGUCUUUUUCCUUUCUGGCUUCCCAUUUGCAAGGUACUUGAUGGUAUGUAUGAGCCUGCUAGUCACGGCUUUCUUCCCUUUUGGAAGCUCUGUCUCAUACCAGGUGUUAUUCCUUUCCAUGGCCCCCAUUUCAUCAUCCACUGAGCUCCUCCAUUCAUCAUCCUCCAUAGCUUCUGCAUACGUUUUUGGUAUCCAUUCCUGGUCCAAUGAACUCACAAAGACUUGAUGUUCUUCUGGAUAUUGAGCAAGGGUGCAUACUCCACUUACUGGAUGUGCCACGGCUUGAGCAUUGUAGUAGAUUCUUGUCUUAACCCAAUCUGAAGCCGGUCUCCUGAUCCUUGUACUUCUUCUUAGGGCUGGUGUCUGCUCAGGUUCACUACCUUGAGCUUCAGUUUCUGGUUGUUCCAUCUCAUCUUGAUCAUGAGACAAUACUGAGUUUUCUUCAGGUUGAGCUUGCGCAGAUUGUUCAGGUUGAUCUUGCGCAGAUUUUUCUCCAUUGCCCCCCUCAUGAUCAUGAUGAGAGACUUCAUUAUCUCGUACCUCAGCUCCAUCAUGCUGAGGGGUAGUAUCCCGGCUCUUUUCUGGUUCCCUUGGUAAGCUGAUGCCAAGUCUUUCCAUAAGAACUUUCAGGUUGUUAGCUCUGUCCGAGGCAGAAUGAGAUAGAUCUUUGAGUUCUCCCCAACUCUUCUCAUCAUAGUAGGCCUUGGAUUCCAUGAACUUAACAUCUCUGGAUACUAGGACUCUCCUUGUUUCUGGUACGUAGCAUUUGUACCCUUUCUGAUGUGUGGAGUACCCAAUAAACAUGGCCUUUGUGCUCUUUGCUUCUAGCUUGUUCCUUAGUUCUCCUGGAAUCAAAACAAAACACACACACCCAAACACACGCAAAUGGUCAAUGGAUGAUCUAGAUUUGUUUAGUACCUCAUAGGGAGUGGCAUCAAGGAGGACUCUUGUAGGUGUGCGGUUGAUUAGAUAGGUGGCCGUGACCACUGCAUCUCCCCAAAAACGUUUAGGUACAUUGGCAUGGAACAUCAUACUCCUCGCCACUUCCAUCAAGUGUCUAUUCUUUCUCUCAGCAACUCCAUUUUGUUGAGGUGUAUAAGGGCAGCUAGUUUGUUGAAUGAUUCCAUGUGAGGCUAGGUGUUGUUUGAAGGCUGUGCUAGUAUACUCACCACCAUUAUCUGAUCUAAGAAUUUUGAUCUUAACAUUGAAAUGGUUAGUUAUAUAGCUCUGAAAGUUUUUAAAAGCUUCUAGCACUCUAUCCUUAGAUUGCAACAAGGUGAUCCAUGUGUAUUUAGAUUUUUCAUCAAUGAAUGUCACAAAAUAUUUAUGUUGCUCUCUAGAUGCACAUGGGGCAGUCCAUACGUCAGAAUGUAUGAGAUCAAAGCAAUUAUCAUAUUGAGUCUUUGAUUUAGGAAACACAGUUCUACAAUGUUUUCCUAAGAUACAAGCCUCACAAUCACUUUUAAAAGAAAUGCUAGGUAACAGGAUGUUCAAGGCAUGAGAAUGAGGAUGUCCUAGUCUAGCAUGCCAUAUUACAUCUUUAGGGAAUUCAGAAACAGAAUGAAAAGCAGGAAAUAAAUCAGUUGCGGAUCUUGUGUCCUCAAGCAAGUACAAGUCUCCCUUGGUAACACCUUUGCCAAGCAACUUACUAGAAUCAAUAUCCUGAAAGUACACACUGUUAGGCGUGAAUGUAACUUGACAAUUGAGAUCAUUAGUUACUUUCUUAACAGAUAAUAGAUUUGAAGCAAAGGUGGGCAUAUAGAAAGCCUUAGUUUCUUUAUCAAACAGUUUAAGGUUACCUACACCUUUUAUUGGGAUUUUAUCUCCAUUUGCUAUCAUCACAUUUCCUAAGGCCGGUUCUAUGUUUUUAAUCAGUUCUAAGUCACUUAUCAUGUGAUGAGAAGCACCAGAAUCUAUAACUAAGGGCUUAGCCGAUUUAAAAACUCUUGUAGUGUCAUUAGCAGUAUGUGAAGCAUUAAGAGAAACACCAAGGUUUUUAGAUAUACCAGAUUCUUUUAGAGCUUUGAUGAGAGCAGUUAAGUCAGACUUCUUGAUGGUCUCAUCCAGGUUGGCCCUUGGCGUGGCAUAGCCUGAUGUGGAGGCAGUUGCACUUCCCACACCUAGGUUGCUUAUGCCCAUGGUGAUUGGUGUUGUUGGCUCCGCACCAUCAGCUGAGAAGUUGGCCCUUGCAUCUUGGUAUUGGGAGCGAGUCUCCCUAAACUUGCUGGGCUUAAGGUGGGGAUGGAGUAUCCAGCAUUUGUCCUUCAAGUGACCCUUCUUCUUGCAGUGGUCACAGGUCAGGCCUUUCCUCUCAUCUUGUUUGUAAGCCGCCUUGUUUGCCACUGCUUGUUCUGCUUGAUGCGCCAUGCUUAAGUCUCCCUUGCCACCAAACAAGCCCACUGAGCCUUCUUCCUUCUGGAUUUGAGCACAUACUUCAUCCAGGUCAGGUAGCUUGUCAGCUCUUAGGAUGUGCUUGAUCAAGCUCCCAUAAGAUGGGUUAAGAGUGAGCAGCAGUCCAAACACUCUGUCCUCCUCACGCCUGGUUAGAAGCGUGGCAUGGUCAGUGGUGUGUGGUCUUAGCAGUUCCAUCUCUGCCCAAAGAGACCUAAACUUGCCAAAGUGUGGUUGAAACUCCACAUCUCCUUGGUUGAGCGCAUUGAUGGCUCUCUUCACUUCAAAGACUCUUGUGAGGUUGGAGACAUUUCCAUACACUUUGUAAAGUGUAUCCCACAGCUGUUUGGUAGUCUCACAUUGUGACAUUUAUUGAUGAGAAGUCUAAGUAUACUUGGCUUACAUUGCUUCCAUCUAAAGAUAGGGUGUUAGAAGCAUUUAUGAACUUCCUGUUAAGAUGAGGAGAGUUAAGUGAAGAAGGGAGAUGAGGCUUGAGUAGAAUGAGGAUAAGGAAGGCUAGGAAGGGUUGGGAGCUUUGAGAUCAACCAGUCCGUACAAGGCCGUACAAGGCCGUACAUGACCGUACAAGAUGGGAUCGACCAAAGCUCAACCAAACCUUUACCUUGUGUUACCCGAGUUACUUAGGUAAAGAGGAGAAGUUACCUUAGCCUUUGUGGGAUGGAUCAGACCGUUGGAAAGGAUAAGGGCGAGUCUUGGACAGGCUGUCACAGCUGGAAAGUGAAAGCAAAAGGAAGCAGCCAGCUAAAGAUGCUUCACACGGAUUGAUCACCUUAUUGGAUGGUUUUGAAUUAAGCCUUGACUCCACAUGCUUAUCUUAUCCUCUUGUUUACGAAAACCCUAAUCUCUCUCUUCAUAUAUAUGUGUAAACUCUCUCAUUAAUACAAUUAAGAAAGUUAUGAGUCUCUCUUAGUCUCUUUGUCUCUCAAUGGUUCUAUACUAGACUCUUAAUCUCAUUUUAUACUCAAAUCUCUUCUAAAUCACUUCUAGUCUUUCUUAUUCACUCAGAUUACUCUACUCAAUCCUAAAAGUGAUAUACUUCACUUUCUUCUUCAGACUUCUCAUGAUCAGAACCAAACUUUAUGAGAUUUAAGAGUACUCAGGUUGUAUGUGUGUAUGACACUAGGAGCUUGCAUGUGUUGGCUCACCUGGUUCACAGCAAAACACACAUCCGGCCUUGUGAUAGUAAGAUAGAUAAGCUUCCCAACCAUUCUUCUAUACCUCUUGACAUCCUCAAAGGGAGUUGCAUCAAACUCCCCCUCACGCAUAACCUUGUAGCCUUCUUCUAGUGGUGUCUUGGCCACUCUUCCUCCAAGGUCUCCUGCCUCCUUUAGGAUGUCCAAAGUAUACUUCCUUUGGGACAUGAACAAUCCCUCCCUUUAUCUACACAUCUCAAUGCCAAGGAAAUAUUUCAGUUCUCCUAGGUCUUUGAUGUCAAAUGCGGUCUUGAGGAAUGUCUUAGUUGAGCUGAUCUCUUCCUUGUCACUACCAGUGAUGAUGAUGUCAUCCACAUAGACCAGAAUCACAACGAUCCCUUGCUGGCUGGUGAGAGUAAACAGUGUGUGAUCCGCUUGAGACUUCACAAAGCCUCUCCCAUUUAGUGUGGUGCUUAGCUUGUGGUACCAAGCUCUUGGUGAUUGUUUCAGGCCAUAGAUAGCCUUCCUGAGUCUGAGAACAUUCCCUGGUUUCACCAUCUCUUCCAUUCCGGGAGGUGGCCUCAUAUAUACUUCAUCCUCUAGUUCACCUUGCAAGAAUGCAUUCUUCACAUCCAUUUGCCAAAGAUCCCAUUCUAGGUUUACUGCCAAUGAGAGGAGGAUCCGGAUAGUAUGGAGCUUGGCUACUGGUGCAAAAGUGUCUAGGUAGUCUUCUCCAUAUACUUGUGUGUAACCUCUUGCCACUAGUCUGGUCUUUUUCCUUUCUGGCUUCCCAUUUGCAAGGUACUUGAUGGUAUGUAUGAGCCUGCUAGUCACGGCUUUCUUCCCUUUUGGAAGCUCUGUCUCAUACCAGGUGUUAUUCCUUUCCAUGGCCCCCAUUUCAUCAUCCACUGAGCUCCUCCAUUCAUCAUCCUCCAUAGCUUCUGCAUACGUUUUUGGUAUCCAUUCCUGGUCCAAUGAACUCACAAAGACUUGAUGUUCUUCUGGAUAUUGAGCAAGGGUGCAUACUCCACUUACUGGAUGUGCCACGGCUUGAGCAUUGUAGUAGAUUCUUGUCUUAACCCAAUCUGAAGCCGGUCUCCUGAUCCUUGUACUUCUUCUUAGGGCUGGUGUCUGCUCAGGUUCACUACCUUGAGCUUCAGUUUCUGGUUGUUCCAUCUCAUCUUGAUCAUGAGACAAUACUGAGUUUUCUUCAGGUUGAGCUUGCGCAGAUUGUUCAGGUUGAUCUUGCGCAGAUUUUUCUCCAUUGCCCCCCUCAUGAUCAUGAUGAGAGACUUCAUUAUCUCGUACCUCAGCUCCAUCAUGCUGAGGGGUAGUAUCCCGGCUCUUUUCUGGUUCCCUUGGUAAGCUGAUGCCAAGUCUUUCCAUAAGAACUUUCAGGUUGUUAGCUCUGUCCGAGGCAGAAUGAGAUAGAUCUUUGAGUUCUCCCCAACUCUUCUCAUCAUAGUAGGCCUUGGAUUCCAUGAACUUAACAUCUCUGGAUACUAGGACUCUCCUUGUUUCUGGUACGUAGCAUUUGUACCCUUUCUGAUGUGUGGAGUACCCAAUAAACAUGGCCUUUGUGCUCUUUGCUUCUAGCUUGUUCCUUAGUUCUCCUGGAAUCAAAACAAAACACACACACCCAAACACACGCAAAUGGUCAAUGGAUGAUCUAGAUUUGUUUAGUACCUCAUAGGGAGUGGCAUCAAGGAGGACUCUUGUAGGUGUGCGGUUGAUUAGAUAGGUGGCCGUGACCACUGCAUCUCCCCAAAAACGUUUAGGUACAUUGGCAUGGAACAUCAUACUCCUCGCCACUUCCAUCAAGUGUCUAUUCUUUCUCUCAGCAACUCCAUUUUGUUGAGGUGUAUAAGGGCAGCUAGUUUGUUGAAUGAUUCCAUGUGAGGCUAGGUGUUGUUUGAAGGCUGUGCUAGUAUACUCACCACCAUUAUCUGAUCUAAGAAUUUUGAUCUUAACAUUGAAAUGGUUAGUUAUAUAGCUCUGAAAGUUUUUAAAAGCUUCUAGCACUCUAUCCUUAGAUUGCAACAAGGUGAUCCAUGUGUAUUUAGAUUUUUCAUCAAUGAAUGUCACAAAAUAUUUAUGUUGCUCUCUAGAUGCACAUGGGGCAGUCCAUACGUCAGAAUGUAUGAGAUCAAAGCAAUUAUCAUAUUGAGUCUUUGAUUUAGGAAACACAGUUCUACAAUGUUUUCCUAAGAUACAAGCCUCACAAUCACUUUUAAAAGAAAUGCUAGGUAACAGGAUGUUCAAGGCAUGAGAAUGAGGAUGUCCUAGUCUAGCAUGCCAUAUUACAUCUUUAGGGAAUUCAGAAACAGAAUGAAAAGCAGGAAAUAAAUCAGUUGCGGAUCUUGUGUCCUCAAGCAAGUACAAGUCUCCCUUGGUAACACCUUUGCCAAGCAACUUACUAGAAUCAAUAUCCUGAAAGUACACACUGUUAGGCGUGAAUGUAACUUGACAAUUGAGAUCAUUAGUUACUUUCUUAACAGAUAAUAGAUUUGAAGCAAAGGUGGGCAUAUAGAAAGCCUUAGUUUCUUUAUCAAACAGUUUAAGGUUACCUACACCUUUUAUUGGGAUUUUAUCUCCAUUUGCUAUCAUCACAUUUCCUAAGGCCGGUUCUAUGUUUUUAAUCAGUUCUAAGUCACUUAUCAUGUGAUGAGAAGCACCAGAAUCUAUAACUAAGGGCUUAGCCGAUUUAAAAACUCUUGUAGUGUCAUUAGCAGUAUGUGAAGCAUUAAGAGAAACACCAAGGUUUUUAGAUAUACCAGAUUCUUUUAGAGCUUUGAUGAGAGCAGUUAAGUCAGACUUCUUGAUGGUCUCAUCCAGGUUGGCCCUUGGCGUGGCAUAGCCUGAUGUGGAGGCAGUUGCACUUCCCACACCUAGGUUGCUUAUGCCCAUGGUGAUUGGUGUUGUUGGCUCCGCACCAUCAGCUGAGAAGUUGGCCCUUGCAUCUUGGUAUUGGGAGCGAGUCUCCCUAAACUUGCUGGGCUUAAGGUGGGGAUGGAGUAUCCAGCAUUUGUCCUUCAAGUGACCCUUCUUCUUGCAGUGGUCACAGGUCAGGCCUUUCCUCUCAUCUUGUUUGUAAGCCGCCUUGUUUGCCACUGCUUGUUCUGCUUGAUGCGCCAUGCUUAAGUCUCCCUUGCCACCAAACAAGCCCACUGAGCCUUCUUCCUUCUGGAUUUGAGCACAUACUUCAUCCAGGUCAGGUAGCUUGUCAGCUCUUAGGAUGUGCUUGAUCAAGCUCCCAUAAGAUGGGUUAAGAGUGAGCAGCAGUCCAAACACUCUGUCCUCCUCACGCCUGGUUAGAAGCGUGGCAUGGUCAGUGGUGUGUGGUCUUAGCAGUUCCAUCUCUGCCCAAAGAGACCUAAACUUGCCAAAGUGUGGUUGAAACUCCACAUCUCCUUGGUUGAGCGCAUUGAUGGCUCUCUUCACUUCAAAGACUCUUGUGAGGUUGGAGACAUUUCCAUACACUUUGUAAAGUGUAUCCCACAGCUGUUUGGUAGUCUCACAGUAAGAGUAAGACUCCAUGAUGGCGGGUUCAAGAGAGCUGAGGAGCACUGUGAGAACCAUGAGGUCUUCCUGAGCCCACUUGUCUUCAUCAGCUACCACCAUUUCCUGUCCAUCUUCUCCUUGGUUGGUUUGUUUUGGAGCCGCUUCUGCUGAGACAUGACUCCACAAACCCUUUCCUCCAAGGGCAAUUUUCACCAUCCUGGCCCAUAAGAGGUAGUUAAUCCCCUUCAGAGUCACAGGUAUGCUGAUGCGGUUGUUGUUGUUGUUGUUGUUGUUGUUCUCCAUCUUGAGGAUUCAAAGACCGGCAAGAAAAGAACCAGAGAUUUGUUUUGCGGAAGUAGAUAAGGGUUUCAAGAGCUUUGUUGCUCUGAUACCAUGAUAAAAUGAAUGAGUUAUAAGAGUGGCUUGUGUGAUUUAUCAAGAACAAAGAGAAGAGAUAGCUAGGGUUUUACUAAGAAUCCGAGAGAGAGAGAGAGAGAGAGAGAGAGAGAGAGUGAGAUUUCGAAAACAUAAGAGAGAAGUGAGGAAGUAUAUUUUCCUUGAUCCAUUUGGUUCUGAUUACAUACUUUAAAUAGAUGCAACAAUGAAUAAACUAAUGGCAAGUUGACAUAGAAGAAAAGAAUAAACAAAGAGGCCUGAUCAAGGGCAGGUUGCGCACAGCCAAGGUGGAAAGCGACAGCACCAAACGGCUCUCUCUCCUUUGAACCACCUUGUCUUCUUCUUCAACGGAUCCCUUCUCUUGGCCGACAUCUUUUAAAUAUCUUAAGGCAAGUAUAACAUCCUUCUUGAUCACAGAUAAGUCUCCUCUUGCCUUGCACGCCAAGUUAGAUCACACUUGUACGGACAAGCUUACUUUGAUCACUCCGGAUGUAUGUCUUGACUUGAUUUCUUCUUCCUCUAUGUCAUUCAUGCUUUCAUGUCAACACUCCCCCUCAAGCUUGACCGUGUGGGACAAGUCAAGCUUGGACACCAUGAAGCUAUUCCCUCAUUAAAACCUUAGCUAGGAAAAACCUCAUGGGAUAAAACCCUAACCAAGGAAAAAGAGUAGAACACUUCAUGGGAGGAGAGAUCAGUGACAUGGAAGAUCCGUGAGUCCAAGUUUAGGGUGGAUGAACUCACAAACCUUGCUGCUGGCUGCCUUGGUGAAUAUGUCAGCUAGUUGAUCUUCACUUCUUGUGUAGCAUGGAAGAAUCACUUGCUGCUCCACUGCUUGUCUCACCUUGUGACAGUCCACUUCUAUAUGCUUAGUCCUCUCAUGGAACACAGAGUUUGAUGCAAUGUGUAUUGCUGCCUGAUUGUCACAAUGCAUAGUCAUUGGCGUGGAGAUCUCUAUGCCCAAGUCCUUUAGCAGUCCUUUGAUCCAUAUGAGUUCACUAGUAAGCUUCCUCAUAGAUCGGUACUCUGCCUCAGCACUUGAGCAAGAGACCACCUUCUGCUUCUUGCUCUUCCAUGUGACUAGGUUUCCUCCAAUAAAGGUGCAAUAGCCUGUGGUUGAUCUCCUAUCAACUCUAUCUCCAGCCCAAUCAGCAUCACAAUACCCAACAACUUCAGUACUCUUAUUGCAAGCCAUCCACACUCCCUGACCUGGCGCCUCUCUUAAGUAUCUCAAGAUCCUUUCCACCAUGUUCCAAUGAUGUACCUUAGGAGCUUGCAUGUGUUGGCUCACCUGGUUCACAGCAAAACACACAUCCGGCCUUGUGAUAGUAAGAUAGAUAAGCUUCCCAACCAUUCUUCUAUACCUCUUGACAUCCUCAAAGGGAGUUGCAUCAAACUCCCCCUCACGCAUAACCUUGUAGCCUUCUUCUAGUGGUGUCUUGGCCACUCUUCCUCCAAGGUCUCCUGCCUCCUUUAGGAUGUCCAAAGUAUACUUCCUUUGGGACAUGAACAAUCCCUCCCUUGAUCUACACAUCUCAAUGCCAAGGAAAUAUUUCAGUUCUCCUAGGUCUUUGAUGUCAAAUGCGGUCUUGAGGAAUGUCUUAGUUGAGCUGAUCUCUUCCUUGUCACUACCAGUGAUGAUGAUGUCAUCCACAUAGACCAGAAUCACAACGAUCCCUUGCUGGCUGGUGAGAGUAAACAGUGUGUGAUCCGCUUGAGACUUCACAAAGCCUCUCCCAUUUAGUGUGGUGCUUAGCUUGUGGUACCAAGCUCUUGGUGAUUGUUUCAGGCCAUAGAUAGCCUUCCUGAGUCUGAGAACAUUCCCUGGUUUCACCAUCUCUUCCAUUCCGGGAGGUGGCCUCAUAUAUACUUCAUCCUCUAGUUCACCUUGCAAGAAUGCAUUCUUCACAUCCAUUUGCCAAAGAUCCCAUUCUAGGUUCACUGCCAAUGAGAGGAGGAUCCGGAUAGUAUGGAGCUUGGCUACUGGUGCAAAAGUGUCUAGGUAGUCUUCUCCAUAUACUUGUGUGUAACCUCUUGCCACUAGUCUGGUCUUUUUCCUUUCUGGCUUCCCAUUUGCAAGGUACUUGAUGGUAUGUAUGAGCCUGCUAGUCACGGCUUUCUUCCCUUUUGGAAGCUCUGUCUCAUACCAGGUGUUAUUCCUUUCCAUGGCCCCCAUUUCAUCAUCCACUGAGCUCCUCCAUUCAUCAUCCUCCAUAGCUUCUGCAUACGUUUUUGGUAUCCAUUCCUGGUCCAAUGAACUCACAAAGGCUUGAUGUUCUUCUGGAUAUUGAGCAAGGGUGCAUACUCCACUUACUGGAUGUGCCACGGCUUGAGCAUUGUAGUAGAUUCUUGUCUUAACCCAAUCUGAAGUCGGUCUCCUGAUCCUUGUACUUCUUCUUAGGGCUGGUGUCUGCUCAGGUUCACUACCUUGAGCUUCAGUUUCUGGUUGUUCCAUCUCAUCUUGAUCAUGAGACAAUACUGAGUUUUCUUCAGGUUGAGCUUGCGCAGAUUGUUCAGGUUGAUCUUGCGCAGAUUUUUCUCCAUUGCCCCCCUCAUGAUCAUGAUGAGAGACUUCAUUAUCUCGUACCUCAGCUCCAUCAUGCUGAGGGGUAGUAUCCCGGCUCUUUUCUGGUUCCCUUGGUAAGCUGAUGCCAAGUCUUUCCAUAAGAACUUUCAGGUUGUUAGCUCUGUCCGAGGCAGAAUGAGAUAGAUCUUUGAGUUCUCCCCAACUCUUCUCAUCAUAGUAGGCCUUGGAUUCCAUGAAAUUAACAUCUCUGGAUACUAGGACUCUCCUUGUUUCUGGUACGUAGCAUUUGUACCCUUUCUGAUGUGUGGAGUACCCAAUAAACAUAGCCUUUGUGCUCUUUGCUUCUAGCUUGUUCCUUAAUUCUCCUGGAAUCAAAACAAAACACACACACCCAAACACACGCAAAUGGUCAAUGGAUGAUCUAGAUUUGUUUAGUACCUCAUAGGGAGUGGCAUCAAGGAGGACUCUUGUAGGUGUGCGGUUGAUUAGAUAGGUGGCCGUGACCACUGCAUCUCCCCAAAAACGUUUAGGUACAUUGGCAUGGAACAUCAUACUCCUCGCCACUUCCAUCAAGUGUCUAUUCUUUCUCUCAGCAACUCCAUUUUGUUGAGGUGUAUAAGGGCAGCUAGUUUGUUGAAUGAUUCCAUGUGAGGCUAGGUGUUGUUUGAAGGCUGUGCUAGUAUACUCACCACCAUUAUCUGAUCUAAGAAUUUUGAUCUUAACAUUGAAAUGGUUAGUUAUAUAGCUCUGAAAGUUUUUAAAAGCUUCUAGCACUCUAUCCUUAGAUUGCAACAAGGUGAUCCAUGUGUAUUUAGAUUUUUCAUCAAUGAAUGUCACAAAAUAUUUAUGUUGCUCUCUAGAUGCACAUGGGGCAGUCCAUACGUCAGAAUGUAUGAGAUCAAAGCAAUUAUCAUAUUGAGUCUUUGAUUUAGGAAACACAGUUCUACAAUGUUUUCCUAAGAUACAAGCCUCACAAUCACUUUUAAAAGAAAUGCUAGGUAACAGGAUGUUCAAGGCAUGAGAAUGAGGAUGUCCUAGUCUAGCAUGCCAUAUUACAUCUUUAGGGAAUUCAGAAACAGAAUGAAACGCAGGAAAUAAAUCAGUUGUGGAUCUUGUGUCCUCAAGCAAGUACAAGUCUCCCUUGGUAACACCUUUGCCAAGCAACUUACUAGAAUCAAUAUCCUGAAAGUACACACUGUUAGGCGUGAAUGUAACUUGACAAUUGAGAUCAUUAGUUACUUUCUUAACAGAUAAUAGAUUUGAAGCAAAGGUGGGCAUAUAGAAAGCCUUAGUUUCUUUAUCAAACAGUUUAAGGUUACCUACACCUUUUAUUGGGAUUUUAUCUCCAUUUGCUAUCAUCACAUUUCCUAAGGCCGGUUCUAUGUUUUUAAUCAGUUCUAAGUCACUUAUCAUGUGAUGAGAAGCACCAGAAUCUAUAACUAAGGGCUUAGCCGAUUUAAAAACUCUUAUAGUGUCAUUAGCAGUAUGUGAAGCAUUAAGAGAAACACCAAGGUUUUUAGAUAUACCAGAUUCUUUUAGAGCCUUGAUGAGAGCAGUUAAGUCAGACUUCUUGAUGGUCUCAUCCAGGUUGACCCUUGGCGUGGCAUAGCCUGAUGUGGAGGCAGUUGCACUUCCCACACCUAGGUUGCUUAUGCCCAUGGUGAUUGGUGUUGUUGGCUCCGCACCAUCAGCUGAGAAGUUGGCCCUUGCAUCUUGGUAUUGGGAGCGAGUCUCCCUAAACUUGCUGGGCUUAAGGUGGGGAUGGAGUAUCCAGCAUUUGUCCUUCAAGUGACCCUUCUUCUUGCAGUGGUCACAGGUCAGGCCUUUCCUCUCAUCUUGUUUGUAAGCCGCCUUGUUUGCCACUGCUUGUUCUGCUUGAUGCGCCAUGCUUAAGUCUCCCUUGCCACCAAACAAGCCAACUGAGCCUUCUUCCUUCUGGAUUUGAGCACAUACUUCAUCCAGAUCAGGUAGCUUGUCAGCUCUUAGGAUGUGCUUGAUCAAGCUCCCAUAAGAUGGGUUAAGAGUGAGCAGCAGUCCAAACACUCUGUCCUCCUCACGCCUGGUUAGAAGCGUGGCAUGGUCAGUGGUGUGUGGUCUUAGCAGUUCCAUCUCUGCCCAAAGAGACCUAAACUUGCCAAAGUGUGGUUGAAACUCCACAUCUCCUUGGUUGAGCGCAUUGAUGGCUCUCUUCACUUCAAAGACUCUUGUGAGGUUGGAGACAUUUCCAUACACUUUGUAAAGUGUACUUUCCACCUUUGCUGUGCGCACCCUGCCCUUGAUCAGUCCUCUUUGUUUAUUCUUUUCUUCUAUGUCAACUUGCCAUUAGUUUAUUCAUUGUUGUAUCUAUUUAAAGUAUGUAACCAGAACCAAAUGGAUCAAGGAAGUAAACUUCCUCACUUCUCUCUUAUGUUUUCGAAAUCUCUCUCUCUCUCUCUCUCUCUCUCUCUGUUGUAUCUAUUUAAAGUAUGUAACCAGAACCAAAUGGAUCAAGGAAAUAAACUUCCUCACUUCUCUCUUAUGUUUUCGAAAUCUCUCUCUUUCUCUCUCUCUCUCUCGGAUUCUUAGUAAAACCCUAGCUAUCUCUUCUCUUUGUUCUUGAUAAAUCACACAAGCCACUCUUAUAACUCAUUCAUUUUAUCAUGGUAUCAGAGCAUCAAAGCUCUUGAAACCUUUAUCUACUUCCGCAAAACAAAUCUCUGUUUCUUUUCUUGCCGUUCUUUGAAUCCUCAAGAUGGAGAACAACAACAACAACAACAACAACAACCGCAUCAGCAUACCUGUGACUCUGAAGGGGAUUAACUACCUCUUAUGGGCCAGGAUGGUGAAAAUUGCACUUGGAGGAAAGGGUUUGUGGAGUCAUGUCUCAGCAGAAGCGGCUCCAAAACAAACCAACCAAGGAGAAGAUGGACAGGAGAUGGUGGUAGCUGAUGAAGACAAGUGGGCUCAGGAAGACCUCAUGGUUCUCACAGUGCUCCUCAGCUCUCUUGAACCCGCCAUCAUGGAGUCUUACUCUUACUGUGAGACUACCAAACAGCUGUGGGAUACACUUUACAAAGUGUAUGGAAAUGUCUCCAACCUCACAAGAGUCUUUGAAGUGAAGAGAGCCAUCAAUGCGCUCAACCAAGGAGAUGUGGAGUUUCAACCACACUUUGGCAAGUUUAGGUCUCUUUGGGCAGAGAUGGAACUGCUAAGACCACACACCACUGACCAUGCCACGCUUCUAACCAGGCGUGAGGAGGACAGAGUGUUUGGACUGCUGCUCACUCUUAACCCAUCUUAUGGGAGCUUGAUCAAGCACAUCCUAAGAGCUGACAAGCUACCUGACCUGGAUGAAGUAUGUGCUCAAAUCCAGAAGGAAGAAGGCUCAGUGGGCUUGUUUGGUGGCAAGGGAGACUUAAGCAUGGCGCAUCAAGCAGAACAAGCAGUGGCAAACAAGGCGGCUUACAAACAAGAUGAGAGGAAGGCCUGACCUGUGACCACUGCAAGAAGAAGGGUCACUUGAAGGACAAAUGCUGGAUACUCCAUCCCCACCUUAAGCCCAGCAAGUUUAGGGAGACUCGCUCUCAAUACCAAGAUGCAAGGGCCAACUUCUCAGCUGAUGGUGCUGAGCCAACAACACCAAUCACCAUGGGCAUAAGCAACCUAGGUGUGGGAAGUGCAACUGCCUCCACAUCAGGCUAUGCCACGCCAAGGGCCAACCUGGAUGAGACCAUCAAGAAGUCUGACUUAACUGCACUCAUCAAGGCUCUAAAAGAAUCUGGUAUAUCUAAAAACCUUGGUGUUUCUCUUAAUGCUUCACAUACUGCUAAUGACACUAUAAGAGUUUUUAAAUCGGCUAAGCCCUUAGUUAUAGAUUCUGGUGCUUCUCAUCACAUGAUAAGUGACUUAGAACUGAUUAAAAACAUAGAACCGGCCUUAGGAAAUGUGAUGAUAGCAAAUGGAGAUAAAAUCCCAAUAAAAGGUGUAGGUAAUCUUAAACUGUUUGAUAAAGAAACUAAGGCUUUCUAUAUGCCCACCUUUGCUUCAAAUCUAUUAUCUGUUAAGAAAGUAACUAAUGAUCUCAAUUGUCAAGUUACAUUCACGCCUAACAGUGUGUACUUUCAGGAUAUUGAUUCUAGUAAGUUGCUUGGCAAAGGUGUUACCAAGGGAGACUUGUACUUGCUUGAGGACACAAGAUCCGCAACUGAUUUAUUUCCUGCCUUUCAUUCUGUUUCUGAAUUCCCUAAAGAUGUAAUAUGGCAUGCUAGACUAGGACAUCCUCAUUCUCAUGCCUUGAACAUCCUGUUACCUAGCAUUUCUUUUAAAAGUGAUUGUGAGGCUUGUAUCUUAGGAAAACAUUGUAGAACUGUGUUUCCUAAAUCAAAGACUCAAUAUGAUAAUUGCUUUGAUCUCAUACAUUCUGACGUAUGGACUGCCCCAUGUGCAUCUAGAGAGCAACAUAAAUACUUUGUGACAUUCAUUGAUGAAAAAUCUAAAUACACAUGGAUCACCUUGUUGCAAUCUAAGGAUAGAGUGCUAGAAGCUUUUAAAAACUUUCAGAGCUAUAUAACUAACCAUUUCAAUGUUAAGAUCAAAAUUCUUAGAUCAGAUAAUGGUGGUGAGUAUACUAGCACAGCCUUCAAACAACACCUAGCCUCACAUGGAAUCAUUCAACAAACUAGCUGCCCUUAUACACCUCAACAAAAUGGAGUUGCUGAGAGAAAGAAUAGACACUUGAUGGAAGUGGCGAGGAGUAUGAUGUUCCAUGCCAAUGUACCUAAACGUUUUUGGGGAGAUGCAGUGGUCACGGCCACCUAUCUAAUCAACCGCACACCUACAAGAGUCCUCCUUGAUGCCACUCCCUAUGAGGUACUAAACAAAUCUAGAUCAUCCAUUGACCAUUUGCGUGUGUUUGGGUGUGUGUGUUUUGUUUUGAUUCCAGGAGAACUAAGGAACAAGCUAGAAGCAAAGAGCACAAAGGCCAUGUUUAUUGGGUACUCCACACAUCAGAAAGGGUACAAAUGCUACGUACCAGAAACAAGGAGAGUCCUAGUAUCCAGAGAUGUUAAGUUCAUGGAAUCCAAGGCCUACUAUGAUGAGAAGAGUUGGGGAGAACUCAAAGAUCUGUCUCAUUCUGCCUCGGACAGAGCUAACAACCUGAAAGUUCUUAUGGAAAGACUUGGCAUCAGCUUACCAAGGGAACCAGAAAAGAGCCGGGAUACUACCCCUCAGCAUGAUGGAGCUGAGGUACGAGAUAAUGAAGUCUCUCAUCAUGAUCAUGAGGGGGGCAAUGGAGAAAAAUCUGCGCAAGAUCAACCUGAACAAUCUGCGCAAGCUCAACCUGAAGAAAACUCAGUAUUGUCUCAUGAUCAAGAUGAGAUGGAACAACCAGAAACUGAAGCUCAAGGUAGUGAACCUGAGCAGACACCAGCCCUAAGAAGAAGUACAAGGAUCAGGAGACCGGCUUCAGAUUGGGUUAAGACAAGAAUCUACUACAAUGCUCAAGCCGUGGCACAUCCAGUAAGUGGAGUAUGCACCCUUGCUCAAUAUCCAGAAGAACAUCAAGUCUUUGUGAGUUCAUUGGACCAGGAAUGGAUACCAAAAACGUAUGCAGAAGCUAUGGAGGAUGAUGAAUGGAGGAGCUCAGUGGAUGAUGAAAUGGGGGCCAUGGAAAGGAAUAACACCUGGUAUGAGACAGAGCUUCCAAAAGGGAAGAAAGCCGUGACUAGCAGGCUCAUACAUACCAUCAAGUACCUUGCAAAUGGGAAGCCAGAAAGGAAAAAGACCAGACUAGUGGCAAGAGGUUACACACAAGUAUAUGGAGAAGACUACCUAGACACUUUUGCACCAGUAGCCAAGCUCCAUACUAUCCGGAUCCUCCUCUCAUUGGCAGUGAACCUAGAAUGGGAUCUUUGGCAAAUGGAUGUGAAGAAUGCAUUCUUGCAAGGUGAACUAGAGGAUGAAGUAUAUAUGAGGCCACCUCCCGGAAUGGAAGAGAUGGUGAAACCAGGGAAUGUUCUCAGACUCAGGAAGGCUAUCUAUGGCCUGAAACAAUCACCAAGAGCUUGGUACCACAAGCUAAGCACCACACUAAAUGGGAGAGGCUUUGUGAAGUCUCAAGCGGAUCACACACUGUUUACUCUCACCAGCCAGCAAGGGAUUGUUGUGAUUCUGGUCUAUGUGGAUGACAUCAUCAUCACUGGUAGUGACAAGGAAGAGAUCAGCUCAACUAAGACAUUCCUCAAGACCGCAUUUGACAUCAAAGACCUAGGAGAACUGAAAUAUUUCCUUGGCAUUGAGAUGUGUAGAUCAAGGGAGGGAUUGUUCAUGUCCCAAAGGAAGUAUACUUUGGACAUCCUAAAGGAGGCAGGAGACCUUGGAAGAAGAGUGGCCAAGACACCACUAGAAGAAGGCUACAAGGUUAUGCGUGAGGGGGAGUUUGAUGCAACUCCCUUUGAGGAUGUCAAGAGGUAUAGAAGAAUGGUUGGGAAACUUAUCUAUCUUACUAUCACAAGGCCGGAUGUGUGUUUUGCUGUGAACCAGGUGAGCCAACACAUGCAAGCUCCUAAGGUACAUCAUUGGAACAUGGUGGAAAGGAUCUUGAGAUACUUAAGAGAGGCGCCAGGUCAGGGAGUGUGGAUGGCUUGCAAUAAGAGUACUGAAGUUGUUGGGUAUUGUGAUGCUGAUUGGGCUGGAGAUAGAGUUGAUAGGAGAUCAACCACAGGCUAUUGCACCUUUAUUGGAGGAAACCUAGUCACAUGGAAGAGCAAGAAGCAGAAGGUGGUCUCUUGCUCAAGUGCUGAGGCAGAGUACCGAUCUAUGAGGAAGCUUACUAGUGAACUCAUAUGGAUCAAGGGACUGCUAAAGGACUUGGGCAUAGAGAUCUCCACGCCAAUGACUAUGCAUUGUGACAAUCAGGCAGCAAUACACAUUGCAUCAAACUCUGUGUUCCAUGAGAGGACUAAGCAUAUAGAAGUGGACUGUCACAAGGUGAGACAAGCAGUGGAGCAGCAAGUGAUUCUUCCAUGCUACACAAGAAGUGAAGAUCAACUAGCUGACAUAUUCACCAAGGCAGCCAGCAGCAAGGUUUGUGAGUUCAUCCACCCUAAACUUGGACUCACGGAUCUUCCAUGUCACUGAUCUCUCCUCCCAUGAAGUGUUCUACUCUUUUUCCUUGGUUAGGGUUUUAUCCCAUGAGGUUUUUUUCCUAGCUAAGGUUUUAAUGAGGGAAUAGCUUCAAUAACACAACACUUAGACUAAAACAUAAUAUAAGAUAGAUGAUGAAGUCGGUCCAAGAUGCCUGUUGACAUGAAAGCAUGAAUGACAUAGAGGAAGAAGAAAUCAAGUCAAGACAUACAUCCGGAGUGAUCAAAGUAAGCUUGUCCGUACAAGUGUGAUCUAACUUGGCGUGCAAGGCAAGAGGAGACUUAUCUGUGAUCAAGAAGGAUGUUAUACUUGCCUUAAGAUAUUUAAAAGAUGUCGGCCAAGAGAAGGGAUCCGUUGAAGAAGAAGACAAGGUGGUUCAAAGGAGAGAGAGCCGUUUGGUGCUGUCGCUUUCCACCUUGGCUGUGCGCAACCUGCCCUUGAUCAGGCCUCUUUGUUUAUUCUUUUCUUCUAUGUCAACUUGCCAUUAGUUUAUUCAUUGUUGCAUCUAUUUAAAGUAUGUAAUCAGAACCAAAUGGAUCAAGGAAAAAUAUACUUCCUCACUUCUCUCUUAUGUUUUCGAAAUCUCACUCUCUCUCUCUCUCUCUCUCGGAUUCUUAGAACACAAGGUUUAAACAAAAGAUAACUUAGAUUAGAAUGAGGGUUUGUGAUACACUUAAAUAGAGAGAUCCUUGUACAUGCACAAGGUCUCGAAAACAUAAGAAAACUUAAAGGAAAAGGCUCCACACGGUUUCAAAGUAAUAACACAACACUUAGACUAAAACAUAAUAUAAGAUAGAUGAUGAAGUCGGUCCAAGAUGCCUUAGGCCGAGUUGCAUCCAAGAUACAUCAACUAGGAAUGUGUAAGUGAACUUGAUACCUCAUUAAAAACCUUGAUUAGAAAACCCAGUGGGACAAAACUAAUCAAGGGAAAAAGAGUAUACCAAGCCACUUGCCUAGAUGAUGAUCAGCUUGAUGGUAAGAUCACAUGAAUGGUGAUGAGUGUGUCUUGGUAGCUCAAGCUUCUACCAAGACAGUCUUCUUGCUUCUUAGAGAUCUUCAGUAUGUUUCCAACGGCUUCUUUGAGUCUCCUUGUCAUUGCACGAGUGAUAGGACCUGUGGGAAUGGCUAGGACAGCUUCCUCUUCAGCUAGUGUAUCUUCAGUCUCUCCUUCUUCAUCUUUAUCAACUAGCUGGUCCAUGAUCAUAUCAUCCCCUCCCACUUGAAAAGGAUUUGUCCUCAAAUCUGGCUCAUCUGCAAUAAAAGGGAUCAAGUCAGUAACAUUGAAGCUAUUACUCACAUCAUACUUACCUUGCAAAUCCAGUUUGUAGGCAUUGUUGCUGAUCUUCCUUAUGACCUUAAAAGGUCCAUCAAUCCGCGGCAUCAGCUUGGAUUUCCUUUCAUUGGGAAACCUCUCUUUCCUUAGGUGAAUCCAGACCUGAUCACCCACUUCAAAGACCAUCUCACGCCUUCCUUUGUUAGCAUGCUUAACAUACUGUUUGGUUGUUGCCUCAAUGUUGAGCCUAGCUUGCUCGUGGAGUUGUUUCACCAUCUCUGCCUUCUUUUUGCCAUCAAUGCUGACCCUUUCACACUCAGGUAAAGGGAUUAAAUCCAAAGGAGAGUUGGGAUUGAACCCAUAAACAAUCUCAAAAGGAGAAAACUUAGAAGUAGAAUGCACAGCAUGAUUGUAUGCAAAUUCACAAUGAGGCAAAUAGUCUUCCCAUGAUUUCAAGUUUUUCUUUAUGAAUGCACGCAAGAGUGUUCCUAGAGUCCUAUUAACUACUUCAGUUUGUCCAUCAGUUUGUGGAUGACAAGUAGUAGAAAACAAGAGUUUAGUACCUAGCUUAGACCAAAGAGUCUUCCAAAAAUAACUAAGAAACUUAGUAUCUCUAUCAGAAACAAUAGUCUUAGGCAUGCCAUGUAUGCGCACAAUCUCUUUAAAGAACAAGUUGGCAAUAUGCAAUGCAUCAUCAGUUUUGUGACAAGCUAUGAAAUGUGCCAUCUUUGAGAACCUAUCCACAACCACAAAGAUAGAAUCCUUUCCAGUCCUAGUUCUAGGCCAUCCAACAAUGAAAUCCAUAGAUAUGUCAUUCCAAGGAUGAUAAGGUAUAGGGAGAGGAGUAUACAAACCGUGAGACUGAACCUUAGACUUGGCUUGCUUGCAAGUUGCACAUCUCUCACAUAGUUUCUCCACAUCACUUUUCAUCCGAGGCCAAAAGAAAUGAUCCUGCAAAGUUUUAAGAGUCUUUGCAAUACCAUCUCACAUAGUUUCUCCACAUCUCUUUUCAUCCGAGGCCAAAAGAAGUGAUCCUGCAAAGUUUUAAGAGUCUUUGCAAUACCAAAGUGACCCAUGAGACUUCCUCCAUGAGAUUCCCUAACAAACAAGUCUCUCAAAGAACAGUUAGGCACACACAAUCGAUUAUCAUAGAAAAGAAAACCAUCAUGUCUAAAGUAGUGUCCCACAGCAAAUUUCUCACAAGAGUUGUAAGCCUCUUUAAAAUCAGGAUCAUUCUCAUACAUUCCUUUAAUCUGCUCAAAUCCUAAUAGCUUAGCAUCAAGAGUGUUCAAGAGAACAUACCUUCUGGAUAGUGCAUCAGCAACUAUGUUUUCCUUACCUUGUUUAUACUUGAUGACAUAAGGAAAUGUCUCAAUGAACUCAACCCACCUUGCGUGUCUUUUGCUGAGUUUGUGCUGUCCUUUGAGGUAUUUGAGAGACUCAUGAUCUGUGUGAAUGACGAACUCUUUAGGCCAGAGGUAGUGUUGCCAAGUCUGCAAGGCUCUCACCAAGGCAUAUAGUUCUUUAUCAUAAGUUGCAUAGUUGAGGGUAGCUCCUCCAAGCUUCUCACUGAAGUAUGCAAUGGGUCUCUUCUCCUGCAUCAAUACAGCACCAAUUCCAAUUCCUGAAGCAUCACAUUCUAUUUCAAAAGUUUUAUUAAAAUCAGGAAGUAUAAGAAGAGGGGCAUUAGUAAGCUUCUCUUUUAGGCAUUGAAAGGCAAGUUCUUGUGCUUCUCCCCACUUGAAUCCGACUUCUUUCUUGAUUACUUCAGUCAAGGGAGAUGCUAUGGUGCUGAAGUCUUUCACAAAGCGCCUAUAGAAACCAGCAAGUCCAUGGAAGCUCCUCACUUCACUCACUGUCUUAGGAAUUGGCCAUUCUCGUAUAGCUCUUACUUUCUCCGGAUCAACUUUAACCCCAUCUGCACCCACAAUAAAGCCUAAAAAGACCAAGUGAUCCGUUCCAAAAGUACACUUCUUAAGGUUAGCAAAAAGAGAUUCCUUUCUAAGCACAUCAAGAACAGUUCUAAGAUGUUCUAUAUGAUCAUUAAAGCUCUUACUGUAUACAAGGAUGUCAUCAAAGUAUACCACAACAAAUAUGCCAAUGAAUGAUCUAAGAACAUGAUUCAUUAAUCUCAUGAAUGUACUAGGUGCAUUGGUUAAUCCAAAUGGCAUGACUAACCACUCAUAUAGACCAUGUUUAGUUUUGAAUGCAGUUUUCCAUUCAUCUCCUUCUUUCAUCCUAAUCUGAUGGUAUCCACUUUUCAAAUCAAUCUUAGAAAAUAUGCAAGAACCAUGCAAUUCAUCAAGCAUAUCAUCUAAUCUAGGAAUAGGAUGGCGAUACUUUACAGUGAUAUUGUUGAUGGCUCUGCAAUCAACACACAUGCGCCAGCUCCCAUCUUUCUUGGGCACAAGUAGCACUGGAACAGCACAAGGACUCAUGCUCUCUCGGAUAUGCCCUUUCUCCAUCAGUUCCUCCACUUGCCUUUGUAGUUCUUUGGUCUCCACCGGAUUGGUUCUGUAUGCUGGCCUAUUGGGAAGUGUAGAACCGGGCACAAAAUCAAUUUGGUGCUCAAUCCCUCGUACUGGUGGUAGUCCAUUGGGACUAUCUUCUGGAAAAACAUCUUGAUAUUCCUGUAAAAGAUUGACAAGUUCACUCGGAUACUCCGGUGCAAUGUUAGUAGUAGUCAAGAGGGAUUCCUUAUAGAUAAACAAAAGAAUAGGAAGGUUAGAGCAGAGAGAUCUUUUAACAUCACCAGACUUGGCAUAGAAGUUUAGUUGCUUUGUUGAUUCAGCGGGAAGAUCUAUCUCUUUCUUCUUUUGUAGCUGGAGCUGAUCAACCUGAACUUCCUUAGGAGUCAUAGGCACAAGAACUGUCUUUCUCCCUUUAAACUCAAAGGUGUGCUUGUUGGCAUACCCGUCAUGUAUCACACGUCUAUCUGAUUGCCACGGCCUUCCAAGGAGAAUGUGUCCAGCUUCCAUAGGCAACACAUCACAAAGAAUCUCAUCUUCAUAUUUACCAAUGGCUAAGGGAACCAUAACCUGAGUAGAUACUCUCAUCUCGCCCUCUUCAUUGAGCCAUUGGAGCCUAUAUGGUUUAGGAUGCUUCUGGAUCCUCAAACCCAACUUUUUAACCAUAGUCUCACUCGCGACGUUGACACAACUGCCUCCAUCCACAAUAAGACUACAGACCUUUCCUUGCACUAGACAUCUAGUAUAGAAGAGAUUCUCUCUUUGCUCCAUCUCUUCGGUCUUGCUUUGAAGACUCAAGGUUCUUCUAGCAACUAGCAACCUUCCAGCGACCGGGUUGACAACAUACUCCUCUUCUGAACUGUGAUCUUCUUCAGCCUCUGUCUCCUCAUCAGCAGAUUCAUAUUCUCCAUUGUCAUGAAGGAUCAUCACGCGUUUGUUGGUGCACUCAUUAGCGUAGUGUCCUCUUCCUUGGCACUUAAAACACUUAACAUCUCUUGAUCUCGUAGUAGAAGCUUCAGCUUUCCCUUUAUCCUUGCUGAAAGAACUAAUAGGUUUGUCCUCGUCCUUUUGAUAUGGCUUGCUCUCUUUCUGGUGGCUUGGUUUAUCUUCCUUAGCACCUUGAUACUUAGUUCCAUAGUUGCCCCGAGAGUGACCCUUUCUCUUUACUUGUUGUUCUACUAGGAUGGCUUUGUGUAGCAUCUCCUCCAUUUCCAAGUAGUGCUGCAUCUCCACACUGUCUUGUAUCUCACGGUUGAGUCCUCCAAGAAACCGUGCCAUAGUAGCUUCUCUAUCCUCAGAUAUGCAAGCUCUUAACAUCAACAACUCCAUCUCCUGAUAGUAUUCUUCGACUGUCCGUGAGCCUUGCGUGAGUUUUCUUAGCCUCUGAUGGAGAUCCCGGUGGUAAUGGCUAGGUACAAAUCUCUUGCGCAUAAGAGCCUUCAUCUCUGCCCAAGUCUCAACAGGAAAUUCCCCAUUGCGCCUUCUAUUGGUGACUAGUUGAUCCCACCAACUCAAAGCAUAAUCAUAGAACUCAGUAACAGCAAUUUGAAUCUUCUUAGCUUCUGAAUAACGCCGGCAAUUGAAGACUAGAUCAAUCUUCUUCUCCCAUUCUAGGUAAGCAUCAGGAUCGGCUUUGCCAUGGAAAGGAGGUAUCUUGAUCUUAACUCCAGCAAGCUCAUCUCUUUGAUACCUACGUCCUUCAUGGUCACGUCUAGAUCUUCUACUGCUGUGUCUAGAGGGAGAGCUACGCCUAGAAGCCGAGCUGUGUCGUGCCCUAUCUCUUUCAUAAAAGUUAUCAGUUUCUUGUGAACCAGCAUGCUCUUGUCGUUCACGCCCUUUUCUCCUUGGUGCUUGCUGAUGAUCAGACGUUUGGUCUUGUCUACCAGGGGCUCUCUGAUCGUAUCUCUCAUCCAGCAACUUCACCAAGUCUUCCAUUACUUGUUUAGUGAUAGCUUCUUGUAAGAGUUUGUUUCUUCUCAUAUACGUUGCAUCAUCUUCCUCAGUUCCCAUUGUUUCCUGUUACACACGAAAGACUGAAACAAGUAAGUAGUUCCAAGGGCAAUUUGAUUUAUGAUUCGAGAAUCAAAUAAAGAAACAAUCGGAAACAAUCAAGAUCAACCAACAAUUCUCAAGCAACGCGGCAAAUCAAUACCGUGAUCAACAAGUAAGGAAUUCAAAUCGAUUAUAUUGAACAAUCAACCCCGAUUUAUCAGAAAAGGAUUCGAGAUUCAACAGGUGAUGAUUUGAGAUUAAACAAAUCCUGAUCUAUGGUUCUAGUAACAGAUCGAAUCACACGAACACAAGGAACUUUCGGAUCAAGCAAACUAGUAACGUAAUCGACAAGAAUGUGAAAGGUUUUGUUCAAAACUUGAUCAGAAUCUUCAGAUCUAUCAAUUUUGAACCACGAAACAAUAGAUCUAUCAAUCCUUCAGAGUGGCUCUGAUACCAAAUGAUAAAAACCUCCCAAGGAAUACACUCUGAAAUUGGUAAGGGAUAAGCCUUGCACCGAAUGAGCCCGAAAGCAACAAACGAUCAAGGGAUGUGGAUCGAAAGGGGACACAAGAGAGGCGGAAAGUCUCUUGAUACUACCCUAUAAUGACCGCCUCUAGAUAUGACACACUAGAUUAGACCAAGUUAGACUGAAGGAUAUUACACACCAACAAUCAUAAAAGUUUUGACCAAUGGAUAUGACACACCAUGAUCGAAAACAAGUUUGAGAAUCACUCUCAAGGUUCCAAAAAUAUAAACUCAACUCUUAUUUUAUUUCAAUGGAGAUUACAACUUAUUUAUAAGAGACUAAACUUGCUCACAAAGCUAGAUAGUUAUUACAUUGGAAAUGAUAAAACUAGUGCAUGGAGGAGAGAGAGUGUUCUUGAAACAAGCAUUCUUUGCAUGUAGGAGAGAGAAGCUUUCCAUGCAAUUAACCACCUAAUUUUCGUCACUCUCUUUGGACAGCAAAGAAACCACUUGAUUUUGAAUCUUCUUGGGCUUGUAACAUGAUAAAAAUGGGCUGGACAUGCUACCUAACAUCAUGGAUCAAUUUCUGAAUGUCUUUCAUGUCCGUAGAUUCAUAUAUCAGCCCAUGAUCACAUCACUUACAUCGUGAUUCAUCUUGGUUUGAUUAGAAUGACAAGGAAGCUGUCAUAUUCCCAAACAGGAAAACUGGGAUCACCUAAUUUGAAAGUGGGACAGCUUCUUCAUCCUAACUCCUAUGAGAUUUAUUCUACUUCCUAAUGGUUCUCCACUACUUUAUGUAUCCAAUUCAAGCUUCUUAGAUCACGAUUCAUCCUGGUUUGAUUAGAAUGACAAAGAAGCUGUCAUAUUCCCAAACAGGAAAACUGGGAUCACCUGAUUUUGAAAGUGGGAUAGCUUCUUCAUCCUAACUCCUAUGAGAUUUAUUCAACUUCCUAGUGAUUCUCCAUUACUUUAUGUAUCAAAAUCAAGCUUCUUACAUCGCGAUUCAUCCUGGUUCGAUUAGAAUGACAAGCAAGCUGUUAUAUUCCCAAACAGGAAAACUAGGAUCACAUGAUUUGAAAGUGGGAUAGCUUCUUCAUCCUAACUCCUAUGAGAUUUAUUCAACUUCCUAGUGAUUCUCCAUUACAUUAUGUAUCAAAAUCAAGCUUCUUACAUCGCGAUUCAUCCUGGUUUGAUUAGAAUGACAAAGAUAUCACUUUUGAGUGAUGUAAAGGAUAAUCUGAGUUUAGAUAAGAAUAGAGAAGAGAUUAGAGUAGAGUUUAAGAGAUUAAGAGACUAAUGGAGAAUCAUUGUGAAAAGUAUAGAGAGAUUGAUUUGUUUAGAACUGUCUGCUUUGUAUUAAUCAUGAGUGUCAACAAUAUAUAGUGAGGCUACAAUAGGUUAAGGGUUUCGCAAAUGGUCACUAUUGUAAGGGAUAAGAAGUUGCUUUAAUUUAAACUCUCCAAUAAGCUUCUCCUUUGUGAUAAAGCACCUUUAGCCUUAUCCAGCUCUUGACAGCCUGGCUAAGCUCUUCCUUAUCCUCUCCAAACGGUCACACUCGCCAGUAGUUACCCCAAGUAACUUCUCCCUUUCACUCUUAAGUUACUUGAUCAUGGUAACUUCAAUCUGGUCGAGGUGUGGGUGACUUUAACCUGUACGGCCUGUACGGUCAGUACGGAUGGUACGGCUUGGGUCGACUCCAACUCUCCCAUCUCCUUCCCUUUACUCCAUCUUAGCCUCCUUAUCUCAUGACUUCAUUUUAACACUCCCCCUCAAGCUUAGCUUUGUGAAAGUCUAAGCUUGGACAGCUAUGAGAUCUUCCUCAUUAAAAACCUCACCAAGGAAAACCCAUUGGGAUAAAACCUUGAUGAGGGAAAAAGAGUAAAGACCUCACAGCCAAAGGGGAUCAGCUCCUUCUCUUCCCAAGAUCAAUGAGGCCCAACCUGAUGUGAAUGGACUCCAUUGUCUUCUGUCUCGCAGCCUUAGUGAACACAUCAGCCAACUGAUCUUCACUUCUUGUGUAGCAUGGCAGGAUGACUCCUAAGAUGAUCAUCUGCCUCACCUUGUGACAAUCCACUUCAAUGUGCUUGGUCCUCUCAUGGAACACCGAGUUGGAGGCAAUGUGGAUGGCAGCUUGGUUAUCACAAUGCAUUGUCAUUGGCGUGGCUUGAUCAAUCUCCAAAUGCUUCAAGAUACCUUUGAUCCACACCAGCUCGUUGGUAAGCUUCAGCAUAGCUCUAUACUCAGCCUCUGCACUUGAGCAAGACACCACCUUCUGCUUCUUACUCUUCCAAGUAACCAAGUUGCCUCCAAUGAAUGUGCAAUAGCCUGUGGUUGAUCUCCUGUCUGCUCUAUCACCAGCCCAAUCCGCAUCACAGUAUCCAACCACUUCAGUGCUCCCAUUGCAACCCAUCCAAACUCCUUGAUCAGGUGAGCCGUUGAGAUACAUCAAGAUUCUCUCCACCAUGCGCCAGUGAUGCUCCUUAGGCACUUGCAUGUGUUGACUCACCUGAUUCACAGCAAAACAGAUGUCAGGUCUAGUUAUGGUAAGGUAAAUCAAUUUACCAACUAGUUUUCUAUAGAGUUUAGGAUCCUGAUAAGGUUUGCUGUCUUCAAUCUCCCCCUCUCGUGGGACUUUGUAGCCAUCCUCCAUAGGCAUCCUUGCUGUCUUGCCUCCAUAAGCACCUGCACCUUUCAAAAGAUCAAGUGUAUACUUCCUUUGGGACAUGAACAAACCUUCCUUGGAUCUACAUAUCUCAAUUCCAAGAAAGUAUUUCAUUUCUCCCAAGUCUUUAAUCUCAAACAUGGAUUUAAGGAACUCCUUGGUUGCUAUGAUACCUUCCUUAUCACUUCCUGUGAUAAUAAUAUCAUCAACAUACACAAGGAGUGCAAUCAUACCUGAGGGAGUAGUGAGAGUGAAGAGGGCGUGGUCUAGUUCAGACUUCUUGAAACCUCGGCCAUUCAGAGUAGUACUCAGCUUGUUGUACCAAGCUCUUGGUGAUUGCUUCAGUCCAUAGAUAGCUUUCUUCAGUCUCAACACAUUCCCUCUCUUCACUAAGUGUUCCAAGCCUGGAGGUGGAUGCAUAUACACUUCAUCCUCCAGCUCUCCUUGUAGAAAUGCAUUCUUCACAUCCAUUUUCCAUAAGCCCCAUCCAAGGUUCACAGCUAAGCUUAAUACAAUCCGGAUUGUGUGUAGUUUAGCUACUGGCGCAAAGGUCUCAAUGUAAUCUUCUCCAUAAGUUUGAGUGAAACCUCUUGCAACCAGUCUUGACUUCUUCCUCUCAACUGUUCCAUCAGCCUUAUACUUGAUUGUGAAGAUCCAUCUACUAGUCACAGCCUUCUUCCCUUUUGGUAACUCACUCUCAUACCAUGUAUCAUUCUUGAUCAUAGCUCCUGCCUCAGCUCCAACUGAUUCCUUCCAUUCCUUAUCCAUUACUGCCUCUUCAUAGCUUCUUGGAAUGUAGUUCUCAUCCAAGUUUACCAUAAAGGCACAAUGCUCUUCAGGGUAUUGAGCAAAGGAGCACACAGCUUGAGAGGGAUGCUCCACAGCUUGGGCAUUGUAGUACACUCGCGUGUUUACCCAAGAGGAAGGAUCCUUCCUCAGCCUUGUGCUUCUUCUCAAUACAGGUUGUUGUUCUUGUUCUUGAACCGGUUCAUCUUGUGUAUUCGGUUCUUGAGCUCCACUCUGAUGUUCUUCAUCUUCUUGGCUUUGCUCACCUUGAUUGUGAGAGACUGAAACACUCUCUUCUUCUUCUUCACUCAAGCCGGCUCCAUCCUGACCAUCUUCUUGAGUUUCAGAUUCCCUUCCCCCCUCACGAUCAAGGUGAGGUGACUGAUUAGUUUCAACUGGGGCCGGAGAACUCUCAUGUUGGUUCCUACUCCCCACAUUUGGAUCCUGGUUCAUCGUGAUACCUAGACCUUCCAAAAUCAGUCUUAAAGCGCCUGCCUUAUCUGAUGUUAAAUCCUUUAGCUCCUCUUGAUUCUUUUCUUCAUAGUAUCCUCUUGCUUCUAUGAACUUCACAUCUCUAGAGACUAGGACUCUUCUAGUUGCUGGAUCAUAGCACUUGUAUCCCUUUUGUGUUGUUGAGUAGCCAAUGAACAUAGCCUUAGUGCUCCUUGCAUCUAACUUGUUUCUCAACUCUCCUGGUACCAACACAAAGCAUAAACAUCCAAAUACUCUCAAGUAAUCCACUGAUGGCUUGUGCUUGUUUAGAACUUCAAAUGGUGCUUGAUCCUUCAACACCUUUGUGGGAAUCCUGUUGAUCAAAUAACAAGCAGUAGCCACAGCAUCACUCCAAAAUCUCUUUGGAACGUUUGCUUGGAACAUCAGUGACCUAGCAACCUCCAUCAAGUGUCGGUUCUUCCUCUCAGCUACCCCAUUCUGUUGUGGAGUAUAAGGACAGUGUUGAGUAUCACUUUUAGGAUUGAGUAGAGUAAUCUGAGUGAAUAAGAAAGACUAGAAGUGAUUUAGAAGAGAUUUGAGUAUGAAAUGAGAUUAAGAGUCUAGUAUAGAACCAUUGAGAGACAAAGAGACUAAGAGAGACUCAUAACUUUCUUACUUUGAUUAAUGACAUGAGUUUACAAUAUAUAGAGAGGCGACAUUAGAGACUAGGGUUUAGGAAACUACACUAUUACAAGGGAUAAGCUUUUGCUUUAAUUCAAAUGAUCCAAUAAGCUUCCUCCUUAAGGAUAAGGUUCCUUUUGCUUUAUGCCAACCGCGGACAGGCUGUCAUGUGCGCUCCCUUCUUCCUUUUGCAACAGUCUGAUCGGAUAAGGAUAAGCAAGGCUUCUUCUCAACACACAAAGUUACCUAAGUAACUUUGGUUCACGGAGGUCAAGUUACCUUGCCCAAUCUGUACGGCCUAGUACGGCUUCUGUACGGCCUUGCCCAAUCUUCUCCUAACUCCAUUUCCUUAGCUCCUCAAGUCAUCUCUUCUCAUAUACUGAACUCAUCUUAAAACUCCCCCUCAAGCUUAGCUUUGUGAAAGUCUAAGCUUGGACAGCCAUGAGAUCUUCCUCAUUAAAAACCUCACUAAGGAAAACCCAUUGGGAUAAAACCUUAAUGAGGGAAAAAGAGUAAAGAUCUCACAGCUAAGGGGAUCAGCUCCUUCUCUUCCCAAGAUCUAUGAGUCCCAAUCUAAUGUGAAUGGACUCCAUAGUCUUUUGUCUUGCUGCCUUGGUGAACACAUCAGCCAAUUGAUCUUCACUUCUCGUAUAGCAAGGUAAGAUCACUCCAAGCACAAUCAUCUGUCUCACCUUGUGGCAAUCAACCUCAAUGUGCUUGGUUCUCUCAUGGAACACCGAGUUGGAUGCAAUGUGAAUGGCAUCUUGAUUGUCACAAUGCAUUGUCAUUGGAGUGGCUUGAUCAAUCUCCAAAUGCUUCAAGAUGCCUUUGAUCCAUACCAACUCGUUUGUAAGCUUCAGCAUGGCUCUAUACUCAGCUUCAGCACUUGAACAUGACACCACCUUCUGCUUCUUGCUUUUCCAAGUCACCAAGUUGCCUCCAAUGAAUGUGCAAUAGCCGGUUGUUGAUCUCCUGUCGGCUCUAUCUCCUGCCCAAUCAGCAUCACAAUAGCCCACCACUUCUGUGCUUCCAUUGCACCCCAUCCAUACUCCUUGAUCCGGCGAGCCAUUUAGAUACAUCAGCAGUCUCUCCACCAUACGCCAAUGAUGUUCCUUGGGAAGCUGCAUGUGUUGGCUCACCUGAUUCACAGCAAAACAUAUAUCAGGUCUUGUGAUGGUAAGAUAAAUCAAUUUGCCAACAAGUUUUCUAUAGAGUUUAGGAUCAUGAAAUGGCUUGCUGUCUUCAAUCUCCCCCUCUCUUGGUACUUUGUAGCCAUCCUCCAUAGGCAUCCUUGCUGUCUUGCCUCCAUAAGCACCUGCACCUUUCAAAAGAUCAAGUGUAUACUUUCUUUGGGACAUGAAUAAGCCUUCCUUGGAUCUACAAAUCUCAAUUCCAAGAAAGUAUUUCAUUUCUCCCAAGUCUUUGAUUUCAAACAUAGAUUUGAGAAACUCCUUGGUUGCUUUGAUACCUUCCUUAUCACUCCCUGUGAUAAUGAUGUCAUCCACAUACACAAGGAGAGCAACCAUACCUGAGGGAGUAGUGAGGGUAAAGAGAGUAUGAUCCAAUUCUGACUUCUUAAAGCCUCGGCCGUUCAGAGUUGUGCUCAACUUGUUGUACCAAGCUCUUGGUGAUUGCUUCAACCCAUAGAUAGCCUUCUUUAGCCUCAGUACAUUCCCUUUCUUCACUAGAUGUUCAAGUCCUGGUGGAGGAUACAUGUAGACUUCAUCUUCAAGUUCUCCUUGUAAGAAUGCAUUCUUCACAUCCAUUUGCCAUAAUCCCCAUCCAAGGUUAACCGCCAAGCUUAGGACAAUCCUAAUGGUGUGUAACUUGGCUACUGGUGCAAAUGUCUCAAUGUAAUCCUCUCCAUAUGUUUGAGUGAACCCUCUUGCUACUAAUCUAGUCUUCUUCCUCUCAAUCUGCCCAUCAGCCUUGUAUUUGAUUGUGAAGAUCCAUCUACUAGAUACUGCCUUCUUCCCUUUUGGUAGUUCACUCUCAUACCAUGUAUCAUUCUUUAUCAUAGCUCCUGCCUCAGCUCCUACUGAUUCGUUCCAUUCCUUAUCCUCCAUUGCCUCUUCAUAGCUUCUUGGAAUGUGAUUCUCAUCUAAGUUUACCAUGAAUGCACAAUGUGCUUCUGGAUAUUGAGCAAAAGAACACACGGCCUGAGUAGGAUGCUUCACAGCUUGGGCAUUGUAGUACACUCUUGUGUUUACCCAACUGGAAGGAUCCCUUCUCAGCCUUGUACUUCUUCUCAACACUGGCCCUUCUUGCGCCAUCUCUUGUUCUUCUUCUUGUGGCAGCACACUUGGUUCAGAUCUUUCUUCUCCUAGCUGACUUGCUUCAGCUCCUUCUUCCCUUAGCUGACUCUCUUCAGCUUCUUCUUGUUGAUCAUUUGAUUCCACAGCUUGAUCAUGAGAACCAGAACUCUCUUCUCUACUUGUCUCUUCACGGUUUUGAGUUCUUGUUUCAUUCCCCCCCUCAUGCUCAAGAUUGGAAGUCUGAUGAUCCGGUACUGGAGUAGUGCUCCUCCCACCUUGAUUCAUGUUGAUUCCGAGACCCUCUAGGAUAAUCCUCAAGGUUUCAGCUCUAUCAGAAGUGAGGUCUUUCAAAUCAUCUUGAAUUUGUUCCUCAUAGUAUCCUUUUUCUUCAACAAACUUCACUUCUCUAGAUACUAACACUCUCCUUGUGUUAGGAUCAUAGCAUUUGUAUCCUUUCUGACUUGAUGAAUAUCCAAUAAACAUUGCCUUUGAACUCUUAGCCUCUAGCUUGUUUCUUAUCUCUCCAGGCACCAUCACAAAACACAAACAUCCAAAGAUCUUCAUAUGCUCUAGAGAGGGCUUGUACUGAUUCAGUACCUCAAAUGAUGAUUGUCCUUGAAGAAUCAGAGUUGGUGUCCUGUUGAUGAGAUAACAAGCCGUAGCAACUGCAUCACUCCAAAACUUCUUAGGCACGUUGGAUUGAAACAUCAUGGACCUUGCUACUUCCAUCAAAUGCCUGUUCUUCCUCUCAGCCACACCAUUCUGUUGUGGGGUAUAGGGACAGCUUGUCUGAUGAAGGAUUCCAUGCUGAGAUAGGUGUAGUUUGAAUGCUUGUCCCGUGUACUCUCCUCCAUUAUCUGACCUGAAAAUCUUUAUCUUGGCAUUGUAAUGGUUAGUCACAUAGGAUUGAAAGUUUUUAAAUGCAUCAAGUACCCUAUCUUUGGUUGGAAUUAAGGUUAACCAGGUGUAUUUGGAUUUUUCAUCAAUGAAAGUUACAUAAUACUUAUGGUUUUCUCUAGAUAGGCAGGGUGCAGUCCAAACAUCAGAAUGAAUAAGAUCAAAACAUUUUUCAUAAACAGUAGUAGACUUGGUAAAGACAGUUCUACAAUGCUUGCCUAAAAUGCAAGCUUCACAAUCAUUAUUCUCAAAGGAAACACCUGGCAACAUCAGUUUUAAAGCCUUAUUAUGAGGGUGUCCUAAUCUAGCAUGCCACAAUGCAUUUUUACUUAAACCAGAACUAGAAACAGAAGUAAAUGAGCAGCUAUAUCUAGAAACAAGAGUGAGAUCUUCAAGUAAAUAUAGCUCUCCUUUAGUCACUCCCUUUCCAAUCAUCUUGCUGCUUUUAAUAUCCUGAAACUUAACAUCAUUAGGACUGAAUAUAACAUUGCAUUGCAAAUCAGUAGCACACUUCUUAACAGAUAACAAGUUUGAUGUAAAUUCAGGCAUAUAAAAAGCUUUAGUUUCUUUAUCAAACAGUUUAAGACUUCCUAUUCCUCUAAUAGGAAUCUUAUCUCCAUUAGCAAUCAUUACAUUUCCAUUCAUUGGCACAAUGUUUUUAAUCAAGCUAGUAUCACUUAUCAUAUGAUGAGAUGCACCUGAAUCAAUCACUAAUGGCUUAAUGUCAUGAGAACUAGCAAUAUGCGCAAGGAUACUAGAUGGUUUGAAUGCAUGAUCAUUUCUAGCAAAGUUUGCAAUCCUAGAUUGAUUUACCAUUUCUAUCAAGCUCUCAUGCAUCCUAUCAGUUCUAGUUAGAUUCUCAUAGUUCUCUACCACCCUAGCACCAAAAGAAUACCCAAAGAUGUUACCAUUCUCCUUGAACAUCUUAAUGAGAGCAUCAAGGUCGGAUCUCCUUAGAUACUCUUGAUCAUUGUUCCCACGGUUGCUUGGUGCCCCGGUGUAGGCAACAAGAGACUUCCCAUCCCCUGCCUCACGCCCAUCUAUCUCCUUUCCUUUGCUUGUACCAGCUCCACCCGUUCCAUCUGAUGCAUUAGCCCUUGCUUCACGGUCCUUCAUGAACUUUGCCGGCUUGAGGUGUGGGUGAAGGAUCCAGCAUUGGCUCUUCUUGUGGCCAUGCUUCUUGCAGUGAUCACAGUUCCCAUUGAACCUCCUCUCCUCAAACUUCCCAUGCGCAGCAGCCUUGUUUGCUUGCGGAGCUUCACUCCCCUCCUCUUGAGUUGCUUGGCUUGCAAGGGAAAGGUCUCCUUUCUUUGCAAACAGCCCAAUGGAGCCUUGCUCCUUCUGAAUCCGUGCACACACAUCCUCAAGGUCAGGUAGAUUGUCCUCCCUCAGCAGGUGCUGGAUGAGACCGUUGUAAGCCGGGUUCAGCGUGAGGAGUAGCCCAAAGACCUUGUCUUGCUCUCUCCUCUUGUUAAGCUCAUCAGCAUCCGUUGUGCUUGGCCUAAGCAUUUCCAUCUCGGACCAGAGACUCCUGAAUCUCCCUAGAUGCUCGGUGAACUCCAUGUCUUCUUGUACAAGGUUGUUGAUGGCUUGCUUCACUUCAAACACUCGGCUUAGGUUUGAAGUGUUGCCAUACACCUUCUUCAAGGUAUCCCACAGCUCUUUAGCAGACUCACAGUAGCUGUAUGCAUCCAGAAUGGCCGGCUCAAGGGACGCAUGAAGCACAGACAUCACCAACAUGUCCUCUUGAUGCCACUUCUCUUCUGCCUUGCUUGCCGCUUCAUCUUCAGCCUCUCCUUGAGUGAUGAGCUUUGGAGCUUCUCCUGGCGUGAUGUGCUUCCAAAGCCCCUUGCUUCCCACUGUGGUUCUCACCAUCCGAGACCACACCAAGUAGUUGUUUCCCUUGAAACAAACCGCCACCUUCAUGUUCAUGUUCAUCCCACUCUCCAUGUUGAAUGUAGAACCCUUUAGACUUCAAUAACUUUCUCUUGAGGUAACUGUCUUGAGCUAGAACCCUUUAGACUUCAAUAACUUUCUCUUGAGGUAACUGUCUUGAGCGAACACUAGCAGCUUCAAACAACCAAUAGAACUCAGAAAGACUACCCAGAACCGCUUAAGAACACAAGAACACCAAACUGUUUCUUCAAAGCUUCAAUCUUGAAUCUUCAAAGAACCCAACGAAACCAAGUUCUCUAGGAACCUGGCUCUGAUAUCAUAUCACUUUUAGGAUUGAGUAGAGUAAUCUGAGUGAAUAAGAAAGACUAGAAGUGAUUUAGAAGAGAUUUGAGUAUGAAAUGAGAUUAAGAGUCUAGUAUAGAACCAUUGAAAGAAUAAAGACNNNNNNNNNNNNNNNNNNNNNNNNNNNNNNNNNNNNNNNNNNNNNNNNNNNNNNNNNNNNNNNNNNNNNNNNNNNNNNNNNNNNNNNNNNNNNNNNNNNNNNNNNNNNNNNNNNNNNNNNNNNNNNNNNNNNNNNNNNNNNNNNNNNNNNNNNNNNNNNNNNNNNNNNNNNNNNNNNNNNNNNNNNNNNNNNNNNNNNNNNNNNNNNNNNNNNNNNNNNNNNNNNNNNNNNNNNNNNNNNNNNNNNNNNNNNNNNNNNNNNNNNNNNNNNNNNNNNNNNNNNNNNNNNNNNNNNNNNNNNNNNNNNNNNNNNNNNNNNNNNNNNNNNNNNNNNNNNNNNNNNNNNNNNNNNNNNNNNNNNNNNNNNNNNNNNNNNNNNNNNNNNNNNNNNNNNNNNNNNNNNNNNNNNNNNNNNNNNNNNNNNNNNNNNNNNNNNNNNNNNNNNNNNNNNNNNNNNNNNNNNNNNNNNNNNNNNNNNNNNNNNNNNNNNNNNNNNNNNNNNNNNNNNNNNNNNNNNNNNNNNNNNNNNNNNNNNNNNNNNNNNNNNNNNNNNNNNNNNNNNNNNNNNNNNNNNNNNNNNNNNNNNNNNNNNNNNNNNNNNNNNNNNNNNNNNNNNNNNNNNNNNNNNNNNNNNNNNNNNNNNNNNNNNNNNNNNNNNNNNNNNNNNNNNNNNNNNNNNNNNNNNNNNNNNNNNNNNNNNNNNNNNNNNNNNNNNNNNNNNNNNNNNNNNNNNNNNNNNNNNNNNNNNNNNNNNNNNNNNNNNNNNNNNNNNNNNNUUAAACCAAACGAUGAUCACUACCGUUGCUGAUAUGAUCAAGAGCAGUAUGAAGGAACUUCGCGAUGAAAUAAGGCAAGAGAUAAGGCAAGCUACGGGCCAAGGUCAUAGCAAUGAGUCUAGACGAGAAAGACGUGAUGAAACCCCGAGAGAGCAUGCUGAAUCACAAGAAACAGACCCCUACUAUGAGCGUAACCGAGCCACGCGCAGCAGUUCCUCUUCUAGAGAUAGUAGAAGGAGAUAUAGAAGAGAUCAUGAUGAAAGGAGAACUUACAGAGAUGAUCUUGCUGGUUUAAAGCUGAAGAUACCUCCUUUCGAUGGCAAAGUUGAUCCGGAUGCUUACUUGGAAUGGGAAAAGAAGAUGGAGUUGGUGUUUAACUGUAAGCACUACACCAAUGCCCAAAGAAUUCAGAUAGCAGCAACUGAGUUUCAUGACUAUGAGCUGAGUUGGUGGGACCAGCUUGUGACUACCAGGAGACUUAACCAAGAGUAUCCCGUUGAAACAUGGCACGAGAUGAAGGCUCUCAUGCGUAAAAGAUUUGUGCCAAAUCACUAUCAUCGCGACUUGCACCAGAAGUUAAGAAGACUCACCCAAGGAUCUCGGUCUGUUGAAGAAUACUAUCAAGACAUGGAGUUGUUGAUGCUGAGAGCUCGUGUUUCUGAAGAUAAAGAAGCUACUAUGGCUAGGUUCUUAGGAGGUCUCAACCGAGAGAUACAAGAUAAUGUUGAGAUGCAGCACUAUGUGGAGAUAGAGGAGAUGCUUCACAAAGCUAUACUAGUUGAGCAACAAGUUAAGAGGAAGGGCCAUUCUCACUCUCGUUACAACACCAGACUUCAGGGAACUAAAGAAGAAAAGUCUAGCUAUCAAAAGGAAAGAAAACCGCAACUGAAAGAAGAUUCAAAGCCAAAUCCUAUUUACAGUAAGGAUAAAGGAAAGGCUGAGGUUUCAAGUGCAAGAGCUAGAGAUGUUAAGUGCUUUAAGUGUCAGGGUAGAGGCCAUUAUGCAAAUGAGUGCACCAAUAAAAGAAUCAUGAUUCUUCUUGAGAAUGGAGAGUAUGAAUCUGAGGAUGAGCUUUCAGAGUCUGAGUAUAAGGCGCUUACUGAAGAAGAAUAUGAAGAAGAACCCGUGAGAGGAAAGCUAUUGGUGGCUAGAAGAACUUUGAGUUUGCAAAGUAAAGCUGAAGAGCAAGAACAGAGAGAGAAUCUAUUCUACACUCGGUGCCUUGUGCAAGGAAAGGUCUGUAGUCUUAUCAUUGAUGGAGGAAGUUGUGUGAAUGUAGCUAGUGAAACUAUGGUAAAGAAGCUUGGCCUCCAAGUACAGAAACAUCCAAAGCCCUACCGGCUUCAAUGGUUGAAUGAAGAAGGAGAAAUGAGGGUUUCUAGUCAGGUUUCGGUUCCCAUUGCAAUUGGAAGGUAUGAGGAUGAGGUUCUCUGUGAUGUACUGCCUAUGGAAGCUGGACAUAUCCUUCUUGGUCGGCCAUGGCAAUCAGAUAGACGAGUGAUACAUGAUGGCUACACCAACAAGCACACGUUUGAGUUCAAAGGGAAGAAGACUGUGCUGGUUCCUCUAACACCAAAGGAGGUUCACCAAGAUCAACUGCAGCUACAAAAGAAGAAAGAAAUAGACCUCAAACCUGAUUCAAAGAAGCAGCAUAGUUUCUAUGCCAACUCGGGUGAUAUCAAAAGAACUCUCAAUGCUCAUCAAUCUAUUCUUUUACUUAUCUUUAAAGAGUCUCUUUUGAAUGUUACUGACCCAACACCGGUAUAUCCGAGUGAAAUUGAGUAUCUUUUACAGGAAUUUGAAGAUGUAUUUCCUGAAGAUAAUCCGAUUGGUCUUCCACCUCUUAGAGGGAUUGAGCAUCAGAUUGAUUUUGUCCCUGGUUCUACACUUCCAAAUAGGCCAGCUUAUAGGACUAAUCCCGUGGAGACUAAAGAACUGCAAAAACAAGUUGAGGAAUUGAUGGCAAAGGGGCAUAUCCGUGAGAGCAUGAGCCCAUGUGCAGUACCAGUACUUCUUGUGCCUAAGAAGGAUGGAAGCUGGCGCAUGUGUGUUGAUUGUAGAGCCAUCAACAAUAUCACUGUAAAGUAUCACCAUCCUAUUCCUAGAUUAGAUGAUAUGCUUGAUGAAUUGCAUGGUUCUUGCAUAUUUUCUAAGAUUGAUUUGAAAAGUGGAUACCAUCAGAUUAGGAUGAAAGAAGGAGAUGAAUGGAAAACUGCAUUCAAAACUAAACAUGGUUUAUAUGAGUGGUUAGUCAUGCCAUUUGGAUUAACCAAUGCACCUAGUACAUUCAUGAGAUUAAUGAAUCAUGUUCUUAGAUCAUUCAUUGGCAUAUUUGUUGUGGUAUACUUUGAUGACAUCCUGGUAUACAGUAUGAGCUUUAAUGAUCAUAUAGGACAUCUUAGAGCUGUUCUUGAUGUGCUUAGAAAGGAAUCUCUUUUUGCUAACCUUAAGAAGUGUACUUUUGGAACGGAUAACUUGGUCUUUCUAGGUUUUGUUGUAAGUGCAGAUGGAGUAAAGGUGGAUCAGGAGAAAAUCAAAUCAAUCAAGGAAUGGCCAAUUCCAAAGACUAUAAGUGAAGUGAGGAGCUUCCACGGCCUUGCUGGUUUCUACAGGCGGUAUGUUAAAGAUUUUAGCACUAUAGCAGCUCCCCUGACUGAAGUGAUAAAGAAAGAAGUCGGAUUCAAGUGGGGAGAAGCACAAGAGACUGCCUUCCAAUGCCUUAAAGAGAAGCUUACUCACGCCCCUCUUCUUAUACUUCCUGAUUUCAAUAAAACUUUUGAAAUCGAAUGUGAUGCCUCUGGAAUUGGAAUUGGUGCUGUUCUUAUGCAGGAAAAGAGAUCCAUAGCAUAUUUCAGUGAAAAACUUGGAGGAGCAACUCUCAACUAUGCUACUUAUGACAAGGAACUCUAUGCUUUGGUGAGGGCUUUGCAGACAUGGCAGCAUUACCUAUGGCCCAAGGAGUUUGUCAUUCACACUGAUCAUGAGUCUCUUAAGUACCUUAAAAGCCAGAACAAACUCAGCAAGAGACACGCAAGGUGGGUUGAGUUCAUUGAGACAUUUCCUUAUGUCAUCAAGUAUAAACAAGGUAAGGAAAACAUAGUUGCUGAUGCACUAUCCAGAAGGUAUGUUCUCUAGAACACUCUUGAUGUUAAGCUAUUAGGAUUUGAGCAGAUUAAAGUAAUGUAUGAGAAUGAUCCUGAAUUUAAAGAUGCUUACAAGUCUUGUGAGAAAUUUGCUGCUGGACAUUACUUUAGGCAGGAUGGAUUUCUUUUCUAUGAUAAUAGACUUUGUGUGCCUAAUUGUUCUUUGAGAGAUUUAUUUGUUAGGGAAUCUCAUGGAGGAAGCCUCAUGGGACAUUUUGGUGUUGCAAAAACUCUCAAGACCUUGCAGGAUCACUUCUACUGGCCGCGGAUGAAAAGAGAUGUGGAAAGACUUUGUGAAAGGUGUGCAACUUGUAAACAAGCUAAGUCCAAAGUCCAAAACCAUGGUUUGUACACUCCUUUACCCAUCCCUUAUCAUCCUUGCAAUGAUAUCUCUAUGGACUUCAUUGUUGGAUUGCCUAGAACUCGUACUGGUAAAGAUUCAAUCUUUGUGGUAGUUGAUAGAUUUUCUAAGAUGGCACACUUCAUUGCUUGUCAUAAAACUGAUGAUGCAUUGCAUAUAGCUAACUUGUUCUUUAAGGAGAUUGUGCGUUUACAUGGCAUGCCUAAGACUAUUGUAUCUGAUAGAGAUACUAAGUUUCUAAGCUACUUUUGGAAAACUCUUUGGUCUAAACUAGGCACUAAGCUAUUGUUUUCUACUACUUGUCACCCACAAACUGAUGGUCAGACUGAAGUAGUUAAUAGAACUCUUGGUACACUCUUGCGUGCAAUCAUAAAGAAGAACUUGAAAUCAUGGGAAGAUUGUUUGCCUCAUUGUGAAUUUGCAUAUAAUCAUGCUGUGCAUUCUGCUACUAAGUUUUCUCCAUUUGAAAUUGUUUAUGGGUUCAAUCCCAUCUCUCCUUUGGAUCUAAUACCUUUACCUGAGUGUGAAAGAGUUAGUCUUGAUGGCAAGAAGAAGGCAGAGAAGGUACAACAGCUUCAUGAACAAGCAAGGCGCAACAUAGAAGAGAAGACUAAGCAAUAUGCCAAACAAGCAAACAAGGGGAGGCGUGAAAGAGUCUUUGAAGUGGGUGAUCAAGUCUGGAUUCACCUAAGGAAAGAAAGAUUUCCUAAUGAGAGGAAAUCCAAGCUCAUGCCAAGGAUUGAUGGACCAUUUGAGAUCAUAAAGAAAAUCGGCAACAAUGCUUACAAGCUGGAUCUCCAAGGAAGGUAUGAUGUGAGCAAUAGUUUUAAUAUCACUGACUUGAUUCCUUAUUUUGCAGAUGAGCCAGAUUUGAGGACAAAUCCUUUUCAAGAGGGAGGGGAUGAUAUGAUCAUGGACCAGCACAAGGAUGGAGAUGAAGAGUUCAAAGACAAAUCAAGGGAAGAAGAGGAUGCCUUAGUCAUUCCACCAGGUCCCAUCACUCGUGCCAAAGCUAGAAGACUCAAAGAAGCUGUUGGAAGUUUACUUAUGAUCUCAUGGAAGCAAGAAGACAGCCUUGAUGGACGUUUGAUCAAUCAAGACACUCUUAUCACCAUUCAAGCAAUGGUUUCAAACUGAUCAUCAUCUAAGCAAGUGCUUCUGUGUGCUCUUUUCCUAACCUUUGGUUUUGUCCCAUUGGGUUUUCCAAAGGCAGGUUUUUAAUGAGGCCACAAGUUACUUACAUAAACCUUAGAUGAUGUAUCAUGGUUCCACCUUAUGUUAUUUUUAAACUAUGGUUUUUAUUUCAUGUUUUAAACUCUUUUCAAAUUUGAAUAAGUCUUUAGUCUUUGUUGUAGUUCCAAGGGAGCCUGUUCCCUUUAAUGAUCUCGAGAAUAUGGAACCUGUUCCAUACUUCUCUAUAUAAGCUUGUAUGCGUUCUCUCUUUUAAAGACAAUCUUUUUUCUACAAAAUCUAUCAGAUUUCUUUGUUCUCUCUUUACUUCUCAUCAAGUCUUGAGUGAAUCUCGUUGGUGUGUCAUAUCCAACAACUAAGGGUGUCUAUUUUGGUGUGUAAUAUCCAAGCUAGUCAUCUAGGAGUAUCAAGGAGUCAUUCCGCAACUCUUUGUGUCACCAUACGAUCCAUCACCUUGAUAAACUUGAGUCUCUGAUUCGUUUAUACAAGGAUCUAUCCAGUUCAAUCCAAAGAAACUUCAUAGGAGUUCAUUAUAAGGGAAGGCUGAGACGACGGUUUAAGGCUCAGAUCAGAAGAGGAAGGUGUUGGAAGAGAAGCAUACUGUCUGGUUAUCAAGGUAGCUAUGGUACUAUGAAGAUGGGCAGAGAAGAAGCACAACAGAUUCUUAUGGGAGAGUGUUCUUACUCAGCUUACAUGGGAGAAUCUGUAGAGAGCAGUGGGGUUAUGAGGAAGCUAGAGACCAAAGGAGCGGAUGAGCGUGUCACAAAGGAGGAAUGGGAUGAGUUUGUCAAGUAUGUGUAUGCUUUGGCUACGACCCGGAGACAGGGUGCUCCUGCCAAAGCAUCCACAUCCAACAAACCCAUCAUUGUUGAUUCUGGAGCAAGUCAUCACAUGAUUAGUGACAGAAGCUUAAUGAGUGAUGUAAAGAAAGCUACUGGGGGUGUGAUGAUAGCUAAUGGUGAUAGGAUUCCUAUAGAAGGAGUUGGAAAGCUCAAGCUAUUUGAUAAAGACUCAGAUGCCUUCUACAUGCCACAGUUUGCUUCAAAUCUACUAUCUGUAAGGAAAGCCACAAUUGAUCUUGGCUGUCAAGUAGUAUUCAGGCCAGAUGAUGUUGAGUUCCAAGAUUUGAAGACUGAAAGGGUCAUUGGGAGAGGAGACAGCAAGAAUAAUCUAUACCAGCUCCAAUUGGCUAAGAUCUCUAAACCCUUUGAUUCUAUGUGUUUGAGUAGUACUUAUGAGAAGAUUGAUAGUAUUACUUGGCAUGCUAGAUUGGGACAUCCUCAUACUCGUGCUAUUGAAUUGAUAAUUCCUAAUAUGUCAUUUAAUCACUUGGAGUGUGAAGCAUGCAUAUUAGGAAAGCAUUGUAGGACUGUUUUUCCAACAUCAGAAACUACUUAUGAGCAUUGCUUUGAUCUAGUUCAUUCAGAUGUGUGGACGGCUCCUUGUUUGUCUAGAGAUAGCCAGAAGUACUUUGUGACAUUCAUUGAUGAGAAGUCUAAGUAUACUUGGCUUACAUUGCUUCCAUCUAAAGAUAGGGUGCUAGAAGCAUUUAUGAACUUCCAAGCAUAUGUAUCUAAUCAAUACAAUGCUACUGUGAAGGUACUGAGAUCAGAUAAUGGAGGUGAAUACAUCAGCAAUGCCUUCAAGAGUCAUCUAGCCAAGCAUGAGAUUGUGCAUCAGACUAGCUGCCCUUAUACACCACAUCAAAAUGGUGUAGCUGAGAGGAAGAACAGGCACUUGAUGGAGGUUGCUAGAUCGAUGAUGUUUCAUGCAAAUGUCCCAAAACGUUUUUGGAGUGAUGCUGUGCAGACUGCUUGCUAUCUCAUCAACCGGGUUCCAACCAAGAUAUUGAAGAAUCUGUCUCCAUUUGAAGUUUUGAACAAGAGCAAACCUGUCAUUGAUCACCUACGUUAUGAGAUUUGAGAGCUCUGGCUGUGUAUGUGUAUGAGAAGCCAUUAGAGGCAAAGAUAAGGUCUUGAACUAGUUGAAUAAGAGGUCUGAUGAAACUAGUAUGAACUUGAAUCAGAAACAAAGAGACUUUGAGAGAUUAAGAGAUUAGAGACUAAGAAAGGGGUAGAUUAAGGGAAUCUGAUCAAGAACACACUUUAAUAAUUAUGAAGGAGAUGGGGAAAACCCCCAUACUCUCUUAAGAGAGCUAGACACGCCCAUAAGGGUCUUUAUAUAGGUUUUACACUCUUGCAAACUCAUAAACCUAUAUCUAAUGGAUAGAAAUAACUUAAGGGGAAUGGAUGGUGAGGAUGAGUUGGUCUUGUUGUAAUCUGAGUGAUGUGUGCUGAUUGGAUAAGCUAAGCUGGCUCACUUUAAUUCAAACUAAGGCAAGCUGGCUCCUUGCUUGUGAUUGGCUCUCCUUAGGCUCCUCCUAAUCUUCCCAUGCAUCUGUCCAGGUUCAUGGUCGUGGCUCCCUUCUCUUUACAGCAAGAGACAGCCUGUCCAAGACCAGAACUAGCCAAUCACACACAAGGAAGCUCCCAUUGGUUGUUUGCCUCCACAAAGCAUCUUCUUGAUUCCCUUUGACUAGAUUCAAACCUUGGUGCCUUAUCCAUAUACUAUGCACACUCUUCACAUCCUGAAUAGUGACCCAAAUAGUGAAUAGUCAACCUGAAUAGUGACUAGUGAUUCACUAUUCACUUUUACACCAUCUUGCCCAAACUUCUCUAAUCUUACUGUGGUAACUCUCCAAAGUUACUGUCUGACCCAAAUCUUCUCUAAAUGGUGUCUAAGUCCCUACUGGACUUAACCCUAUCUUUGCACACUCAUCAGACCACUUCUGAAGCCUUAAGACUCUCCCAAAGCCUUAACAUACAAUCUCUGAAGAUCUUGCCAUGUCUUUGCACAAGCACCAACUCAACUCAUCACUUUUGCUUCUCCACUUCUUCUCUUCAAGUUAACACUCCCCCUCAAGCUUGACUCUAGCUGAUCCUAAGUCAAGCUUGGAACCUUGAAGAACUUCCUCAUUAAAAACCUCACCAAGGAAAACCCUUUGGGACAAAACCUUGAUGAGGGAAAAAGAGUAAAGUCUCCAAGACCUAGGGAUUGGCCAGUGAGUCUUUGUGCCUUACCAACAAUGUAAGGGACACAAAGACUCUGGAUCAUGGCCUCUACAAUCAUCCCACGCCUUGUACUCUCCUUACUGCCUAAUCUUGGUCUCUCCCCCUUUCACCUAACCUCUUGUUAGGUUGAAGUGCUCGGACACACCAGAUCAGCCUCUUCUUGGAGAUACAACUUCUCUUACUGAGUCUUGGCUGCUUCUUCUUCUUAUAGAGUCGCCACCUUGUUGCUUGAGCUACAUGAGGAUGCUUCAGCCACUCUCCAGUCACCUCAACACUUGAAGCCGCCUUGGAUAUUGCUUCUUCAUCCUUCAUCAUACUUCUCAACAGGUUGCUUCCUCUUCUAGAAUAACCACCAAGCUCUCUUGGAUCAUGUAAGCUUCAACACUCCCCCUCAAGCUUGAGACUCUCACAGGAACAAGCUUGAAUGGAUUGCUUCAUGAUCCUCACACACACACCAUGGCCGCUUCUCUUCUGAUCUUGCCAUCUUCAUGGAAUGCUUGUGGAAGCUUCAGCUAUCUCUCCAAUCACUUCACACUAGAAGCCGCCUUGAUAGAGUUGCCUUCAUCUUCUCACAGCCAAGAGUACUCUGUCUUAGUUUGAGUACUCUCUUGAAUAGACUCGCCACAGCCUAAGCCCGGAUGGCUCCUUCUUCAGAUGGUUGCAAUGGACUUCUUGGAUCGCUUGGAAGCUCACUAAACUCCCCUCCUCAAGCUUGGAUUGAGUAUAGGUCCAAGCUUGCAAGUGAGCUUCAGUGAGACUUCACACCAGUGGCGCAUCACCACUUCUUUCUCAACUCUCCAUUGCUCCACACAAUGGGCAAAGUCUUCCUCUUCCAACUCGGAUGGAUGGUGAACCAAGAACACCUCUUGUGAACCUGAAACAUCACUCAAACUCCAGCAAAGAUAAGACACAAGUGCAUUGGGUCAACCCUUGAUGCAUCAUCAAGUUUGAACACCAAUGUCUUUAAGCAAUGCAACAGAUUAAACUAGACAUUUUCAAGUUCUAAUCUUUGCAAGCAAACUCUCUAAGCACUAGCAUGAUCCUAACAGAUUCAAUACAAGCUACUUAAGCAAUUUUUAAAGCUUCUUUACUCAGCAUUUAGACAUGAAUCUAAUGCUUCAAUGUAAGACAACCAUUUGACAGUAUGCACUAGCCUUAAUCAAUUUUAAUUCAAUGAAUGCAACAAUACAAUCCAUCACACAUUCAUUUAUAACUUAGGCUAAGCAUUACUAUCAUCACUUAUCAUCAGACAAUGCAUUACUUUCAAUCUGUUUUCAGUUCAUGAGCUUCAAACAAUAUCUUUUCACAUUUAGCAAACUCAUUACUUAACAGGAGCAAGCAUUUUACUCUUUAAACACUAAACAAGCCUUUAAAGCAUCCUGGGACAGAUUCAACUAAUUAUAUUUAGCAAUCACACAUUAUCCUCAGGUUUUUCAAUCAAUACACAUCACAAUAACCAGUCAACAACACACACAUUAUCAAGAAGGGAUAGUAAUAGCUUACAGCCAAGGAACCGGUUUGGUUCCUUGAACCUCCAAUGGCUUAUGGCUCACGGUUUUGUGGGACAUGAGAGCAUGGAUCGUCACCCAGCCUCUCCUCCUUCUACUCAUGGCCACCUUCUUGUUUCUACAGCUCAAACACCCCUCCUUUCUUCAUACAUCAAGUCGCCAUCUUCAUGACAUCUUCUCUUCUUGUAGCCGGAUGCUAGCAGCUCAUGGACAAGGAGUUUUGGCUUGAGGUUCAUGACGCCUCUCCAUCCUCCUUUGCUUCCAACGUGGCUCUUCAUCAAGGCAGGUAUGAGAAAGGAUUGAGGAACCAGAAUGACACGCCAAGCUUCAGUCUUCAUGGAGAAGCUGAACCGGAUGGAGCUGUCUUCUUCAUGGCUUGGAUUUGAGCUGAGGGAUGUGUGUGGGAUGUGCGGAAACUUCAACCAGGUUUUGAUGAACCUGGCUCUGAUACCAUGUGAGAUUUGAGAGCUCUGACUGUGUAUGUGUAUGAAAAGCCAUUAAAGGCAAAGAUAAGGUCUUGAACUAGUUGAAUAAGAGGUCUGAUGAAACUAGUAUGAACUUGAAUCAGAAACAAAGAGACUUUGAGAGAUUAAGAGAUUAGAGACUAAGAAAGGGGUAGAUUAAGGGAAUCUGAUCAAGAACACAUUUUUAUAAUUAUGAAGGAGAUGGGGAAACCAUCUAGUAUCCUUGCUCAUAUUGCUAGUUCACAUACCAUUAAGCCUUUAGUAGUUGAUUCUGGUGCAUCUCAUCAUAUGAUAAGUGAUACUAGUUUGAUUAAAAACAUUGUACCAAUGAAUGGAAAUGUGAUGAUAGCUAAUGGAGAUAAGAUACCUAUUAGAGGAAUAGGAAGUCUUAAACUGUUUGAUAAGGAAACUAAAGCCUUUUAUAUGCCUGAAUUUACUUCAAACUUGUUAUCUGUUAAGAAAUGUGCUACUGAUUUGCAAUGUAAUGUCAUAUUCAGUCCUAAUGAUGUGAAGUUUCAGGAUAUUAAAAGCAGCAAGAUGAUUGGAAAGGGAGUAACAAAAGGAGAACUAUAUUUGCUUGAAGAUCUUGCUCCUGUUUCUAGAUAUAGCUGCUCGUUUACUUCUGUUUCUGGUUCUAGUUUAAGUAAAAAUGCAUUGUGGCAUGCUAGAUUAGGACACCCUCAUAAUAAGGCUUUAAAACUGAUGUUGCCAGGUGUUUCCUUUGAGAAUAAUGAUUGUGAAGCUUGUAUUUUAGGCAAGCAUUGUAAGACUGUCUUUACUAAAUCUACUACGGUUUAUGAGAAGUGUUUUGAUUUGAUUCAUUCUGAUGUUUGGACUGCUCCUUGCUUAUCUAGAGACAAUCAAAAGUAUUAUGUAACCUUCAUUGAUGAAAAAUCCAAAUACACCUGGUUAACCUUAAUUCCAACCAAAGAUAGGGUACUUGAUGCAUUUAAGAACUUUCAAUCAUAUGUGACUAACCAUUAUAAUGCCAAGAUAAAGAUUUUCAGGUCAGAUAAUGGAGGAGAGUACACGGGACAAGCAUUCAAGCUCCACCUAUCUCAGCAUGGAAUCCUACAUCAGACAAGCUGUCCCUAUACUCCACAACAGAAUGGUGUGGCUGAGAGAAAGAAUAGGCAUCUGAUGGAAGUGGCCAGGUCCAUGAUGUUUCAAACCAAUGUACCCAAGAAGUUCUGGAGUGAUGCAGUCACUACAGCUUGUUAUCUCAUCAACAGAACACCAACUCUGAUUCUGCAAGGGUUAUCACCAUUUGAGGUAUUGAACCGAUACAAGCCCUCUUUGGAACAUAUGAAGAUCUUUGGGUGUUUGUGUUUUGUGAUGGUACCGGGAGAAUUAAGAAACAAGCUUGAAGCUAGGAGCUCCAAGGCAAUGUUUGUUGGAUACUCAUCAAGUCAGAAAGGAUACAAGUGCUAUGAUCCUAACACAAGGAGAGUGUUAGUAUCUAGAGAAGUGAAGUUUGUGGAAGAAAAAGGAUAUUAUGAGGAGCAGAUUCAAGAAGAUUUGAAAGAUCUCACUUCAGAUAGAGCUGCAACCUUGAGGAUAAUACUAGAAGGACUUGGAAUCAAUAUGGAUCAAGAACAGCAAGAAGUAAGAGGCACUACACCAAUACCGAAUCAUCAGACGUCCAAUCUUGAACAUGAGGGGGGGAAUGGAACAGAAACUCAAACUCAAAGUCAUGAAGAGAGUUCUGGUUCUCAUGAUCAAGCUGUGGAGUCAAAUGAUCAACAAGAAGGAGCUGAAGCAAGUCAGCUAAGGGAUGAAGGAGCUGAAGCAAGUCAGCCAAGAGAAGAAAGUACACAAGAAGAUGUACAAGACAUGGAGUUACCGGCACAAGAAGGGCCAGUGUUGAGAAGAAGUACAAGGCUGAGAAAGGAUCCUUCCAGUUGGGUAAACACGAGAGUGUACUACAAUGCUCAAGCUGUGAAGCAUCCUACUCAGGCCGUGUGUUCUUUCUCUCAAUAUCCAGAAGCACAUUGUGCAUUCAUGGUAAACUUAGAUGAGAAUCACAUUCCAAGAAGCUAUGAAGAGGCAAUGGAGGAUAAGGAAUGGAAGGAAUCAGUAGGAGCUGAGGCAGGAGCUAUGAUAAAGAAUGAUACAUGGUUUGAAAGUGAACUACCAAAAGGGAAGAAGGCAGUAUCUAGUAAAUGGAUCUUCACAAUCAAAUACAAAGCUGAUGGACAGAUUGAGAGGAAGAAGACUAGAUUAGUAGCAAGAGGGUUCACUCAAACAUAUGGAGAGGAUUACAUUGAGACAUUUGCACCAGUAGCCAAGUUACAUACCAUUAGAAUUGUACUAAGCUUGGCGGUUAACCUUGGAUGGGGAUUGUGGCAAAUGGAUGUGAAGAAUGCAUUCUUACAAGGAGAACUUGAGGAUGAAGUCUACAUGUAUCCUCCACCAGGUCUUGAACAUCUAGUGAAGAGAGGGAAUGUACUGAGGCUAAAGAAGGCUAUCUAUGGGUUGAAGCAAUCACCAAGAGCAUGGUACAACAAGUUGAGCACAACUCUGAACAGCCGAGGUUUUAAGAAGUCUGAAUUGGACCAUACUCUCUUUACCCUCACUACUCCUUCAGGUAUGGUUGCUCUCCUUGUGUAUGUGGAUGAUAUCAUUAUCACAGGAAGUGAUAAGGAAGGUAUCAAAGCAACCAAGGAGUUUCUAAAGUCUAUGUUUGAAAUAAAAGACUUGGGAGAAAUGAAAUACUUUCUUGGAAUUGAGAUUUGUAGAUCCAAGGAAGGUUUGUUCAUGUCCCAAAGGAAGUAUACACUUGAUCUUUUGAAAGGUGCAGGUGCUUAUGGAGGCAAGACAGCAAGGAUGCCAAUGGAAGAUGGCUACAAAGUACCAAGAGAGGGGGAGAUUGAAGACAGCAAGCCAUUUCAUGAUCCUAAACUCUAUAGAAAACUUGUUGGCAAAUUGAUUUAUCUAACCAUCACAAGACCUGAUAUAUGCUUUGCUGUGAAUCAGGUGAGUCAACACAUGCAGCUUCCCAAGGAACAUCACUGGCGUAUGGUGGAGAGGCUGCUGAUGUAUCUAAAUGGCUCGUCGGAUCAAGGUGUAUGGAUGGGGUGCAAUGGAAGCACAGAAGUGGUGGGCUAUUGUGAUGCUGAUUGGGCAGGUGAUAGAGCUGACAGAAGAUCAACAACCGGCUAUUGCACAUUCAUUGGAGGCAACUUGGUGACUUGGAAGAGUAAGAAACAGAAGGUGGUGUCAUGCUCUAGUGCAGAAGCUGAGUAUAGAGCUAUGCUGAAGCUUACAAACGAGCUAGUUUGGAUCAAGGGCAUCUUGAAGCAUUUGGAGAUAGCACAAGACACUCCAAUGACAAUGCAUUGUGACAACCAGGCCGCCAUUCACAUAGCCUCCAACUCGAUGUUCCAUGAGAGAACAAAGCACAUUGAGGUUGAUUGCCACAAGGUGAGGCAGAUGAUUGUCCUAGGAGUCAUCUUGCCAUGUUAUACUAGGAGUGAAGAUCAGUUGGCUGAUGUGUUUACCAAGGCUGCAAGGCAAAAGACAAUGGAGUCCAUUCAUAUUAGAUUGGGCCUCAUUGAUCUUCGGAAGAGAAGCAGCUGAUCCCCUUAGUCAUGAGAUCUUUACUCUUUUUCCCUCAUUAAGGUUUUGUCCCAAUGGGGUAGCUUCUCCUUUUACCCACGCAGCUUCAAUAACACCUCACACAACCAAUAGAACUCAGAAAGACUACCCAGAACCGCUUAAGAACACACGAACACCAAACUGUUUCUUCAAAGCUUCAAUCUUGAAUCUUUAAAGAACCUGUUGAGAUGAGCUGAGUAUAUGGAUAUGAAGAGAUAAGUAGUUGAAGAGAAGAGGAGAUGAAGUACUUAGGGAAGUUUGGGAGAGUAUGGUACGGCUGGACGUACAAGGCCGUACAAGGCCGUACAAGGCCGUACAAGCCGUACCAUCCAAACCUCAACCAAAACUUACCAUACCCUAUCCAAGUGAGACGGUAACUAAGGAGGAGUGACUUGGGUAGCUUAGGGAGUUGGAUCAGACCGUUGAGAGGAUAAGGCAAGAGCGUGCCAGGCUGGAACAGGCUGUAAAGAGCUGAAGCAUGUGAGCCAUCCUGACCAAUCAUUCAAAAGGCGCCCCUUGACUCCACACGGUUCAAUAGUGCCCAUUUCCCUUCUUGUAAACCCUUGUGUCUCUCUUAUAAAUAUGUAACCUCACUCAUUAAUAAAAUAAAGCAAGUUUUGAGUCUUUCUCUUAGUCUUUAAUCUCAAUGGUUCCAUAUUAGACUCAUAAUCUCAUUUCAUACUCUAAUCUUCUCUAAAUCGAUUCUAGUCUUUCCUAAACACUCAGAUUACUCUAAACAUUACUAAAACUAAUACCAUCAAGUCAUCCUGAAUCCAUUUCUUUCCAUCAGUCACCGCGAGCUCUCUUCCACCUUCUUCCGUACUGGCCACUGGUGCUGGAGCUUCAUCCGUGAUGUGACUCCAUAACCCUAGCCUCCCAAUGGCUGUCUUCACAAGCCUUGACCACAACAGGUAGUUUCCCCCACCCUUUAGUGAAAUCGGAACCGUGAUAACCUUGUUCCCUCCCAUCUUGAGUUGUUUGAUCUUUCCUUAGAACCCAAUGAGAAUAAUCUUUAUCUGAAGCUGAAGAACACAAGAUCUCAAUACCAAAGACAACCUGGCUCUGAUACCAUGUAAGUUUAGAGAAUAAGAAAGGUAUUGAGAGAUUAAAGAGAGUUUAAGAGUGAUUAUGAGAGAUUGAGGUGUUUAGGUGUAAGUGUAUGAGAUAAUCAUGAUGAACUAAAGAGAGACACUCAUAAACUCUUGUGUUAUUUCAUUAAUCAAUCAGGUUACAAUAUAUAUAUGAGAGAGAGCUAGGGCAUUUCGAAAUACAAGCAUGUGAAGUCAAGGAUAAGAUGAGAGACUAUGGGAAAAGUAACCAAUGGGAUGAGCCACAUGCUUGGACACCUUUUGCUUUUACUUUCCAGGCUGUCCUUAGCUGUAGCCGUGCCUUAUCCAUCUGAUUCAACGGACUGAUUGUGGAUAAGACUGUAACCAAGCUAAACUCCCAAGUUAACUUCACUUAGGUAACUUUGGACCAUCUCCAUUGCCCUAACUGUACGGCCUUGCCUUGUACGGCCUUGCCUUUUACGGCCUUGCUUUGUAUGGACACCUCAACCAUAUUCAACUUAACUCUUCUAUCCUUCUCUAAUACUCCAUGCCUUCACCCUGAUACCUCUUCUCUUCUCUUAUUUUGUUCAACAUCUAUGAGUCUCAAUCUGAUGUGAAUGGACUCCAUAGUCUUUUGUCUCGCAGCCUUGGUGAACACAUCAGCCAACUGAUCUUCACUUCUAGUAUAGCAAGGCAAGAUCACUCCUAGCACAAUCAUUUGUCUCACUUUGUGGCAAUCAACCUCAAUGUGCUUGGUUCUCUCAUGGAACACAGAGUUGGAUGCAAUGUGAAUGGCAGCCUGAUUGUCACAAUGCAUUGUCAUUGGAGUGGCUUGAUCAAUCUCCAAGUGCUUCAAGAUGCCUUUGAUCCACACCAACUCGUUUGUAAGCUUCAGCAUGGCUCUAUACUCAGCUUCAGCACUUGAACAUGAUACCACCUUCUGUUUCUUGCUCUUCCAAGUCACCAAGUUGCCUCCAAUGAAUGUGCAAUAGCCAGUAGUUGAUCUCCUGUCAGCUCUAUCUCCUGCCCAAUCAGCAUCACAAUACCCCACCACUUCUGUGCUUCCAUUGCAUCCCAUCCAAACCCCUUGAUCCGGCGAGCCAUUUAGAUACAUCAGCAGCCUCUCCACCAUACCAUAAGCACCUGCACCUUUCAAAAGAUCAAGUGUAUAUUUCCUUUGGGACAUGAACAAACCUUCCUUGGAUCUACAAAUCUCAAUUCCAAGAAAGUAUUUCAUUUCUCCCAAGUCUUUGAUUUCAAACAUAGACUUUAGAAACUCCUUGGUUGCUUUGAUACCUUCCUUAUCACUCCCUGUGAUAAUGAUAUCAUCCACAUACACAAGGAGAGCAACCAUACCUGAGGGUGUUGUGAGUGUAAAGAGAGUGUGAUCCAAUUCUGACUUCUUGAAGCCUCGGCCAUUCAGAGUUGUGCUCAACUUGUUAUACCAAGCUCUUGGUGAUUGCUUCAACCCAUAAAUGGCUUUCUUUAGCCUCAGUACAUUCCCUCUCUUCACUAGAUGUUCCAGACCUGGUGGAGGAUACAUAUAGACUUCAUCCUCAAGUUCUCCUUGUAGAAAUGCAUUCUUUACAUCCAUUUGCCACAAUCCCCAUCCAAGGUUCACAGCCAAGCUUAAAACAAUCCUAAUGGUGUGUAGCUUGGCUACUGGUGCAAAUGUCUCAAUGUAAUCCUCUCCAUAUGUUUGAGUAAACCCUCUUGCUACCAGUCUAGUCUUCUUCCUCUCAAUCGACCCAUCAGCCUUGUACUUGAUUGUAAAGAUCCAUCUACUGGACACAGCUUUCUUCCCUUUUGGUAGUUCACUCUCAUACCAUGUAUCAUUCUUUAUCAUAGCUCCUGCCUCAGCUCCUACUGAUUCCUUCCACUCCUUAUCCUCCAUUGCCUCUUCAUAGCUUCUUGGAAUGUGAUUCUCAUCCAAGUUUACCAUGAAUGCGCAAUGUGCUUCUGGAUAUUGAGCGAAAGAACACACGGCCUGAGUAGGAUGCUCCACAGCUUGGGCAUUGUAGUACACUCUUGUGUUUACCCAACUGGAAGGAUCCUUUCUCAGCCUUGUACUUCUUCUCAACAUUGGCCCUUCUUGUGCCAUCUCUUGUUCUUCUUCUUGUGGCAACACACUUGUUUCAGAUCUUUCUUCUCCUAGCUGACUUGCUUCAGCUCCCUCUUCUCUUAGCUGACUAUCUUCAGCUUCUUCUUGUUGAUCAUCUGAUUCCACAGCUUGAUCAUGAGAGCCAGAACUCUCUUCUCUACUUGUUUCUUCACGCUCAAGGUUUGGAGUUCUUGUUUCAUUCCCCCCUUCAUGCUCAAGGUUGGAAGUCUGAUGAUCUGGUGCUGGAGUCGUGCUUCUCCCCCCCUGAUGUCCUUGAUUCAUGUUGAUUCCAAGCCCUUCUAGGAUCAACCUCAAGGUUUCAGCUCUAUCAGAUGUAAGAUCCUUCAAAUCUUCUUGAAUCUGCUCCUCAUAAUAUCCUUUUUCUUCAACAAACUUUACUUCUCUAGAUACUAACACUCUCCUUGUGUUAGGAUCAUAGCACUUGUAUCCUUUCUGACUUGAUGAGUAUCCAAUGAACAUUGCCUUUGAACUAUUAGCUUCUAGCUUGUUUCUUAUCUCUCCAGGCACCAUCACAAAACACAAACAUCCAAAGAUCUUCAUAUGCUCGAGUGAAGGUUUGUACUGAUUCAAUACCUCAAAUGGUGAUUGUCCUUGAAGGAUCAGAGUUGGUGUCCUGUUGAUGAGAUAACAAGCCGUAGCAACUGCAUCACUCCAAAACUUCUUAGGCACAUUGGAUUGAAACAUCAUGGACCUGGCUACUUCCAUCAAGUGCUUGUUCUUCCUUUCAGCCACACCAUUCUGUUGUGGUGUAUAGGGACAGCUUGUCUGAUGAAGUAUUCCAUGUUGAGAUAGAUGUAGCUUGAAUGCUUGUCCCGUGUACUCUCCUCCAUUAUCUGACCUAAAAAUUUUUAUCUUGGCAUUGUAAUGGUUAGUCACAUAGGCUUGAAAUUUUUUAAAUGCAUCAAGUACCCUAUCUUUGGUUGGAAUUAAAGUUAACCAGGUGUAUUUGGAUUUUUCAUCAAUGAAAGUUACAUAGUACUUAUGAUUGUCUCUAGAAAGGCAAGGUGCAGUCCAAACAUCAGAAUGAAUAAGAUCAAAACAUUUUUCAUAAACAGUAGUAGACUUGGUAAAGACAGUUCUACAAUGCUUGCCCAAGAUGCAAGCUUCACACUCAUUAUUCUCAAAGGAAACACCUGGCAACAUCAGUUUUAAAGCCUUAUUAUGAGGGUGUCCUAAUCUAGCAUGCCACAAUGCAUUUUUACUUAAACUAGAACCAGAAACAGAAGUAAACGAGCAGCUAUAACUAGAAACAGGAGCAAGAUCUUUGAGUAAAUACAAUUCUCCUUUAGUCACUCCCUUUCCAAUCAUCUUGCUGCUUUUAAUAUCCUGAAACUUCACAUCAUUAGGACUGAAUAUGACAUUGCAUUGCAAGUCAGUAGCACAUUUCUUAACAGAUAACAAGUUUGAAGUAAAUUCAGGCAUAUAAAAGGCUUUAGUCUCCUUACCAAACAGUUUAAGACUUCCUAUUCCUCUAAUAGGUAUCUUAUCUCCAUUAGCUAUCAUCACAUUACCAUUCAUUGGUACAAUGUCUUUAAUUAAACUAGUGUCACUUAUCAUAUGAUGAGAUGCACCAGAAUCAACUACUAAAGGCUUAAUGGUAUGUGAACUAGCAAUAUGAGCAAGGAUACUAGACGGUUUGAAUACAUGAUCUGUGAGAUUUUCAGAGAACUCAGGCUGUGUGUUUGUGUGAAACCCAAUAGGGCAGAGAGAGAGAGAGAGAGAGAGAGUUUGAUUUAGGUGAUUUAGAGAGAGAUAGAUUAGUGGAAGUGUUUAUGAGUGAUUAAGUGUUUACUCAGAUCAGAAACAAAAGACUUUGAGAGAUUAGGAGAUUAGAGACUAAGAAAGGGAGAGAUUAAGGGAUUCUGAUCCAAGAACACUUUUCUAUUAUGAAGGAGAAGGGGAAAUCCCCCUAACUCUCUUAAGAGUUACAAAUUGCCUCAUACAUCUCUUUAUAUAGGCUUUUACAAUCUGAGACAUCUUAAACCUAUAUCUAAUGGCUGUAAAUAACUUAAGAGGAAUGGAUGCUGUAGAUGAGCUGGUCUUGUUGCAAUCUGAGUAGUUGAUGCUGAUUGGUUAAGAGGAGGUGAAGCCUGAUUGGUUUAAUUCAAAAUGGGGAAGGCUGGAUGAUGAUUGGCUCUCCUUAGGCUCCUCCUAAUCUGUCCACAGAUCAGUCUAGGUUCAUGGUCGUGGCUCUCCUUGUCUUUACAGCCAAGGCCAGCCUGUCCCAUGACUAAAGUAGCCAAUCACACUGCAAUAGCAUCUUCUUGAUUCUCCUUUGAUGCCAUCUGAUCAGAACCUUAUCCACAAGGCUAGGACCACUUUUAUAACUCCCAAACCUUGCCCAGACAUUGCACAAGCUUUCCCGGGACGUCAGCCUCACCCUAUUUUUGCACCAACUCUAAAACUUCUCAAAUGGCCGAGUUAUGCAAAUCUGGGUCGCCCUGGUCCGUACGGAUCCGUACUGUCCGUACACGUCCGUACUGCCUCGCCCUAUCUUUGAACACUCGCCCAUUUGCUCCCAAAUACACUUCUAAGUCUCUCCUAGACUUGGCCCUAACUUUGCACAUCCAUCAGGACACUUCUGGACACCUUGCCCUAUCUUUUGCACAAGCCCCAACUCAACUCAACACCUUUAGUUUCUCCAUUUCUUCUCUUCAAGUUAACACUCCCCCUCAAGCUUGACUUUAGUUGAUCCUAAGUCAAGCUUGGAACCUUGAAGAACUUCCUCAUUAAAAACCUCACCAAGGAAAAUGAGGAAGAACUUCCUCAUUACCACAGUAAAACCAAAGUUACUGUGGUAACUCCAAAGUUACUGUCUGUCUCAAUCCUCAUUCUCUAUCAAUAUAGUCACUCUUUAUUACCUCAUCUCAACACUCCCCCUCAAGCUUGACCAUGUGGAACAAGUCAAGCUUGGAAACCAUGAAGACCUCCCUCAUUAAAAACCUCACCAAAGAAAACCCAUUGGGAUAAAACUUUGAUGAGGGAAAAAGAGUGGAGACUCCAUGGUUAAGGGGCUCAGCUCCUGGGAGUAAGAUCAAUGAGUCCAAGCCUUGAUAGUAUGGACUCCAUUGUCUUCAAUCUCGCUGCCUUAGUAAACACAUCUGCAAGCUGAUCUUCACUUCUUGUAUAACAUGGCAGAAUCACUCCUAAGAUUAUCAUCUGCCUCACCUUAUGACAAUCCACCUCUAUGUGCUUUGUUCUCUCAUGAAACACUGAGUUAGAGGCAAUGUGGAUAGCUGCUUGAUUGUCACAAUGCAUAGUCAUAGGAGUACUCUGCUCAAUCUCUAGAUGCUUCAAGAUCCCCUUGAUCCACACCAACUCGUUUGUCAGCUUCAACAUGGCUCUAUACUCAGCUUCAGCACUUGAACAGGAGAUAACCUUCUGCUUCUUACUCUUCCAAGUGACCAAGUUCCCUCCAAUGAAGGUACAAUACCCAGUAGUUGAUCUCCUGUCCACUCUAUCUCCUGCCCAAUCAGCAUCACAAUAACCAACCACUUCUGUACUGCCAUUGCAGCCCAUCCAAACUCCUUGUCCAACCGUCUCACUCAGAUACCUUAGUAUCCUAUCAACCAUCUUCCAAUGAUGGACCUUUGGCGCCUGCAUAUGUUGACUCACUUGAUUCACAGCAAAGCAUAUAUCUGGCCUAGUAAUUGUCAAGUAGAUCAGCUUGCCAACCAUCUUCCUGUAUAGCUUAGGGUCCUCAAACAGCUGCUUCUCUUCAACCUCCCCCUCACGCAGAACCUUAUAUCCCUCCUCAAGAGGUGUCUUGGCUAUCUUUCCUCCAAGCACAUUAGUCUCUUUCAACAUAUCCAUAGUAUACUUCCUUUGAGACAUAAACAAACCCUCCUUUGAUCUGCAUAUCUCAAUGCCCAGAAAAUACUUCAUCUCUCCCAAAUCCUUGAUGUCAAACACAGAUUUGAGAAACUCCUUAGUAGCCUGAAUCCCUGCCUUAUCACUUCCUGUGAUAAUCAAAUCAUCCACAUACACUAGAAUCACAAUGCUCCCUGAAGGUCCUGUCAAGGUGAAGAGAGUGUGAUCUAGUUCAGACUUCCUAAAGCCUCUCCCAUUGAGUGUUGUACUCAGCUUCCUGUACCAAGCUCUAGGUGACUGUUUCAACCCAUAUAUUGCUUUCUUCAAUCUCAAAACAUUCCCUGGCUUUACUAGAUGCUCAAGACCAGGAGGUGGAUGCAUGUAUACUUCAUCUUCAAGUUCACCUUGCAAGAACGCAUUCUUAACAUCCAUUUGCCACAAAUCCCACUCCAAGUUUGUUGCAAUGGAUAACACAAUUCGAAUUGUGUGAAGCUUGGCCACUGGUGCAAAAGUGUCAAUGUAAUCUUCCCCAUAAGUCUGUGUAAAUCCUCUUGCAACCAGCCUGGUCUUGCGCCUAUCUAUCUCCCCAUUUGCAAGAUACUUGAUGGUGAAGAUCCAUCUGCUUGAAACUGCCUUCUUCCCUUUAGGUAACUCACUCUCAUACCAAGUGUCAUUCCUGAUCAUUGCAUCCCUUUCAUAUCCUACUGAAUCUCUCCAAACCUUGUGCUUCAUAGCUUCUUCAUAAGAUCUUGGUAUCUCAUUCUCAUCCAAGUUACACAUAAACACCAUGUGCUCUUCUGGAUAUUCUGCAAAGUAAGAGUUUUAGAUAAUCUGAGUUUGUAUGUGAAAGAGUAGAAUGAUUUAGGAUGAAUAAGGAGAUGAUUAUGUGAUUAGAUGACUAGUGAGGAAUCAUUAUGAAAGACUAGAGUGAUUAAUUGGAUAGAACUGUCUGAUCUCUUAUUAAUGAGGAGAUUACAUAUUUAUACUUAGAGGACAUAGGGUUUUCGAAAUGGGUUAAGGUAGCUUAAGCAUGUGAAGUCAAAUGGUAAGAGCUGGCCGGUUUUGAAUCCGUCCAAUAGGGGCCAUCACACGUUUGAUCCCUUUAGCAUCUUGGAUCAGAUGCCAAACACCUUUACAGCCUGUCCCAGCUGUAAAGCCGCGCCUCCUCUUAUCCAUAAACGGUCAUCUCCCUUCUUUGGCCGUGACCUUCCCUUUGCAUAAGUGUCUUUGGCCUUUCCCUCCUUCUUGUUGUUCAAUCUCUUAUUUACCGUGGUAACUCCAAAUGGUACGGACAUGGUAACUCCGUACACUUCACCCUGAACUUCAUCUCCUCAUCCCUUUCAUUACCCAAGCCUCUCUAAGCCUUCAUCUCAACUCCUCAUCUCAACACUCCCCCUCAAGCUUAGCUUUGUGAAAGCCUAAGCUUGGAUAGCCAUGAGAUCUUCCUCAUUAAAAACCUCACCAAGGAAAACCCAUUGGGAUAAAACCUUGAUGAGGGAAAAAGAGUAAAGACCUCACAGCCAAGGGGAUCAGCUCCUUCUCUUCCCAAGAUCAAUGAGUCCCAAUCUGAUAUGAAUGGACUCCAUUGUCUUUUGUCUUGCAGCCUUAGUGAACACAUCAGCCAACUGAUCUUCACUCCUAGUGUAGCAUGGCAAGAUAACUCCUAGGACAAUCAUCUGCCUCACCUUGUGACAAUCAACUUCAAUGUGCUUGGUUCUCUCAUGAAACACCGAGUUGGAAGCAAUGUGAAUAGCUGCUUGGUUAUCACAAUGCAUUGUCAUUGGCGUGGCUUGAUCAAUCUCCAAAUGCUUCAAGAUGCCUUUGAUCCACACCAGCUCGUUGGUAAGCUUCAGCAUAGCUCUAUACUCAGCUUCUGCACUUGAGCAAGAGACCACCUUCUGCUUCUUACUCUUCCACGUAACCAAGUUGCCUCCAAUGAAUGUGCAAUAGCCUGUGGUUGAUCUCCUGUCUGCUCUAUCACCAGCCCAAUCCGCAUCACAGUAUCCAACCACUUCAGUGCUCCCAUUGCAACCCAUCCAUACUCCUUGAUCAGGUGAGCCGUUGAGAUACAUCAAGAUUCUCUCCACCAUACGCCAAUGAUGCUCCUUAGGCACUUGCAUGUGUUGACUCACCUGAUUCACAGCAAAACAAAUGUCAGGUCUAGUUAUGGUAAGGUAAAUCAAUUUACCAACAAGUUUUCUAUAGAGUUUAGGAUCCUGAUAAGGUUUGCUAUCUUCAAUCUCCCCCUCUCGUGGGACUUUGUAGCCAUCCUCCAUAGGCAUCCUUGCUGUCUUGCCUCCAUAAGCACCUGCACCUUUCAAAAGAUCAAGUGUAUACUUCCUUUGGGACAUGAAUAAACCUUCCUUGGAUCUACAUAUCUCAAUUCCAAGAAAGUAUUUCAUUUCUCCCAAGUCUUUAAUCUCAAACAUGGAUUUAAGGAACUCCUUGGUUGCUAUGAUACCUUCCUUAUCACUUCCUGUGAUAAUGAUGUCAUCAACAUACACAAGGAGUGUAAUCAUACCUGAGGGAGUUGUGAGUGUGAAGAGAGUGUGAUCUAGUUCAGACUUCUUGAAACCUCGGCCAUUAAGAGUAGUGCUCAGCUUGUUAUACCAAGCUCUUGGUGAUUGUUUCAGCCCAUAGAUAGCUUUCUUCAGUCUCAACACAUUCCCUUUCUUUACUAAGUGUUCCAAGCCUGGAGGUGGAUGCAUAUACACUUCAUCCUCAAGCUCUCCUUGUAGAAAUGCAUUCUUCACAUCCAUUUGCCAUAAGCCCCAUCCAAGAUUCACAGCCAAGCUUAAUACAAUCCGGAUUGUGUGUAGCUUAGCCACUGGUGCAAAGGUCUCAAUGUAAUCUUCUCCAUACGUUUGAGUAAAGCCUCUUGCAACCAGUCUUGACUUCUUCCUCUCAACUUGACCAUCAGCCUUAUACUUGAUUGUGAAGAUCCAUCUACUAGUCACAGCCUUCUUCCCUUUAGGUAACUCACUCUCAUACCAUGUAUCAUUCUUGAUCAUGGCUCCUGCCUCAGCUCCAACUGAUUCCUUCCACUCCUUGUCUUGUAUUGCCUCUUCAUAGCUUCUUGGGACAUAACCCUCAUCCAGAUUUACCAUAAAUGCGCAAUGUGCUUUAGGAUAUUGAGCAAAGGAGCACACAGCUUGAGAAGGAUGCUCCACUGCUUGGGCAUUGUAGUACACUCUCGUGUUCACCCAAGAGGAAGGAUCCUUCCUCACUCUUGUGCUUCUCCUCAAUUCUGGUUGUUGAACUCUCACUGUUUGCUCUUGAACGUCUGGUUCUUCUUCUACAUCCUCAACUGAUGCUUCUACUUCUCUUUGUUCCUGCUCACCUUGAUUGUGAGAGCCUGAACUCAUCUCCAUUUGUUCCUGAUUCAAGCCGGCUUCAUCACCAUCUCGGCCUAAACUUGUCUCCAUUCCUUCCUCAUUCAAGCCGGCUCCUUCUUGGCCACUUUCUUGAACUUCAGGCUCAUUUCCCCCCUCACGAUCAUGGUGAGAGUCUCCAUGUUGUUCUCUUUGACCAUAGUUCUGAUCCUGGGACAUCUUGAUUCCUAGCCCCUCUAGGAUAAUCCUUAACACCCCAGCCUUAUCUGAGGUGAGAUCCUUCAAGUCUUCCUGAUUCUUCUCAUCAUAAUACCCACGGGAUUCAAUGAACUUUACAUCUCUAGAUGUAAGUACUCUUCUUGUGACAGGAUCAUAACAUCUAUAACCCUUUUGAGUGGUUGAAUAUCCAAUAAACAUGGCUUUGGUGCUUCUCGCUUCAAGCUUGUUGCGCAGCUCUCCUGGAAUCAACACAUAACACAAGCAUCCAAAGACUCUCAAGUAAUCUAGAACCGGCUUGUGUUUGUUCAAUACUUCAAAUGGAGCAUGAUCAUCCAAAACUCUAGUAGGAGUCCUGUUGAUCAGAUAACAUGCUGUGGAGACAGCAUCACUCCAAAACUUCUUGGGAACAUUUGCUUGAAGCAUGAGAGACCUUGCCACUUCCAUUAGAUGCCUGUUCUUUCUCUCAGCCACACCAUUUUGCUGAGGAGUAUAUGGGCAGCUAGUUUGAUGAAGUACUCCAUGUUGAGCUAGGUGCUGCUUGAACGCCAAGCUUGUAUACUCUCCUCCAUUAUCUGAUCUAAAAAUUUUAAUCUUUGCAUGAUAAUGGUUAGUCACAUAAGCUUGAAAGUUUUUAAAUGCAUCAAGUACCCUAUCUUUGGUUUGAAUUAAGGUUAACCAGGUGUAUUUGGAUUUUUCAUCAAUGAAUGUGACAAAGUAUUUAUAAUUAUCCCUUGACAAACAAGGUGCAGUCCACACAUCAGAAUGAAUCAAAUCAAAGCAAUUUUCAUAGACCGUUGAAGAUUUUGGAAACACAUUCUUACAAUGCUUGCCUAAGAUACAUGCUUCACAAUCUUUAUUCUCAUAAAUAACACCUGGUACCAUUAAGUUCAAAGGUUUAGCAUGAGGGUGACCUAGUCUAGCAUGCCACAAUGCAUUCUUAUUUAAACUAGUGACAGAAUCAGAAGCAAAUGUAAAUGAACAACAAUGACUAGGAUCAGAAGCAAUAUCUUCAAGUAAAUAAAGGUCUCCUUUAGUAACUCCUUUCCCAAUCAUCUUGCUGCUCUCAAUAUCCUGAAACUUCACAUCAUUAGGACUGAAUAUAACAUUACAUUGCAAGUCAGUAGUGCAUCUCUUAACUGACAAUAGAUUAGAUGUGAACUCAGGCAUAUAGAAGGCUUUAGAUUCUUUUUCAAACAACUUAAGUUUUCCUAUUCCUUUUAUGGAAAUCUUAUCACCAUUAGCAAUCAUAACAUGUCCAUUUGCAGGUUGAAUGUCCUUAAUCAAUCUAGUGUCACUUAUCAUGUGAUGAGAUGCACCAGAAUCAACUAUUAAUGCUUUAGACAUGUUUCUAGCAAUAUGAGCUUGACAGAGGAUACUAUCUGGUUUAUAUCCAUUUCCUAUACUCUUGAGUGUACUUUCAGUCCUAUCAAGUCUAGGUUCAUUCUCAACACAAUCAGACACACUCUUGAUCAUAGAUGCACCAAAUGAAUAACCAAGGUUGAUACUACUUUUGUUACCGUUUUCCUUGAGCAUCUUGAUGAAGGCGUCCAUGUCUGAGCGCCGGAUGUAGUCAUUGUUGCUUGAACCUCCAGUGUACGCCACCAGUGACUUUCCAUCACCCACCUCACGCACUUCUCCUUCACUUGUCCUGCUUGAGGAGCCAGCACCCAUAGAGCUCUCAGUCAUAUGUGCUCUUGCUUCCUUCUCCUUUAAGAACUUCGCCGGCUUCAAGUGAGGGUGGAGUAUCCAGCAUUGACUCUUCUUGUGUCCAUGCUUCUUGCAGUGAUCACAAUUCCGAUUGAACCUCUUGUCUUCAUACUUGCCAUGAACUGCCUUGUUAGCUUGAGGAGCUUCAGUCUGAUUCACUUGGGACGCAUGAUUUGCCAAUGUGAGUUCUCCUUUGCCUCCAAACAGUCCAAUGGAGCCUUGUUCUUUCUGAAUCUGUGCACACACGUCCUCUAGAUCAGGUAGCUUAUCAGCUCUCAACAUGUGCUUGAUGAGACUGUUGUAGGCCGGGUUUAGUGUGAGAAGCAAGCCGAACACUUUGUCUUGUUCCCGCCUCUCAUUCAACUGAUCUGGAUCAGUUGUACUCGGCCUCAACAUCUCUAGCUCUGACCACAACGCCCUGAAUCUUCCCAAAUGCUUGGUGAACUCCAUGUCUUCUUGUGCAAGAUUGUUGAUGGCUUGCUUUACCUCAAAGACACGGCUCAGGUUCGAAAUGUUCCCAUACACCUUCUUCAAGGUGUCCCACAGCUCCUUGGCUGACUCACAGUAGCUGUAUGCCUCCAAUAUCGCUGGCUCCAACGACCCAUGAAGAACAGACAUCACCACCAUGUCUUCCUGCUGCCACUUCUCUACAGCAUCAACUGAGACCCCCUCUUGGUCUUCUUCCUGAGUAAUGAGCUUUGGAGCUUCACCGGUUGUGAUAUGACUCCACAAGCCCUUACUCCCAAUGGUUGUCUUCACCAGCCGGGACCAAACCAAGUAGUUGCUUCCCUUGAAGGUAAUCGCCACUUUCAUCUUCAUGUUCUCCAUCUUGUCACAGCUUAACUUCAAAAACUUGAGAGGGAUGGAGCUUUGAACGGAUGACUCUUGUAUGAAUGGAUCUUAACUUGUUUAGAACUCGCGCACACACCAAAUGAACACCCUUGAGCUCUGAUCUUCCUUGGAUGGCUUCAAAGCUUCACCUUUGUUCUUCAGUGUAUCAAAAUAAGAACUCAGAUUCUUUGUAACCUGGCUCUGAUACCAUAAGAGUUUUAGAUAAUCUGAGUUUGUAUGUGAAAGAGUAGAAUGAUUUAGGAUGAAUAAGGAGAUGAUUAUGUGAUUAGAUGACUAGUGAGGAAUCAUUAUGAAAGACUAGAGUGAUUAAUUGGAUAGAACUGUCUGAUCUCUUAUUAAUGAGGAGAUUACAUAUUUAUACUUAGAGGACAUAGGGUUUUCGAAAUGGGUUAAGGUAGCUUAAGCAUGUGAAGUCAAAUGGUAAGAGCUGGCCGGUUUUGAAUCCGUCCAAUAGGGGCCAUCACACGUUUGAUCCCUUUAGCAUCUUGGAUCAGAUGCCAAACACCUUUACAGCCUGUCCCAGCUGUAAAGCCGCGCCUCCUCUUAUCCAUAAACGGUCAUCUCCCUUCUUUGGCCGUGACCUUCCCUUUGCAUAAGUGUCUUUGGCCUUUCCCUCCUUCUUGUUGUUCAAUCUCUUAUUUACCGUGGUAACUCCAAAUGGUACGGACAUGGUAACUCCGUACACUUCACCCUGAACUUCAUCUCCUCAUCCCUUUCAUUACCCAAGCCUCUCUAAGCCUUCAUCUCAACUCCUCAUCUCAACACUUUUCCAAUCAAUUGGCUGCUCUCAAUAUCCUGAAACUUCACCUCAUUAGGACUGAAUAUAACAUUGCAAUUAAGGUCUGUAGUACACUUCUUUACAGAUAAUAGAUUUGAUGUGAAGUCAGGCAUAUAAAAUGCUUUAGAGUCUUUAUCAAACAAUUUUAGCUUGCCAAUUCCUCUAAUUGGGAUUUUAUCUCCAUUUGCAAUCAUGACAUGUCCAUUUGUAGGUUCAAUGUCUCUAAUCAAACUAGUAUCACUAAUCAUAUGAUGAGAUGCUCCUGAAUCAACUACCAAUGGUUUAAACAGAUUGUGUGCAAUAUGAGACUGUCCUAGUAUGCUAGUAGGUUUAUAAACAAUGCUUGAAUGAUCAGGUUCUCUAGCAAUACUACACGAUUCAUAUAGUGCACCAAAGGAGUAACCAAGAGUACCAAGUGUGUUACCAUUCUCCUUUAGCAUUUUGAUGAGGGAGUCAAGGUCUGAUCUCCUUAGGUACUCGUUCUCACGGUUGUUCUGAAGGCUCGGCUGAGGUGUGUAAGUCACCAGGGCCUUGCUAUCUCCAGGCUCACGUGUCCCGCCCUCUCCAGCUUGGCCUGAGCUUCCAGCCACACUUGAACUUCCCGGCUCACUUCCAGCAUACGAGACAUUGGCUCUCCCAUCUUUCUCUCUUGAGAACUUGGCCGGCUUCAGAUGAGGAUGUAAGAUCCAGCACUGGUUCUUCUUGUGACCUUGUCUCUUGCAAUGAUCACAAUUUCCCAUGAACUUCUUUGCAUCAUACUGGUUAGAGCUCGCACGGUUUGCUUGCGGAACCUCAGCUUGGUUUGCAAGUGUGAUCUCUCCUUUCCCUCCAAAGAGACCGAUAGAACCUUCCUCCUUCUGAACUUGUGCACACACUUCCUCAAGGUCAGGUAACUUCCCGGACCUCAGAAUGUGUUUGAUGAGACUGUUGUAGCUUGGAUUCAGCGUGAGCAGCAACCCAAACACCUUGUCCUGCUCGCGUCUCUCAGCCAGCUCAUCUAGGUUGGUUGUGCCUGGCCUCAGCAUCUCCAGUUCAGACCACAAGGCUCUGAACCUCCCAAGGUGCUUAGUAAACUCCAUGUCCUCCUGUGUCAAGCUGUUGAUAGCACGUUUCACUUCAAACACACGGCUCAAGUUUGAGAUGUUACCAUAAACCUUCUUUAGCGUGUCCCAAAGAUCCUUUGCUGUCUCACAGUAGCUGUAUGCCUCCAGGAUAGACACUUCAAGAGACCGUUGGAGUAUAGACAUCACCAGCUGAUCAUCUUGCUCCCACUUCUCUUCAUCGCACUCGACAAUCUCCUUGUCGCCUUCAUAAGUAAUGAGCUUUGGGGCUUCACUCUGUGUGAUGUGUCCCCAUAAACCCUUACUCCCCACUGCUGUCUUCACCAAACGAGACCACAAAAGGUAGUUACCCCCCUUGAGAGUAACCGGAACCACUGCCUUGUUGCUUUCCAUUUCAGAAUCACCCGGAUGAAAGCUAAGUGGCUAGUGUGUUCUUGAGUGUUCUAGUACUCAAACCCAGAUUAUGAUGAACCUGGCUCUGAUACCAUAUAAGUUUUAGAGAAUCUGAGUUUGAUAUAAGGAAAGAAAGAGAUUAGAAAGAGUCUAGAGGUGAUUUAGAACGAGUUUAGCUAAGAGUUUAGUGUAUGAUCAUGAUUGAGAGCCUUUGAGUCUAAGAGAGUGUUUUGGUGUCAAGAACUGUCUAAUCUUUUAUUAAGAGCAUGAGUUACAAUAUAUAGUGUGAGCAUACAAGGGUUUUCGAAAUCCAGAGAAGACUAAAGCAUGUGAAGUCAAUGUGGAAAGGAUAAGCUCAUUUGAACUAGCCAAUUAGCUUCUCCACAUGCGCGGAGUAUCUAGCAUCUUGGACCGAGAUGCUCUUGCCUUUCCAGCUGUUCCAGCCUGUCAAGGCGCGCUCUUCCUUAUCCCUCAACGGUCUGAUCUAUCCAGGUAAGUUCCUUCCCUUCCCAUAAGUUACCCCAAGUAACUUCUUUACUCUUGUCAAUGUUUUACUCAUCUCCAUGUGUACGGAUGGUACGGUCAUGUACGGACAGUACGGACCUUACCCAAACCUUCCCAAGAUUCAACUCAUCUCCUUAGUCUCAACUCCUCACUUGCUCCACAUAUACUCAACUCAUCCCAACAUCUCCCCCUUUCACCUAACUUCUUGUUAGGUUGAAGUGUUUGGACACACCAGAUCUUCCUUGAUAGAUACAAGUACUCCCUUGUUUAGAUGGUGAGGAGUGGCUGCUCUUCACUAGCCACUUGAAUCCCUCACUUCUGAAACUCCAUCUGAUCAGUGAAGCCACUUCAACACUCCCCCUCAAGCUUGAGACCUCUUGCAAGGAUCAAGCUUGGACAGCAAGAAGGCUUCAUGAUCUGGACUGAACAAACCAUUGCAACCUCUCUUCAUAACUUGCCACCCUUUAUGGACUGCUGGUAGAUACCUCAGUUCCCUCUUCAAUCACCUCACGCUAGAGGCCGCAUUGAUAGAGUAACCUUCUUCAUACACAGCCAAGACUGCUCUGAACAAUCUCUUGAGUAGACACGCUACUGCCUAAACCCGGGUUGGCUCCUUCUUCGGAAGCUUGCAAUGGUAAGGAGGAAACAGGUCACUGAGCUUCGAGAAUCUUCUGGUAGCUCACUUGAAUCCCCACCUCAAGCUUGACUGAGUCUAGGUUCAAGCUUGAAGUGAGCCUCAAUGAGACUCCAAACCGGGAGCGCAUCACUUCCUACAGCUGCGCUUAAGUCAACCGAUCUCCCAUUUCCUUCAGCUCCAAUGCCUUCAGGUCACCGGUCUCCUCAAGACUUAGGUGAUGACCUUUCCUUGUGUGUCUCCAUGAACCAGGAGCGCAUCACUAUCACUAGCUGCGCUUCUCAGCCGGCCAUACACACAAGCCACUCUCCAUUGCUUCAACAAUGGGCAAAGUCUUCCUCUUCUACUUGGAUGGAUGGUGAGCAAAGAACACUUCUUGUGAACCUGAAACAAAGGUAUUGGUAUCAAAGGUAUUGGUAUCAAUCCUUGACACAUCAUCAAGGUUGAUCACCAAUAUCACAAGCAUUGCAACAGAUUAUACAAGACACUUUCAAGUUCUAAUCUUUGCAAGCAAACUCUCUAAGCACAAGCACUUUCUUUUCCAGAUUUAUGCAAGCUACUUAGGCAUUUUUAACUUCUGCCUUAACUGCAUCUUAGACUUGAAUCAAAGUGCAUCAACCUAAGGCAGCAACAACACUCUACACUCCACUUUAAGCUCGGUUUCAAUUCAUGAAAGUAGUCAGGUUUAGACAAUACUACUAACUCCCUAACAGACAUUCAUUAUGAACCAGAUUCAAGCAACAAUUCUCAGUCACCAACCAACUCUUUUUAAGCAUCCUGGGACAGAUUCUAAACAUUUCAUAUCUAGCAAUCUUUAAACACAUCCUCAGGUUUUCACUCACAUCACAACAUCACAACCUGUUUAAUACAUCAUUCAGUUCACAUACACAAGCUUUAAACAAGAGAAAGAGGUUUCUUACAGCCAAGGAACUAGUGUUAGUUCCUUGAAACUCCAUAGAACAUGGCAAGACAGUGAGCUGUUGGUGUCGACCCCAACUUCUCCUUCUUCCAAGGACCUUUCUCUUGAACUCUCCAUGUCAAAGACCCCACCUUUCUUCAUGUUACACUCGCCACACCAGUACCAGAUGAAAGCUAUCACCUUUCUUCUUGGACAGUGAAUAAGAAACAGCUUGUACAAAGCUUUGAAGCUUGGUUGAUCAGACCACUUCCUGCCUUGUUUCCAAGAGCCUUCUUUCUUCAUGGGCGUCAUGAGAGGGUGAGAAACGACCACAUACAGCUUCUGGACACCAGGGAUGAACCCAUCUUCCACUUGAGAUGUUGAACAGCCGGCUGGAUCAUCUAAGCUUGGUCUUGGUUUCAAAACGACAUGAGAGGAGCUUGUGAGCUUUUGCGGAACCUAAGAACCAGAUCAGAUGAACCUGGCUCUGAUACCAUGUGAGAUUUUCAGAGAUCUCAGGCUGUGUGAAUUGUAUUUACUCAAAGAUCUUGCUCCUGUUUCUAGUUAUAGCUGCUCGUUUACUUCUGUUUCUGGUUCUAGUUUAAGUAAAAAUGCAUUGUGGCAUGCUAGAUUAGGACACCCUCAUUGUGAGAUUUUCAGAGAUCUCAGGCUGUGUGUUUGUGUGAAACCCAAUAGGGCAGAGAGAGAGUUUGAUUUAGGUGAUUUAGAGAGAGAUAGAUUAGUGGCAGUGUUUAUGAGUGAUUAAGUGUUUACUCAGAUCAGAAACAAAAGACUUUGAGAGAUUAGGAGAUUAGAGACUAAGAAAGGGAGAGAUUAAGGGAUUCUGAUCCAAGAACACUUUUCUAUUAUGAAGGAGAAGGGGAAAUCCCCCUAACUCUCUUAAGAGUUACAAAUUGCCUCAUACAUCUCUUUAUAUAGGCUUUUACAAUCUGAGACAUCUUAAACCUAUAUCUAAUGGCUGUAAAUAACUUAAGAGGAAUGGAUGGUGUAGAUGAGCUGGUCUUGUUGCAAUCUGAGUAGUUGCUGCUGAUUGGUUAAGAGGAGGUGAAGCCUGAUUGGUUUAAUUCAAAAUGGGGAAGGCUGGAUGAUGAUUGGCUCUCCUUAGGCUCCUCCUAAUCUGUCCACAGAUCAGUCUAGGUUCAUGGUCGUGGCUCUCCUUGUCUUUACAGCCAAGGCCAGCCUGUCCCAUGACUAAAGUAGCCAAUCACACUGCAAUGGCAUCUUCUUGAUUCUCCUUUGAUGCCAUCUGAUCAGAACCUUAUCCACAAGGCUAGGACCACUUUUAUAACUCCCAAACCUUGCCCAGACAUUGCACAAGCUUUCCCGGGACGUCAGCCUCACCCUAUUUUUGCACCAACUCUAAAACUUCUCAAAUGGCCGAGUUAUGCAAAUCUGGGUCGCCCUGGUCCGUACGGAUCCGUACUGUCCGUACACGUCCGUACUGCCUCGCCCUAUCUUUGAACACUCGCCCAUUUGCUCCCAAAUACACUUCUAAGUCUCUCCUAGACUUGGCCCUAACUUUGCACAUCCAUCAGGACACUUCUGGACACCUUGCCCUAUCUUUUGCACAAGCCCCAACUCAACUCAACACCUUUAGUUUCUCCAUUUCUUCUCUUCAAGUUAACACUCCCCCUCAAGCUUGACUUUAGUUGAUCCUAAGUCAAGCUUGGAACCUUGAAGAACUUCCUCAUUAAAAACCUCACCAAGGAAAACCCUUUGGGACAAAACCUUGAUGAGGGAAAAAGAGUAAAGUCUCCAAGGCCUAGGGAUUGGCCAGUGAGUCUUUGUGCCUUACCAACAAUGUAAGGGACACAAAGACUCUGGAUCAUGGCCCUCAUGUGAUGCAAGAUAGAACCCACUCUUCUUGCUCAUCAUCAACACUUCUUGUACUCUUCUUCAGACAGAUCUUGGUCUCUCCCCCUUUCACCUAACUUCUUGUUAGGUUGAAGUGUUUGGACACACCAGAUAUUCCUUGAUAGAUACAAGUACUCCCUUGUUUAGAUGGUGAGGAGUGGCUGCUCUUCACUAGCCACUUGAAUCCCUCACUUCUGAAGCUCCAUCUGAUCAGUGAAGCCACUUCAACACUCAUAAUAAGGCUUUAAAACUGAUGUUGCCAGGUGUUUCCUUUGAGAAUAAUGAGUGUGAAGCUUGCAUCUUGGGCAAGCAUUGUAGAACUGUCUAAUGNNNNNNNNNNNNNNNNNNGGCAAGCAUUGUAGAACUGUCUUUACCAAGUCUACUACUGUUUAUGAAAAAUGUUUUGAUCUUAUUCAUUCUGAUGUUUGGACUGCACCUUGCCUUUCCAGAGAUAAUCAUAAGUACUAUGUAACUUUCAUUGAUGAAAAAUCCAAAUACACCUGGUUAACUUUAAUUCCAACCAAAGAUAGGGUACUUGAUGCAUUUAAAAAUUUUCAAGCCUAUGUGACUAACCAUUACAAUGCCAAGAUAAAAAUUUUUAGGUCAGAUAAUGGAGGAGAGUACACGGGACAAGCAUUCAAGCUACAUCUAUCUCAACAUGGAAUACUUCAUCAGACAAGCUGUCCCUAUACACCACAACAGAAUGGUGUGGCUGAAAGGAAGAACAGGCACUUGAUGGAAGUAGCCAGGUCCAUGAUGUUUCAAUCCAAUGUGCCUUAGAAGUUUUGGAGUGAUGCAGUUGCUACGGCUUGUUAUCUCAUCAACAGGACACCAACUCUGAUCCUUCAAGGACAAUCACCAUUUGAGGUAUUGAAUCAGUACAAACCUUCACUCGAGCAUAUGAAGAUCUUUGGAUGUUUGUGUUUUGUGAUGGUGCCUGGAGAGAUAAGAAACAAGCUAGAAGCUAAUAGUUCAAAGGCAAUGUUCAUUGGAUACUCAUCAAGUCAGAAAGGAUACAAGUGCUAUGAUCCUAACACAAGGAGAGUGUUAGUAUCUAGAGAAGUGAAGUUUGUGGAAGAAAAAGGAUAUUAUGAGGAGCAGAUUCAAGAAGAUUUGAAAGAUCUCACUUCAGAUAGAGCUGCAACCUUGAGGAUAAUACUAGAAGGACUUGGAAUCAAUAUGGAUCAAGAACAGCAAGAAGUAAGAGGCACUACACCAAUACCGAAUCAUCAGACGUCCAACCUUGAACAUGAGGGGGGGAAUGGAACAGAAACUCAAACUCAAAGUCAUGAAGAGAGUUCUGGUUCUCAUGAUCAAGCUGUGGAGUCAAAUGAUCAACAAGAAGGAGCUGAAGCAAGUCAGCUAAGGGAUGAAGGAGCUGAAGCAAGUCAGCCAAGAGAAGAAAGUACACAAGAAGGUGUACAAGACAUGGAGUUACCGGCACAAGAAGGGCCAGUGUUGAGAAGAAGUACAAGGCUGAGAAAGGAUCCUUCCAGUUGGGUAAACACGAGAGUGUACUACAAUGCUCAAGCUGUGAAGCAUCCUACUCAGGCCGUGUGCUCUUUCUCUCAAUAUCCAGAAGCACAUGGUGCAUUCAUGGUAAACUUAGAUGAGAAUCACAUUCCAAGAAGCUAUGAAGAGGCAAUGGAGGAUAAGGAAUGGAAGGAAUCAGUAGGAGCUGAGGCAGGAGCUAUGAUAAAGAAUGAUACAUGGUUUGAAAGUGAACUACCAAAAGGGAAGAAGGCAGUAUCUAGUAAAUGGAUCUUCACAAUCAAAUACAAAGCUGAUGGACAGAUUGAGAGGAAGAAGACUAGAUUAGUAGCAAGAGGGUUCACUCAAACAUAUGGAGAGGAUUACAUUGAGACAUUUGCACCAGUAGCCAAGUUACACACCAUUAGAAUUGUACUAAGCUUGGCAGUUAACCUUGGAUGGGGAUUGUGGCAAAUGGAUGUGAAGAAUGCAUUCUUACAAGGAGAACUUGAGGAUGAAGUCUACAUGUAUCCUCCACCAGGUCUUGAACAUCUAGUGAAGAGAGGGAAUGUACUGAGGCUAAAGAAGGCUAUCUAUGGGUUGAAGCAAUCACCAAGGGCAUGGUACAACAAGUUGAGCACAACUCUAAACAGCCGAGGUUUUAAGAAGUCUGAAUUGGACCAUACUCUCUUUACCCUCACUACUCCCUCAGGUAUGGUUGCUCUCCUUGUGUAUGUGGAUGAUAUCAUUAUCACAGGAAGUGAUAAGGAAGGUAUCAAAGCAACCAAGGAGUUUCUAAAGUCUAUGUUUGAAAUAAAAGACUUGGGAGAAAUGAAAUACUUUCUUGGAAUUGAGAUUUGUAGAUCCAAGGAAGGUUUGUUCAUGUCCCAAAGGAAGUAUACACUUGAUCUUUUGAAAGGUGCAGGUGCUUAUGGAGGCAAGACAGCAAGGAUGCCAAUGGAAGAUGGCUACAAAGUACCAAGAGAGGGGGAGAUUGAAGACAGCAAGCCAUUUCAUGAUCCUAAACUCUAUAGAAAACUUGUUGGCAAAUUGAUUUAUCUAACCAUCACAAGACCUGAUAUAUGCUUUGCUGUGAAUCAGGUGAGUCAACACAUGCAGCUUCCCAAGGAACAUCAUUGGCGUAUGGUGGAGAGGCUGCUGAUGUAUCUAAAUGGCUCGCCGGAUCAAGGUGUAUGGAUGGGGUGCAAUGGAAGCACAGAAGUGGUGGGCUAUUGUGAUGCUGAUUGGGCAGGUGAUAGAGCUGACAGAAGAUCAACAACCGGCUAUUGCACAUUCAUUGGAGGCAACUUGGUGACUUGGAAGAGUAAGAAACAGAAGGUGGUGUCAUGCUCUAGUGCAGAAGCUGAAUAUAGAGCCAUGCUGAAGCUUACAAACGAGCUAGUUUGGAUCAAGGGCAUCUUGAAGCAUUUGGAGAUAGCACAAGACACUCCAAUGACAAUGCAUUGUGACAACCAGGCCGCCAUUCACAUAGCCUCCAACUCGGUGUUCCAUGAGAGAACAAAGCACAUUGAGGUUGAUUGCCACAAGGUGAGGCAGAUGAUUGUCCUAGGAGUCAUCUUGCCAUGUUAUACUAGGAGUGAAGAUCAGUUGGCUGAUGUAUUCACCAAGGCUGCAAGGCAAAAGACAAUGGAGUCCAUUCAUAUCAGAUUGGGCCUCAUUGAUCUUGGGAAGAGAAGCAGCUGAUCCCCUUAGUCAUGAGAUCUUUACUCUUUUUCCCUCAUUAAGGUUUUGUCCCAAUGGGUUUUCCUUAGUGAGGUUUUUAAUGAGGAAGAUCUCAUGGCUGUCCAAGCUUAGUCUUUCACAAAGCUAAGCUUGAGGGGGAGUGUUGAGAUGAAGAGUGUCAAGUGAAGAAUGGAGAUGAGGGUUGAGUAGAAUGAAGAAGAGGAAGGAUAGGAAGGUUUGGGAGCUUUGGGAUCAGCCUGUCCGUACAAGGCCGUACAUGGCCGUACAUGACAGGACAGGCCGUACAAGAUAGGAUCGACCAAAGCUCAACCAAACCUCACCAUAAGUUAUCCAAGUUACUUAAGUAAAGAGGAGAAGUUACCUUGGCCUUUGUGAGUGGAUCAGACCGUUGGAAAGGAUAAGGGAGAGUCUUGGACAGGCUGGCACAGCUGGACACGGAAAAGCAAAAGGUUGAGCCAGCUAAUGAAGGCUCACACGCGCGGCUCACCUCAUUGGACAAGUUUGAAAUGGCCAUUGACUCCACAUGCUUACCUUAUCCUCUUAAGCUACGAAAACCCUAGUCUCUUCUCUUAUAAAGUUGUAAACACUCUCAUUAAUAGAAUCAAGAAAGUUUUGAGUCUUUCUCUUAGUCUUUAAUCUCAAUGGUUCCAUAUUAGACUCAUAAUCUCAUUUCAUACUCUAAUCUUCUCUAAAUCGAUUCUAGUCUUUCCUAAACACUCAGAUUACUCUAAACAUUACUAAAAAUCUCAGUAAGAAGCCUGAUUUGGAUACAUAAAGUGGUGGAGAAUCACCAGGAAGUUGAAUAAAUCUCAUAGGAGUUGGCAUGAAGAAGUUAUCCCACUUUCAAAUCAGUUGAUUCCAGUUUCCCAGUUUGGUAAUAGAACAGCUUCGUCGUCGUUCCAAUCAAACCACGAUGAAUCUCUCGGUAAGAAGCUUGAUUUGGAUACAUAAAGUGGUGGAGAAUCACCAGGAAGUUGAAUAAAUCUCAUAGGAGUUGGGAUGAAGAAGUUAUCCCACUUUCAAAUCAGGUGAUUCCAGUUUCCCAGUUUGGGAAUAGCACAGCUUCUUCGUCGUUCCAAUCAAACUAGGAUGAAUCUCUUUGUAAGUGUUGAGAUGAAGAGUGUCAAGUGAAGAAUGGAGAUGAGGGUUGAGUAGAAUGAAGAAGAGGAAGGAUAGGAAGGUUUGGGAGCUUUGGGAUCAGCCUGUCCGUACAAGGCCGUACAAGAUAGGAUCGACCAAAGCUCAACCAAACCUCACCAUAAGUUAUCCAAGUUACUUAAGUAAAGAGGAGAAGUUACCUUGGCCUUUGUGAGUGGAUCAGACCGUUGGAAAGGAUAAGGGAGAGUCUUGGACAGGCUGGCACAGCUGGACAUGGAAAAGCAAAAGGUUGAGCCAGCUAAUGAAGGCUCACACGCGCGGCUCACCUCAUUGGACAAGUUUGAAAUGGCCAUUGACUCCACAUGCUUACCUUAUCCUCUUAAGCUACGAAAACCCUAGUCUCUUCUCUUAUAAAGUUGUAAACACUCUCAUUAAUAGAAUCAAGAAAGUUUUGAGUCUUUCUCUUAGUCUUUAAUCUCAAUGGUUCCAUAUUAGACUCAUAAUCUCAUUUCAUACUCUAAUCUUCUCUAAAUCGAUUCUAGUCUUUCCUAAACACUCAGAUUACUCUAAACAUUACUAAAAAUCUCAUGGUAUCAGAGCCAGGUUCGUGAAAACCUGAGUUCGUGUUAGGCUCUUUGGAGAUUCAAGAUUGAAGCUUUAAAGAGUUUGGUUGGUGUUCUUGUGUUCUUGGGAAGUUCCGGGUAUUGUCCGAGUUCAAAGACUAGUUCUUAGUGUGUUGCUAAAGCUGUGAGGUUGAAGACCGAGGCAGUGAGUGUUCUUACAAGUCUCUUAACCCAAGAUCCAGUUUGUGAAGUCUAGAGAAGUCAUCGUUCAUCAUGGAAAGUGGUAUGAACAUGAACAUGAAGGUAGCGGUUUGCUUCAAAGGAACCAACUACUUGGUGUGGUCUCGGAUGGUGAGAACCACAGUGGGAAGCAAAGGGCUUUGGAAGCACAUCACGCCAGGAGAAGCUCCAAAGCUCAUCACCCAAGGAGAAACUGAAGGAGAAGCCGCAAGCAAAGCGGAAGAGAAGUGGCAUCAGGAGGACAUGUUGGUGAUGUCAGUGCUGCAUGCUUCACUUGAGCCGGCGAUUCUAGAUGCAUACAGCUACUGUGAAUCAGCUAAAAAGCUGUGGGAUACGUUGAAGAAGGUGUAUGGGAAUACAUCAAACCUAAGCCGUGUGUUUGAAGUGAAGCAGGCUAUAAACAACUUGGUACAAGAGGAUAUGGAGUUCACCAAGCAUCUAGGGAGGUUCAGAACACUCUGGUCCGAGCUGGAGAUGUUGAGGCCAAGUACUACAGAUGCAGAUGAGCUCAACAAAAGAAGAGAGCAAGAUAAGGUCUUUGGGCUACUCCUCACCAUGAAUCCGGCUUACAAUGGUCUUAUCCAACACUUGCUUAGAGAGGACACACUACCUGAUCUUGAAGAAGUGUGCGCAAGGAUUCAGAAGGAACAAGGCUCUAUUGGAUUGUUUGGAAAGAAAGGAGAGCUAUCUCUCGUGAAUCAAGCAACUCAAGAGGAGGGAGGGGAAGCUCCACAAGCACACAAGGCUGCGCAUGGGAAGUAUGAUGAGAGGAGGUUCAAUGGGAACUGUGAUCACUGCAAGAAGCAUGGCCACAAGAAGAGCCAAUGCUGGAUACUCCAUCCCCAUCUCAAGCCAGCAAAGUUUAUGAAGGACAGAGAGGCAAGGGCUAAUGUCUCAGAUGGAGCAAGCGCAAGUGGAGCAGGUACUAGCAAAGGGAAGGAGAUAGAUGGGCGUGAAACAGGUGAUGGGAGGUCUCUUGUAGCCUACACUGGAGCCCCAAGCAACCGUGGGAACUAUGAUCAAGAGUAUCUAAGGAAAUCCGACCUGGAUGCUCUCAUUAAGCUCUUCAAGGAGCAUGGUAACAUUUUUGGGUAUUCCUUUGGGGCUAGGGCUAUAGGGAAUGAUGAGAAUUCAACUAGAAUUGAUAGGAUGCAUGAAAGUGUGAUAGAGAUAAUCAACCAAUCUAGAACGGCUAGUCUUGCUAGGAAUGAUCAUGCAUUCAAACCAUCUAGUAUCCUUGCUCAUAUUGCUAGUUCACAUGCCAUUAAGCCUUUAGUAGUUGAUUCUGGUGCAUCUCAUCAUAUGAUAAGUGACACUAGUUUGAUUAAAAACAUUGUACCAAUGAAUGGAAAUGUGAUGAUAGCUAAUGGAGAUAAGAUACCUAUUAGAGGAAUAGGAAGUCUUAAACUGUUUGAUAAGGAAACUAAAGCUUUUUAUAUGCCUGAAUUUACUUCAAACUUGUUAUCUGUUAAGAAAUGUGCUACUGAUUUGCAAUGUAAUGUCAUAUUCAGUCCUAAUGAUGUGAAGUUUCAGGAUAUUAAAAGCAGCAAAAUGAUUGGAAAGGGAGUGACUAAAGGAGAAUUGUAUUUACUUGAAGAUCUUGCUCCUGUUUCUAGUUAUAGCUGCUCGUUUAUGUCUGUUUCCGGUUCUAGUUUAAGUAAAAAUGCAUUGUGGCAUGCUAGAUUAGGACACCCUCAUAAUAAGGCUUUAAAACUGAUGUUGCCAGGUGUUUCCUUUGAGAAUAAUGAUUGUGAAGCUUGUAUUUUAGGCAAGCAUUGUAAGACUGUCUUUACUAAAUCUACUACGGUUUAUGAGAAGUGUUUUGAUUUGAUUCAUUCUGAUGUUUGGACUGCUCCUUGCUUAUCUAGAGACAAUCAAAAGUAUUAUGUAACCUUCAUUGAUGAAAAAUCCAAAUACACCUAGUUAACCUUAAUUCCAACCAAAGAUAGGGUACUUGAUGCAUUUAAGAACUUUCAAUCAUAUGUGACUAACCAUUAUAAUACCAAGAUAAAGAUUUUCAGGUCAGAUAAUGGAGGAGAGUACACGGGACAAGCAUUCAAGCUUCACCUAUCUCAGCAUGGAAUCCUACAUCAGACAAGCUGUCCCUAUACCCCACAACAGAAUGGUGUGGCUGAGAGAAAGAAUAGGCAUCUGAUGGAAGUGGCCAGGUCCAUGAUGUUUCAAACCAAUGUACCCAAGAGGUUCUGGAGUGAUGCAGUCACUACAGCUUGUUAUCUCAUCAACAGAACACCAACUCUGAUCCUGCAAGGGUUAUCACCAUUUGAGGUAUUGAACCGAUACAAGCCCUCAUUGGAACAUAUGAAGAUCUUUCGGUGUUUGUGUUUUGUGAUGGUACCGGGAGAAUUAAGAAACAAGCUUGAAGCUAGGAGCUCCAAGGCAAUGUUUGUUGGAUACUCAUCAAGUCAGAAAGGAUACAAGUGCUAUGAUCCUAACACAAGGAGAGUGUUAGUAUCUAGAGAAGUGAAGUUUGUGGAAGAAAAAGGAUAUUAUGAGGAGCAGAUUCAAGAAGAUUUGAAAGAUCUCACUUCAGAUAGAGCUGCAACCUUGAGGAUAAUACUAGAAGGACUUGGAAUCAAUAUGGAUCAAGAACAGCAAGAAGUAAGAGGCACUACACCAAUACCGAAUCAUCAGACGUCCAAUCUUGAACAUGAGGGGGGGAAUGGAACAGAAACUCAAACUCAAAGUCAUGAAGAGAGUUCUGGUUCUCAUGAUCAAGCUGUGGAGUCAAAUGAUCAACAAGAAGGAGCUGAAGCAAGUCAGCUAAGGGAUGAAGGAGCUGAAGCAAGUCAGCCAAGAGAAGAAAGUACACAAGAAGGUGUACAAGACAUGGAGUUACCGGCACAAGAAGGGCCAGUGUUGAGAAGAAGUACAAGGCUGAGAAAGGAUCCUUCCAGUUGGGUAAACACGAGAGUGUACUACAAUGCUCAAGCUGUGAAGCAUCCUACUCAGGCCGUGUGCUCUUUCUCUCAAUAUCCAGAAGCACAUGGUGCAUUCAUGGUAAACUUAGAUGAGAAUCACAUUCCAAGAAGCUAUGAAGAGGCAAUGGAGGAUAAGGAAUGGAAGGAAUCAGUAGGGGCUGAGGCAGGAGCUAUGAUAAAGAAUGAUACAUGGUUUGAAAGUGAACUACCAAAAGGGAAGAAGGCAGUAUCUAGUAAAUGGAUCUUCACAAUCAAAUACAAAGCUGAUGGACAGAUUGAGAGGAAGAAGACUAGAUUAGUAGCAAGAGGGUUCACUCAAACAUAUGGAUAGGAUUACAUUGAGACAUUUGCACCAGUAGCCAAGUUACACACCAUUAGAAUUGUACUAAGCUUGGCGGUUAACCUUGGAUGGGGAUUGUGGCAAAUGGAUGUGAAGAAUGCAUUCUUACAAGGAGAACUUGAGGAUGAAGUCUACAUGUAUCCUCCACCAGGUCUUGAACAUCUAGUGAAGAGAGGGAAUGUACUGAGGCUAAAGAAGGCUAUCUAUGGGUUGAAGCAAUCACCAAGAGCAUGGUACAACAAGUUGAGCACAACUCUGAACAGCCGAGGUUUUAAGAAGUCUGAAUUGGACCAUACUCUCUUUACAUUCACUACUCCCUCAGGUAUGGUUGCUCUCCUUGUGUAUGUGGAUGAUAUCAUUAUCACAGGAAGUGAUAAGGAAGGUAUCAAAGCAACCAAGGAGUUUCUAAAGUCUAUGUUUGAAAUAAAAGACUUGGGAGAAAUGAAAUACUUUCUUGGAAUUGAGAUUUGUAGAUCCAAGGAAGGUUUGUUCAUGUCCCAAAGGAAGUAUACACUUGAUCUUUUGAAAGGUGCAGGUGCUUAUGGAGGCAAGACAGCAAGGAUGCCAAUGGAAGAUGGCUACAAAGUACCAAGAGAGGGGGAGAUUGAAGACAGCAAGCCAUUUCAUGAUCCUAAACUCUAUAGAAAACUUGUUGGCAAAAGUAUUUAUCUAACCAUCACAAGACCUGAUAUAUGCUUUGCUGUGAAUCAGGUGAGUCAACACAUGCAGCUUCCCAAGGAACAUCAUUGGCGUAUGGUGGAGAGGCUGCUGAUGUAUCUAAAUGGCUCGCCGGAUCAAGGUGUAUGGAUGGGGUGCAAUGGAAGCACAGAAGUGGUGGGCUAUUGUGAUGCUGAUUGGGCAGGUGAUAGAGCUGACAGAAGAUCAACAACCGGCUAUUGCACAUUCAUUGGAGGCAACUUGGUGACUUGGAAGAGUAAGAAACAGAAGGUGGUGUCAUGCUCUAGUGCAGAAGCUGAAUAUAGAGCCAUGCUGAAGCUUACAAACGAGCUAGUUUGGAUCAAGGGCAUCUUGAAGCAUUUGGAGAUAGCACAAGACACUCCAAUGACAAUGCAUUGUGACAACCAGGCCGCCAUUCACAUAGCCUCCAACUCGGUGUUCCAUGAGAGAACAAAGCACAUUGAGGUUGAUUGCCACAAGGUGAGGCAGAUGAUUGUCCUAGGAGUCAUCUUGCCAUGUUAUACUAGGAGUGAAGAUCAGUUGGCUGAUGUAUUCACCAAGGCUGCAAGGCAAAAGACAAUGGAGUCCAUUCAUAUCAGAUUGGGCCUCAUUGAUCUUGGGAAGAGAAGCAGCUGAUCCCCUUAGUCAUGAGAUCUUUACUCUUUUUCCCUCAUUAAGGUUUUGUCCCAAUGGGUUUUCCUUAGUGAGGUUUUUAAUGAGGAAGAUCUCAUGGCUGUCCAAGCUUAGUCUUUCACAAAGCUAAGCUUGAGGGGGAGUGUUGAGAUGAAGAGUGUCAAGUGAAGAAUGGAGAUGAGGGUUGAGUAGAAUGAAGAAGAGGAAGGAUAGGAAGGUUUGGGAGCUUUGGGAUCAGCCUGUCCGUACAAGGCCGUACAUGGCCGUACAUGACAGGACAGGCCGUACAAGAUAGGAUCGACCAAAGCUCAACCAAACCUCACCAUAAGUUAUCCAAGUUACUUAAGUAAAGAGGAGAAGUUACCUUGGCCUUUGUGAGUGGAUCAGACCGUUGGAAAGGAUAAGGGAGAGUCUUGGACAGGCUGGCACAGCUGGACACGGAAAACCAAAAGGUUGAGCCAGCUAAUGAAGGCUCACACGCGCGGCUCACCUCAUUGGACAAGUUUGAAAUGGCCAUUGACUCCACAUGCUUACCUUAUCCUCUUAAGCUACGAAAACCCUAGUCUCUUCUCUUAUAAAGUUGUAAACACUCUCAUUAAUAGAAUCAAGAAAGUUUUGAGUCUUUCUCUUAGUCUUUAAUCUCAAUGGUUCCAUAUUAGACUCAUAAUCUCAUUUCAUACUCUAAUCUUCUCUAAAUCGAUUCUAGUCUUUCCUAAACACUCAGAUUACUCUAAACAUUACUAAAAAUCUCAUGGUAUCAGAGCCAGGUUCGUGAAAACCUGAGUUCGUGUUAGGCUCUUUGGAGAUUCAAGAUUGAAGCUUUAAAGAGUUUGGUUGGUGUUCUUGUGUUCUUCGGAAGUUCCGGGUAUUGUCCGAGUUCAAAGACUAGGUCUUAGUGUGUUGCUAAAGCUGUGAGGUUGAAGACCGAGGCAGUGAGUGUUCUUACAAGUCUCUUAACCCAAGAUCCAGUUUGUGAAGUCUAGAGAAGUCAUCGUUCAUCAUGGAAAGUGGUAUGAACAUGAACAUGAAGGUAGCGGUUUGCUUCAAGGGAACCAACUACUUGGUGUGGUCUCGGAUGGUGAGAACCACAGUGGGAAGCAAAGGGCUUUGGAAGCACAUCACGCCAGGAGAAGCUCCAAAGCUCAUCACCCAAGGAGAAACUGAAGGAGAAGCCGCAAGCAAAGCGGAAGAGAAGUGGCAUCAGGAGGACAUGUUGGUGAUGUCAGUGCUGCAUGCUUCACUUGAGCCGGCGAUUCUAGAUGCAUACAGCUACUGUGAAUCAGCUAAAGAGCUGUGGGAUACGUUGAAGAAGGUGUAUGGGAAUACAUCAAACCUAAGCCGUGUGUUUGAAGUGAAGCAGGCUAUAAACAACUUGGUACAAGAGGAUAUGGAGUUCACCAAGCAUCUAGGGAAGUUCAGAACACUCUGGUCCGAGCUGGAGAUGUUGAGGCCAAGUACUACAGAUGCAGAUGAGCUCAACAAAAGAAGAGAGCAAUAUAAGGUCUUUGGGCUACUCCUCACCAUGAAUCCGGCUUACAAUGGUCUUAUCCAACACUUGCUUAGAGAGGACACACUACCUGAUCUUGAAGAAGUGUGCGCAAGGAUUCAGAAGGAACAAGGCUCUAUUGGAUUGUUUGGAAAGAAAGGAGAGCUAUCUCUCGUGAAUCAAGCAACUCAAGAGGAGGGAGGGGAAGCUCCACAAGCACACAAGGCUGCGCAUGGGAAGUAUGAUGAGAGGAGGUUCAAUGGGAACUGUGAUCACUGCAAGAAGCAUGGCCACAAGAAGAGCCAAUGCUGGAUACUCCAUCCCCAUCUCAAGCCAGCAAAGUUUAUGAAGGACAGAGAGGCAAGGGCUAAUGUCUCAGAUGGAGCAAGCGCAAGUGGAGCAGGUACUAGCAAAGGGAAGGAGAUAGAUGGGCGUGAAACAGGUGAUGGGAGGUCUCUUGUAGCCUACACUGGAGCCCCAAGCAACCGUGGGAACUAUGAUCAAGAGUAUCUAAGGAAAUCCGACCUGGAUGCUCUCAUUAAGCUCUUCAAGGAGCAUGGUAACAUUUUUGGGUAUUCCUUUGGGGCUAGGGCUAUAGGGAAUGAUGAGAAUUCAACUAGAAUUGAUAGGAUGCAUGAAAGUGUGAUAGAGAUAAUCAACCAAUCUAGAACGGCUAGUCUUGCUAGGAAUGAUCAUGCAUUCAAACCAUCUAGUAUCCUUGCUCAUAUUGCUAGUUCACAUGCCAUUAAGCCUUUAGUAGUUGAUUCUGGUGCAUCUCAUCAUAUGAUAAGUGACACUAGUUUGAUUAAAAACAUUGUACCAAUGAAUGGAAAUGUGAUGAUAGCUAAUGGAGAUAAGAUACCUAUUAGAGGAAUAGGAAGUCUUAAACUGUUUGAUAAGGAAACUAAAGCUUUUUAUAUGCCUGAAUUUACUUCAAACUUGUUAUCUGUUAAGAAAUGUGCUACUGAUUUGCAAUGUAAUGUCAUAUUCAGUCCUAAUGAUGUGAAGUUUCAGGAUAUUAAAAGCAGCAAAAUGAUUGGAAAGGGAGUGACUAAAGGAGAAUUGUAUUUACUUGAAGAUCUUGCUCCUGUUUCUAGUUAUAGCUGCUCGUUUACGUCUGUUUCCGGUUCUAGUUUAAGUAAAAAUGCAUUGUGGCAUGCUAGAUUAGGACACCCUCAUAAUAAGGCUUUAAAACUGAUGUUGCCAGGUGUUUCCUUUGAGAAUAAUGAUUGUGAAGCUUGUAUUUUAGGCAAGCAUUGUAAGACUGUCUUUACUAAAUCUACUACGGUUUAUGAGAAGUGUUUUGAUUUGAUUCAUUCUGAUGUUUGGACUGCUCCUUGCUUAUCUAGAGACAAUCAAAAGUAUUAUGUAACCUUCAUUGAUGAAAAAUCCAAAUACACCUGGUUAACCUUAAUUCCAACCAAAGAUAGGGUACUUGAUGCAUUUAAGAACUUUCAAUCAUAUGUGACUAACCAUUAUAAUGCCAAGAUAAAGAUUUUCAGGUCAGAUAAUGGAGGAGAGUACACGGGACAAGCAUUCAAGCUUCACCUAUCUCAGCAUGGAAUCCUACAUCAGACAAGCUGUCCCUAUACUCCACAACAGAAUGGUGUGGCUGAGAGAAAAAAUAGGCAUCUGAUGGAAGUGGCCAGGUCCAUGAUGUUUCAAACCAAUGUACCCAAGAGGUUCUGGAGUGAUGCAGUCACUACAGCUUGUUAUCUCAUCAACAGAACACCAACUCUGAUCCUGCAAGGGUUAUCACCAUUUGAGGUAUUGAACCGAUACAAGCCCUCAUUGGAACAUAUGAAGAUCUUUGGGUGUUUGUGUUUUGUGAUGGUACCGGGAGAAUUAAGAAACAAGCUUGAAGCUAGGAGCUCCAAGGCAAUGUUUGUUGGAUACUCAUCAAGUCAGAAAGGAUACAAGUGCUAUGAUCCUAACACAAGGAGAGUGUUAGUAUCUAGAGAAGUGAAGUUUGUGGAAGAAAAAGGAUAUUAUGAGGAGCAGAUUCAAGAAGAUUUGAAAGAUCUCACUUCAGAUAGAGCUGCAACCUUGAGGAUAAUACUAGAAGGACUUGGAAUCAAUAUGGAUCAAGAACAGCAAGAAGUAAGAGGCACUACACCAAUACCGAAUCAUCAGACGUCCAAUCUUGAACAUGAGGGGGGGAAUGGAACAGAAACUCAAACUCAAAGUCAUGAAGAGAGUUCUGGUUCUCAUGAUCAAGCUGUGGAGUCAAAUGAUCAACAAGAAGGAGCUGAAGCAAGUCAGCUAAGGGAUGAAGGAGCUGAAGCAAGUCAGCCAAGAGAAGAAAGUACACAAGAAGGUGUACAAGACAUGGAGUUACCGGCACAAGAAGGGCCAGUGUUGAGAAGAAGUACAAGGCUGAGAAAGGAUCCUUCCAGUUGGGUAAACACGAGAGUGUACUACAAUGCUCAAGCUGUGAAGCAUCCUACUCAGGCCGUGUGCUCUUUCUCUCAAUAUCCAGAAGCACAUGGUGCAUUCAUGGUAAACUUAGAUGAGAAUCACAUUCCAAGAAGCUAUGAAGAGGCAAUGGAGGAUAAGGAAUGGAAGGAAUCAGUAGGGGCUGAGGCAGGAGCUAUGAUAAAGAAUGAUACAUGGUUUGAAAGUGAACUACCAAAAGGGAAGAAGGCAGUAUCUUGUAAAUGGAUCUUCACAAUCAAAUACAAAGCUGAUGGACAGAUUGAGAGGAAGAAGACUAGAUUAGUAGCAAGAGGGUUCACUCAAACAUAUGGAGAGGAUUACAUUGAGACAUUUGCACCAGUAGCCAAGUUACACACCAUUAGAAUUGUACUAAGCUUGGCGGUUAACCUUGGAUGGGGAUUGUGGCAAAUGGAUGUGAAGAAUGCAUUCUUACAAGGAGAACUUGAGGAUGAAGUCUACAUGUAUCCUCCACCAGGUCUUGAACAUCUAGUGAAGAGAGGGAAUGUACUGAGGCUAAAGAAGGCUAUCUAUGGGUUGAAGCAAUCACCAAGAGCAUGGUACAACAAGUUGAGCACAACUCUGAACAGCCGAGGUUUUAAGAAGUCUGAAUUGGACCAUACUCUCUUUACCCUCACUACUCCCUCAGGUAUGGUUGCUCUCCUUGUGUAUGUGGAUGAUAUCAUUAUCACAGGAAGUGAUAAGGAAGGUAUCAAAGCAACCAAGGAGUUUCUAAAGUCUAUGUUUGAAAUAAAAGACUUGGGAGAAAUGAAAUACUUUCUUGGAAUUGAGAUUUGUAGAUCCAAGGAAGGUUUGUUCAUGUCCCAAAGGAAGUAUACACUUGAUCUUUUGAAAGGUGCAGGUGCUUAUGGAGGCAAGACAGCAAGGAUGCCAAUGGAAGAUGGCUACAAAGUACCAAGAGAGGGGGAGAUUGAAGACAGCAAGCCAUUUCAUGAUCCUAAACUCUAUAGAAAACUUGUUGGCAAAUUGAUUUAUCUAACCAUCACAAGACCUGAUAUAUGCUUUGCUGUGAAUCAGGUGAGUCAACACAUGCAGCUUCCCAAGGAACAUCAUUGGCGUAUGGUGGAGAGGCUGCUGAUGUAUCUAAAUGGCUCGCCGGAUCAAGGUGUAUGGAUGGGGUGCAAUGGAAGCACAGAAGUGGUGGGCUAUUGUGAUGCUGAUUGGGCAGGUGAUAGAGCUGACAGAAGAUCAACAACCGGCUAUUGCACAUUCAUUGGAGGCAACUUGGUGACUUGGAAGAGUAAGAAACAGAAGGUGGUGUCAUGCUCUAGUGCAGAAGCUGAAUAUAGAGCCAUGCUGAAGCUUACAAACGAGCUAGUUUGGAUCAAGGGCAUCUUGAAGCAUUUGGAGAUAGCACAAGACACUCCAAUGACAAUGCAUUGUGACAACCAGGCCGCCAUUCACAUAGCCUCCAACUCGGUGUUCCAUGAGAGAACAAAGCACAUUGAGGUUGAUUGUCACAAGGUGAGGCAGAUGAUGAUUCUUGGAGUGAUUCUACCUUGUUAUACUCGGAGUGAGGAUCAGUUAGCAGAUGUGUUCACAAAGGCAGCAAGGCAAAAGACAAUGGAGUCCAUACACAUCAGGUUAGGACUCAUUGAUCUCUCGCCUAAGGACUAGUCUAUACACUCUCCUGAUCAUGUGAUCUCUACUCUUUCCUCAUUAAGGUUUUGUCCCAAUGGGUUUUCCUUAAUGAGGUUUUAAUGAGGGAGAUCUCAUGGUUCUUCCAAGCUUGACUUGUUUCACAUGGUCAAGCUUGAGGGGGAGUGUUGAGAUAAGAGAAUAAAGUGUUGAGAUGAGGAGAUGAAGAGUUGAUACAUGGAUAGAGGAAGGGAUUUGGAGCAGGUAGUAACUUUGGAGAUUUACCACAGUAACUUUAAUGUUACUGUGGUAACUAAGUUAAAAGACUUGGGAAGUUACCCUGCAUCCAUUUGGAGAGUGUAACACGACAGGAGGAGUCUGGAUAAGCAAGGAGGAGUUUGGAUAAGGUCUGGUCAAGGGAAGAGAGCUUUAGACAGGCUGGCACCAGCUGGAAAGCUAAAGCAAGAUACCCAAGCAUGUGAGGAACCUUAUUGGCUGGUUUGAAUAAGGCAUCUUUGACUACACAUGCUUCUUAUCCUAACUAGACUGAACCUGGACGAAAAUAUGAAUCUCUAAUCUAUAUAUGUUGUAAACUCUCUCAUUAAUCAAGCUAAUGGAGUUUUGAGUCUCUCUCUCUCUCUUGUUCUUAAUCUCCAAUCUCUUUAAUUCUCAGAUUAAACUUAAUCACUCUUUAAAUCACUAAAUCUAUUAUGGUAUCAGAGCCAGGUUCCUUUAAAAGGAGAGAGUGAUUUCGUGGUUCCAAAUGUUCUUGAGUGUUCUUGAGUGUUCUUGAGAGUUCUUGAGAUUUUUCAAGAGCUAGAUCCUUUAAAAGUCAAGUUUGUGUCUGUUGGUGUUUCUUUUGGAGAGUCAGCUUCAAGGGAGUCUCUUUAGGUGUUUGACAAGGUCAGAAGAGGGGUCUAGCUUGUGGUUAAGAUUGGCGUGUGAGAUUAUGGAGCUGCUUCAAUCUGGUACAACAAGGAGUGAAGAGAAGAAAGAGAGAGGGAAUGAGUGGGGGUGGUUCUCACAGAUGAAAACAACUCUGAAAAGUUGUGGAGUUUGGAGAAACCAUGAGAAGGAAGAGUCUUUGAAGGGUAAAGCUGCUGUGAAAGAUCAGACAGCAAGAAAAACAAGUGGAGAUUGCUUCAGUCUUGAAGACAGUACACUGCUUGAGAAGAUUGAAGAUGUUUAUGAGGACAAGAUCAGUCUUAGGAGAGUGUAUGAAGUCAACCAGGUGAUUAGUGAAGUUAAACCAGGAAGAGAAGGGUUUAAUAACCAUGUGAGGAAGCUACAACAUUUGUGGGUUGAACUACAAGGGUUGAGAUCUCAUGUGGAUGGGGAUACUACACAAGAGCAAGCGACGGUGCUGAAGCUCUUGGCGAGUAUGGAGUCAUCAUAUGGGUGGCUGGUGGAGAUGGUUCUAAGAAGGGAACAGCUUCCGGAAAUGGAAGAGGUCUGUGUGCUUAUAAGAAGGGCGUAUGGGAUAAUGAGAGAUGAUGAGAGGCUAACCAUGAGUAGGAGUGAGAGCUCAUGGAAGCCAACUGGGAGUAGGAGUGAGAGCUUCCAGAAGCUAACCAUGAGUAGGAGUGAGAGCUCAUGGAGGCUAACCGGGAGUAGGAGUGAGGGCUUCCGGAAGAGGAGGAGGUGCAGAAUGCUAUCCAAAGCCUCUAUCAACAUAGGAAAGGGUAGAAAGAGAGUUGUGGGAGAGUGUUCUUACUCAGCCUACAUGGGGAAAUCAGUAGAAGACAGUGGGGUGUUAAAAGAGCAGGAGAAAGGGAGUAGAGCUGAUGAUCGCAUCACCAGGAAAGAAUGGAGAGUGUUCAUGGAACAAGUACAAGCCUUAGCAGCAAGCAGGAAGCAGGCUAUACAAUCCGGAACUUCUAAACCAAUUGUGAUUGAUUCUGGAGCAAGUCAUCAUAUGAUCAGUGAUAGGAGACUUAUAAGUGAGAUCAAGGCUGCAACAGGGAGUGUUAUGAUAGCUAAUGGUGCCAUGAUCCCAAUAGAAGGAGUGGGAAAGCUAAAACUGUUUGAGAAGGACACAACUGCCUUCUACAUGCCUCAGUUCACUUCAAAUCUAUUAUCUGGGAAGAAAGCUACCAUUGAUCUUGAUUGUCAAGUAGUAUUCAGACCUGAUAAAGUGGAGUUUCAAGAUUUGAAGACUGGGAGAGUCAUUGGCAGAGGAGACAGCAAGAAUCAGCUAUAUCACCUCAACUUGGCUAAGACCUCUAAUCCCUUUGAUUCUAUUUGCUUGAGUAGUACUGCUGAGAAGAUUGAUAGUAUUACUUGGCAUGCUAGAUUAGGACAUCCUCAUGCUCGUGCCAUUGAAUUGAUAAUCCCUAAUAUGUCAUUCAAUCACUUGAAUUGUGAGGCAUGCAUAUUAGGAAAGCAUUGUAGGACUGUUUUUCCAACAUCUGAGACUACUUAUGAGCAUUGCUUUGAUCUAGUUCACUCGGAUGUGUGGACCGCUCCAUGCAUGUCUAGAGACUGCCAUAAAUACUUUGUGACAUUCAUUGAUGAGAAGUCUAAGUAUACGUGGCUCACAUUGCUUCCAUCUAAAGAUAGGGUGCUAGAAGCUUUUAUGAACUUCCAAGCAUAUGUAUCUAAUCAAUACAAUGCCACUGUGAAGGUACUGAGAUCAGACAACGGAGGUGAAUACAUCAGCAAUGCCUUUAAGAGUCAUCUAGCCAAGCAUGGGAUUGUGCAUCAGACCAGUUGUCCCUACACACCACAGCAGAAUGGUGUAGCUGAGAGGAAGAAUAGGCACUUGAUGGAGGUUGCUAGGUCGAUGAUGUUUCAUGAAAAUGUCCAAAAACGUUUUUGGGGAGAUGCUGUACAGACUGCUUGCUAUCUCAUCAACCGAGUCCCAACCAAGAUACUGAAGAAUCUGUCCCCAUUUGAGGUGCUGAAUAAGAGCAAGCCAUUUAUUGAUCACCUACGAGUAUUUGGAUGUGUAUGCUAUGUCAUGACCCCAGGAGAACAGAGAAACAAGCUGGAGGCAAAGAGUACUAAGGCUAUGUUCAUUGGAUACUCUAUCACUCAGAAGGGAUACAAGUGCUAUGAUCCUGAAGCAAGGAGAGUGAUGGUAUCUAGAGAAGUGAAGUUUAUUGAAUCAAAAGGGUAUUAUGAAGAAAAGGAGUGGGAAAAUCUGAAGGAUUUGUCUCAAGCUCCAUCUGAUAGAGCAACAACACUGAGGGUGAUGUUGGAGAAGCUAGGGAUAGGGUUAUCCCAGGAUCAGGAAUCUGGAAGAAGAGAGUCUUCCAAUUCGACUAGUGAAGCUGAAAGAGCAACUCCUCUUGAUCAUGAGAGGGGGAAUGGAACUGAAUCUCAUGAGCAAGUGCAAAAUCAAGAAGAUUCAGGCCAGCAUAAUCAAGAGGUGACACAGGAAGUAGAGACUGGUGCUCAGUCUAGUGGAGAUGGGCAAAGAGAGUCUACUGGCUCAGAUGAGAGUGGAGAGUGGGAAGGAGAUCCUAAUGGUUCAAAUGAGAGUGGUGCUCAAUCAAGUGAAGAUGGGCAAGAGCCACAAGAAGAACAAGUUCAGGAGCUAAGGAGGAGCACAAGGGUGAAGAGAGAUGCUUCCAACUGGGUAAACACGAGAGUGUACUACAAUGCCCAGGCUGUGGAGCAUCCUUCUCAAGCCAUGUGUUCCUUUGCAGAGUUUCCAGACGAGCAUACAGCCUUCACAGUAAGCUUGGAUGAGAGCUAUAUUCCAAGGACAUAUGAAGAAGCUAUGGCUUUAAAGGAGUGGAGAGAUUCAGUUGCUGAUGAGUCCGGAGCCAUGAUUAAGAAUGAAACAUGGUAUGAGAGUGAGCUGCCUAAAGGGAAGAAGGCAGUGACUAGUAAAUGGGUGUUCACAAUCAAGUUUCAUCCUGAUGGAAGAAUAGAGAGGCGCAAGUCUAGGUUGGUGGCAAGAGGAUUUACUCAGACAUAUGGUGAGGACUAUGUUGAGACCUUUGCUCCUGUGGCUAAACUUCAUACUAUCAGGAUUGUAUUAUCUUUAGCUGUGAAUCUUGAGUGGGAUUUGUGGCAAAUGGAUGUGAAGAAUGCAUUCCUUCAAGGAGAGUUAGAAGAUGAAGUAUACAUGCAUCCACCACCAGGUCUUGAACAUCUAGUAAAGAAGGGUAAUGUGUUGAGGUUGAGGAAAGCUAUCUAUGGUCUCAAGCAGUCUCCAAGGGCAUGGUACAACAAGUUGAGUACUACACUGAAUGGGAGAGGGUUCAGAAAGUCAGAAUUGGAUCACACUCUCUUUACCCUAACCACCUCAUCUGGUAUUGUGGUAUUGCUUGUGUAUGUGGAUGAUAUCAUCAUCACAGGCAGUGAUAAGGAAGGUAUUAAGGCUACAAAGGAGUAUCUCAAGGCAAGCUUUGAAAUUAAAGACUUGGGGGAAAUGAAGUAUUUUCUUGGGAUUGAGAUAUGCAGAUCAAAGGAAGGAUUGUUUAUGUCCCAAAGGAAGUAUGUGAUUGAUCUCUUGAAGGGAGCAGAUGCAUAUGGAGGAAAGACAGCCAAGAUGCCAAUGGAGGAUGGUUACAAGGUUCCACGUGAGGGGGAGAUUGAGGAUAGCAAGCCGUUCCAUGAUCCUAAGCUAUAUAGGAAGCUGGUGGGGAAAUUGAUUUAUCUUACCAUUACUAGACCUGAUGUGUGUUUUGCGGUGAAUCAAGUCAGUCAACACAUGCAAGUUCCUAAGGAGCACCAUUGGCGGAUGAUGGAAAGGAUCUUGAUGUAUCUGAAUGGAACUACUGGUCUUGGAGUAUGGAUGGGAUGUAACAAGAGUACUGAGGUUGUAGGCUACUGUGAUGCAGAUUGGGCUGGAGACCGAGCAGACAGAAGAUCAACCACAGGCUAUUGUACAUUCAUUGGUGGUAACUUAGUCACUUGGAAGAGUAAGAAACAGAAGGUAGUGUCUUGCUCCAGUGCAGAGGCCGAGUAUAGAGCAAUGCUGAAGCUUACAAAUGAGCUAGUGUGGAUAAAAGGGAUUUUGAAGCAUCUAGAGAUUAUUCAAGCAACGCCAAUGACAAUGCAUUGUGAUAAUCAAGCAGCUAUCCACAUUGCAUCUAAUUCUGUGUUCCAUGAGAGAACAAAGCACAUUGAGGUUGAUUGUCACAAGGUGAGGCAGAUGAUGAUUCUUGGAGUGAUUCUACCUUGUUAUACUCGGAGUGAGGAUCAGUUAGCAGAUGUGUUCACAAAGGCAGCAAGGCAAAAGACAAUGGAGUCCAUACACAUCAGGUUAGGACUCAUUGAUCUCUCGCCUAAGGACUAGUCUAUACACUCUCCUGAUCAUGUGAUCUCUACUCUUUCCUCAUUAAGGUUUUGUCCCAAUGGGUUGUCCUUAAUGAGGUUUUAAUGAGGGAGAUCUCAUGGUUCUUCCAAGCUUGACUUGUUUCACAUGGUCAAGCUUGAGGGGGAGUGUUGAGAUAAGAGAAUAAAGUGUUGAGAUGAGGAGAUGAAGAGUUGAUACAUGGAUAGAGGAAGGGAUUUGGAGCAGGUAGUAACUUUGGAGAUUUACCACAGUAACUUUAAUGUUACUGUGGUAACUAAGUUAAAAGACUUGGGAAGUUACCCUGCAUCCAUUUGGAGAGUGUAACACGACAGGAGGAGUCUGGAUAAGCAAGGAGGAGUUUGGAUAAGGUCUGGUCAAGGGAAGAGAGCUUUAGACAGGCUGGCACCAGCUGGAAAGCUAAAGCAAGAUACCCAAGCAUGUGAGGAACCUUAUUGGCUGGUUUGAAUAAGGCAUCUUUGACUACACAUGCUUCUUAUCCUAACUAGACUGAACCUGGACGAAAAUAUGUAUCUCUAAUCUAUAUAUGUUGUAAACUCUCUCAUUAAUCAAGCUAAUGGAGUUUUGAGUCUCUCUCUCUCUCUUGUUCUUAAUCUCCAAUCUCUUUAAUUCUCAGAUUAAACUUAAUCACUCUUUAAAUCACUAAAUCUAUUAUGGUAUCAGAGCCAGGUUCCUUUAAAAGGAGAGAGUGAUUUCGUGGUUCCAAAUGUUCUUGAGUGUUCUUGAGUGUUCUUGAGAGUUCUUGAGAUUUUUCAAGAGCUAGAUCCUUUAAAAGUCAAGUUUGUGUCUGUUGGUGUUUCUUUUGGAGAGUCAGCUUCAAGGGAGUCUCUUUAGGUGUUUGACAAGGUCAGAAGAGGGGUCUAGCUUGUGGUUAAGAUUGGCGUGUGAGAUUAUGGAGCUGCUUCAAUCUGGUACAACAAGGAGUGAAGAGAAGAAAGAGAGAGGGAAUGAGUGGGGGUGGUUCUCACAGAUGAAAACAACUCUGAAAAGUUGUGGAGUUUGGAGAAACCAUGAGAAGGAAGAGUCUUUGAAGGGUAAAGCUGCUGUGAAAGAUCAGACAGCAAGAAAAACAAGUGGAGAUUGCUUCAGUCUUGAAGACAGUACACUGCUUGAGAAGAUUGAAGAUGUUUAUGAGGACAAGAUCAGUCUUAGGAGAGUGUAUGAAGUCAACCAGGUGAUUAGUGAAGUUAAACCAGGAAGAGAAGGGUUUAAUAACCAUGUGAGGAAGCUACAACAUUUGUGGGUUGAACUACAAGGGUUGAGAUCUCAUGUGGAUGGGGAUACUACACAAGAGCAAGCGACGGUGCUGAAGCUCUUGGCGAGUAUGGAGUCAUCAUAUGGGUGGCUGGUGGAGAUGGUUCUAAGAAGGGAACAGCUUCCGGAAAUGGAAGAGGUCUGUGUGCUUAUAAGAAGGGCGUAUGGGAUAAUGAGAGAUGAUGAGAGGCUAACCAUGAGUAGGAGUGAGAGCUCAUGGAAGCCAACUGGGAGUAGGAGUGAGAGCUUCCAGAAGCUAACCAUGAGUAGGAGUGAGAGCUCAUGGAAGCCAACUGGGAGUAGGAGUGAGAGCUUCCAGAAGCUAACCAUGAGUAGGAGUGAGAGCUCAUGGAGGCUAACCGGGAGUAGGAGUGAGGGCUUCCGGAAGAGGAGGAGGUGCAGAAUGCUAUCCAAAGCCUCUAUCAACAUAGGAAAGGGUAGAAAGAGAGUUGUGGGAGAGUGUUCUUACUCAGCCUACAUGGGGAAAUCAGUAGAAGACAGUGGGGUGUUAAAAGAGCAGGAGAAAGGGAGUAGAGCUGAUGAUCGCAUCACCAGGAAAGAAUGGAGAGUGUUCAUGGAACAAGUACAAGCCUUAGCAGCAAGCAGGAAGCAGGCUAUACAAUCCGGAACUUCUAAACCAAUUGUGAUUGAUUCUGGAGCAAGUCAUCAUAUGAUCAGUGAUAGGAGACUUAUAAGUGAGAUCAAGGCUGCAACAGGGAGUGUUAUGAUAGCUAAUGGUGCCAUGAUCCCAAUAGAAGGAGUGGGAAAGCUAAAACUGUUUGAGAAGGACACAACUGCCUUCUACAUGCCUCAGUUCACUUCAAAUCUAUUAUCUGGGAAGAAAGCUACCAUUGAUCUUGAUUGUCAAGUAGUAUUCAGACCUGAUAAAGUGGAGUUUCAAGAUUUGAAGACUGGGAGAGUCAUUGGCAGAGGAGACAGCAAGAAUCAGCUAUAUCACCUCAACUUGGCUAAGACCUCUAAUCCCUUUGAUUCUAUUUGCUUGAGUAGUACUGCUGAGAAGAUUGAUAGUAUUACUUGGCAUGCUAGAUUAGGACAUCCUCAUGCUCGUGCCAUUGAAUUGAUAAUCCCUAAUAUGUCAUUCAAUCACUUGAAUUGUGAGGCAUGCAUAUUAGGAAAGCAUUGUAGGACUGUUUUUCCAACAUCUGAGACUACUUAUGAGCAUUGCUUUGAUCUAGUUCACUCGGAUGUGUGGACCGCUCCAUGCAUGUCUAGAGACUGCCAUAAAUACUUUGUGACAUUCAUUGAUGAGAAGUCUAAGUAUACGUGGCUCACAUUGCUUCCAUCUAAAGAUAGGGUGCUAGAAGCUUUUAUGAACUUCCAAGCAUAUGUAUCUAAUCAAUACAAUGCCACUGUGAAGGUACUGAGAUCAGACAACGGAGGUGAAUACAUCAGCAAUGCCUUUAAGAGUCAUCUAGCCAAGCAUGGGAUUGUGCAUCAGACCAGUUGUCCCUACACACCACAGCAGAAUGGUGUAGCUGAGAGGAAGAAUAGGCACUUGAUGGAGGUUGCUAGGUCGAUGAUGUUUCAUGAAAAUGUCCAAAAACGUUUUUGGGGAGAUGCUGUACAGACUGCUUGCUAUCUCAUCAACCGAGUCCCAACCAAGAUACUGAAGAAUCUGUCCCCAUUUGAGGUGCUGAAUAAGAGCAAGCCAUUUAUUGAUCACCUACGAGUAUUUGGAUGUGUAUGCUAUGUCAUGACCCCAGGAGAACAGAGAAACAAGCUGGAGGCAAAGAGUACUAAGGCUAUGUUCAUUGGAUACUCUAUCACUCAGAAGGGAUACAAGUGCUAUGAUCCUGAAGCAAGGAGAGUGAUGGUAUCUAGAGAAGUGAAGUUUAUUGAAUCAAAAGGGUAUUAUGAAGAAAAGGAGUGGGAAAAUCUGAAGGAUUUGUCUCAAGCUCCAUCUGAUAGAGCAACAACACUGAGGGUGAUGUUGGAGAAGCUAGGGAUAGGGUUAUCCCAGGAUCAGGAAUCUGGAAGAAGAGAGUCUUCCAAUUCGACUAGUGAAGCUGAAAGAGCAACUCCUCUUGAUCAUGAGAGGGGGAAUGGAACUGAAUCUCAUGAGCAAGUGCAAAAUCAAGAAGAUUCAGGCCAGCAUAAUCAAGAGGUGACACAGGAAGUAGAGACUGGUGCUCAGUCUAGUGGAGAUGGGCAAAGAGAGUCUACUGGCUCAGAUGAGAGUGGAGAGUGGGAAGGAGAUCCUAAUGGUUCAAAUGAGAGUGGUGCUCAAUCAAGUGAAGAUGGGCAAGAGCCACAAGAAGAACAAGUUCAGGAGCUAAGGAGGAGCACAAGGGUGAAGAGAGAUGCUUCCAACUGGGUAAACACGAGAGUGUACUACAAUGCCCAGGCUGUGGAGCAUCCUUCUCAAGCCAUGUGUUCCUUUGCAGAGUUUCCAGACGAGCAUACAGCCUUCACAGUAAGCUUGGAUGAGAGCUAUAUUCCAAGGACAUAUGAAGAAGCUAUGGCUUUAAAGGAGUGGAGAGAUUCAGUUGCUGAUGAGUCCGGAGCCAUGAUUAAGAAUGAAACAUGGUAUGAGAGUGAGCUGCCUAAAGGGAAGAAGGCAGUGACUAGUAAAUGGGUGUUCACAAUCAAGUUUCAUCCUGAUGGAAGAAUAGAGAGGCGCAAGUCUAGGUUGGUGGCAAGAGGAUUUACUCAGACAUAUGGUGAGGACUAUGUUGAGACCUUUGCUCCUGUGGCUAAACUUCAUACUAUCAGGAUUGUAUUAUCUUUAGCUGUGAAUCUUGAGUGGGAUUUGUGGCAAAUGGAUGUGAAGAAUGCAUUCCUUCAAGGAGAGUUAGAAGAUGAAGUAUACAUGCAUCCACCACCAGGUCUUGAACAUCUAGUAAAGAAGGGUAAUGUGUUGAGGUUGAGGAAAGCUAUCUAUGGUCUCAAGCAGUCUCCAAGGGCAUGGUACAACAAGUUGAGUACUACACUGAAUGGGAGAGGGUUCAGAAAGUCAGAAUUGGAUCACACUCUCUUUACCCUAACCACCUCAUCUGGUAUUGUGGUAUUGCUUGUGUAUGUGGAUGAUAUCAUCAUCACAGGCAGUGAUAAGGAAGGUAUUAAGGCUACAAAGGAGUAUCUCAAGGCAAGCUUUGAAAUUAAAGACUUGGGGGAAAUGAAGUAUUUUCUUGGGAUUGAGAUAUGCAGAUCAAAGGAAGGAUUGUUUAUGUCCCAAAGGAAGUAUGUGAUUGAUCUCUUGAAGGGAGCAGAUGCAUAUGGAGGAAAGACAGCCAAGAUGCCAAUGGAGGAUGGUUACAAGGUUCCACGUGAGGGGGAGAUUGAGGAUAGCAAGCCGUUCCAUGAUCCUAAGCUAUAUAGGAAGCUGGUGGGGAAAUUGAUUUAUCUUACCAUUACUAGACCUGAUGUGUGUUUUGCGGUGAAUCAAGUCAGUCAACACAUGCAAGUUCCUAAGGAGCACCAUUGGCGGAUGAUGGAAAGGAUCUUGAUGUAUCUGAAUGGAACUACUGGUCUUGGAGUAUGGAUGGGAUGUAACAAGAGUACUGAGGUUGUAGGCUACUGUGAUGCAGAUUGGGCUGGAGACCGAGCAGACAGAAGAUCAACCACAGGCUAUUGUACAUUCAUUGGUGGUAACUUAGUCACUUGGAAGAGUAAGAAACAGAAGGUAGUGUCUUGCUCCAGUGCAGAGGCCGAGUAUAGAGCAAUGCUGAAGCUUACAAAUGAGCUAGUGUGGAUAAAAGGGAUUUUGAAGCAUCUAGAGAUUAUUCAAGCAACGCCAAUGACAAUGCAUUGUGAUAAUCAAGCAGCUAUCCACAUUGCAUCUAAUUCUGUGUUCCAUGAGAGAACAAAGCACAUUGAGGUUGAUUGUCACAAGGUGAGGCAGAUGAUGAUUCUUGGAGUGAUUCUACCUUGUUAUACUCGGAGUGAGGAUCAGUUAGCAGAUGUGUUCACAAAGGCAGCAAGGCAAAAGACAAUGGAGUCCAUACACAUCAGGUUAGGACUCAUUGAUCUCUCGCCUAAGGACUAGUCUAUACACUCUCCUGAUCAUGUGAUCUCUACUCUUUCCUCAUUAAGGUUUUGUCCCAAUGGGUUUUCCUUAAUGAGGUUUUAAUGAGGGAGAUCUCAUGGUUCUUCCAAGCUUGACUUGUUUCACAUGGUCAAGCUUGAGGGGGAGUGUUGAGAUAAGAGAAUAAAGUGUUGAGAUGAGGAGAUGAAGAGUUGAUACAUGGAUAGAGGAAGGGAUUUGGAGCAGGUAGUAACUUUGGAGAUUUACCACAGUAACUUUAAUGUUACUGUGGUAACUAAGUUAAAAGACUUGGGAAGUAACCCUGCAUCCAUUUGGAGAGUGUAACACGACAGGAGGAGUCUGGAUAAGCAAGGAGGAGUUUGGAUAAGGUCUGGUCAAGGGAAGAGAGCUUUAGACAGGCUGGCACCAGCUGGAAAGCUAAAGCAAGAUACCCAAGCAUGUGAGGAACCUUAUUGGCUGGUUUGAAUAAGCCAUCUUUGACUACACAUGCUUCUUAUCCUAACNNNNNNNNNNNNNNNNNNNNNNNNNNNNNNNNNNNNNNNNNNNNNNNNNNNNNNNNNNNNNNNNNNNNNNNNNNNNNNNNNNNNNNNNNNNNNNNNNNNNNNNNNNNNNNNNNNNNNNNNNNNNNNNNNNNNNNNNNNNNNNNNNNNNNNNNNNNNNNNNNNNNNNNNNNNNNNNNNNNNNNNNNNNNNNNNNNNNNNNNNNNNNNNNNNNNNGGUACCAUCACAAAGCAUACGCAGCCAAACACUCUUAAGUGUGUUAGUGAUGGUUUGAUCUUGUUUAGCACUUCAAAUGGAGACUGAUCCUCAAGCACUCUUGUUGGUAUCCUAUUGAUCAGAUAACAUGCAGAGGCGACUGCAUCACUCCAAAAUCUCUUUGGGACAUUAGCUUGAAACAUCAUAGACCUUGCAACUUCCAUCAGAUGUCUGUUCUUCCUCUCAGCCACACCAUUCUGUUGUGGUGUAUAAGGACAGCUCGUUUGAUGAAGAAUGCCAUGUUGAGCUAAGUGUUGCUUGAAUGCAUGACUUGUAUAUUCUCCACCAUUGUCUGAUCUGAAAAUCUUAAUCUUGGCAUCAUAUUGGUUAGUUACAUAAGUCUGAAAAUUCUUAAAUGCUUCAAGCACCCUAUCCUUAGUUUGAAUGAGUGUUAUCCAGGUGUAUUUGGAUUUUUCAUCUAUGAAUGUGACAAAGUAUUUAAAGUUCUCUCUAGAUAAACAAGGAGCAGUCCAAACAUCAGAGUGAACUAAAUCAAAGCAUUUCUCAUAAAUUGUUUUAGAUCUUUGAAAGACUGUCUUACAAUGUUUGCCCAAGAUACAAGCUUCACAAUCAUUAUUUUUAAACAUGACACCUGGUAUGAUUUUUAGUAAUGUUUAGAGUAAUCUGAGUGUUUAGGAAAGACUAGAAACGAUUUAGUGAAGAUUAGAGUAUGAAAUGAGAUUAGGAGUCUAAUAUGGAACCAUUGAGAUUUAAAGACUAAGAGAGAGUCUCAAAACUUGCUUAAUCUUAUUCAUGAGUGAGGUUACAUAUUUAUAUGAAGGAACAAGUAGGGUUUUCGUAACUAGAGAGAAGAGAAAGCAUGUGGAGUCAACAGCCUAAUUCAAAUCUAUCCAAUGAAGUGUCUCACACGCUUUUGGCAUCUCUUAGCUGUCCCAAAAGCUCCUUUCCCUUUUCCAGCUGUGCCAGCCUGUCCAAGGCUCUUCCCUUAUCCUUUCCAACGGAUAGAUCUGAUGGUAAUAGACUUGAGUAACUCCUUCUUCCUAAACGUGUUACUCGGGUAAGUUUAUGGUCGAUGUUUGGCCGAUCCUCCCAUGUACGGAUGGUACGGCCGUACGGCCUGUACGGCCUAGGUAGAGCCAAACACUCUCAUUCAUUCCUAAGCUUCCUCCCCUUCAGUUAUCUCAACCCAUCAUUUCUUCUCUUCUUAUUCCUCAUCUCAUAUCAACACUCCCCCUCAAGCUUAGCUUUGUGAAAGCUUAAGCUUGGACAGCCAUGAGAUCUUCCUCAUUAAAAACCUCACCAAGGAAAACCCAUUGGGACAAAACCUUGAUGAGGGAAAAAGAGUAAAGACCUCAUGACUAAGGGGAUCAGCUGCUUCUCUUCCCAAGAUCAAUGAGGCCCAAUCUGAUAUGAAUGGACUCCAUUGUCUUUUGCCUCGCAGCCUUGGUGAAUACAUCAGCCAACUGAUCUUCACUCCUAGUAUAACAUGGCAAGAUGACUCCUAGGACAAUCAUCUGCCUCACCUUGUGGCAAUCAACCUCAAUGUGCUUUGUCCUCUCAUGGAACACCGAGUUGGAGGCUAUGUGAAUGGCGGCUUGGUUGUCACAAUGCAUUGUCAUUGGAGUGGCUUGUGCUAUCUCCAAAUGCUUCAAGAUGCCCUUGAUCCAAACUAGCUCGUUUGUAAGCUUCAGCAUAGCUCUAUACUCAGCUUCUGCACUAGAGCAUGACACCACCUUCUGUUUCUUACUCUUCCAAGUCACCAAGUUGCCUCCAAUGAAUGUGCAAUAGCCGGUUGUUGAUCUCCUGUCAGCUCUAUCACCUGCCCAAUCAGCAUCACAAUAGCCCACCACUUCUGUGCUUCCAUUGCACCCCAUCCAUACACCUUGAUCCGGCGAGCCAUUUAGAUACAUCAGCAGCCUCUCCACCAUACGCCAGUGAUGUUCCUUGGGAAGCUGCAUGUGUUGACUCACCUGAUUCACAGCAAAGCAUAUAUCAGGUCUUGUGAUGGUUAGAUAAAUCAAUUUGCCAACAAGUUUUCUAUAGAGUUUAGCAUCAUGAAAUGGUUUGCUGUCUUCAAUGUCCCCCUCUCUUGGUACUUUGUAGCCAUCCUCCAUUGGCAUCUUUGCUGUCUUGCCUCCAUAAGCACCUGCACCUUUCAAAAGAUCAAGUGUAUACUUCCUUUGGGACAUGAACAAACCUUCCUUGGAUCUACAAAUCUCAAUUCCAAGAAAGUAUUUCAUUUCUCCCAAGUCUUUUAUUUCAAACAUAGACUUUAGAAACUCCUUGGUUGCUUUGAUACCUUCCUUAUCACUUCCUGUGAUAAUGAUAUCAUCCACAUACACAAGGAGAGCAACCAUACCUGAGGGAGUAGUGAGGGUAAAGAGAGUAUGGUCCAAUUCUGACUUCUUAAAACCUUGGCCGUUCAGAGUUGUGCUCAACUUGUUGUACCAUGCUCUUGGUGAUUGCUUCAACCCAUAGAUAGCCUUCUUUAGCCUCAGUACAUUCCCUCUCUUCACUAGAUGUUCAAGACCUGGUGGAGGAUACAUGUAGACUUCAUCCUCAAGUUCUCCUUGUAAGAAUGCAUUCUUCACAUCCAUUUGCCACAAUCCCCAUCCAAGGUUAACCGCCAAGCUUAGUACAAUUCUAAUGGUAUGUAACUUGGCUACUGGUGCAAAUGUCUCAAUGUAAUCCUCUCCAUAUGUUUGAGUGAACCCUCUUGCUACUAAUCUAGUCUUCUUCCUCUCAAUCUGUCCAUCAGCCUUGUAUUUGAUUGUGAAGAUCCAUCUACUAGAUACUGCCUUCUUCCCUUUUGGUAGUUCACUUUCAAACCAUGUAUCAUUCUUUAUCAUAGCUCCUGCCUCAGCUCCUACUGAUUCCUUCCAUUCCUUAUCCUCCAUUGCCUCUUCAUAGCUUCUUGGAAUGUGAUUCUCAUCUAAGUUUACCAUGAAUGCACAAUGUGCUUCUGGAUAUUGAGAGAAAGAACACACGGCCUGAGUAGGAUGCUUCACAGCUUGAGCAUUGUAGUACACUCUCGUGUUUACCCAACUGGAAGGAUCCUUUCUCAGCCUUGUACUUCUUCUCAACACUGGCCCUUCUUGUGCCGGUAACUCCAUGUCUUGUACAUCUUCUCGUGUACUUUCUUCUCUUGCUUCUUCUCUUGGCUGACUUGCUUCAGCUCCUUCAUCCCUUAGCUGACUUGCUUCAGCUCCUUCUUGUUGAUCAUUUGACUCCACAGCUUGAUCAUGAGAACCAGAACUCUCUUCAUGACUUUGAGUUUGAGUUUCUGUUCCAUUCCCCCCCUCAUGUUCAAGAUUGGACGUCUGAUGAUUCGGUAUUGGUGUAGUGCCUCUUACUUCUUGCUGUCCUUGAUCCAUAUUGAUACCAAGUCCUUCUAGUAUUAUCCUCAAGGUUGCAGCUCUAUCUGAAGUGAGAUCUUUCAAAUCUUCUUGAAUCUGCUCCUCAUAAUAUCCUUUUUCUUCCACAAACUUCACUUCUCUAGAUACUAACACUCUCCUUGUGUUAGGAUCAUAGCACUUAUAUCCUUUCUGACUUGAUGAGUAUCCAACAAACAUUGCCUUGGAGCUUCUAGCUUCAAGCUUGUUUCUUAAUUCUCCCGGUACCAUCACAAAACACAAACACCGAAAGAUCUUCAUAUGUUCCAAUGAGGGCUUGUAUCGGUUCAAUACCUCAAAUGGUGAUAACCCUUGCAGAAUCAGAGUUGGUGUUCUGUUGAUGAGAUAACAAGCUGUAGUGACCGCAUCACUCCAGAACUUCUUGGGUACAUUGGUUUGAAACAUCAUGGACCUGGCCACUUCCAUCAGAUGCCUAUUCUUUCUCUCAGCCACACCAUUCUGUUGUGGAGUAUAGGGACAGCUUGUCUGAUGUAGUAUUCCAUGCUGAGAUAGAUGGAGCUUGAAUGCUUGUCCCGUGUACUCUCCUCCAUUAUCUGACCUGAAAAUCUUUAUCUUGGCAUUAUAAUGGUUAGUCACAUAUGAUUGAAAGUUCUUAAAUGCAUCAAGUACCCUAUCUUUGGUUGGAAUUAAAGUUAACCAGGUGUAUUUGGAUUUUUCAUCAAUGAAAGUUACAUAAUACUUUUGAUUGUCUCUAGAUAAGCAAGGAGCAGUCCAAACAUCAGAAUGAAUCAAAUCAAAACACUUCUCAUAAACCGUAGUAGAUUUAGUAAAGACAGUCUUACAAUGCUUGCCUAAAAUGCAAGCUUCACACUCAUUAUUCUCAAAGGAAACACCUGGCAACAUCAGUUUUAAAGCCUUAUUAUGAGGGUGUCCUAAUCUAGCAUGCCACAAUGCAUUUUUACUUAAACUAGAACCAGAAACAGAAGUAAACGAGCAGCUAUAACUAGAAACAGGAGCAAGAUCUUCAAGUAAAUACAAUUCUCCUUUAGUAACUCCCUUUCCAAUCAUCUUGCUGCUUUUAAUAUCCUGAAACUUCACAUCAUUAGGACUGAAUAUGACAUUGCAUUUCAAAUCAGUAGCACAUUUCUUAACAGAUAACAAGUUUGAAGUAAAUUCAGGCAUAUAAAAGGCUUUAGUUUCCUUAUCAAACAGUUUAAGACUUCCUAUUCCUCUAAUAGGUAUCUUAUCUCCAUUAGCUAUCAUCACAUUUCCAUUCAUUGGUACAAUGUUUUUAAUCAAACUAGUGUCACUUAUCAUAUGAUGAGAUGCACCAGAAUCAACUACUAAAGGCUUGAUGGUAUGUGAACUAGCAAUAUGAGCAAGUAUACUAGAUGGUUUGAAUGCAUGAUCAUUCCUAGCAAAACUGUCCGUUCUAGAUUGGUUUAUUAUCUCUAUCACACUUUCAUGCAUCCUAUCAAUGCUAGUUGGAUUCUCAUCAUUCCCUAUAGCCCUAGCACCAAAGGAAUAUCCAAAACUGUUACCAUGCUCCUUGAAGAGCUUAAUGAGAGCAUCCAGGUCGGAUUUCCUUAGAUACUCUUGAUCAUAGUUCCCACGGUUGCUUGGGGCUCCAGUGUAGGCAACAAGAGACCUCCCAUCACCUGCUUCACGCCCAUCUAUCUCCUUCCCUUUGCUAGUACCUGCUCCACUUGCGCUUGCUCCAUCUGAGAUAUUAGCCCUUGCCUCUCUGUCUUUCAUAAACUUUGCCGGCUUGAGAUGGGGAUGGAGUAUCCAGCAUUGGCUCUUCUUGUGGCCAUGCUUCUUGCAGUGAUCACAGUUCCCAUUGAACCUCCUCUCAUCAUACUUCCCAUGCGCAGCCUUGUGUGCUUGUGGAGCUUCCCCUCCCUCCUCUUGAGUUGCUUGAUUUACGAGAGAUAGCUCUCCUUUCUUUCCAAACAACCCAAUAGAGCCUUGUUCCUUCUGAAUCCUUGCGCACACUUCUUCAAGAUCAGGUAGUGUGUCCUCUCUAAGCAAGUGUUGGAUAAGACCAUUGUACGCCGGAUUCAUGGUGAGGAGUAGCCCAAAGACCUUGUCUUGCUCUCUUCUUUUGUUGAGCUCAUCUGCAUCUGUAGUGCUUGGCCUCAACAUCUCCAGCUCGGACCAGAGUGUUCUGAACCUCCCUAGAUGCUUGGUGAACUCCAUAUCCUCUUGUACCAAGUUGUUUAUAGCCUGCUUCACCUCAAACACACGGCUCAGGUUUGAUGUAUUCCCAUACACCUUCUUCAACGUAUCCCACAGCUCUUUAGCUGAUUCACAGUAACUGUAUGCAUCUAGAAUCGCCGGCUCAAGUGAAGCAUGCAGCACUGACAUCACCAACAUGUCCUCCUGAUGCCACUUCUCUUCCGCUUUGCUUGCGGCUUCUCCUUCAGUUUCUCCUUGGGUGAUGAGCUUUGGAGCUUCUCCUGGCGUGAUGUGCUUCCAAAGCCCUUUGCUUCCCACCGUGGUUCUCACCAUCCGAGACCACACCAAGUAGUUGGUUCCCUUGAAGCAAACCGCUACCUUCAUGUUCAUGUUCAUACCACUCUCCAUGAUGAACGAUGACUUCUCUAGACUUCACAAACUGGAUCUUGAGUUAAAAGACUUGUAAGAACACUCACUGCCUCGGUCUUCAACCUCACAGCUUCAGCAACACACUAAAAACUAGUCUUUGAACUCGGACAAUACCCGGAACCUCCCAAGAACACAAGAACACCAACCAAACUCUUCAAAGCUUCAAUCUUGAAUCUCCAAAGAGCCUAACACGAACUCAGGUUCUUACUAACCUGGCUCUGAUACCAUAAGAUUUUUAGUAAUGUUUAGAGUAAUCUGAGUGUUUAGGAAAGACUAGAAACGAUUUAGUGAAGAUUAGAGUAUGAAAUGAGAUUAGGAGUCUAAUAUGGAACCAUUGAGAUUUAAAGACUAAGAGAGAGUCUCAAAACUUGCUUAAUCUUAUUAAUGAGUGAGGUUACAUAUUUAUAAGAGAGACACAAGGGUUUACAAGAAGGGAACUGAGCACUAUUCAACCGUGUGGAGUCAAGGGCGCCUUUUGAAUGAUUGGUCAGGAUGGCUCACACGCUUAUGGCAUCUUGGACUAAAGGUGCUUCAGCUUUCCAGCCUGUUCCAGCCUGGCACCGCGUUCCCUUAUCCUCUCAACGGUCUGAUCCUCUCCCUAAGCUACCCAAGUCACUCCUCCUUAGUUACCGUCUCACUUGGAUAAGGUAUGGUAAGUUUUGGUUGAGGUUUGGAUGGUACGGCCUUGUACGGCCUUGUACGGCCUUGUACGGCCUGCCGUACCAUACUCUCCCAAACUUCCCUAAGUACUUCAUCUCCUCUUCUCUUCAACUCCUUAUCUCUUCAUCUCCAUAUACUCAGCUCAUCUCAACAAAAGGGGGGCACGACCAUGAACAUGGUCUGAAUGAAGGCUUGAUACAUGGGAGCCUAUAAGGAGCCAAUGGGAGAACAGCCUUCCCUUUGACCAGUUUGAAUCAACCAAUCAGAUAUCAUCAGCCCUCAGCCAAUCACAAGACAUCACACAGAUUGCAAUACCAAGCUCUCAUCUACACCAUCCAUUCUCUCAAGUUAAUAUUAUCCAUUAGAUUUAGGUUUCAGAUUGUGCAAACCUAUUAAGCUUAUAAAUAAGCUUGUAAGAGGCGAUUUUGAGCCUUAAGGGAGUUUGGGGGAUUUCCCCUCUCCACUUCAUAAUGAAAUGUGUUCUUGAAUCAGAUUCCCUUUAAACUCUCCCUUUCUUAUACUCUUAAUCUCUCAAAGUCUCUUGUUUCUGAUUUAAGUAAACACAUAAACACUCUUAUAAAACUCUCUCUCUAAAAUCACCUAAAACAAACUCUAAUCUUCUCAUCUUGCUCCAUUGGAGCUUAUACACACACACAACCUGAGAUCUCUGAAAAUCUCACAUGGUAUCAGAGCCAGGUUCAUCUGAAUCUGGUUGAAGCUUCCGCAAACCUCAGAGCUCACUCCCAUGUCCAUUACAACCAAGAAGAAGCUGUCUGUUCAAUCCGGCUGUUCAACACCUCAAGAGGCAGGCGUGUUCAUCCUGGAGUCCAGAAGCUGUCUGGUGCUGUUCCUCAUCAUCCCAUGUCGCCCUUGAAGAAAGAAGAUCCAAGGAAACAAAGGCAAUGGAGUGGAUUAGCUACCCUCUCUAGCAAAGCCAGUUCCUGGUUCUUGCUAUUCAAAGUCCAAGAAGAAGUUUCUCAAGAAGAAAGCUUGCUGCUUGUACUGGUGUGGCGUGUACAACAUGGAGAAAGGUGGGAGCUAAGACAUGGUGGUUCAAAAGGAAAGGUCCAUGGAAGAUGGAGGCGUUGGAGUGCACACUAACAACUCAGAAUCUGUCCAAUGGAAUCAAGGAUCUAUACAAAGGUCCUUGGCUGUAAGAAAGUUCUUUCCUUUUGUAUAAAGCUUGAGUAUAUUGACAGGUUGUGUUGUGAAAUCAUCUGUCUCACUUUGUGACAAUCAACCUCAAUAUGCUUGGUUCUCUCAUGGAAUACUGAGUUUGUUGCGAUGUGUAUGGCGGCUUGGUUGUCACAAUGCAUAGUCAUUGGAGUAGCUUGCUCAAUCUCCAAAUGCUUUAAGAUUCCCUUGAUCCAUACCAGUUCGUUUGUGAGCUUCAGCAUGGCUCUAUACUCAGCUUCAGCACUGGAACAGGCCACCACCUUCUGUUUCUUGCUCUUCCAUGUCACUAAGUUGCCUCCAAUGAAUGUACAAUAGCCGGUAGUUGAUCUUCUGUCAGCUCUAUCACCUGCCCAAUCCGCAUCACAGUAGCCUACCACUUCAGUACUCUUGUUGCAACCCAUCCAAACUCCAAGGCCCUUUGUUCCGUUUAGAUACAUCAGUAGCCUCUCCACCAUGUGCCAAUGAUGUUCCUUUGGAACUUGCAUAUGCUGGCUCACUUGAUUCACAGCAAAGCAUACAUCUGGUCUUGUAAUGGUAAGGUAGAUCAGCUUCCCUACCAUCUUCCUAUACAGCUUCGGAUCAUGGAAAGGCUUGCUAUCUUCAAUCUCCCCCUCACGUGGAAGCUUGUAGCCAUCCUCAAGAGGCAUCCUUGCUGUUUUAUCUCCAAUACCUGCAUCUUUCAAUAGAUCAAGUGCAUACUUCCUUUGGGAAAUGAACAAUCCUUCCUUAGAUCUACACAACUCAAUUCCAAGGAAGUAUUUCAUUUCUCCUAAGUCUUUAAUUUCAAACACAGAUUUUAAAAACUCCUUUGUGGCUUUUAUACCAUCCUUAUCACUACCUGUUAUGAUGAUAUCAUCCACAUAAACAAGUAGACAGAUGAUACCUGAGUGUGUAGUGAGAGUGAAGAGAGUAUGAUCAAGCUCAGACUUUCUAAAGCCACGCCCAUUCAAUGUUGUGCUUAGUUUGUUGUACCAAGCUCUAGGAGACUGUUUUAAACCAUAAAUGGCCUUCUUCAAUCUCAACACAUUUCCUGGCUUUACAAGACCUUCAAGACCUGGUGGGGGAUGCAUGUAUACUUCAUCUUCUAGUUCACCUUGAAGAAAUGCAUUCUUCACAUCCAUUUGCCACAGAUCCCACUCAAGGUUCACAGCCAAGGAUAGUACUAUCCUAAUUGUGUGAAGCUUAGCAACUGGGGCAAAGGUAUCAAUGUAAUCCUCUCCAUAGGUCUGAGUAUAGCCUCUUGCAACUAGCCUUGUCUUGCGCCUCUCUAUCUGUCCAUUAGGAAGGUAUUUGAUUGUAAAUAUCCAUCUGCUUGUUACUACCUUCUUCCCUUUAGGUAACUCACUUUCAUACCAUGUAUCAUUCUUUAUCAUAGCUCCUGAUUCAUCCCCAACUGAUUCUCUCCACUCUUUAUGCAUCAUGGCUUCCUCAUAUGAUCUUGGAACAAAAUUCUUAUCCAAACUCACCAUGAAUGCACAAUGCUCUUGAGGGAACUCAGCAAAGGAACACACAGCUUGGGAGGGAUGCUCCACAGCCUGGGCAUUGUAGUACACUCUCGUGUUUACCCAGUUGGAAGUAUCCCUCUUUAGCCGUGUACUUCUUCUUAAAGGAACCGGAACAGGCUCCAUAACAGCCGCAGGCUCUACACCUUCUCCCUCAACUUCAUUGGUUUCAAUCUGAUCUUCUUGAGUAGAUUCUUCUUCACUUAGUGUCACUCCUUGAACAUGAUUAUCUGAGUCUUGAUCUUCAUGAUCUCCAGGCUCAGGUUCGUUUCCCCCUUCAUGAUCAAGGUGUGAUGAUUCUUCAGCUUCAUUAGUACUUGUUGGUUGCUGAUCCUGGGACAUGUUGAUCCCAAGUCAUUCUAGCACACGCCUAAGACUUGUAGCUUUAUCAGAUGGCUGAGACAAAUCUUCAAGAUCUUCCCACUUCCUAUCUCCAUAAAAACUCUUAUCUUCCAAAAACUUGACAUCUCUAGACACAAGAACCCUCCUGGCAUCUGAAUCAUAGCAUUUGUACCCUUUCUGUGAUGUUGAGUAGCCAAUGAACAUAGCUCUUGUACUCUUUGCUUUUAACUUAUUCCUUAGCUCUCCGGGUACAAGCACAAAGCACACACACCCAAAUACUCUUAAGUGAUCCAGUACUGGCUUGCUUCUGUUUAGAACUUCGUAGGGUGCUUGAUCCUCCAAAAUCUUUGUUGGUAUCCUAUUAAUUAGAUAGCAAGCAGAGAUCACAGCAUCACUCCAAAACCUCUUUGGUACACUUGUGUGAAACAUCAUAGACCUUGCCACCUCCAUUAGGUGUCUGUUCUUCCUCUCAGCAACUCCAUUCUGUUGAGGAGUGUAGGGACAGCUUGUCUGAUGAAGAAUCCCAUGUUGAGCUAGAUGGUUCUUGAAUGCAUUGCCAGUAUACUCUCCACCAUUAUCAGACCUGAAAAUCUUAAUCUUGGCAUUAUACUGGUUAGAUACAUAAGACUGGAAGUUUUUAAAUGCAUCAAGAACCCUAUCCUUUGUUUUAAUGAGUGUUAUCCAGGUGUAUUUAGAUUUUUCAUCUAUGAAUGUGACAAAGUACUUGUAGUUAUCUCUAGAUAAACAGGGAGCAGUCCAUACAUCAGAGUGAAUAAGAUCAAAGCAAUUAUCAUAGAUAGUAGUAGAUCUUUUAAACACAGUCUUACAAUGUUUUCCCAAAAUACAAGCCUCACAAUCAUUAUUUUUAAACAUGACACCUGGUAACAUUAAGCUUAAGGCUCUAACAUGUGGAUGUCCUAGCCUAGAAUGCCAUAAUGCACCUUUACUUAAAACAGAACUCAACAAACAACUAGAAAUGGGGGUAAUGUCUUCAAGUAAAUAAAGAUCCCCUUUGGUUACUCCUUGCCCAAUCAACUUACUGCUCUCAAUAUCCUGAAAUUUCACAUCAUUAGGACUAAAGAUAACAUUGCAUUGAAGAUCAUUAGUACAUCUCUCGACAGAUAAUAGAUUAGAAGUAAACUCAGGCAUGUAAAAGGCUUUAGAAUUCUUAUCAAACAGUUUUAAAUCUCCUAUUCCUCUAAUGGGGAUUCUAUCUCCAUUUGCAAUCAUUACAUGUCCUUGAGCUGGUUCUAUGUUUUUAAUAAGACUAUCAUCACUAAUCAUAUGGUGAGAUGCACCAGAAUCAAUAAUCAAUGGUUUUAUUCCUCUAGCAAGAUGAGUUCUAGGUGAUUUGUUUCUCAGUUUCAACUCACUAAUGAUAUCCAGUAAUCUAUUCUCAUUCCUAGGCAUUGUAUGAGCAGUAUAUGAGUAUCCAUGAGUGUUUCCGAAUGUACCAGACUCCUUAAGAGCUUUGAUGAGGGCAUCAAUGUCUGAUUUCCUGAUCACUUCAUGAUCCAAGCUCCUUGUGGCCGCGUAAUGAGUUGCCAUAGCUCUUCCUGUGCUUUCUCCCACUUGUGCAUUUGUGCCUGCUCCUGAUGAACCGGCUUCACUUGCUUCAGCAGACAGGUUAGCUCUAGCUUCUCGUUCUUUGUUAAACUUGGCCGGCUUGAGAUGGGGAUGUAGGAUCCAGCAUUGGCUCCUUUUGUGCCCUGGCUUCUUGCAGUGAUCGCAGUUGCCUCCAAACCGUCUGUCAUCACCAUACUUCCUCUCAUCAUUCUUGUAUGCUGCUCGGUUUGCUUGUGCUGCUUCCUCAGCCUUGUUGGCUAAAGACAGGUCCCCCUUGCUACCAAAGAGACCGAGAGACCCUUCCUCCUUCUGAAUCAGUGCACACACUUCCUCCAUGGAUGGCAGAUUCGGCAUCCUUAGAACGUGCUUGAUCACAUCGUUAAAUGGAGCAUCCAACGUCAACAACAAUCCAAACACCUGAUCUUGCUCCCGCCUUUCCAUAAGCAGCUCCUGAUCAGUUUUGCUUGGCCUCAAUGUUUCAAGCUCAGACCACAAGGAUCUAUACUUGCCUAGAUGUUUGGUGAACUCCUCUCCAUCUUGUACAAGCAUGUUGAUGGCUCUCUUGAGCUCAAACACCCUGCUUAGAUUGGUAAUGUUCCCAAAUGUCUUUUGGAGUGUCUCCCACAGGUGCUUUGGAGUCUCGCAGUAGCUGUAGGCUUCCAAGAGAUGUUCUUCAAGUGACCCUUGCAGCACAGAUAGCACCAUCAAGUCAUCCUGAAUCCAUUUCUUUCCAUCAGUCACCGCGAGCUCUCUUCCACCUUCUUCCGUACUGGCCACUGGUGCUGGAGCUUCAUCCGUGAUGUGACUCCAUAACCCUAGCCUCCCAAUGGCUGUCUUCACAAGCCUUGACCACAACAGGUAGUUUCCCCCACCCUUUAGUGAAAUCGGAACCGUGAUAACCUUGUUCCCUCCCAUCUUGAGUUGUUUGAUCGUUCCUUAGAACCCAACGAGAAUAAUCUUUAUCUGAAGCUGAAGAACCCAAGAUCUCAAUACCAAAGACAACCUGGCUCUGAUACCAUGAAAGUUUAGAGAAUAAGAAAGGUAUUGAGAGAUUAGAGAGAGUUUAAGAGUGAUUAUGAGAGAUUAAGGUGUUUAGGUGUAAUCGUAUGAGAUGAUCAUGAUGAACUUAAGAGAGAAACUCAUAAACUCUUGUGUUAUCUUAUUAAUCAAUCAGGUUACAAUAUAUAUAUGAGAGAGAGCUAGGGCAUUUCGAAAUACAAGCAUGUGAAGUCAAGGAUAAGAUGAGAGACUAUGGGAAAAGUAACCAAUGGGAUGAGCCACAUGCUUGGACACCUUUUGCUUUUACUUUCCAGGCUGUCCUUAGCUGUAGCCGCGCCUUAUCCAUCUGAUUCAACGGACUGAUUGUGGAUAAGGCUGUAACAAAGCUAAACUCCCAAGUUAACUCCCCUUAGGUAACUUUGGACCAUCUCCAUUACCCUAACUGUACGGCCUUGCCUUGUACGGACACCUCAACCAUAUUCACCUCAACUCUUCUAUCCUUCUCUAAUACUCCAUGCCUUCACCCUGAUACCUCUUCUUUUCUCUUAUUUUGUUCAACACUCCCCCUCAAGCUUGUCUAUAGGAACUAGCCAAGCUUGGAAAGGUCUAUCCUUCUCUAAUACUCCAUGCCUUCACCCUGAUACCUCUUCUCUUCUCUUAUUUUGUUCAACAUCUUGGUGAUUGAUCAAGCUUGGAAGCCAUGAGAUCUUCCUCAUUAAAAACCUCAUCAAAGAAAACCCAUUGGGACAAAACUUUGAUGAGGGAAAAAGAGUAAAGGUCUCAUGGCUAAGGGGAUCAGCUCCUUUGUGUGAGAUCUAUGAGUCCCAAUCUGAUGUGAAUGGACUCCAUAGUCUUCUGUCUUGCAGCCUUGGUGAACACAUCUGCUAAUUGAUCCUCACUCCGAGUGUAGCAUGGUAAGAUCACCCCCAAGACAAUCAUCUGUCUCACUUUGUGACAAUCAACCUCAAUAUGCUUGGUUCUCUCAUGGAAUACUGAGUUUGUUGCGAUGUGUAUGGCGGCUUGGUUGUCACAAUGCAUAGUCAUUGGAGUAGCUUGCUCAAUCUCCAAAUGCUUUAAGAUUCCCUUGAUCCAUACCAGUUCGUUUGUGAGCUUCAGCAUGGCUCUAUACUCAGCUUCAGCACUGGAACAGGCCACCACCUUCUGUUUCUUGCUCUUCCAUGUCACUAAGUUGCCUCCAAUGAAUGUACAAUAGCCGGUAGUUGAUCUUCUGUCAGCUCUAUCACCUGCCCAAUCCGCAUCACAGUAGCCUACCACUUCAGUACUCUUGUUGCAACCCAUCCAAACUCCAAGGCCCUUUGUUCCGUUUAGAUACAUCAGUAGCCUCUCCACCAUGUGCCAAUGAUGUUCCUUUGGAACUUGCAUAUGCUGGCUCACUUGAUUCACAGCAAAGCAUACAUCUGGUCUUGUAAUGGUAAGGUAGAUCAGCUUCCCUACCAUCUUCCUAUACAGCUUCGGAUCAUGGAAAGGCUUGCUAUCUUCAAUCUCCCCCUCACGUGGAAGCUUGUAGCCAUCCUCAAGAGGCAUCCUUGCUGUUUUAUCUCCAAUACCUGCAUCUUUCAAUAGAUCAAGUGCAUACUUCCUUUGGGAAAUGAACAAUCCUUCCUUAGAUCUACACAACUCAAUUCCAAGGAAGUAUUUCAUUUCUCCUAAGUCUUUAAUUUCAAACACAGAUUUUAAAAACUCCUUUGUGGCUUUUAUACCAUCCUUAUCACUACCUGUUAUGAUGAUAUCAUCCACAUAAACAAGUAGACAGAUGAUACCUGAUUGUGUAGUGAGAGUGAAGAGAGUAUGAUCAAGCUCAGACUUUCUAAAGCCACGCCCAUUCAAUGUUGUGCUUAGUUUGUUGUACCAAGCUCUAGGAGACUGUUUUAAACCAUAAAUGGCCUUCUUCAAUCUCAACACAUUUCCUGGCUUUACAAGACCUUCAAGACCUGGUGGGGGAUGCAUGUAUACUUCAUCUUCUAGUUCACCUUGAAGAAAUGCAUUCUUCACAUCCAUUUGCCACAGAUCCCACUCAAGGUUCACAGCCAAGGAUAGUACUAUCCUAAUUGUGUGAAGCUUAGCAACUGGGGCAAAGGUAUCAAUGUAAUCCUCUCCAUAGGUCUGAGUAUAGCCUCUUGCAACUAGCCUUGUCUUGCGCCUCUCUAUCUGUCCAUUAGGAAGGUAUUUGAUUGUAAAUAUCCAUCUGCUUGUUACUACCUUCUUCCCUUUAGGUAACUCACUUUCAUACCAUGUAUCAUUCUUUAUCAUAGCUCCUGAUUCAUCCCCAACUGAUUCUCUCCACUCUUUAUGCAUCAUGGCUUCCUCAUAUGAUCUUGGAACAAAAUUCUUAUCCAAACUCACCAUGAAUGCACAAUGCUCUUGAGGGAACUCAGCAAAGGAACACACAGCUUGGGAGGGAUGCUCCACAGCCUGGGCAUUGUAGUACACUCUCGUGUUUACCCAGUUGGAAGUAUCCCUCUUUAGCCGUGUACUUCUUCUUAAAGGAACCGGAACAGGCUCCAUAACAGCCGCAGGCUCUACACCUUCUCCCUCAACUUCAUUGGUUUCAAUCUGAUCUUCUUGAGUAGAUUCUUCUUCACUUAGUGUCACUCCUUGAACAUGAUUAUCUGAGUCUUGAUCUUCAUGAUCUCCAGGCUCAGGUUCGUUUCCCCCUUCAUGAUCAAGGUGUGAUGAUUCUUCAGCUUCAUUAGUACUUGUUGGUUGCUGAUCCUGGGACAUGUUGAUCCCAAGUCAUUCUAGCACACGCCUAAGACUUGUAGCUUUAUCAGAUGGCUGAGACAAAUCUUCAAGAUCUUCCCACUUCCUAUCUCCAUAAAAACUCUUAUCUUCCAAAAACUUGACAUCUCUAGACACAAGAACCCUCCUGGCAUCUGAAUCAUAGCAUUUGUACCCUUUCUGUGAUGUUGAGUAGCCAAUGAACAUAGCUCUUGUACUCUUUGCUUUUAACUUAUUCCUUAGCUCUCCGGGUACAAGCACAAAGCACACACACCCAAAUACUCUUAAGUGAUCCAGUACUGGCUUGCUUCUGUUUAGAACUUCGUAGGGUGCUUGAUCCUCCAAAAUCUUUGUUGGUAUCCUAUUAAUUAGAUAGCAAGCAGAGAUCACAGCAUCACUCCAAAACCUCUUUGGUACACUUGUGUGAAACAUCAUAGACCUUGCCACCUCCAUUAGGUGUCUGUUCUUCCUCUCAGCAACUCCAUUCUGUUGAGGAGUGUAGGGACAGCUUGUCUGAUGAAGAAUCCCAUGUUGAGCUAGAUGGUUCUUGAAUGCAUUGCCAGUAUACUCUCCACCAUUAUCAGACCUGAAAAUCUUAAUCUUGGCAUUAUACUGGUUAGAUACAUAAGACUGGAAGUUUUUAAAUGCAUCAAGAACCCUAUCCUUUGUUUUAAUGAGUGUUAUCCAGGUGUAUUUAGAUUUUUCAUCUAUGAAUGUGACAAAGUACUUGUAGUUAUCUCUAGAUAAACAGGGAGCAGUCCAUACAUCAGAGUGAAUAAGAUCAAAGCAAUUAUCAUAGAUAGUAGUAGAUCUUUUAAACACAGUCUUACAAUGUUUUCCCAAAAUACAAGCCUCACAAUCAUUAUUUUUAAACAUGACACCUGGUAACAUUAAGCUUAAGGCUCUAACAUGUGGAUGUCCUAGCCUAGAAUGCCAUAAUGCACCUUUACUUAAAACAGAACUCAACAAACAACUAGAAAUGGGGGUAAUGUCUUCAAGUAAAUAAAGAUCCCCUUUGGUUACUCCUUGCCCAAUCAACUUACUGCUCUCAAUAUCCUGAAAUUUCACAUCAUUAGGACUAAAGAUAACAUUGCAUUGAAGAUCAUUAGUACAUCUCUCGACAGAUAAUAGAUUAGAAGUAAACUCAGGCAUGUAAAAGGCUUUAGAAUUCUUAUCAAACAGUUUUAAAUCUCCUAUUCCUCUAAUGGGGAUUCUAUCUCCAUUUGCAAUCAUUACAUGUCCUUGAGCUGGUUCUAUGUUUUUAAUAAGACUAUCAUCACUAAUCAUAUGGUGAGAUGCACCAGAAUCAAUAAUCAAUGGUUUUAUUCCUCUAGCAAGAUGAGUUCUAGGUGAUUUGUUUCUCAGUUUCAACUCACUAAUGAUAUCCAGUAAUCUAUUCUCAUUCCUAGGCAUUGUAUGAGCAGUAUAUGAGUAUCCAUGAGUGUUUCCGAAUGUACCAGACUCCUUAAGAGCUUUGAUGAGGGCAUCAAUGUCUGAUUUCCUGAUCACUUCAUGAUCCAAGCUCCUUGUGGCCGCGUAAUGAGUUGCCAUAGCUCUUCCUGUGCUUUCUCCCACUUGUGCAUUUGUGCCUGCUCCUGAUGAACCGGCUUCACUUGCUUCAGCAGACAGGUUAGCUCUAGCUUCUCGUUCUUUGUUAAACUUGGCCGGCUUGAGAUGGGGAUGUAGGAUCCAGCAUUGGCUCCUUUUGUGCCCUGGCUUCUUGCAGUGAUCGCAGUUGCCUCCAAACCGUCUGUCAUCACCAUACUUCCUCUCAUCAUUCUUGUAUGCUGCUCGGUUUGCUUGUGCUGCUUCCUCAGCCUUGUUGGCUAAAGACAGGUCCCCCUUGCUACCAAAGAGACCGAGAGACCCUUCCUCCUUCUGAAUCAGUGCACACACUUCCUCCAUGGAUGGCAGAUUCGGCAUCCUUAGAACGUGCUUGAUCACAUCGUUAAAUGGAGCAUCCAACGUCAACAACAAUCCAAACACCUGAUCUUGCUCCCGCCUUUCCAUAAGCAGCUCCUGAUCAGUUUUGCUUGGCCUCAAUGUUUCAAGCUCAGACCACAAGGAUCUAUACUUGCCUAGAUGUUUGGUGAACUCCUCUCCAUCUUGUACAAGCAUGUUGAUGGCUCUCUUGAGCUCAAACACCCUGCUUAGAUUGGUAAUGUUCCCAAAUGUCUUUUGGAGUGUCUCCCACAGGUGCUUUGGAGUCUCGCAGUAGCUGUAGGCUUCCAAGAGAUGUUCUUCAAGUGACCCUUGCAGCACAGAUAGCACCAUCAAGUCAUCCUGAAUCCAUUUCUUUCCAUCAGUCACCGCGAGCUCUCUUCCACCUUCUUCCGUACUGGCCACUGGUGCUGGAGCUUCAUCCGUGAUGUGACUCCAUAACCCUAGCCUCCCAAUGGCUGUCUUCACAAGCCUUGACCACAACAGGUAGUUUCCCCCACCCUUUAGUGAAAUCGGAACCGUGAUAACCUUGUUCCCUCCCAUCUUGAGUUGUUUGAUCGUUCCUUAGAACCCAACGAGAAUAAUCUUUAUCUGAAGCUGAAGAACCCAAGAUCUCAAUACCAAAGACAACCUGGCUCUGAUACCAUGAAAGUUUAGAGAAUAAGAAAGGUAUUGAGAGAUUAGAGAGAGUUUAAGAGUGAUUAUGAGAGAUUAAGGUGUUUAGGUGUAAUCGUAUGAGAUGAUCAUGAUGAACUUAAGAGAGAAACUCAUAAACUCUUGUGUUAUCUUAUUAAUCAAUCAGGUUACAAUAUAUAUAUGAGAGAGAGCUAGGGCAUUUCGAAAUACAAGCAUGUGAAGUCAAGGAUAAGAUGAGAGACUAUGGGAAAAGUAACCAAUGGGAUGAGCCACAUGCUUGGACACCUUUUGCUUUUACUUUCCAGGCUGUCCUUAGCUGUAGCCGCGCCUUAUCCAUCUGAUUCAACGGACUGAUUGUGGAUAAGGCUGUAACAAAGCUAAACUCCNNNNNNNNNNNNNNNNNNNNNNNNNNNNNNNNNNNNNNNNNNNNNNNNNNNNNNNNNNNNNNNNNNNNNNNNNNNNNNNNNNNNNNNNNNNNNNNNNNNNNNNNNNNNNNNNNNNNNNNNNNNNNNNNNNNNNNNNNNNNNNNNNNNNNNNNNNNNNNNNNNNNNNNNNNNNNNNNNNNNNNNNNNNNNNNNNNNNNNNNNNNNNNNNNNNNNNNNNNNNNNNNNNNNNNNNNNNNNNNNNNNNNNNNNNNNNNNNNNNNNNNNNNNNNNNNNNNNNNNNNNNNNNNNNNNNNNNNNNNNNNNNNNNNNNNNNNNNNNNNNNNNNNNNNNNNNNNNNNNNNNNNNNNNNNNNNNNNNNNNNNNNNNNNNNNNNNNNNNNNNNNNNNNNNNNNNNNNNNNNNNNNNNNNNNNNNNNNNNNNNNNNNNNNNNNNNNNNNNNNNNNNNNNNNNNNNNNNNNNNNNNNNNNNNNNNNNNNNNNNNNNNNNNNNNNNNNNNNNNNNNNNNNNNNNNNNNNNNNNNNNNNNNNNNNNNNNNNNNNNNNNNNNNNNNNNNNNNNNNNNNNNNNNNNNNNNNNNNNNNNNNNNNNNNNNNNNNNNNNNNNNNNNNNNNNNNNNNNNNNNNNNNNNNNNNNNNNNNNNNNNNNNNNNNNNNNNNNNNNNNNNNNNNNNNNNNNNNNNNNNNNNNNNNNNNNNNNNNNNNNNNNNNNNNNNNNNNNNNNNNNNNNNNNNNNNNNNNNNNNNNNNNNNNNNNNNNNNNNNNNNNNNNNNNNNNNNNNNNNNNNNNNNNNNNNNNNNNNNNNNNNNNNNNNNNNNNNNNNNNNNNNNNNNNNNNNNNNNNNNNNNNNNNNNNNNNNNNNNNNNNNNNNNNNNNNNNNNNNNNNNNNNNNNNNNNNNNNNNNNNNNNNNNNNNNNNNNNNNNNNNNNNNNAGAGAGACUAAGCAUGUGAGGUCAAGGAUAAGGUUGCUUUAAUUCAAACUUGAUCCAAUGGGAGCUGUCACACGUUUUUGGCAUCUUGGACCAGGUUCCUUUUGCCUUUACAGCCUGUUCCAGCCUGUGUGGAUAAGGCUCAGUCACUCUAUCCAUCCAAACGGUCAUCUCCCCUAAGGUAAAACUCCUUUGGCCGUUUACUUCUUUCACGCGGUAACUUCUCCUCUUGGUCGAGUGGUGGAUUGAUCCGGACCGUACGGAUGGUACGGCCGGUACGGCCUUGUACGGUCUGAUCACUCCCAAGCUUUCCUUCUCUUUGCCUUCACAUUAUCUCAUUCCCAACUCCUUAAGCUAUCUUCUCAUAUAUUGUUCAACUCAUUUCAACACUCCCCCUCAAGCUUAACUUAGUAACUUAGUUAAGCUUGGAACAACCAUGAGAUCUUCCUCAUUAAAAACCUCACCAAAGAAAACCCAUUGGGACAAAACUUUGAUGAGGGAAAAAGAGUGAAAAGCUCAUGGCUAAGGGGAUCAGCUCCGUGGUGUAAGAUCUAUGAGUCCCAAUCUGAUGUGAAUGGACUCCAUAGUCUUUUGUCUUGCUGCCUUGGUGAACACAUCCGCAAGUUGAUCCUCACUCCUCGUAUAGCAUGGCAGGAUUACUCCCAAGACAAUCAUCUGCCUCACCUUGUGACAAUCAACUUCAAUGUGCUUGGUUCUCUCAUGGAAGACUGAGUUGGUUGCAAUGUGUAUAGCCGCUUGAUUAUCACAGUGCAUAGUCAUUGGAGUCACUUGCUCUAUCUCCAAAUGCUUCAAGAUCCCUUUAAUCCAUACCAACUCAUUUGUAAGCUUCAGCAUUGCUCUAUACUCAGCUUCAGCACUUGAACACGAUACCACCUUCUGCUUCUUGCUCUUCCAAGUCACCAAGUUGCCUCCAAUGAAUGUACAAUAGCCGGUGGUUGAUCUUCUGUCUGCUCUAUCUCCAGCCCAAUCAGCGUCACAAUAUCCCACCACUUCAGUACUCUUGUUGCAUCCCAUCCAUACUCCAAGGCUUGAUGUCCCGUUCAGAUACAAGAGAAGUCUCUCCACCAUGCGCCAGUGAUGUUCCUUUGGGACUUGCAUAUGCUGGCUCACUUGAUUCACAGCAAAGCAUAUGUCUGGUCUUGUGAUAGUGAGAUAGAUGAGCUUCCCUACCAGCUUCUUGUAUAGCUUUGGAUCAUGAAAGGCCUUGCUAUCUUCAACCUCCCCCUCACGUGGAAUCUUGUAUCCAUCUUCAAGGGGCAUCUUUGCUGUCUUAUCUCCUUGUAUACCUGCAUCUUUCAAAAGAUCAAGUGUAUACUUCCUUUGGGAAAUGAACAAUCCUUCCUUAGAUCUACACAACUCAAUUCCAAGGAAGUAUUUCAUUUCUCCUAAGUCUUUGAUUUCAAAUACAGAUUUCAAAAACUCCUUUGUGGCUUUUAUACCAGCCUUAUCACUACCUGUUAUUAUAAUGUCAUCAACAUAUACAAGUAGGCAAAUGAUACCUGAGGGUGUAGUGAGAGUGAAUAGAGUGUGAUCUAGUUCAGACUUCUUGAACCCCCGUCCGUUUAAGGUAGUGCUCAAUUUGUUGUACCAUGCUCUAGGAGAUUGCUUCAAUCCAUAGAUAGCCUUCUUGAGUCUCAAUACAUUUCCAGGUUUCACAAGAUGCUCUAGGCCUGGUGGUGGAUGCAUAUAUACUUCAUCCUCUAGCUCUCCUUGAAGAAAGGCAUUCUUCACAUCCAUCUGCCAAAGCUCCCACUCAAGGUUCACAGCAAGAGACAAUACAAUCCUUAUAGUAUGUAGCUUGGCAACAGGAGCAAAGGUAUCAAUGUAGUCUUCCCCAUAUGUUUGAGUGUAUCCUCUAGCCACCAAUCUUGUCUUCUUCCUCUCAAUGGUUCCAUCAGGUAGAUACUUGAUAGUGAAUAUCCACUUGCUUGUUACAGCCUUCUUCCCUUUUGGCAACUCACUUUCAAACCAAGUAUCAUUCUUUAUCAUAGCAUUAGCUUCAUCACCCACUGAUUCUUUCCAAUCUUCAUGUAGCAUUGCUUCUUCAUAUGAUCUUGGUACACUACUUCCAUCUAAGCUUGUAAUGAAAGCGCAAUGUUCCUUUGGGUAACUAGCAAAAGAACACACAGCCUGAGAGGGAUGCUUCACAGCCUGAGCAUUGUAGUACACUCUCGUGUUUACCCAGUUGGAAACAUCCUUCUUCAACCGUGUGCUUCUCCUUAAUGGAACUGGUUCCACCUCCACCACCGUAGGCUGAACUGCUUCCCCUUCUACUUCAUCUGGUUCCAUUUCUUGAAUGACUUCUUCCUCGCUUUGUAUCACACCUUGACCAUGACUAUCUGAGUCUUGAUCUUCAUGAUCUUCAGGCUCGGUCUCAUUUCCCCCUUCAUGAUCAUGGUGUGAUGGUUCUUCAGCUUCAUUCUCCUUGGUUGGUUGCUGAUCCUGGGACAUGUUGAUUCCAAGUCCUUCUAGUACACGCCUAAGACUUGUAGCUCUAUCAGAUGGUUGAGACAAAUCUUCAAGAUCUUCCCACUUUCUAUCUCCAUAAAAGCUCUUAUCCUCCAAGAACUUAACAUCUCUAGACACAAGAACUCUCCUGGCUUCUGAAUCAUAGCAUUUAUAUCCCUUUUGUGAUGAUGAGUAGCCAAUGAACAUGGCUCUUGUGCUCUUUGCUUCUAGCUUAUUCCUUAGCUCCCUGGGUACGAGUACAAAGCACACACAUCCAAAGACUCUUAAGUGAUCCAGCAGAGGUUUGUUUCUGUUUAGAACUUCAUAAGGUGCCUGAUCCUCCAAGAUCUUGGUUGGUAUCCUAUUGAUCAGAUAACAAGCCGAGAUCACAGCAUCACUCCAGAAUCUUUUAGGCACACUUGUGUGAAACAUCAUAGACCUUGCCACCUCCAUUAGGUGUCUAUUCUUUCUCUCGGCUACACCAUUCUGUUGAGGAGUGUACGGACAACUUGUCUGAUGUAGAAUCCCAUGGUGAGCUAGAUGACUCUUGAAAGCAUUACCAGUAUAUUCUCCACCAUUAUCAGACCUGAAAAUCUUAAUCUUGGCAUUAUACUGGUUAGAUAUAUAAGCUUGGAAGUUUUUAAAUGCAUCAAGAACCCUAUCCUUUGUUUUAAUGAGUGUUAUCCAGGUGUACUUAGAUUUUUCAUCUAUAAAUGUGACAAAGUACUUGUAAUUAUCUCUAGAUAAGCAGGGAGCAGUCCAUACAUCAGAGUGAACAAGAUCAAAACACUUAUCAUAGAUAGUAGUAGAUCUUUUAAACACAGUCUUACAAUGUUUUCCCAAAAUACAAGCCUUACAAUCAUUAUUUUUAAACAUGACACCUGGUAACAUUAAGCUUAAGGCUCUAACAUGUGGAUGUCCUAGCCUAGAAUGCCAUAAUGCUGUUGAGAUAAGGAGAUGAAGAGUUGAUACAUGGAUAGAGGAAGGGAUUUGGAGCAGGCAGUAACUUUGGUGAUUUACCACAGUAACUUUAUUGUUACUGUGGUAACUGAGUUAUAAGACUUGGGAAGUUACCUUGCACCUAUUUGGAGAGUGAAACACGCCAGGGGGAGUAUGGAUAAGCAAGGAGGAGUUUGGAUAAGGUCUGGUCAAGGGAAGAAAGCUUUAGACAGGCUGGCACAGCUGGAAAGCUAAAGCAAGAUACCCAAGCAUGUGAGGAACCUUAUUGGCUAGUUUGAAUAAGGCAUCUUUGACUACACAUGCUUCUUAUCCUAGCUAGACUGAACCUGGACGUUUUUAUGUAUCCCUACUCUAUAUAUGUUGUAAACUCUCUCAUUAAUCAAUCUAAUGGAGUUUUGAGUAUUCUCUAUUGUUCUUUAUUCUCUUAGUCUCUCUUAAAUCUCCAAAUCUACACUAAUCAUCUCUUGAUAUAUUCAUCACUCUACAUACACAAAAGUGUUUAUGGUAUCAGAGCCAGGUUGGCAAGGAAGGGAGUGGUGAUUUGCGAGAAUCUGUUAUGUGUUCUUUAGCUGUUCUUGAGCUGUUCUUGAGCUGUUCUUCAGUUUCUGGGUAUUUGGGAGGUUGUCUGGUCGAUUCAAGCAACCUCAACAGGAGAUGAAGAACAGGUUUAGUAAAUCUUUGGGGCGUGAAGAAGAAAUGGAUGGAGUGUGUUCAAGAUGGAUAAAGGGAGCUUUGGAAAGCUGUGGGUUAUGGAGCAGUCAUGGAAAGGGGAAACCUUUCAUGGAAAUGGCUACUGAAGAAGGUCAGACAAGAGGUCUGAAUCUGGGAAAUGAAGUUGUUCAAGGAGACACUACAAAGAGUGAGAUUGAAGCAACUUUAGGCAAGUCCAAGCUGUAAGAGUCGUUGAGGACAAAGGGAUGAUCCGCGGCUUGAGACAAGGAAGGGAUGAGUGUUAUCAGCUUGUGGGAAGGCUGAGAGAAGUAUGGUCAGAGUUAGAUGUGGUGAAGGCACACACAUCAAAUCCGAGAUGUGGUCAAGAAAGGAGGAAGCAAGAUGUGAUCUUUGGCUUCCUUAUGGAAGAGGUAUGUGAGCUUGUUAAACACAAUUGUGAUGUGUGGGAGAUGAACAGGAAACCAGAAAGAUGGAAGGGAGGUACAAGCUGUAAGAAGGGAAGGUUGAGAAAACUUUCUAAGGAGUGGUUAAUGAAGAGAAGGGCAUGGAGAAAGGGUAGCGAGUCUGAGCACUUAAGUGACAGGAUGAGUGUGAUCUUGAAGAGAAUCAAGGAUAUACUUCAGCAGAUGGUUAUAGGAGAGUGUUCAUACUCAGCUUACUUGGGAGAAUCAGUAGAAGAUGUUGUAAGUACAAGGAGGCAGGAGACCAAAGGAGGAGAGGAUCCAAUCACAAAGAAAGAAUGGGAUGAGUUUGUUAAGUGUGUGUAUGAACUGGUUGCAAGAAAGAAGCAAGGUGCUCUAGCUGCAAGUGAGAAGCAAAGCGAUUCCUACACAGCCUCUAAACCUAUCAUAAUUGAUUCUGGAGGAACACAUCAUAUGAUCAGUGAUAGGAGUCUGAUAAGUGAUGUCAGGGCUGCAACAGGGUGUGUUACCAUAGCUAAUGGCGCUCAGAUCCCAGUAGAAGGAAUGGGAAACCUCAAGCUGUUUGAGAAGAGCUCAACCGCCUUAUAUCUGCCUCAGUUCACUUCAAAUCUGAUAUCUGUUAAGAAAGCUACAAUUGAUCUGGAUUGUCAAGUAGUAUUCAGGCCAAAUGAAGUUGAGUUUCAAGAUUUGAAGACUGGAAGAGUUAUUGGCAGAGGGGACAGCAAGCAUCACUUAUAUCAUCUCCAAACAGCUAAGACUCUUAAUCCCAUUAACUCUAUGUGCCUGAGUAGUGCUGCUGAUAGGUGUGAUAGUAUGACUUGGCAUGCUAGAUUAGGACAUCCUCAUGCUCGUGCAAUUGAGUUAAUCAUGCCUAAUAUGUCAUUUAAUCACUUGGAGUGUGAAGCAUGCAUAUUAGGAAAGCAUUGUAGGACUGUCUUUCCAGCAUCAGAGACUAUAUAUGAGCAUUGCUUUGAUCUAGUUCACUCAGAUGUGUGGACAUCUCCGUGUGAGUCUAGGGAUAGCCAGAAGUACUUUGUAACUUUUAUUGAUGAGAAAUCAAAGUAUACAUGGGUCACUUUGAUUCCCUCUAAAGAUAGAGUCCUAGAAGCCUUUAUGAACUUCCAAGCAUAUGUAACUAAUCAAUACAAUGCUACUGUGAAGGUGCUAAGAUCUGAUAAUGGAGGAGAAUACACUAGCAAUGCAUUCAAGAGUUAUCUAGCAAAGCAUGGGAUUGUGCAGCAGACAAGCUGUCCUUACACACCACAGCAAAAUGGGGUGGCUGAGAGAAAGAAUAGGCACUUGAUGGAGGUAGCAAGGUCAAUGAUGUUUCAUGCAAAUGUUCCAAAGAGGUUUUGGGGGGAUGCUGUUCAGACUGCAUGCUAUCUCAUCAACAGAGUUCCGACCAAGAUCCUAAAGAAUCUGUCUCCCUUUGAGGUAUUGAACAAGACUAAACCACACCUUGAUCAUUUGAGAGUCUUUGGGUGUUUAUGUUAUGUGAUGGUUCCCGGAGAGAGGAGGAACAAGCUAGAAGCAAAGAGUACUAAAGCUAUGUUCAUUGGGUACUCAAUCACUCAGAAAGGGUACAAAUGUUAUGAUCCAAUAACCAGGAGGGUUUUGGUAUCCAGAGAAGUGAAGUUUGUGGAGUCUAAAGGAUAUUAUGAGGAGAAGAAAUGGGAAGACCUAGAGGAUCUGUCCCGAGCUCCAACAGAGAAGGCAACAGCACUGAGAGUGUUGUUGGAGAGGCUAGGGAUAGGAUUAUCCCAAGAUCAGAAACCAGGAAGGAGAGAACCUUCUAACCAAGCUGGAGAAGCUGGAGAAACAACCCCUCUUCAUCAUGAGAGGGGGAAUGGAUCUGAAUCAGAGGAGCAGGAGCAAAACCAAGAGGAUUCAGGACAGCAUGAUCAUGAGGAGACACAUGAAGUAGAGAAUGUUGUUCAGUCUACUGGUACAGAGGAGAGUGAGGAUCAGUCAGAUGGAAAUGAGCAGGGAGAACCUACUGGCUUAGGAGAAGAAACACAAGAUAAUAUUCAGGCUGAAGAACACGUUGAGACCCUGCGGAGGAGCACAAGGAUAAAGAGGGAUCCUUCCAACUGGGUAAACACGAGAGUGUACUACAAUGCCCAGGCUGUGGAGCAUCCUUCUCAAGCUGUGUGUUCCUUUGCUGAGUUUCCAGAGGAGCAUCAUGCCUUUAUGAUUAGUCUGGAUGAGAGUUAUGUACCAAGGACUUAUGAAGAAGCUAUGUUAGACAAGGAAUGGAAAGAAUCAGUGGGAGCUGAAGCAGGUGCUAUGAUCAAAAAUGAUACAUGGUAUGAGAGUGAGCUGCCUAAGGGAAAGAAGGCUGUAUCUAGUAGAUNNNNNNNNNNNNNNNNNNAAUGAUACAUGGUAUGAGAGUGAGCUGCCUAAGGGAAAGAGGGCUGUAUCUAGUAGAUGGAUCUUCACAAUCAAGUAUCUAGCAAAUGGACAGAUUGAUAGGAAGAAGACCAGAUUGGUUGCAAGAGGAUUUACACAGACCUAUGGAGAGGAUUACAUUGAUACCUUUGCACCAGUAGCUAAGCUACAUACAGUUCGGAUUGUGUUGUCCAUUGCAACAAACUUGGAGUGGGAUUUGUGGCAGAUGGAUGUGAAGAAUGCUUUCUUACAAGGUGAGCUAGAAGAUGAGGUAUACAUGCUUCCUCCUCCUGGUCUUGAGCAUCUAGUAAAACCAGGAAAUGUUUUGAGAUUGAAGAAGGCAAUCUAUGGGCUAAAGCAGUCUCCUAGAGCUUGGUACAGGAAGCUGAGUACAACCCUGAAUGGCAGAGGAUUCAGGAAGUCUGAACUGGAUCAUACACUCUUCACUUUGGUUACUCCAUCAGGGAUCAUUGUGAUACUGGUAUAUGUGGAUGAUUUGAUUAUCACAGGGAGUGAUAAGGCUGGGAUUAAAGCCACUAAAGAGUUCCUCAAGUCUGUGUUUGACAUCAAAGACUUGGGAGAGAUGAAGUAUUUCUUGGGGAUUGAGAUAUGCAGAUCCAAGGAGGGUUUGUUUAUGUCUCAAAGGAAGUAUACAAUGGAUAUGCUGAAGGAGACUGAUGUACUUGGAGGAAAGGUAGCAAAGACACCUCUUGAGGAGGGGUAUAAGGUCUUGCGUGAGGGGGAGGUUGAAGAGAAGCAGUUGUUUGAGGAUCCUAAGCUAUACAGGAAGAUGGUUGGCAAGUUGAUCUACUUGACCAUCACACGGCCAGAUAUAUGUUUUGCAGUGAACCAAGUGAGUCAGCAUAUGCAGGCGCCAAAGGUACAUCACUGGAAGAUGGUUCAUAGGAUACUGAGGUAUUUGAGUGGCACGCCUGGUCAAGGAGUUUGGAUGGGUUGCAAUGGCAGUACAGAAGUGGUUGGGUAUUGUGAUGCUGAUUGGGCAGGAGAUAGAGUGGACAGGAGAUCAACUAAUGGAUAUUGUACAUUCAUUGGAGGGAACUUGGUUACUUGGAAGAGUAAGAAGCAAAAGGUUAUCUCUUGUUCAAGUGCUGAAGCUGAGUAUAGANNNNNNNNNNNNNNNNNNNNNNNNNNNNNNNNNNNNNNNNNNNNNNNNNNNNNNNNNNNNNNNNNNNNNNNNNNNNNNNNNNNNNNNNNNNNNNNNNNNNNNNNNNNNNNNNNNNNNNNNNNNNNNNNNNNNNNNNNNNNNNNNNNNNNNNNNNNNNNNNNNNNNNNNNNNNNNNNNNNNNNNNNNNNNNNNNNNNNNNNNNNNNNNNNNNNNNNNNNNNNNNNNNNNNNNNNNNNNNNNNNNNNNNNNNNNNNNNNNNNNNNNNNNNNNNNNNNNNNNNNNNNNNNNNNNNNNNNNNNNNNNNNNNNNNNNNNNNNNNNNNNNNNNNNNNNNNNNNNNNNNNNNNNNNNNNNNNNNNNNNNNNNNNNNNNNNNNNNNNNNNNNNNNNNNNNNNNNNNNNNNNNNNNNNNNNNNNNNNNNNNNNNNNNNNNNNNNNNNNNNNNNNNNNNNNNNNNNNNNNNNNNNNNNNNNNNNNNNNNNNNNNNNNNNNNNNNNNNNNNNNNNNNNNNNNNNNNNNNNNNNNNNNNNNNNNNNNNNNNNNNNNNNNNNNNNNNNNNNNNNNNNNNNNNNNNNNNNNNNNNNNNNNNNNNNNNNNNNNNNNNNNNNNNNNNNNNNNNNNNNNNNNNNNNNNNNNNNNNNNNNNNNNNNNNNNNNNNUUUUUAAAGCUUCUUUACUCAGCAUUUAGACAUGAAUCUAAUGCUUCAAUGUAAGACAGCCAUUUGACAGUAUGCACUAACCUUAUUCAGUUUCAAUUCAUGAAUGCAACAAUACAAUCCAUCACACAUUCAUUUAUAACUUAGGCUAAGCAUUACUAUCAUCACUUAUCAUCAGACAAUGCAUUACUUUCAAUCUGUUUUCAGUUCAUGAGCUUCAAACAAUACCAUUUCAUUUAGCAAACUCAUUACUUAACAGGAGCAAGCAUUUUACUCUUUAAACACUAAACAAGCCUUUAAAGCAUACUGGGACAGAUUCAACUAAUUUUAUUUAGCAAUCACACAUUAUCCUCAGGUUUUUCAAUCAAUACACAUCACAAUAACCAGGCACAGUCACACCACAAGCUCAAUAUCAAGAAGGUUUUAAAGUAUCGCUUACACAAGGAACCAGGUUGGUUCCUUAACCUUUCAUGAAACCGGCCAUGCUUUGUUGGUCUUGAGAGUGUGGAUCGUCACCCACCUCUUUCACCUUCUGUUCAUGGCCUCCAUCUUGUACCAUCAGCUUCAAAGACCCCUCCUUUCUUCAUCUCCACUAGGCGCCAAGCUCUUGACACCAUCUUCUUUGGAACCGGAUGUGAUCUUCUCUUGGACAAGGCGCCUUGGUACAAGGAUAGCUAGGCCUUGUCCAUACACCUUCGAUUCCACUGAGAAUCACCACCAGGACAGGAAGAGAACAGGAUGAGGAACCAUGAGAACUCGCCAAGCUUCAGUCUUCUUCUUCAUAGGAAGCUGAACCGGAUGGAGAGAGCUUCUAUGGUUUGGAUUUGAAUACUCAAAACUCCAUUAGAUUGAUUAAUGAGAGAGUUUACAACAUAUAUAGAUUAGGGAUACAUAAAUUCGUCCAGGUUCAGUCUAGUUAGGAUAAGAAGCAUGUGUAGUCAAAGUGUGAGAUUUGAGAGCUCUGGCUGUGUAUGUGUAAGAAAAGCCAUUAAAGGCAAAGAUAAGGUCUUGAACUAGUUGAAUAAGAGGUCUGAUGAAACUAGUAUGAACUUGAAUCAGAAACAAAGAGACUUUGAGAGAUUAAGAGAUUAGAGACUAAGAAAGGGGUAGAUUAAGGGAAUCUGAUCAAGAACACACUUUUAUAAUUAUGAAGGAGAUGGGGAAAACCCCCAUACUCUCUUAAACAUUACAAAUCGCCAAGAUGAGGUUUUUAUAUGCUUUUACAAUCUGCAAACUCAUAAACCUAAAUCUAAUGGCUCAUAAUAGACUUGAAGAAUGGAUGGAUCAGAUGGGGAGUUGGUCUGGUUUUCAUCUGAUUGGUUAAACUCUCUUUGCUGUCUGAUUGGUUUAUUUGAAUCUGGUCAAGUAGAGACCAGCCUCUUAUUGGCUCCUUUUAGGCUCCUGAAUGUUCCCAUUUAUCUGUCCAGAUACAUGGUCAAUACACAGCUCAUGGACAGCUUGCACAGCCUGUCACUUAUCCACAAACAGUCCCAUGACUUAGAGAAAGACAAUGGCGCCCCUUAUGAUCAGAAUCACCUCUUUGCUUCUUCACACACUUAGCUCACGAGUUGCUUCUUCCUUGGGACGCAAGUUAGGUCUUGUUACAAACAUCAGGGUGUGUACGGAAUGCUUUCCUGAUCGUACCAACGCCCUUAUUUUGCACAAGACCUAAAAUGUCUCAAAUGAGUGAGUUAUGCUUCUCGGGUUGAUCCCGGUCCGUACAAGUCCGUACGGCCUCGUCCCGGUCUCGCCCUAUAUUUGCACACUCAUCCAUUUGUGCCUAAACCAUCUUCUAAGUCCCUCCUGGACUUGGCCUAUCUUUGCACAGCCCUUAGAACACUUCUGGAGCUCAUCAGACACUUCCGAAGCUUGAUAGACAAUCUUUAUAAGACUUGUCCUAUCUUUGAACCAGACCCAAACUCCUCCAUACUUCUCCUUUGACACCAUUUCUUUUCUUUAAGUUAACACUCCCCCUCAAGCUUGACUCUAGAUGAUCCUAAGUCAAGCUUGGAACCUUGAAGAACUUCCUCAUUAAAAACCUCACCAAGGAAAACCCUUUGGGACAAAACCUUGAUGAGGGAAAAAGAGUAAAGUCUCCAAGGCCUAGGGAUUGGCCAGUGAGUCUUUGUGCCUUACCAACAAUGUAAGGGACACAAAGACUCUGGAUCAUGGCCCUCAUGUGAUGCAAGAUAGAACCCACUCCUCUUGCUCAUCAUCAACACUUCUUGUACUCUUCUUUAGACAGAUCUUGGUCUCUCCCCCUUUCUUACAACCUUCUUGUUGUGAUCAAGUGCUCGGACUACCAGAUCUUCCUUGAUAGAUACAAGCUGAGUCUUGGCUGCUUCUUCUUCAUGAGUCACCACCAUGUUACUGAAACCUUCAUGACAGGAUGCUUCAGACUGUAGUACCAAUCACCUCACUCUAGAGGCCGCAUUGGUGAUUGCUUCUUCAUCCUUCAUUAUGCUUCAUAACUGAUCUGCUCCUCUUCUUGAAUAACCACCAAGUACUCUCAGAUCAUGUAAGCUUCAACACAAAGAUGCUUGAUUCAAACUAGCCAAUAAGGUUCCUCACAUGCUUGGGUAUCUUGCUUUAGCUUUCCAGGUGGUGCCAGCCUGUCUAAAGCUCUCUUCCCUUGACCAGACCUUAUCCAAACUCCUCCUUGCUUAUCCAGACUCCUCCUGGCGUGUUUCACUCUCCAAAUGGAUGCAAGGUAACUUCCCAAGUCUUUUAACUCAGUUACCACAGUAACAAUAAAGUUACUGUGGUAAAUCUCCGAAGUUACUGCCUGCUCCAAAUCCCUUCCUCUAUCCAUGUAUCAACUCUUCAUCUCCUCAUCUCAACACUUCUCAACACUCCCCCUCAAGCUUGACCAUGUGAAACAAGUCAAGCUUGGAAACCAUGAAGACCUCCCUCAUUAAAAACCUCACCAAAGAAAACCCAUUGGGAUAAAACUUUGAUGAGGGAAAAAGAGUGGAGACUCCAUGGUUAAGGGGCUCAGCUCCUGGGAGUAAGAUCAAUGAGUCCAAGCCUGGAUAGUAUGGACUCCAUUGUCUUCAAUCUCGCUGCCUUAGUAAACACAUCAGCCAGUUGAUCCUCAUUCCUUGUAUAACAUGGCAGAAUCACUCCUAAGAUAAUCAUCUGCGUCACCUUGUGACAAUCCACUUCUAUGUGCUUCGUUCUCUCAUGAAAAACUGAGUUAGAAGCAAUAUGGAUAGCUGCUUGAUUGUCACAGUGCAUUUUCAUAGGAGUACUCUGUUCAAUCUCCAGAUGCUUCAAGAUACCCUUGAUCCACACCAGCUCGUUUGUCAACUUCAACAUAGCCCUAUAUUCAGCCUCAGCACUUGAACAAGAGAUGACCUUCUGCUUCUUACUCUUCCAAGUAACCAGGUUCCCUCCAAUGAAUGUACAAUAACCAGUAGUUGAUCUCCUGUCCACUCUAUCUCCUGCCCAAACAGCAUCACAAUAGCCCACUACUUCUGUGCUGCCAUUGCAUCCCAUCCAAACUCCUUGACCAGGCGUGCCACUCAAAUACCUCAGUAUCCUAUCAACCAUCUUCCAGUGAUGUACCUUUGGCGCCUGCAUAUGCUGACUCACUUGGUUCACAGCAAAACAUAUAUCUGGCCGUGUGAUGGUCAAGUAGAUCAGCUUGCCAACCAUCUUCCUGUAUAGCUUAGGAUCCUCAAACAACUGCUUCUCUUCAACCUCCCCCUCACGCAAAACCUUAUACCCCUCCUCAAGAGGUGUCUUUGCUACCUUUCCUCCAAGUACAUCAGUCUCCUUCAGCAUAUCCAUUGUAUACUUCCUUUGAGACAUAAACAAACCCUCCUUGGAUCUGCAUAUCUCAAUCCCCAAGAAAUACUUCAUCUCUCCCAAGUCUUUGAUGUCAAACACAGACUUGAGGAACUCUUUAGUGGCUUUAAUCCCAGCCUUAUCACUCCCUGUGAUAAUCAAAUCAUCCACAUAUACCAGUAUCACAAUGAUCCCUGAUGGAGUAACCAAAGUGAAGAGUGUGUGAUCCAGUUCAGACUUCCUGAAUCCUCUCCCAUUCAGAGUUGUACUCAGCUUCCUGUACCAAGCUCUAGGAGACUGCUUCAGCCCAUAUAUUGCCUUCUUCAAUCUCAAAACAUUUCCUGGUUUUACUAGAUGCUCAAGACCAGGAGGAGGAAGCAUGUAUACCUCAUCUUCUAGCUCACCUUGUAAGAAAGCAUUCUUCACAUCCAUCUGCCACAAAUCCCACUCCAAGUUUGUUGCAAUGGACAACACAAUCCGAACUGUAUGUAGCUUAGCUACUGGUGCCAAGGUAUCAAUGUAAUCCUCUCCAUAGGUCUGUGUAAAUCCUCUUGCAACCAAUCUGGUCUUCUUCCUAUCAAUUUGUCCAUCUGCUAGAUACUUGAUUGUGAAGAUCCAUCUACUAGAUACAGCCCUUUUUCCCUUAGGCAGCUCACUCUCAUACCAUGUAUCAUUUUUGAUCAUUGCACCUGCUUUAGCUCCCACUGAUUCUUUCCAUUCCUUGUCUAACAUAGCUUCUUCAUAAGUCCUUGGUACAUAACUCUCAUCCAGACUAAUCAUAAAGGCAUGAUGCUCCUCUGGAAACUCAGCAAAGGAACACACGGCUUGAGAAGGAUGCUCCACAGCCUGGGCAUUGUAGUACACUCUCGUGUUUACCCAGUUGGAAGGAUCCCCCUUUAUCCUUGUGCUCCUCCGCAAGGUCUCAACAUGUUCUUCAGCCUGAAUAUUAUCUUGUGUUUCCUCUCCUAAACCAGUAGGUUCUCCCUGCUCAUUUCCACCUGACUGAUCCUCACUCUCCUCUGUACCAGUAGACUGAACAACAUUCUCUACUUCCUGUGUCUCCUCAUGAUCAUGCUGUCCUGAAUCCUCUUGGUUUUGCUCCUGCUCCUCUGAUUCAGAUCCAUUCCCCCUCUCAUGAUCAAGAGGGGUUGUUUCUCCGGUUUCUCCAGCUUGAUUAGAAGGUUCUCUCCUUCCUGGUUCCUGAUCUUGGGAUAAAUCUAUCCCUAGCCUUUCCAACAACACUCUCAGUGUUGUUGCCUUCUCUGAUGGAGCUCGGGACAGAUCCUCUAGGUCUUCCCAUUUCUUCUCCUCAUAAUAUCCUCUAGACUCCACAAAAUUCACUUCUCUGGAUACCAAAACCCUCCUGGUUAUUGGAUCAUAACAUUUGUACCCUUUCUGAGUGAUUGAGUACCCAAUGAACAUAGCUUUAGUACUCUUUGCUUCUAGCUUGUUCCUCCUCUCUCCGGGAACCAUCACAUAACAUAAACACCCAAAGACUCUCAAAUGAUCAAGGUGUGGUUUAGUCUUGUUCAAUACCUCAAAGGGAGACAGAUUCUUUAGGAUCUUGGUCGGAACUAUGUUGAUGAGAUAGCACGCAGUCUGAACAGCAUCCCCCCAAAACCUCUUUGGAACAUUUGCAUGAAACAUCAUUGACCUUGCUACCUCCAUCAAGUGCCUAUUCUUUCUCUCAGCCACCCCAUUCUGCUGUGGUGUGUAAGGACAGCUUGUCUGCUGCACAAUCCCAUGCUUUGCUAGAUAACUCUUGAAAGCAUUGCUAGUGUAUUCUCCUCCAUUAUCAGAUCUUAGCACCUUCACAGUAGCAUUGUAUUGAUUAGUUACAUAUGCUUGGAAGUUCAUAAAGGCUUCUAGGACUCUAUCUUUAGAGGGAAUCAAAGUGACCCACGUAUACUUUGAUUUCUCAUCAAUAAAAGUGACAAAGUACUUCUGGCUAUCCCUAGACUCACACGGAGAUGUCCACACAUCUGAGUGAACUAGAUCAAAGCAAUGCUCAUAUAUAGUCUCUGAUGCUGGAAAGACAGUCCUACAAUGCUUUCCUAAUAUGCAUGCUUCACACUCCAAGUGAUUAAAUGACAUAUUAGGCAUGAUUAACUCAAUUGCACGAGCAUGAGGAUGUCCUAAUCUAGCAUGCCAAGUCAUACUAUCACACCUAUCAGCAGCACUACUCAGGCACAUAGAGUUAAUGGGAUUAAGAGUCGUAGCUGUUUGGAGAUGAUAUAAGUGAUCCUUGCUGUCCCCUCUGCCAAUAACUCUUCCAGUCUUCAAAUCUUGAAACUCAACUUCAUUUGGCCUGAAUACUACUUGACAAUCCAGAUCAAUUGUAGCUUUCUUAACUGAUAUCAGAUUUGAAGUGAACUGAGGCAGAUAUAAGGCAGUUGAGCUCUUUUCAAACAGCUUGAGGUUUCCCAUUCCUUCUACUGGGAUCUGAGCGCCAUUAGCUAUAGUAACACACCCUGUUGCAGCCCUGACAUCACUUAUCAGACUCCUAUCACUGAUCAUAUGAUGUGUUGCUCCAGAAUCAAUUAUGAUAGGUUUAGGAGCUGUGGAGAAAUCGCUUUGCUUCUCACUUGCAGCUAGAGCACCUUGCUUCUUUCUUGCAGCCAGUUCAUACACACACUUAACAAACUCAUCCCAUUCUUUCUUUGUGAUUGGAUCCUCUCCUCCUUUGGUCUCCUGCCUCCUUGUACUUACACCAUCUUUUACUGAUUCUCCCAAGUAAGCUGAGUAUGAACACUCUCCUAUAACCAUCUGCUGAAGUAUAUCCUUGAUUCUCUUCAAGAUCACACUCAUCCUGUCACUUAAGUGCUCAGCCUCGCUAUCCUUUCUCCAUGCCCUUCUCUUCAUUAACCACUCCUUAGAAAGUUUUCUCAACCUUCCCUUCUUACAGCUUGUACCUCCCUUCCAUCUUUCUGGUUUCCUGUUCAUCUCCCACACAUCACAAGUGUGUUUAACAAGCUCACAUACCUCUUCCAUAAGAAAGCUAAAGAUCACAUCUUGCUUCCUCCUUUCUUGACAACAUCUCGGAUUUGAUGUGUGUGCCUUCACCACAUCUAACUCUGACCAUACUUCUCUCAGCCUUCCCACAAGCUGAUAACACUCAUCCUUUCCUUGUCUCAAGCCGCGGAUCACCCCUUUGUCCUCAACGACUCUUACAAGCUUGGACUUGCCUAAAGUUGCUUCAAUCUCACUCUUUGUAGUGUCUCCUUGAACAACUUCAUUUCCCAGCUUCAGACCUCUUGUCUGACCUUCUUCAGUAGCCAUUUCCAUGAAAGGUUUCCCCUUUCCAUGACUACUCCAUAACCCACAGCUUUCCAAAGCUCCUUUUAUCCAUCUUGAACACACUCCAUCCAUCUCUUCUUCACGCCCCACUGGUUUACUAGCUCUGUGCUUCAUCUCCUGUUGAGGUUGAUUGAAUCGACCAGACAACCUCCCAAAUACCCAGAAACUGAAGAACAGCUCAAGAACAGCUCAAGAACACCAAGAACACACAAACAGAUUCUCGCAAAUCACCACUCCCUUCCUUGCCAACCUGGCUCUGAUACCAUAUACACUUUUGUGUAUGUAGAGUGAUGAAUAAAUAUCAAGAGAUGAUUAGUGUAGUUUGUAUGAGAUUUGGAGAUUAAGAGAGACUAAGAGAAUAAAGAACAAGAGAUAAUACUCAAAACUCCAUUAGAUUGAUUAAUGAGAGAGUUUACAACAGAUAUAGAUUAGGGAUACAUAAAUUCGUCCAGGUUCAGUCUAGUUAGGAUAAGAAGCAUGUGUAGUCAAAGAUGCUUGUUUCAAACUAGCCAAUAAGGUUCCUCACAUGCUUGGGUAUCUUGCUUUAGCUUUCCAGCUGGUGCCAGCCUGUCUAAAGCUCUCUUCCCUUGACCAGACCUUAUCCAAACUCCUCCUUGCUUAUCCAGACUCCUCCUGGCGUGUUUGACUCUCCAAAUGGAUGCAAGGUAACUUCCCCAGUCUUUUAACUCAGUUACCACAGUAACAAUAAAGUUACUGUGGUAAAUCUCCAAAGUUACCGCCUGCUCCAAAUCCCUUCCUCUAUCCAUGUAUCAACUCUUCAUCUCCUCAUCUCAACACUUCUCAACAGAAAGUACUAGGUGCAUUAGUAAGUCCAAAAGGCAUCACAAGCCAUUCAUACAAUCCUAGCUUAGUUUUAAAAGCAGUUUUCCACUCAUCUCCUUCUUUCAUUCUAAUCUGGUGGUAACCACUCUUUAAAUCAAUCUUAGAAAAGACACAUGAACCAUGUAACUCAUCUAGCAUAUCAUCUAAGCGAGGAAUAGGGUGUCUGUACUUAACUGUUAUGUUGUUGAUGGCUCUGCAGUCCACACACAUCCUCCAGCUUCCAUCUUUUUUUGGUACCAAGAGGACAUGUACAGCACAAGGACUCAAACUCUCCCUGAUAUGUCCCUUAUCCAUUAGCUCAUUGACUUGUUUCUAAAGCUCCUUGGUUUCCACAGGGUUGGUCCUGUAUGCUGGACGGUUUGGUAAAGUAGCUCCUGGUACAAAAUCAAUCUGGUGCUCUAUUCCCCUUAUAGGCGGCAAACCUAUUGGAUUGUCCUCUGGGAACACAUCUCUAUACUCCUGCAAAAGGCACUCAAUCUCCUCUGGAAUCUCAGGAGCAGGGUUAGUAGUAGAGCUCAACAAUUCUUUAUAAACCACUAGUAUCAAAUUUGAUUGUUCAAUCACAGCAGUUUUGAUAUCUUUAGCAGUAGCAAAGAGGUUGAGUUUACUUACCUGGCUGGUCUCUUCAAGAAGCAAGGACUUGCUGGCGGCCUUGGACUCUCCUCUCUUCAUUUUGAGAUGCAUCUGAUCCUGGUGUACCUCCUGAGGGGUCAUUGGCACCAGGGUAACUUGUUUCUCCUUAUGGAUAAAAGUGUAUCUGUUGGUGAAGCCAUCAUGUACUGAUCUCUUAUCAUACUGCCAUGGACGACCAAGAAGGAUGUGGCUAGCUUCAAGGGGUGCUGCAUCACAAGUGAUCUCAUCCUGGUACUUUCCCACUGAUAGCAAGACCUUCACUUGUUUGGUGAUCUUUAAUCCACCCUCAUCAUUGAUCCAUUGCAAGAGAUAUGGUUUAGGAUGUUUAAACACUUGAAGACCCAACUUCUCCACCAACUCAGCACUUGCUACAUUAGUACAGCUGCCUCCAUCAAUGAUCAGGCUAAAAACCUUUUCUUGAACCAAACAUCUGGUGUGGAACAAGUUUUCCCUUUGCUCAUCUUUUUUGGCUUUAGGUUGAGCAUAGAGAAGUCUCCUGGUGACUAGUAGCUCUCCACGGACAGGGUACUCCACGCCUUCCUCAUCUGACUCUUGGCCGGCGUCCUCCUCUUCAGAUAUCACCUCCCCGUUGGCUAAGAUAGUCAUCACCUUCUUGUUGGUGCACUCAUUAGCAUUGUGACCAAAGCCAUGACACUUGAAACACUUAAUGUUCCUGGUCCUAGUAGAUGUGGCUACUCCUUUACCCUUGUCAUCUCUCUUGGUCUCUACUGAAGAAGAACCNNNNNNNNNNNNNNNNNNNNNNNNNNNNNNNNNNNNNNNNNNNNNNNNNNNNNNNNNNNNNNNNNNNNNNNNNNNNNNNNNNNNNNNNNNNNNNNNNNNNNNNNNNNNNNNNNNNNNNNNNNNNNNNNNNNNNNNNNNNNNNNNNNNNNNNNNNNNNNNNNNNNNNNNNNNNNNNNNNNNNNNNNNNNNNNNNNNNNNNNNNNNNNNNNNNNNNNNNNNNNNNNNNNNNNNNNNNNNNNNNNNNNNNNNNNNNNNNNNNNNNNNNNNNNNNNNNNNNNNNNNNNNNNNNNNNNNNNNNNNNNNNNNNNNNNNNNNNNNNNNNNNNNNNNNNNNNNNNNNNNNNNNNNNNNNNNNNNNNNNNNNNNNNNNNNNNNNNNNNNNNNNNNNNNNNNNNNNNNNNNNNNNNNNNNNNNNNNNNNNNNNNNNNNNNNNNNNNNNNNNNNNNNNNNNNNNNNNNNNNNNNNNNNNNNNNNNNNNNNNNNNNNNNNNNNNNNNNNNNNNNNNNNNNNNNNNNNNNNNNNNNNNNNNNNNNNNNNNNNNNNNNNNNNNNNNNNNNNNNNNNNNNNNNNNUUUGAUCUUGUGCAUUCUGAUGUUUGGACUGCUCCUUGCUUGUCUAGGGAAAAUUAUAAGUACUUUGUAACAUUCAUUGAUGAAAAAUCCAAAUACACCUGGAUAACACUCAUUAAAACUAAGGAUAGAGUUCUUGAAGCAUUUAAAAACUUUCAAGCUUAUGUAUCUAACCAUUAUAAUGCCAAGCUUAAGAUUUUCAGAUCAGAUAAUGGUGGGGAAUAUACAAGCAAUGCCUUCAAGCAACAUCUAGCCUUACACGGAAUCCUUCAUCAAACUAGCUGUCCUUACACUCCACAACAAAAUGGUGUGGCUGAGAGAAAGAACAGACAUCUAAUGGAGGUUGCAAGAUCAAUGAUGUUUCAAACCAAUGUCCCAAAGAGAUUUUGGAGUGAUGCUGUGAUCUCAGCCUGCUACUUGAUCAACCGAAUCCCUACAAGAGUCUUGGAAGAUCACUCACCAUUUGAAGUACUUAAUAAGGUCAAGCCAUUCCUAAGUCAUUUGAGAGUGUUCGGAAGUCUUCAACCGAAUUCCUACAAGAGUCUUGGAAGAUUGGUGCAGCCUGGGUAUGGCUUCUGCUCCUGGAUCACUUGAAGGGGAACGGAUAGGGGUGUUCUAAGAGGCUACUAGCUCUCCUUUGAACUGUGGUCGUCUCCCUGAGCCUGUGGAUUGGCGACAGAGAUGGUUUGCUACUCAAAGACACAAGAUCACCUUGUAUUGUCUAAGAUGGGAUUCACAGGAAUUCCUUCCUUUAAGUGAGAUCAAUGUUCUUGAGCUGAACAGAGAAAGCUAGAGACAAGACAACAAAGUUGACUGAAUAAUUCUUAGAUUGAAAGUUGAGUAAACAAAGCUGCCUCCCCCCCCCCCCAUGUUCUUAAAGAAAUCGACAAACAGAAACCCUAGAAGUAAACCAAGAUGGUUUAAUUCUAAUUCUAAUCCUAAUCCAAUUGAAAUUGGUUUAUUUUAAAAUCCUAAUUGUCUUUGGUUUAAAUUAAAUGAAAGCCCAAUAACCAAAGCCCUUACAAAGUAAUUAAAUUAAACCAACAGACUGGUUUAUCUUGAUCUCCUUGUCUUGAUCCAAGACCCACGAUUUUGGCUAUCUCCUGGAGCCCCUCCUCUUGUGCUCUCAGCCUUGAUCUGGUUACUGGUCCACUCCACAAGCUGGCUAGCUCAUUUAGUUCUUCUCUGCUCAAGUCUGGUUCUUCUCUGCUCAAGUCUGGUUCUUCUCUUCUCAAGUCUGGGUCUUCCUCGUCAGACUCACUCAGCUCCCCAAUGUCUCUACUCAUGGCUACACCAUCCCCUCCUCCUUUAAAAGGAUUUGACCUCAAAUCCAAAUCAUCUGCAAUAAAAGGGUCCAAGUCAGAAACAUUGAAAGUAGAACUGAUUGUGUAUUUCCCUUCAAGAUCGAUCUGGUAGGCAUUGUUGUUGAUUCUCUUCAGCACUCUGAAAGGUCCAUCUUUCCUUGGUAGCAACUUUGAUUUCCUCUCAACAGGAAACCUCUCUUUUCUCAUGUGAAUCCACACAAGAUCACCCGGUUCAAGUACUAGCUCCUUGCGCCCCUUGUUCUUCUGCCUCUCAUACAUCUUGGUUCUCUCCUCAAUGUUCUUCCUGACCUGCUCAUGCAAAGACAAAACAAACUCGGCCUUUUGCUUGCCAUCAAGGUUAGUUUGCUCUUUUAAAGGUAAAGCAAAUAAAUCAAGAGGAGACAAUGGGUUAAAACCAUAAACAACUUGAAAAGGGGAGAGUUUAGUAGCUGAAUGCACUGCUCUGUUAUAUGCAAAUUCUACAUGUGGUAAACAAUCCUCCCAUGUCCUAAUGUUAUUCUUAAUGAUGGCACGCAAAAGAGUAGACAAUGUCCUAUUGACUGAUUCAGUUUGACCAUCAGUUUGGGGAUGACAAGUAGUUGAAAACAAUAGCUUAGUUCCCAACUUUCCCCACAGAGUUUUCCAGAAAUAGCUAAGGAACUUAGUAUCUCUAUCAGAAACUAUAGUCCUAGGCAUACCAUGCAAUCUAACAACUUCUCGAAAGAAUAGAUCAGCUACCAAAGAUGCAUCAUCAGUUUUAUGACAAGGUAUGAAGUGAGCCAUCUUAGAAAAUCUAUCAACAACCACAAAGAUACUAUCUCUUCCUUUCCUAGUCCUAGGCAAUCCUAAGACAAAGUCCAUAGAGAUAUCAAUCCAUGGUGCAGUAGGAAUAGGGAGAGGUGUAUACAAACUGUUGAGAUGAGCUGAGUAUAUGGAGAUGAAGAGAUAAGGAGUUGAAGAGAAGAGGAGAUGAAGUACUUAGGGAAGUUUGGGAGAGUAUGGUACGGCAGGCCGUACAAGGCCGUACAAGGCCGUACCAUCCAAAUUCAACCAAAACUUACCAUACCUUAUCCAAGUGAGACGGUAACUAAGGAGGAGUGACUUGGGUAGCUUAGGGAGAGGAUCAGACCGUUGAGAGGAUAAGGGAACGCGGUGCCAGGCUGGAACAGGCUGGAAAGCUGAAGCACCUUUAGUCCAAGAUGCCAUAAGCGUGUGAGCCAUCCUGACCAAUCAUUCAAAAGGCGCCCUUGACUCCACACGGUUGAAUAGUGCUCAGUUCCCUUCUUGUAAACCCUGGUGUCUCUCUUAUAAAUAUGUAACCUCACUCAUUAAUAAGAUUAAGCAAGUUUUGAGACUCUCUCUUAGUCUUUAAAUCUCAAUGGUUCCAUAUUAGACUCCUAAUCUCAUUUCAUACUCUAAUCUUCACUAAAUCGUUUCUAGUCUUUCCUAAACACUCAGAUUACUCUAAACAUUACUAAAAAUCAUAUGGUAUCAGAGCCAGGUUAGUGAGAACCUGAGUUCGUGUUAGGCUCUUUGGAGAUUCAAGAUUGAAGCUUUGAAGAGUUUUGUUGGUGUUCUUGUGUUCUUGGGAGGUUCCGGGUAUUGUCCGAGUUCAAAGACUAGUUUUUAGUGUGUUGCUGAAGCUGUGAGGUUGAAGACCGAGGCAGUGAGUGUUCUUACAAGUCUGUUAACUCAAGAUCCAGUUUGUGAAGUCUAGAGAAGUCAUCGUUCAUCAUGGAGAGUGGUAUGAACAUGAACAUGAAGGUAGCGGUUUGCUUCAAGGGAACCAACUACUUGGUGUGGUCUCGGAUGGUGAGAACCACGGUGGGAAGCAAAGGGCUUUGGAAGCACAUCACGCCAGGAGAAGCUCCAAAGCUCAUCACCCAAGGAGAAACUGAAGGAGAAGCCGCAAGCAAAGCGGAAGAGAAGUGGCAUCAGGAGGACAUGUUGGUGAUGUCAGUGCUGCAUGCUUCACUUGAGCCGGCGAUUCUAGAUGCAUACAGUUACUGUGAAUCAGCUAAAGAGCUGUGGGAUACGUUGAAGAAGGUGUAUGGGAAUACAUCAAACCUGAGCCGUGUGUUUGAGGUGAAGCAGGCUAUAAACAACUUGGUACAAGAGGAUAUGGAGUUCACCAAGCAUCUAGGGAGGUUCAGAACACUCUGGUCCGAGCUGGAGAUGUUGAGGCCAAGCACUACAGAUGCAGAUGAGCUCAACAAAAGAAGAGAGCAAGACAAGGUCUUUGGGCUACUCCUCACCAUGAAUCCGGCGUACAAUGGUCUUAUCCAACACUUGCUUAGAGAGGACACACUACCUGAUCUUGAAGAAGUGUGCGCAAGGAUUCAGAAGGAUUGUGGCUCUAUUGGGUUGUUUGGAAAGAAAGGAGAGCUAUCUCUCGUAAAUCAAGCAACUCAAGAGGAGGGAGGGGAAGCUCCACAAGCACACAAGGCUGCGCAUGGGAAGUAUGAUGAGAGGAGGUUCAAUGGGAACUGUGAUCACUGCAAGAAGCAUGGCCACAAGAAGAGCCAAUGCUGGAUACUCCAUCCCCAUCUCAAGCCGGCAAAGUUUAUGAAAGACAGAGAGGCAAGGGCUAAUAUCUCAGAUGGAGCAAGCGCAAGUGGAGCAGGUACUAGCAAAGGGAAGGAGAUAGAUGGGCGUGAAGAAGGUGAUGGGAGGUCUCUUGUUGCCUACACUGGAGCCCCAAGCAACCGUGGGAACUAUGAUCAAGAGUAUCUAAGGAAAUCCGACCUGGAUGCUCUCAUUAAGCUCUUCAAGGAGCAUGGUAACAGUUUUGGAUAUUCCUUUGGUGCUAGGGCUAUAGGGAAUGAUGAGAAUCCAACUAGCAUUGAUAGGAUGCAUGAAAGUGUGAUAGAGAUAAUAAACCAAUCUAGAACGGACAGUUUUGCUAGGAAUGAUCAUGCAUUCAAACCAUCUAGUAUACUUGCUCAUAUUGCUAGUUCACAUACCAUCAAGCCUUUAGUAGUUGAUUCUGGUGCAUCUCAUCAUAUGAUAAGUGACACUAGUUUGAUUAAAAACAUUGUACCAAUGAAUGGAAAUGUGAUGAUAGCUAAUGGAGAUAAGAUACCUAUUAGAGGAAUAGGAAGUCUUAAACUGUUUGAUAAGGAAACUAAAGCCUUUUAUAUGCCUGAAUUUACUUCAAACUUGUUAUCUGUUAAGAAAUGUGCUACUGAUUUGCAAUGCAAUGUCAUAUUCAGUCCUAAUGAUGUGAAGUUUCAGGAUAUUAAAAGCAGCAAGAUGAUUGGAAAGGGAGUUACUAAAGGAGAAUUGUAUUUACUUGAAGAUCUAGCUCCUGUUUCUUGUUAUAGCUGCUCGUUUACUUCUGUUUCUGGUUCUAGUUUAAGUAAAAAUGCAUUGUGGCAUGCUAGAUUAGGACACCCUCAUAAUAAGGCUUUAAAACUGAUGUUGCCAGGUGUUUCCUUUGAGAAUAAUGAGUGUGAAGCUUGCAUUUUAGGCAAGCAUUGUAAGACUGUCUUUACUAAAUCUACUACGGUUUAUGAGAAGUGUUUUGAUUUGAUUCAUUCUGAUGUUUGGACUGCUCCUUGCUUAUCUAGAGACAAUCAAAAGUAUUAUGUAACUUUCAUUGAUGAAAAAUCCAAAUACACCUGGUUAACUUUAAUUCCAACCAAAGAUAGGGUACUUGAUGCAUUUAAGAACUUUCAAUCAUAUGUGACUAACCAUUAUAAUGCCAAGAUAAAGAUUUUCAGGUCAGAUAAUGGAGGAGAGUACACGGGACAAGCAUUCAAGCUCCAUCUAUCUUAGCAUGGAAUACUACAUCAGACAAGCUGUCCCUAUACUCCACAACAGAAUGGUGUGGCUGAGAGAAAGAAUAGGCAUCUGAUGGAAGUGGCCAGGUCCAUGAUGUUUCAAACCAAUGUACCCAAGAAGUUCUGGAGUGAUGCGGUCACUACAGCUUGUUAUCUCAUCAACAGAACACCAACUCUGAUUCUGCAAGGGUUAUCACCAUUUGAGGUAUUGAACCGAUACAAGCCCUCAUUGGAACAUAUGAAGAUCUUUGGGUGUUUGUGUUUUGUGAUGGUACCGGGAGAAUUAAGAAACAAGCUUGAAGCUAGAAGCUCCAAGGCAAUGUUUGUUGGAUACUCAUCAAGUCAGAAAGGAUAUAAGUGCUAUGAUCCGAACACAAGGAGAGUGUUAGUAUCUAGAGAAGUGAAGUUUGUGGAAGAAAAAGGAUAUUAUGAGGAGCAGAUUCAAGAAGAUUUGAAAGAUCUCACUUCAGAUAGAGCUGCAACCUUGAGGAUAAUACUAGAAGGACUUGGUAUCAAUAUGGAUCAAGGACAGCAAGAAGUAAGAGGCACUACACCAAUACCGAAUCAUCAGACGUCCAAUCUUGAACAUGAGGGGGGGAAUGGAACAGAAACUCAAACUCAAAGUCAUGAAGAGAGUUCUGGUUCUCAUGAUCAAGCUGUGGAGUCAAAUGAUCAACAAGAAGGAGCUGAAGCAAGUCAGCUAAGGGAUGAAGGAGCUGAAGCAAGUCAGCCAAGAGAAGAAGCAAGAGAAGAAAGUACACGAGAAGAUGUACAAGACAUGGAGUUACCGGCACAAGAAGGGCCAGUGUUGAGAAGAAGUACAAGGCUGAGAAAGGAUCCUUCCAGUUGGGUAAACACGAGAGUGUACUACAAUGCUCAAGCUGUGAAGCAUCCUACUCAGGCCGUGUGUUCUUUCUCUCAAUAUCCAGAAGCACAUUGUGCAUUCAUGGUAAACUUAGAUGAGAAUCACAUUCCAAGAAGCUAUGAAGAGGCAAUGGAGGAUAAGGAAUGGAAGGAAUCAGUAGGAGCUGAGGCAGGAGCUAUGAUAAAGAAUGAUACAUGGUUUGAAAGUGAACUACCAAAAGGGAAGAAGGCAGUAUCUAGUAGAUGGAUCUUCACAAUCAAAUACAAGGCUGAUGGACAGAUUGAGAGGAAGAAGACUAGAUUAGUAGCAAGAGGGUUCACUCAAACAUAUGGAGAGGAUUACAUUGAGACAUUUGCACCAGUAGCCAAGUUACAUACCAUUAGAAUUGUACUAAGCUUGGCGGUUAACCUUGGAUGGGGAUUGUGGCAAAUGGAUGUGAAGAAUGCAUUCUUACAAGGAGAACUUGAGGAUGAAGUCUACAUGUAUCCUCCACCAGGUCUUGAACAUCUAGUGAAGGGAGGGAAUGUACUGAGGCUAAAGAAGGCUAUCUAUGGGUUGAAGCAAUCACCAAGAGCAUGGUACAACAAGUUGAGCACAACUCUGAACGGCCAAGGUUUUAAGAAGUCAGAAUUGGACCAUACUCUCUUUACCCUCACUACUCCCUCAGGUAUGGUUGCUCUCCUUGUGUAUGUGGAUGAUAUCAUUAUCACAGGAAGUGAUAAGGAAGGUAUCAAAGCAACCAAGGAGUUUCUAAAGUCUAUGUUUGAAAUAAAAGACUUGGGAGAAAUGAAAUACUUUCUUGGAAUUGAGAUUUGUAGAUCCAAGGAAGGUUUGUUCAUGUCCCAAAGGAAGUAUACACUUGAUCUUUUGAAAGGUGCAGGUGCUUAUGGAGGCAAGACAGCAAAGAUGCCAAUGGAGGAUGGCUACAAAGUACCAAGAGAGGGGGAGAUUGAAGACAGCAAGCCAUUUCAUGAUCCUAAACUCUAUAGAAAACUUGUUGGCAAAUUGAUUUAUCUAACCAUCACAAGACCUGAUAUAUGCUUUGCUGUGAAUCAGGUGAGUCAACACAUGCAGCUUCCCAAGGAACAUCACUGGCGUAUGGUGGAGAGGCUGCUGAUGUAUCUAAAUGGCUCGCCGGAUCAAGGUGUAUGGAUGGGGUGCAAUGGAAGCACAGAAGUGGUGGGCUAUUGUGAUGCUGAUUGGGCAGGUGAUAGAGCUGACAGAAGAUCAACAACCGGCUAUUGCACAUUCAUUGGAGGCAACUUGGUGACUUGGAAGAGUAAGAAACAGAAGGUGGUGUCAUGCUCUAGUGCAGAAGCUGAGUAUAGAGCUAUGCUGAAGCUUACAAACGAGCUAGUUUGGAUCAAGGGCAUCUUGAAGCAUUUGGAGAUAGCACAAGACACUCCAAUGACAAUGCAUUGUGACAACCAGGCCGCCAUUCACAUAGCCUCCAACUCGGUGUUCCAUGAGAGAACAAAGCACAUUGAGGUUGAGGGCAUCUUGAAGCAUUUGAAGAUAGAACAAGCCACUCCAAUGACAAUGCAUUGUGACAACCAAGCAGCCAUUCACAUAGCCUCCAACUCGGUGUUCCAUGAGAGACCACUCCAAUGACAAUGCAUUGUGACAACCAAGCCGCCAUUCACAUAGCCUACAACUCGGUGUUCCAUGAGAGGACAAAGCACAUUGAGGUUGAUUGCCACAAGGUGAGGCAGAUGAUUGUCCUAGGAGUCAUCUUGCCAUGUUAUACUAGGAGUGAAGAUCAGUUGGCUGAUGUAUUCACCAAGGCUGCGAGGCAAAAGACAAUGGAGUCCAUUCAUAUCAGAUUGGGCCUCAUUGAUCUUGGGAAGAGAAGUAGCUGAUCCCCUUAGUCAUGAGAUCUUUACUCUUUUUCCCUCAUUAAGGUUUUGUCCCAAUGGGUAUUCCCAAACUGGGAAACUGGAAUCACCUGAUUUGAAAGUGGGAUAACUUCUUCAUGCCAACUCCUAUGAGAUUUAUUCAACUUCCUGGUGAUUCUCCACCACUUUAUGUAUCCAAAUCAAGCUUUUCACAAAGUGAUUCAUCCUGGUUUGAUUGGUGUUGAGAUGAGCUGAGUAUAUGGAGAUGAAGAGAUAAGGAGUUGAAGAGAAGAGGAGAUGAAGUACUUAGGGAAGUUUGGGAGAGUAUGGUACGGUAGGCCGUACAAGGCCGUACAAGGCCGUACAAGGCCGUACCAUCCAAACCUCAACCAAAACUUACCAUACCUUAUCCAAGUGAGACGGUAACUAAGGAGGAGUGACUUGGGUAGCUUAGGGAGAGGAUCAGACCGUUGAAAGGAUAAGGGGACGCGGUGCCAGGCUGGAACAGGCUGGAAAGCUAAAGCACCUUUAGUCCAAGAUGCCAUAAGCGUGUGAUGCAUCCUAGUGGUUGAUUUGAAUCCAUUGCCUUGACUACACACGGCUCAAUAGUGCUCAUUUCCCUUCUUGUAAACCCUUGUGUUCCUCUUAUAAAUAUGUAACCUCACUCAUUAAUAAGAUUAAGAAAGUUACGAGUCUCUCUCUUAGUCUUUACUCUCAACAUGAUUCGAUCCUAGACUUCUAAUCUCAUUUCAUACUCAAAUCUCUUCUAAAUCACUUCUAGUCUUUCUUAUUUACUCAGAUUACUCUACUCAAUCCUAAAAGUGAUAUGGUAUCAGAGCCAGGUUCAUAGGAAACUUGGUUUCGUUGAGUUCUUUAAAAAUUCAAGAUUGAAGCUUUGAAGAGACAGUUUGGUGUUCGUGUGUUCUUAAGCGGUUCUGGGUAGUCUUUCUGAGUUCUAUUGGUUGUGUGAGGUGUUAUUGAAGCUGUGUGGUGUUCGCUCAAGACAAGUUACCUCAAGAGAAAGUUAUUGAAGUCUAAAGGGUUCUACAUUCAACAUGGAGAGUGGGAUGAACAUGAACAUGAAAGUGGCGGUGUGUUUCAAGGGAAACAACUACUUGGUGUGGUCUCGGAUGGUGAGAACCACAGUGGGAAGCAAGGGGCUUUGGAAACACAUCACGCCAGGAGAAGCUCCAAAGCUCAUCACUCAAGGAGAGGCUGAAGAUGAAGCCGCAAGCAAGGCAGAAGAGAAGUGGCAUCAAGAGGACAUGUUGGUGAUGUCUGUGCUCCAUGCGUCCCUUGAGCCGGCUAUUCUGGAUGCAUACAGCUACUGUGAGUCUGCUAAAGAGCUGUGGGAUACUUUGAAGAAGGUGUAUGGCAACACUUCAAACCUAAGCCGAGUGUUUGAGGUGAAGCAAGCUAUCAACAACCUUGUACAAGAAGACAUGGAGUUCACUAAGCAUCUAGGAAGAUUCAGAAGCCUCUGGUCCGAGAUGGAGAUGCUUAGGCCAAGCACAACGGAUGCUGAUGAGCUUAACAAGAGGAGAGAGCAAGAUAAGGUCUUUGGGUUACUCCUCACCCUAAACCCGGCGUACAACGGUCUCAUCCAGCACUUACUUAGGGAGGAUACUCUACCUGACCUUGAGGAUGUGUGUGCACGGAUUCAGAAGGAGCAAGGCUCCAUUGGGCUGUUUGGGAAGAAAGGAGAUCUUUCCCUUGCAAGUCAAGCAACUCAAGAGGAGGGGAGUGAAGCUCCACAAGCAAACAAGGCUGCGCAUGGGAAGUUUGAGGAGAGGAGGUUCAAUGGGAGUUGUGAUCACUGCAAGAAGCAUGGUCACAAGAAGAGCCAAUGCUGGAUACUCCACCCUCACCUCAAGCCGGCUAAGUUCAUGAAGGAUCGUGAGGCAAGGGCUAAUGUCUCGGAUGGUACAAGUGGUGUUGGUACAAGCAAAGGAAAGGAGAUAGAUGGGCGUGAGGCAGGUGAUGGGAAGUCUCUUGUAGCCUACACUGGAGCACCAAGCAACCGUGGGAACAAUGAUCAAGAGUAUCUAAGGAGAUCCGACCUUGAUGCUCUCAUUAAGUUGUUCAAGGAGAAUGGUAACACUUUUGGGUAUUCAUUUGGUGCUAGUGUAGUAGAGAACUAUAAGAAUCUAACUAGAACUGAUAGGAUGCAUGAGAGCUUGAUAGAAAUGGUAAAUCAAUCUAGGAUUGCAAACUUUGCUAGAAAUGAUCAUACAUUCAAACCAUCUAGUAUCCUUGCACAUAUUGCUAGUUCUCAUGACAUUAAGCCAUUAGUGAUUGAUUCAGGAGCAUCUCAUCAUAUGAUAAGUGAUACUAGUUUGAUUAAAAACAUUGUACCAAUGAAUGGAAAUGUGAUGAUUGCUAAUGGAGAUAAGAUUCCUAUUAGAGGAAUAGGAAGUCUUAAACUGUUUGAUAAGGAAACUAAAGCCUUUUAUAUGCCUGAAUUUACUUCAAACUUGUUAUCUGUUAAGAAAUGUGCUACUGAUUUACAAUGCAAUGUUAUAUUCAGUCCUAAUGAUGUGAAGUUUCAGGAUAUUAAAAGCAGCAAGAUGAUUGGAAAGGGAGUGACUAAAGGAGAACUAUAUUUACUUGAAGAUCUCACUCCUGUUUCUAGAUAUAGCUGCUCGUUUACUUCUGUUUCUGGUUCUAGUUUAAGUAAAAAUGCAUUGUGGCAUGCUAGAUUAGGACACCCUCAUAAUAAGGCUUUAAAACUGAUGUUGCCAGGUGUUUCCUUUGAGAAUAAUGAGUGUGAAGCUUGCAUCUUAGGCAAGCAUUGUAGAACUGUCUUUACCAAGUCCACUACUGUUUAUGAAAAAUGUUUUGAUCUCAUUCAUUCUGAUGUUUGGACUGCACCUUGCCUGUCUAGAGAUAGCCAUAAGUACUAUGUAACUUUCAUUGAUGAAAAAUCCAAAUACACCUGGUUAACCUUAAUUCCAACCAAAGAUAGGGUACUUGAUGCAUUUAAAAACUUUCAAACCUAUGUAACUAACCAUUACAAUGCCAAGAUAAAGAUUUUUAGGUCAGAUAAUGGAGGAGAGUACACAGGACAAGCAUUCAAACUACACCUAUCUCAGCAUGGAAUCCUUCAUCAGACAAGCUGUCCCUAUACCCCACAACAGAAUGGUGUGGCUGAGAGGAAGAACAGGCAUUUGAUGGAAGUAGCCAGGUCUAUGAUGUUUCAAUCUAACGUGCCUAAGAAGUUUUGGAGUGAUGCAGUUGCUACGGCUUGUUAUCUCAUCAACAGGACACCAACUCUGAUUCUUCAAGGACGAUCACCAUUUGAGGUACUGAAUCAGUACAAACCCUCUCUAGAGCAUAUGAAGAUCUUUGGAUGUUUGUGUUUUGUGAUGGUGCCUGGAGAGAUAAGAAACAAGCUAGAAGCUAAGAGUUCAAAGGCAAUGUUUAUUGGAUAUUCAUCAAGUCAGAAAGGAUACAAGUGCUAUGAUCCUAACACAAGGAGAGUGUUAGUAUCUAGAGAAGUGAAGUUUGUUGAAGAAAAAGGAUACUAUGAGGAGCAGACUCAAGAUGAUUUGAGAGAUCUCACUUCUGAUAGAGCUGAAACAUUGAGGAUUAUCCUAGAGGGUCUUGGAAUCAACAUGAAUCAAGGAGGAAGAAGCACUACUCCAGUACCGGAUCAUCAGACCUCCAAUCUUGACCAUGAGGGGGGGAAUGAAACAAGAACUCAAAACCAUGAAGAGACAAGUAGAGAAGAGAGUUCUGGUUCUCAUGAUGAAGCUGAGGAAUCAAAUGAUCAACAAGGAGCUGAAGAGAGUCAGCUAAGGGAAGAAGGAGCUGAAGCAAGUCAGCUAGGAGAAGAAAGAUCUGAACCAAGUGUACUGCCACAAGAAGAAGAACAAGAGAUUGCGCAAGAAGGGCCAGUGUUGAGAAGAAGUACAAGGCUGAGAAAGGAUCCUUCCAGUUGGGUAAACACAAGAAUGUACUACAAUGCCCAAGCUGUGAAGCAUCCUACUCAGGCCGUGUGUUCUUUUGCUAAAUAUCCAGAAGCACAUUGUGCAUUCAUGGUAAACUUAGAUGAGAAUCACAUUCCAAGAAGCUAUGAAGAGGCAAUGAAGGAUAAGGAAUGGAAGGAAUCAGUAGGAGCUGAGGCAGGAGCUAUGAUCAAAAAUGAUACAUGGUAUGAGAGUGAACUACCAAAAGGGAAGAAGGCAGUAUCUAGCAGAUGGAUCUUCACAAUCAAAUACAAGGCUGAUGGGCAGAUUGAGAGGAAGAAGACUAGAUUAGUAGCGAGAGGGUUCACUCAAACAUAUGGAGAGGAUUACAUUGAGACAUUUGCACCAGUAGCCAAGUUACAUACCAUUAGAAUUGUACUAAGCUUGGCAGUUAAUCUUGGAUGGGGAUUGUGGCAAAUGGAUGUGAAGAAUGCAUUCUUACAAGGAGAACUUGAGGAUGAAGUAUACAUGUAUCCUCCACCUGGUCUUGAACAUCUAGUGAAACGAGGGAAUGUACUGAGGCUAAAGAAGGCUAUCUAUGGGUUGAAGCAAUCUCCAAGAGCUUGGUACAACAAGUUGAGCACAACUCUGAACGGCCAAGGCUUUAAGAAGUCAGAAUUGGAUCAUACUCUCUUUACCCUCACUACUCCCUCAGGUAUGGUUGCUCUCCUUGUGUAUGUGGAUGAUAUCAUUAUCACAGGGAGUGAUAAGGAAGGUAUCAAAGCAACCAAGGAGUUUCUAAAGUCUAUGUUUGAAAUAAAAGACUUGGGAGAAAUGAAAUACUUUCUUGGAAUUGAGAUUUGUAGAUCCAAGGAAGGUUUGUUCAUGUCCCAAAGGAAGUAUACACUUGAUCUUUUGAAAGGUGCAGGUGCUUAUGGAGGCAAGACAGCAAGGAUGCCAAUGGAGGAUGGCUACAAAGUACCAAGAGAGGGGGAGAUUGAAGACAGCAAGCCAUUUCAUGAUCCUAAACUCUAUAGAAAACUUGUUGGCAAAUUGAUUUAUCUUACCAUCACAAGACCUGAUAUAUGCUUUGCUGUGAAUCAGGUGAGUCAACACAUGCAGCUUCCCAAGGAACAUCAUUGGCGUAUGGUGGAGAGGCUGCUAAUGUAUCUGAAUGGCUCGCCGGAUCAAGGAGUAUGGAUGGGGUGCAAUGGAAGCACAGAAGUAGUGGGCUAUUGUGAUGCGGAUUGGGCAGGUGAUAGAGCUGACAGGAGAUCAACAACCGGCUAUUGCACAUUCAUUGGAGGCAACUUGGUAACCUGGAAGAGUAAGAAACAGAAGGUGGUGUCAUGCUCAAGUGCAGAAGCUGAAUAUAGAGCUAUGCUGAAGCUUACAAACGAGCUAGUGUGGAUCAAGGGCAUCUUGAAGCAUUUGAAGAUAGAACAAGCCACUCCAAUGACAAUGCAUUGAGACAACCAAGCAGCCAUUCACAUAGCCUCCAACUCGGUGUUCCAUGAGAGAACAAAGCACAUUGAGGUUGAUUGCCACAAGGUGAGGCAGAUGAUUGUCCUAGGAGUCAUCUUGCCAUGUUAUACUAGGAGUGAAGAUCAGUUGGCUGAUGUAUUCACCAAGGCUGCGAGGCAAAAGACAAUGGAGUCCAUUCAUAUCAGAUUGGGCCUCAUUGAUCUUGGGAAGAGAAGUAGCUGAUCCCCUUAGUCAUGAGAUCUUUACUCUUUUUCCCUCAUUAAGGUUUUGUCCCAAUGGGUUUUCCUUGGUGAGGUUUUUAAUGAGGAAGAUCUCAUGGCUGUCCAAGCUUAGGCUUCCACAAAGCUAAGCUUGAGGGGGAGUGUUGAGAUGAGCUGAGUAUAUGGAGAUGAAGAGAUAAGGAGUUGAAGAGAAGAGGAGAUGAAGUACUUAGGGAAGUUUGGGAGAGUAUGGUACGGUAGGCCGUACAAGGCCGUACAAGGCCGUACCAUCCAAACCUCAACCAAAACUUACCAUACCUUAUCCAAGUGAGACGGUAACUAAGGAGGAGUGACUUGGGUAGCUUAGGGAGAGGAUCAGACCGUUGAAAGGAUAAGGGGACGCGGUGCCAGGCUGGAACAGGCUGGAAAGCUAAAGCACCUUUAGUCCAAGAUGCCAUAAGCGUGUGAUGCAUCCUAGUGGUUGAUUUGAAUCCAUUGCCUUGACUACACACGGCUCAAUAGUGCUCAUUUCCCCUCUUGUAAACCCUUGUGUUCCUCUUAUAAAUAUGUAACCUCACUCAUUAAUAAGAUUAAGAAAGUUAUGAGUCUCUCUCUUAGUCUUUACUCUCAACAUGAUUCGAUCCUAGACUUCUAAUCUCAUUUCAUACUCAAAUCUCUUCUAAAUCACUUCUAGUCUUUCUUAUUUACUCAGAUUACUCUACUCAAUCCUAAAAGUGAUAUGGUAUCAGAGCCAGGUUCAUAGGAAACUUGGUUUCGUUGAGUUCUUUAAAGAUUCAAGAUUGAAGCUUUGAAGAGACAGUUUGGUGUUCGUGUGUUCUUAAGCGGUUCUGGGUAGUCUUUCUGAGUUCUAUUGGUUGUGUGAGGUGUUAUUGAAGCUGUGUGGUGUUCGCUCAAGACAAGUUACCUCAAGAGAAAGUUAUUGAAGUCUAAAGGGUUCUACAUUCAACAUGGAGAGUGGGAUGAACAUGAACAUGAAAGUGGCGGUGUGUUUCAAGGGAAACAACUACUUGGUGUGGUCUCGGAUGGUGAGAACCACAGUGGGAAGCAAGGGGCUUUGGAAACACAUCACGCCAGGAGAAGCUCCAAAGCUCAUCACUCAAGGAGAGGCUGAAGAUGAAGCCGCAAGCAAGGCAGAAGAGAAGUGGCAUCAAGAGGACAUGUUGGUGAUGUCUGUGCUCCAUGCGUCCCUUGAGCCGGCUAUUCUGGAUGCAUACAGCUACUGUGAGUCUACUAAAGAGCUGUGGGAUACUUUGAAGAAGGUGUAUGGCAACACUUCAAACCUAAGCCGAGUGUUUGAGGUGAAGCAAGCUAUCAACAACCUUGUACAAGAAGACAUGGAGUUCACUAAGCAUCUAGGAAGAUUCAGAAGCCUCUGGUCCGAGAUGGAGAUGCUUAGGCCAAGCACAACGGAUGCUGAUGAGCUUAACAAGAGGAGAGAGCAAGAUAAGGUCUUUGGGUUACUCCUCACCCUAAACCCGGCGUACAACGGUCUCAUCCAGCACUUACUUAGGGAGGAUACUCUACCUGACCUUGAGGAUGUGUGUGCACGGAUUCAGAAGGAGCAAGGCUCCAUUGGGCUGUUUGGGAAGAAAGGAGAUCUUUCCCUUGCAAGUCAAGCAACUCAAGAGGAGGGGAGUGAAGCUCCACAAGCAAACAAGGCUGCGCAUGGGAAGUUUGAGGAGAGGAGGUUCAAUGGGAGUUGUGAUCACUGCAAGAAGCAUGGUCACAAGAAGAGCCAAUGCUGGAUACUCCACCCUCACCUCAAGCCGGCUAAGUUCAUGAAGGAUCGUGAGGCAAGGGCUAAUGUCUCGGAUGGUACAAGUGGUGUUGGUACAAGCAAAGGAAAGGAGAUAGAUGGGCGUGAGGCAGGUGAUGGGAAGUCUCUUGUAGCCUACACUGGAGCACCAAGCAACCGUGGGAACAAUGAUCAAGAGUAUCUAAGGAGAUCCGACCUUGAUGCUCUCAUUAAGUUGUUCAAGGAGAAUGGUAACACAUUUGGGUAUUCAUUUGGUGCUAGUGUAGUAGAGAACUAUAAGAAUCUAACUAGAACUGAUAGGAUGCAUGAGAGCUUGAUAGAAAUGGUAAAUCAAUCUAGGAUUGCAAACUUUGCUAGAAAUGAUCAUACAUUCAAACCAUCUAGUAUCCUUGCACAUAUUGCUAGUUCUCAUGACAUUAAGCCAUUAGUGAUUGAUUCAGGAGCAUCUCAUCAUAUGAUAAGUGAUACUAGUUUGAUUAAAAACAUUGUACCAAUGAAUGGAAAUGUGAUGAUUGCUAAUGGAGAUAAGAUUCCUAUUAGAGGAAUAGGAAGUCUUAAACUGUUUGAUAAGGAAACUAAAGCCUUUUAUAUGCCUGAAUUUACUUCAAACUUGUUAUCUGUUAAGAAAUGUGCUACUGAUUUACAAUGCAAUGUUAUAUUCAGUCCUAAUGAUGUGAAGUUUCAGGAUAUUAAAAGCAGCAAGAUGAUUGGAAAGGGAGUGACUAAAGGAGAACUAUAUUUACUUGAAGAUCUCACUCCUGUUUCUAGAUAUAGCUGCUCGUUUACUUCUGUUUCUGGUUCUAGUUUAAGUAAAAAUGCAUUGUGGCAUGCUAGAUUAGGACACCCUCAUAAUAAGGCUUUAAAACUGAUGUUGCCAGGUGUUUCCUUUGAGAAUAAUGAGUGUGAAGCUUGCAUUUUAGGCAAGCAUUGUAGAACUGUCUUUACCAAGUCCACUACUGUUUAUGAAAAAUGUUUUGAUCUCAUUCAUUCUGAUGUUUGGACUGCACCUUGCCUGUCUAGAGAUAGCCAUAAGUACUAUGUAACUUUCAUUGAUGAAAAAUCCAAAUACACCUGGUUAACCUUAAUUCCAACCAAAGAUAGGGUAUUUGAUGCAUUUAAAAACUUUCAAACCUAUGUAACUAACCAUUACAAUGCCAAGAUAAAGAUUUUUAGGUCAGAUAAUGGAGGAGAGUACACAGGACAAGCAUUCAAACUACACCUAUCUCAGCAUGGAAUCCUUCAUCAGACAAGCUGUCCCUAUACCCCACAACAGAAUGGUGUGGCUGAGAGGAAGAACAGGCAUUUGAUGGAAGUAGCCAGGUCUAUGAUGUUUCAAUCUAACGUGCCUAAGAAGUUUUGGAGUGAUGCAGUUGCUACGGCUUGUUAUCUCAUCAACAGGACACCAACUCUGAUUCUUCAAGGACGAUCACCAUUUGAGGUACUGAAUCAGUACAAACCCUCUCUAGAGCAUAUGAAGAUCUUUGGAUGUUUGUGUUUUGUGAUGGUGCCUGGAGAGAUAAGAAACAAGCUAGAAGCUAAGAGUUCAAAGGCAAUGUUUAUUGGAUAUUCAUCAAGUCAGAAAGGAUACAAGUGCUAUGAUCCUAACACAAGGAGAGUGUUAGUAUCUAGAGAAGUGAAGUUUGUUGAAGAAAAAGGAUACUAUGAGGAGCAGACUCAAGAUGAUUUGAAAGAUCUCACUUCUGAUAGAGCUGAAACAUUGAGGAUUAUCCUAGAGGGUCUUGGAAUCAACAUGAAUCAAGGUGGAAGAAGCACUACUCCAGUACCGGAUCAUCAGACCUCCAAUCUUGACCAUGAGGGGGGGAAUGAAACAAGAACUCAAAACCAUGAAGAGACAAGUAGAGAAGAGAGUUCUGGUUCUCAUGAUCAAGCUGAGGAAUCAAAUGAUCAACAAGGAGCUGAAGAGAGUCAGCUAAGGGAAGAAGGAGCUGAAGCAAGUCAGCUAGGAGAAGAAAGAUCUGAACCAAGUGUACUGCCACAAGAAGAAGAACAAGAGAUUGCGCAAGAAGGGCCAGUGUUGAGAAGAAGUACAAGGCUGAGAAAGGAUCCUUCCAAUUGGGUAAACACAAGAGUGUACUACAAUGCCCAAGCUGUGAAGCAUCCUACUCAGGCCGUGUGUUCUUUUGCUAAAUAUCCAGAAGCACAUUGUGCAUUCAUGGUAAACUUAGAUGAGAAUCACAUUCCAAGAAGCUAUGAAGAGGCAAUGAAGGAUAAGGAAUGGAAGGAAUCAGUAGGAGCUGAGGCAGGAGCUAUGAUCAAAAAUGAUACAUGGUAUGAGAGUGAACUACCAAAAGGGAAGAAGGCAGUAUCUAGCAGAUGGAUCUUCACAAUCAAAUACAAGGCUGAUGGGCAGAUUGAGAGGAAGAAGACUAGAUUAGUAGCGAGAGGGUUCACUCAAACAUAUGGAGAGGAUUACAUUGAGACAUUUGCACCAGUAGCCAAGUUACAUACCAUUAGAAUUGUACUAAGCUUGGCAGUUAAUCUUGGAUGGGGAUUGUGGCAAAUGGAUGUGAAGAAUGCAUUCUUACAAGGAGAACUUGAGGAUGAAGUAUACAUGUAUCCUCCACCUGGUCUUGAACAUCUAGUGAAACGAGGGAAUGUACUGAGGCUAAAGAAGGCUAUCUAUGGGUUGAAGCAAUCUCCAAGAGCUUGGUACAACAAGUUGAGCACAACUCUGAACGGCCAAGGCUUUAAGAAGUCAGAAUUGGAUCAUACUCUCUUUACCCUCACUACUCCCUCAGGUAUGGUUGCUCUCCUUGUGUAUGUGGAUGAUAUCAUUAUCACAGGGAGUGAUAAGGAAGGUAUCAAAGCAACCAAGGAGUUUCUAAAGUCUAUGUUUGAAAUAAAAGACUUGGGAGAAAUGAAAUACUUUCUUGGAAUUGAGAUUUGUAGAUCCAAGGAAGGUUUGACUUCUAGUCUUUCUUAUUUACUCAGAUUACUCUACUCAAUCCUAAAAGUGAUAGAACCCACACUGCCCUCUAGAACAAAGAUUUACCCUUGAGUCUUCAAAUGAACCUCCCACGGAUCACCAAGACACACGCAAAGUACCUAAAGAUUCAAGAUUGAAGCUUUGAAGAGACAGUUUGGUGUUCGUGUGUUCUUAAGCGGUUCUGGGUAGUCUUUCUGAGUUCUAUUGGUUGUGUGAGGUGUUAUUGAAGCUGUGUGGUGUUCGCUCAAGACAAGUUACCUCAAGAGAAAGUUAUUGAAGUCUAAAGGGUUCUACAUUCAACAUGGAGAGUGGGAUGAACAUGAACAUGAAAGUGGCGGUGUGUUUCAAGGGAAACAACUACUUGGUGUGGUCUCGGAUGGUGAGAACCACAGUGGGAAGCAAGGGGCUUUGGAAACACAUCACGCCAGGAGAAGCUCCAAAGCUCAUCACUCAAGGAGAGGCUGAAGAUGAAGCCGCAAGCAAGGCAGAAGAGAAGUGGCAUCAAGAGGACAUGUUGGUGAUGUCUGUGCUCCAUGCGUCCCUUGAGCCGGCUAUUCUGGAUGCAUACAGCUACUGUGAGUCUACUAAAGAGCUGUGGGAUACUUUGAAGAAGGUGUAUGGCAACACUUCAAACCUAAGCCGAGUGUUUGAGGUGAAGCAAGCUAUCAACAACCUUGUACAAGAAGACAUGGAGUUCACUAAGCAUCUAGGAAGAUUCAGAAGCCUCUGGUCCGAGAUGGAGAUGCUUAGGCCAAGCACAACGGAUGCUGAUGAGCUUAACAAGAGGAGAGAGCAAGAUAAGGUCUUUGGGUUACUCCUCACCCUAAACCCGGCGUACAACGGUCUCAUCCAGCACUUACUUAGGGAGGAUACUCUACCUGACCUUGAGGAUGUGUGUGCACGGAUUCAGAAGGAGCAAGGCUCCAUUGGGCUGUUUGGGAAGAAAGGAGAUCUUUCCCUUGCAAGUCAAGCAACUCAAGAGGAGGGGAGUGAAGCUCCACAAGCAAACAAGGCUGCGCAUGGGAAGUUUGAGGAGAGGAGGUUCAAUGGGAGUUGUGAUCACUGCAAGAAGCAUGGUCACAAGAAGAGCCAAUGCUGGAUACUCCACCCUCACCUCAAGCCGGCUAAGUUCAUGAAGGAUCGUGAGGCAAGGGCUAAUGUCUCGGAUGGUACAAGUGGUGUUGGUACAAGCAAAGGAAAGGAGAUAGAUGGGCGUGAGGCAGGUGAUGGGAAGUCUCUUGUAGCCUACACUGGAGCACCAAGCAACCGUGGGAACAAUGAUCAAGAGUAUCUAAGGAGAUCCGACCUUGAUGCUCUCAUUAAGUUGUUCAAGGAGAAUGGUAACACAUUUGGGUAUUCAUUUGGUGCUAGUGUAGUAGAGAACUAUAAGAAUCUAACUAGAACUGAUAGGAUGCAUGAGAGCUUGAUAGAAAUGGUAAAUCAAUCUAGGAUUGCAAACUUUGCUAGAAAUGAUCAUACAUUCAAACCAUCUAGUAUCCUUGCACAUAUUGCUAGUUCUCAUGACAUUAAGCCAUUAGUGAUUGAUUCAGGAGCAUCUCAUCAUAUGAUAAGUGAUACUAGUUUGAUUAAAAACAUUGUACCAAUGAAUGGAAAUGUGAUGAUUGCUAAUGGAGAUAAGAUUCCUAUUAGAGGAAUAGGAAGUCUUAAACUGUUUGAUAAGGAAACUAAAGCCUUUUAUAUGCCUGAAUUUACUUCAAACUUGUUAUCUGUUAAGAAAUGUGCUACUGAUUUACAAUGCAAUGUUAUAUUCAGUCCUAAUGAUGUGAAGUUUCAGGAUAUUAAAAGCAGCAAGAUGAUUGGAAAGGGAGUGACUAAAGGAGAACUAUAUUUACUUGAAGAUCUCACUCCUGUUUCUAGAUAUAGCUGCUCGUUUACUUCUGUUUCUGGUUCUAGUUUAAGUAAAAAUGCAUUGUGGCAUGCUAGAUUAGGACACCCUCAUAAUAAGGCUUUAAAACUGAUGUUGCCAGGUGUUUCCUUUGAGAAUAAUGAGUGUGAAGCUUGCAUUUUAGGCAAGCAUUGUAGAACUGUCUUUACCAAGUCCACUACUGUUUAUGAAAAAUGUUUUGAUCUCAUUCAUUCUGAUGUUUGGACUGCACCUUGCCUGUCUAGAGAUAGCCAUAAGUACUAUGUAACUUUCAUUGAUGAAAAAUCCAAAUACACCUGGUUAACCUUAAUUCCAACCAAAGAUAGGGUAUUUGAUGCAUUUAAAAACUUUCAAACCUAUGUAACUAACCAUUACAAUGCCAAGAUAAAGAUUUUUAGGUCAGAUAAUGGAGGAGAGUACACAGGACAAGCAUUCAAACUACACCUAUCUCAGCAUGGAAUCCUUCAUCAGACAAGCUGUCCCUAUACCCCACAACAGAAUGGUGUGGCUGAGAGGAAGAACAGGCAUUUGAUGGAAGUAGCCAGGUCUAUGAUGUUUCAAUCUAACGUGCCUAAGAAGUUUUGGAGUGAUGCAGUUGCUACGGCUUGUUAUCUCAUCAACAGGACACCAACUCUGAUUCUUCAAGGACGAUCACCAUUUGAGGUACUGAAUCAGUACAAACCCUCUCUAGAGCAUAUGAAGAUCUUUGGAUGUUUGUGUUUUGUGAUGGUGCCUGGAGAGAUAAGAAACAAGCUAGAAGCUAAGAGUUCAAAGGCAAUGUUUAUUGGAUAUUCAUCAAGUCAGAAAGGAUACAAGUGCUAUGAUCCUAACACAAGGAGAGUGUUAGUAUCUAGAGAAGUGAAGUUUGUUGAAGAAAAAGGAUACUAUGAGGAGCAGACUCAAGAUGAUUUGAAAGAUCUCACUUCUGAUAGAGCUGAAACAUUGAGGAUUAUCCUAGAGGGUCUUGGAAUCAACAUGAAUCAAGGUGGAAGAAGCACUACUCCAGUACCGGAUCAUCAGACCUCCAAUCUUGACCAUGAGGGGGGGAAUGAAACAAGAACUCAAAACCAUGAAGAGACAAGUAGAGAAGAGAGUUCUGGUUCUCAUGAUCAAGCUGAGGAAUCAAAUGAUCAACAAGGAGCUGAAGAGAGUCAGCUAAGGGAAGAAGGAGCUGAAGCAAGUCAGCUAGGAGAAGAAAGAUCUGAACCAAGUGUACUGCCACAAGAAGAAGAACAAGAGAUUGCGCAAGAAGGGCCAGUGUUGAGAAGAAGUACAAGGCUGAGAAAGGAUCCUUCCAAUUGGGUAAACACAAGAGUGUACUACAAUGCCCAAGCUGUGAAGCAUCCUACUCAGGCCGUGUGUUCUUUUGCUAAAUAUCCAGAAGCACAUUGUGCAUUCAUGGUAAACUUAGAUGAGAAUCACAUUCCAAGAAGCUAUGAAGAGGCAAUGAAGGAUAAGGAAUGGAAGGAAUCAGUAGGAGCUGAGGCAGGAGCUAUGAUCAAAAAUGAUACAUGGUAUGAGAGUGAACUACCAAAAGGGAAGAAGGCAGUAUCUAGCAGAUGGAUCUUCACAAUCAAAUACAAGGCUGAUGGGCAGAUUGAGAGGAAGAAGACUAGAUUAGUAGCGAGAGGGUUCACUCAAACAUAUGGAGAGGAUUACAUUGAGACAUUUGCACCAGUAGCCAAGUUACAUACCAUUAGAAUUGUACUAAGCUUGGCAGUUAAUCUUGGAUGGGGAUUGUGGCAAAUGGAUGUGAAGAAUGCAUUCUUACAAGGAGAACUUGAGGAUGAAGUAUACAUGUAUCCUCCACCUGGUCUUGAACAUCUAGUGAAACGAGGGAAUGUACUGAGGCUAAAGAAGGCUAUCUAUGGGUUGAAGCAAUCUCCAAGAGCUUGGUACAACAAGUUGAGCACAACUCUGAACGGCCAAGGCUUUAAGAAGUCAGAAUUGGAUCAUACUCUCUUUACCCUCACUACUCCCUCAGGUAUGGUUGCUCUCCUUGUGUAUGUGGAUGAUAUCAUUAUCACAGGGAGUGAUAAGGAAGGUAUCAAAGCAACCAAGGAGUUUCUAAAGUCUAUGUUUGAAAUAAAAGACUUGGGAGAAAUGAAAUACUUUCUUGGAAUUGAGAUUUGUAGAUCCAAGGAAGGUUUGUUCAUGUCCCAAAGGAAGUAUACACUUGAUCUUUUGAAAGGUGCAGGUGCUUAUGGAGGCAAGACAGCAAGGAUGCCAAUGGAGGAUGGCUACAAAGUACCAAGAGAGGGGGAGAUUGAAGACAGCAAGCCAUUUCAUGAUCCUAAACUCUAUAGAAAACUUGUUGGCAAAUUGAUUUAUCUUACCAUCACAAGACCUGAUAUAUGCUUUGCUGUGAAUCAGGUGAGUCAACACAUGCAGCUUCCCAAGGAACAUCAUUGGCGUAUGGUGGAGAGGCUGCUAAUGUAUCUGAAUGGCUCGCCGGAUCAAGGAGUAUGGAUGGGGUGCAAUGGAAGCACAGAAGUAGUGGGCUAUUGUGAUGCGGAUUGGGCAGGUGAUAGAGCUGACAGGAGAUCAACAACCGGCUAUUGCACAUUCAUUGGAGGCAACUUGGUAACCUGGAAGAGUAAGAAACAGAAGGUGGUGUCAUGCUCAAGUGCAGAAGCUGAAUAUAGAGCUAUGCUGAAGCUUACAAACGAGCUAGUGUGGAUCAAGGGCAUCUUGAAGCAUUUGAAGAUAGAACAAGCCACUCCAAUGACAAUGCAUUGUGACAACCAAGCAGCCAUUCACAUAGCCUCCAACUCGGUGUUCCAUGAGAGAACAAAGCACAUUGAGGUUGAUUGCCACAAGGUGAGGCAGAUGAUUGUCCUAGGAGUCAUCUUGCCAUGUUAUACUAGGAGUGAAGAUCAGUUGGCUGAUGUAUUCACCAAGGCUGCGAGUCAAAAGACAAUGGAGUCCAUUCAUAUCAGAUUGGGCCUCAUUGAUCUUGGGAAGAGAAGUAGCUGAUCCCCUUAGUCAUGAGAUCUUUACUCUUUUUCCCUCAUUAAGGUUUUGUCCCAAUGGGUUUUCCUUGGUGAGGUUUUUAAUGAGGAAGAUCUCAUGGCUGUCCAAGCUUAGGCUUCCACAAAGCUAAGCUUGAGGGGGAGUGUUGAGAUGAGCUGAGUAUAUGGAGAUGAAGAGAUAAGGAGUUGAAGAGAAGAGGAGAUGAAGUACUUAGGGAAGUUUGGGAGAGUAUGGUACGGUAGGCCGUACAAGGCCGUACAAGGCCGUACAAGGCCGUACCAUCCAAACCUCAACCAAAACUUACCAUACCUUAUCCAAGUGAGACGGUAACUAAGGAGGAGUGACUUGGGUAGCUUAGGGAGAGGAUCAGACCGUUGAAAGGAUAAGGGGACGCGGUGCCAGGCUGGAACAGGCUGGAAAGCUAAAGCACCUUUAGUCCAAGAUGCCAUAAGCGUGUGAUGCAUCCUAGUGGUUGAUUUGAAUCCAUUGCCUUGACUACACACGGCUCAAUAGUGCUCAUUUCCCCUCUUGUAAACCCUUGUGUUCCUCUUAUAAAUAUGUAACCUCACUCAUUAAUAAGAUUAAGAAAGUUACGAGUCUCUCUCUUAGUCUUUACUCUCAACAUGAUUCGAUCCUAGACUUCUAAUCUCAUUUCAUACUCAAAUCUCUUCUAAAUCACUUCUAGUCUUUCUUAUUUACUCAGAUUACUCUACUCAAUCCUAAAAGUGAUAUGGUAUCAGAGCCAGGUUCAUAGGAAACUUGGUUUUGUUGAGUUCUUUAAAAAUUCAAGAUUGAAGCUUUGAAGAGACAGUUUGGUGUUCGUGUGUUCUUAAGCGGUUCUGGGUAGUCUUUCUGAGUUCUAUUGGUUGUGUGAGGUGUUAUUGAAGCUGUGUGGUGUUCGCUCAAGACAAGUUACCUCAAGAGAAAGUUAUUGAAGUCUAAAGGGUUCUACAUUCAACAUGGAGAGUGGGAUGAACAUGAACAUGAAAGUGGCGGUGUGUUUCAAGGGAAACAACUACUUGGUGUGGUCUCGGAUGGUGAGAACCACAGUGGGAAGCAAGGGGCUUUGGAAACACAUCACGCCAGGAGAAGCUCCAAAGCUCAUCACUCAAGGAGAGGCUGAAGAUGAAGCCGCAAGCAAGGCAGAAGAGAAGUGGCAUCAAGAGGACAUGUUGGUGAUGUCUGUGCUCCAUGCGUCCCUUGAGCCGGCUAUUCUGGAUGCAUACAGCUACUGUGAGUCUGCUAAAGAGCUGUGGGAUACUUUGAAGAAGGUGUAUGGCAACACUUCAAACCUAAGCCGAGUGUUUGAGGUGAAGCAAGCUAUCAACAACCUUGUACAAGAAGACAUGGAGUUCACUAAGCAUCUAGGAAGAUUCAGAAGCCUCUGGUCCGAGAUGGAGAUGCUUAGGCCAAGCACAACGGAUGCUGAUGAGCUUAACAAGAGGAGAGAGCAAGAUAAGGUCUUUGGGUUACUCCUCACCCUAAACCCGGCGUACAACGGUCUCAUCCAGCACUUACUUAGGGAGGAUACUCUACCUGACCUUGAGGAUGUGUGUGCACGGAUUCAGAAGGAGCAAGGCUCCAUUGGGCUGUUUGGGAAGAAAGGAGAUCUUUCCCUUGCAAGUCAAGCAACUCAAGAGGAGGGGAGUGAAGCUCCACAAGCAAACAAGGCUGCGCAUGGGAAGUUUGAGGAGAGGAGGUUCAAUGGGAGUUGUGAUCACUGCAAGAAGCAUGGUCACAAGAAGAGCCAAUGCUGGAUACUCCACCCUCACCUCAAGCCGGCUAAGUUCAUGAAGGAUCGUGAGGCAAGGGCUAAUGUCUCGGAUGGUACAAGUGGUGUUGGUACAAGCAAAGGAAAGGAGAUAGAUGGGCGUGAGGCAGGUGAUGGGAAGUCUCUUGUAGCCUACACUGGAGCACCAAGCAACCGUGGGAACAAUGAUCAAGAGUAUCUAAGGAGAUCCGACCUUGAUGCUCUCAUUAAGUUGUUCAAGGAGAAUGGUAACACAUUUGGGUAUUCAUUUGGUGCUAGUGUAGUAGAGAACUAUAAGAAUCUAACUAGAACUGAUAGGAUGCAUAAGAGCUUGAUAGAAAUGGUAAAUCAAUCUAGGAUUGCAAACUUUGCUAGAAAUGAUCAUACAUUCAAACCAUCUAGUAUCCUUGCACAUAUUGCUAGUUCUCAUGACAUUAAGCCAUUAGUGAUUGAUUCAGGAGCAUCUCAUCAUAUGAUAAGUGAUACUAGUUUGAUUAAAAACAUUGUACCAAUGAAUGGAAAUGUGAUGAUUGCUAAUGGAGAUAAGAUUCCUAUUAGAGGAAUAGGAAGUCUUAAACUGUUUGAUAAGGAAACUAAAGCCUUUUAUAUGCCUGAAUUUACUUCAAACUUGUUAUCUGUUAAGAAAUGUGCUACUGAUUUACAAUGCAAUGUUAUAUUCAGUCCUAAUGAUGUGAAGUUUCAGGAUAUUAAAAGCAGCAAGAUGAUUGGAAAGGGAGUGACUAAAGGAGAACUAUAUUUACUUGAAGAUCUCACUCCUGUUUCUAGAUAUAGCUGCUCGUUUACUUCUGUUUCUGGUUCUAGUUUAAGUAAAAAUGCAUUGUGGCAUGCUAGAUUAGGACACCCUCAUAAUAAGGCUUUAAAACUGAUGUUGCCAGGUGUUUCCUUUGAGAAUAAUGAGUGUGAAGCUUGCAUUUUAGGCAAGCAUUGUAGAACUGUCUUUACCAAGUCCACUACUGUUUAUGAAAAAUGUUUUGAUCUCAUUCAUUCUGAUGUUUGGACUGCACCUUGCCUGUCUAGAGAUAGCCAUAAGUACUAUGUAACUUUCAUUGAUGAAAAAUCCAAAUACACCUGGUUAACCUUAAUUCCAACCAAAGAUAGGGUACUUGAUGCAUUUAAAAACUUUCAAACCUAUGUAACUAACCAUUACAAUGCCAAGAUAAAGAUUUUUAGGUCAGAUAAUGGAGGAGAGUACACAGGACAAGCAUUCAAACUACACCUAUCUCAGCAUGGAAUCCUUCAUCAGACAAGCUGUCCCUAUACCCCACAACAGAAUGGUGUGGCUGAGAGGAAGAACAGGCAUUUGAUGGAAGUAGCCAGGUCUAUGAUGUUUCAAUCUAACGUGCCUAAGAAGUUUUGGAGUGAUGCAGUUGCUACGGCUUGUUAUCUCAUCAACAGGACACCAACUCUGAUUCUUCAAGGACGAUCACCAUUUGAGGUACUGAAUCAGUACAAACCCUCUCUAGAGCAUAUGAAGAUCUUUGGAUGUUUGUGUUUUGUGAUGGUGCCUGGAGAGAUAAGAAACAAGCUAGAAGCUAAGAGUUCAAAGGCAAUGUUUAUUGGAUAUUCAUCAAGUCAGAAAGGAUACAAGUGCUAUGAUCCUAACACAAGGAGAGUGUUAGUAUCUAGAGAAGUGAAGUUUGUUGAAGAAAAAGGAUACUAUGAGGAGCAGACUCAAGAUGAUUUGAGAGAUCUCACUUCUGAUAGAGCUGAAACAUUGAGGAUUAUCCUAGAGGGUCUUGGAAUCAACAUGAAUCAAGGAGGAAGAAGCACUACUCCAGUACCGGAUCAUCAGACCUCCAAUCUUGACCAUGAGGGGGGGAAUGAAACAAGAACUCAAAACCAUGAAGAGACAAGUAGAGAAGAGAGUUCUGGUUCUCAUGAUCAAGCUGAGGAAUCAAAUGAUCAACAAGGAGCUGAAGAGAGUCAGCUAAGGGAAGAAGGAGCUGAAGCAAGUCAGCUAGGAGAAGAAAGAUCUGAACCAAGUGUACUGCCACAAGAAGAAGAACAAGAGAUUGCGCAAGAAGGGCCAGUGUUGAGAAGAAGUACAAGGCUGAGAAAGGAUCCUUCCAGUUGGGUAAACACAAGAGUGUACUACAAUGCCCAAGCUGUGAAGCAUCCUACUCAGGCCGUGUGUUCUUUUGCUAAAUAUCCAGAAGCACAUUGUGCAUUCAUGGUAAACUUAGAUGAGAAUCACAUUCCAAGAAGCUAUGAAGAGGCAAUGAAGGAUAAGGAAUGGAAGGAAUCAGUAGGAGCUGAGGCAGGAGCUAUGAUCAAAAAUGAUACAUGGUAUGAGAGUGAACUACCAAAAGGGAAGAAGGCAGUAUCUAGCAGAUGGAUCUUCACAAUCAAAUACAAGGCUGAUGGGCAGAUUGAGAGGAAGAAGACUAGAUUAGUAGCGAGAGGGUUCACUCAAACAUAUGGAGAGGAUUACAUUGAGACAUUUGCACCAGUAGCCAAGUUACAUACCAUUAGAAUUGUACUAAGCUUGGCAGUUAAUCUUGGAUGGGGAUUGUGGCAAAUGGAUGUGAAGAAUGCAUUCUUACAAGGAGAACUUGAGGAUGAAGUAUACAUGUAUCCUCCACCUGGUCUUGAACAUCUAGUGAAACGAGGGAAUGUACUGAGGCUAAAGAAGGCUAUCUAUGGGUUGAAGCAAUCUCCAAGAGCUUGGUACAACAAGUUGAGCACAACUCUGAACGGCCAAGGCUUUAAGAAGUCAGAAUUGGAUCAUACUCUCUUUACCCUCACUACUCCCUCAGGUAUGGUUGCUCUCCUUGUGUAUGUGGAUGAUAUCAUUAUCACAGGGAGUGAUAAGGAAGGUAUCAAAGCAACCAAGGAGUUUCUAAAGUCUAUGUUUGAAAUAAAAGACUUGGGAGAAAUGAAAUACUUUCUUGGAAUUGAGAUUUGUAGAUCCAAGGAAGGUUUGUUCAUGUCCCAAAGGAAGUAUACACUUGAUCUUUUGAAAGGUGCAGGUGCUUAUGGAGGCAAGACAGCAAGGAUGCCAAUGGAGGAUGGCUACAAAGUACCAAGAGAGGGGGAGAUUGAAGACAGCAAGCCAUUUCAUGAUCCUAAACUCUAUAGAAAACUUGUUGGCAAAUUGAUUUAUCUUACCAUCACAAGACCUGAUAUAUGCUUUGCUGUGAAUCAGGUGAGUCAACACAUGCAGCUUCCCAAGGAACAUCAUUGGCGUAUGGUGGAGAGGCUGCUAAUGUAUCUGAAUGGCUCGCCGGAUCAAGGAGUAUGGAUGGGGUGCAAUGGAAGCACAGAAGUAGUGGGCUAUUGUGAUGCGGAUUGGGCAGGUGAUAGAGCUGACAGGAGAUCAACAACCGGCUAUUGCACAUUCAUUGGAGGCAACUUGGUAACCUGGAAGAGUAAGAAACAGAAGGUGGUGUCAUGCUCAAGUGCAGAAGCUGAAUAUAGAGCUAUGCUGAAGCUUACAAACGAGCUAGUGUGGAUCAAGGGCAUCUUGAAGCAUUUGAAGAUAGAACAAGCCACUCCAAUGACAAUGCAUUGUGACAACCAAGCAGCCAUUCACAUAGCCUCCAACUCGGUGUUCCAUGAGAGAACAAAGCACAUUGAGGUUGAUUGCCACAAGGUGAGGCAGAUGAUUGUCCUAGGAGUCAUCUUGCCAUGUUAUACUAGGAGUGAAGAUCAGUUGGCUGAUGUAUUCACCAAGGCUGCGAGGCAAAAGACAAUGGAGUCCAUUCAUAUCAGAUUGGGCCUCAUUGAUCUUGGGAAGAGAAGUAGCUGAUCCCCUUAGUCAUGAGAUCUUUACUCUUUUUCCCUCAUUAAGGUUUUGUCCCAAUGGGUUUUCCUUGGUGAGGUUUUUAAUGAGGAAGAUCUCAUGGCUGUCCAAGCUUAGGCUUCCACAAAGCUAAGCUUGAGGGGGAGUGUUGAGAUGAGCUGAGUAUAUGGAGAUGAAGAGAUAAGGAGUUGAAGAGAAGAGGAGAUGAAGUACUUAGGGAAGUUUGGGAGAGUAUGGUACGGUAGGCCGUACAAGGCCGUACAAGGCCGUACAAGGCCGUACCAUCCAAACCUCAACCAAAACUUACCAUACCUUAUCCAAGUGAGACGGUAACUAAGGAGGAGUGACUUGGGUAGCUUAGGGAGAGGAUCAGACCGUUGAAAGGAUAAGGGGACGCGGUGCCAGGCUGGAACAGGCUGGAAAGCUAAAGCACCUUUAGUCCAAGAUGCCAUAAGCGUGUGAUGCAUCCUAGUGGUUGAUUUGAAUCCAUUGCCUUGACUACACACGGCUCAAUAGUGCUCAUUUCCCUUCUUGUAAACCCUUGUGUUCCUCUUAUAAAUAUGUAACCUCACUCAUUAAUAAGAUUAAGAAAGUUACGAGUCUCUCUCUUAGUCUUUACUCUCAACAUGAUUCGAUCCUAGACUUCUAAUCUCAUUUCAUACUCAAAUCUCUUCUAAAUCACUUCUAGUCUUUCUUAUUUACUCAGAUUACUCUACUCAAUCCUAAAAGUGAUAUGGUAUCAGAGCCAGGUUCAUAGGAAACUUGGUUUCGUUGAGUUCUUUAAAAAUUCAAGAUUGAAGCUUUGAAGAGACAGUUUGGUGUUCGUGUGUUCUUAAGCGGUUCUGGGUAGUCUUUCUGAGUUCUAUUGGUUGUGUGAGGUGUUAUUGAAGCUGUGUGGUGUUCGCUCAAGACAAGUUACCUCAAGAGAAAGUUAUUGAAGUCUAAAGGGUUCUACAUUCAACAUGGAGAGUGGGAUGAACAUGAACAUGAAGGUAGCCGUGUGUUUCAAGGGAAACAACUACUUGGUGUGGUCUCGGAUGGUGAGAACCACAGUGGGAAGCAAGGGGCUUUGGAAACACAUCACGCCAGGAGAAGCUCCAAAGCUCAUCACUCAAGGAGAGGCUGAAGAUGAAGCCGCAAGCAAGGCAGAAGAGAAGUGGCAUCAAGAGGACAUGUUGGUGAUGUCUGUGCUCCAUGCGUCCCUUGAGCCGGCUAUUCUGGAUGCAUACAGCUACUGUGAGUCUGCUAAAGAGCUGUGGGAUACUUUGAAGAAGGUGUAUGGCAACACUUCAAACCUAAGCCGAGUGUUUGAGGUGAAGCAAGCUAUCAACAACCUUGUACAAGAAGACAUGGAGUUCACUAAGCAUCUAGGAAGAUUCAGAAGCCUCUGGUCCGAGAUGGAGAUGCUUAGGCCAAGCACAACGGAUGCUGAUGAGCUUAACAAGAGGAGAGAGCAAGAUAAGGUCUUUGGGUUACUCCUCACCCUAAACCCGGCGUACAACGGUCUCAUCCAGCACUUACUUAGGGAGGAUACUCUACCCUCAUCCAGCACCUGCUUAGAGAAGACACUCUACCUGACCUUGAGGAUGUGUGUGCACGGAUUCAGAAGGAGCAAGGCUCCAUUGGGCUGUUUGGGAAGAAAGGAGAUCUUUCCCUUGCAAGUCAAGCAACUCAAGAGGAGGGGAGUGAAGCUCCACAAGCAAACAAGGCUGCGCAUGGGAAGUUUGAGGAGAGGAGGUUCAAUGGGAGUUGUGAUCACUGCAAGAAGCAUGGUCACAAGAAGAGCCAAUGCUGGAUACUCCACCCUCACCUCAAGCCGGCUAAGUUCAUGAAGGAUCGUGAGGCAAGGGCUAAUGUCUCGGAUGGUACAAGUGGUGUUGGUACAAGCAAAGGAAAGGAGAUAGAUGGGCGUGAGGCAGGUGAUGGGAAGUCUCUUGGAGGCUACACUGGAGCUCCAAGCAACCGCGGGAACAAUGAUCAAGAGUAUCUAAGGAGAUCCGACCUUGAUGCUCUCAUUAAGUUGUUCAAGGAGAAUGGUAACACAUUUGGGUAUUCAUUUGGUGCUAGUGUAGUAGAGAACUAUAAGAAUCUAACUAGAACUGAUAGGAUGCAUAAGAGCUUGAUAGAAAUGGUAAAUCAAUCUAGGAUUGCAAACUUUGCUAGAAAUGAUCAUACAUUCAAACCAUCUAGUAUCCUUGCACAUAUUGCUAGUUCUCAUGACAUUAAGCCAUUAGUGAUUGAUUCAGGAGCAUCUCAUCAUAUGAUAAGUGAUACUAGUUUGAUUAAAAACAUUGUACCAAUGAAUGGAAAUGUGAUGAUUGCUAAUGGAGAUAAGAUUCCUAUUAGAGGAAUAGGAAGUCUUAAACUGUUUGAUAAGGAAACUAAAGCCUUUUAUAUGCCUGAAUUUACUUCAAACUUGUUAUCUGUUAAGAAAUGUGCUACUGAUUUACAAUGCAAUGUUAUAUUCAGUCCUAAUGAUGUGAAGUUUCAGGAUAUUAAAAGCAGCAAGAUGAUUGGAAAGGGAGUGACUAAAGGAGAACUAUAUUUACUUGAAGAUCUCACUCCUGUUUCUAGAUAUAGCUGCUCGUUUACUUCUGUUUCUGGUUCUAGUUUAAGUAAAAAUGCAUUGUGGCAUGCUAGAUUAGGACACCCUCAUAAUAAGGCUUUAAAACUGAUGUUGCCAGGUGUUUCCUUUGAGAAUAAUGAGUGUGAAGCUUGCAUUUUAGGCAAGCAUUGUAGAACUGUCUUUACCAAGUCCACUACUGUUUAUGAAAAAUGUUUUGAUCUCAUUCAUUCUGAUGUUUGGACUGCACCUUGCCUGUCUAGAGAUAGCCAUAAGUACUAUGUAACUUUCAUUGAUGAAAAAUCCAAAUACACCUGGUUAACCUUAAUUCCAACCAAAGAUAGGGUACUUGAUGCAUUUAAAAACUUUCAAACCUAUGUAACUAACCAUUACAAUGCCAAGAUAAAGAUUUUUAGGUCAGAUAAUGGAGGAGAGUACACAGGACAAGCAUUCAAACUACACCUAUCUCAGCAUGGAAUCCUUCAUCAGACAAGCUGUCCCUAUACCCCACAACAGAAUGGUGUGGCUGAGAGGAAGAACAGGCAUUUGAUGGAAGUAGCCAGGUCUAUGAUGUUUCAAUCUAACGUGCCUAAGAAGUUUUGGAGUGAUGCAGUUGCUACGGCUUGUUAUCUCAUCAACAGGACACCAACUCUGAUUCUUCAAGGACGAUCACCAUUUGAGGUACUGAAUCAGUACAAACCCUCUCUAGAGCAUAUGAAGAUCUUUGGAUGUUUGUGUUUUGUGAUGGUGCCUGGAGAGAUAAGAAACAAGCUAGAAGCUAAGAGUUCAAAGGCAAUGUUUAUUGGAUAUUCAUCAAGUCAGAAAGGAUACAAGUGCUAUGAUCCUAACACAAGGAGAGUGUUAGUAUCUAGAGAAGUGAAGUUUGUUGAAGAAAAAGGAUACUAUGAGGAGCAGACUCAAGAUGAUUUGAGAGAUCUCACUUCUGAUAGAGCUGAAACAUUGAGGAUUAUCCUAGAGGGUCUUGGAAUCAACAUGAAUCAAGGAGGAAGAAGCACUACUCCAGUACCGGAUCAUCAGACCUCCAAUCUUGACCAUGAGGGGGGGAAUGAAACAAGAACUCAAAACCAUGAAGAGACAAGUAGAGAAGAGAGUUCUGGUUCUCAUGAUCAAGCUGAGGAAUCAAAUGAUCAACAAGGAGCUGAAGAGAGUCAGCUAAGGGAAGAAGGAGCUGAAGCAAGUCAGCUAGGAGAAGAAAGAUCUGAACCAAGUGUACUGCCACAAGAAGAAGAACAAGAGAUUGCGCAAGAAGGGCCAGUGUUGAGAAGAAGUACAAGGCUGAGAAAGGAUCCUUCCAGUUGGGUAAACACAAGAGUGUACUACAAUGCCCAAGCUGUGAAGCAUCCUACUCAGGCCGUGUGUUCUUUUGCUAAAUAUCCAGAAGCACAUUGUGCAUUCAUGGUAAACUUAGAUGAGAAUCACAUUCCAAGAAGCUAUGAAGAGGCAAUGAAGGAUAAGGAAUGGAAGGAAUCAGUAGGAGCUGAGGCAGGAGCUAUGAUCAAAAAUGAUACAUGGUAUGAGAGUGAACUACCAAAAGGGAAGAAGGCAGUAUCUAGCAGAUGGAUCUUCACAAUCAAAUACAAGGCUGAUGGGCAGAUUGAGAGGAAGAAGACUAGAUUAGUAGCGAGAGGGUUCACUCAAACAUAUGGAGAGGAUUACAUUGAGACAUUUGCACCAGUAGCCAAGUUACAUACCAUUAGAAUUGUACUAAGCUUGGCAGUUAAUCUUGGAUGGGGAUUGUGGCAAAUGGAUGUGAAGAAUGCAUUCUUACAAGGAGAACUUGAGGAUGAAGUAUACAUGUAUCCUCCACCUGGUCUUGAACAUCUAGUGAAACGAGGGAAUGUACUGAGGCUAAAGAAGGCUAUCUAUGGGUUGAAGCAAUCUCCAAGAGCUUGGUACAACAAGUUGAGCACAACUCUGAACGGCCAAGGCUUUAAGAAGUCAGAAUUGGAUCAUACUCUCUUUACCCUCACUACUCCCUCAGGUAUGGUUGCUCUCCUUGUGUAUGUGGAUGAUAUCAUUAUCACAGGGAGUGAUAAGGAAGGUAUCAAAGCAACCAAGGAGUUUCUAAAGUCUAUGUUUGAAAUAAAAGACUUGGGAGAAAUGAAAUACUUUCUUGGAAUUGAGAUUUGUAGAUCCAAGGAAGGUUUGUUCAUGUCCCAAAGGAAGUAUACACUUGAUCUUUUGAAAGGUGCAGGUGCUUAUGGAGGCAAGACAGCAAGGAUGCCAAUGGAGGAUGGCUACAAAGUACCAAGAGAGGGGGAGAUUGAAGACAGCAAGCCAUUUCAUGAUCCUAAACUCUAUAGAAAACUUGUUGGCAAAUUGAUUUAUCUUACCAUCACAAGACCUGAUAUAUGCUUUGCUGUGAAUCAGGUGAGUCAACACAUGCAGCUUCCCAAGGAACAUCAUUGGCGUAUGGUGGAGAGGCUGCUAAUGUAUCUGAAUGGCUCGCCGGAUCAAGGAGUAUGGAUGGGGUGCAAUGGAAGCACAGAAGUAGUGGGCUAUUGUGAUGCGGAUUGGGCAGGUGAUAGAGCUGACAGGAGAUCAACAACCGGCUAUUGCACAUUCAUUGGAGGCAACUUGGUAACCUGGAAGAGUAAGAAACAGAAGGUGGUGUCAUGCUCAAGUGCAGAAGCUGAAUAUAGAGCUAUGCUGAAGCUUACAAACGAGCUAGUGUGGAUCAAGGGCAUCUUGAAGCAUUUGAAGAUAGAACAAGCCACUCCAAUGACAAUGCAUUGUGACAACCAAGCAGCCAUUCACAUAGCCUCCAACUCGGUGUUCCAUGAGAGAACAAAGCACAUUGAGGUUGAUUGCCACAAGGUGAGGCAGAUGAUUGUCCUAGGAGUCAUCUUGCCAUGUUAUACUAGGAGUGAAGAUCAGUUGGCUGAUGUAUUCACCAAGGCUGCGAGGCAAAAGACAAUGGAGUCCAUUCAUAUCAGAUUGGGCCUCAUUGAUCUUGGGAAGAGAAGUAGCUGAUCCCCUUAGUCAUGAGAUCUUUACUCUUUUUCCCUCAUUAAGGUUUUGUCCCAAUGGGUUUUCCUUGGUGAGGUUUUUAAUGAGGAAGAUCUCAUGGCUGUCCAAGCUUAGGCUUCCACAAAGCUAAGCUUGAGGGGGAGUGUUGAGAUGAGCUGAGUAUAUGGAGAUGAAGAGAUAAGGAGUUGAAGAGAAGAGGAGAUGAAGUACUUAGGGAAGUUUGGGAGAGUAUGGUACGGUAGGCCGUACAAGGCCGUACAAGGCCGUACAAGGCCGUACCAUCCAAACCUCAACCAAAACUUACCAUACCUUAUCCAAGUGAGACGGUAACUAAGGAGGAGUGACUUGGGUAGCUUAGGGAGAGGAUCAGACCGUUGAAAGGAUAAGGGGACGCGGUGCCAGGCUGGAACAGGCUGGAAAGCUAAAGCACCUUUAGUCCAAGAUGCCAUAAGCGUGUGAUGCAUCCUAGUGGUUGAUUUGAAUCCAUUGCCUUGACUACACACGGCUCAAUAGUGCUCAUUUCCCUUCUUGUAAACCCUUGUGUUCCUCUUAUAAAUAUGUAACCUCACUCAUUAAUAAGAUUAAGAAAGUUACGAGUCUCUCUCUUAGUCUUUACUCUCAACAUGAUUCGAUCCUAGACUUCUAAUCUCAUUUCAUACUCAAAUCUCUUCUAAAUCACUUCUAGUCUUUCUUAUUUACUCAGAUUACUCUACUCAAUCCUAAAAGUGAUAAGUUGAAUAAAUCUCAUAGGAGUUGGCAUGAAGAAGUUAUCCCACUUUCAAAUCAGGUGAUUCCAGUUUCCCAGUUUGGGAAUAACACAGCUUCUUCGUCGUUCCAAUCAAACCAGGAUGAAUCUCUUGGUAAUAAGAGACAGUUUGGUGUUCGUGUGUUCUUAAGCGGUUCUGGGUAGUCUUUCUGAGUUCUAUUGGUUGUGUGAGGUGUUAUUGAAGCUGUGUGGUGUUCGCUCAAGACAAGUUACCUCAAGAGAAAGUUAUUGAAGUCUAAAGGGUUCUACAUUCAACAUGGAGAGUGGGAUGAACAUGAACAUGAAAGUGGCGGUGUGUUUCAAGGGAAACAACUACUUGGUGUGGUCUCGGAUGGUGAGAACCACAGUGGGAAGCAAGGGGCUUUGGAAACACAUCACGCCAGGAGAAGCUCCAAAGCUCAUCACUCAAGGAGAGGCUGAAGAUGAAGCCGCAAGCAAGGCAGAAGAGAAGUGGCAUCAAGAGGACAUGUUGGUGAUGUCUGUGCUCCAUGCGUCCCUUGAGCCGGCUAUUCUGGAUGCAUACAGCUACUGUGAGUCUGCUAAAGAGCUGUGGGAUACUUUGAAGAAGGUGUAUGGCAACACUUCAAACCUAAGCCGAGUGUUUGAGGUGAAGCAAGCUAUCAACAACCUUGUACAAGAAGACAUGGAGUUCACUAAGCAUCUAGGAAGAUUCAGAAGCCUCUGGUCCGAGAUGGAGAUGCUUAGGCCAAGCACAACGGAUGCUGAUGAGCUUAACAAGAGGAGAGAGCAAGAUAAGGUCUUUGGGUUACUCCUCACCCUAAACCCGGCGUACAACGGUCUCAUCCAGCACUUACUUAGGGAGGAUACUCUACCUGACCUUGAGGAUGUGUGUGCACGGAUUCAGAAGGAGCAAGGCUCCAUUGGGCUGUUUGGGAAGAAAGGAGAUCUUUCCCUUGCAAGUCAAGCAACUCAAGAGGAGGGGAGUGAAGCUCCACAAGCAAACAAGGCUGCGCAUGGGAAGUUUGAGGAGAGGAGGUUCAAUGGGAGUUGUGAUCACUGCAAGAAGCAUGGUCACAAGAAGAGCCAAUGCUGGAUACUCCACCCUCACCUCAAGCCGGCUAAGUUCAUGAAGGAUCGUGAGGCAAGGGCUAAUGUCUCGGAUGGUACAAGUGGUGUUGGUACAAGCAAAGGAAAGGAGAUAGAUGGGCGUGAGGCAGGUGAUGGGAAGUCUCUUGUAGCCUACACUGGAGCACCAAGCAACCGUGGGAACAAUGAUCAAGAGUAUCUAAGGAGAUCCGACCUUGAUGCUCUCAUUAAGUUGUUCAAGGAGAAUGGUAACACAUUUGGGUAUUCAUUUGGUGCUAGUGUAGUAGAGAACUAUAAGAAUCUAACUAGAACUGAUAGGAUGCAUAAGAGCUUGAUAGAAAUGGUAAAUCAAUCUAGGAUUGCAAACUUUGCUAGAAAUGAUCAUACAUUCAAACCAUCUAGUAUCCUUGCACAUAUUGCUAGUUCUCAUGACAUUAAGCCAUUAGUGAUUGAUUCAGGAGCAUCUCAUCAUAUGAUAAGUGAUACUAGUUUGAUUAAAAACAUUGUACCAAUGAAUGGAAAUGUGAUGAUUGCUAAUGGAGAUAAGAUUCCUAUUAGAGGAAUAGGAAGUCUUAAACUGUUUGAUAAGGAAACUAAAGCCUUUUAUAUGCCUGAAUUUACUUCAAACUUGUUAUCUGUUAAGAAAUGUGCUACUGAUUUACAAUGCAAUGUUAUAUUCAGUCCUAAUGAUGUGAAGUUUCAGGAUAUUAAAAGCAGCAAGAUGAUUGGAAAGGGAGUGACUAAAGGAGAACUAUAUUUACUUGAAGAUCUCACUCCUGUUUCUAGAUAUAGCUGCUCGUUUACUUCUGUUUCUGGUUCUAGUUUAAGUAAAAAUGCAUUGUGGCAUGCUAGAUUAGGACACCCUCAUAAUAAGGCUUUAAAACUGAUGUUGCCAGGUGUUUCCUUUGAGAAUAAUGAGUGUGAAGCUUGCAUUUUAGGCAAGCAUUGUAGAACUGUCUUUACCAAGUCCACUACUGUUUAUGAAAAAUGUUUUGAUCUCAUUCAUUCUGAUGUUUGGACUGCACCUUGCCUGUCUAGAGAUAGCCAUAAGUACUAUGUAACUUUCAUUGAUGAAAAAUCCAAAUACACCUGGUUAACCUUAAUUCCAACCAAAGAUAGGGUACUUGAUGCAUUUAAAAACUUUCAAACCUAUGUAACUAACCAUUACAAUGCCAAGAUAAAGAUUUUUAGGUCAGAUAAUGGAGGAGAGUACACAGGACAAGCAUUCAAACUACACCUAUCUCAGCAUGGAAUCCUUCAUCAGACAAGCUGUCCCUAUACCCCACAACAGAAUGGUGUGGCUGAGAGGAAGAACAGGCAUUUGAUGGAAGUAGCCAGGUCUAUGAUGUUUCAAUCUAACGUGCCUAAGAAGUUUUGGAGUGAUGCAGUUGCUACGGCUUGUUAUCUCAUCAACAGGACACCAACUCUGAUUCUUCAAGGACGAUCACCAUUUGAGGUACUGAAUCAGUACAAACCCUCUCUAGAGCAUAUGAAGAUCUUUGGAUGUUUGUGUUUUGUGAUGGUGCCUGGAGAGAUAAGAAACAAGCUAGAAGCUAAGAGUUCAAAGGCAAUGUUUAUUGGAUAUUCAUCAAGUCAGAAAGGAUACAAGUGCUAUGAUCCUAACACAAGGAGAGUGUUAGUAUCUAGAGAAGUGAAGUUUGUUGAAGAAAAAGGAUACUAUGAGGAGCAGACUCAAGAUGAUUUGAGAGAUCUCACUUCUGAUAGAGCUGAAACAUUGAGGAUUAUCCUAGAGGGUCUUGGAAUCAACAUGAAUCAAGGAGGAAGAAGCACUACUCCAGUACCGGAUCAUCAGACCUCCAAUCUUGACCAUGAGGGGGGGAAUGAAACAAGAACUCAAAACCAUGAAGAGACAAGUAGAGAAGAGAGUUCUGGUUCUCAUGAUCAAGCUGAGGAAUCAAAUGAUCAACAAGGAGCUGAAGAGAGUCAGCUAAGGGAAGAAGGAGCUGAAGCAAGUCAGCUAGGAGAAGAAAGAUCUGAACCAAGUGUACUGCCACAAGAAGAAGAACAAGAGAUUGCGCAAGAAGGGCCAGUGUUGAGAAGAAGUACAAGGCUGAGAAAGGAUCCUUCCAGUUGGGUAAACACAAGAGUGUACUACAAUGCCCAAGCUGUGAAGCAUCCUACUCAGGCCGUGUGUUCUUUUGCUAAAUAUCCAGAAGCACAUUGUGCAUUCAUGGUAAACUUAGAUGAGAAUCACAUUCCAAGAAGCUAUGAAGAGGCAAUGAAGGAUAAGGAAUGGAAGGAAUCAGUAGGAGCUGAGGCAGGAGCUAUGAUCAAAAAUGAUACAUGGUAUGAGAGUGAACUACCAAAAGGGAAGAAGGCAGUAUCUAGCAGAUGGAUCUUCACAAUCAAAUACAAGGCUGAUGGGCAGAUUGAGAGGAAGAAGACUAGAUUAGUAGCGAGAGGGUUCACUCAAACAUAUGGAGAGGAUUACAUUGAGACAUUUGCACCAGUAGCCAAGUUACAUACCAUUAGAAUUGUACUAAGCUUGGCAGUUAAUCUUGGAUGGGGAUUGUGGCAAAUGGAUGUGAAGAAUGCAUUCUUACAAGGAGAACUUGAGGAUGAAGUAUACAUGUAUCCUCCACCUGGUCUUGAACAUCUAGUGAAACGAGGGAAUGUACUGAGGCUAAAGAAGGCUAUCUAUGGGUUGAAGCAAUCUCCAAGAGCUUGGUACAACAAGUUGAGCACAACUCUGAACGGCCAAGGCUUUAAGAAGUCAGAAUUGGAUCAUACUCUCUUUACCCUCACUACUCCCUCAGGUAUGGUUGCUCUCCUUGUGUAUGUGGAUGAUAUCAUUAUCACAGGGAGUGAUAAGGAAGGUAUCAAAGCAACCAAGGAGUUUCUAAAGUCUAUGUUUGAAAUAAAAGACUUGGGAGAAAUGAAAUACUUUCUUGGAAUUGAGAUUUGUAGAUCCAAGGAAGGUUUGUUCAUGUCCCAAAGGAAGUAUACACUUGAUCUUUUGAAAGGUGCAGGUGCUUAUGGAGGCAAGACAGCAAGGAUGCCAAUGGAGGAUGGCUACAAAGUACCAAGAGAGGGGGAGAUUGAAGACAGCAAGCCAUUUCAUGAUCCUAAACUCUAUAGAAAACUUGUUGGCAAAUUGAUUUAUCUUACCAUCACAAGACCUGAUAUAUGCUUUGCUGUGAAUCAGGUGAGUCAACACAUGCAGCUUCCCAAGGAACAUCAUUGGCGUAUGGUGGAGAGGCUGCUAAUGUAUCUGAAUGGCUCGCCGGAUCAAGGAGUAUGGAUGGGGUGCAAUGGAAGCACAGAAGUAGUGGGCUAUUGUGAUGCGGAUUGGGCAGGUGAUAGAGCUGACAGGAGAUCAACAACCGGCUAUUGCACAUUCAUUGGAGGCAACUUGGUAACCUGGAAGAGUAAGAAACAGAAGGUGGUGUCAUGCUCAAGUGCAGAAGCUGAAUAUAGAGCUAUGCUGAAGCUUACAAACGAGCUAGUGUGGAUCAAGGGCAUCUUGAAGCAUUUGAAGAUAGAACAAGCCACUCCAAUGACAAUGCAUUGUGACAACCAAGCAGCCAUUCACAUAGCCUCCAACUCGGUGUUCCAUGAGAGAACAAAGCACAUUGAGGUUGAUUGCCACAAGGUGAGGCAGAUGAUUGUCCUAGGAGUCAUCUUGCCAUGUUAUACUAGGAGUGAAGAUCAGUUGGCUGAUGUAUUCACCAAGGCUGCGAGGCAAAAGACAAUGGAGUCCAUUCAUAUCAGAUUGGGCCUCAUUGAUCUUGGGAAGAGAAGCAGCUGAUCCCCUUAGUCAUGAGAUCUUUACUCUUUUUUCCUCAUUAAGGUUUUGUCCCAAUGGGUUUUCCUUAGUGAGGUUUUUAAUGAGGAAGAUCUCAUGGCUGUCCAAGCUUAGUCUUUCACAAAGCUAAGCUUGAGGGGGAGUGUUGAGAUGAGCUGAGUAUAUGGAGAUGAAGAGAUAAGGAGUUGAAGAGAAGAGGAGAUGAAGUACUUAGGGAAGUUUGGGAGAGUAUGGUACGGCAGGCCGUACAAGGCCGUACAAGGCCGUACAAGGCCGUACCAUCCAAACCUCAACCAAAACUUACCAUACCUUAUCCAAGUGAGACGGUAACUAAGGAGGAGUGACUUGGGUAGCUUAGGGAGAGGAUCAGACCGUUGAGAGGAUAAGGGAACGCGGUGCCAGGCUGGAACAGGCUGGAAAGCUAAAGCACCUUUAGUCCAAGAUGCCAUAAGCGUGUGAGCCAUCCUGACCAAUCAUUCAAAAGGCGCCCUUGACUCCACACGGUUGAAUAGUGCUCAGUUCCCUUCUUGUAAACCCUUGUGUCUCUCUUAUAAAUAUGUAACCUCACUCAUUAAUAAGAUUAAGCAAGUUUAGAGACUCUCUCUUAGUCUUUAAAUCUCAAUGGUUCCAUAUUAGACUCCUAAUCUCAUUUCAUACUCUAAUCUUCACUAAAUCGUUUCUAGUCUUUCCUAAACACUCAGAUUACUCUAAACAUUACUAAAAAUCAUAUGGUAUCAGAGCCAGGUUAGUGAGAACCUGAGUUCGUGUUAGGCUCUUUGGAGAUUCAAGAUUGAAGCUUUGAAGAGUUUGGUUGGUGUUCUUGUGUUCUUGGGAGGUUCCGGGUAUUGUCCGAGUUCAAAGACUAGUUUUUAGUGUGUUGCUGAAGCUGUGAGGUUGAAGACCGAGGCAGUGAGUGUUCUUACAAGUCUUUUAACUCAAGAUCCAGUUUGUGAAGUCUAGAGAAGUCAUCGUUCAUCAUGGAGAGUGGUAUGAACAUGAACAUGAAGGUAGCGGUUUGCUUCAAGGGAACCAACUACUUGGUGUGGUCUAACAUGAAGGUGGCGGUUUGUUUCAAGGGAAACAACUACUUGGUGUGGUCUCGGAUGGUGAGAACCACGGUGGGAAGCAAAGGGCUUUGGAAGCACAUCACGCCAGGAGAAGCUCCAAAGCUCAUCACCCAAGGAGAAACUGAAGGAGAAGCCGCAAGCAAAGCGGAAGAGAAGUGGCAUCAGGAGGACAUGUUGGUGAUGUCAGUGCUGCAUGCUUCACUUGAGCCGGCGAUUCUAGAUGCAUACAGUUACUGUGAAUCAGCUAAAGAGCUGUGGGAUACGUUGAAGAAGGUGUAUGGGAAUACAUCAAACCUGAGCCGUGUGUUUGAGGUGAAGCAGGCUAUAAACAACUUGGUACAAGAGGAUAUGGAGUUCACCAAGCAUCUAGGGAGGUUCAGAACACUCUGGUCCGAGCUGGAGAUGUUGAGGCCAAGCACUACAGAUGCAGAUGAGCUCAACAAAAGAAGAGAGCAAGACAAGGUCUUUGGGCUACUCCUCACCAUGAAUCCGGCGUACAAUGGUCUUAUCCAACACUUGCUUAGAGAGGACACACUACCUGAUCUUGAAGAAGUGUGCGCAAGGAUUCAGAAGGAACAAGGCUCUAUUGGGUUGUUUGGAAAGAAAGGAGAGCUAUCUCUCGUAAAUCAAGCAACUCAAGAGGAGGGAGGGGAAGCUCCACAAGCACACAAGGCUGCGCAUGGGAAGUAUGAUGAGAGGAGGUUCAAUGGGAACUGUGAUCACUGCAAGAAGCAUGGCCACAAGAAGAGCCAAUGCUGGAUACUCCAUCCCCAUCUCAAGCCGGCAAAGUUUAUGAAAGACAGAGAGGCAAGGGCUAAUAUCUCAGAUGGAGCAAGCGCAAGUGGAGCAGGUACUAGCAAAGGGAAGGAGAUACAUGGGCGUGAAGCAGGUGAUGGGAGGUCUCUUGUAGCCUACACUGGAGCCCCAAGCAACCGUGGGAACUAUGAUCAAGAGUAUCUAAGGAAAUCCGACCUGGAUGCUCUCAUUAAGCUCUUCAAGGAGCAUGGUAACAGUUUUGGAUAUUCCUUUGGUGCUAGGGCUAUAGGGAAUGAUGAGAAUCCAACUAGCAUUGAUAGGAUGCAUGAAAGUGUGAUAGAGAUAAUAAACCAAUCUAGAACAGACAGUUUUGCUAGGAAUGAUCAUGCAUUCAACCAUCUAGUAUACUUGCUCAUAUUGCUAGUUCACAUACCAUCAAGCCUUUAGUAGUUGAUUCUGGUGCAUCUCAUCAUAUGAUAAGUGACACUAGUUUGAUUAGAAACAUUGUACCAAUGAAUGGAAAUGUGAUGAUAGCUAAUGGAGAUAAGAUACCUAUUAGAGGAAUAGGAAGUCUUAAACUGUUUGAUAAGGAAACUAAAGCCUUUUAUAUGCCUGAAUUUACUUCAAACUUGUUAUCUGUUAAGAAAUGUGCUACUGAUUUGCAAUGCAAUGUCAUAUUCAGUCCUAAUGAUGUGAAGUUUCAGGAUAUUAAAAGCAGCAAGAUGAUUGGAAAGGGAGUUACUAAAGGAGAAUUGUAUUUACUUGAAGAUCUUGCUCCUGUUUCUAGUUAUAACUGCUCGUUUACUUCUGUUUCUGGUUCUAGUUUAAGUAAAAAUGCAUUGUGGCAUGCUAGAUUAGGACACCCUCAUAAUAAGGCUUUAAAACUGAUGUUGCCAGGUGUUUCCUUUGAGAAUAAUGAGUGUGAAGCUUGCAUUUUAGGCAAGCAUUGUAAGACUGUCUUUACUAAAUCUACUACGGUUUAUGAGAAGUGUUUUGAUUUGAUUCAUUCUGAUGUUUGGACUGCUCCUUGCUUAUCUAGAGACAAUCAAAAGUAUUAUGUAACUUUCAUUGAUGAAAAAUCCAAAUACACCUGGUUAACUUUAAUUCCAACCAAAGAUAGGGUACUUGAUGCAUUUAAGAACUUUCAAUCAUAUGUGACUAACCAUUAUAAUGCCAAGAUAAAGAUUUUCAGGUCAGAUAAUGGAGGAGAGUACACGGGACAAGCAUUCAAGCUCCAUCUAUCUCAGCAUGGAAUACUACAUCAGACAAGCUGUCCCUAUACUCCACAACAGAAUGGUGUGGCUGAGAGAAAGAAUAGGCAUCUGAUGGAAGUGGCCAGGUCCAUGAUGUUUCAAACCAAUGUACCCAAGAAGUUCUGGAGUGAUGCGGUCACUACAGCUUGUUAUCUCAUCAACAGAACACCAACUCUGAUUCUGUAAGGGUUAUCACCAUUUGAGGUAUUGAACCGAUACAAGCCCUCAUUGGAACAUAUGAAGAUCUUUGGGUGUUUGUGUUUUGUGAUGGUACCGGGAGAAUUAAGAAACAAGCUUGAAGCUAGAAGCUCCAAGGCAAUGUUUGUUGGAUACUCAUCAAGUCAGAAAGGAUAUAAGUGCUAUGAUCCUAACACAAGGAGAGUGUUAGUAUCUAGAGAAGUGAAGUUUGUGGAAGAAAAAGGAUAUUAUGAGGAGCAGAUUCAAGAAGAUUUGAAAGAUCUCACUUCAGAUAGAGCUGCAACCUUGAGGAUAAUACUAGAAGGACUUGGUAUCAAUAUGGAUCAAGGACAGCAAGAAGUAAGAGGCACUACACCAAUACCGAAUCAUCAGACGUCCAAUCUUGAACAUGAGGGGGGGAAUGGAACAGAAACUCAAACUCAAAGUCAUGAAGAGAGUUCUGGUUCUCAUGAUCAAGCUGUGGAGUCAAAUGAUCAACAAGAAGGAGCUGAAGCAAGUCAGCUAAGGGAUGAAGGAGCUGAAGCAAGUCAACCAAGAGAAGAAGCAAGAGAAGAAAGUACACAAGAAGAUGUACAAGACAUGGAGUUACCGGCACAAGAAGGGCCAGUGUUGAGAAGAAGUACAAGGCUGAGAAAGGAUCCUUCCAGUUGGGUAAACACGAGAGUGUACUACAAUGCUCAAGCUGUGAAGCAUCCUACUCAGGCCGUGUGUUCUUUCUCUCAAUAUCCAGAAGCACAUUGUGCAUUCAUGGUAAACUUAGAUGAGAAUCACAUUCCAAGAAGCUAUGAAGAGGCAAUGGAGGAUAAGGAAUGGAAGGAAUCAGUAGGAGCUGAAGCAGGAGCUAUGAUAAAGAAUGAUACAUAGUUUGAAAGUGAACUACCAAAAGGGAAGAAGGCAGUAUCUAGUAGAUGGAUCUUCACAAUCAAAUACAAGGCUGAUGGACAGAUUGAGAGGAAGAAGACUAGAUUAGUAGCAAGAGGGUUCACUCAAACAUAUGGAGAGGAUUACAUUGAGACAUUUGCACCAGUAGCCAAGUUACAUACCAUUAGAAUUGUACUAAGCUUGGCGGUUAACCUUGGAUGGGGAUUGUGGCAAAUGGAUGUGAAGAAUGCAUUCUUACAAGGAGAACUUGAGGAUGAAGUCUACAUGUAUCCUCCACCAGGUCUUGAACAUCUAGUGAAGAGAGGGAAUGUACUGAGGCUAAAGAAGGCUAUCUAUGGGUUGAAGCAAUCACCAAGAGCAUGGUACAACAAGUUGAGCACAACUCUGAACGGCCAAGGUUUUAAGAAGUCAGAAUUGGACCAUACUCUCUUUACCCUCACUACUCCCUCAGGUAUGGUUGCUCUCGGCCGAGGCUUCAAGAAGUCUGAACUAGACCACACUCUCUUCACACUCACAACUCCCUCAGGUAUGAUUGCACUUCUUGUGUAUGUGGAUGAUAUCAUUAUCACAGGAAGUGAUAAGGAAGGUAUCAAAGCAACUAAGGAGUUUCUAAAAAAUCUUCUAGAGCUUGCCCUAUUAUUUGUACAAGCUCCAUCUUCUCUUCAGUUCAACACUAAAGUCUUGUGUAUGUGGAUGAUAUCAUUAUCACAGGAAGUGAUAAGGAAGGUAUCAAAGCAACCAAGGAGUUUCUAAAUGAGAUUUUAUAAGGAUUCACUCAAGGUGUGUGUGUGAGAAAGUGUUUAGGAGAGUUUAUGUGAACAGAUUUGAGACUUAGGAGUAUGGGAGAGAUUUAGAGUAUGAAGGAGACUAGGUAACAAGAUUAAAGAGACUGAGAGACUUAGAGAAUAGAUUAGAGACUUAGUAUCAAGAACAUACUUUCAUAGAACAUGAAGGAGAAGGGUUUCCCCCCUUACUCUCUUGCUUAAUCAAAUCGCAUACAAGAGGCUUUUAUAAGCCUUUAUAUGUCACAAAGACUUAACCUAAAUCCUAAGGACAAGAAUACAAGAUAGAUUGAAUGGCUAGGAUGAGAGAAGAGUGGUCUUUGAUGUUCUGGUGAUAGCUGGCGACUUUUGACUGAAUGGAGAGCUCAGAUUGCUUCAUUUGAAUGAAGGGAAGAGAUUGGUCUUGCUGUAAAGGUAAAGCACCUUUACCUUUCCAGCUUGCACAUACAGCUCACUCUUAUCCCUUUGGUAUAUUCUCCUUGCCUCUCACACUCCAACGGUCACUAUAGGAACCUUAACCCGCGCCCACACAUUGCACAACUCUGAGCAAGGCUGAUCCGGGUGAUGGCCAAACCGGAUUGGAUGUACGGUCUCUUGUACGGCCUUGAGGUCCGUACACUCGCCCUAUAUCUGCACCUUCAUCCAAACAUCUUCUAUGAUUGACCCAUACACCUUCUUGGAUCGCCCUAGGCCGUACCAUGGCCGUACUGGCCCUAUCUUUGCACCAUACUUCCAUCUUCUCUCUAACUCCUCCAAAGCCUUCACAUGAUCAGUCUAAGUCUUUCCUUGACUUAACUUCACAUAACUACUUCAGAACAUCUCUGAAGCUUGAUUGAACUCUUCUUGACAUCUUCUAGAGCUUGCCCUAUUAUUUGUACAAGCUCCAUCUUCUCUUCAGUUCAACACUAAAGUCUAUGUUUGAAAUAAAAGACUUGGGAGAAAUGAAAUACUUUCUUGGAAUUGAGAUUUGUAGAUCCAAGGAAGGUUUGUUCAUGUCCCAAAGGAAGUAUACACUUGAUCUUUUGAAAGGUGCAGGUGCUUAUGGAGGCAAGACAGCAAAGAUGCCAAUGGAGGAUGGCUACAAAGUACCAAGAGAGGGGGAGAUUGAAGACAGCAAGCCAUUUCAUGAUCCUAAACUCUAUAGAAAACUUGUUGGCAAAUUGAUUUAUCUAACCAUCACAAGACCUGAUAUAUGAUUUGCUGUGAAUCAGGUGAGUCAACACAUGCAGCUUCCCAAGGAACAUCACUGGCGUAUGGUGGAGAGGCUGCUGAUGUAUCUAAAUGGCUCGCCGGAUCAAGGUGUAUGGAUGGGGUGCAAUGGAAGCACAGAAGUGGUGGGCUAUUGUGAUGCUGAUUGGGCAGGUGAUAGAGCUGACAGAAGAUCAACAACCGGCUAUUGCACAUUCAUUGGAGGCAACUUGGUGACUUGGAAGAGUAAGAAACAGAAGGUGGUGUCAUGCUCUAGUGCAGAAGCUGAGUAUAGAGCUAUGCUGAAGCUUACAAACGAGCUAGUUUGGAUCAAGGGCAUCUUGAAGCAUUUGGAGAUAGCACAAGACACUCCAAUGACAAUGCAUUGUGACAACCAGGCCGCCAUUCACAUAGCCUCCAACUCGGUGUUCCAUGAGAGAACAAAGCACAUUGAGGUUGAUUGCCACAAGGUGAGGCAGAUGAUUGUCCUAGGAGUCAUCUUGCCAUGUUAUACUAGGAGUGAAGAUCAGUUGGCUGAUGUAUUCACCAAGGCUGCAAGACAAAAGACAAAGAAACUAAGGGAGAUGGAGUUAGGAGAGGAUUGGGCAAGGCCGUACAGAAGCCGUACUAGGCCGUACAGAUUGGGCAAGGUAACUUGACCUCGGUGAACCAAAGUUACUUAGGUAACUUUGUGUGUUGAGUAGAAGCCUUGCUUAUCCUUAUCUGAUCAGAUUGUUGCAAAAGGAAGAAGGGAGCGCACAUGACAGCCUGUCCACGGUUGGCAUAAAGCAAAAGGAACCUUAUCCUUAAGGAGGAAGCUUAUUGGAUCAUUUGAAUUAAAGCAAAAGCUUAUCUCUUGUAAUAGUGUAGUUUCCUAAACCCUAGUCUCUAAUGUCGCCUCUCUAUAUAUUGUAAACUCAUGUCAUUAAUCAAGGCAAGCAAGUUAUGAGUCUCUCUUAGUCUUUAUUCUCUCAAUGGUUCUAUGCUAGACUCCUAAUCUCAUUUCAUACUCAAAUCUCUUCUAAAUCACUUCUAGUCUUUCUUAUUUACUCAGAUUACUCUACUCAAUCCUAAAAGUGAUUCUCUUUAGUCUCUUAAGUCUCUUAAUCUCUCUGUUCUUAAGUCUCUCAUAUACACUCUCCCUAAAUCACCUAGAACAAGCUCUAAUCAUUCUUCAUUGAAGCUUAUAUACACACACAUACUACCAGAGUAGAGAUCUCUUUAAAAAUCAUAAUACACUUUUGUGUAUUAGAGUGUGUUUAAGAACAAUCAGAUUGUUUUGUGUAAGAUUAAAGAGAUUAAGAGAAUAAGUAGAGAGAGAAUACUCAAAACUCCAUUUAUUGAUUUAAUGUCUCAGAUACAAGUUAUAUAUGAAGAGAUAAGGCUGGUACAAAGGGGAUUUCGAAAUGGGACUCAAAGCAUGUGAAGUCAAAGCUAGCUGGAUGGUUGAGAGGUUUCACAUGCUUGGAUAGGCUGUAAAGUAUCUUUUCCUUUCCAGCUAUGACCAGACCUUAUCCAAACUGAUUCUUUCUUAUCCAAACUGCUCCUUGGCGUGAUAUACUCUCCAAAGUGUUGCAAGGUAACUUCCCAAGCCUUUAACUUAGUUACGACAGUAAAAACUAAAGUUACUAUGGUAAAUCCCCAAAGUUACUGACUUCUUCAAUGUUUAGAUGAGAGGAUAGAGAGAAGAUACAUUGAUAGAGGAAGAUAAUUUGGGCAGUCAGUAACUUUGGGGAUUUACCACAGUAACUUUAGUUUUACUGUGGUAACUAAGUUAAAAGCUUGGGAAGUUACCUUUGGAGAGUGGAGCACACCUAAGGAGUAGUCUGGAUAGGAAAGGAGAAGUUUGGAUAAGGUCUGGUCAUAACCAAAGAGUGUGACAGCCUUGGACAGGCUGGAACCAGCUGGAAAGCUAAAGCAAGAUACCAAUACCCAAGCAUGUGGGGAACCUUAUUGGCUAGUUCAAAUCAGACAUCUUUGACUACACAUGCUUCUUAUCCUUGCAAGACUGAAUCUGGACAAAAUUAUGUAUCUCUUUCCUAUAUAUGUUGUAAACUCACUCAUAAAUCAACUAAUGGAGUUUUGAGUCUCUCUCUUUAUUCUCUCACUAAAAUCUCUUCAUCGCUUUAAUAUUUUCAUCUGAUUAUCUCUGAUUGUUUGAAUCAUGCUCUAAUACACAAAAGUGUAUACGGUAUCAGAGCCAGGUUGGCAAAAAGGGGGUGAGUGUGAUUUCGUUUUCUCAAAAUCAGAGUGUUCUUGAGUGUUCUUGGGAUUGUUGAGGUUUCUGGGUAUCUGUGUUGUCUAUCCUUCUGUGGCUGGGUUUAUUUGAGAUUCUCUGGUGGAAACAUGGAUAUGAAGCACGAAUAUAGUGAAGCAGUGAAGAUUCAAGAAGAAAACAAGUGGGUUUGGCCAAGAUGGGUAAAGACAGCCUUAGGAAGCUGUGAGAUUUGGAGUAAUCAUGUAAAGGGAGAACCUUUAAUGGAGAGAGCUGCUGAUGGGGGUCAGACAGCAAGGUUGAAGUGUGAAGAUCAGUUGAGUCUUGAAGAAAGUAUAUCUCUUGAGAAGAUUGAAGAUGUUUAUGAGAACAAGAUCAAUCUAAGGAGGAUGUAUGAAGUCAGGAAGAUGAUCUGUGAGUUAAAACAAGGGAAAGAAGGUUUCAAUCAGCAUGUGAAGAAGCUGAGAUGUUUGUGGUCGGAGUUACAAAGCUUGAGACCAAGAAGUUGUGAUCCAAGAGUGCUAGAAGAGUGGCGAGAGCAAGAUGUUGUCUUCAGCCUCCUUGCAAGCUUGGAUUCAUCUUAUGGCUGGUUGGUAAAGCUUAUUCUCAAGGAAGAGAAGCUACCCAACAUGGAAGAAGUGUGUGUACUUGUUCAGAGGCUUCAUCAAGUGAUGGAAGAGAACAAAGAGAUAACUUGGAGUAAGGAGGGUGCUAAAAGGAAGAAGGGAAGGCUGAGACGUGAUACAAGAUACAAUUCGAAAUCAUAGGGUCAGAGGAGAUCAGGAACGUGUGGAGUCAAGGAGAGCCAUCCAAAAGCAGCCAAUGGGUGUUCUCACAUGCUUGGACAGGCUGUAAAGAUGUUUUACCUUUCCAGCUAUGACCAGACCUUAUCCAGAAUGCUUCUUCCUGUUAAGAUGAGGUGAUGAAGAGUUGAUACAUGGAUAGAGGAACAGUAUUGGGGCAGAUGGUAACUUUGGAGUUUUACCACAGUAACUUUAGUUUUACUGUGGUAACUAAGUUAAAGGCUUAGGAAGUUACCUUUGUUGAGAUGAGAUCAUUAGAUGAGAAGAGAAGGCUUGAGAGGUUAAGUAUGAAUGCAGAAGAAGGAGCUUAGGAGGAAUGGAGAAGCGAGGCUGAGGCAUCCGUACAAGGCCGUACAAGGCCGUACAUGGCCGUACACACUUACCUCAGCCACGGUUAAGCCAAGAGUUACUUAAGUAACUUCACUAGAUAAGAAGAAGCUCUGAUCACUUAUCUAAAGGAUCAGACCGUUACCAAAAGGAAGAAGGAGCGUGUGACAGCCUGUCUUGGGCUGGAAAGAAGAAGGCAUAAAGCAAAGAUGCUUCACACACGCGGUCACUCCCAUUGGAUAGAUUCAAAUGCAUUCUUAUCCUAUCCAUUGACUCCACAUGCUUUCUCCCUUUGUAUCCGAAACCCUAGAGUCUCUCCAUCACUAUAUAAUGUAUCCUAAUCUCAAUAAUGAAGAUCAGACAGUUCUAAACAAAUCAACCUCUCUAUACUUUUCACAAUGAUUCUCCAUUAGUCUCUUAAUCUCUUAAAUCUACUCUAAUCCCGUCUCUAUUCUUAUCUAAACUCAGAUUAUCUUUUACAUUACUCAAAAGUGAUAUGGUAUCAGAGCCAGGUUGAUUUCAAUCUGAGUUCUUGGCGUUUUCCUCUUGAAGAUUCAAACGUGAAACUUUGAGAGAUCAAGUGAGAGUGGUGUGAGUGUUCUUGGAAGAAGCUGCAUCCCGGGAGCUACAUCUUCAUUCCGGAAAUCUUAUCUAGGUUUUUGAGGGUUCUUUGAAGAGUAAAGACAAGGGACGGAAGGGUUUGAGCUGGUGUUGUAGUUCUGAGUCUCAAGAUCAAGUCUUUUACAAGUUAUUGAAGUGAAACUGUUGAAGAUGGAGAGUGGUUCCAAGAUGAAGGUUGCUGUGACUUUCAAGGGAAGUAACUACCUAGUAUGGUCUAGGAUGGUGAAGACUGCUGUGGGAAGUAAGGGUUUAUGGAAGCACAUCACAUCAGGUGAGGCUCCAAAGCUCAUUACUCAAGGAGGAGACAAGGAGAGUGUCUCGGAAGCUGAAGCUGAGAAGUGGCAACAAGAGGACAUGAUGGUGAUGUCUGCUCUUCAUAGCUCGUUGGAGCCAGCCAUUCUAGACAUUUACAGCUAUUGUGAGACAGCCAAGGAGCUGUGGGAAACAUUGAAGAAGGUGUAUGGAAACACCUCUAACCUCAGCUGGGUCUUUGAAGUGAAGAAAGCUUUGAAUGAUCUAACUCAGGAGGACAUGGAGUUCACUAAGCAUUUGGGGAGGUUCCGGACACUCUGGUCAGAGCUGGAGAUGCUCAGGCCGAGCACAACUGAUCCGGAGCUGCUAAAUGAAAGGAGAGAGCAAGAUAAGGUCUUUGGGUUGUUGCUUACAUUGAAUCCAAGCUACAGUGGGUUGAUUCAGCAUAUGUUGAGGGCUGAGAAGCUUCCGGACCUGGAGGAUGCGUGUGCUCAGAUACAAAAGGAGCAAGGCUCCAUUGGCUUGUUUGGUGGUAAAGGAGGCUUUGUCUCUAGCCAAUGCUGCGAAAACUGAUCAUGAGGAGAUACCACAAGCCAACAGAGCAGCACACGGCAAGUAUGAGGAUAGGAAGUUCAAUGGCAAUUGUGAUCACUACAAGAAGCAUGGACACAAGAAGAGCCAGUGCUGGAUACUACAUCCUCAUCUGAAGCCGGCGAAGUUCAUGAAGGAAAGGGAGGCAAGAGCUCAUGCUUCUGAGGGAACAAGUGGAGCCGGAUCAUCUAGCCGUGGAGCUGAAGGAGAGGGGCGUGAGGGUGAUGGAAAGGCACUGGUGACAUACUCAGGAGCUCCUAACAUCCGUGGCAAUGAUCAAGACUUCAUCAGGAGAUCCGAGAUGGAUGCUCUCAUCAAAAUGCUCAAGGAGAAUGGUAACACUCAUGGGUACUCCUUUGGUGCAUCCAUGAUAGCUAAGACUAUAGAAACAUCUCCUUGUGUUGCUGAUAUUGCUAGGAUGGAUAGAGUUAAAAGCAAUGAACAUGCUAGACAUGAGUACACCUUUGCUAGAAAUGCUAGGAUGAAUCAUGAACUAAAUGCAUUUAGAUCACCUUUGAACCUUUGUCAUAAUGCUAGCAGUAUAACUAAGCCAUUAAUUGUUGAUUCUGGUGCAUCUCAUCACAUGAUUAGUGAUACAAAUCUGAUUAAGGAUAUAGAACCAACUAGUAGACAUGUUAUGAUUACAAAUGGGGACAAAAUCCCUAUUAGAGGAAUAGGAAAUUUGAAGUUGUUUGAUAAGAACACUAGAGCUUUCUACAUGCCUGAAUUUACAUCUAACUUGCUAUCUGUUAAGAAAUGCACAACUGAUUUGAAUCACAAUGUUAUAUUCAGUCCUAAUGAUGUAAAGUUUCAGGAUAUUGAGAGCAGGCACUUGAUUGGAAAAGGAAUCACUAAAGGAGAGUUGUAUUUGCUUGAAGAACUUGAUCCUGUUUCCAAUUACAAUUGCUCGUUUACUGCUGCUUCUAGUUUAAAUAAAAAUGCUUUGUGGCAUGCUAGAUUAGGACAUCCUCAUGGUAGAGCUUUGAACUUGAUGUUACCAGGUGUUUUAUUUGAGAAUAAGGAUUGUGAAGCUUGCAUUUUAGGCAAGCAUUGUAAAACUGUGUUUCCAAACUCUACUAGUGUUUAUGAUAAGUGCUUUGACCUUAUUCAUUCUGAUGUAUGGACUGCACCUUGCAUAUCUAGAGACAAUCAUAAAUACUUUGUCACAUUCAUUGAUGAAAAAUCCAAAUACACCUGGUUAACUUUAAUCCCAUCAAAAGAUAGAGUGAUAGAUGCAUUUAAGAACUUUCAAGCUUAUGUGACUAACCAUUAUAAUGCCAAGAUUAAAAUUUUUAGAUCAGAUAAUGGAGGUGAGUACACAAGCUAUGCGUUCAAGAGUCAUCUAGAGCAUCAUGGGAUCUUGCAUCAAACAAGCUGUCCUUAUACUCCACAACAGAGUGGGGUAGCUGAGAGGAAGAACCGACACUUGAUGGAGGUUGCUAGGUCACUGAUGUUCCAAGCAAACGUUCCAAAGAGGUUUUGGAGUGAUGCUGUGGCUACUGGUUGUUACUUGAUCAACAGGAUUCCCACAAAGGUGUUGAAGGAUCAAGCACCAUUUGAAGUUCUGAACAAGCACAAGCCAUCAGUGGAUUACUUGAGAGUAUUUGGAUGUUUAUGCUUUGUGUUGGUACCAGGAGAGUUGAGAAACAAGCUAGAUGCAAGGAGCACUAAGGCUAUGUUCAUUGGCUACUCAACAACACAAAAGGGAUACAAGUGCUAUGAUCCAGAAACUAGACGAGUCCUAAUCUCUAGAGAUGUGAAGUUCAUAGAAGCAAGAGGAUACUAUGAAGAAAAGAAUCAAGAGGAGCUAAAGGAUUUAACAUCAGAUAAGGCAGGCGCUCUAAGACUUAUUUUGGAAGGUCUAGGUAUCAAGAUGAACCAGGAUCCAAAUGUGGGGAGUAGGAACCAACAUGAGAGUUCUCCGGCCCCUGUUGAGGCUAAUCAGUCACCUCACCUUGAUCGUGAGGGGGGAAGGGAAUCUGAAACUCAAGAAGAUGGUCAGGAUGGAGCCGGCUUGAGUGAAGAAGAACAAGAGAGUGUUACAGGCUCUCACAAUCAAUGUGAUCAAAGCCAAGGAGAAGUAGAAGCUCAGGCUGAAGCACCAGAACCGAGUGUCCAAGAGGAGCAGGUUCAGAACCAACCAGUAUUGAGAAGAAGCACAAGGCUGAGAAAGGAUCCUUCUAGUUGGGUAAACACGCGAGUGUACUACAAUGCCCAAGCUGUGGAGCAUCCUUCUCAGGCUGUGUGUUCCUUUGCUCAAUACCCUGAAGAACAUUGUGCUUUUAUGGUAAACUUGGAUGAGAACUACAUACCAAGAAGCUAUGAAGAGGCAAUGAUGGAUAAAGAAUGGAAGGAAUCAGUUGGAGCUGAGGCAGGAGCUAUGAUCAAGAAUGAUACAUGGUAUGAGAGUGAAUUACCAAAAGGGAAGAAGGCUGUGACUAGUAGAUGGAUCUUCACAAUCAAGUAUAAGGCUGAUGGAAAGGUUGAGAGGAAGAAGUCAAGACUGGUUGCAAGAGGCUUUACUCAAACUUAUGGAGAAGAUUACAUUGAGACCUUUGCACCAGUAGCUAAACUACAUACAAUCCGGAUUGUAUUAAGCUUAGCUGUGAACCUUGGAUGGGGCUUAUGGCAAAUGGAUGUGAAGAAUGCAUUUCUACAAGGAGAUCUGGAGGAUGAAGUGUAUAUGCAUCCACCUCCAGGCUUGGAACACUUAGUGAAGAGAUGGAAUGUGUUGAGACUGAAGAAAGCUAUCUAUGGACUGAAGCAAUCACCAAGAGCUUGGUACAACAAGCUGAGCACUACUCUGAAUGGCCGAGGCUUCAAGAAGUCUUAACUAGAUCACACCCUCUUCACUCUCACUACUCCCUCAGGUAUGAUUGCACUCCUUGUGUAUGUUGAUGAUAUCAUUAUCACAGGAAGUGAUAAGGAAGGUAUUGUUGAACUGAAGAGAAGAUGGAGCUUGUUCAUUAAUAGGUCAAGCUCCAGAAGAUGUCCAGAAGAGUUCAAUCAAGCUUCAGGAGUGCCCUGAAGUAUCUAUCAUUGUGAAGUUAAAUCCAGGAGGGACUUAGACUGAUCUUAGGAAGGCUUUGGAGAAGUUUGGGAGAAGAUGGACGAAGGUACAAAACUAGGGAAGCCGUACGGACAGUAUGGCCAUGUACGACCUUGUACGGCUAUGUACGGCCAUGGGAGAUUCACAAAGGAGUCUGGUUCAACCAAGAAGAGAGUUAGGGCAAUGUGCAAGAAUAGGGCGAGUGGUACGGACAGGAGGUCCGUACCAAUGACCGUACAACCAUGUGGGCGCACCAACAUGUUCCGGAUCAACCUAAAAUGGUGUUGUGCAAACUUAGGGUGCAAGAGAAGCUUGUCUGAUCAUUAUGGACGUUGGAGGAUAAGGCAAGGGAAUAUUCCAAGGGAUAAAUGAGCUGUGUAUGCAAGCUGGAAAGGUAAAGGUGCUUUACCUUUACAGCCAAGACCAAUCUACACCAUCCAUUCAAAAGGAGCAAUCUGAGCUUUUCAUUUAAAUUAAAGACCAGCCAGCUAGCAUCAGAUCCUUGACUACAUCUCAUCCGCCCAUUUCAAACCAAAGGAUCUCCACUCUCCAUUUCUUAUCCUUAGCUUAGGGUUUCAUGAGUUUUGUAACCCAUUUUCUAUUUAAAGACCCUUUGAGGGCAAUUUGUAAUCUCUAAGAGAGAGAGGGGGAUUUCCCCUCCUCCUUCAUAAUCUUAUGAUACUUUGUCUCUCUAAACUCUCUAUUCUCUCAUUCUGAAUCUCUAUACACGUUCUCAGACUUGUUACCAAUCUCUUAGACUCUUAGACACCUAAACACCUAGACACAUAAACACUUAGACACAUAAACACUCAUUAGUCUCUCCUCUUCUCAAAUCGCUCCCAAGCUCUCUCUCUCUUUACCCAUUUGGGUUUCACACACACAUAUAACCUGAGUACUCUUAAAAUCUCAUAUGGUAUCAGAGCCAGGUUCAUCUGAACUUGGUUCUAGCUUCCGUACAAGCUCAAGCUCACUCCCAUGCCAUUUCCAAGCUGAUGAAGAGCUCCUGUCCAGCCUGUUGUUUAACCUCUUCAAGAUGAAGAUGUACUCAUCCAUGGCGUCCAGAAGCUGUCCUUGGUCGUUCUCCACUCUCUCAUGGUCGUCCUGAAGAAAGAAAGGCCAUUGGAAGCAUGUCCAAGCCAUUCCUUUUCACUGUCCAAGGAGAAAGGUGAAAGCUUUCACCUUGUACCUGAUUAUGGCGACUCAAACAUGAAGAGAAGAGGUGUCUUAGGCAUGGUGGGUUCAAGAGGAAGUCCAUGAAAGAAGGAGAUGUUGGAAGUGACACCAAAAGCUCAGAUCUUCCCAUGUACUAAGGAGUUUCAAGGAACUAACACUAGUUUCUUGGCUGUAAGGAAAUCUCUUUCUCUUGUAUAAAGCUUGAGUGUAUGAACAGGUUGUGAUGUUGUGAUGUGAUUGAAAACCUGAGGAUAUGUUUAAGAUUGCUAAAUGAAAAUUGUUUAGAAACUGUCCCAGGAUGCUUAAAGAGGCUUGUUUGAUGAUUGAGAAUGUUUGAAAUGCUUAAUCCCAGUUCUAAAAUGAAAUGACUUGUUAGGAUAGUAGAAUCUGUCUUAUCCAGCUUGCAUUCAUGAGUUAGAAACUGAUCAAGAUUAAUGCAUAUUGUCUUGUAGCUGUCUUAUAUUGAAGCAUUAGAUUCAUGUCUAAAUUGCUGAGUAAAGGAGCUUUAAAAGAAAAAGAAAAAUGCUUAAGUAACUUGUCUUGAAUCUGUUAGGAUCUUGCUUGUACUUAGAAAGUUUGCUUGCAAAGAUUAGAACUUGAUAUUGUCUUGUUUAAUCUGUUGCAUUGCUUGUGAUAUUGGGAAUCAAACUUGAUGAUUAAUCAAGGAUUGAUCCCAAUACUAUUGUGUCUUAUCUUUGCUGGAGUUUGAGUGUUGUUUCAGGUUCACAAGAUGUGUUCUUAGCUCACCAUUCAUCCAAGUUAAAAGAGGAAGACUUUGUCCAUUUGUGUGUGCAAUGGAGAGUUGUUAUAAGAAGGGUAAAGGGCAGAUGGUUUUAAAACUCACAUAAGCUCACUGGGGUUAUGUGAGCUACCUAGCGACCCUUGGAGUUAUGCGACCUGUUCUUCUCCUUACCAUUGCAAGUAACUGAAGAAGAAGCCAACCGGGUCUAGGCAGUGGCGUGUCUAUUCAAGAGAGUGCUCAAACUAAGACAGAGCACUCUUGGCUGUGUGAAGAAGAAGGCUACUCUAUCAAGGUGGCUUCUAGUGUGAGGUGAUUGAAGAAGUAGCUGAAACUUCCACAUGCAUUCCAUCAUGGUGGCGAAUUCAGAAGGAUGAUUGCAAUGGUUUGUUGUUCCGGAUCAAGAGACUCUCACCUGCCCAAGCUUGGUUCUUACUAGACUUAGUUCCAAGCUUAAGAGGGAGUGUUAAAGAAGCUUCUAUGAUCCUAGAGAGAAGAAGAAGAAGUGAGGAUUCAAGUGGCGACAUUAAGAACCACUCCUUAUCAUCUUAAACAAGGGAGUAAGCCUAGUCUUAUCUAUUUCAAUAUGUCUUGAUAGGUCUAUCUCUUGGUUAUGCUCUGUGAUUUCUAUAUCUAAAGUUCCAUUAAUGGUUGGUAGCUUCUAGUAGAAUGUCUAGAGGCUAAUUGCAUACUGAAAUUAUGUUGCUGUUGCAUUGUCUUGUUGACAUUAAGUAAUGUCUAGUGUCCCAGAAUCUCAUAUCUUGUUUAUUACAGUGUUUUGUGUGUUGACAUAGCUUGAAUCAUCAUGAAUGUGUUGUAGAAUUGAGUAGAAUGUCUCUGCUGCUUGCAUCAUGUUUGAAAGGCUACUUUGCAUUCACAUAAGCUUGUUUCAUAUUGUCUUGAUUCAAUCCAGUUCAGAUUGUUGCUAUGCCAUAGUUAAAUCCAUCCUUGAUGUCUUAUAGCAUUUAGAAGUAUGUCUAAGCUACUUGAAUCAUUGGCUUUGAUUAAACUAGUGAGCAUAAGCAUGUACUGAUUCACUCUUGUCGCCUAGAUUGCAUAAGUGUCAUCUAGUCUUGUGUUUCAUUUGGAUUGAAUCUGUUGCAUUCAUAUAGUCAUUGUUAGAGUCUAAUCUAAUGCAUUAAUCUAGUGUUGCAUUUAAAAAAAAAAAAAUUGAAUUAAACUUAAAAGAUCAAGUGUAUUGAUGAAAACAUUCAUUGUCUUUGAUUGAUUAAUUGUUGAAAACUACUUGCUGAUGUUUUUGCCUUGAUUGAUUGGCUGUUUUAAGUUUAUAUAUUGUUGUGGCAUUGGAGAUCAAACCGGAUGGAUGAUUUUGGUUUGGUCCCAAUGGGAUUAACUGAUCUUGCAUUGAGUUGUGGUGGUGUUAGGUACACAAAGAAGUGAUACAUUGACAAGCCAAACCAAAGUGUAAAGACAAAGGUCUUGUGCCAUUGCAUAUCAUCACUAGGACAUGUUAGUCCAUAAUCUACAGGAAGUGUAGUGUGAUUGAUUAUGCAAUGAGAGAUGGCCAUUACAUAAUACCAUUGGACAAGUUUAGUCCUUAGUCUACAGGAAGUGUAGCAUGGGUAAUUAUGCAAUGAGAGAAGUGUCUUGUGAGUCUCUCUAUGGUGAUUCAAACACCCUAGUUCCUGGUUAAGGAAGAGAGUACACUCACAAGAAGAAAGCUAUCAUGAAAUAUUGAUGGUUAUAAGACCAUGGGGAUGCAUAGGAUCAUCACAAGCUUAGCUCCUUCUAGUCUCGGUUCUAAGCUUGAGGGGGAGUCUUAAUGCACAUGAUCCAUGGUCAGUCUUCUACAAAGGAUCAUCAGCUGGAGCUAUUCUAGGCAAUCUAAGGAAGAAGAAGCUGAUCUUGCCACUAAAUGGUGCAAUGGCCGAGUGGGAAACUCACCAAAACAAAAAGGGAAGUCUACUUAUCUAUCUUGCUUAUAAAGACUGAUAUCAUGUUACUUAAGAUGAUAGACUUAUUUCCUUGAAAGAACUGGAUACAAUGUUGCUUAAUCUGAAAUGAUAGGUUUAUUUCCUAAAGAACUGAGGCAUUGUGUUCACAUUGUAUCAGGUACUUGUUAUCUUGAUAAGCAACUCCUAGGAGAUAUAAGUGAUACCUUCAGAGACUACUUGAGGGAGAUUCAAGUGGAGAGUCAAGCUGUGUAUGUUCAGAGACUACUUGAAGAAGAAUCUAGUGGAAAGUCAAGCUGUUUGGGAAACUCCAAAAUGUUCAUGGAACACUCCUCACCUAAACAAUAGGGAAGUAUCUUAAACUCAUGACAAUUCAAUUCAUUCAUCAUGUCAUUUUUUAAGCUUAAGAUGAUACUUAAAAUACUUUGAGUAAAAUGUGCUGCAUUAAUGAUGUAAUCUUAAGGGUCUUGAUAAGUACUGAUGCACCUUUGGGAUAAUGUAUCAGGUACCAUUGCUUGAUGCCUCAUUAAACAGUUCCGAGUAAUCUCUUAGCUUCUCUAAAGAGGCUGUGAAGUCUGUUGAGAGGGGGAGAUUCCAAACCUGGUCGAUGAAGAAGGCAAGCCGUGUGUGAAGUGUUGAUCAGCCUCACUGGUGUUUUGAAGAUGAUCUGGUCGUGCCCUAGCUUCUCUAAGAUGGCUGUGAAGUCAGUUGAGAGGGGGAGACUUCAAACUGGUUGGUUCCAUGAAGAGGUGAAGCUGAAGUAUGCGCAAAGCUGUAAAGAGUUGCUGCACCUAUUAGGCCGUGAUCCAGAGCUUCUUGUGUCCAACCACAUUGGUUCUAAGGCACAAGAGCUCACUGGCCAAUCCCUAGGCUUUGGAGAGCUCUACUCUUUUUCCCUUGCAAGGUUUUGUCCCAAUGGGUUUUCCUUGUAAGGUUUUUAAUGAGGGAGACUCUUCAGAGUUCCAAGCUUGGCUUAGGAUCUCCUAAAGUCAAGCUUGAGGGGGAGUGUUGAACUGAAGAGAAGAUAGAGCUUGUACAUUAAUAGGGCAAGCUCUAGAAGAUGUCCAGAAGAGUUCAAUCAAGCUUCAGAAGUGUUCUGAAGUAGUUAUCUUGAGAAGUUAAGUCUAGGAAAGACUUAGACUGAUCAUGAGAAGGCUUUGGAGAAGUUUGGGAGAAGAUGGGCAAGAGUGCAAAGUUAGGGCGACUGCAUAGACCUGUACGGACGGUACGGUCUUGUACGGCCAUGGGCGACCUAAGAAGGUGUCUGGAUCAACCAAGGAGGAAGUCUGGGUGAUGUGCAAGAAUAGGGCGUGGUACGGACAGGAGGUCCGUACCAUAGUCCGUACUGACAAGAAAGUGUACCGGAUUGUCCUGAAAUGGUGUUGGGAAAUCUUAGGGCGCAAGAGAAGCUAAGUCUGAGCUUAUGGACGUUGGAGGAUAAAGGAGGAGCUGUAUGUGGUCCUAGACAGGCUGUCAUAAGCUGCCAAGAAAGCAUCUUUGACUCCACAUGAUUAUGCAAGCUGUACAAGCAUGUGAGCCUUUACAGCCAUCCAUUUCAAACAAAGAGAUCUUGGCCUUUCAUCUCCCCUUUCCUAUCCAGCUCGUGUACAGACCACAUCUGACCAUCAAGACUGAUCCAGGUCGUCCAUUCAAAUUAGAAAAGCACAGCCAUAGAUCUUAGGUUUAUUCUUACAAGUUGUAAUGCAUAUAAAAGCUCAUUGUAGCAGAUUUUGUAAACUAAGAGAGAGAGGGGGAUUUCCCCUCCUCCUUCAUAAUCUUAUGAUACUUUGUCUCUCUAAACUCUCUAUUCUCUCAUUCUGAAUCUCUAUACACGUUCUCAGACUUGUUACCAAUCUCUUAGACUCUUAGACACCUAAACACCUAGACACAUAAACACUUAGACACAUAAACACUCAUUAGUCUCUCCUCUUCUCAAAUCGCUCCCAAGCUCUCUCUCUCUUUACCCAUUUGGGUUUCACACACACAUAUAACCUGAGUACUCUUAAAAUCUCAUAUGGUAUCAGAGCCAGGUUCAUCUGAACUUGGUUCUAGCUUCCGUACAAGCUCAAGCUCACUCCCAUGCCAUUUCCAAGCUGAUGAAGAGCUCCUGUCCAGCCUGUUGUUUAACCUCUUCAAGAUGAAGAUGUACUCAUCCAUGGCGUCCAGAAGCUGUCCUUGGUCGUUCUCCACUCUCUCAUGGUCGUCCUGAAGAAAGAAAGGCCAUUGGAAGCAUGUCCAAGCCAUUCCUAUUCACUGUCCAAGGAGAAAGGUGAAAGCUUUCACCUUGUACCUGAUUAUGGCGACUCAAACAUGAAGAGAAGAGGUGUCUUAGGCAUGGUGGGUUCAAGAGGAAGUCCAUGAAAGAAGGAGAUGUUGGAAGUGACACCAAAAUCUCAGAUCUUCCAUGUACUAAGGAGUUUCAAGGAACUAACACUAGUUUCUUGGCUGUAAGGAAAUCUCUUUCUCUUGUAUAAAGCUUGAGUGUAUGAACAGGUUGUGAUGUUGUGAUGUGAUUGAAAACCUGAGGAUAUGUUUAAGAUUGCUAAAUGAAAAUUGUUUAGAAACUGUCCCAGGAUGCUUAAAGAGGCUUGUUUGAUGAUUGAGAAUGUUUGAAAUGCUUAAUCCCAGUUCUAAAAUGAAAUGACUUGUUAGGAUAGUAGAAUCUGUCUUAUCCAGCUUGCAUUCAUGAGUUAGAAACUGAUCAAGAUUAAUGCAUAUUGUCUUGUAGCUGUCUUAUAUUGAAGCAUUAGAUUCAUGUCUAAAUUGCUGAGUAAAGGAGCUUUAAAAGAAAAAGAAAAAUGCUUAAGUAACUUGUCUUGAAUCUGUUAGGAUCUUGCUUGUACUUAGAAAGUUUGCUUGCAAAGAUUAGAACUUGAUAUUGUCUUGUUUAAUCUGUUGCAUUGCUUGUGAUAUUGGGAAUCAAACUUGAUGAUUAAUCAAGGAUUGAUCCCAAUACUAUUGUGUCUUAUCUUUGCUGGAGUUUGAGUGUUGUUUCAGGUUCACAAGAUGUGUUCUUAGCUCACCAUUCAUCCAAGUUAAAAGAGGAAGACUUUGUCCAUUUGUGUGUGCAAUGGAGAGUUGUUAUAAGAAGGGUAAAGGGCAGAUGGUUUUAAAACUCACAUAAGCUCACUGGGGUUAUGUGAGCUACCUAGCGACCCUUGGAGUUAUGCGACCUGUUCUUCUCCUUACCAUUGCAAGUAACUGAAGAAGAAGCCAACCGGGUCUAGGCAGUGGCGUGUCUAUUCAAGAGAGUGCUCAAACUAAGACAGAGCACUCUUGGCUGUGUGAAGAAGAAGGCUACUCUAUCAAGGUGGCUUCUAGUGUGAGGUGAUUGAAGAAGUAGCUGAAACUUCCACAUGCAUUCCAUCAUGGUGGCGAAUUCAGAAGGAUGAUUGCAAUGGUUUGUUGUUCCGGAUCAAGAGACUCUCACCUGCCCAAGCUUGGUUCUUACUAGACUUAGUUCCAAGCUUAAGAGGGAGUGUUAAAGAAGCUUCUAUGAUCCUAGAGAGAAGAAGAAGAAGUGAGGAUUCAAGUGGCGACAUUAAGAACCACUCCUUAUCAUCUUAAACAAGGGAGUAAGCCUAGUCUUAUCUAUUUCAAUAUGUCUUGAUAGGUCUAUCUCUUGGUUAUGCUCUGUGAUUUCUAUAUCUAAAGUUCCAUUAAUGGUUGGUAGCUUCUAGUAGAAUGUCUAGAGGCUAAUUGCAUACUGAAAUUAUGUUGCUGUUGCAUUGUCUUGUUGACAUUAAGUAAUGUCUAGUGUCCCAGAAUCUCAUAUCUUGUUUAUUACAGUGUUUUGUGUGUUGACAUAGCUUGAAUCAUCAUGAAUGUGUUGUAGAAUUGAGUAGAAUGUCUCUGCUGCUUGCAUCAUGUUUGAAAGGCUACUUUGCAUUCACAUAAGCUUGUUUCAUAUUGUCUUGAUUCAAUCCAGUUCAGAUUGUUGCUAUGCCAUAGUUAAAUCCAUCCUUGAUGUCUUAUAGCAUUUAGAAGUAUGUCUAAGCUACUUGAAUCAUUGGCUUUGAUUAAACUAGUGAGCAUAAGCAUGUACUGAUUCACUCUUGUCGCCUAGAUUGCAUAAGUGUCAUCUAGUCUUGUGUUUCAUUUGGAUUGAAUCUGUUGCAUUCAUAUAGUCAUUGUUAGAGUCUAAUCUAAUGCAUUAAUCUAGUGUUGCAUUUAAAAAAAAAAAAAUUGAAUUAAACUUAAAAGAUCAACUACUGGGUNNNNNNNNNNNNNNNNNNNNNNNNNNNNNNNNNNNNNNNNNNNNNNNNNNNNNNNNNNNNNNNNNNNNNNNNAUUGAAUUAAACUUAAAAGAUCAAGUGUAUUGAUGAAAACAUUCAUUGUCUUUGAUUGAUUAAUUGUUGAAAACUACUUGCUGAUGUUUUUGCCUUGAUUGAUUGGCUGUUUUAAGUUUAUAUAUUGUUGUGGCAUUGGAGAUCAAACCGGAUGGAUGAUUUUGGUUUGGUCCCAAUGGGAUUAACUGAUCUUGCAUUGAGUUGUGGUGGUGUUAGGUACACAAAGAAGUGAUACAUUGACAAGCCAAACCAAAGUGUAAAGACAAAGGUCUUGUGCCAUUGCAUAUCAUCACUAGGACAUGUUAGUCCAUAAUCUACAGGAAGUGUAGUGUGAUUGAUUAUGCAAUGAGAGAUGGCCAUUACAUAAUACCAUUGGACAAGUUUAGUCCUUAGUCUACAGGAAGUGUAGCAUGGGUAAUUAUGCAAUGAGAGAAGUGUCUUGUGAGUCUCUCUAUGGUGAUUCAAACACCCUAGUUCCUGGUUAAGGAAGAGAGUACACUCACAAGAAGAAAGCUAUCAUGAAAUAUUGAUGGUUAUAAGACCAUGGGGAUGCAUAGGAUCAUCACAAGCUUAGCUCCUUCUAGUCUCGGUUCUAAGCUUGAGGGGGAGUCUUAAUGCACAUGAUCCAUGGUCAGUCUUCUACAAAGGAUCAUCAGCUGGAGCUAUUCUAGGCAAUCUAAGGAAGAAGAAGCUGAUCUUGCCACUAAAUGGUGCAAUGGCCGAGUGGGAAACUCACCAAAACAAAAAGGGAAGUCUACUUAUCUAUCUUGCUUAUAAAGACUGAUAUCAUGUUACUUAAGAUGAUAGACUUAUUUCCUUGAAAGAACUGGAUACAAUGUUGCUUAAUCUGAAAUGAUAGGUUUAUUUCCUAAAGAACUGAGGCAUUGUGUUCACAUUGUAUCAGGUACUUGUUAUCUUGAUAAGCAACUCCUAGGAGAUAUAAGUGAUACCUUCAGAGACUACUUGAGGGAGAUUCAAGUGGAGAGUCAAGCUGUGUAUGUUCAGAGACUACUUGAAGAAGAAUCUAGUGGAAAGUCAAGCUGUUUGGGAAACUCCAAAAUGUUCAUGGAACACUCCUCACCUAAACAAUAGGGAAGUAUCUUAAACUCAUGACAAUUCAAUUCAUUCAUCAUGUCAUUGUUUAAGCUUAAGAUGAUACUUAAAACAUCUUUAGUGAGGCUCAAGCAAUGGUACCUGAUACAUUAUACCAAAGGUGCAUCAGUACUUAUCAAGAAACAUCACACAAUCCAUUCAAACAUUUUAAGUAUCAUUUCUAGACUUUGAUUUGAAAUGAUGAAUGUAUUGAAUUGAAUUGAGUUUAGGGAAACUUCCCUUUUGUUUUGGUGAGGAGUGACUGGAUUAUAGUCACUUGAAUCCCUCAUACUAGGCUGUUGCACCCUCUUCAUGGCAACACCAACUUAAUGGAAGACUGUGUGGAUUCUUCAGCUUCAUGAACCUUCAUACACACACAGCCUAGAAUAACUCCGGUUGAUGAUCCUUUGUUGAAGCCUUUGCAAUGCCUUCAUACUGGACCAUGGAUCACACUCAUUAAGACUCCCCCUCAAGCUUAACUCCGAGUAUAGGAGGAGCUGAGCUUGUGAGAAGCGUGGGCUAUCCAUGGCCUUAGGACCACCGGUCUUCCAAGACUUUGGUGAUGGUCUUGGCCUUGUGAGCUGCUCUCUUCCUUAAGCCAGGAACUAGGGUGUUUGAAUCACCAUAGAGAGUCCUCACAAGACUAGUUCUCACUGUAUAAUAACCCAUGCUACACUUCCUGUAGACUAUGGACUGAACAUGUCCUAUGGUAUUAUACAAUGGCAUCCUCUCAUUGCAUAAUCAAUCACACUACACUUCCUGUAGAUUAUGGAUUAACACAUCCAGUGAUGAUUUGCAAUGGAACUAGACCUUUUGUCUUCACACUUUGGUUUGGCUUGUCACUGUAUCACUUCUUUGUGUACCUAACAUCACCACAACUCAAUGCAAGAUCAGAUCAUCCCAUUGGGAUCAAACUAAGAUCAUCCAUCCUGUUUGAUCACCAAUGCCACAGCAAUUUAUAAACCUUGAAACAAGCCAAUCAAUCAAGGCAAGAACAAGCAGAUUUCAAUCUCUAAAAAAUGACAAUGCAAGCUUUACCAAUACAUUGACAAUUUAGGCUCAUUUUUAAAUGCAUCAAUACAUGAAUGCACAAUCCUAAAGCAUUAACUAUAUGAAUGCAACAGGUUCAAUCCAUGAGACAUAUUAAAGCUAUGCUCAACAGUUUCAAUCAAAACCAAUGAUGCAAGCAACUUAGACAAUUUCUAAUUGAUGCUAGACUUUCAUUGAUGGAUUAAACAAAGGCAUUAGCAUCAGUACACACUCGGAUUGAACUUAGACAAUAUGAGACAUGCUUAUGUAUGCAAAACAGCUUUUCAAACAUGAUGCAAGUAGUAGAGACAUUCUACUCAAUUCUACAACCCAUUCAUGAUGAUUCAAGCUAUGGCAACACACAAGACAAUGCAAUAACCCAAAACAUGAGAUUCUGGGACUCUAGACACCACUCACAGCACAAUAAAUAAAGACACAAGCUCUUAUUAAGGGUUAGGAGGUUUGCUUACAAACAAGAGAUCCGAGCUGAUCUCUUGAACCUCCAUGGGCACGGUUCACUUGAACUUGGCAGGUUUGAGGCUUGGAUUCAGUAUCCAACACCUCUCCUUGGUGUGCCCAUCCCUCUUGCAAUGCUCACACUUCAGGCCUCUCCUAUCCCCCUUCUUGUAAGGCGCCUUGUUGGGCUGAGAGCUUCUUUCAGCUUGAGAAGCAAAGGAGAGUGUUUCCUUUGUUCCAAACAACCCGAUUGAUCCCUCCUCCUUUUGGACUUGGGAACACACUUCUUCAAGUGUUGGGAGCUUCUCAGACCUCAAGAUAUGUUGAAUCAAGGCGCUGUAGGCAGGGCUGAGGGUUAGUAGUAGGCCAAACACCUUGUCUUGCUCCCUUCUUUCAAUCAACACCUCCGGAUCAACAGAUUGGGGUCUAAGCAUCUCUAGCUCAGACCAAAGGGCUCUGAACUUGCCUAGAUGCGCAGUGAACUCCUCAUCUUCUUGGGAUAGGAUGUUGAUGGACUUCUUGAUCUCAAAUACUCGGCUGAUGUUGGAGAUGUUCCCAUAUAUCUUGUUAAGUGUACUCCAAAGGUCUUUAGCACUCUCACAGUAUGAGUAUGCUUCAAGGAUGGAUGGAGACAGUGAGCUAUGGAGAAUGGAUAAGACCUUGAGGUCUUCUUGUUCCCACUUCUCCUCAGAUACAGAUUUGGAACCGGAUUCACCAUCUGCUGAGCUUUCAUUUGAACCGGCAGUCUUGGAGAGCUUUGGAGCAUCCGUGAGGCAAUGGCUCCAUAAGCCUCUCCCUCCUAGAGCUGUCUUCACCAUGCGUGACCAGAGAAGGUAGUUGGGACCAUUGAGAGUAACAGCAAUGACAAUGGUUCUUUUGGACUCCAUGUUGAAGCCGGAUGAACAAGACUGUCAAAGAACUCUUCAAGGUAGUAUCUUGGGACAAGGUGAGCUGAAUCUUCAAGGGCGUGAGCUUGGGAGCUUGUGGAUGUUGCGGAAGCUUCUACCAGGAGUCUGAGCAACCUGGCUCUGAUACCAUGUGAGAUUUUCAGAGUACAAGUGCUUGAGUGAUGUAAGAACAGAUGAGAGAUUUGUGUAUGAUGAAGUAUGAAGAAUAGAAUGAGUUUAAGAGAAUCAGAGAGAGUAUGGGAGAGACUAAGAGAUUAGGAACGUGUAUGGGAGAUUAGAGAGACUUAGUAACCAGAGAAUAAGAUCCAAGAACAAGUUUAUGAAGAAGAGAGACUCUCUCAGCUUAAAAGUUACAAAAUGAUCCUAAGAGGCUUAUUUAUGCCUUUACACAACUCAGAUCAUAAACCUAGAUCCUAAGGCUGUAAAUUAAAGAUAAAUGGAUGGUUAGGAUGAGAGGAAGCUGGUCUUUGAUGUUCUGGUGCUAGCUGGUCGUGGUUGGACUGAAUGGAGGGCUCAGAUUGCUUCAUUUGAAUUGGAUGGAUCAGAUGAGUCAAGGCUGUAAAGGUCAAGCACCUUUACCUUUCCAGCUCAUACCACCAGCUCACCUUAUCCAUUUGAAUCUUCCUUUGCCUCCAAGACUCCCCAAAGGUCACAUAAGGAAGGAUAAUCCACGCCCACACAUUGCACAUCACCAAACAAAGCUGAUCCGGGUCUUUGGUCGAUCCGGAUGGGAUGUACGGUCGAUGUACGGCCUUGAGGUCCGUACACUCGCCCUAGCUUUGCACCUAUGGCCAUCUUCUCUCUAACUCCACCAAACCUUUCACAUGAUCAGUCUAAGUCUUUCCUAGACUUAACUUCUCAAGAUAACUACUUCAGAACACUUCUGAAGCUUGAUUGAACUCUUCUGGACAUCUUCUAGAGCUUGCCCUAUUAUUGUACAAGCUCUAUCUUCUCUUCAGUUCAACACUUGGAUCUACAUAUCUCAAUUCCAAGGAAGUAUUUCAUCUCUCCCAAGUCUUUAAUCUCAAAAACAGAUUUAAGAAAGUCUUUAGUGGCUUGUAUCUCUUCUUUAUCACUACCUGUUAUAAUGAUGUCAUCUACAUACACAAGUAGAACGACAAUACCUGAAGGUGUGUUGAGUGUAAAGAGAGUAUGAUCAAGCUCUGACUUCCUAAAGCCUCUUCCAUUCAGAGUUGUGCUCAACUUGUUGUACCAUGCCCUUGGUGAUUGUUUCAGACCAUAGAUAGCUUUCUUUAGUCUGAGAACAUUCCCUUUCUUCACCAAGUGCUCUAGACCAGGAGGAGGUAACAUAUACACUUCAUCUUCUAGUUCUCCUUGUAGAAAUGCAUUCUUUACAUCCAUUUGCCACAAGCCCCACUCAAGAUUCACCGCAAGUGAUAGGACAAUCCUGAUGGUAUGUAGCUUAGCAACUGGCGCAAAUGUGUCUAUAUAAUCCUCUCCAUAUGUUUGAGUGAAUCCUCUUGCAACCAAGCGAGUCUUCUUUCUAUCAAUCUGUCCAUUUGCUAGGUACUUGAUUGUGAAGAUCCAUCUACUAGACACUGCCCUCUUUCCUUUAGGUAACUCACUCUCAUACCAAGUAUCAUUCUUGAUCAUUGCAUUGGAUUCAGCUCCCACUGAUUCCCUCCACUCCUUGUCCUUCAUGGCUUCCUCAUAUGACUUUGGUACAUGGCUCUCAUCUAAGCUUACCAUAAAGGCACAAUGUUCUUCUGGAUAAUGAGCAAAGGAACACACAGCUUGAGAGGGAUGUUCCACAGCCUGGGCAUUGUAGUACACUCUCGUGUUUACCCAGUUGGAACUAUCCUUUCUCACUCUGGUGCUUCUUCUCAAUGGCUGCACCGCCGGCUCUGAUUCAGGUUCAGUUGUAGUUGCAUUAGUUUCCUCCUCUUGAUCUUGGCUUGGUACCUCCGUAUCUUCCUGCAUCAUACUUUGAUCAUGAUCACCUGAGCUUUCUUGAUCAUGGCUUUCAACCUGUACUUCAGCUGGUUCAGGUAUGUUUUCCCCCCCAUGAUCUAGGUUUGAUGCCUCGGUAGGUUGUGUGGUUGUUGUACUGCGUCUCUCCUUCGGAUCCUGGGUAGUAUGUAUCCCAAGCCCCUCUAAAAUACUUCUAAGGCUGGCCGCUCUAUCUGACUCUCUUGUCAAUUCUAGCAGCUCAUCUUGAUUCUUUUCCUCAUAGAACCCCUUUGCUUCAAUGAACUUUACAUCUCUAGAGACUAGGAUUCUUCGAGUAGUAGGAUCAUAGCACUUGUAACCCUUUUGAGUAGUAGAGUAGCCAACAAACAUAGCUCUUGUGCUGGUUGCUUCAAGCUUGUUUCUCAACUCUUUUGGCCUAAGGACAAAGCAUAGACAUCCAAAGAUUCGCAUAUGCUCCAAUGAUGGCUUGUACUUGUUCAAGGCUUCAAAAGGGGACUGAUCAUGUAGAAUCUUAGUUGGGAUCCGGUUGAUUAGAUAACACGAUGUAGCCACAGCAUCACUCCAAAACCUUUUAGGGACAUUUCCUUGAAACAUCAUUGACCUUGCCACCUCCAUGAGAUGCCUAUUCUUUCUCUCAGCCACUCCAUUUUGCUGAGGAGUAUAAGGACAACUCGUUUGGUGUAGUAUCCCAUGUUGCGUUAGAUGUUGCUUGAAUGCUUGACCAGUGUAUUCCCCACCAUUAUCUGAUCUCAAAAUUUUAAUCUUGGCAUUGUAAUGGUUAGUCACAUAGUUUUGAAAUUUUUUAAAAGCUUCAAGCACCCUAUCUUUGGUUUGAAUGAGUGUUAUCCAGGUGUAUUUCGAUUUUUCAUCUAUGAAUGUGACAAAGUAUUUAAAACUAUCCCUAGACAAGCAAGGAGCAGUCCAAACAUCAGAGUGAAUUAGAUCAAAGCACUUGUCAUAAACAGUAGAUGAAAUGGGAAACACAGUUUUACAAUGCUUGCCUAAAAUGCAAGCUUCACAAUCCUUAUUUUCAAAUACCACACCUGGUAACAUUAAGUUUAAAGCCCUAACAUGGGGAUGACCUAGUCUAGCAUGCCACAAUGCAUUUUUUAUUCAUCAUAGAAGCAGAAGUAAAUGAGCAUAAGUAAUCAGAAACAGGAGCUAGUUCUUCAAGUAAAUAUAAAUCUCCCUUGGUAACUCCUUUUCCAAUCAAUUGGCUGCUCUCAAUAUCCUGAAACUUCACAUCAUUAGGACUGAAUAUAACAUUCCAAUUAAGAUCUGUAGUACACUUCUUUACAGAUAAUAGAUUUGAUGUGAAGUCAGGCAUAUAAAAUGCUUUAGAGUCUUUAUCAAACAAUUUUAGCUUGCCAAUUCCUCUAAUUGGGAUUUUAUCUCCAUUUGCAAUCAUGACAUGUCCAUUUGUAGGUUCAAUGUCUCUAAUCAAGCUAGUAUCACUAAUCAUAUGAUGAGAUGCUCCUGAAUCAACUACCAAUGGUUUAAACAGAUUGUGUGCAAUAUGAGACUGUCCUAGUAUGCUAGUAGGUUUAUAAGCAAUGCUUGAAUGAUCAGGUUCUCUAGCAAUACUACACGAUUCAUAUAAUGCACCAAAGGAGUGACCAAGAGUACCAAGUGUGUUACCAUUCUCCUUUAGCAUUUUGAUGAGGGAGUCAAGGUCUGAUCUCCUUAGGUACUCGUUCUCACGGUUGUUCUGAAGGCUUGGCUGAGGUGUGUAAGUCACCAGGGCCUUACUGUGAUUUUAAAGAGAUCUCUACUCUUGUAGUAUGUGUGUGUGGAUAAGCUCCAAUGGAGAAUGAUUAGAGCUUGUUCUAGGUGAUUUAGAAGAGAGGUUGAUGAGAGUGUAUAAGAGACUUAAGAACAGAGAUAAAGAGACUUAGGAACAGAGAUUAAGAGACUAGAGAGACUGAGAGAAUAAGUGUUUCAGAUUCAUGAAGGAGAAGGGAAACCCCCUUACUCACUUAAGUGUUUACAAUCGCAUAUACAAGGCUUUUAUAUGCCUUUACAUUUUCACUCAUAAACCCUACAUCCUAAGGCUGUAAAUAAAUGAUAGAAUGGAUGGUAAGGAUGAGAGAAGACUGGUCUUGAUGUUGCUGGAGCUAGCUGGCGAAUUGAUUCAAAUAGAAGGCUCAGAUUGCUUCUUUUGAAUGAAUGGAUAGGAUGAGUCAAGGCUAUAAAGGUAAAGCACCUUUACCUUUCCAGCUCAUACCAACAGCUCACCUUAUCCAUUUGAAUCUUCCUUUGCCUCCAAGGCACUCCAACGUACACUUAAGGAAGCUUAUCCCGCGCCCACACAUUGCACAACUUGACUUGAUGCAGAACUGGAUGAAUGGAUGAGGCUUGGUGUUGUACGGUCUCUUGUACGGCUUGUACCAUCCGUACACUCGCCCUAAUUAUGCACAACACUUCCCCUCCUCUUUACUUGAUCAAUUCCUCUUCUUGAUUCGCUCAUGGCCUUAUCAUUCUCCCAAGCUUUGCUCUUCAUGCCAUCUUCUCCCUAACUCCUUCACCUCUUCACAUGAUCAGUCUAAGUCUUUCCUAGACUUAACUUCACAAGAUAACUACUUCAGAACACUUUUGAAGAUUGAUCGAACUCUUCUGGACAUCUUAUAGAGCUUGCCCUAUUAUUGUACAAGCUCUAUCUUCUCUUCAGUUCAACACUCCCCCUCAAGCUUGACUUUAGGAGAUCCUAAGCCAAGCUUGGAACUCUGAAGAGUCUCCCUCAUUAAAAACCUUACAAGGAAAACCCAUUGGGACAAAACCUUGCAAGGGAAAAAGAGUAGAGCUCUCCAAAGCCUAGGGAUUGGCCAGUGAGCUCUUGUGCCUUAGAACCAGUGUGGUUGGACACAAGAAGCUCUGGAUCAUGGCCUAAUAGGUGCAGCAACUCAACACAGCUUUGCGCACAUUUCACACUUCAGCUUCACCUCUUCAUGGAACCGGUUUGAGGUCUCCCCCUCUCAACUGACUUUACAGCCAUUUUAGAGAAGCUAGGACACGACCAUAUCAUCUUCAAAACACCAGUAAGGCUGAUCAACACUUCACACACGGCUUGCCCUCUUCAUAGAACUGGUUUGGAUCCCCUUCUCAACAGACUUCUCAGCCACCUUAGAGAAGCUAGGAACUGACCAGGAACAUCUUUAGUGAGGCUCAAGCAAUGGUACCUGAUACAUUAUCCCAAAGGUGCAUCAGUACCUAUCAAAAACAAGAAAAUGAAUAUCCUGCAUCACACUUGAUGCACACAAUCUCACAAUUCAAUCAUAAUCAUCUUAACUCUGAAGAGUCUCCCUCAUUUAAAACCUUACAAGGAAAACCCAUUGGGACAAAACCUUGCAAGGGAAAAAGAGUAGAGCUCUCCACAGCCUAGGGAUUGGCCAGUGAGCUCUUGUGCCUUAGAACCAAUGUGGUUGGACACAAGUAUAAGUUUUAGAGAAUCUGAGUUUGAUAUAAGGAAAGAAAGAGAUUAGAGAGAGUCUAGAGGUGAUUUAGGACGAGUUUAGCUAAGAGUUUAGUGUAUGAUCAUGAUUGAGAGCCUUUGAGUCUAAGAGAGUGUUUUGGUGUCAAGAACUGUCUGAUUAUCAUUAAUGAAGAGUUUACAAAUAUAUAGGAGAAGAUACAAGGGUUUUCCUAAAGGUAAAGUAAGCAAAGCAUGUGAAGUCAAGGAAGAGCUAGGCGCCGGUUUCAAACUAAGCCAAUGGGAGACUCCACAUGUGUGGGAUGAAUGGAUAAGGUUGCUUUCCCUUUCCAGCUGCAUACAGCCUGUCAAGGCGCGGCCUUAUCCUUCUCUCAACGGUCUGAUCAAGUGCUGGUAACUCUCCAUAGUUACCAUCACCCUUUUCACAAGUAACCAUCCUGAAUAGUGAAGAGUAUUACCCAAGACUUGUACGGCCACUCCUCAUGUACGGCCUGUACGGAUUGUACGGACUAAGCCUCCUCAAUCCCUUUCUUCCUAAUGCUUCACCACUUCAUACCCUCUCCUCACAUACAUUACUCAACACUUCAUCUCAUGAUCUCAUCUCAAAGUGAUCUCAUCUCAACACUCCCCCUCAAGCUUAGCUUUGUGAAAGUCUAAGCUUGGAUAGCCAUGAGAUCUUCCUCAUUAAAAACCUCACCAAAGAAAACCCAUUGGGACAAAACUUUGAUAAGGGAAAAAGAGUAAAGACCUCAUAGCUAAGGGGCUUAGCUCCUUCUCGUGAGAUCAAUGAGUCCUAGCCGGCUAUGAAUGGACUCAAUUGUCUUCUGUCUUGCUGCCUUUGUGAACACAUCUGCUAGCUGAUCUUCACUUCUCGUGUAACAUGCUAAGAUGACUCCAAGAAGAAUCAUUUGCCUCACCUUGUGACAAUCUACUUCAAUGUGCUUGGUUCUCUCAUGGAAGACUGAGUUGGUGGCAAUGUGUAUAGCAGCCUGGUUGUCACAAUGCAUGGUCAUUGGAGUGGAUUGAAUAAUCUCCAAGUGCUUCAGUAUCCCUUUGAUCCAUACAAGCUCAUUAGUCAGCUUCAGCAUGGCUCGGUAUUCAGCUUCAGCACUUGAGCAUGAGACCACCUUCUGCUUCUUACUCUUCCAAGUUACUAAGUUCCCUCCAAUGAAUGUGCAGUAGCCGGUUGUGGACCUUCUAUCUGCUCUAUCUCCUGCCCAAUCCGCAUCACAGUAGCCUACAACUUCUGUACUCCCAUUACACCCCAUCCACACUCCUUGAUCCACUGAGCCAUUAAGAUACAUCAAGAGCCGGUUCACCAUUCCCCAAUGAUGUUCUUUUGGAACUUGCAUAUGCUGACUCACCUGGUUCACAGCAAAACAAAUAUCAGGACGUGUGAUGGUUAGGUAUAUGAGCUUACCCACUAGCUUUCUAUAAAGCUUUGCAUCCUUGAAUGGUGGACUGUCUUCAAUCUCCCCCUCACGUGGAACCUUGUAUCCAUCUUCCAAGGGAGUCUUGGCCGUCUUUCCAUCAAGCUUACCUGCAUCUUUCAACAGAUCAAGUGUAUACUUUCUUUGGGAUAGAAACAAACCUUCCUUGGAUCUACAUAUCUCAAUUCCAAGGAAGUAUUUCAUCUCUCCCAAGUCUUUAAUCUCAAAAACAGAUUUAAGAAAGUCUUUAGUGGCUUGUAUCUCUUCUUUAUCACUACCUGUUAUAAUGAUGUCAUCUACAUACACAAGUAGAACGACAAUACCUGAAGGUGUGUUGAGUGUAAAGAGAGUAUGAUCAAGCUCUGACUUCCUAAAGCCUCUUCCAUUCAGAGUUGUGCUCAACUUGUUGUACCAUGCCCUUGGUGAUUGUUUCAGACCAUAGAUAGCUUUCUUUAGUCUGAGAACAUUCCCUUUCUUCACCAAGUGCUCUAGACCAGGAGGAGGUAACAUAUACACUUCAUAUUCUAGUUCUCCUUGUAGAAAUGCAUUCUUUACAUCCAUUUGCCACAAGCCCCACUCAAGAUUUACCGCAAGUGAUAGGACAAUCCUGAUGGUAUGUAGCUUAGCAACUGGCGCAAAUGUGUCUAUAUAAUCCUCUCCAUAUGUUUGAGUGAAUCCUCUUGCAACCAAGCGAGUCUUCUUUCUAUCAAUCUGUCCAUUUGCUAGGUACUUGAUUGUGAAGAUCCAUCUACUAGACACUGCCCUCUUUCCUUUAGGUAACUCACUCUCAUACCAAGUAUCAUUUUUGAUCAUUGCAUUGGAUUCAGCUCCCACUGAUUCCCUCCACUCCUUGUCCUUUAUGGCUUCCUCAUAUGACUUUGGUACAUGGCUCUCAUCUAAGCUUACCAUAAAGGCACAAUGUUCUUCUGGAUAAUGAGCAAAGGAACACACAGCUUGAGAGGGAUGUUCCACAGCCUGGGCAUUGUAGUACACUCUCGUGUUUACCCAGUUGGAACUAUCCUUUCUCACUCUGGUGCUUCUUCUCAAUGGCUGCACCGCCGGCUCUGAUUCAGGUUAAGUUGUAGUUGCAUUAGUUUCCUCCUCUUGAUCUUGGCUUGGUACCUCCGUAUCUUCCUGCAUCAUACUUUGAUCAUGAUCACCUGAGCCUUCUUGAUCAUGGCUUUCAACAUGUACUUCAGCUGGUUCAGGUAUGUUUCCCCCCCCCCCAUGAUCUAAGUUUGAUGCCUCGGUAGGUUGUGUGGUUGUUGUACUGCGUCUCUCCUUCGGAUCCUGGGUAGUAUGUAUCCCAAGCCCCUCUAGAAUAAUUCUAAGGCUGGCCGCUCUAUCUGACUCUCUUGUCAAUUCUAGCAGCUCAUCUUGAUUCUUUUCCUCAUAGAACCCCUUAGCUUCAAUGAACUUUACAUCUCUAGAGACUAGGACUCUUCGAGUAGUAGGAUCAUAGCACUUGUAACCCUUUUGAGUAGUAGAGUAGCCAACAAACAUAGCUCUUGUGCUGGUUGCUUCAAGCUUGUUUCUCAACUCUUUUGGCCUAAGGACAAAGCAUAGACAUCCAAAGAUUCGCAUAUGCUCCAAUGAUGGCCUGUACUUGUUCAAGGCUUCAAAAGGGGACUGAUCAUGUAGAAUCUUAGUUGGGAUCCGGUUGAUUAGAUAACACGAUGUAGCCACAGCAUCACUCCAAAACCUUUUAGGGACAUUUCCUUGAAACAUCAUUGACCUUGCCACCUCCAUGAGAUGCCUAUUCUUUCUCUCAGCCACUCCAUUUUGCUGAGGAGUAUAAGGACAACUCGUUUGGUGUAGUAUCCCAUGUUGCGCUAGAUGUUGCUUGAAGGCUUGACCAGUGUAUUCCCCACCAUUAUCUGAUCUCAAAAUUUUAAUCUUGGCAUUGUAAUGGUUAGUCACAUAGUUUUGAAAAUUUUUAAAAGCUUCAAGCACCCUAUCUUUGGUUUGAAUGAGUGUUAUCCAUGUGUAUUUCGAUUUUUCAUCUAUGAAUGUGACAAAGUAUUUAAAACUAUCCCUAGACAAGCAAGGAGCAGUCCAAACAUCAGAGUGAAUUAGAUCAAAGCACUUGUCAUAAACAGUAGAUGAAAUGGGAAACACAGUUUUACAAUGCUUGCCUAAGAUGCAAGCUUCACAAUCCUUAUUUUCAAAUACCACACCUGGUAACAUUAAGUUUAAAGCCCUAACAUGGGGAUGACCUAGUCUAGCAUGCCACAAUGCAUUUUUAUUCAUCAUAGAAGCAGAAGUAAAUGAGCAUAAGUAAUCAGAAAUAGGAGCUAGUUCUUCAAGUAAAUAUAAAUCUCCCUUGGUAACUCCUUUUCCAAUCAAUUGGCUGCUCUCAAUAUCCUGAAACUUCACAUCAUUAGGACUGAAUAUAACAUUGCAAUUAAGAUCUGUAGUACACUUCUUUACAGAUAAUAGAUUUGAUGUGAAGUCAGGCAUAUAAAAUGCUUUAGAGUCUUUAUCAAACAAUUUUAGCUUGCCAAUUCCUCUAAUUGGGAUUUUAUCUCCAUUUGCAAUCAUGACAUGUCCAUUUGUAGGUUCAAUGUCUCUAAUCAAGCUAGUAUCACUAAUCAUAUGAUGAGAUGCUCCUGAAUCAACUACCAAUGGUUUAAACAGAUUGUGUGCAAUAUGAGACUGUCCUAGUAUGCUAGUAGGUUUAUAAGCAAUGCUUGAAUGAUCAGGUUCUCUAGCAAUACUACACGAUUCAUAUCAUGCACCAAAGGAGUGACCAAGAGUACCAAGUGUGUUACCAUUCUCCUUUAGCAUUUUGAUGAGGGAGUCAAGGUCUGAUCUCCUUAGGUACUCGUUCUCACGGUUGUUCUGAAGGCUUGGCUGAGGUGUGUAAGUCACCAGGGCCUUACUAUCUCCAGGCUCACGUGUCCCGCCCUCUCCAGCUUGGCCUGAGCUCCCAGCAACACUUGAACUUCCCGGCUCACUUCCAGCAUACGAGACAUUGGCUCUCCCAUCUUUCUCUCUUGAGAACUUGGCCGGCUUCAGAUGAGGAUGCAAGAUCCAUCACUGGUUCUUCUUGUGACCUUGUCUCUUGCAAUGAUCACAAUUUCCCGUGAACUUCUUUGCAUCAUACUGGUUAGAGCUCGCACGGUUUGCUUGCGGAACCUCAGCUUGGUUUGCAAGUGUGAUCUCUCCUUUCCCUCCAAAGAGACCAAUAGAACCUUCCUCCUUCUGAACUUGUGCACACACUUCCUCAAGGUCAGGUAACUUCCCGGACCGUAGAAUGUGUUUGAUGAGGCUGUUGUAGCUUGGAUUCAGCGUGAGCAGCAACCCAAACACCUUGUCCUGCUCGCGUCUCUCAGCCAGCUCAUCUAGGUUGGUUGUGCCUGGCCUCAGCAUCUCCAGUUCAGACCACAAGGCUCUGAACCUCCCAAGGUGCUUAGUAAACUCCAUGUCCUCCUGUGUCAAGCUGUUGAUAGCACGUUUCACUUCAAACACACGGCUCAAGUUUGAGAUGUUACCAUAAACCUUCUUUAGCGUGUCCCAAAGAUCCUUUGCUGUCUCACAGUAGCUGUAUGCCUCCAGGAUAGACACUUCAAGAGACCGUUGGAGUAUGGACAUCACCAACUGAUCAUCUUGCUCCCACUUCUCUUCAUCGCACUUGACAAUCUCCCUGUCGCCUUCAUAAGUAAUGAGCUUUGGGGCUUCACUCUGUGUGAUGUGUCCCCAUAAACCCUUACUCCCCACUGCUGUCUUCACCAAACGAGACCACAAAAGGUAAUUACCCCCCUUGAGAGUAACCGGAACCACUGCCUUGUUGCUUUCCAUUUCAGAGUCACCCGGAUGAAAGCUAAGCGGCUGGUGUGUUCUUGAGUGUUCUAGUACUCAAACCCAGAUUAUGAUGAACCUGGCUCUGAUACCAUAUAAGUUUUAGAGAAUCUGAGUUUGAUAUAAGGAAAGAAAGAGAUUAGAGAGAGUCUAGAGGUGAUUUAGGACGAGUUUAGCUAAGAGUUUAGUGUAUGAUCAUGAUUGAGAGCCUUUGAAUCUAAGAGAGUGUUUUGGUGUCAAGAACUGUCUGAUUAUCAUUAAUGAAGAGUUUACAAAUAUAUUGGAGAAGAUACAAGGGUUUUCCUAAAGGUAAAGUAAGCAAAGCAUGUGAAGUCAAGGAAGAGCUAGGCACCGGUUUCAAACUAAGCCAAUGGGAGACUCCACAUGUGUGGGAUGAAUGGAUAAGGUUGCUUUCCCUUUCCAGCUGCAUACAGCCUGUCAAGGCGCGGCCUUAUCCUUCUCUCAACGGUCUGAUCAAGUGCUGGUAACUCUCCAUAGUUACCAUCACCCUUUUCACAAGUAACCAUCCUGAAUAGUGAAGAGUAUUACCCAAGACUUGUACGGCCACUCCUCAUGUACGGCCUGUACGGAUUGUACGGACUAAGCCUCCUCAAUCCCUUUCUUCCUAAUGCUUCACCACUUCAUACCCUCUCCUCACAUACAUUACUCAACACUUCAUCUCAUGAUCUCAUCUCAAAGUGAUCUCAUCUCAACAACAAGAAGCUCUGGAUCACGGCCUAACAGGUGCAGCAACUCUUCACAGCUUUGAGCACACUUCACACUUCAGUUUCACCUCUUCAUGGAACCGGUUUGAAGUCUCCCCCUCUCAACUGACUUCUCAGCCAUCUUAGAGAAGCUAGGACACGACCAGAUCAUCUUCAAAACACUAGUGAGACUGAUCAAUACUUCAAUACUUCACACCCGGCUUGCCCUCUUCAUAGACUAGGUUUAGGGUCUCCCCCUCUCAACAGACUUCACAGCCGCUUUAGAGAAGCUAGGAGAUUCCCCGGAGCUGUUUAAUGAGGCUACAAGAAAUGGUACCUGAUACAUUAUCCCAAAGGUGCAUCAGUACCUAUCAAAAACAAGAAAAUGAAUAUCCUGCAUCACACUUGAUGCACAUAAUUCCAUAAUUCAAUCAUGAUCAUCUUAAGUAUCUUUUCAAGCACAAGCAAUGAAUAAGAUGAAUGAAAAAGGUUGAAGAAAGAGUUUAAAAAGUCUAAGGGAACUUCCCUUGUGUUUUUGUGAGUUUCCUAACUCGGCCAAUGCACCAUCUUCAUGGCAUCAUCAACUUCUUGGAAAGGCAGAAUGGAUUCAUCAGCUUCUCCUCAAUCACCUCUCAUUGAAGCCGCAUUGAUGGAGAGCCUUCUUCCUCACUCGCCAAGACUGCUCUGAACAGCCUCUUACCUAGACACGCCACUGACUUGGUCCGGUGAUGAUCCUUUGUAGAAGCCUUUGCAAAGACUUGUUACUGACCAUGGAUCAUAUGCAUUAAGACUCCCCCUCAAGCUUAGAACCGACACUAUAAGGAGCUAAGCUUGUGAUGAUCCUAUGCAUCUCCAUGGUCUAAUAACUAUCAUCUUUCAUGAUAGCUUUCUUCUUGUGAGUUUACUCUCUUCCUUAACCAGGAACUAGGGUGUUUGAAUCACCAUAGAGAGUCUCACAAGACACACCUCUCAUUGCAUAAUGACCCAUGCUACACUUCCUGUAGACUAAGGACUAGAUAUGUCCAAUGGUAUUAUGCAAUGGCCAUCUCUCAUUGCAUACUCAAUCACACUACACUUCCUGUAGAUUAUGGACUAACAUGUCCUAGUGAUGAUAUGCAAUGGCGCAAGAUCCUUGUCUUUACAUUCUUGGUUGUUGGCGAGUUACAUGUAUCACUUCCCUUGUAUACCUAACACCACCACAACUCAAUGCAAGAUCAGAUCAUCCCAUUGGGAUCAAACCAAGAUCAUCCAUCCUGUUUGAUCACCAAUGCCACAAUAAUAUAUGAUACUUGAAACAAGCUAGACAAUCAAGACAAGAAUAUGCAAAGACAAUGUAUGCUUUCAACAAUACACAGAUCCCUUUAGGUUCAAUUCAGUUUUUUUUUUUUAAAUGCAACAAUAGAUGAAUGCAUUAGAUUACACACUAACCAUAUGAAUGAACCAGAUUCAAUCCAAAUGAACACAAGACUAGAUGAUACUUAUGCAAUCAAGGCACUAAGUGUGACUCAAUUCAUGCUUAUGCUCACUAGUUUUAUCACAGCCAAUGAUUCAAGUAGCUUAGACAUACUUCUAAAUGCUUAUAAGACAUCACUGAUGGAUUUAACUUUGGCAUAGCAACACUCAGAACUGGACUGAGUCAAGACAAGUAGAUUUCAAUCUCUAACAAUGACAAUGCAAGUUCUAGACACUACAUUGACAUCCUAGGUUAUUAUGAUUAUUAAGUUCUCUAAAUGCAAUGCAAGCUUACAUCAGUACAUUUGAAAUUUAGGCUCAUUUUUAAAUGCAUUACUACAUGAAUGCACAAUCUUAAAUCAUUAGCUAUAUGAAUGCAACAGGUUCAAUCCAUGAUUAAUAUUAAAGCUAUGCACAACAGUUUCAAUCAGAACCAAUGAUGCAAGCAACUUAGACAAUUUCUAAUUGAUGCAAGACUUUCAUUGAUAGAUUAAACAUAGGCAAUAGCAUCAGAUAACACUAGGAUUGAACUUAGACAGUAUGAGAUAUGCUUAUGUAUGCAAAAUAACUUAUCAAUCAUGAUGCAAGUAGCAGAGACAUUCUACUCAAUUCUACAACACAUUCAUGAUGAUUCAAGUUUAUGACCACACCCAAGACAAUGCAAUAAACAGACCGUGAGAUUCUGGGACUCUAGACAUUACUUACUAUCAAUAAGACAAUGCAGCAGCAAAACAAUUUCAGUGCAAUUAGCCUAGACAUUCUACUAGAAGCUAUAAACUCUUAAUGGAAUUAGGGAAAGCACAUAGUAUAAUCAGGAGAUAAACCUAUCAAGACAUAUUAAGAUAGAUGAGAUUAGGUUUACUCCCUUGGUUAAGAUGAUAAGGAGUGGUUCUCAAAGUUGCCACUUGAAUCCUUACUUCUUCUUCUUCUCUUAUUGCAAUCACCCUUCUGAAUUCACCACCAUGAUGGAAUGCUUGUGGAUGCUUCAGCUACUUCUUCAAUCACCUCACAAUAGAAGCCGCCUUGAUAGAGUAGCCUUCUUCUUCACACAGCCAAGAGUGCUCUGUCUUAGUUUGAGCACCCUCUUGAAUAGGCACGCCACUGCCUAGACCCGGUUGGCUUCUUCUUCUGGUACUUGCAAUGUUAAGUUCACCUACAUUACUCUAAAAGUUGCUAUUGUUUGGUUCCUAUAGAACAUUUGAACUCGGUAUGAAGAGGCAGAUAUUGUGUGUAUGUAUAAUUGCAACGUCACAAAAUAUUCUGUGUGUUUACGAAGAUACUUUCAUUUAAAAAAUAGAAUAAAUAGUGUAUAGUUCUAGAAGUAACAGAUUUUAUAUUAUCAUUAAUUAGAAUUGUAUUGUAUAUGUUUCGUAAUUCUUUAUUUUAGGUGAAUAAUAUUAUUUUUCCAUAAAUAAUAAACAUACAUUUAUGUAGACAUAUUAAAAGAAAAUAUAAUAAAAAUCAAAAUAUUAUCCAUAAAUAAUAUCAAUUAUGAAGUACAUUUCUCGAUAAAAAAACAAAUUCAAUUAGAAACUUGCAAAAAAUUAAAUAAUUUUUGUAAGCAAUUUGACGGGUUAACAUUAUUUGAUAGAUUUAUAAAUUUCUAAAUUUUAUUGAACAUGAAAUAAUAUUAAAUUGACAUACCGUCAUCGGUCUCCUAACUCAUCACAAUCCAUCUAGCAAAUACAAAAAAUAAAUAAUUGCAACAGUUUAUUCAUUUUAAAAUUUGUAUUUGAAAAAAAAAGUAGAUUAAAAUUACGUACCGUGACUACGAAAUAUUCUGAAAAACUUGUUUGUAGACAACAUUCAAUAUUUUUGUCUGCGGCUUUCCUUCUUUACCAGUUAUUAGGAUUUUUAAUCCAGAUCUCGACUUAACUCUUGAAAGUGCAACUUUGCCUUGCAUUUUGUAAGCAUUUUAUAAAUUAUUUUAAAAUUAUGAUAAAUUUAUUCUUUAAACAACGAUAAAUAAUUUAAAAAUAAUAUUAACAAACAUUUUUGGAUUUUUUAAUAUUUAAAAUAGUUAUUAUAUAAUUAUAUUCGAACACAAUUCAUCAAGUAGAGUAUAAAACUAUUAUAAUUAUCUUAUAUAAAAUUUUGUUCAUUGUAUUUUAUAGUUUAUAAAUAUUAAAAGUAAUAAAUAAAACAUUAUUAAUCUUUCUAUAAUACUUCCAAGGUAAAGUGGGUGGCAGAGUCGAACAGUCGAUUCAUCAAGUAGCAUAUAAUACUUCCAAGGCAAAGUGGGUGGCACAAUCGAUGAAAGAUGAGGAGCCUUUGCGUCUAAACACAUUUUUCUUAGCACACAAGCAGCAUCGUCGUAAUACCUUAAUAGUAUGAGAGGAGAGAUUUGUGAAUAAUACUUUAAAGAAUGAAAAGAGAAUGUUUGUAUUUAAAAACCUUGGGUGUCUCAUAUAUAUAUACAGUCGAUUUAUUUCUCAUAUUAAUGACGCACAAUAUUUUGCACAAUAAAUAAUGAAAUUGUUUAAAGAAAGAUAUUAAAUGUGUAUUGUCAAAAAAUGAUUUGCAUAUGAUAUGAUUUUAACUUGCGCAAGUAAUCCAUAUUAGAAAGGUAAGUUAUUAAAAACAAACAACAUAAUUAGAAACAUUAAAAUAUUUUGUAAGCAAUGUAAUAAAUAUGAUAUCAACAUGCGCAAGUUUACCGUUUGAAUAAUAAGGAAAGUUUUUAAUAUUUGUCUUAAUUCUAAAUCUUGCCCAAGGGUAAACUAAAUCGAUAAUAUUUAAUGAUUUCAACUUGCGCAAGUAAUCCAUAUUGUAAAUAAGUGAUUUGCAUAUUUAAUGAUUUCAACUUGCCAAGUAAUCCAUAUUAGAAACGUAAGUUAUUAAAAACAAAUUUUGUCAAUAAGUUAUUUGCAUAUUUAAUGAUUUCAACUUACACAAGUAAUCCAUAUUAGAAAGGUAAGUUAUUAAAAACAAACAACCUAAUUAGUAGGGAUGGGCACUUUACCCGAUAUCCGAAGUGGCACCCGAACCCGAUCCGAAAANNNNNNNNNNNNNNNNNNNNNNNNNNNNNNNNNNNNNNNNNNNNNNNNNNNNNNNNNNNNNNNNNNNNNNNNNNNNNNNNNNNNNNNNNNNNNNNNNNNNNNNNNNNNNNNNNNNNNNNNNNNNNNNNNNNNNNNNNNNNNNNNNNNNNNNNNNNNNNNNNNNNNNNNNNNNNNNNNNNNNNNNNNNNNNNNNNNNNNNNNNNNNNNNNNNNNNNNNNNNNNNNNNNNNNNNNNNNNNNNNNNNNNNNNNNNNNNNNNNNNNNNNNNNNNNNNNNNNNNNNNNNNNNNNNNNNNNNNNNNNNNNNNNNNNNNNNNNNNNNNNNNNNNNNNNNNNNNNNNNNNNNNNNNNNNNNNNNNNNNNNNNNNNNNNNNNNNNNNNNNNNNNNNNNNNNNNNNNNNNNNNNNNNNNNNNNNNNNNNNNNNNNNNNNNNNNNNNNNNNNNNNNNNNNNNNNNNNNNNNNNNNNNNNNNNNNNNNNNNNNNNNNNNNNNNNNNNNNNNNNNNNNNNNNNNNNNNNNNNNNNNNNNNNNNNNNNNNNNNNNNNNNNNNNNNNNNNNNNNNNNNNNNNNNNNNNNNNNNNNNNNNNNNNNNNNNNNNNNNNNNNNNNNNNNNNNNNNNNNNNNNNNNNNNNNNNNNNNNNNNNNNNNNNNNNNNNNNNNNNNNNNNNNNNNNNNNNNNNNNNNNNNNNNNNNNNNNNNNNNNNNNNNNNNNNNNNNNNNNNNNNNNNNNNNNNNNNNNNNNNNNNNNNNNNNNNNNNNNNNNNNNNNNNNNNNNNNNGGCUGAGGUGUGUAAGUCACCAGGGCCUUGCUAUCUCCAGGCUCACGUGUCCCGCCCUCUCCAGCUUGGCCUGAGCUCCCAGCAACACUUGAACUCCCCGGCUCACUUCCAGCAUACGAGACAUUGGCUCUCCCAUCUUUCUCUCUUGAGAACUUGGCCGGCUUCAGAUGAGGGUGCAAGAUCCAGCACUGGUUCUUCUUGUGACCUUGUCUCUUGCAAUGAUCACAAUUUCCCGUGAACUUCUUUGCAUCAUACUGGUUAGAGCUUGCACGGUUUGCUUGUGGAACCUCAGCUUGGUUUGCAAGAGUGAUCUCCCCUUUCCCUCCAAAGAGACCAAUAGACCCUUCCUCCUUCUGAACUUGCGCACACACGUCCUCAAGAUCAGGUAACUUUCCGGACCUCAGAAUGUGUUUGAUGAGGCUGUUGUAGCUUGGAUUCAACGUGAGCAGCAACCCAAACACCUUAUCCUGCUCGCGUCUCUCAGCCAGCUCAUCUAGGUUGGUUGUGCCUGGCCUCAGCAUCUCCAGUUCGGACCACAAGGCUCUGAACCUCCCAAGAUGCUUAGUGAACUCCAUGUCCUCCUGUGUCAAGCUGUUGAUAGCACGUUUCACUUCAAACACACGGCUCAAGUUUGAGAUGUUACCAUAAACCUUCUUUAGCGUGUCCCAAAGAUCCUUUACUGUCUCACAGUAGCUGUAUGCCUCCAGGAUAGACACUUCAAGAGACCGUUGGAGUAUGGACAUCACCAGCUGAUCAUCCUGCUCCCACUUCUCCUCAUCGCACUCGACAACCUCCUUGUCGCCUUCAUAAGUAAUGAGCUUUGGGGCUUCACUCUGUGUGAUGUGUCCCCAUAAACCCUUACUCCCCACUGCGGUCUUCACCAAACGAGACCACAAAAGAUAGUUACCCCCCUUGAGAGUAACCGGAACCACAGCUUUGUUGCUUUCCAUUUCAGACCCACUCGGAUGAAUGAAAUGCAACUCAAGUGUUCUUAGUAAUCAAACCCAGAUUAUGAUGAACCUGGCUCUGAUACCAUAUGAACUUUAGAGAAUCUGAGUUUGAUAUAAGAAAAGAAAGGGAUUAGAGAAGUUUAGAGGUGAUUUAGAACGAGUUUAGCUAAGAGUUUAGUGUAGAAUCAUGAUUGAGAGUCUUUGAGUCUAAGAGAGUGUUUUUGUGUCAAGAACUGUCUAAUCUUUUAUUAAUGAGAGAGGUUACAUUAUAUAGUCUUAAGAUCCUAGGGUUACAUGAGACUAAAGUGAGUAAAGCAUGUGUAGUCAAGGAGAAGAAAAGCGCCUAAUUCAAAUUGAUCCAAUCAGGUGCUUCACAUGUGUGACCGGGGAGGAUAAGGUUGCUUUCACUUUACAGCUCUCAUCUAGCCUGUCAAGCCGCGUCCCUUAUCCUUUCUCCAACGUCCGGAUCAGUAACUCCCAAGUUAACUCCUCCCAAGUUUACCAUUUCACUCCCGCAAAGGUAACUUGCCUAUACAUGAGCUUUGGUUGAUCCAUACUCGUACGGAUGGUACGGCCAUUGUACGGCCAGUACGGUAUUGUCUCAACCUAAGCUUUCCCAAACUCUACACACAGCUUCUUCACCUCAUUCUUUCUCUACCCAAGAUUCUCUAAGUCUUCAUAUCAACUCCUCAUCUCAACACUUGGCUUUGGCUUGGGUGCAAGUAACACAUCUGCUGCAUACUCUCUCCACAUCUCUUCUCAUGGUCGGCCAGUAAAAGUGCUCUUUCAGGUGGGCGAGUGUCUUGGCAACUCCAAAGUGCCCCAUCAAUCCUCCUCCAUGUGCUUCCCUAACAUACAACUCUCUCAAAGAACAGUUAGGUAAACAAAGUCGAUUUUCAUAGAAAAGAAAACCCUCAACUUGAUAAAACUUUCCACUGGUAUGUUUCUUGCUUUCUUCAAAUUGAACUUUAAAAUCUUGAUCAUCUUCAUAAUAAGACUUUAUUUGUUCAAAACCUAACAGCUUAGCUUCCAUAGAAGUGAAAAGAGUAUACCUUCUGGAGAGUGCAUCAGCCACAAUGUUUUCUUUACCUUGUUUAUAGUGAAUCACAUAAGGAAAGGUUUCCAAGAACUCUACCCAUCUGGCGUGUCUCUUGUUGAGCUUGUGCUGUCCCUUCAGGUGUUUCAAGGACUCAUGAUCAGUGUGUAUAACAAACUCCUUUGGCCAGAGAUAGUGCUGCCAAGUUUGGAGUGCUCUAAUCAAAGCAUAGAGUUCCUUGUCAUAAGUUGGGUAGUUCAGCAUGGCUCCACUUAGUUUCUCACUGAAAUAUGCUAUGGGUCUCUUCUCCUGCAUCAGCACAGCUCUAAUACCUACACCAGAAGCAUCACAUUCAAUUUCAAAGGUCUUAGUAAAAUCUGGAAGAACUAGCAAAGGAGCAUUAGUCAACUUCCCUUUCAGGUUUUGAAAAGCCUCCUCUUGCGCCUUCUCCCACUUGAAACCCACAUCCUUCUUGAUGAAUUCAGUGAGUGGUGCAGCUAUGGUGCUAAAAUCCUUCACAAAUCUUCUAUAAAAGCCGGCAAGACCAUGGAAACUUCUCACCUCGCUCACACUCUUAGGACUAGGCCAGUCUCGGAUAGCUUUAACCUUUUCCUCAUCCACUCUGAUUCCCUGUGCUGUUACAACAAAUCCUAGAAAAACAAGGUGAUCUGUCCCAAAAGUGCAUUUCUUAAAGUUAGCAAACAAGGAUUCUUUCCUAAGCACUUCUAACACAGAUUUCAAGUGAUGCACAUGCUCAGCCAUACUCUUGCUGUAGAUCAAAAUAUCAUCAAAAUAAACUACAACAAAGUGUCCUAUAAAAGACCUCAAGACAUGGUUCAUCAACCUCAUGAAAGUGCUAGGGGCAUUGGUAAGACCAAAUGGCAUAACAAGCCACUCAUACAGACCAUGUUUAGUUUUAAAGGCUGUUUUCCAUUCAUCCCCUUCUUUCAUCCUAAUCUGAUGAUAUCCACUUUUUAAAUCUACCUUAGAGAACACACAAGAACCAUGUAGCUCAUCCAACAUAUCAUCAAGUCUAGGAAUAGGGUGUCUGUACUUUAUAGUGAUAUUGUUGAUGGCUCUGCAAUCUACACACAUGCGCCAGCUUCCAUCCUUCUUAAGCACAAGGAGCACUGGUACUGCACAAGGGCUCAUGCUCUCUCGGAUAUGUCCUUUCUCAAUGAGCUCAUCUACUUGCUUCUGUAGCUCUUUUGUUUCUUCAGGGUUGGUUCUAUAGGCAGGGCGGUUUGGGAGAGAAGCUCCAGGGACCAAGUCUAUUUGGUGUUCAAUCCCACGCAUGGGAGGAAGUCCUGUUGGGCUCUCGUCUGGAAAGACAUCACCAUAAUCCUGCAAAAGAAAUUCAAGUUCACUCGGUAGAACCGGUGCAGGGUCAGAAGAAGACAUUGGUGCACCUUUAAAAACAAAUAAAAGCAUAGAUUGUUGAAGACACAAAGCUUUCUUGAUCUCACUACUCUUGGCUAAGAGAUUAGUCUCCUUCUUUUGCUUGUCAGCUGGUUUCUCUUUAGCUUCUUGUCGCCUAAGUUUUAGUUGAAGUUGAUCCUCAUGUACCUCUUGUGGAGACAAAGGUGCCAGUACAAUCUUCUUGUCUCUGUGGGUGAAGGAAUGCCGGUUAGUGAACCCAUCGUGAAUGACUCUUCUAUCAUACUGCCAAGGCCUUCCCAACAAGAUAUGGCUAGAGUCCAUGGGCAGAACAUCACACACGAUCUCAUCUUGGUAUCUUCCAAUGGUUAUAGGAACCAUUACUUGAUCAGUGACCUUCAGCUCGCCCUCCUCAUUCAACCAUUGUAGAAGGUAUGGCCUAGGAUGCUUCCCUGUUUUCAAUCCAAGCUUUUCUACAAGAGCUUCACUAGCAACAUUAGUACAGCUUCCUCCAUCUAUAAUCAAACUGCAUACUUUUUCAUAAACUAUGCAACGAGUAUGAAAAAGAUUCUCCCUUUGAUUAUCUUCAUCUAGCUUGGAUUGUACUGCCAAUGAUCUCCUUGUGACAAGUAGUUCUCCACGAACUGGAUAGUCUAUGGCUUCCUCUUCUUCUUCGGAUAUCACCUCACCACUGUCCAAGAGGAUCAUUGCUUUCUUGUUGGUGCACUCAUUGGCAUAGUGCCCAAAACCAUGACAUUUGAAGCACUUCACAUCCCUGGAUCUAGCAGCUGGUGCCUUUCCCUUGUCUUCAUGCUCUUCCUUGGGUUUCACAAAAUACUUGUCAUCUUUGGUAGUAGGCGCUUUGUAGUUGUUGCCAUAGGAUCCUUUGGUUGAGGACUUUCUCUUCAGUUGCUGCUCAAUGAGGAUUGCUUUGUGAAGCAAUUCAUAGAUGUCGUCAUACUCCUGCAUCUCCAAGCGGUCCUGGAUGUCUCUGUUAAGCCCAGCCUGAAAUCGAUCCAUAGUAGCUUCAGAAGCUUCUUCAACAGCCGCUUUGAUCAUGAGUAUUUCCAUCUCUUGAUAGUAAUCCUCCACGCCUUUGGUUCCUUGGGUAAGUCUCCUCAGCUUUUGAUGAAUCUCUCUACCAUAGUGGUUUGGAACAAACCGCUUCUUCAUGAGUGUCUUGAGCUCAAACCAUGAAGCAACUGGCGGCUCUCCAGUCCUUCUCCUAGUAGUAACAAUCUGAUCCCACCAAUGCAAAGCAUACCCACUGAAUUCUGUCACAGCAAGCUUCACCUUCUUUGUUUCUGAGUAGUGCUGGCAAUCAAACACUCGCUCAAUCUUCGUUUCCCAUUCAAGAUAAGCAUCUGGAUUGCUGGUUCCACUGAAGACUGGUAUUCGAAGUUUGAGACUCCCAAGGUUAUCAUCUGGUCUGUUCCUUGCUGCAUGGCGUGUAGGGGAUCUUGCUUGGGAGGCUGCACGUCCUGUUCUCACUGAUCUUGCUGAUCCCACGGACCGUUCUCCAUCAGUACUAUGGCCAGAAGAAGUAUCUUCAUCCUUAGAUUCGUCUCCUACUGCAGGUCGCUUGCCUCUCCUCUUUUCCCUAGCUGGUCUCCUAACCUGUGAAGUUGUGCCAAAGACAGGGUUAGUAGAACGAGUAGCUCCAACAAAUUCAAGUUUUUUAUCCAUCUCUUUCAUGAGAGUAGCCAUGAUAGCAUCUAGUUGUGCUUUAUCCAGUCUAGCCACGGGCCUUUCUUUAUCACUUUCAGACAUGGUUUCCUGUUAAGACUUCAACAAGAAAAGUAAGUACACAAUAGAUAUAGCCGAAGCCUCACUUAGUGUUUCUCUCAAGUGUUUCUCUCAAUGAUUUCUCAAGUGAUUUUCUCAGUGAUUCCAAGAGUUCAAUGAUCAGACAAACAAACUCAAAGCCAGAGAAGUAAAAAAUCCCAAAAACCCAAAGAAAUAGAUAGACAGAUUUAAGAAAUUUUGGUUUGCAAGGAGCUUUACCACCAGAGACUGGAUUUCUCUUCAGUCUGGCUGGAUUUCUCCUCAGCCCUAGUCGGAUGUCUCCUCGACUUUCUUAGAUACUUAGAUCUCUUUUUUUUUUUUUUUUUUAUACUGGUUGGCCCCCUUGCAGAUACAACAGAUAGAAAGUAAAGAGAAAAAAGAAAACUGCAGAGAGUUGCAGAGAAUCAGAAAAAGAAAAUUAGGUUCCCAAAACAGAGAGAGAAGAAUUGAAUCGACAAACCCCUUUGAUUAGAAGCCCUCAAGCAGCUCUGAUACCACUUAAUAGCUUCCUGGUCAAGGAAGAACCCUAGGAUGCUCUUGAGGGUCGAUCUGGUAUUGAUUUGGUGGUGAUGGAUCAGGUUACUAACACUGAUGGAAAGAUGAUCGAUUGAUGAGUUGAUAGAAAGGGGAUUGGUGAUCGAUGGUAGAGAUGGUUUCAGUGAUGAUCUGCGGAAUGAUCAGGCACUGAUUGGGAUGAUCUUAGUCCGUGAGAGGCAGCCCCACUAGUGAACAAGAUCAAGGCUUAAGGAAGAUCACUCUUCUAGCCAAAUUCGAUGUCCAAAAACUGAACAAAGGAAUCACAAGUUUAGAGAGAAUUUUGAUAACAAAAGUGAUUCGUUUUAUUCAGAUCUUGCAGAGAGUUUAAGUAGAAAGAAAGGAAUGCAAAGAGUCACCAAGGACUUGUAGUUUUCGAAAGUAAAACUAGGUAGUGUUGAAGAUUGAACAAUUGAAUAUCUUCAAGGCUUCUUUGACUUGGUUUUCUUCAGAUGUCGAGAUUGGUUUAGUGUAAACCAAUCCGAGAAUUGCCUCCUUCAAUUGUCUUGUCUUUGAUCUGGUUAUUGGCCCAUUGGAGAAAGAGAAUGGGUCUCGUGCUGAGUUAAAUCCAAUUGAACUCCCAUCCAGCUCCUUGUAUCCAAUUGUAGUGUUCGUCUCAUCCAGCUCCUCUUCACUGUCACUCUCUUCCAGCUCUUCAUGCGCAAGAUCAGCUACUGGUUCAGUCAAGCUCACAUCAUCCCCUCCUCCUUUAAAAGGAUUUGUCCUCAAAUCCAAAUCAUCUGCACGAAAAGGGAUCAAGUCAGCAACAUUGAAAGUAGAACUUAUAGAAUACUUACCUUGAAGAUCAAUCUUGUAAGCAUUGUUGUUGAUCUGUUCAAGCACAGUGAAAGGUCCAUCUGUCCUUGGCAUCAGUUUAGACUUUCUUUCUUCAGGAAACCUCUCCUUUCUCAAGUGAAUCCAUACAAGAUCUCCUGGUUCCAGCAACAGCUCAUGUCUCUUCUUGUUUGCUUGCUUUUCAUACUCCUUGGUCCUCUUCUCAAUGUUCUUCUUUACCUGUUCAUGCAAUGAAACAACAAACUCGGCUUUUGCCUUGCCAUCAAGAUUAGUUUGCUCAUUGUAUGGUAAAGGCAUGAGAUCCAAAGGAGUCAAAGGAUUGAAUCCAUAAACAAUCUGAAAAGGUGAGAACUUUGUAGCACUAUGCACAGAAUGGUUAUAAGCAAACUCCACAUGAGGAAUACAAUCUUCCCAAGUUUUGAUGUUCUUUUUAAUCACAGCACGCAAGAGAGCAGACAAAGAUCUGUUAACUACUUCAGUUUGUCCAUCAGUUUGAGGAUGACAAGUAGUAGAGAAUUUCAACUUUGUUCCAAGUUUAGACCACAAUGUUCUCCAGAAAUGACUAAGAAAUUUAGUAUCCCUAUCAGACACUAUUGAUCUAGGCAUGCCAUGCAAACGAACAACCUCUCUAAAGAAAAGUUCAGCAACCAUUAAGGCAUCAUCAGUUUUGUGACAUGGAAUGAAAUGUGCCAUUUUUGAGAACCUAUCAACAACUACAAAGAUUGAAUCUCUGCCCUUUCUAGUCCUAGGCAAACCAAGCACAAAAUCCAUUGAUAUAUCAAUCCAUGGAGCAUCAGGAAUGGGAAGAGGAGUAUACAAACCUUGAGGUCGGGCCUUGGUAUGAACUUUAGAGAAUCUGAGUUUGAUAUAAGAAAAGAAAGGGAUUAGAGAAGUUUAGAGGUGAUUUAGAACGAGUUUAGCUAAGAGUUUAGUGUAGAAUCAUGAUUGAGAGUCUUUGAGUCUAAGAGAGUGUUUUUGUGUCAAGAACUGUCUAAUCUUUUAUUAAUGAGAGAGGUUACAUUAUAUAGUCUUAAGAUCCUAGGGUUACAUGAGACUAAAGUGAGUAAAGCAUGUGUAGUCAAGGAGAAGAGGAGCGCCUAAUUCAAAUUGAUCCAAUCAGGUGCUUCACAUGUGUGACCGGGGAGGAUAAGGUUGCUUUCACUUUACAGCUCUCAUCCAGCCUGUCAAGCCGCGUCCCUUAUCCUUUCUCCAACGUCCGGAUCAGUAACUCCCAAGUUAACUCCUCCCAAGUUUACCAUUUCACUCCCGCAAAGGUAACUUGCCUAUACAUGAGCUUUGGUUGAUCCAUACUCGUACGGAUGGUACGGCCAUUGUACGGCCAGUACGGUAUUGUCUCAACCUAAGCUUUCCCAAACUCUACACACAGCUUCUUCACCUCAUUCUUUCUCUACCCAAGAUUCUCUAAGUCUUCAUAUCAACUCCUCAUCUCAACACUCCCCCUCAAGCUUAGCUUUGUGAAAGUCUAAGCUUGGACAGCCAUGAGAUCUUCCUCAUUAAAAACCUCACCAAAGAAAACCCAUUGGGACAAAACUUUGAUGAGGGAAAAAGAGUGAAGACCUCAUAGCUAAGGGGCUUAGCUCCUUCUCGUGAGAUCAAUGAGUCCUAGCCGGCUAUGAAUGGACUCAAUUGUCUUCUGCCUUGCUGCCUUUGUGAACACAUCUGCUAGCUGAUCUUCACUUCUUGUGUAACAUGGUAAGAUGACUCCAAGAAGUAUCAUCUGCCUCACCUUGUGACAAUCUACCUCAAUGUGCUUGGUUCUCUCAUGGAAGACUGAGUUGGUGGCAAUGUGUAUAGCAGCCUGGUUGUCGCAAUGCAUUGUCAUUGGAGUGGAUUGAGUAAUCUCCAAGUGCUUCAGUAUCCCUUUGAUCCACACAAGCUCGUUAGUCAGCUUCAGCAUGGCUCGGUAUUCAGCUUCAGCACUUGAGCAUGAGACCACCUUCUGCUUCUUACUCUUCCAAGUUACCAAGUUCCCUCCAAUGAAUGUGCAGUAGCCAGUUGUGGAUCUUCUAUCUGCUCUAUCUCCUGCCCAAUCCGCAUCACAGUAGCCUACAACUUCAGUACUCCCAUUACACCCCAUCCACACUCCUUGAUCCGCUGAGCCAUUGAGAUACAUCAAGAUCCGGUUCACCAUUCCCCAAUGAUGUUCUUUUGGAACUUGCAUAUGCUGGCUUACCUGGUUCACAGCAAAACAAAUAUCAGGACGUGUGAUGGUUAGGUAUAUAAGCUUACCCACUAGCUUCCUAUAAAGCUUUGCAUCCUUGAAUGGUGGACUGUCUUCAGUCUCCCCCUCACGUGGAACCUUGUAUCCAUCUUCCAAGGGAGUCUUGGCCGUCUUUCCAUCAAGCUUACCUGCAUCUUUCAACAGAUCAAGUGUAUACUUUCUUUGGGAUAGAAACAACCCUUCCUUGGAUCUACAUAUCUCAAUUCCAAGGAAGUAUUUCAUCUCUCCCAAGUCUUUAAUCUCAAAAACAGAUUUAAGAAAGUCUUUGGUAGCUUGUAUCUCUUCUUUAUCACUACCUGUUAUAAUGAUGUCAUCUACAUAUACAAGUAGAACGACAAUACCUGAAGGUGUGUUGAGUGUGAAGAGAGUAUGAUCAAGCUCUGACUUCCUAAAGCCUCUUCCAUUCAGAGUUGUGCUCAACUUGUGGUACCAUGCCCUUGGUGAUUGUUUCAGACCAUAGAUAGCUUUCUUUAGUCUGAGAACAUUCCCUUUCUUCACCAAGUGCUCUAGACCAGGAGGAGGUAACAUAUACACUUCAUCUUCUAGUUCCCCUUGUAGGAAUGCAUUCUUUACAUCCAUUUGCCACAAACCCCACUCAAGGUUUACCGCAAGUGAUAGGACAAUCCUGAUGGUAUGUAGUUUAGCAACUGGUGCAAAUGUGUCUAUAUAAUCCUCUCCAUAUGUUUGAGUAAAUCCUCUUGCAACUAACCGAGUCUUCUUUCUAUCAAUCUGUCCAUUUGCUAGGUACUUGAUUGUGAAGAUCCAUCUACUAGACACUGCUCUCUUCCCUUUAGGUAACUCACUCUCAUACCAAGUGUCAUUCUUGAUCAUUGCAUUGGAUUCAGCUCCUACUGAUUCCCUCCAUUCCUUGUCCUUCAUGGCUUCCUCAUAUGACUUCGGUACAUGGCUCUCAUCUAAGCUUACCAUAAAGGCACAAUGUUCUUCUGGAUAAUGAGCAAAGGAACACACAGCUUGAGAAGGAUGUUCCACAGCCUGGGCAUUGUAGUACACUCUCGUGUUUACCCAAUUGGAACUAUCCUUUCUCACUCUGGUGCUUCUUCUCAAUGGCUGCACAGCCGGCUCUGGUUCAGGUUCAGUUGUAGUUGCAUUCGUUUCCUCCUCUUGAUCCUCUUGAUCUUGGCUCGGUACCUCCCUAUCUUCAUGUAUCAUACUUUGAUCAUGAUCACCUGAGCCUUCUUGAUCGUGGCUUUCAACAUGUACUUCAGCCGGUUCAGGUGUUGUUUCCCCCCCAUGAUCUAAGUUUGAUGCCUCUGUAGAUUGUGUGUUUGUUGUGCUGCGUCUUUCCUUCGGAUCCUGGGUAGUAUGUAUCCCAAGGCCCUCUAGAAUGCUUCUAAGACUGGCCGCUCUAUCUGACUCUCUUGUCAAUUCUAGCAACUCAUCUUGAUUCUUUUCCUCAUAGAACCCCUUAGCUUCAAUGAACUUCACAUCUCUAGAGACUAGAACCCUUCUAGUAGUAGGAUCAUAGCACUUGUAACCCUUUUGAGUAGUAGAGUAGCCAACAAACAUAGCUCUUGUGCUGGUUGCUUCAAGCUUGUUUCUCAACUCUUUUGGCCUCAGAACAAAGCAUAGACAUCCAAAGAUUCGCAUAUGCUCCAAUGAUGGCUUGUAUCUGUUCAAGGCUUCAAAAGGGGACUGAUCAUGUAGAAUCUUAGUUGGGAUCCGGUUGAUUAGAUAACAGGAUGUAGCCACAGCAUCACUCCAAAACCUCUUAGGGACAUUUGCUUGAAACAUCAUUGACCUUGCCACCUCCAUGAGAUGCCUAUUCUUUCUCUCAGCCACUCCAUUUUGCUGAGGAGUAUAAGGACAACUCGUUUGGUGUAGUAUCCCAUGUUGAGCUAGAUGUUGCUUGAAGGCUUGACCAGUGUAUUCCCCACCAUUAUCUGAUCUCAAAAUUUUAAUCUUGGCAUUGUAAUGGUUAGUCACAUAGUUUUGAAAAUUUUUAAAAGCUUCAAGCACCCUAUCUUUGGUUUGAAUAAGUGUUAUCCAGGUGUAUUUCGAUUUUUCAUCUAUGAAUGUGACAAAGUAUUUAAAACUAUCCCUAGACAAGCAAGGAGCAGUCCAAACAUCAGAGUGAAUUAAAUCAAAGCACUUGUCAUAAACAGUAGAUGAAAUGGGAAACACAGUUUUACAAUGCUUGCCUAAGAUGCAAGCUUCACAAUCCUUAUUUUCAAAUACCACACCUGGUAACAUCAAGUUUAAAGCCCUAACAUGGGGAUGACCUAGUCUAGCAUGCCACAAUGCAUUUUUAUUCAUCAUAGAAGCAGAAGUAAAUGAGCACAAGUAAUCAGAAACAGGAGCUAGUUCUUCAAGUAAAUAUAAAUCUCCCUUGGUAACUCCUUUUCCAAUCAAUUGGCUGCUCUCAAUAUCCUGAAACUUCACAUCAUUAGGACUGAAUAUAACAUUGCAAUUAAGAUCUGUAGUGCAUUUCUUUACAGAUAAUAGAUUUGAUGUGAAGUCAGGCAUGUAAAAUGCUUUAGAUUCUUUAUCAAACAAUUUUAGCUUGCCAAUUCCUCUAAUUGGGAUUUUAUCUCCAUUUGCAAUCAUAACAUGUCCAUUUGUAGGUUCAAUGUCUCUAAUCAAGCUAGUAUCACUAAUCAUGUGAUGAGAUGCUCCUGAAUCAACUACCAAUGGUUUAAACAGAUUGUGUGCAAUAUGAGACUGUCCUAGUAUGCUAGUAGGCUUAUAAGCAAUGCUUGAGUGUUCAGGUUCUCUAGCAAUACUAUACGGUUCAUAUGAUGCACCAAAAGAGUAACCAAGAGUACCAAGUGUGUUACCGUUCUCCUUUAGCAUUUUGAUGAGGGAGUCAAGGUCUGAUCUCCUCAGGUACUCGUUCUCACGGUUGUUCUGAAGGCUUGGUUGAGCUGUGUAAGUCACCAGGGCCUUGCUAUCUCCAGGCUCACGUGUCCCGCCCUCUACAGCUUGGCCUGAGCUCCCAGCAACACUUGAACUCCCCGGCUCACUUCCAGCAUACGAGACAUUGGCUCUCCCAUCUUUCUCUCUUGAGAACUUGGCCGGCUUCAGAUGAGGGUGCAAGAUCCAGCACUGGUUCUUCUUGUGACCUUGUCUCUUGCAGUGAUCACAAUUUCCCGUGAACUUCUUUGCAUCAUACUGGUUAGAGCUUGCACGGUUUGCUUGUGGAACCUCAGCUUGGUUUGCAAGAGUGAUCUCCCCUUUCCCUCCAAAGAGACCAAUAGACCCUUCCUCCUUCUGAACUUGCGCACACACGUCCUCAAGAUCAGGUAACUUUCCGGACCUCAGAAUGUGUUUGAUGAGGCUGUUGUAGCUUGGAUUCAAUGUGAGCAGCAACCCAAACACCUUAUCCUGCUCGCGUCUCUCAGCCAGCUCAUCUAGGUUGGUUGUGCCUGGCCUCAGCAUCUCUAGUUCGGACCACAAGGCUCUGAACCUCCCAAGAUGCUUAGUGAACUCCAUGUCCUCCUGUGUCAAGCUGUUGAUAGCACGUUUCACUUCAAACACACGGCUCAAGUUUGAGAUGUUACCAUAAACCUUCUUUAGCGUGUCCCAAAGAUCCUUUGCUGUCUCACAGUAGCUGUAUGCCUCCAGGAUAGACACUUCAAGAGACCGUUGGAGUAUGGACAUCACCAGCUGAUCAUCCUGCUCCCACUUCUCCUCAUCGCACUCGACAACCUCCUUGUCGCCUUCAUAAGUAAUGAGCUUUGGGGCUUCACUCUGUGUGAUAUGUCCCCAUAAACCCUUACUCCCCACUGCGGUCUUCACCAAACGAGACCACAAAAGAUAGUUACCCCCCUUGAGAGUAACCGGAACCACAGCUUUGUUGCUUUCCAUUUCAGACCCACUCGGAUAAAUGAAAUGCAACUCAAGUGUUCUUAGUAAUCAAACCCAGAUUAUGAUUAACCUGGCUCUGAUACCAUAUGAACUUUAGAGAAUCUGAGUUUGAUAUAAGAAAAGAAAGGGAUUAGAGAAGUUUAGAGGUGAUUUAGAACGAGUUUAGCUAAGAGUUUAGUGUGGAAUCAUGAUUGAGAGUCUUUGAGUCUAAGCGAGUGUUUUUGUGUCAAGAACUGUAUUAUUAUCAUUAAUGAAGAGAUUACAAAUAUAUAGGAGAGGAUACAAGGGUUUUCCUUAAAGGUAAAGUAAGCAAAGCAUGUGGAGUCAAGGAUAAGAUAAGCGCCUAAUUCAAACUAAGCCAAUGGGAGACUCCACAUGUGUGGGAUGAAUGGAUAAGGUUGCUUUCCCUUUCCAGCUGCAUACAGCCUGUCAAGCCGCGGCCUUAUCCUUCCCUCAACGGUCUGAUCAAGUGCUGGUAACUCUUCAUAGUUACCAUCUCCCUUUUCACAAGUAACCAUCCUGUAUAGUGAAGAGUGUUACCCAAGACUUGUACGGCCACUCCUCAUGUACGGAGUGUACGGAUUGUACGAACUCAGCCUCCUCAAUCCCUUUCUUCCUAAUGCUUCACUACUUCAUGCCCUUUCCUCCCAUUCAUUACUCAUCACUCCAUUUCAUGAUCUCAUCUCAAAAUGAUCUCAUCUCAACAGAAGGAACAAGCUAGAAGCAAAGAGUACUAAAGCUAUGUUCAUUGGGUACUCAAUCACUCAGAAAGGCUACACUCCCCCUCAAGCUUAGCUUUGUGAAAGUCUAAGCUUGGAUAGCCAUGAGAUCUUCCUCAUUAAAAACCUUACCAAAGAAAACCCAUUGGGACAAAACUUUGAUAAGGGAAAAAGAGUAAAGACCUCAUAGCUAAGGGGCUUAGCUCCUUCUCGUGAGAUCAAUGAGUCCUAGCCGGCUAUGAAUGGACUCAAUUGUCUUCUGCCUUGCUGCCUUUGUGAACACAUCUGCUAGCUGAUCUUCACUUCUUGUGUAACAUGGUAAGAUGACUCCAAGAAGUAUCAUCUGCCUCACCUUGUGACAAUCUACCUCAAUGUGCUUGGUUCUCUCAUGGAAGACUGAGUUGGUGGCAAUGUGUAUAGCAGCCUGGUUGUCGCAAUGCAUUGUCAUUGGAGUGGAUUGAGUAAUCUCCAAGUGCUUCAGUAUCCCUUUGAUCCACACAAGCUCAUUAGUCAACUUCAGCAUGGCUCGGUAUUCAGCUUCAGCACUUGAGCAUGAGACCACCUUCUGCUUCUUACUCUUCCAAGUUACCAAGUUCCCUCCAAUGAAUGUGCAGUAGCCAGUUGUGGACCUUCUAUCUGCUCUAUCUCCUGCCCAAUCCGCAUCACAGUAGCCCACAACUUCAGUACUCCCAUUACACCCCAUCCACACUCCUUGAUCCGCUGAGCCAUUGAGAUACAUCAAGAUCCGGUUCACCAUUCCCCAAUGAUGUUCUUUUGGAACUUGCAUAUGCUGGCUUACCUGGUUCACAGCAAAACAAAUAUCAGGACGUGUGAUGGUUAGGUAUAUAAGCUUACCCACUAGCUUCCUAUAAAGCUUUGCAUCCUUGAAUGGUGGACUGUCUUCAAUCUCCCCCUCACGUGGAACCUUGUAUCCAUCUUCCAAGGGAGUCUUGGCCGUCUUUCCAUCAAGCUUACCUGCAUCUUUCAACAGAUCAAGUGUAUACUUUCUUUGGGAUAGAAACAACCCUUCCUUGGAUCUACAUAUCUCAAUUCCAAGGAAGUAUUUCAUCUCUCCCAAGUCUUUAAUCUCAAAAACAGAUUUAAGAAAGUCUUUGGUAGCUUGUAUCUCUUCUUUAUCACUACCUGUUAUAAUGAUGUCAUCUACAUAUACAAGUAGAACGACAAUACCUGAAGGUGUGUUGAGUGUGAAGAGAGUAUGAUCAAGCUCUGACUUCCUAAAGCCUCUUCCAUUCAGAGUUGUGCUCAACUUGUGGUACCAUGCCCUUGGUGAUUGUUUCAGACCAUAGAUAGCUUUCUUUAGUCUGAGAACAUUCCCUUUCUUCACCAAGUGCUCUAGACCAGGAGGAGGUAACAUAUACACUUCAUCUUCUAGUUCCCCUUGUAGGAAUGCAUUCUUCACAUCCAUUUGCCAUAAACCCCACUCAAGGUUUACCGCAAGUGAUAGGACAAUCCUGAUGGUAUGUAGUUUAGCAACCGGUGCAAAUGUGUCUAUAUAAUCCUCUCCAUAUGUUUGAGUAAAUCCUCUUGCAACCAACCGAGUCUUCUUUCUAUCAAUCUGUCCAUUUGCUAGGUACUUGAUUGUAAAGAUCCAUCUACUCGACACUGCUCUCUUCCCUUUAGGUAACUCACUCUCAUACCAAGUGUCAUUCUUGAUCAUUGCAUUGGAUUCAGCUCCUACUGAUUCCCUCCAUUCCUUGUCCUUCAUGGCUUCCUCAUAUGACUUCGGAACAUGGCUCUCAUCUAAGCUUACCAUAAAGGCACAAUGUUCUUCUGGAUAAUGAGCAAAGGAACACACAGCUUGAGAGGGAUGUUCCACAGCCUGGGCAUUGUAGUACACUCUCGUGUUUACCCAGUUGGAACUAUCCUUUCUCACUCUGGUGCUUCUUCUCAAUGGCUGCACGGCCGGCUCUGGUUCAGGUUCAGUUGUAGUUGCAUUAGUUUCCUCCUCUUGAUCCUCUUGAUCUUGGCUCGGUACCUCCCUAUCUUCAUGCAUCAUACUUUGAUCCUGAUCACCUGAGCCUUCUUGAUCGUGGCUUUCAACAUGUACUUCAGCCGGUUCAGGUGUUGUUUCCCCCCCAUGAUCUAAGUUUGAUGCCUCGGUAGGUUGUGUGUUUGUUGUGCUGCGUCUUUCCUUCGGAUCCUGGGUAGUAUGUAUCCCAAGGCCCUCUAGAAUGCUUCUAAGGCUGGCCGCUCUAUCUGACUCUCUUGUCAAUUCUAGCAACUCAUCUUGAUUCUUUUCCUCAUAGAACCCCUUAGCUUCAAUGAACUUCACAUCUCUAGAGACUAGAACCCUUCUAGUAGUAGGAUCAUAGCACUUGUAACCCUUUUGAGUAGUAGAGUAGCCAACAAACAUAGCUCUUGUGCUGGUUGCUUCAAGCUUGUUUCUCAACUCUUUUGGCCUCAGAACAAAGCAUAGACAUCCAAAGAUUCGCAUAUGCUCCAAUGAUGGCUUGUACCUGUUCAAGGCUUCAAAAGGGGACUGAUCAUGUAGAAUCUUAGUUGGGAUCCGGUUGAUUAGAUAACAGGAUGUAGCCACAGCAUCACUCCAAAACCUCUUAGGGACAUUUGCUUGAAACAUCAUUGAUCUUGCCACCUCCAUGAGAUGCCUAUUCUUUCUCUCAGCCACUCCAUUUUGCUGAGGAGUAUAAGGACAACUCGUUUGGUGUAGUAUCCCAUGUUGAGCUAGAUGUUGCUUGAAGGCUUGACCAGUGUAUUCCCCACCAUUAUCUGAUCUCAAAAUUUUAAUCUUGGCAUUGUAAUGGUUAGUCACAUAGUUUUGAAAAUUUUUAAAAGCUUCAAGCACCCUAUCUUUGGUUUGAAUAAGUGUUAUCCAGGUGUAUUUCGAUUUUUCAUCUAUGAAUGUGACAAAGUAUUUAAAACUAUCCCUAGACAAGCAAGGAGCAGUCCAAACAUCAGAGUGAAUUAAAUCAAAGCACUUGUCAUAAACAGUAGAUGAAAUGGGAAACACAGUUUUACAAUGCUUGCCUAAGAUGCAAGCUUCACAAUCCUUAUUCUCAAAUACCACACCUGGUAACAUCAAGUUUAAAGCCCUAACAUGGGGAUGACCUAGUCUAGCAUGCCACAAUGCAUUUUUAUUCAUCAUAGAAGCAGAAGUAAAUGAGCACAAGUAAUCAGAAACAGGAGCUAGUUCUUCAAGUAAAUAUAAAUCUCCCUUGGUAACUCCUUUUCCAAUCAAUUGGCUGCUCUCAAUAUCCUGAAACUUCACAUCAUUAGGACUGAAUAUAACAUUGCAAUUAAGAUCUGUAGUGCAUUUCUUUACAGAUAAUAGAUUUGAUGUGAAGUCAGGCAUGUAAAAUGCUUUAGAUUCUUUAUCAAACAAUUUUAGCUUGCCAAUUCCUCUAAUUGGGAUUUUAUCUCCAUUUGCAAUCAUGACAUGUCCAUUUGUAGGUUCAAUGUCUCUAAUCAAACUAGUAUCACUAAUCAUGUGAUGAGAUGCUCCUGAAUCAACUACCAAUGGUUUAAACAGAUUGUGUGCAAUAUGAGACUGUCCUAGUAUGCUAGUAGGUUUAUAAGCAAUGCUUGAAUGAUCAGGUUCUCUAGCAAUACUAUACGGUUCAUAUGAUGCACCAAAAGAGUAACCAAGAGUACCAAGUGUGUUACCAUUCUACUUUAGCAUUUUGAUGAGGGAGUCAAGGUCUGAUCUCCUCAGGUACUCGUUCUCACGGUUGUUCUGAAGGCUUGGUUGAGCUGUGUAAGUCACCAGGGCCUUGCUAUCUCCAGGCUCACGUGUCCCGCCCUCUACAGCUUGGCCUGAGCUCCCAGCAACACUUGAACUCCCCGGCUCACUUCCAGCAUACGAGACAUUGGCUCUCCCAUCUUUCUCUCUUGAGAACUUGGCCGGCUUCAGAUGAGGGUGUAAGAUCCAGCACUGGUUCUUCUUGUGACCUUGUCUCUUGCAGUGAUCACAAUUUCCCGUGAACUUCUUUGCAUCAUACUGGUUAGAGCUUGCACGGUUUGCUUGUGGAACCUCAGCUUGGUUUGCAAGAGUGAUCUCCCCUUUCCCUCCAAAGAGACCAAUAGACCCUUCCUCCUUCUGAACUUGCGCACACACGUCCUCAAGAUCAGGUAACUUUCCGGACCUCAGAAUGUGUUUGAUGAGGCUGUUGUAGCUUGGAUUCAAUGUGAGCAGCAACCCAAACACCUUAUCCUGCUCGCGUCUCUCAGCCAGCUCAUCUAGGUUGGUUGUGCCUGGCCUCAGCAUCUCUAGUUCGGACCACAAGGCUCUGAACCUCCCAAGAUGCUUAGUGAACUCCAUGUCAUACCUUUCCAGCUCAUACCAACAGCUCACCUUAUCCAUUUGAAUCUUCCCUUGCCUCCAAGAGUCUCCAACGGUCACAUGAUUCAAACUAAGUCGCGCCCACACAUUGCACAACUUGGGCAAGGCUGAUCCGGAUGAUGGCCGAACUGGAUAGGUUGUACGGACGCUGUACGGCCUUGAGGUCCGUACACUCGCCCUAUGCCUUCAUCUAACUUCCUUCUAAGGUUGACCCUUACAACGCCCUAUCUUUGCACCAUACUUCCAUCUUCUCUCUAACUCCUCCAAAGCCUUCAUAUGAUCAGUAUAAGUCUUUCCUAGACUUAACCUCACAAGAUAACUACUUCAGAACACUUCUGAAGCUUGAUUGAACUCUUCUAGACAUCUUCUAGAGCUUGCCCUAUUAUUGUACAAGCUCCAUCUCCUCUUCAGUUCAACACUCCCCCUCAAGCUUGACUUUAGGAGAUCCUAAGCCAAGCUUGGAACUCUGAAGAGUCUCCCUCAUUAAAAACCUUACAAGGAAAACCCAUUGGGACAAAACCUUGCAAGGGAAAAAGAGUAGAGCUCUCCAAAGCCUAGGGAUUGGCCAGUGAGCUCUUGUGCCUUAGAACCAAUGUGGUUGGACACAAGAAGCUCUGGAUCACGGCCUAACAGGUGCAGCAACUCUUCACAGCUUUGCGCACACUUCACACUUCACACUUCAGCUUCACCUCUUCAUGGAACCGGUUUGAAGUCUCCCCCUCUCAACUGACUUCAUAGCCAUCUUAGAGAAGCUAGGACACGACCAGAUCAUCUUUGAAACACUAGUGAGGCUGAUCAACACUUCACACACGGCUUGCCCUCUUCAUAGAACUGGUUUGGAUCUCCCCCUCUCAACAGACUUCUCAGCCAUCUUAGAGAAGCUAGGAACUGACCAGGAACAUCUUUAGUGAGGCUCAAGCAAUGGUACCUGAUACAUUAUCCCAAAGGUGCAUCAGUACCUAUCAAAGACAAGAAAAUGAAUAUCCUGCAUCACAUUUGAUGCACACAAUCUCACAAUUCAAUCAUAAUCAUCUUAAGUAUCUUUUCAAGCACAAGUAAUGAAUAAGAUGAAUGAAAAAGAUUGAAAAGAGUUUUAAAAGUCUAAGGGAACUUCCCUUGUGUUUUUGUGAGUUUCCAAACUCGGCCAAAGCAUCAUCUUCAUGGCAUCAUCAACUUCUUGGAAAGGCAGAAUGGAUUCAUCAGCUUCUCCUCAAUCACCCCUCAUUGAAGCCGCAUUGAUGGAGAGCCUUCCUCCUCACUCGCCAAGGCUGCUCUGAACAGCCUCUUGCCUAGACACGCCACUGACUUGGUCCGGUUGAUGAUCCUUGUAGAAGCUUUUGCAAAAGACUUGUUACUGACCAUGGAUCAUAUGCAUUAAGACUCCCCCUCAAGCUUAGAACCGAGACCAGAAGGAGCUAAGCUUGUGAUGAUCCUAUGCAUCUCCAUGGUCUAAUAACUAUCAUCUUUCAUGAUAGCUUUCUUCUUGUGAGUUUACUCUCUUCCUUAACCAGGAACUAGGGUGUUUGAAUCACCAUAGAGAGUCUCACAAGACACACCUUUCAUUGCAUAAUGACCCAUGCUACACUUCCUGUAGACUAAGGACUAGAUAUGUCCAAUGGUAUUAUGCAAUGGCCAUCUCUCAUUGCAUACUCAAUCACACUACACUUCCUGUAGAUUAUGGACUAACAUGUCCUAGUGAUGAUAUGCAAUGGCACAAGACCUUUGUCUUUAUAUUCUUGGUUGUUGGUGAGUUACAUGUAUCCCAUUCCUUGUGUACCUAACACCACCACAACUCAAUGCAAGAUCAGAUCAUCCCAUUGAGAUCAAACCAAGAUUAUCUAUCCUGUUUGAUCACCAAUGCCACAAUAAUAUAUAAUACUUGAAACAAGCUAGACAAUCAACACAAUAAAGCAAAGACAAUCAAUUCAGUUUUUUUUUUAAAUGCAACAAUAACUGAAUGCAUUAGGUUACAUACUCACUAUAUGAAUGAAAUAGAUUUAACCCAAAUGAAACACAAGUCUAGAUGAUACUUAUGCAAUCAAGGCGACAAGAGUGAUUCAAUUCAUGCUUAUGCUCACUAGUUUUAUCAAUGCCAAUGAUCCAAAUAGCUUAGACAUACUUCUAAAUGCUUAUAAGACAUCACUGAUGGAUUUAACUAUGGCAUAGCAACAAUCAGAACUGGACUGAGACAAGACAAGUAGAUUUCAAUCUCUUAACAAUGACAAUGCAAGUUCUAUUUUUUUUUUUUUUAAGUUCUCUAAAUGCAAUACAAGCUUAUCAGCACAUUUGCAAUUUAGGCUCAUUUUUAAAUGCAUUAUUACAUGAAUGCACAAUCUUAAAGCUUUAGCUAUAUGAAUGCAACAGGUUCAAUCCAUGAGCAAUAUUAAGGCUAUGCACAACAGUUUCAAUCAAAACCAAUGAUGCAAACAACUUAGACAAUUUCUAAUUGAUGCAAGACUUUCAUUGAUGGAUUAAACAUAGGCAAUAGCAUCAGAUAACAAUAGGAUUGAACUUAGACACUAUGAGAUAUGCUUAUGUAUGCAAAAUGGCUUAUCAAUCAUGAUGCAAGCAGCAGAGACAUUCUACUCAAUUCUACAACACAUUCAGGAUGAUUCAAGCUAUGACAACAUCCAAGACAAUGCAAUAACAGACCAUGAGAUUCUGGGACUCUAGACAUUACUUACUAUCAAUAAGACAAUGCAGCAGCAAAACAAUUUCAGUGCAAUUAGCCUAGACAUUCUACUAGAAGCUAUAAAUUCUUAAUGGCAUUAGGGAAAGCACAUAGUAUAAUCAGGAGAUAAACCUAUCAAGACAUAUUAAAAUAGAUGAGAUUAGGUUUACUCCCUUGGUUAAAAUGAUGAGGAGUGGUUCUCAAAGUUACCACUUGAAUCCUUACUUCUUCUUCUUCUCUUAUUGCAAUCACCCUUCUGAAGUCACCACCAUGAUGGAAUGCUUGUGGAUGCUUCAGCUACUUCUUCAAUCACCUCACAAUAGAAGCCGCCUUGAUAGAGUAGCCUUCUUCUUCACACAGCCAAGAGUGCUCUGUCUUAGUUUGAGCACCCUCUUGAAUAGGCACGCCACUGCCUAGACCCGGUUGGCUUCUUCUUCUGGUACUUGCAAUGUUAAGAAGAAGAGCACCAGUGAGUUUUACAACCAUCUGUGCUUCUCCCUUUCUUGUAACACCUCUCCAUUGUACACACAAUGGGCAUCAUACUUUCUCUUUCAACUCGGAUUUGAUGAUGACUUAGGAACACCUUUUGUGAACCUGAAACAUCACUCAAACUCUAGCCAAGAUAAGACACAAUUGCAUUGGGAUCAAUCCUUGACUUCAUCAAGUUUGAUCACCAAUGUCUCAAGCUUUAUAACAUUAGAUAGAAUCAAGACAAUGUCAAGUUCUUAUCUAUGCAAGCAACCAUUCUCUAAAUACUAAGCAAGACCUUAUCAGAUUCAAGUCAAAGUAUUUAGGCAAUUUUAAACACUCCUUAAUAUGCAGUUUAGAUUUUAAUCUAAAUGCAAUAAUACAAGGCAGCACCAAGGCAGUAUGCAUUAAUCCUAAUCAGUUUUUAACUCAUGAAAGCAAGCAUGAUUAGAUAAUAUAAUCUAUCAUCCUAACAAGACAAGUUUAUUCAGAGCUGUCAUUAAGCAUUUAACCAUUUUCAAUAGUAUUGAUGUCAAAUCUUGAUUAAUAUAUAAUCAAGUUUGAUUCCUACUAUCACAAGCAAUGCAACAGAUAGACACAAGGCAUUAUCAAGUUCUAUUCUUUGCAAGCUAACUCUCUAAGUACAAGCAAGAUCCUAACAGAUUCAAGACAAGUUACUUAGGCACUCUUAAGAGCUUCUUUACUCAGCACUUAGACAUGAAUCUAAUGCUUCAAUGUAAGACAGCCAGCGGAUUCAUUUCAUGAAACACAAGCAGGUUUAGACGUCUACUAACUUCCUGACAAGCAUCAUUAGAUCCGGGAUUACACAACACAUCAAUCAUCACACCACCUCAACAUUUCUAUACUCAAGCUUUUAAUAAAGAGGGAAAGAGAUCCAGCUUACAGCCAAGGAACUUUUGCUAGUUCCUUGAAUCUCCAUGGUUCAUGACCAGAUGUUGAGCUCCUGGUGUCAUAUCACACCCCUUCUUCUUCCAUGAACCAUCCUCUUGAACCCACCAUGGCUGAGACACCUCCUUUCCUCCCUUUCAAGUCGCCAAAACCAGUACCAAGUAGAAAGCUGUCACCUUUCUUCUUGAACCACCACUAAGACUCAUGAAUCUAGCUCUUGAAGAGUGUUGUCAAACCGCUUCAAGGCUUUGUUCUUCAGGGUCUCCUUUCUUCAGGUCGAGCUUGAUAAGUCAGAAUAGAGCACAUACAGCUUCUAAGGCACCUCGGAUGUGUUUAUCUUCCUCCUGAAGAUGAACAAACGUUGGCUGGACCAAAGAGCUUCUUCUUUGCUUCAAACAGCCAUGGAAGUGGGCUUGAGCUUUGCGGAAGUUAGAUACCAGGUUCUGAUGAACCUGGCUCUGAUACCAUGAGAUUUUAUAAGGAUUUACUCAAGGUGUGUGUGAGAAAGUGUUUAGGAGAGUUUAUGUGAACAGAUUUGAGACUUAUGAGUAUGGGGAGAGAUUUAGAGUAUGAAAGAGACUAGGUAACGAGAUUAAAGAGACUGAGAGACUUAGAGAAUAGAUUAGAGACUUAGUAUCAAGAACAGACUUUCAUAGAACAUGAAGGAGAAGGGUUUCCCCCCUUUACUCACUUAACCUGUUUACAAACGACCAUACUAAGCUUUUAUAUGAGCUUUACAACUUAGAUCAUAAACCUAGAUCCUAAGGCUGUAAAUACAAGAUAGAAUGGAUGGUAAGGAUGAGAGAAGACUGGUCUUGAUGUUCUGGUUCUUAGCUGGCGACUUGAUCCAAUGUAAAGGGCUUAGAUUGCUUCAUUUGAAUUGAAUGGAUAGGAUGAGUCAAGGCUGUAAAGGUAAAGCACCUUUACCUUUCCAGCUCAUACCAACAGCUCACCUUAUCCAUUUGAAUCUUCCCUUGCCUCCAAGAGUCUCCAACGGUCACAUGAUUCAAACUAAGUCGCGCCCACACAUUGCACAACUUGGGCAAGGCUGAUCCGGAUGAUGGCCGAACUGGAUAGGUUGUACGGACGCUGUACGGCCUUGAGGUCCGUACACUCGCCCUAUGCCUUCAUCUAACUUCCUUCUAAGGUUGACCCUUACAACGCCCUAUCUUUGCACCAUACUUCCAUCUUCUCUCUAACUCCUCCAAAGCCUUCAUAUGAUCAGUAUAAGUCUUUCCUAGACUUAACCUCACAAGAUAACUACUUCAGAACACUUCUGAAGCUUGAUUGAACUCUUCUAGACAUCUUCUAGAGCUUGCCCUAUUAUUGUACAAGCUCCAUCUCCUCUUCAGUUCAACACUCAACACACCUUCAGGUAUUGUCGUUCUACUUGUAUAUGUAGAUGACAUCAUUAUAACAGGUAGUGAUAAAAAAGAGAUACAAGCCACCAAAGACUUUCUUAAAUCUGUUUUUGAGAUUAAAGACUUGGGAGAGAUGAAAUACUUCCUUGGGAUUGAGAUAUGUAGAUCCAAGGAAGGUUUGUUUCUAUCCCAAAGAAAGUAUACACUUGAUCUGUUGAAAGAUGCAGGUAAGCUUGAUGGAAAGACAGCCAAGACUCCCUUGGAAGAUGGAUACAAGGUUCCACGUGAGGGGGAGAUUGAAGACAGUCCACCAUUCAAGGAUGCAAAGCUUUAUAGAAAGCUAGUGGGUAAGCUUAUAUACCUAACCAUCACACGUCCUGAUAUUUGUUUUGCUGUGAACCAGGUAAGCCAGCAUAUGCAAGUUCCAAAAGAACAUCAUUGGGGAAUGGUGAACCGGAUCUUGAUGUAUCUCAAUGGCUCAGCGGAUCAAGGAGUGUGGAUGGGGUGUAAUGGAAGUACUGAAGUUGUGGGCUACUGUGAUGCGGAUUGGGCAGGAGAUAGAGCAGAUAGAAGGUCCACAACUGGCUACUGCACAUUCAUUGGAGGGAACUUGGUAACUUGGAAGAGUAAGAAGCAGAAGGUGGUCUCAUGCUCAAGUGCUGAAGCUGAAUACCGAGCUAUGCUGAAGCUGACUAAUGAGCUUGUGUGGAUCAAAGGGAUACUGAAGCACUUGGAGAUUACUCAAUCCACUCCAAUGACAAUGCAUUGCGACAACCAGGCUGCUAUACACAUUGCCACCAACUCAGUCUUCCAUGAGAGAACCAAGCACAUUGAGGUAGAUUGUCACAAGGUGAGGCAGAUGAUACUUCUUGGAGUCAUCUUACCAUGUUACACAAGAAGUGAAGAUCAGCUAGCAGAUGUGUUCACAAAGGCAGCAAGGCAGAAGACAAUUGAGUCCAUCCAUAGCCGGCUAGGACUCAUUGAUCUCACGAGAAGGAGCUAAGCCCCUUAGCUAUGAGGUCUUUACUCUUUUUCCCUUAUCAAAGUUUUGUCCCAAUGGGUUUUCUUUGGUAAGGUUUUUAAUGAGGAAGAUCUCAUGGCUAUCCAAGCUUAGACUUUCACAAAGCUAAGCUUGAGGGGGAGUGUUGAGAUGAGGAGUUGAUAUGAAGGCUUAGAGAGACUUGGGUAAUGAAAGGGAUAAGGAGAUGAAGCAAAGACUGAAGUGAGAGAUGCAUUGGGAGAAUGGUACGGACGGUACAAACCGUACGGAUCAGUUCGACCAAGAUUACUUGAGUCUCGACCUUUCUCCACAUUCUGAAGUUGUGCAAACUUAGGGUAAAGUGUACGGAGUUACCAUGUCCGUACCAUCUGAAGUUACCACGGUAAAAAGAAGUUUGAACAACAAGGAAGAGGGAAAGGCUGAAGACACUUAUGCAAAAGGAAAGUCUCGGCCAAAGGAAAGGAGAUGACCGUUUAUGGAUAAGAGGAGGCGCGGCUUUACAGCUAAGACAGGCUGUAAAGGUGUUUGGCAUCUGAUCCAAGAUGCCAAAGGGAUCAAACGUGUGAUGGCCCCUAUUGGAUGGAUUCAAAACCGGCUAGCUCUUCCCAUUUGACCUCACAUGCUUAGGCGACCUUAACCCAUUUGAUGGGGAGUAAGGGUUUAUGGGGACACAUCACACAGAGUGAAGCCCCAAAGCUCAUUACUUAUGAAGGCGACAAGGAGAUUGUCGAGUGCGAUGAAGAGAAGUGGGAGCAGGAUGAUCAGCUGGUGAUGUCCAUACUCAAACGGUCUCUUGAAGUGUCUAUCCUGGAGGCAUACAGCUACUGUGAGACAGCAAAGGAUCUUUGGGACACGCUAAAGAAGGUUUAUGGUAACAUCUCAAACUUGAGCCGUGUGUUUGAAGUGAAACGUGCUAUCAACAGCUUGACACAGGAGGACAUGGAGUUCACUAAGCAUCUUGGGAGGUUCAGAGCUUUGUGGUCUGAACUGGAGAUGCUGAGGCCAGGCACAACCAACCUAGAUGAGCUGGCUGAGAGACGCGAGCAGGACAAGGUGUUUGGGUUGCUGCUCACGUUGAAUCCAAGCUACAACAGCCUCAUCAAACACAUUCUGAGGUCCGGAAAGUUACCUGAUCUUGAGGACGUGUGUGCACAAGUUCAGAAGGAGGAAGGGUCUAUCGGCCUCUUUGGAGGGAAAGGAGAGAUCACACUUGCAAACCAAGCUGAGGUUCCGCAAGCAAACCGUGCAAGCUCUAACCAGUAUGAUGCAAAGAAGUUCACGGGAAAUUGUGAUCAUUGCAAGAGACAAGGUCACAAGAAGAACCAGUGCUGGAUCUUGCAUCCUCAUCUGAAGCCGGCCAAGUUCUCAAGAGAGAAAGAUGGGAGAGCCAAUGUCUCGUAUGCUGGAAGUGAGCCGGGAAGUUCAAGUGUUGCUGGAGAGGGCGGGACACGUGAGCCUGGAGAUAGCAAGGUCCUGGUGACUUACACAGUUCAACCAAGCCUUCAGAACAACCGUGAGAACGAGUACCUGAGGAGAUCAGACCUUGACUCCCUCAUCAAAAUGCUAAAGGAGAAUGGUAACACACUUGGUACUCUUGGUUACUCUUUUGGUGCAUUAUAUGAACCGUGUAGUAUUGCUAGAGAACCUGAUCAUUCAAGCAUUGCUUAUAAACCUACUAGCAUACUAGGACAGUCUCAUAUUGCACACAAUCUGUUUAAACCAUUGGUAGUUGAUUCAGGAGCAUCUCAUCACAUGAUUAGUGAUACUAGUUUGAUUAGAGACAUUGAACCUACAAAUGGACAUGUCAUGAUUGCAAAUGGAGAUAAAAUCCCAAUUAGAGGAAUUGGCAAGCUAAAAUUGUUUGAUAAAGAAUCUAAAGCAUUUUACAUGCCUGACUUCACAUCAAAUCUAUUAUCCGUAAAGAAAUGCACUACAGAUCUUAAUUGCAAUGUUAUAUUCAGUCCUAAUGAUGUGAAGUUUCAGGAUAUUGAGAGCAGCCAAUUGAUUGGAAAAGGAGUUACCAAGGGAGAUUUAUAUUUACUUGAAGAACUAGCUCCUGUUUCUGAUUACUUGUGCUCAUUUACUUCUGCUUCUAUGAUGAAUAAAAAUGCAUUGUGGCAUGCUAGACUAGGUCAUCCCCAUGUUAGGGCUUUAAACUUAAUGUUACCAGGUGUGGUAUUUGAAAAUAAGGAUUGUGAAGCUUGCAUCUUAGGCAAGCAUUGUAAAACUGUUUUUCCCAUUUCAUCUACUGUUUAUGACAAGUGCUUUGAUUUAAUUCACUCUGAUGUUUGGACUGCUCCUUGCUUGUCUAGGGAUAGUUUUAAAUACUUUGUCACAUUCAUAGAUGAAAAAUCGAAAUACACCUGGAUAACACUUAUUCAAACCAAAGAUAGGGUGCUUGAAGCUUUUAAAAAUUUUCAAAACUAUGUGACUAACCAUUACAAUGCCAAGAUUAAAAUUUUGAGAUCAGAUAAUGGUGGGGAAUACACUGGUCAAGCCUUCAAGCAACAUCUAGCUCAACAUGGGAUACUACACCAAACGAGUUGUCCUUAUACUCCUCAGCAAAAUGGAGUGGCUGAGAGAAAGAAUAGGCAUCUCAUGGAGGUGGCAAGGUCAAUGAUGUUUCAAGCAAAUGUCCCUAAGAGGUUUUGGAGUGAUGCUGUGGCUACAUCUUGUUAUCUAAUCAACCGGAUCCCAACUAAGAUUCUACAUGAUCAGUCCCCUUUUGAAGCCUUGAACAAGUACAAGCCAUCAUUGGAGCAUAUGCGAAUCUUUGGAUGUCUAUGCUUUGUUCUUAGGCCAAAAGAGUUGAGAAACAAGCUUGAAGCAACCAGCACAAGAGCUAUGUUUGUUGGCUACUCUACUACUCAAAAGGGUUACAAGUGCUAUGAUCCUACUACUAGAAGGGUUCUAGUCUCUAGAGAUGUGAAGUUCAUUGAAGCUAAGGGGUUCUAUGAGGAAAAGAAUCAAGAUGAGUUGCUAGAAUUGACAAGAGAGUCAGAUAGAGCGGCCAGCCUUAGAAGCAUUCUAGAGGGGCUUGGGAUACAUACUACCCAGGAUCCGAAGGAAAGACGCAGUACAACAAACACACAACCUACCGAGGCAUCAAACUUAGAUCAUGGGGGGGGAAACAACACCUGAACCGGCUGAAGUACAUGUUGAAAGCCACGAUCAAGAAGGCUCAGGUGAUCAUGAUCAAAGUAUGACACAGGAAGAUAGGGAGGUACCGAGCCAAGAUCAAGAGGAGGAAACUAAUGCAACUACAACUGAACCUGAACCAGAGCCGGCCGUGCAGCCAUUGAGAAGAAGCACCAGAGUGAGAAAGGAUAGUUCCAACUGGGUAAACACGAGAGUGUACUACAAUGCCCAGGCUGUGGAACAUCCCUCUCAAGCUGUGUGUUCCUUUGCUCAUUAUCCAGAAGAACAUUGUGCCUUUAUGGUAAGCUUAGAUGAGAGCCAUGUACCGAAGUCAUAUGAGGAAGCCAUGAAGGACAAGGAAUGGAGGGAAUCAGUAGGAGCUGAAUCCAAUGCAAUGAUCAAGAAUGACACUUGGUAUGAGAGUGAGUUACCUAAAGGGAAGAGAGCAGUGUCUAGUAGAUGGAUCUUCACAAUCAAGUACCUAGCAAAUGGACAGAUUGAUAGAAAGAAGACUCGGUUGGUUGCAAGAGGAUUUACUCAAACAUAUGGAGAGGAUUAUAUAGACACAUUUGCACCAGUUGCUAAGCUACAUACCAUCAGGAUUGUCCUAUCACUUGCGGUGAAUCUUGAGUGGGGCUUGUGGCAAAUGGAUGUAAAGAAUGCAUUCCUACAAGGAGAACUAGAAGAUGAAGUGUAUAUGUUACCUCCUCCUGGUCUAGAGCACUUGGUGAAGAAAGGGAAUGUUCUCAGACUAAAGAAAGCUAUCUAUGGUCUGAAACAAUCACCAAGGGCAUGGUACAACAAGUUAAGCACAACUCUGAAUGGAAGAGGCUUUAGGAAGUCAGAGCUUGAUCAUACUCUCUUCACACUCAACACACCUUCAGGUAUUGUCGUUCUACUGGUAUAUGUAGAUGACAUCAUUAUAACAGGUAGUGAUAAAGAAGAGAUACAAGCAACCAAAGACUUUCUUAAAUCUGUUUUUGAGAUUAAAGACUUGGGAGAGAUGAAAUACUUCCUUGGGAUUGAGAUAUGUAGAUCCAAGGAAGGUUUGUUUCUAUCCCAAAGAAAGUAUACACUUGAUCUGUUGAAAGAUGCAGGUAAGCUUGAUGGAAAGACGGCCAAGACUCCCUUGGAAGAUGGAUACAAGGUUCCACGUGAGGGGGAGAUUGAAGACAGUCCACCAUUCAAGGAUGCAAAGCUUUAUAGAAAGCUAGUGGGUAAGCUUAUAUACCUAACCAUCACACGUCCUGAUAUUUGUUUUGCUGUGAACCAGGUAAGCCAGCAUAUGCAAGUUCCAAAAGAACAUCAUUGGGGAAUGGUGAACCAGAUCUUGAUGUAUCUCAAUGGCUCAGCGGAUCAAGGAGUGUGGAUGGGGUGCAAUGGGAGUACUGAAGUUGUGGGCUACUGUGAUGCGGAUUGGGCAGGAGAUAUAGCAGAUAGAAGGUCCACAACCGGCUACUGCACAUUCAUUGGAGGGAACUUAGUAACUUGGAAGAGUAAGAAGCAGAAGGUGGUCUCAUGCUCAAGUGCUGAAGCUGAAUACCGAGCCAUGCUGAAGCUGACUAAUGAGCUUGUAUGGAUCAAAGGGAUACUGAAGCACUUGGAGAUUACUCAAUCCACUCCAAUGACCAUGCAUUGCGACAACCAGGCUGCUAUACACAUUGCCAUCAACUCAGUCUUCCAUGAGAGAACCAAGCACAUUGAAGUAGAUUGUCACAAGGUGAGGCAGAUGAUACUUCUUGGAGUCAUCUUACCAUGUUACACAAGAAGUGAAGAUCAGCUAGCAGAUGUGUUCACAAAGGCAGCAAGGCAGAAGACAAUUGAGUCCAUUCAUAGCCGGCUAGGACUCAUUGAUCUCACGAGAAGGAGCUAAGCCCCUUAGCUAUGAGGUCUUUACUCUUUUUCCCUUAUCAAAGUUUUGUCCCAAUGGGUUUUCUUUGGUAAGGUUUUUAAUGAGGAAGAUCUCAUGGCUAUCCAAGCUUAGACUUUCACAAAGCUAAGCUUGAGGGGGAGUGUUGAGAUGAGAUCAUUUUGAGAUGAGAUCAUGAAAUGAAGUGUUGAGUAAUGUAUGUGAGGAAAGGGUAUGAAGUAGUGAAGCAUUAGGAAGAAAGGGAUUGAGGAGGCUUAGUCCGUACAAUCCGUACAUGAGGAGUGGCCGUACAAGUCUUGGGUAACACUCCUCCACUAUUCAGGAUGGUUACUUGUGAAAAGAGUGAUGGUAACUAUGGAGAGUUACCAGCACUUGAUCAGACCGUUGAGAGAAGGAUAAGGCCGCGGCUUGACAGGCUGUAUGCAGCUGGAAAGGGAAAGCAACCUUAUCCAUUCUACCCACACAUGUGGAGUCUCCCAUUGGCUUAGUUUGAAUUAGGCGCCUAUCUCUUCCUUGACUUCACAUGCUUUGCUUACUUUACCUUUGAGGAAAACCUAUGUAUCUUCUCCUAUAUAUUGUAAUCUCUUCAUUAAUGAUAAUUAGACAGUUCUUGACACAAAAACACUUUCUUAGACUCAAAGACUCUCAAUCAUGAUUCUACACUAAACUCUUAGCUAAACUCAUUCUAAAUCAUCUCUAAACUUCUCUAAUCCCUUUCUUUUCUUAUAUCAAACUCAGAUUCUCUAAAGUUCAUAACUCUUGGGUUGUUGGAUAUUACACACCAACAAGAACACUCAACAACUCGCGAACAAGCAGUAGAGAGAACAAAGAAAGGUUUAUGAUAAAAGAUAAUUGAUUAUUGAUAAGGGGUUCAAAGUACACUUAUAUAAGAGAAGUUGGAACAGACUCCAAGCUUCUCGAAAACUAUCAAGAGAGUAAAGGCACACGGCUCUCUUGGAAAUAGAAACAAGUGACAAGUUUGAAAACAAAAGCAUGAAAUGAAAAACAUAAUAUAUCAUAAGGUUGAUCCGGGAUAAGGUUGGAUCGAGAUCAUCAACUAAAAGAUUUGAGAAGCAAAUCUAUGGCCUCGUUAAAAACCUAUCUUUGGAAAACCCAUUGGGACAAAACCAAAGAUAGGGAAAAAGAGCACGCAUGGAUUGCUUGCUUAGUUGAUGAUCAGCUUGAUGGUGAAGUAGCUUGAAUGGUGAUAAGUGUGUCUUGGUUGAUCAAGCUUCUACCAAGACAUUCCUCUUGCUUCCAUGACAUCUUAACCAAUCCUCCAAUAACUUGCGUGAGCUUCCUUGAUCUUGAUCGAGUCAUAGGUCCUUUAGGUAAGGAUAGAACAUCUCCAUCAGUUGGCUUAUCCAGAUCCUCAUCAUCUCCAUUAGCUAGUUGGUCCAUGAUCACAUCAUAAAGGAUUCAAAUCAACCACUAGCAAGCACCACACGCUUAUGGCAUCUUGGACUAAAGUUGCUUUAGCUUUCCAGCCUGUCCCAGCCUGGCAAUGCGCGUCCCUUAUCCCUUCAACGGUCUGAUCCUUCUCCACUUGAGUAACUAUUCCAUAGUUACCAUUUCACUUGUGCAAGGUAAGUUUUGGUCGAGGCUUGGAUGGUACGGACUGUACGGCUUGUACGGCCUUGUACGGACGUCCGUACCAUGCUCUCCCUAAACUCCCUUAAGCUUCCUCAUCUCCUUUCCUCUUCAACUCCUUAGCUCUUCAUACAUAUACCAAAAGGGAUCAAGUCAGUAACAUUGAAGCUAUCACUUAUGUCGUACUUACCUUGAAGAUCAAGUUUGUAGGCAUUGUCAUUGAUCCUCUUGGUGACUUCAAAAGGGCCAUUAAUCCUCGGCAUUAGCUUAGACUUCCUUUCUUUUGGAAACCUUUCUUUCCUCAAGUGAACCCAUACUUGAUCUCCAACUUCAAAGAUCAUCUCACGCCUUCCUUUGUUAGCUUGUUUGGCGUAUUGCUUAGUUUUAUCUUCUAGAUUGCGCUUAGCUUGCUCAUGAAUCUGCUGCACCAUCUCAGCUUUCUUUUUCCCAUCCAUACUAACUCUUUCACACUCAGGUAAAGGUAUUAGAUCCAAAGGUGAGAUGGGAUUGAACCCAUAAACAAUUUCAAAAGUAGAAAACUUAGAAGCAGAAUGCAUAGCAUGAUUGUAUGCAAAUUCACAAUGAGGUAAGUAAUCUUCCCAUGAUUUCAAGUUCUUUUUGAUGAAUGCACGCAGGAGAGUCCCUAGGGUUCUAUUAACUACUUCAGUCUGUCCAUCAGUUUGUGGAUGACAAGUAGUAGAAAACAAUAGCUUAGUUCCUAGUUUAGACCACAAUGUUUUCCAAAAGUAGCUAAGGAAUUUAGUGUCUCUAUCUGAAACUAUAGUCCUAGGCAUUCCGUGCAAACGUACAACUUCUUUAAAGAACAAAUUAGCUACAUGUAAUGCAUCAUCAGUUUUAUUGCAAGCUAUGAAAUGUGCCAUUUUAGAGAAUCUAUCAACAACCACAAAGAUAGAAUCCUUUCCAGUCCUAGUUCUAGGCAAACCCAUAACAAAAUCCAUAGAUAUAUCAUUCCAAGGAUGAGUAGGAAUAGGCAAAGGAGUAUACAAACCGUGAGGUUGAACUUUAGACUUUGCAAGCUUGCAAGUUGUGCACCUUCCACAGAUUCUCCCCACAUCUCUUUUCAUAUGCGGCCAAUAGAAGUGAUCCUGCAGAACUUUAAGGGUUUUCGCUAUACCAAAAUGACCCAUCAAGCUUCCUCCAUGGAAUUCCCUGACAAAUAGAUCUCUCAAAGAGCAAUUAGGCACACAUAAACGAUUGUCAUAGAAUAAGAAUCCAUCAUGCCUAAAAUAAUGUCCUGAAGCAUACUUAGCACAUGAUUUAUAAGCUUCUUGAAAGUCAGGAUCAGAUUCAUACAUUUCUUUAAUCUGCUCAAAGCCUAGCAACUUAGCAUCAAGAGUAGUUAAGAGGACAUACCUUCGGGAUAGUGCAUCAGCAACUAUAUUUUCCUUACCUUGUUUGUAUUUGAUCACAUACGGGAAGGUUUCAAUGAAUUCUACCCAUCUAGCAUGUCUCUUGCUGAGCUUACUUUGUCCUUUGAGAUACUUGAGAGAUUCAUGGUCGGUGUGAAUGACAAACUCCUUUGGCCAGAGAUAAUGCUGCCAAGUCUGUAGAGCUCUCACCAAGGCGUAGAGUUCUUUGUCAUAAGUGGCAUAGUUGAGAGUAGCUCCACUGAGUUUCUCACUGAAGUAAGCAAUAGGUCUUUUAUCCUGCAUCAACACAGCACCAAUUCCAAUUCCUGAGGCAUCCCAUUCUAUUUCAAAUGUUUUAGAAAAAUCAGGAAGUAUGAGAAGAGGAGAUUGAGUAAGCUUCUCUUUAAGGAGUUGGAAUGCGGCUUCUUGAACUUCUCCCCACUUGAAUCCUACAUCCUUCUUGAUUAUCUCAGUUAAGGGAGCUGCUAGAGUGCUGAAAUCCUUCACAAAGCGCCUAUAGAAACCUGCCAGUCCAUGAAAACUCCUUACUUCUCCCACUGUAGUUGGACUCGGCCACUCUUGUAUUGCUUUGAUCUUUUCCUGAUCCACCUUUACACCAUCUGCACUUACAACAAAACCUAGAAAGACCAAGUUAUCUGUGCAAAAAGUGCACUUCUUUAGAUUGGCAUAUAGCUUUUCCUUUCUCAAAACAUCCAAAACAGCCCUAAGAUGUUCUAUAUGAUCUUCUAAGCAUUUGCUGUAAACUAAUAUAUCAUCAAAGUACACAACAACAAAGAUGCCUAUGAAAGACCUAAGAAUAUGAUUCAUCAGUCGCAUGAAUGUACUAGGCGCAUUGGUUAAUCCAAAUGGCAUAACUAACCAUUCAUACAAGCCAUGUUUAGUUUUAAAAGCAGUUUUCCACUCAUCUCCUUCUUUCAUCCUAAUCUGAUGAUAUCCACUUUUCAAGUCUAUCUUAGAAAAGAUGCAAGAACCAUGUAACUCAUCAAGCAUAUCAUCUAAUCUAGGAAUAGGGUGGCGAUACUUCACUGUUAUGUUGUUGAUUGCUCUACAAUCAACACACAUGCGCCAGCUCCCAUCUUUCUUUGGCACAAGGAGCACUGGAACUGCACAAGGACUCAAACUCUCUCGGAUAUGACCCUUCUCCAUCAGCUCCUCUACUUGUUUUUGCAAUUCUUUAGUUUCAACUGGAUUGGUCCUGUAUGCUGGACGGUUGGGCAGUGUACAACCAGGUACAAAGUCUAUUUGGUGCUCAAUCCCACGCACUGGAGGCAAUCCAAUGGGGCUAUCAUCUGGAAACACAUCUGCAUAUUCCUGUAAAAUAAAGACUAGUUCACUCGGAUGAUCCGGUGUGUGAUCAGUAACUGUUAGUAGAGUCUCUUUAAAUAUCAGCAAGAUAAUAGAAUUUUGAGAGUAGAGAAUUCUUUUAAUAUCUCCCGGUUUGGCAUAGAGGCUGUGAUGCUUGUUAUGAUCAGGUUUGAGAUCAAUCUCUUUCUCUUUUUUUUUCUGAAGCUGGAGUUGAUCUUCACGAACCUCUUUAGGAGAUAAAGGCACCAGCACAGUCUUCUUUCCGUUGAAUUCAAAUGAGUGUUUGUUGGUGAAGCCAUCAUGACUCACACGUCUAUCAUACUGCCAGGGUCUUCCAAGGAGUAUAUGACUGGCUUCCAUUGGCAACACAUCACAUAAGACUUCAUCUUCAUAUCUACCAAUGGCUAUAGGAACCAGUACUUGGGUAGAAACUCUCAUCUCGCCCUCUUCAUUGAGCCACUGCAAUCUGUAGGAUCUUGGGUGUUUCUGAAUUUUCAAACCCAAUUUCUUCACCAUUGUCUCACUAGCUACAUUGACACAACUUCCUCCAUCUAUAAUGAGACUGCACACCUUUCCCUGAACCAUACACCUUGUGUAGAAUAGAUUCUCUCGCUGCUCAAGCUCUCCAUUCUUGGCUUGCAAGUUCAAGAGCCUUCUUGUCACCAACAACCUUCCUUUCACGGGUUCUACUUCACUUUCUUCUUCAGACUCCUCAUGAUCAGACCCAAACUUCUCUUCCUCUGAUUCAUACUCUCCAUUCUCAAGAAGAAUCAUAACGUUUUUGUUGGUGCACUCAUUGGCAUAAUGCCCACGCCCUUGACAUUUGAAACACUUAACAUCUCUAGUUCUUGAACUAGUGAUUUCAGCUUUGCCUUGGUCUUUGCUGUAUGUGCUGCUCGGCUUAGUCUCUUCUUUCUGCUGAGGCUUGCUAUCCUUUAGAUAGGAUGUUUUCUCCUCCUUAGAGUGGUGGAACUUAGAAGAUCCAUAGCUGCGUGAGUUACCCUUCCUCUUGAGCUGCUGCUCCACUAGAAUAGCUUUGUGCAACAUCUCUUCUAUUUCCACAUAGUGUUGCAUCUCCACAUUGUCUUGUAUCUCACGGUUAAGUCCUCCAAGAAACCUUGCCAUAGUAGCUUCUCUAUCCUCCAAGAUACUAGCUCUUAACAUCAGCAACUCCAUGUCUUGAUAGUAUUCUUCAACAGUUCGUGUUCCUUGGGUAAGUCUUCGCAGCUUUUGAUGUAGAUCGCGGUGAUAAUGGCUUGGAACAAACCGUUUGCGCAUGAGUGACUUCAUUUCGUGCCAUGAAUCAACCGGAUUCUCUUGGUUAAGCCGUCUAGUAGUUACAAGCUGAUCCCACCAACUCAAUGCAUAAUCAUAGAAUCCAGUUGCUGCAAUCUUGAUCCUUUGGGCAUUGGAGUAGUGUUGGCAAUUGAAGACAAGCUCAAUCUUCUUUUCCCAUUCCAAAUAGGCAUCUGGAUCAACCUUUCCAUGGAAGGAUGGAAUCUUAAGCUUAAGUCCAGAAAGCUUGUCUUUGCGUGACCCCCUUCCAUCAUGUUCACGCCUCGAUCUUCCUCUGCUCAGUUCAGAAGAAUAACUACUGCGCUCAGUUGGGUUGUGCUCAGUUCUAUGGCGCGAGUAGUAGUUGUUGGUCUCUUGUGAACCCGCAUGCUCUUGCCGUAUUGGAGUAGGCCGGUUUCUUCUAGACUCAUUGCUAUGUCCCUGGCCAGUAGCUUGCCUCAACUCUUGUCUCAUCUCCUCACGUAAUUCCUUCAUGCUAGACUUGAGCAUAUCAGCCAUUGUAGAGAUCAUGGUCUGAUUCAUUUGCUCGGUCAUUUGCUCUCUCAGCAUCGUGUUCUUCCUUACUAGCUCGGCUUCUUCUUCUGAUUCUUUCCCCAUUGGUACCUAGAAUCAAUAACAACACUCAACCAGUAAAUAAUUCCAAUAAACUGAUCGUAAUCAGUAGAUGAUCAAGAGAUUUUAAACUGAAAAUAACUGGCGGUAAAAGAAAACUUGAUUAACAAGCAAAAGAGGAUUCAAAUCGACAACUUGAAAAUCACAAUAGAAACGAGAUCAGGGUAGGUUCGUUGAUCAGAUUUUGACAACACACAAGUAGAUCUAGUUGUUAUAGGUGAUUUAAAACAGAUCACACGAUCAAUCAGAUUCACACAAAAGAUCAAAUCGAGAAUAUGAAUCGAUAACAAUCGGAUCUAAAAGCGCGAAACCUAGAUCUAUCAAUUCAAAACUUCUUAACAAUUUGAUCGACACAAAACGAUUAGAUCACACAAUCAAACAACCAUGGUUUACAGAUCAAUCAAUGGAUAUUGCGAAUCAAAGAACAGAUCAGUUGAAACAAAACGGAUCGAUCUAAAACUGAUCAAGAAGAUGAACAGGUUAAAUCGAAACAAAAGAGAAACGAGUACUUCCCUAACCAGAGAUGCUCUGAUACCACAUAAUACGUCCCUAGAUUGCUUCUCUGGAUAGUAUGGGAUAGAUCCUUGCUAGAACGAAUCAAAGACUCAAGCUCUACAAGGUUGUGGAUCGAUUGGUGACACAAGAGGCUGCGGAAAGGCUCCUUGAUACUCCUAAGUGACUAGAUCGGAUAUGACACACCGAGAUAGACACUCUUNNNNNNNNNNNNNNNNNNNNNNNNNNNNNNNNNNNNNNNNNNNNNNNNNNNNNNNNNNNNNNNNNNNNNNNNNNNNNNNNNNNNNNNNNNNNNNNNNNNNNNNNNNNNNNNNNNNNNNNNNNNNNNNNNNNNNNNNNNNNNNNNNNNNNNNNNNNNNNNNNNNNNNNNNNNNNNNNNNNNNNNNNNNNNNNNNNNNNNNNNNNNNNNNNNNNNNNNNNNNNNNNNNNNNNNNNNNNNNNNNNNNNNNNNNNNNNNNNNNNNNNNNNNNNNNNNNNNNNNNNNNNNNNNNNNNNNNNNNNNNNNNNNNNNNNNNNNNNNNNNNNNNNNNNNNNNNNNNNNNNNNNNNNNNNNNNNNNNNNNNNNNNNNNNNNNNNNNNNNNNNNNNNNNNNNNNNNNNNNNNNNNNNNNNNNNNNNNNNNNNNNNNNNNNNNNNNNNNNNNNNNNNNNNNNNNNNNNNNNUCUUAUUAAUGAGUGAGGUUACAUAUUUAUAUAGAAAGCAUUAGGGUUUACAAGAGGCGAAAUGGGCACUAUUGAAGCAUGUAGAGUCAAGGAUGCUUUCCGGAUGAUUGGAUGAUAAGGCUCACACGCUUUGCCUCUUUACAGCCUGUUCCAGCCUGGCACGCUCUUCCCUUAUCCUCUCAACGGUCUGCUCUUCCCUUAUCCAUUCAACGGUCUGAUCCCUUCUCCUUAAGUCCCCAAGUUACCAUUUCCUUGUUACCGUUUCACUUGGUCGAGUUGGGUAAGUUUUGGUCGAGACCCUUUGGUACGGACGGUACGGCCAUGUACGGCCUUGUACGGACGUCCGUACCAUUCACACCCAAACUCCCUAAGCUUCUCCAUCUCUUCUCCUCUUCAACUCCUCUUCUCUCUAUACUCAUAUAAUCAACUCAACUCAACACUCCCCCUCAAGCUUAGCUUUGUGAAAGCCUAAGCUUGGAAAGCUACAAGAUCUUCCUCAUUAAAAACCUCACCAACGAAAACCCAAUGGGAUAAAACUUUGAUGAGGGAAAAAGAGUAAAGACCUUGCAGCUAAGGGGAUUAGCUCCUUCUCUUCCCAAGAUCUAUGAGUCCCAAUCUGAUGUGAAUGGACUCCAUAGUCUUUUGCCUUGCAGCCUUAGUGAACACAUCCGCUAGCUGAUCUUCACUCCUUGUAUAGCAUGGCAAGAUCACCCCUAGCACAAUCAUCUGUCUCACCUUGUGGCAAUCAACUUCAAUGUGCUUGGUCCUCUCAUGAAACACCGAGUUGGAUGCAAUGUGGAUGGCAGCUUGAUUGUCACAAUGCAUUGUCAUUGGAGUUGCUUGAUCAAUCUCCAAGUGCUUCAAGAUGCCUUUGAUCCAUACCAACUCGUUGGUAAGCUUCAGCAUGGCUCUAUACUCGGCUUCUGCACUUGAACAUGACACUACCUUCUGCUUCUUGACCACCUUCUGCUUCUUACUCUUCCACGUAACCAAGUUCCCUCCAAUGAAUGUGCAAUAGCCUGUGGUUGAUCUCCUGUCUGCUCUAUCACCAGCCCAAUCCGCAUCACAGUAUCCCACCACUUCAGUGCUUCCAUUGCAGCCCAUCCAUACUCCUUGAUCAGGUGAGCCGUUGAGAUACAUCAAGAUCCUCUCCACCAUGCGCCAGUGAUGUUCCUUAGGCACUUGCAUGUGUUGACUCACCUGAUUCACAGCAAAACAGAUGUCAGGUCUAGUUAUAGUAAGAUAAAUCAAUUUGCCAACUAGUUUUCUAUAGAGUUUAGGAUCCUGAUAAGGUUUGCUGUCUUCAAUCUCCCCCUCUCGUGGGACUUUGUAGCCAUCCUCCAUAGGCAUCCUUGCUGUCUUGCCUCCAUAAGCACCUGCACCUUUCAAAAGAUCAAGUGUAUAUUUCCUUUGGGACAUGAAUAAACCUUCCUUGGAUCUACAUAUCUCAAUUCCAAGGAAGUAUUUCAUUUCUCCCAAGUCUUUAAUCUCAAACAUGGUUUUAAGAAACUCCUUGGUUGCUAUGAUACCUUCCUUAUCACUCCCUGUGAUAAUGAUAUCAUCAACAUACACAAGGAGUGCAAUCAUACCUGAGGGAGUCGUGAGAGUGAAGAGAGUGUGAUCUAGUUCAGACUUCUUGAAGCCUCGACCAUUCAGAGUAGUGCUCAACUUGUUGUACCAAGCUCUUGGUGAUUGCUUCAGCCCAUAGAUGGCUUUCUUCAGUCUCAACACAUUCCCACUCUUCACUAAGUGUUCAAGGCCUGGAGGUGGAUGCAUAUACACUUCAUCCUCAAGUUCACCUUGUAGAAACGCAUUCUUCACAUCCAUUUGCCAUAACCCCCAUCCAAGAUUCACAGCCAAGCUUAGUACAAUCCGGAUUGUGUGUAGUUUAGCUACUGGAGCAAAGGUUUCUAUGUAAUCUUCUCCAUAAUUUUGAGUGAAACCUCUUGCAACUAGCCUUGACUUCUUCCUCUCAAUCUUUCCAUCCGCUUUGUACUUGAUUGUGAAUAUCCACCUACUGGUCACAGCCUUCUUCCCUUUUGGUAACUCACUCUCGUACCAUGUAUCAUUCUUGAUCAUAGCUCCUGCCUCAGCUCCAACUGAUUCCUUCCAUUCUUUAUCCAUGAUUGCUUCUUCAUAGCUUCUUGGGAUGUAGUUCUCAUCCAAGUUAACCAUGAAGGCACAAUGUUCUUCUGGAUAUUGAGCAAAGGAGCACACGGCUUGAGAAGGAUGCUCCACAGCUUGGGCAUUGUAGUACACUCUCGUGUUUACCCAGCUAGAAGGAUCCUUCCUUAUCCUUGUACUCCUUCUUAGUGGCUGCACAACGGGUUCUUCUUCCUGUUGUUCUUCUACCACUUCAUCUUGAGAAGGUGUUUGCCUCACACCAUGAUCAUGACCAUGACCAUCAGAGCCUAUGCUCUCUUCUCCUUCAUUCUCUACUCCUCCUUCAUCCUGGUUAGCCUCUUGCAUAGGUUCCUCAUGCUCCUCUCCUCCCUCAUGAUCAAGGUGGGAUGGUGAACCAACUUCAGGAGGUGUAGUUGUGUGAUUCCUUGGAUCCUGGGAUGUACUGAUUCCAAGACCUUCAAGGAUGAUCCGCAAGGUGGUGGCCUUGUCUGAUGUUAAGUCCUUCAGGUCUUCUUGGUUCUUUUCUUCAUAGUAUCCUCUAUCUUCUAAGAACUUCACAUCUCUAGAUACAAGUACUCUCCUUGCUAUAGGAUCAUAGCAUUUGUAUCCUUUCUGUGUAGCUGAGUAUCCUAUGAACACAGCCUUAGUACUUCUUGCUUCUAGCUUGUUGAUCAUCUCUCCUGGUUUGAGCACAAAGCAUAGGCAUCCAAAGACUCGCAAGUAAUCAAGUGCUGGUUUGUACCUGUUCAGAACUUCAAAUGGAGCCUUCUCAUUCAGAACCUUGGUUGGAGUUCUGUUGAUCAAGUAACAAGCAGUGGCAACCGCAUCACUCCAAAAUCUCUUUGGAACAUUACUCUGAAACAUAAGAGACCUUGCCACUUCCAUGAGGUGCCUAUUCUUCCUCUCAGCCACUCCAUUCUGCUGUGGAGUAUACGGACAGCUUGUUUGAUGUAGGAUCCCAUGCUGUGAUAAGUGUUGCUUGAAUGCAUGACUUGUGUAUUCUCCUCCAUUAUCUGAUCUCAAAAUUUUAAUCUUAGCAUGAUAAUGGUUAGUUACAUAAGUUUGAAAGUUCCUAAAUGCAUCAAGUACCCUAUCUUUGGUCUGAAUUAAGGUUAACCAGGUGUAUUUGGAUUUUUCAUCAAUGAAUGUGACAAAGUACUUAUAACUAUCUCUAGAUAAGCAAGGAGCAGUCCACACAUCCGAAUGAAUUAGAUCAAAGCAAUUAUCAUAAACGGUAGUAGACUUUUGAAACACAGUUCUACAAUGCUUGCCUAAAAUACAAGCUUCACAAUCUUUGUUCUCAAACACAACACCUGGUACCAUUAAGUUCAAAGCUUUAACAUGAGGGUGUCCUACUCUAGCAUGCCACAAUGCAUUUUUAUUCAACAAAGAAGCAGAAGUAAACGAGCAACUAUAAUCAGGAACAGAAGUGAGUUCUUCAAGCAUAUAGAGAUCUCCCUUAGUCACCCCUUUCCCAAUCAAUCUGCUGCUCUCAAUAUCCUGAAACUUCACAUCAUUAGGACUAAAGAUAACAUUGCAUUGUAAAUCAUUAGUACAUUUCUUCACAGAUAAUAGGUUUGAUGUGAAUUCAGGCAUGUAAAAGGCUCUAGAUUCUUUAUUAAACAACUUAAGCUUUCCUAUUCCUCUAAUAGGUAUCUUAUCCCCAUUUGCUAUCAUCACAUGCCCAUGUGUAGGUUCUAUAUCCUUAAUCAAGUUUUCAUCACUUAUCAUAUGAUGUGAUGCACCAGAAUCAACAAUCAAUGGUUUACCUACUCGUUUAGCAUUAUGACACAGAUUACUAAGCAAUGGAUGCAUCCUAUCAGUUCUAGCAAUGUGAGCAUUUCUAUAAUCAUUUCUAGCUUCUAACCGUUCUACUAGUUCUCUAAUCAAUUGAUCAUCCUUAUAUGCAAUCAUAGAAGCUCCAAAGGAAUAACCAUAAGUGUUACCGUUUUCCUUUAGCAUUUUGAAGAGAGCAUCAAGGUCUGAUCUCUUGAUGUAGUCAUCAUUGCUGCGUGAGCUUGAGGCGCCUGUGUAAGCCACCAGAGACUUCCCAUUCCCAUCAUUGCCUCCAAGCCCAUCCGCUUCACUCGCCUUGCUGGUGCCAGCUCCACUUGAACCUUCAGUCACAUUUGCCCUUCCCUCACGCUCCUUCAUGAACUUGGCCGGCUUGAGGUGUGGGUGUAGUAUCCAGCAUUGGCUCUUCUUAUGACCAUGUUUCUUGCAAUGAUCACAGUUGCCAUUGAACUUCCUGUCCUCGUACUUCCCGUGAGAUGCCUUGUUUGCUUGUGGAGCCUCGGUUGAGUCCUCAUGAGCUGCUUGAUUGGCAAGAGAGAGCUCCCCCUUUCCUCCAAACAACCCCAUAGAUCCCUGCUCCCUUUGGAUUUGCGCACACACCUCCUCAAGGUCCGGAAGCUUGUCUGACCUCAGCAUGUGCUGGAUGAGUUGAGUGUAGGCCGGGUUCAGCGUGAGAAGCAACCCAAAGACCUUGUCUUGCUCGCGCCUCUCAUUCAACUGAUCUGGAUCAGUUGUGCUCGGCCUCAGCAUCUCCAGCUCUGACCAUAAGGACCUGAACCUCCCCAAGUGCUUAGUGAACUCCAUGUCCUCUUGUGCAAGACGGUUGAUCGCUAGCUUCACUUCAAACACACGGCUGAGGUUGGAAGUGUUCCCAUACACCUUCUUCAGCGUGUCCCACAGCUCCUUGGCUGAUUCACAGUAGCUGUAGGCAUCCAAGAUAGCUGGGUCCAAGGAUGCGUGUAGAACCGUCAUCACCAGCAUGUCUUCUUGUUGCCAUUUCUCCACAGCCGCUUCAUUGGAGACCUCUUCUUGAUCUCCUCCCUGAGUAAUGAGUUUCGGAGCCUCCCCUGUUGUGAUGUGCCCCCACAAACCCUUACUUCCCACAGCAGUCUUCACCAUCCGAGACCACACAAGGUAGUUGCUACCUUUGAACGUAACCGCUACCUUCAUCCUCAUGUUCAUCCCAUGUUCCAUCUUUGCUUGACUUGAAAACUUGAAUCUUGAAUCUCGUACACACCAACCUUGAGUCUAGAAUCACGCAACCACACAGAACGUAGCACAGCUUCAACUAGAACGUAACACAGCUUCAACACCUUCAAGACUACUCGCGUGUAGCUUCAAAGCCGUUAGCUUGUAACUCUCUAAAGAUCAAACCCCAGAUUCAAACGAACCUGGCUCUGAUACCAUCUGAGAUUAAGAGAUCCUUAGAGUAAUCAGAAUAAAGAGAGUGUUUAAGAAGUGAUUAAGAGAAGUUUGUGAAAGAUUAAGAGAUUAGAUAGAGCCGUUUAGAGUCUAAGAGAGAACCAUAGUGUCUAAGAGAUUAGAGAGACUCAAACUGCAUAAUCUUAUUAAUGAGUGAGGUUACAUAUUUAUAUAGAAAGCAUUAGGGUUUACAAGAGGCGAAAUGGGCACUAUUGGAGCAUGUAGAGUCAAGGAUGCUUUCCGGAUGAUUGGAUGAUAAGGCUCACACGCUUUGCCUCUUUACAGCCUGUUCCAGCCUGGCACGCUCUUCCCUUAUCCUCUCAACGGUCUGAUCCCGCUCUUCCCUUAUCCAUUCAACGGUCUGAUCCCUUCUCUUUAAGUCCCCAAGUUACCAUUUCCUUGUUACCGUUUCACUUGGUCGAGUUGGGUAAGUUUUGGUCGAGACCCUUUGGUACGGACGGUACGGCCAUGUACGGCCUUGUACGGACGUCCGUACCAUUCACACCCAAACUCCCUAAGCUUCUCCAUCUCUUCUCCUCUUCAACUCCUCUUCUCUCUAUACUCAUAUAAUCAACUCAACUCAACACUCCCCCUCAAGCUUAGCUUUGUGAAAGCCUAAGCUUGGAAAGCUACAAGAUCUUCCUCAUUAAAAACCUCACCAACGAAAACCCAAUGGGAUAAAACUUUGAUGAGGGAAAAAGAGUAAAGACCUUGCAGCUAAGGGGAUUAGCUCCUUCUCUUCCCAAGAUCUAUGAGUCCCAAUCUGAUGUGAAUGGACUCCAUAGUCUUUUGCCUUGCAGCCUUGGUGAACACAUCCGCUAGCUGAUCUUCACUCCUUGUAUAGCAUGGCAAGAUCACCCCUAGCACAAUCAUCUGUCUCACCUUGUGGCAAUCAACUUCAAUGUGCUUGGUCCUCUCAUGAAACACCGAGUUGGAUGCAAUGUGGAUGGCAGCUUGAUUGUCACAAUGCAUUGUCAUUGGAGUUGCUUGAUCAAUCUCCAAGUGCUUCAAGAUGCCUUUGAUCCAUACCAACUCGGUGGUAAGCUUCAGCAUGGCUCUAUACUCGGCUUCUGCACUUGAACAUGACACUACCUUCUGCUUCUUGCUCUUCCAAGUCACCAAGUUGCCUCCAAUGAAUGUGCAAUAGCCUGUGGUUGAUCUCCUGUCUGCUCUAUCACCAGCCCAAUCCGCAUCACAGUAUCCCACCACUUCAGUGCUUCCAUUGCAGCCCAUCCAUACUCCUUGAUCAGGUGAGCCGUUGAGAUACAUCAAGAUCCUCUCCACCAUGCGCCAGUGAUGUUCCUUAGGCACUUGCAUGUGUUGACUCACCUGAUUCACAGCAAAACAGAUGUCAGGUCUAGUUAUAGUAAGAUAAAUCAAUUUGCCAACUAGUUUUCUAUAGAGUUUAGGAUCCUGAUAAGGUUUGCUGUCUUCAAUCUCCCCCUCUCGUGGGACUUUGUAGCCAUCCUCCAUAGGCAUCCUUGCUGUCUUGCCUCCAUAAGCACCUGCACCUUUCAAAAGAUCAAGUGUAUAUUUCCUUUGGGACAUGAAUAAACCUUCCUUGGAUCUACAUAUCUCAAUUCCAAGGAAGUAUUUCAUUUCUCCCAAGUCUUUAAUCUCAAACAUGGUUUUAAGAAACUCCUUGGUUGCUAUGAUACCUUCCUUAUCACUCCCUGUGAUAAUGAUAUCAUCAACAUACACAAGGAGUGCAAUCAUACCUGAGGGAGUCGUGAGAGUGAAGAGAGUGUGAUCUAGUUCAGACUUCUUGAAGCCUCGACCAUUCAGAGUAGUGCUCAACUUGUUGUACCAAGCUCUUGGUGAUUGCUUCAGCCCAUAGAUGGCUUUCUUCAGUCUCAACACAUUCCCACUCUUCACUAAGUGUUCAAGGCCUGGAGGUGGAUGCAUAUACACUUCAUCCUCAAGUUCACCUUGUAGAAACGCAUUCUUCACAUCCAUUUGCCAUAACCCCCAUCCAAGAUUCACAGCCAAGCUUAGUACAAUCCGGAUUGUGUGUAGUUUAGCUACUGGAGCAAAGGUUUCUAUGUAAUCUUCUCCAUAAGUUUGAGUGAAACCUCUUGCAACUAGCCUUGACUUCUUCCUCUCAAUCUUUCCAUCCGCUUUGUACUUGAUUGUGAAUAUCCACCUACUGGUCACAGCCUUCUUCCCUUUUGGUAACUCACUCUCGUACCAUGUAUCAUUCUUGAUCAUAGCUCCUGCCUCAGCUCCAACUGAUUCCUUCCAUUCUUUAUCCAUGAUUGCUUCUUCAUAGCUUCUUGGGAUGUAGUUCUCAUCCAAGUUAACCAUGAAGGCACAAUGUUCUUCUGGAUAUUGAGCAAAGGAGCACACGGCUUGAGAAGGAUGCUCCACAGCUUGGGCAUUGUAGUACACUCUCGUGUUUACCCAGCUAGAAAGUACACUCUCGUGUUUACCCAGCUUGGGCAUUGUAGUACACUCUCGUGUUUACCCAGCUAGAAGGAUCCUUCCUUAUCCUUGUACUCCUUCUUAGUGGCUGCACAACGGGUUCUUCUUCCUGUUGUUCUUCUACCACUUCAUCUUGAGAAGGUGUUUGCCUCACACCAUGAUCAUGACCAUGACCAUCAGAGCCUAUGCUCUCUUCUCCUUCAUUCUCUACUCCUCCUUCAUCCUGGUUAGCCUCUUGCAUAGGUUCCUCAUGCUCCUCUCCUCCCUCAUGAUCAAGGUGGGAUGGUGAACCAACUUCAGGAGGUGUAGUUGUGUGAUUCCUUGGAUCCUGGGAUGUACUGAUUCCAAGACCUUCAAGGAUGAUCCGCAAGGUGGUGGCCUUGUCUGAUGUUAAGUCCUUCAGGUCUUCUUGGUUCUUUUCUUCAUAGUAUCCUCUAUCUUCUAAGAACUUCACAUCUCUAGAUACAAGUACUCUCCUUGCUAUAGGAUCAUAGCAUUUGUAUCCUUUCUGUGUAGCUGAGUAUCCUAUGAACACAGCCUUAGUACUUCUUGCUUCUAGCUUGUUGAUCAUCUCUCCUGGUUUGAGCACAAAGCAUAGGCAUCCAAAGACUCGCAAGUAAUCAAGUGCUGGUUUGUACCUGUUCAGAACUUCAAAUGGAGCCUUCUCAUUCAGAACCUUGGUUGGAGUUCUGUUGAUCAAGUAACAAGCAGUGGCAACCGCAUCACUCCAAAAUCUCUUUGGAACAUUACUCUGAAACAUAAGAGACCUUGCCACUUCCAUGAGGUGCCUAUUCUUCCUCUCAGCCACUCCAUUCUGCUGUGGAGUAUACGGACAGCUUGUUUGAUGUAGGAUCCCAUGCUGUGAUAAGUGUUGCUUGAAUGCAUGACUUGUGUAUUCUCCUCCAUUAUCUGAUCUCAAAAUUUUAAUCUUAGCAUGAUAAUGGUUAGUUACAUAAGUUUGAAAGUUCCUAAAUGCAUCAAGUACCCUAUCUUUGGUCUGAAUUAAGGUUAACCAGGUGUAUUUGGAUUUUUCAUCAAUGAAUGUGACAAAGUACUUAUAACUAUCUCUAGAUAAGCAAGGAGCAGUCCACACAUCCGAAUGAAUUAGAUCAAAGCAAUUAUCAUAAACGGUAGUAGACUUUUGAAACACAGUUCUACAAUGCUUGCCUAAAAUACAAGCUUCACAAUCUUUGUUCUCAAACACAACACCUGGUACCAUUAAGUUCAAAGCUUUAACAUGAGGGUGUCCUACUCUAGCAUGCCACAAUGCAUUUUUAUUCAACAAAGAAGCAGAAGUAAACGAGCAACUAUAAUCAGGAACAGAAGUGAGUUCUUCAAGCAUAUAGAGAUCUCCCUUAGUCACCCCUUUCCCAAUCAAUCUGCUGCUCUCAAUAUCCUGAAACUUCACAUCAUUAGGACUAAAGAUAACAUUGCAUUGUAAAUCAUUAGUACAUUUCUUCACAGAUAAUAGGUUUGAUGUGAAUUCAGGCAUGUAAAAAGCUCUAGAUUCUUUGUUAAACAACUUAAGCUUUCCUAUUCCCUUAAUAGGUAUCUUAUCCCCAUUUGCUAUCAUCACAUGCCCAUGAGUAGGUUCUAUAUAUCCUUAAUCAAGUUUUCAUCACUUAUCAUUGUUAACUUGAAGAGAAGAAGUGGAGAAGCAAAGGUGAUGAGUUGAGUUGGUGCUUGUGCAAAGACAUGGCAAGAUCUUCAGAGAUUGUAUGUUAAGGCUUUGGGAGAGUCUUAAGGCUUCAGAAGUGGUCUGAUGAGUGUGCAAAGAUAGGGUUUAAGUCCAGGAGGGACUUAGACACCAUUUAGAGAAGAUUUGGGUCAGACAGUAACUCCAAAGUUACCACAGUAACUUUAGAGAGUUACCACAGUAACUUUGGAGAGUUACCACAGUAAGAUUGGAGAAGUUUGGGCAAGUUGGUGUAAAAAUGAAUAGUGAAACACUAGUCACUAUUCAGGUUGACUAUUCACUUUUUGGGUCACUAUUCAGGAUGUUAAGAGUGCAUAGUGUAUGGAUAAGGCACCAAGGUUUGAAUCUAGUCAAAGGGAAUCAAGAAAGCAUCAAGAAGAUGCUGUGUGGAGCUGAUUGGUUACUUUGGGGCAUGGACAGGCUGGCUGGAGCUGUAAAGAGGAAGGCAGCCACGACCAUGAACCUAGACUGAUCUGUGGACAGAUACAAAGGAGCCUAAGAAGAACCAAUCAAAGCACAGCCCUUGUUUGAAUUAAAGUGAGCCAGCUUAGCUUAUCCAAUCAGCACACAUCACUCAGAUUAGAACAAGACCAACUCAUCCUCACCAUCCAUUCCUCUUAAGUUAUUUCUAUCCAUUAGAUAUAGGUUUAUGAGUUUGCAAGAGUGUAAAACAUAUAUAAAGACCCUCAUGGGCGUUUGUAACUCUCUUAAGAGAGUAUGGGGGAUUUCCCCAUCUCCUUCAUAAUUAUAAAAGUGUGUUCUUGGUCAGAUUCCCUUAAUCUACCCCUUUCUUAGUCUCUAAUCUCUUAAUCUCUCUAAGUCUCCUUAUUUCUGAUUCAAGUUCAUACUAGUUUCAUCAGACCUCUUAUUCAACUAGUUCAAGACCUUAUCUUUGCCUUUAAUGGCUUUUCAUACACAUACACAGCCAGAGCUCUCAAAUCUCAUAUGGUAUCAGAGCCAGGUUCAUCAGAACCUGAGCUGAGCUUCCGCAAAUCCACAGCUCUCAUCUCAGCUCAAACCAAACCCUUGAAGACAUUACCAGCCGAGUUCAGUUCUUGAAGAAGAAAGAAGCUUGAAGCGUGGAGUGUUCUCCUUAUCUCUCAACCGUGCCUGUCUUUAUCUGAUGGAGAGUGUCUCUUUGGAAGCAGAGGAGGAUGGAGAGGCGUCAUGAACCUCAAGCCAAAGCUCCUUGUCCAAGAGCUUAUCACAUCCGGAUACAAGAAAGAUGAAGCUAAGAGAAGCCGGUUUGAAGUAUGAAGAAAGGAGGGGUCUUCGGGUGUGAGAAACAAGAAGGAGGCCAUGGACUGAAGGAGAAGGAGUUGGGUGACGAUCCAGACUCUUAAAUCCAACCUGGUUCCUUGUGUAAGCGAUUCUUUAAAACCUUCUUGAUAUUGAGCUUGUGUUGUGACUGUGCCUGGUUAUUGUGAUGUGUAUUGAUUGAAAAACCUGAGGAUAAUGUGUGAUUGCUAAAUAUAACUAGUUGAAUCUGUCCCAGGAUGCUCUAAAGGCUUGUUUAGUGUUUAAAGAGUAAAAUGCUUGCUCCUGUUAAGUAAUGAGUUCUCUAAAUGUGAAAUGAUAUUGUUUGAAGCUCAUGAACUGAAAACAGAUUGAAAGUAAUGCAUUGUCUGAUGUUAAGUGAUGAUAGUAAUGCUUAGCCUAAGUUAUAAAUGAAUGUGUGAUGGAUUGUAUUGUUGCAUUCAUGAAUUAAAACUGAUUAAGGUUAGUGCAUACUGUCAAAUGGCUGUCUUACAUUGAGGCAUUAGAUUCAUGUCUAAAUGCUGAGUAAAGAAGCUUUAAAAAAUUGCCUAAGUAGCUUGUAUUGAAUCUGUUAUGAUCUUACUUGUGCUUAGAGAGUUUGCUUGCAAAGAUUAGAACUUGAAAAUGACUUGUUUAAUCUGUUGCAAUGCUUGUGAUAUUGGGAAUCAAACUUGAUGAUUAAUCAAGGAUUGAUCUCAAUACUAUUGUGUCUUAUCUUUGCUGGAGUUUGAGUGAUGUUUCAGGUUCACAAGAGGUGUUCUUGGUUCAGCAUCCAUCCGAGUUGAAAGAGGAAGACUUUGCCCAUUGUGUGGAGCAAUGGAGAGUUGAGAAAGAAAUGGUGAUGUGCCACUGGUGUGAAGUCUCACUGAAGCUCACUUGCAAGCUUGGACCUAUACUCAAUCCAAGCUUGAGGAGGGGAGUUUAGUGAGCUUCUAAGCGAUCAAAGAAGUGCAUUGCAAGCAUCUGAAGAAGGAGCCAUCCGGGCUUAGGCUGUGGCGAGUCUAUUCAAGAGAGUACUCAAACUAAGACAGAGUACUCUUGGCUGUGAGAAGAUGAAGGCAACUCUAUCAAGGCGGCUUCUAGUGUGAAGUGAUUGGAGAAAUAGCUGAAGCUUCCACAAGCAUUCCAUAAAGAUGGCGAGAUCAGAGGAGAGGCUGCAAUGGUGUGUGUGUGAGGAUCAUGAAGCAAUCCAUUCAAUCUUGUUCCUGUGAGAGUCUCAAGCUUGAGGGGGAGUGUUGAAGCUUACAUGAUCCAAGAGAGCUUGGUGGUUAUUCUAGAAGAGGAAGCAACCUGUUGAGAAGUAUGAUGAAGGAUGAAGAAGCAAUGUCCAAGGCGGCUUCAAGUGUUGAGGUGAUUGGAGAGUAGCUGAAGCAUCCUCAUGUAGCUCAAGCAACAAGGUGGAGACUCUAUAAGAAGAAGAAGCAGCCAAGACUCAGUAAGAGAAGUUGUAUCUCCAAGAAGAGGCUGAUCUGGUGUGUCCGAGCACUUCAACCUAACAAGAGGUUAGGUGAAAGGGGGAGAGACCAAGAUUAGGCAGUAAGGAGAGUACAAGGCGUGGGAUGAUUGUAGAGGCCAUGAUCCAUAGUCUUUGUUGUUGAGAUGAGUGCACUAUAGUAUGAAGAAGAAGUCCGAGAUGGUGUAGAAGUCUUGAGGAGUUAAUAAGCAAGUAAGAGAAGGAGCAUGUACGGACAGACAGUACGGAUAGGGCGAGCAGUACGGACGCAGGCCGUACCAACGACCAUCCGCAAGAAGUAACUCGGCCAAGGUUAAAUGUAAACUGGCUGGAGUUACUUUACCUUACUUACCUUGAGUCUGAAGUUGAGCUGAACGUUAGAAGGAUAAGGGAUGCGCAUCUGACAGCCUGUCAUAGGCUGGAAAGGUAAAGGCAUAUUCAAAGAUGCUUUACACAUGUGGAGACUCUCAUUGGAAGGAUUCAAAUGAGCUCUUAGCUGGUUAUUGACUUCACAUGCUUUCUACUUUAUGUAAUCGAAAUCCUAGUGUCUUAAGCUUCCUGUAUAAGUGUAAACUCUCUCAUUAAUAAGAUCAAGCAAGUUAUGAGUCUCUCUUAGUCUUUAUUCUCUCAAUGAUUCUAUACUAGACUCCUAAUCUCAUUUCAUACUCAAAUCUCUUCUAAAUCACUUCUAGUCUUUCUUAUUUACUCAGAUUACUCUACUCAAUCCUAAAAGUGAUAUGGUAUCAGAGCCAGGUUGAUAGGAAACUUGGUUUCGUUGGGUUCUUUGAAGAUUCAAGAUUGAAGCUUUGAAGAAACAGUUUAGUGUUCUUGUGUUCUUAAGCGGUUCUAGGUAGUCUUUCUGAGUUCUAUUGGUUGUGUGAGGUGUUAUUGAAGCUGUGUGGGUAAAAGGUGAAGCUGCUAGUGUUCACUCAAGACAGUUACCUCAAGAGAAAGUUAUUGAAGUCUAAAGGGUUCUACAUUCAACAUGGAGAGUGGGAUGAACAUGAACAUGAAGGUGGCGGUUUGUUUCAAGGGAAACAACUACUUGGUGUGGUCUCGGUUGGUGAGAACCACAGUGGGAAGCAAGGGGCUUUGGAAGCACAUCACGCCAGGAGCAGCUCCAAAGCUCAUCACUCAAGGAGAGGCUGAAGAUGAAGCCGCAAGCAAGGCAGAAGAGAAGUGGCAUCAAGAGGACAUGUUGGUGAUGUAUGUGCUUCAUGCGUCCCUUAAGCCGGCUAUUCUAGAUGCAUACAGCUACUGUGAGUCUGCUAAAGAGCUGUGGGAUACCUUGAAGAAGGUGUAUAGCAACACUUCAAACCUAAGCCGAGUGUUUGAAGUGAAGCAAGAUAUCAACAACCUUGUACAAGAAGACAUGGAGUUCACUAAGCAUCUAGGAAGAUUCAGAAGCCUCUGGUCCGAGAUGGAGAUGCUUAGGCCAAGCACAAUGGAUGCUGAUGAGCUUAACAAGAGGAGAGAGCAAGAUAAGGUAUUUGGGCUACUCCUCACCUAAACCCGGCGUACAACGGUCUCAUCCAGCACCUACUUAGGGAGGAUACUCUACCUGACCUUGAGGAUGUGUGUGCGCGGAUUCAGAAGGAGCAAGGCUCCAUUGGGCUGUUUGGGAAGAAAGGAGACCUUUCCCUUGCAAGUCAAGCAACUCAAGAGGAGGGGAGUGAAGCUCCACAAGCAAACAAGGCUGCGCAUGGGAAGUUUGAGGAGAGGAGGUUCAAUGGGAGUUGUGAUCACUGCAAGAAGCAUGGCCACAAGAAGAGUCAAUGCUGGAUACUCCACCCUCAUCUCAAGCCGGCUAAGUUCAUGAAGGAUCGUGAGGCAAGGGCUAAUGUCUCGGAUGGUACAAGUGGAGCUGGUACAAGAAAAGGAAAGGAGAUAGAUGGGCGUGAGGCAGGUGAUGGGAAGUCUCUUGUAGCCUACACUGGAGCACCAAGCAACCGUGGGAACAAUGAUCAAGAGUAUCUAAGGAGAUCCGACCUUGAUGCUCUCAUUAAGUUGUUCAAGGAGAAUGGUAACACCUUUGGGUAUUCUUUUGGUGCUAGGGUGGUAGAGAACUAUGAGAAUCUAACUAGAACUGAUAGGAUGCAUGAGAGCUUGAUAUAAAUGGUAAAUCAAUCUAGGAUUGCAAACUUUGCUAGAAAUGAUCAUGCAUUCAAACCAUCUAGUAUCCUUGCGCAUAUUGCUAGUUCUCAUGACAUUAAGCCAUUAGUGAUUGAUUCAGGUGCAUCUCAUCAUAUGAUAAGUGACACUAACUUGAUUAAAAACAUUGUACCAAUGAAUGGAAAUGUGAUGAUUGCUAAUGGAGAUAAGAUUCCUAUUAGAGGAAUAGGAAGUCUUAAACUGUUUGAUAAGGAAACUAAAGCUUUUUAUAUGCCUGAAUUUACUUCAAAUUGUUAUCUGUUAAGAAGUGUGCUACUGAUUUGCAAUGCAAUGUUAUAUUCAGUCCUAAUGAUGUGAAGUUUCAGGAUAUUAAAAGCAGCAAGAUGAUUGGAAAGGGAGUGACUAAAGGAGAGCUAUAUUUACUUGAAGAUCUCACUCCUGUUUCUAGAUAUAGCUGCUCGUUUACUUCUGUUUCUGGUUCUAGUUUAAGUAAAAAUGCAUUGUGGCAUGCUAGAUUAGGACACCCUCAUAAUAAGGCUUUAAAACUGAUGUUGCCAGGUGUUUCCUUUGAGAAUAUUGAGUGUGAAGCUUGCAUUUUAGGCAAGCAUUGUAGAACUGUCUUUACCAAGUGUACUACUGUUUAUGAAAAAUGUUUUGAUCUUAUUCAUUCUGAUGUUUGGACUGCACCNNNNNNNNNNNNNNNNNNNNNNNNNNNNNNNNNNNNNNNNNNNNNNNNNNNNNNNNNNNNNNNNNNNNNNNNNNUGUCGGCUACCCAUAUGAACUAGAUCAAGUGGUGGCAGACGAGCCGAUUCUCCGAAGAGCAUCUCCGUCUGUCCGGGUCUGAUCUAUAUGAGAAAAGAUAUAUCCUCUAGUUCUUGCUUCUUUCGCUAGCGUGUCCGCUCGACCAUUCCUACUCCGAGGAAUAUGAGACACGCUCACAUCUUCGAAGUCUUCCUGUAAUCUCCGGAACAUCUCGAUCUCUAUCGCAAAAGUUGGCCACUCCACCGGGUUCGUAGUCAUGUCCACAAGGUCCGAACAAUCCGUCUCGAACCGUAUCGAAGGCAUCCUCAUGGUUCUCAUACAUGAGAUAGCCCAAAGUAAACCUUCCAUCUCAGCAUGCAAAGCUGAGAGGCUUCUAUUACACGCCCGUACUCCAAAGUGUUCCGAGCCCAACUGAUCCUUAAGACUCCACCCUAAGCCACUAACGCUGCCAUUGUUGACCCAUGAUGCAUCAAUUUGACAGGUAGGGAUUCGGGGUAUCCAAGGGGGCACUAUCUCUCUCUCUAUAGUAGAGGAGUCGUCAUGAUCCUCAAUUACUUCCUCCUUUUCAUUAGCUUUCCUCCAACAUUCCGCCUCAAGAGACGCAUGUUGGAUAAUAUCCAUCGGGGAAACGACUUUCCCAUUAAAGAGUUUGUCGUUCCUCCCCUUCCAAAUGUACUAACAGAUCCAUGGGAAGGUAUCGAAUUGUGGUCUCAGUGGAGCCACCUCUUUUCUCUUCCAAAACAGGAAGUUCAUGUUUUGAUAUGUAGAUGUACUCGGGAAGUAACCCGGAAGGGACGGAUAGUCCGAUAAAGCCCAAACCUGAAGGGCAGGAGGGCAUUCAAAAAGAAGAUGAUUAAUCGACUCCACUGGGUCAGCACAUCUAGGACAACUCCUAUCGGUGCCCAGGUGUCUAUACGCUAGCCUUUCUGCCGUCGCCACACAUCCCGAUAUUGCUUGCCACAGGAAAUGUUUCAUCUUGGUCGGGGUCUUUAGCUUCCAUACAUGGCUCUGAAGGCUCGUAAUACUCGGUUCUAUGGCCCCUUCAUGUGUGAGGCUCUGCUUGGUUUCUUGGAGAAGGUCGUAACCGGUUUUAACUGAGUAGAUUCCUGUUUUUGUAUGAUGCCAAACAUAUCCAUCUGGGGCCGAAGUGUGUGAUAGUUUUAGCCCCAGUAUCAGCGGAAUAUCCUCCGGGUGGAAAAGAUCUCGUAAGAGUUGUAUAUCCCACUCCUUGGUAUCAGUCCUAAUAAAGGACUGAACAAGAAGUUGAGGUAGUCUGUAAACAAUAUGGCUAGCAGGUCUGGGUGGUCUAGCCAUUGAGUCUGGAAUCCAUGCCUCACUCCAGACCCUUGUAUCUCGACCGGUACCAAUAGUUUUCCGUAAUCCGGAAAUGAGUAGAGGUUUUGCUGCCAUGAUACUACGCCAUCCAUAUGAUGGUGAGUAUGCUCGUCGAUCUUCCAAAGGAGAGGUGCGGUUGUAGUAUCUUCCUUUUAAGACUCGUGCCAAUAAAGAAUUUGGGUAAUGAAUUAAUCUCCAUAAUUGUUUAGCAAGAAGCGCUAUAUUGAAGUCAUGAAGAUCACGAAAACCUAGUCCCCCGGAGUCUUUGGGUGUACAGAUCUCGUCCCAUGCUAUCCAAUGUAAACCUCUACUGUUUUGUUUUGAGCUCCACCAAAAAUUUGAAGUUGUGCUCCUUAGUUUAUCAGUAAUGCCUUGUGGAAGCAAAUAACUCGACAUCACAUAGGUUGGUACUGAUUGAGUCACAGAUUUAAUCUGGACCUCUUUCCCCCCUUUGGAUAGGAGUCUAGAUGACCAAUUGUUAACUCGCCCAUUUAAUCGAUCUUGUACAAAAGAGAACACUUUCAUCUUAGAACCACAUAUUUGCUCGGGUAGCCCAAGAUACAUCCCCAUGCCUCCUUCCGAAAAAAAACCAAGAGCUUCUUUUAUGUCUUGCUUCAGAGACAAAUGUACUUUAUUUCCAAAAAAGACCGAGGAUUUUGUUGCAUUUAGUCGCUGUCCUGAUGCCUUCCCAUAUAUGUCUAAGAUGUCUAUGAUCUCCUUGCAUUGGCUUACUUCCGCCUUACAGAAGAAGAGACUGUCAUCUGCAAAUAGAAGAUGGGAGAUCCUUGGGCUCGCCCUAGCAACCCGAAGGCCUUCAAUCUUUUUUUCUGCUUCAGCUCCGUUUAAAAGUGAGAUCAAGGCCUCCGUACACAUGAUGAACAAAAAGGGAGAGAGAGGAUCUCCUUGUCUCAACCCUCUCCUAGGUAAUAUUCGCCCUCUUGGUUGCCCAUUAACUAAAAUUUGGUAUGUGACCGACGUGACACAACACAUAAUGAGGUCAACCAGUCUUUCAUCAAAACCCAUCUUUAACAUCAAGGCUGCAAGGAAGUUCCAUUCCACUCUGUCAUAAGCUUUGCUCAUAUCCGUUUUAAUAGCCAUAAAGUCUUCUCUACAUCUUGGGUUCGUCCGUAGGGCGUGAAAAUUUUCUUGUGCUAUCAAGAUAUUAUCAGUGAUCAAACGUUUCGAUACAAAAGCAGAUUGCGUCUCUGAGAUCAAGUGCGGGAUUACCCUCUUAAGUCUCUUGCAAAGUAGCUUAGAUAUAAUCUUGUAGCUAACAUUACAAGACUAAUAGGUCUGAACUCAGUCAUGUCUCGAGGUUUCUUCUUCUUAGGAAUGAGACAAAUAUUUGUCUGGUUUAAUAGUGGGUCGAAACUGCCCGUCGCAAAGAAGUCUUGCACAAGUCUAAUAAUGUCUUGACGCAUCUCGCGCCAGAAUUUUUGAAACAGUUUACUAGUCAUGCCAUCUGGUCCGGGAGCUUUAUCUGGGUUGAUGUCGAAGAGAGCUCUCCUAAUUUCCUGUUCCGAAGGUUUCUCCAAAAGUAAAAUAUUAUCAUCAUGGGACACCUUUCCAGAAAUGAAUCGAAGCGAGGUGUCUAGCUCUGUCGGCGAAGAGGUAGAGAAGAGGUCUCGAAAGUAUUGAACAGCCACGUUCUCCACCUCGAUUUCACUCUCUACCAGCCUCCCAUUUUUAUCUUUAAUACUGAUGAUCCUGUUUUGGGCUCUUCGUUGUUUUGUGGUGGCAUGAUGAAAUUUCGUAUUUCUGUCCCCAUCUCUGUGCCACUGGUCUCGACUUUUUUGUUCCCAAAACAUGUUUUCUUCUCGAAAGGCCAAGAUUAAUUGUCUCCUAAAAUCUUCUAAUUCUUCAGUCGUAGAGUUUUCAUCAUCUUGUGCCAAGUCUAUCUUCUGUUUUAACUCUUUAAUAAGUAUAGCAAAGUUCAUUGGAUUUUGCUUCUUCCAAAAACUGAUUUUAUUUCGGCAUGAGAUAACUUUUUGAUGAAAAUUUCGAACUGGAAUUGCAUCAAAAUGUCCCCAUCCCGAGGUUACUGCUUCUUUGAAACCCGGUUUUCCUAUCCAUCUUUUGUCAAAUCUGAAGCUCUUCUUUGUCCGCCGAACAUUCGAUUGAAUACGUGCUACGACUGGCCUAUGGUCCGAGCCCCACAAUUGUAAAAAUUCCACAAUGGAAUGAUGAAAAAGGGCGUGCCAUUCUUCAUUUGCAACUGCUCUAUCCAGUUUGCAUUUAACUUUACCGGAUCAUCUUUUCCCCACCCACGAGAAUGAAUUUCCUUUAUAUGGGAAUUCGAGCAUUCCACAAUUUUCCAACAUGAUACGGAAAGGGAGAAAAGAACUCUCUAAACGACGCCUUCCUCCCCUCUUCUCAUGAUUUCCAGUAAUCUCAUUGAAAUCUCCAAUCAUAAACCACGCUCCCCCACGGUUGGUACUCAUGCGUGACAAUCUUUCCCAAACUAGGUCUCGAUAUCGAACGACAGGGUCUCCAUACACGAAGGUCAUAAAAAUCGUGUGUCCUUCAAGUCUAGUUUCAAUAUCAAUCAUAUGCGCAUCCGUAUAUAAGAUAGUAACCGAGGGAUCAUCCAUAUAAAAGAGUGCAAGUCCGCCACUUCUACCAACAGGGUCUACAGUACAAACAUGAUCAUAUCCAAAAGAAACUUGCACAUUUUGCAAAAAACUCCGAUUGUUCUUAGUCUCCGAAAGAAAUAAAAAUCUAGGCAAAAAGCAAUGAAACAACUCAUGUAGAUGUUCCUUGGUCAAGUCGGCUCCCGCCCCUUGACAAUUCCAUGCAACUGUGUUCAUCCUGGGAUUUUUGGUGGUUUGUUGCUUCCCACCUUAGAUGAUUUCUUGCUGUUCUUCGAAAACAUUUUCUGAAUUUCCAGUUUAUGAAAAGUGUUUUGAUCUCAUUCAUUCUGAUGUUUGGACUGCACCUUGCCUAUCUAGAGAAAACCAUAAGUAUUAUGUAACUUUCAUUGAUGAAAAAUCCAAAUACACCUGGUUAACCUUAAUUCUAACCAAAGAUAGGGUACUUGAUGCAUUUAAAAACUUUCAAUCCUAUGUGACUAACCAUUACAAUGCCAAGAUAAAGAUUUUCAGGUCAGAUAAUGGAGGAGAGUACACGGGACAAGUAUUCAAACUACACCUAUCUCAGCAUGGAAUCCUUCAUCAGACAAGCUGUCCCUAUACCCCACAACAGAAUGGUGUGGCUGAGAGGAAGAACAUGCAUUUGAUGGAAGUAGCCAGGUCCAUGAUGUUUCAAUCCAAUGCUAUGCCUUGGACGUGCCUAAGAAAUUUUGGAGUGAUGCAGUUGCUACGGCUUGUUAUCUCAUCAACAGGACACCAACUCUGAUUCUUCAAGGACAAUCACCAUUUGAGGUACUGAACCAGUACAAGCCCUCUCUAGAGCAUAUGAAGAUCUUUGGAUGUUUGUGUUUUGUGAUGGUGCCUGGAGAGAUAAGAAACAAGCUAGAGGCUAAGAGUUCAAAGGCAAUGUUUAUUGGAUAUUCAUCAAGUCAGAAAGGAUACAAGUGCUAUGAUCCUAACACAAGGAGAGUGUUAGUAUCUAGAGAAGUGAAGUUUGUUGAAGAAAAAGGAUACUAUGCGGAGCAGAUUCAAGAUGAUUUGAAAGAUCUCACCUCUGAUAGAGCUGAAACCUUGAGGAUUAUUGUGGGAACCGAAAUUCACACUGUCGAUUUCCGUUUAAAUAAGGAAACUAGGAAAACCCUAAUUUCCCAGAGGACCCGGAUAUCUGUUAAUUACCACACGUCAAGCAAUCAGAACACGAGAAUAACAACGAUAAAAAUAAGAAAUAGAAAAGAGAGCAAAAGUAGAUCUUAUUCCGAAUCUGCGUAUGAGCGUUACAACAAGGUAUAAGCCUGGGCUCGAGAGCUGUCGGCGAGAUUCCUAGUUCUAGCAACCCUAAGACGGCUAAACCUAAUUGAGUCGCAGCUCGAAAUAACAAAAACGGAAAAUUGCCUAAAUUGCUCUAAGUGCCAAGUUUGCUCUGAAAAAGUUCUCNNNNNNNNNNNNNNNNNNNNNNNNNNNNNNNNNNNNNNNNNNNNNNNNNNNNNNNNNNNNNNNNNNNNNNNNNNNNNNNNNNNNNNNNNNNNNNNNNNNNNNNNNNNNNNNNNNNNNNNNNNNNNNNNNNNNNNNNNNNNNNNNNNNNNNNNNNNNNNNNNNNNNNNNNNNNNNNNNNNNNNNNNNNNNNNNNNNNNNNNNNNNNNNNNNNNNNNNNNNNNNNNNNNNNNNNNNNNNNNNNNNNNNNNNNNNNNNNNNNNNNNNNNNNNNNNNNNNNNNNNNNNNNNNNNNNNNNNNNNNNNNNNNNNNNNNNNNNNNNNNNNNNNNNNNNNNNNNNNNNNNNNNNNNNNNNNNNNNNNNNNNNNNNNNNNNNNNNNNNNNNNNNNNNNNNNNNNNNNNNNNNNNNNNNNNNNNNNNNNNNNNNNNNNNNNNNNNNNNNNNNNNNNNNNNNNNNNNNNNNNNNNNNNNNNNNNNNNNNNNNNNNNNNNNNNNNNNNNNNNNNNNNNNNNNNNNNNNNNNNNNNNNNNNNNNNNNNNNNNNNNNNNNNNNNNNNNNNNNNNNNNNNNNNNNNNNNNNNNNNNNNNNNNNNNNNNNNNNNNNNNNNNNNNNNNNNNNNNNNNNNNNNNNNNNNNNNNNNNNNNNNNNNNNNNNNNNNNNNNNNNNNNNNNNNNNNNNNNNNNNNNNNNNNNNNNNNNNNNNNNNNNNNNNNNNNNNNNNNNNNNNNNNNNNNNNNNNNNNNNNNNNNNNNNNNNNNNNNNNNNNNNNNNNNNNNNNNNNNNNNNGCAGGUCGUUGCCCCGUGUCAUGGGACCGUCGUCGCGGCUCCUCUCCCGCAAGUCCUACCUGCGGGAUCUUCCACGACUCCGAUCCUCGUCGAAGACAAAGAGAAAGCCGCUGACUCUAUGCCUCCGCCUCCGGCCAGAAAAGAAAUCGUUCUGGCAUUGCGUGCUCCUAGCGCUGUCCUGGCUACUCUGCCUAAGAGUCGGAAGAGGAAACUUGCCAAGAGCGGUGACGGGGAGACUUCGCAGCGAGGUGGGUUGAGCCUAGCGUCGGGACUUCGCGGAAAGGUUUGUUUCUUGUUUGAAUUCUCGAUCGUCUUUCGUGUAUUCUUUUCACGGACUUAGUCUAACCAAUUUUUACCGUUCGCAGUUCAUAUCGUUGAUCGAUGGGAUGAUCAGCGAAUGUGGUUCUGAGACCAGUCGCCUUUCCGGGGAGUUGGUGGAGCUUCAGGGCAGAUGGUCCGAAACCGAGGCUAUGUUGACGGCUGUCGAGGACUCUCACUCUGCGAAAGUGUCGAAGCUCGAGGUUGCGAUAGGAGAGCUUGAGAGGGACCUUGGGAAGACGGCGAGUUCCUUGCUUAAGGAAAAGAAGGCCAGGAAGGCCAAAUCCUCGGAGGUGCGUCGACUCCAGCGUCAGAUCGAGAGUGACGCUGGACUAGCGCGCCGCGGGAUCCAAGAGGCUACGAAUGCCUUUCGCGCGGAGUUUCAGGCUCGCUUGGCGAAGAUUUCUGCUUCCCUGGGUUCCCUCGAGCGUAUCCGGAGCAGGGAUUUCGCUUUGGCGACGAUUGAGGGCGGGAUGGCCGUGGUUCGGUCGUUCCAAAGUGAGACUCCCCCGACCUUGGAGGCCGAAGAGGCCCGACUGUCGGGCUGCAAGGGAGAUAUGGCGGCCGAAGACGGAGAUUUCGGUCUCAUCCUGGCCGACCUAAAAUCUGCGUGCUUCCUUCCGACGUGUUCAGAAGACCCAGAGGGGAAAGACCCGAUGGUCGGAGAGAACGGAAGCGACGCGGCUCCAGGCUCGGACGAGGCAGCGGGUGAAGAGGGGGCGUAAGUUCUGAGGGUGACUUGGGUUAGAUCUCUUGCGAGAGAUUUUUUUAUGUUUUUAUGUUUCGGCCUUGAAUGGCCUUGUUUGUAUUUCGGGACUGGCCGUGUGUGGCUUUGAAUCCCUGCCGCUCCGCGGCUUUCUUUUUAUGGUACGAUAAUCGGAUAAUGCUUUUCAUGAAAUUGUGAAUGGUGGGGAGGAAGGUGAUGAGUUGUCGUCUCAUAUCCUUCUUCGAUUGUGAAAUGUUUUAUCCGAGACCUGUUUCGAGAGUUCUUCCGCGAGAUGUGAACUCUGCGGGGGUGCUGAAGGUAUAGAACGUAAACAUAGAGGCAUGGUUUAAGAAUCUCCUAUCUUUCGAUAUCAUGCCUUUGAGAUGUUAGAGACCAGUGCGCUGGGUUUAGGGCAAGACCUAGGUUUACUUUCGGUUUAAGGAUUGUGCGGUGACUAACCGGCUAUCAUUUUUCCUGUCGCGAUUUCUUCCUGAUUCGUAUCGAUGUAAAGUCCGCGAAAAGUUCUCGGCUUAUACGACUUGUUUGAUACGAAUCGAGCAUCUCUCCGGAGACCGGAAGUGCUAGACCAAAAUUUCGGAUUUCUUUUAUAGCGCUAUUAUCCUUGUGUCAGAUGUAUGAGAGUCAUCUCCGUGAGAUGUCUAUGUCUGUUUAGGACGUUUGUGAGUUCGAUGUGAUCAGCAUCGGACUUGGUGGCGUGUGCCGUUGUGGUGGUUACUUUGCGCAAAAUAAAUGUUAAUGUGUGCAUGUAUGUGUCUUUUUGCGGAGAUUUCGUUUGCUCGGAAGAAACCAACUUUGAGGCAUCUUUUGCGACGUCUCGCGAUGCUAAAGGUUGAUUCUCCCAAGCGGCCGACUGAUUUCCGAAGACCUCGUUGCGAUUUCGCAGGUGAGGAUGUUUUGACAAGUCGAAAACACCAAAAGUGUGGUAAGAAGUUUUUCGAUUUUUUUUUGGGAGUAUACGAGUAUACGUACCCACUCCCCCCCCCUUUUUUAAUGAGGGGGGACAGCUGAAUUUGCCUUUCGGCAAACUGCCUACGUACUCCUUGCGGAGAUCAAGCCGUCUCGUAGUUCAGUGAUUGCGAGUGGGUUUGUUUAGUGAUAGUAUUUUUUGAGAUGCAUCGCAUUCCAGGUUCUAGGGAUUUUUAUGCCCUGCAUGUUGGCUAUUUCGUAAGAACCUGGUCGGACGACUUUUUAGAUUUUAUAUGGACCUUCCCAGUUUGCUCCGAGUUUUCCCGCGUUUCGUUCAGCGGUGUUUUGGAAGACUUUGCGAAGGACCAGAUCUCCCUGAUUGAACCUACGAUUCCGUACGUUGGAAUUAUAGUAUCUUGCAGCGGCGUGCUGGUAGUUUUGAAUUCGGAUGAGCGCUCGAUCCCGGCGUUCGUUGAUGAGGUCGAGGUCGUCCAAGAGCAUAGCAUUGUUGAGUUCCUCUCGUUCAGGUAAGAACCUUCUUCGAACACCGGGAAAUUCUACUUCUGCGGGAAUCAUGCAUUCCGUGCCAUAUACCAGGGCGAAGGGAGUUUCUCCCGUUGCUCGCCUUGGGGUGGUACGGUGAGACCAGAGGACUCCCUCGAGUUCGUCGGCCCAUCUACCUUUUUUGGCUUCCAAGCGUUUCUUCAGUCCAUCGAAAUUGGUCUUGUUGAUUGUUUCAGCCUGUCCGUUGCACUGCGGAUAUCUGGGAGUUGACUUGUUGAGUCGUAUCUUCCACUUUUCGCAGAAUGCCUCGAAUCGGGUGGAAAUGAAUUGAGACCCGUUAUCGGUUACGAUUUCGUAAGGAACUCCAUGCCUACAGAUGAUGUUUCUCCAUACGAAAUUCUCGACUUGGACGUCUUUUAUACUUGCGUACGAGUCCGCCUCUACCCAUUUUGAGAAAAAAUUGGUAAGGACUAGAAGGAAACGCUUUUGCUAUGAAUUAUGCAGAGGUCCGACAAUAUCCAUGGCCCAGCGCAUAAAGGGAUAAGGGGAUGUGAUGGAGGAAAGAACUUCGGCCGGUUGUCGGAUAGUUGGCGCAUGCCGUUGGCAUUUUUUGCAUUUUCGUGCGAAUUUCUCGCGAUCUCCGAUCAUUGUUGGCCAAUAGUAUCCGUGGCGUUUGAUUUUCACGGCUAGUGAUCUUCCGCCGGAAUGGUUGCCGCAUGAGCCGGAAUGUAUUUCCUCCAUUACUUUCCUCGCCCUUUCUCCUUCCAGGCACGUCAGGAGUGGUCCGGAGAAUCUCCAUUUGUAGAUUUCGCCGUCCACUGUCACAUAGCGUGCGGCCUGUGUUCGGAUCUUGCGAGCUGCCCAUUUUUCGGCGGGCAGUUGCCCGUCGAUAAUGUAGUUUCGAAUCGCCUGAAGCCAUGGGGUAUCACAGCCAAUCAGAUUGCUCUGAUGGUGGUGGUACCGUAAUUUCUUCUUCCUCGUCGUCUUGACCCUCUAUGAGAUUGACAACGACUAAUGGUCCGAUACUCGGAUGUUCGAUGAAUUCGACCGGAAUUACCCUUUUGAGUCCUGGAUCGGAACUUGAUGCUAAGGCCGCGAGGGCGUCCGCCUGGACAUUCUCGGAAUGGGGGAUCCGGGUAAGGGCGAAGCAGUCGAAAUCUUGAGCUAGACCCUGGACCAGUUUGAGGUACGCGUCCAUCCCUUCGUCUCUGGCUUCAUACUCUCCGCUGAAUUGACUGGCCACUAACUGGAAGUCGCAGUAGGCCUGGAGAUUGCGUAUUUUUAAACCAUGAGCCAAACGUAGACCUGCGAUUAACGCUUCGUAUUCGGCCUCGUUGUUUGAGGCAUGGAAUUCCAGUCUGAACGAUUGUUCCAAGAUCUCGCUCGUUGGAGAUGUGAGACGGAUCCCGAUACCCGAUCCUUGCUUGGAUGAGGAUCCGUCGACCUGGAGGAGCCAGGUGGAAUUUGGUUCCUCAUUGGUUAUUGCUCCCGUUGGAAGUUCGACCAAGAAGUCUGCAAGCACUUGUGAUUUGGCGCUCGUCCUUGGUCGGUAUUCGAUGUCAUACUCGCUCAACUCGACCGCCCACUUAGCCAAUCGACCUGAUUGACUUGGGCUAUGCAGAAUUGUCCGUAAGGGAAAAGUCGUGAGGAUGACAAUCGUGUGGGAUUGGAAAUAUGGUCUUAGUUUUCGGGCCGAUGUCACGACCGCGCAUGCCAAUUUUUCCAUCAACGGAUACCUAGAUUCGGCAUCCAGCAAGGUUUUGCUUAUGUAGAAAAUAGGUUUCUGCUCUCUGCGUUCUUCCCUGAUCAGGACUCCGCUUACGGCCGUUGCCGACACCGCGAUGUAUAAGAAUAAAGGCUCCCCUUCCACGGGUUUUGCGAGGACUGGAGGAGUAGCUAAAUAACGCUUCAGCUGUUGGAAGGCGUUUUCGCACUCUUCCGUCCAUUCGAAUUUUUUAUUUCCUCGCAGGACGUCGUAGAAGGGCAGGCACUUAUCUGUUGAUCGUGAAAUAAAUCGGUUAAGUGCUGCGAUUCUGCCGGUCAGUAUCUGGACCUCCCGCUUGUUCUUUGGUGAAGCCAUCUCGAUUAGUACGUUGAUCUGUUUUGGAUUUGCUUCGAUGCCGCGGUCGGUGACCAAGUAGCCGAGGAAUUCUCCUGAUGCCACGGCGAAUCUACAUUUCGUUGGGUUGAGCUUCAUGUUAUGGGAGUUUAGUUGUGCAAAGCAUUCUUCGAGAUGUGAUACGUGAUCUCUUGCUUUGAGGGAUUUGACGAGCAUGUCGUCGAUAUAAACUUCCAUCGUUUUUCCGAGUUGUUUGGAGAACAUUCGGUUCACGAGUCGUUGGUAAGUUGCUCCAGCGUUUUUGAGGCCGAAGGGCAUUACCUUAUAGCAAUAAGUUCCGCGAUCGGUAAUGAACGCAGUCUUCUCACGAUCGUCGGGAUUCAUCCUAAUUUGAUUAUAACCUGAGAAGGCAUCCAUGAAGGAUAAGAGUUCGUUGCCCGCUGUUGCUUCUACCAAUCGAUCGAUAUGUGGUAGAGGGAAGCUAUCCUUUGGACAUGCCUUGUUUAGGUCGGUAAAAUCUACGCAAACUCGCCACUUCCCGUUUUUCUUUUUGACUACUACGGGGUUGGCGAGCCAGUCCGGGUAUCUUACUUCCGUUAUCGACCCAACUUUAAGCAGUUUUUCGACCUCAUCGUUUACAGCGGUAGCACGUUCGGGUCCCAGCUUCCGUCUUUUCUGUUUGACGGGUUUGAAUGUCGGGUCGAUAUUCAGCUCGUGACAUGUUAUGUUAAUGUUGAUUCCUGGCAUAUCUUCCGCAGCCCAUGCGAAAGUAUUAAGGUUCUUUUUAAGACAGGUUAUGAGUUCUGUCUUUAAAGGCUCGUGGAGAUUGGCUCCAAUCUCGACGCAGCGUUCUGGGAAGGCUUCGUCGAGACAGAUCGUUACCACAGGUUCGCAUGUUGGCUCGCGUUUUUCAUCUAGAGCUGCGAUGCUGCGAGACUGCCAGAAGAAUUCCGCUGAAUCCUGAUUGCGUAUUUUUGCUGGAGGUCUUUUUCUCCGCUUUCUUAGGAGUAACUUCGAGGAUCAGUCUCUUUCGUUUUAGUUCCGCGGCGAAACAAACCUGUGAAACUCUUGGAUUUCCCCAGAUUACCUCGACUCCGUUAGGGGUCGGGAACUUGAGGCAAAGAUGGUAGGUUGAUGGGAUUGUGCGCAUGGUGUUUAGCCAUGGCGUCCCCAUGAUAACGUUGUAAGAUGCGGGGCGGUCAACGACUAGAAACUCUGUGAUGUUAGUCACGGUUCCGGCUUUGACAGCGAGUCUAAUCGAUCCAUAGGCCAUGGUCGUUUCCCCCGAAAGUCCUAGCAAUGGGCUUGGGUAUUUCGCGAUUUCGGAUUGACUGACCCCCAUCUUUUCAAGAGUAUCUUUGAAGAUGAUAUCGGCCGAGCUUCCGGUAUCGAUUAGUACUCUAGCGACGUCGAUAUCUCGAAUCGUCAACUCGAUAACAAGGAGAUCGUUUCGAGGUUUGGCCCGAUCGAUCGUUUCUCCCCCCUUGAAUGAGAUGACGUUCGCGCACGUCGAAUCUCGCAUAUCGUUCCUGAUCGUUGAGUGGCUUUUGCGGGUUAGAUUGAUCCGUAAGUCCCCCUCCUUCUAGCGCCAAACUGUGGGAACCGAAAUUCACACUGUCGAUUUCCGUUUAAAUAAGGAAACUAGGAAAACCCUAAUUUCCCAGAGGACCCGGAUAUCUGUUAAUUACCACACGUCAAGCAAUCAGAACACGAGAAUAACAACGAUAAAAAUAAGAAAUCGAAAAGAGAGCAAAAGUAGAUCUUAUUCCGAAUCUGCGUAUGAGCGUUACAACAAGGUAUAAACCUGGGCUCGAGAGCUGUCGGCGAGAUUCCUAGUUCUAGCAACCCUAAGACGGCUAAACCUAAUUGAGUCGCAGCUCGAAAUAACAAAAACGGAAAAUUGCCUAAAUUGCUCUAAGUGCUAAGUUUUCUCUGAAAAAGUUCUCUCCCAUGCUCCUCGCCUAGGACCCCGCUCUGAAAAAGUCUUUUUUCUGCUCCUCGCCUAGGACUCCUUUUAUACUAGCUCCAAGGUCGGUUUACGCUUUUACUCUUCUGCCCUUAAGCCAUCAUAGCAUAAAAUGGAGAUAUUCCAUUUUUCCCGAUCUUCAUAAUUAUCUUCAAAACUUCCGUAUUUAUCCGCGGAAACUUGACAUUUAUCCUUCCUCGUGGGCCAAGCGUAAACCAUGCUGUGGUUUACGGGCUUUUGGUUAGGAAAAUCGUAGGAUGGGCUUCGAAUCGUGUUUUAGGUCCCUUUGGGCCGUCUUCCGACUCGACACGUUUACUACGAGUUUUCCGCGGUUUCUAAUCCGCGAAGUUUGAUCGAUGAGUUAGAAUAGCGGAAAACAUGGACUGAGCUUGCUACGGUCUUCGGGAGAUAGCAUUCGAAGGAUUGACGAGAAUGCAUGGACUGGUGUCGUAUCGAUGUUCGGAAAGGUUCAAUCGCAACACAGCGACCAAACUUUGGCUCGAGCCCGGUCGCUACGUAGCGACCGAGUGAGACGAGUGCUCGGUCGCUACGUAGCGACCGAGCUGUGUGCAUGCUUGGUCGCCGCGUAUCGAUCGAGCUUGGCUUGUCCGUGGUCCGAUUGCCGUACUCGAGCUUUUCCACGGCCGAAUUGGAUACAUGUCUGUUUCCUUCGNNNNNNNNNNNNNNNNNNNNNNNGGGACGAUGGCUCGGUCGCUACGUAGCGACCUGUUUCGAGCUUUUCGUCGGACAUCUCGAUUCUUUCUUCCGUAAAGCUUUUUCGUAAGAAAGAGUCUAUUUCGAAAAAUACUCUUCGGAGAAAUUCUUAUUUUCCUCCUCGGACGUUUUGAAUGUUAAAUUUGUCGUAACCGUUUUUGACCCCAACAAUUAUCCUAGAGGGUCUUGGAAUCAACAUGAAUCAAGGUGGGAGAAGCACUACUCCAGUACCGGAUCAUCAGACUUCCAAUCUUGAGCAUGAGGGGGGGGAAUGAAACAAGAACUCAAAACCGUGAAGAGACAAGUAGAGAAGAGAGUUCUGGUUCUCAUGAUCAAGCUGUGGAAUCAAAUGAUCAACAAGAAGAAGCUGAAGAGAGUCAGCUAAGGGAAGAAGGAGCUGCAGCAAGUCAGCUAGGAGAAGAAAGAUCUGAACCAAGUGUGCUGCCACAAGAAGAAGAACAAGAGAUGGCGCAAGAAGGGCCAGUGUUGAGAAAAAGUACAAGGCUGAGAAAGGAUCCUUCUAGUUGGGUAAACACAAGAGUGUACUACAAUGCCCAAGCUGUGAAGCAUCCUACUCAGGCCGUGUGUUCUUUUGCUCAAUAUCCAGAAGCACAUUGUGCAUUCAUGGUAAACUUAGAUGAGAAUCACAUUCCAAGAAGCUAUGAAGAGGCAAUGGAGGAUAAGGAAUGGAAGGAAUCAGUAGGAGCUGAGGCAUGAGCUAUGAUAAAGAAUGAUACAUGGUAUGAGAGUGAACUACCAAAAGGGAAGAAGGCAGUAUCUAGUAGAUGGAUCUUCACAAUAAAAUACAAGGCUGAUGGGCAGAUUGAGUGUUUGAAGUGAAGCAAGCUAUCAACCUCAGAUGGAUCUUCACAAUAAAAUACAAGGCUGAUGGGCAGAUUGAGAGGAAGAAGACUAGAUUAGUAGCAAGAGGGUUCACUCAAACAUAUCGAGAGGAUUACAUUGAGACAUUUGCACCAGUAGCCAAGUUACACACCAUUAGGAUUGUUCUAAGCUUGGCGGUUAACCUUGGAUGGGGAUUGUGGCAAAUGGAUGUGAAGAAUGCAUUCUUAUAAGGAGAACUUGAGGAUGAAGUCUACAUGUAUCCUCCACCAGGUCUUGAACAUCUAGUGAAGAGAGAGAAUGUACUGAGGCUAAAGAAGGCUAUCUAUGGGUUGAAGCAAUCACCAAGAGCUUGGUACAACAAGUUGAGCACAACUCUGAACGGCCGAGGCUUUAAGAAGUCAAAAUUGGACCAUACUGUCUUUACCCUCACUACUCCCUCAGGUAUGGUUGCUCUCCUUGUGUAUGUGGAUGAUAUCAUUAUCACAGGGAGUGAUAAGGAAGGUAUCAAAGCAACCAAGGAGUUUCUCAAAUCUAUGUUUGAAAUCAAAGACUUGGGAGAAAUGAAAUACUUUCUUGGAAUUGAGAUUUGUAGAUCCAAGGAAGGCUUAUUCAUGUCCCAAAGAAAGUAUACACUUGAUCUUUUGAAAGGUGCAGGUGCUUAUGGAGGCAAGACAACAAGGAUGCCUAUGGAGGAUGGCUACAAAGUACCAAGAGAGGGGGAGAUUGAAGACAGCAAGCCAUUUCAUGAUCCUAAACUCUAUAGAAAACUUGUUGGCAAAUUGAUUUAUCUAACCAUCACAAGGCCUGAUAUAUGCUUUGCUGUGAAUCAGGUGAGCCAACACAUGCAGCUUCCCAAGGAACAUCACUGGCGCAUGGUGGAGAGGCUGUUGAUGUAUCUGAAUGGCUCGCCGGAUCAAGGAGUAUGGAUGGGGUGCAAUGGAAGCACAGAAGUGGUGGGCUAUUGUGAUGCUGAUUGGGCAAGAGAUAGAGUUGACAGGAGAUCAACCACAGGCUAUUGCACAUUCAUUGGAGGCAACUUGGUGACUUGGAAGAGCAAGAAGCAGAAGGUGGUGUCAUGUUCAAGUGCAGAAGCUGAGUAUAGAGCUAUGCUGAAGCUCACAAACGAGUUGGUGUGGAUCAAAGGCAUCUUGAAGCACUUGGAGAUUGAUCAAGCCACUCCAAUGACAAUACAUUGCGACAAUCAAGCUGCCAUUCACAUUGCAUCCAACUCGGUGUUCCAUGAGAGAACCAAGCACAUUGAGGUUGAUUGCCACAAGGUGAGACAGAUGAUUGUGCUUGUGUGUGAUCUUACCUUGCUAUACGAGAAGUGAAGAUCAGUUGGCUGAUGUGUUCACCAAGGCUGCAAGACAAAAGACUAUGGAGUCCAUUCACAUUAGAUUGGGACUCAUAGAUCUUGGGAAGAGAAGGAGCUGAUCCCCUUAGCUGUGAGAUCUUUACUCUUUUUCCCUCAUUAAGGUUUUAUCCCAAUGGGUUUUCCUUAGUGAGGUUUUUAAUGAGGAAGAUCUCAUGGCUGUCCAAGCUUAGACUUUCACAAAGCUAAGCUUGAGGGGGAGUGUUGAGAUGAGUGCACUAUAGUAUGAAGAAGAAGUCCGAGAGGGUGUAGAAGUGUUGAGGAGUUAAUAAGCAAGUAAGAGAAGGAGCAUGUACAGACAGACAGUACAGAUAGGGCGAGCAGUACGGACGCAGGCCGUACCAACGACCAUCCGCAAGAAGUAACUCGGCCAAGGUGAAAUGUAAACUGGCUGGAGUUACUUUACCUUACUUACCUUGAGUCUGAAGUUGAGCUGAACGUUAGAAGGAUAAGGGAUGCGCAUCUGACAGCCUGUCAUAGGCUGGAAAGGUAAAGGCAUAUUCAAAGAUGCUUUACACAUGUGGAGACUCUCAUUGAAAGGAUUCAAAUGAGCUCUUAGCUGGUUAUUGACUUCACAUGCUUUCUACUUUAUGUAAUCGAAAUCCUAGUGUCUUAAGCUUCCUGUAUAAGUGUAAACUCUCUCAUUAAUAAGAUCAAGCAAGUUAUGAGUCUCUCUUAGUCUUUAUUCUCUCAAUGAUUCUAUACUAGACUCCUAAUCUCAUUUCAUACUCAAAUCUCUUCUAAAUCACUUCUAGUCUUUCUUAUUUACUCAGAUUACUCUACUCAAUCCUAAAAGUGAUAUGGUAUCAGAGCCAGGUUGAUAGGAAACUUGGUUUCGUUGGGUUCUUUGAAGAUUCAAGAUUGAAGCUUUGAAGAAACAGUUUAGUGUUCUUGUGUUCUUAAGCGGUUCUAGGUAGUCUUUCUGAGUUCUAUUGGUUGUGUGAGGUGUUAUUGAAGCUGUGUGGGUAAAAGGUGAAGCUGCUAGUGUUCACUCAAGACAGUUACCUCAAGAGAAAGUUAUUGAAGUCUAAAGGGUUCUACAUUCAACAUGGAGAGUGGGAUGAACAUGAACAUGAAGGUGGCGGUUUGUUUCAAGGGAAACAACUACUUGGUGUGGUCUCGGUUGGUGAGAACCACAGUGGGAAGCAAGGGGCUUUGGAAGCACAUCACGCCAGGAGCAGCUCCAAAGCUCAUCACUCAAGGAGAGGCUGAAGAUGAAGCCGCAAGCAAGGCAGAAGAGAAGUGGCAUCAAGAGGACAUGUUGGUGAUGUAUGUGCUUCAUGCGUCCCUUAAGCCGGCUAUUCUAGAUGCAUACAGCUACUGUGAGUCUGCUAAAGAGCUGUGGGAUACCUUGAAGAAGGUGUAUAGCAACACUUCAAACCUAAGCCGAGUGUUUGAAGUGAAGCAAGAUAUCAACAACCUUGUACAAGAAGACAUGGAGUUCACUAAGCAUCUAGGAAGAUUCAGAAGCCUCUGGUCCGAGAUGGAGAUGCUUAGGCCAAGCACAAUGGAUGCUGAUGAGCUUAACAAGAGGAGAGAGCAAGAUAAGGUAUUUGGGCUACUCCUCACCUAAACCCGGCGUACAACGGUCUCAUCCAGCACCUACUUAGGGAGGAUACUCUACCUGACCUUGAGGAUGUGUGUGCGCGGAUUCAGAAGGAGCAAGGCUCCAUUGGGCUGUUUGGGAAGAAAGGAGACCUUUCCCUUGCAAGUCAAGCAACUCAAGAGGAGGGGAGUGAAGCUCCACAAGCAAACAAGGCUGCGCAUGGGAAGUUUGAGGAGAGGAGGUUCAAUGGGAGUUGUGAUCACUGCAAGAAGCAUGGCCACAAGAAGAGUCAAUGCUGGAUACUCCACCCUCAUCUCAAGCCGGCUAAGUUCAUGAAGGAUCGUGAGGCAAGGGCUAAUGUCUCGGAUGGUACAAGUGGAGCUGGUACAAGAAAAGGAAAGGAGAUAGAUGGGCGUGAGGCAGGUGAUGGGAAGUCUCUUGUAGCCUACACUGGAGCACCAAGCAACCGUGGGAACAAUGAUCAAGAGUAUCUAAGGAGAUCCGACCUUGAUGCUCUCAUUAAGUUGUUCAAGGAGAAUGGUAACACCUUUGGGUAUUCUUUUGGUGCUAGGGUGGUAGAGAACUAUGAGAAUCUAACUAGAACUGAUAGGAUGCAUGAGAGCUUGAUAUAAAUGGUAAAUCAAUCUAGGAUUGCAAACUUUGCUAGAAAUGAUCAUGCAUUCAAACCAUCUAGUAUCCUUGCGCAUAUUGCUAGUUCUCAUGACAUUAAGCCAUUAGUGAUUGAUUCAGGUGCAUCUCAUCAUAUGAUAAGUGACACUAACUUGAUUAAAAACAUUGUACCAAUGAAUGGAAAUGUGAUGAUUGCUAAUGGAGAUAAGAUUCCUAUUAGAGGAAUAGGAAGUCUUAAACUAUUUGAUAAGGAAACUAAAGCCUUUUAUAUGCCUGAAUUUACUUCAAACUUGUUAUCUGUUAAGAAAUGUGCUACUGAUUUGCAAUGCAAUGUUAUAUUCAGUCCUAAUGAUGUGAAGUUUCAGGAUAUUAAAAGCAGCAAGAUGAUUGGAAAGGGAGUGACUAAAGGAGAGCUAUAUUUACUUGAAGAUCUCACUCCUGUUUCUAGAUAUAGCUGCUCGUUUACUUCUGUUUCUGGUUCUAGUUUAAGUAAAAAUGCAUUGUGGCAUGCUAGAUUAGGACACCCUCAUAAUAAGGCUUUAAAACUGAUGUUGCCAGGUGUUUCCUUUGAGAAUAAUGAGUGUGAAGCUUGCAUUUUAGGCAAGCAUUGUAGAACUGUCUUUACCAAGUCUACUACUGUUUAUGAAAAGUGUUUUGAUCUCAUUCUUUCUGAUGUUUGGACUGCACCUUGCCUAUCUAGAGACAAUCAUAAGUACUAUGUAACUUUCAUUGAUGAAAAAUCCAAAUACACCUGGUUAACCUUAAUUCCAACCAAAGAUAGGGUACUUGAUGCAUUUAAAAACUUUCAAUCCUAUGUGACUAACCAUUACAAUGCCAAGAUAAAGAUUUUUAGGUCAGAUAAUGGAGGAGAGUACACGGGACAAGCAUUCAAACUACACCUAUCUCAGCAUGGAAUCCUUCAUCAGACAAGCUGUCCCUAUACCCCACAACAGAAUGGUGUGGCUGAGAGGAAGAACAGGCAUUUGAUGGAAGUAGCCAGGUCCAUGAUGUUUCAAUCCAACGUACCUAAGAAGUUUUGGAGUGAUGCAGUUGCUACGGCUUGUUAUCUCAUCAACAGGACACCAACUCUGAUUCUUCAAGGAGGAUCACCGUUUGAGGUACUGAAUCAGUACAAACCCUCUCUAGAGCAUAUGAAGAUCUUUGGAUGUUUGUGUUUUGUGAUGGUGCCUGGAGAGAUAAGAAACAAGCUAGAAGCUAAGAGUUCAAAGGCAAUGUUCAUUGGAUACUCAUCAAGUCAGAAAGGAUACAAGUGCUAUGAUCCUAACACAAGGAGAGUGUUAGUAUCUAGAGAAGUGAAGUUUGUUGAAGAAAAAGGAUAUUAUGAGGAGCAGACACAAGAUGAUUUGAAAGAUCUCACUUCUGAUAGAGCUGAAACCUUGAGGAUUAUCCUAGAGGGUCUUGGAAUCAACAUGAAUCAAGGUGGGAGAAGCACUACUCCAGUACCGGAUCAUCAGACCUCCAAUCUUGACCAUGAGGGGGGGAAUGAAACAAGAACUCAAAACCGUGAAGAGAGAAGUAGAGAAGAGAGUUCUGGUUCUGGUUCUCAUGAUCAAGCUGUGGAAUCAAAUGAUCAACAAGAAGAAGCUGAAGAGAGUCAGCUAAGGGAAGAAGGAGCUGAAGCAAGUCAGCUAGGAGAAGAAAGAUCUGAACCAAGUGUGUUGCCACAAGAAGAAGAACAAGAGAUGGUGCAAGAAGGGCCAGUGUUGAGAAGAAGUACAAGGCUGAGAAAGGAUCCUUCCAGUUGGGUAAACACAAGAGUGUACUACAAUGCCCAAGCUGUGAAGCACCCCACUCAGGCCGUGUGUUCUUUUCAACAAUAUCCAGAAGCACAUUGUGCAUUCAUGGUAAACUUAGAUGAGAAUCACAUUCCAAGAAGCUAUGAAGAAGCAAUGGAGGAUAAGGAAUGGAAGGAAUCAGUGGGAGCUGAGGCAGGAGCUAUGAUCAAGAAUGAUACAUGGUAUGAGAGUGAACUACCAAAAGGGAAGAAGGCAGUAUCUAGUAGAUGGAUCUUCACAAUCAAAUAGAAGGCUGAUGGGCAGAUUGAGAGGAAGAAGACCAGAUUAGUAGCAAGAGGGUUCACUCAAACAUAUGGAGAGGAUUACAUUGAGACAUUUGCACCAGUAGCCAAGUUACAUACCAAUAGAAUUGUACUAAGCUUGGCAGUCAACCUUGGAUGGGGGUUGUGGCAAAUGGAUGUGAAGAAUGCAUUUUUACAAGGAGAACUUGAGGAUGAAGUCUACAUGUAUCCUCCACCUGGUCUUCAACAUCUAGUGAAAAGAGGGAAUGUACUGAGGUUAAAGAAGGCUAUCUAUGGGUUGAAGCAAUCACCAAGAGCUUGGUACAACAAGUUGAGCACAACUCUGAAUGGCCGAGGUUUUAAGAAGUCAGAAUUGGACCAUACUCUCUUUACCCUCACUACUCCCUCAGGUAUGGUUGCUCUCCUUGUGUAUGUGGAUGAUAUCAUUAUCACAGGGAGUGAUAAGGAGGGUAUCAAAGCAACCAAGGAGUUUCUAAAGUCUAUGUUUGAAAUAAAAGACUUGGGAGAAAUGAAAUACUUUCUUGGAAUUGAGAUUUGUAGAUCCAAGGAAGGUUUGUUCAUGUCCCAAAGGAAGUAUACACUUGAUCUUUUGAAAGGUGCAGGUGCUUAUGGAGGCAAGACAGCAAGGAUGCCAAUGGAGGAUGGCUACAAAGUGCCAAGAGAGGGGGAGAUUGAAGACAGCAAGCCAUUUCAUGAUCCUAAACUCUAUAGAAAACUUGUUGGCAAAUUGAUUUAUCUUACCAUCACAAGACCUGAUAUAUGCUUUGCUGUGAAUCAGGUGAGUCAACACAUGCAGCUUCCCAAGGAACAUCAUUGGCGUAUGGUGGAGAGGCUGCUAAUGUAUCUGAAUGGCUCGCCGGAUCAAGGAGUAUGGAUGGGGUGCAAUGGAAGCACAGAAGUUGUUGGCUAUUGUGAUGCAGAUUGGGCAGGUGAUAGAGCUGACAGGAGAUCAACAACCGGCUAUUGCACAUUCAUUGGAGGCAACUUGGUGACUUGGAAGAGUAAGAAACAGAAGGUGGUAUCAUGCUCAAGUGCAGAAGCUGAAUAUAGAGCUAUGCUGAAGCUUACAAACGAGCUAGUGUGGAUCAAGGGCAUCUUGAAGCAUUUGGAGAUAAAACAAGACACUCCAAUGACAAUGCAUUGUGACAACCAGGCCGCCAUUCACAUAGCCUCCAACUCGGUGUUCCAUGAGAGGACAAAGCACAUUGAGGUUGAUUGCCACAAGGUGAGGCAGAUGAUUGUCCUAGGAGUCAUCUUGCCAUGUUAUACUAGGAGUGAAGAUCAGUUGGCUGAUGUAUUCACCAAGGCUGCAAGGCAAAAGACAAUGGAGUCCAUUCAUAUUAGAUUGGGCCUCAUUGAUCUUGGGAAGAGAAGCAGCUGAUCCCCUUAGUCAUGAGAUCUUUACUCUUUUUCCCUCAUUAAGGUUUUGUCCCAAUGGGUUUUCCUUAGUGAGGUUUUUAAUGAGGAAGAUCUCAUGGCUGUCCAAGCUUAGACUUUCACAAAGCUAAGCUUGAGGGGGAGCCUCCAUGAAGUGCCUGUUCUUCCUCUCAGCUACACCAUUCUGCUGUGGUGUAUAAUGUUGAGAUGAGUUGAGGAUAUGAACAAGAAGAGAUAAGAAGUGGAAGAGAAGAGGAGGAAGAGAAUGAGGGGACUUUGGGCAAGCAUGGUAUGGACGGCCGUACAAGGCCGUACAUGGCCGUACCGUUCGUACCAGAUGCCUCGACUAGAAGUUACCUAACCUUGACCAAGUGAAACGGUAACAAGCAUAUGUUACCUUGAGGGCUUAGUGGAGAAGAUAAGACCGGUGAAAGGAUAAGGGAUGCGCGGUGCCAGGCUGGAACAGGCUGGAAAGCUAAAGCACCUUUAGUCCAAGAUGUCAUAAGCGUGUGAUGCAUCCUAGUGGUUGAUUUGAAUCCAUGGCCUUGACUCCACACGGUUUAAUAGUGCCCAUUUCCUCUCUUGUAAACCCUUGUGUCCUUCUUAUAAAUAUGUAACCUCACUCAUUAAUAAAAAUCAAGCAAGUUAUGAGUCUUUCUUAGUCUUUACUCUCACAAUGAUUCUAUGCUAGACUCCUAAUCUCAUUUCAUACUCAAAUCUCUUCUAAAUCACUUCUAGUCUUUCUUAUUUACUCAGAUUACCCUUUCUCUAUCCUAAAAGUGAUAUAUAAGGGCAGCUAGUCUGAUGCACAAUCCCAUGCUUGGCUAGAUGACUCUUGAAGGCAUUGCUGAUGUAUUCACCUCCAUUAUCUGAUCUCAGUACCUUCACAGUAGCAUUGUAUUGAUUAGAUACAUAUGCUUGGAAGUUCAUAAAUGCUUCUAGCACCCUAUCUUUAGAUGGAAGCAAUGUAAGCCAAGUAUACUUAGACUUCUCGUCAAUGAAUGUCACAAAGUACUUCUUGCUAUCUCUAGACAAACAAGGAGCCGUCCACACAUCUGAAUGAACUAGAUCAAAGCAAUGCUCAUAAGUAGUUUCUGAUGUUGGAAAAACAGUCCUACAAUGCUUUCCUAAUAUGCAUGCUUCACACUCCAAGUGAUUAAAUGACAUAUUAGGAAUUAUCAAUUCAAUAGCACGAGCAUGAGGAUGUCCUAAUCUAGCAUGCCAAGUAAUACUAUCAAUCUUCUCAUAAGUACUACUCAAACAAAUAGAAUCAAAGGGUUUAGAGAUCUUAGCCAAUUGGAGCUGGUAUAGAUUAUUCUUGCUGUCUCCUCUCCCAAUGACCCUUCCAGUCUUCAAAUCUUGGAACUCAACAUCAUCUGGCCUGAAUACUACUUGACAGCCAAGAUCAAUCGUGGCUUUCCUCACAUAUAGUAGAUUUGAAGCAAACUGUGGCAUGUAGAAGGCAUCUGAGUCUUUAUCAAAUAGCUUGAGCUUUCCUACUCCUUCUAUUGGAAUCCUAUCACCAUUAGCUAUCAUCACACCCCCAGUGGCUUUGUUUACAUCACUCAUUAAGCUUCUGUCACUAAUCAUGUGAUGACUUGCUCCAGAAUCAACAAUGAUGGGUUUGUUGGAUGUGGAUGCUUUGGCAGGAGCACCUUGUCUCCGGGUCGUAGCCAAAGCAUAUACAUACUUGACAAACUCAUCCCAUUCCUCCUUUGUGACACGCUCAUCCGCUCCUUUGGUCUCUGGCUUCCUCAUAAACCCACUGCUCUCUACAGAUUCUCCCAUGUAAGCUGAGUAGAAACACUCUCCUACUUGCAUACUCUCCUUGAUAUCCUUCCUCCAUAAUCUGCUCAUCAUAACCCACAUCUUAGAAAGCUUUCUCAAUUUUCCCUUCUUGCAGCUUGUACCUCUCUUCCAUCUGCCUGGCUUCUUGUUUAUCUCCCACACAUCACAAAUGUGUUCAACCAGCUCACAUAUCUCUCUCAUAAGAAAGCUAAAGAUCACAUCUUGCUUCCUCCUUCCUGUAUGAGUUUUCACCAUACCCAACUCUGAUUCUACUUCUCUCAGCCUCCCCACAAGCUGAUACAACUCGUCCUUCCCUUGUCUUAGACUAUAGAUCACGCCCUUGGCUUCAUGAACCUCCAACCUUGCUGUAUGACCUUCUUCAGCAGCUACCUCCUUUAAAGGUUCUACCUUUACUUGAAUCUCCUUCAAACUUGCUGUCUGAUCUUUCUCAGCAGCUCUCACCUUUAAAGGCUCUUCCUUUACAUGAUUACUCCAAAACCCACAGCUUUCCAAAGCUGUCUCUACCCAACCUGACCAGAUCCACUCGUUUUCUCUCCCUUUCUUCACUUGAUAACUUGAUCUUGUCUUCAUCUCUCUGCUCACAUUUGACUCCAUCAGAUGUCCUCAAUAAAACCCAGCAAAUGAAGAACAGAGCUUAAAACCACCAAGAACACUCAAGAACAUCAAGAACAGCUCAAGAACACAAAACCAGAUUUUUAAGAACAUGAAUAACCUGGCUCUGAUACCAAGAUUUAUUCAACUUCUUGGUGAUUCUCCACUACUUUAUGUAUCCAAAUGAAGGUUCUUACAUCGCGAUUCAUCCUGGGAUCACCUUAUUUGUAUACACUUUUGUGUAUUAGAGUGUGUUUAAGAACAAUCAGAUUGUUUUGUGUAAGAUUAAAGAGAUUAAGAGAAUAAGUAGAGAGAGAAUAGAGAGAAUACUCAAAACUCCAUUAAUUNNNNNNNNNNNNNNNNNNNNNNNNNNNNNNNNNNNNNNNNNNNNNNNNNNNNNNNNNNNNNNNNNNNNNNNNNNNNNNNNNNNNNNNNNNNNNNNNNNNNNNNNNNNNNNNNNNNNNNNNNNNNNNNNNNNNNNNNNNNNNNNNNNNNNNNNNNNNNNNNNNNNNNNNNNNNNNNNNNNNNNNNNNNNNNNNNNNNNNNNNNNNNNNNNNNNNNNNNNNNNNNNNNNNNNNNNNNNNNNNNNNNNNNNNNNNNNNNNNNNNNNNNNNNNNAACACCGAGUUGGAGGCAAUGUGGAUAGCUGCUUGGUUAUCACAAUGCAUUGUCAUAGGCGCGGCUUGAUCAAUCUCCAAAUGCUUCAAGAUGCCUUUGAUCCACACCAGCUCGUUGGUAAGCUUCAGCAUAGCUCUAUACUCAGCUUCUGCACUUGAGCAAGAGACCACCUUCUGCUUCUUACUCUUCCAUGUAACCAAGUUGCCUCCAAUGAAUGUGCAAUAGCUGGUUGUUGAUCUCCUGUCAGCUCUAUCUCCUGCCCAAUCAGCAUCACAAUAGCCCACCACUUCAGUACUUUCAUUGCACCCCAUCCAGACUCCAUGUACGGCCAUGUACGGCCUUGUACGGACUGGCUGAUCCCAAAGCUCCCAAACCUUCCUAUAUUUCCUCCUCUUCAUUCUACUCAACCCUCAUCUCCAUUCUUCACUUAACACUCCUCAUCUUAACACUCCCCCUCAAGCUUAGCUUUGUGAUAGUCUAAGCUUGGACAGCCAUGAGAUCUUCCUCAUUAAAAACCUCACUAAGGAAAACCCAUUGGGACAAAACCUUAAUGAGGGAAAAAGAGUAAAGAUCUCAUGACUAAGGGGAUCAGCUGCUUCUCUUCCCAAGAUCAAUGAGGCCCAAUCUGAUAUGAAUGGACUCCAUUGUCUUUUGCCUUGCAGCCUUGGUGAAUACAUCAGCCAACUGAUCUUCACUCCUAGUAUAACAUGGCAAGAUGACUCCUAGGACAAUCAUCUGCCUCACCUUGUGGCAAUCAACCUCAAUGUGCUUUGUUCUCUCAUGGAACACCGAGUUGGAGGCUAUGUGAAUGGCGGCCUGGUUGUCACAAUGCAUUGUCAUUGGAGUGUCUUGUGCUAUCUCCAAAUGCUUCAAGAUGCCCUUGAUCCAAACUAGCUCGUUUGUAAGCUUCAGCAUGGCUCUAUAUUCAGCUUCUGCACUAGAGCAUGACACCACCUUCUGUUUCUUACUCUUCCAAGUCACCAAGUUGCCUCCAAUGAAUGUGCAAUAGCCGGUUGUUGAUCUUCUGUCAGCUCUAUCACCUGCCCAAUCAGCAUCACAAUAGCCCACCACUUCUGUGCUUCCAUUGCACCCCAUCCAUACACCUUGAUCUGGCGAGCCAUUUAGAUACAUCAGCAGCCUCUCCACCAUACGCCAAUGAUGUUCCUUGGGAAGCUGCAUAUGUUGACUCACCUGAUUCACAGCAAAACAUAUGUCAGGUCUUGUGAUGGUAAGGUAAAUCAAUUUGCCAACAAGUUUUCUAUAGAGUUUAGGAUCAUGGAAUGGCUUGCUGUCUUCAAUCUCUUGGUACUUUGUAGCCAUCCUCCAUAGGCAUCCUUGCUGUCUUGCCUCCAUAAGCACCUGCACCUUUCAAAAGAUCAAGUGUAUACUUCCUUUGGGACAUGAAUAACCCUUCCUUGGAUCUACAAAUCUCAAUUCCAAGAAAGUAUUUCAUUUCUCCCAAGUCUUUUAUUUCAAACAUAGACUUUAGAAACUCCUUGGUUGCUUUGAUACCCUCCUUAUCACUCCCUGUGAUAAUGAUAUCAUCCACAUACACAAGGAGAGCAACCAUACCUGAGGGUGUAGUGAGGGUGAAAAGUGUGUGAUCUAACUCUGACUUCCUGAAGCCACGUCCAUUCAAGGUUGUGCUCAACUUGUUAUACCACGCUCUUGGUGAUUGCUUCAAGCCAUAGAUAGCCUUCUUUAACCUCAGUACAUUUCCUUUCUUCACUAGAUGUUCUAGGCCUGGUGGAGGAUACAUGUAGACUUCAUCCUCAAGUUCCCCUUGUAAGAAUGCAUUCUUUACAUCCAUUUGCCACAAUCCCCAUCCAAGAUUAACCGCCAAGCUUAGAACAAUCCUAAUGGUGUGUAGCUUAGCUACAGGGGCAAAUGUCUCAAUGUAAUCCUCCCCAUAUGUCUGAGUGAACCCUCUUGCAACUAGUCUAGUUUUCUUCCUCUCAAUCUGUCCAUCAGCCUUGUAUUUGAUUGUGAAGAUCCAUCUACUAGACACUGCCUUCUUCCCUUUUGGUAGUUCACUCUCAUACCAUGUAUCAUUCUUUAUCAUAGCUCCUGCCUCAGCUCCUACUGAUUCCUUCCAUUCCUUAUCCUUCAUUGCCUCUUCAUAGCUUCUUGGGAUGUGAUUCUCAUCCAAGUGUACCAUGAAGGCACAAUGUGCUUCUGGAUAUUGAGCAAAGGAGCACACGGCUUGAGAAGGAUGAUCCACAGCUUGGGCAUUGUAGUACACUCUCGUGUUUACCCAGCUAGAAGGAUCCUUCCUUAUCCUUGUACUCCUUCUUAGUGGUUGCACAACCGGUUCUUCUUCCUGUUGUUCUUCUACCACUUAGUUUUGAGAAGGUGUUUGUAUCACACCAUGAUCAUGCCCAUGACCAUCAGAGCCUAUGCUCUCUUCUCCUUCAUCUUCUACUCCUCCAUCAUCUUGGUUAUCUUCUUGCAUAGGCUCUUCAUGCGUCUCUCCUCCCUCAUGAUCAAGGUGGGAUGGUGAACCAACUUCAGGAGGUGUAGUUGUGUGAUCUCUUGGAUCCUGGGAUGUACUGAUUCCAAGACCUUCAAGGAUGAUCCGCAAGGUGGUGGCCUUGUCUGAUGUUAAGUUCUUCAGGUCUUCUUGAUUCUUUUCUUCAUAGUACCCUCUAUCUUCUAAGAACUUCACGUCUCUAGAUACAAGUACUCUUCUUGCUAUAGGAUCAUAGCACUUGUAUCCUUUCUGUGUAGCUGAGUAUCCUAUGAAUACAGCCUUAGUACUUCUUGCUUCUAGCUUGUUGCACAUCUCUCCUGGUUUGAGCACAAAGCAUAGACAUCCAAAGACUUUCAAGUAGUCAAGAACUGGCUUGUACUUGUUUAGAACUUCAAAUGGAGCCUUCUCAUUCAGAAUCUUGGUUGGAGUUCUAUUGAUCAAGUAACAAGCAGUGGCAACUGCAUCACUCCAAAAUCUCUUUGGGACGUUACUCUGAAACAUAAGUGACCUUGCCACUUCCAUGAGGUGCCUAUUCUUCCUCUCAGCCACUCCAUUUUGCUGUGGAGUAUACGGACAGCUUGUUUGAUGUAGAAUCCCACAUUGUGAUAAGUGCUGCUUGAAUGCAUUGCUUGUGUACUCUCCUCCAUUAUCUGAUCUCAAAAUUUUAAUCUUAGCAUGAUAAUGGUUAGUCACAUAUGUUUGAAAGUUCCUAAAUGCAUCAAGUACCCUAUCUUUGGUCUGAAUUAAGGUUAACCAGGUGUAUUUGGAUUUUUCAUCAAUGAAUGUGACAAAAUACUUAUAGCUAUCUCUAGAUAAGCAAGGGGCAGUCCAUACAUCUGAAUGAACUAGAUCAAAGCAAUUCUCAUAAACAGUAGUAGACUUUUGAAACACAGUUCUACAAUGCUUGCCUAAAAUGCAAGCUUCACAAUUUUUGUUUUCAAACACAACACCUGGUACCAUUAAGUUCAAAGCUUUAACAUGAGGGUGUCCUACUCUAGCAUGCCACAAUGCAUGUUUAUUCAACAAAGAAGCAGAAGUAAACGAGCAACUAUAAUCAGGAACAGAAGUGAGUUCUUCAAGCAUAUAGAGAUCUCCUUUAGUCACCCCUUUCCCAAUCAAUCUGCUGCUCUCAAUAUCCUGAAACUUCACAUCAUUAGGACUAAAGAUAACAUUGCAUUGUAAAUCAUUAGUACAUUUCUUUACAGAUAAUAGGUUUGAUGUGAAUUCAGGCAUGUAAAAGGCUUUAGAUUUGUUAAACAACUUAAGCUUUCCUAUUCCCUUAAUAGGUAUCUUAUCUCCAUUUGCUAUCAUCAUAUGUCCAUGAGUAGGUUCUAUAUCCUUAAUCAGUUUCUCAUCACUUAUCAUAUGAUGUGAUGCACCAGAGUCAACAAUCAAUGGUCUAUCUACUCGUUUAGCAUUAUGACAUAGAUUACUAAGUGAUGAAUGAAUCCUAUCAUCUCUAGCAAUGUGUGCACAUCUAUACUCAUUCCCUAGCCUCUAACCGUUCUACUAGUUCUCUAAUCAAGUGAUCAUCCUUAUAUGCAAUCAUAGAUGCUCCAAGGGAAUAACCAUAAGUGUUACCGUUUUCCUUUAGCAUUUUGAAGAGCGCAUCAAGGUCUGAUCUCCUGAUGUAGUCAUCAUUGCUGCGUGAGCUUGAGGCGCCUGUGUAAGCCACCAGAGACUUCCCAUUCCCAUCAUUGCCUCCAUGACCAUCCACUUCACUUGUCUUGAUGGUGCCAGCUCCACUUGAUCCUUCAGUCACAUUUGCCCUUCCCUCACGCUCCUUCAUGAACUUGGCCGGCUUGAGGUGUGGGUGUAGUAUCCAGCAUUGGCUCUUCUUAUGACCAUGCUUCUUGCAAUGAUCACAGUUGCCAUUGAACUUCCUGUCAUCAUACUUCCCGUGAGAUGCCUUGUUUGCUUGUGGAGCUUCGGUCAAGUCCUCAUGAGCUGCUUGAUUGGCAAGAGAGAGAGCUCCCCCUUUCCUCCAAACAACCCCAUAGAACCCUGCUCCCUUUGGAUUUGCGCACACACAUCCUCAAGGUCCGGAAGCUUGUCAGCCCUCAACAUGUGCUGGAUGAGUUGAGUGUAGGCCGGGUUCAGCGUGAGAAGCAGCCCAAAGACUUUAUCUUGCUCACGCCUCUCAUUCAGCUGAUCAGGAUCAGUUGUGCUCGGCCUCAGCAUCUCCAGUUCUGACCAUAAGGACCUGAACCUUCCCAAGUGCUUAGUGAACUCCAUAUCCUCUUGCACUAGACGGUUGAUAGCUUGCUUUACUUCAAACACACGGCUGAGGUUGGAGAUGUUCCCAUACACCUUCUUCAGCGUGUCCCACAGCUCUUUGGCUGACUCACAGUAUCUGUAGGCAUCUAAGAUAGCUGGAUCCAAGGAUGCGUGUAGAACCGUCAUCACCAGCAUGUCUUCUUGUUGCCAUUUCUCUACAGCCGCUUCAUUGGAGACCUCUUCUUGAUCUCCUCCCUGAGUAAUGAGUUUCGGAGCCUCCCCUGUUGUGAUGUGCCCCCACAAACCCUUACUUCCCACAGCAGUCUUCACCAUCCGAGACCACACAAGAUAGUUGUUACCUUUGAAAGUAACCGCUACCUUCAUCCUCAUGUUCAUACCAUGUUCCAUCUUUGCUUAGCUUGACUUGAACAACUUGAAUCUGAUGAAAUCUUGAGUCUUGAAUCACGUACACACACCAAUCUUGAGUCUAGGAUCGCACACACACACACCGAACGUAGCACAGCCCAAACACCUUCAAAGCCACUCGCGUGUAGCUCCAAAGCCUUCAGCUUGUACCUCUCUAAAGAUCAAACCCCAGAUCCUAAUGAACCUGGCUCUGAUACCAUAUGAGAUUUAGAGAUCCUUAGAGUAACUAGAGUAUAAGUGAGAGUUUGAGUAGAGAUUAGAAAGAGAUUGUGAAAGAUUAAGAGACUUGAGAGCUGUUUAGUGUCUAAGAGAGAAUCAUGGUGCCUUAAGAGAUUAGAGAGAGACUCAGAACUAUCUGUCUAUUAUUAAUGACAAGAGUUACAAUAUAUAGUGAGAGAUCAGUAGGGUUUUCGAAAUCAUAAAGGAGAGCUAAGCAUGUGAAGUCAACAAGGUUAGGAUAAGCUCUCUUUAACUCGGCCAAUCAGCGUUCCCACAUGCUUGGAGCAUCUAGGAUCUUGGACAAAGAUGCUCUUGCCUUUCCAGAUGUGCCAGCCUGUAAAGCCGCGCCUCUCUUAUCCUCCAACGGUCUGAUUCAUCAGCCAAAGCCCCUUCUCUUCCCAUAAGUUACUCGGGUAACUCCUUGUAACCGCGGUCAUGGUUUCACUGGUCUGAAUGUGUACUGACCGUACGGCCUUGUACGGCCUUGUACGGUCAGGCCACUGUGAACCUCUCCCAUCACACCAAUGCUUAACACACUCUCUUCAGUCUUAACCCCUUUGUACUUCACACUUGUAUACUCAACUCUUCUCAACACUACUUGGAUGGAUGGUGAGCAAAGAACACUUCUUGUGAACCUGAAACACCACUCAAACUCCAGCAAACAUAAGACACAAAGGUAUUGGAAUCAAUCCUUGAAAUAUCAUCAAGGUUGAUCACCAAUAUCACAAGCAUUGCAACAGAUUACACAAGACAUAUUCAAGUUCUAAUUUUUGCAAGCAAUUUCUCUAAGUAUAUGCAGGAUCUAAACAGAUUCAAUACAAGUUACUUAGGCAAUUUUAACUUCUGCCUUAACUACAUCUUAGACUUGAAUCCAAGUGCAUCAACCUAAGGCAGCAACAACACUCUAAGCUUUAUUAUACUACUCGGUUUCAAUCAAUGAAAGUAACCAGGAUCAGACAAAUCUAGUAUCCUAUACAAUCAUUGUAGAACCGAGGCAAGCUUUACAACUCUCAAUCACCAUUCACAACUCUCAAGUAUCUUGGGACAGAUUCUAAACAUUUCAUAUCUAGCAAUCUUUAAACAUCCACAAGUUUUCAAUCACAUCACAACAUCACAACCUGUUCAUACACUCAAGCUUUAUACAAGAGAAAGAGAUUUCCUUACAGCCAAGGAACUAGUGUUAGUUCCUUGAAACUCCUUAGUACAUGGGAAGAUCCGAGCUGUUGGUGUCAACUCCUACAUCUCCUUCUUUCAUGGACCUUUCUCUUGAACCCACCAUGCCUAAGACACCUCCUCUCUUCAUUUUUUGAGUCGCCAUACCAGGUACAAGUUGAAAGCUUUCACCUUUCUUCUUGGACAGUGAAUGGGAAUGGCUUGGACAUGCUUCCAAUGGCCUUCUUUCUUCAGGACGACCAUGAGAGAGUAGAGAACGACCAAGAACAGCUUCUGGACGCCAUUGAUGAUCACACCUUCUUCUUGAAGAGGUUGAACAGCCAAAUGAACAUGAAGCUUCUUCUUGGUUUGGAAAUGGCAUGGGAGUGAGCUUUGAGCUUAGCGGAAGCUGGAACCAAGUUCUAAUGAACCUGGCUCUGAUACCAUAUCAGAUUUAAGAGUACUCAGGUUGUAUGUGUGUUUGAAACCCAAAUGGGUAAAGAGAGAGAGNNNNNNNNNNNNNNNNNNNNNNNNNNNNNNNNNNNNNNNNNNNNNNNNNNNNNNNNNNNNNNNNNNNNNNNUAAGAGUUUUAAGUAAUGUAAAAGAUAAUCUGAGUUUAGAUGAGAAUAAGGAAGAGAUUUGUGUAGCUUAAGAGAUUAAGAGACUAAUGGAGAAUCAUUAUGAAAAGUCUAGAGAGAUUAAUUGUUUAGAACUGUAUGAUUCUUAUUAAUGAUGAGCUCACAAUAUAUAUAGGUCCAUACACAUUAGGGUUUUCGAAAUCAUAAGGAUAAGCAAGCAUGUAGAGUCAAAGAGGAGCUGGUGCUUUAGUUUGAACCGGCCAAUGAUAGUCUCCACACGUUUGAAGCAUCUUCUUGAUCCAAGACUAGAUGCUCUUCCUUUCCAGCUCUUGCCAGCCUGUCCUAGCUGUCAAGCCGCGCCUCCCUUAUCCUCUCCAACGUUCGGAUAAGGUCUUGGUCAAGUGUAACUUCAAGUAAGUCCAUGUAAGUUACCCGGAGAGUUACUUGGCCGCUUUUACCUUUGUACGGCCAAUGGUACGGCCUAUCCGUCCGUACCAUCUCUAUCAACCCAUUUCUUCUCUUAACUCCUUUGCCCUCUUUAUGUCCUCAACUCCUUUGUGUCUUUACCUCUUAUCUCAUAUGUCUCAACUCAUCUCAACACUCCCCCUCAAGCUUAGCUUUGUGAAAGUCUAAGCUUGGCUAGCCAUGAGAUCUUCCUCAUUAAAAACCUCACCAAAGAAAACCCAUUGGGACAAAACUUUGAUGAGGGAAAAAGAGUAAAGACCUCAUGACUUGUGAUUGGCUACUUUAGUCAUGGGACAGGCUGGCCUUGGCUGUAAAGACAAGGAGAGCCACGACCAUGAACCUAGACUGAUCUGUGGACAGAUUAGGAGGAGCCUAAGGAGAGCCAAUCAUCAUCCAGCCUUCCCCAUUUUGAAUUAAACCAAUCAGGCUUCACCUCCUCUUAACCAAUCAGCAUCAACUACUCAGAUUGCAACAAGACCAGCUCAUCUACACCAUCCAUUCCUCUUAAGUUAUUUACAGCCAGACAAUCAACUUCAAUGUGCUUGGUUCUCUCAUGAAACACCGAGUUGGAGGCAAUGUGGAUAGCUGCUUGGUUAUCACAAUGCAUUGUCAUAGGCGUGGCUUGAUCAAUCUCCAAAUGCUUCAAGAUGCCUUUGAUCCACACCAGCUCAUUGGUAAGCUUCAGCAUAGCUCUAUACUCAGCUUCUGCACUUGAGCAAGAGACCACCUUCUGCUUCUUACUCUUCAAUCCCUUAAUCUCUCCCUUUCUUAGUCUCUAAUCUCCUAAUCUCUCAAAGUCUUUUGUUUCUGAUCUGAGUAAACACUUAAUCACUCAUAAACACUUCCACUAAUCUAUCUCUCUCUAAAUCACCUAAAUCAAACUCUCUCUCUCUCUCUGCCCUAUUAGGUUUCACACAAACACACAGCCUGAGAUCUCUGAAAAUCUCACAUGGUAUCAGAGCCAGGUUCAUCUGAAUCUGGUUCUUAGCUUCCGCAAAAGCUCACAAGCUCCUCUCAUGUCGUUUUGAAACCAAGACCAAGCUUAGAUGAUCCAGCCGGCUGUUCAACAUCUCAAGUGGAAGAUGGGUUCAUCCCUGGUGUCCAGAAGCUGUAUGUGGUCGUUUCUCACCCUCUCAUGACGCCCAUGAAGAAAGAAGGCUCUUGGAAACAAGGCAGGAAGUGGUCUGAUCAACCAAGCUUCAAAGCUUUAUACAAGCUGUUUCUUAUUCACUGUCCAAGAAGAAAGGUGAUAGCUUUCAUCUGGUACUGGUGUGGCGAGUGUAACAUGAAGAAAGGUGGGGUCUUUGACAUGGAGAGUUCAAGAGAAAGGUCCUUGGAAGAAGGAGAAGUUGGGGUCGACACCAACAGCUCACUGUCUUGCCAUGUUCUAUGGAGUUUCAAGGAACUAACACUAGUUCCUUGGCUGUAAGAAACCUCUUUCUCUUGUUUAAAGCUUGUGUAUGUGAACUGAAUGAUGUAUUAAACAGGUUGUGAUGUUGUGAUGUGAUUGAAAACCUGAGGAUGUGUUUAAAGAUUGCUAGAUAUGAAAUGUUUAGAAUCUGUCCCAGGAUGCUUAAAAAGAGUUGGUUGGUGACUGAGAAUUGUUGCUUGAAUCUGGUUCAUAAUGAAUGUCUGUUAGGGAGUUAGUAGUAUUGUCUAAACCUGACUGCUUUCAUGAAUUGAAACCGAGCUUAAAGUGGAGUGUAGAGUGUUGUUGCUGCCUUAGGUUGAUGCACUUUGAUUCAAGUCUAAGAUGCAGUUAAGGCAGAAGUUAAAAAUGCCUAAGUAGCUUGCAUAAAUCUGGAAAAGAAAGUGCUUGUGCUUAGAGAGUUUGCUUGCAAAGAUUAGAACUUGAAAGUGUCUUGUAUAAUCUGUUGCAAUGCUUGUGAUAUUGGUGAUCAACCUUGAUGAUGUGUCAAGGAUUGAUACCAAUACCUUUGUGUCUUAUCUAUGCUGGAGUUUGAGUGAUGUUUCAGGUUCACAAGAAGUGUUCUUUGCUCACCAUCCAUCCAAGUAGAAGAGGAAGACUUUGCCCAUUGUUGAAGCAAUGGAGAGUGGCUUGUGUGUAUGGCCGGUUGAGAAGCGCAGCUAGUGAUAGUGAUGCGCUCCUGGUUCAUGGAGACACACAAGGAAAGGUCAUCACCUAAGUCUUGAGGAGACCGGUGACCUGAAGGCAUUGGAGCUGAAGGAAAUGGGAGAUCGGUUGACUUAAGCGCAGCUGUAGGAAGUGAUGUGCUCCCGGUUUGGAGUCUCAUUGAGGCUCACUUCAAGCUUGAACCUAGGCUCAGUCAAGCUUGAGGUGGGGAUUCAAGUGAGCUACCAGAAGAUUCUCGAAGCUCAGUGACCUGUUUCCUCCUUACCAUUGCAAGCUUCCGAAGAAGGAGCCAACCAGGGUUUAGGCAGUAGCGUGUCUACUCAAGAGAUUGUUCAGAGCAGUCUUGGCUGUUCUCGAAGCUCAGUGACCUGUUUCCUCCUUACCAUUGCAAGCUUCCGAAGAAGGAGCCAACCCGGGUUUAGGCAGUAGCGUGUCUACUCAAGAGAUUGUUCAGAGCAGUCUUGGCUGCGUAUGAAGAAGGUUACUCUAUCAAUGCGGCCUCUAGUGUGAGGUGAUUGAAGAGGGAACUGAGGUAUCUACCAGCAGUCCAUCAAGGGUGGCAAGUUAUGAAGAGAGGUUGCAAUGGUUUGUUCAGUCCAGAUCAUGAAGCCUUCUUGCUGUCCAACCUUGAUCCUUGCAAGAGGUCUCAAGCUUGAGGGGGAGUGUUGAAGUGGCUUCACUGAUCAGAUGGAGUUUCAGAAGUGAGGGAUUCAAGUGGCUAGUGAAGAGCAGCCACUCCUCACCAUCUAAACAAGGGAGUAAACCUUAUCUAUUCUUUAUAUACAUUCAUGAUAUGUUUAUCUCUUGGGGACUGAUACACUUGUGGAAUGAUGUAUCAGGUACUUGUAUCUAUCAAGGAAGAUCUGGUGUGUCCAAACACUUCAACCUAACAAGAAGUUAGGUGAAAGGGGGAGAGACCAAGAUCUGUCUGAAGAAGAGUACAAGAAGUGUUGAUGAUGAGCAAGAAGAGUGGGUUCUAUCUUGCAUCACAUGAGGGCCAUGAUCCAGAGUCUUUGUGUCCCUUACAUUGUUGGUAAGGCACAAAGACUCACUGGCCAAUCCCUAGGCCUUGGAGACUUUACUCUUUUUCCCUCAUCAAGGUUUUGUCCCAAAGGGUUUUCCUUGGUGAGGUUUUUAAUGAGGAAGUUCUUCAAGGUUCCAAGCUUGACUUAGGAUCAACUAAAGUCAAGCUUGAGGGGGAGUGUUAACUUGAAGAGAAGAAAUGGAGAAACUAAAGGUGUUGAGUUGAGUUUUUGUCCCAAAGGGUUUUCCUUGGUGAGGUUUUUAAUGAGGAAGUUCCUCAAGGUUCCAAGCUUGACUUAGGAUCAACUAAAGUCAAGCUUGAGGGGGAGUGUUAACUUGAAGAGAAGAAAUGGAGAAACUAAAGGUGUUGAGUUGAGUUGGGGCUUAUGCAAAAGAUAGGGCAAGGUGUCCAGAAGUGUCAUGAUGGAUGUGCAAUGUUAGGGCCAAGUCUAGGAGAGACUUAGAAGUGUAUUUGGGAGCAAAUGGACGAGUGUGCAAAGAUAGGGAGAGGCAGUACGGACAUGUACGGACAGUACGGAUCUGUACAGACCAGGGCGACCCAGAUUUGCAUAACUCGGCCAUUUGAGAAGUUUUGGAAUUGGUGCAAAAAUAGGGUGAACCUGACGUCCCGGGAAAGCUUGUGCAAUGUCUGGGCAAGGUUUGAGAGUUAUAAAAGUGGUCUCAGUCUUGUGGAUAAGGUUCUGAUCAGAUGGCAUCAAAGGAGAAUCAAGAAGAUGCCAUUGGAGUGUGAUUGGCUAGUUUGGUCAUGGGACAGGCUGGCCUUGGCUGUAAAGACAAGGGGAGCCACGACCAUGAACCUGGACUGAUCUGUGGACAGAUUAGGAGGAGCCUAAGGAGAGCCAAUCACAGCCCAGCCUUCCCCAUUUUGAAUUAAACCAAUCAGGCUCCAUCUCCUCUUAACCAAUCAGCAUCAACUACUCAGAUUGCAACAAGACCAGCUCAUCUACACCAUCCAUUCCUCUUAAGUUAUUAUCAGCCAUUAGAUAUAGGUUUCUGAUUGUGUAAACCUGUGUAAGCUUAUAAAUAAGCAUGAUGGACGAAAUUGUAUCUCUCUAAGAGAGAGAGGGGGAUUUCCCCUCCUCCUUCAUCAAUGAAAGGGUUUUGAAAACCAGAAACACAAAUCUAUUCUCUAGUCUUAAUCUCUCAGUCUCUCAGUCUCUUAAUCUCUGUUUCUAAGUCUCUUAUACACUCAAAAACACUCUUAUCAAUCUCUGUUCUUAAAUCACCAUUAAAAGCUCUCAUCUUGCUCAAUUGGAGCUUAUACACAUUCACACACACAACCAGAGUAGUACUCUAUAAAAACUCACAGAAGCUAUGUUAGACAGGGAAUGGAAAGAAUCAGUGGGAGCUGAAGCAGGUGCUAUGAUCAAGAAUGAUACAUGGUAUGAGAGUGAACUGCCUAAGGGAAAGAAGGCUCUAUCUAGUAGAUGGAUCUUCACAAUCAAGUAUCUAGCAAAUGGACAGAUUGAUAGGAAGAAGACCAGAUUGGUUGCAAGAGGAUUUACACAGACCUAUGGAGAGGAUUACAUUGAUACCUUUGCACCGGUAGCUAAGAUUUACACAAACCUAUGGAGAGGAUUACAUUGACACCUUUGCACCGGUAGCUAAGCUGCACACAGUUCGGAUUGUGUUGUCCAUUGCAACAAACUUGGAGUGGGAUUUGUGGCAGAUGGAUGUGAAGAAUGCUUUCUUACAAGGUGAGCUAGAAGAUGAGGUAUACUUGCUUCCUCCUCCUGGUCUUGAGCAUCUAGUAAAACCAGGAAAUGUUUUGAGAUUGAAGAAGGCAAUAUAUGGGCUGAAGCAGUCUCCUAGAGCUUGGUACAGGAAGCUGAGUACAACUCUCAAUGGGAGAGGAUUCAGGAAGUCUGAACUGGAUCAUACACUCUUCACUUUGGUUACUCCAUCAGGGAUCAUUGUGAUACUGGUAUAUGUGGAUGAUUUGAUUAUCACCGAUGUGUUCUUUCUUGAGUGUUCUUGAGUGUUCUUGAGUGUUCUUGGUGUUCUUGAGUUCUGAUCUUUAUUAUCUGAGUGGUGUGAGAUAUUCUGAUGGAUUCAAACUAUCUCAACAUGGAAAUGAAGCACAGAUCUAGUAGUACAACCAUGGACCUUGAAGAAGAAAGGGAUGGCGAUUGGUCAAGAUGGGCAAAGAGAGCUUUGGAAAGCUGUGGGUUAUGGUGUGGUCAUGUAAAGGGGAAGCCUUUAGUGGAAAUGGCUACUGAAGAAAGGUCCAAACUUGUGAAGGUCAGUGGAGACAAGAGAGUGAUCCGUGGCUUGAGACAAGGAAAGGAUGAGUUGUAUCAGCUUGUGGGAAGGCUGAGGGAAGGAUGGAUGGAGCUGGAUAUGCUGAGACCAAGCACAGCUGAUCCGAGAGUUAUUAAAGAAAGAAGGAAACAAGGUGUGUUCUUUAGCUUUCUUGUGAAGGAGAUAUGGGUUCUUACUCUUCAAGCGUGUGAGUUGUGGGAAGAGAACAAGAGAUCAAACCUGUGGAAAGGUGGUACAAGCUGUAAGAAGGGAAGGCUGAGAAAGCUUUCUAGAGUGUGGCUUAAGAUGGGAAAGGCUUGGAAGAAGAACAUGGAGUCUGGUUAUCUAAGUGAUAAGAUGAGCUUGAAGAUGAUCAAGGAGGUGGCUCAACAAGUGGUAAGAGGAGAGUGUUCUUACUCUGCCUAUAUGAGUAACUCAGUGGAGGAUAGUAUGGUUAUGAAGGAGCAGGAGAUCAAAGGAGCAGAUGACCCUAUCACAAAGAAAGAAUGGGAUGGGUUUGUCAAGUAUGUGUAUGCUUUGGCUACGACCCGGAGACAAGGUGCUCCUGCCUUAGCAUCCACAUCCAAACCCAUUAUCAUUGAUUCUGGAGCAACACAUCAUAUGAUCAGUGAUAGAAGUCUGAUAAGUGAAGUCAAGGCUGCAACAGGGAGUGUCAUGAUAGCUAAUGGUGCUAGGAUCCCAAUAGAAGGAGUGGGAAACCUCAAGCUGUUUGAGAAGAACUCACCUGCAUUCUAUUUGCCUCAAUUCACCUCAAAUCUGAUAUCAGUGAAGAAGGCCACAGUUGAUCUUGAUUGUCAAGUAGUAUUCAGGCCAAAUGAGGUUGAGUUUCAAGACUUGAAGACUGGGAGAGUUAUUGGUAGAGGGGACAGCAGGAAUCAGUUAUAUCAUCUCCAAACAGCUAAGAACUCUAAAGUUAUUGGUAGAGGGGACAGCAGGAAUCAGUUAUAUCAUCUCCAAACAGCUAAGAACUCUAAUCCUAUUGAUUCUAUAUGCUUGAGUAGUACUGCUGAUAGGUGUGACAGUAUUACUUGGCAUGCUAGAUUAGGACAUCCUCAUGCUCGUGCAAUUGAAUUGAUAAUCCCUAAUAUGUCAUUCAAUCACUUGGAAUGUGAAGCUUGCAUCUUAGGGAAGCAUUGUAGAACUGUUUUUCCCACAUCAGAGACCAUAUAUGCAAAUUGCUUUGAUCUUGUUCAUUCUGAUGUGUGGACAGCCCCUUGUAUGUCUAGAGAAAACCAGAAGUACUUUGUGACAUUCAUAGAUGAGAAGUCUAAGUAUACAUGGAUCACAUUGCUGCCAUCUAAGGAUAGAGUGUUUGAAGCCUUUGUCAACUUCCAAGCAUAUGUAACUAACCAUUACAAUGCUACUGUGAAGGUACUACGGUCUGAUAAUGGAGGAGAAUACACCAGUCAUGCCUUCAAGAAUCAUUUGGCUAAACAUGGGAUAGUGCAUCAGACCAGUUGUCCUUACACACCACAGCAGAAUGGGGUAGCUGAGAGGAAGAAUAGGCAUCUGAUGGAGGUGGCUAGAUCCAUGAUGUAUCAUGCUAGUGUUCCAAAGAGGUUUUGGGGUGAUGCUGUUCAGACUGCAUGCUAUCUUAUCAAUCGGAUUCCAACUAAGGUAUUGAAGAAUCUGUCUCCGUUUGAAGUGCUGAACAAGAGCAAGCCACACAUAGAUCAUCUGCGUGUCUUUGGAUGUCUAUGUUAUGUCUGGGUUCCAGGAGAACAGAGAAACAAGUUGGAGGCAAAGAGCACUAAAGCAAUGCUCAUUGGGUACUCAGUAACUCAGAAGGGGUACAAGUGCUAUGAUCCAGCAACCAGGAGAGUGUUGGUGUCUAGAGAUGUUAAGUUCAUAGAGACCAAGGGGUUUUAUGAAGAAAAGAAUUGGGAAGACUUGGAAGAUCUGUCUCAAGAACCAAGAAACAUGGCAGAGAAUCUGAGGAACAUAUUGGAAAGGCUUGGGGUAAACAUGUCCCAGGAUAAGGUUAGAGAACCUGAAAGAACAACUCCCCUUGAUCAUGAGGGGGGGAAUGAGUCUGAAUCAGGAGUGCAAGAGCAGCACCAAGGGGAUUCAGGUCAUCAUGAUCAAGUGGUGACACAAGAAGUAGAGAAUUUUCCUCAGGUCAGUGUGGAUGAGCAAGGAGAGGUUCAUGAUCAAGAGGAGGUGAGUGAGGCAGGAACAGAGGUUCAAGCAGAGGUUCAAACUGAGGAACAGGUUCAACCAUUAAGGAGGAGCACACGGAUAAAGAGGGAUGCUUCCAACUGGGUAAACACGAGAGUGUACUACAAUGCCCAGGCUGUGGAGCAUCCUUCUCAAGCUGUGUGUUCCUUUGCAGAAUAUCCAGAAGAGCACAUGGUGUUUAUGUGUAACUUGGAUGAGAAUGAGAUACCAAGAUCUUAUGAAGAAGCUAUGAAGCACAAGGUUUGGAGAGAUUCAGUAGGAGAUGAAAGGGAUGCAAUGAUCAGGAAUGACACUUGGUAUGAGAGUGAGUUACCUAAAGGGAAGAAGGCAGUUUCAAGCAGAUGGAUCUUCACCAUCAAGUAUCUUGCAAAUGGGGAGAUAGAUAGGCGCAAGACCAGGCUGGUUGCAAGAGGAUUUACACAGACUUAUGGGGAAGAUUACAUUGACACUUUUGCACCAGUGGCCAAGCUUCACACAAUUCGAAUUGUGUUAUCCAUUGCAACAAACUUGGAGUGGGAUUUGUGGCAAAUGGAUGUGAAGAAUGCUUUCUUGCAAGGUGAACUUGAAGAUGAAGUAUACAUGCAUCCACCUCCUGGUCUUGAGCAUCUAGUAAAGCCAGGGAAUGUUUUGAGAUUGAAGAAGGCAAUAUAUGGGUUGAAACAGUCACCUAGAGCUUGGUACAGGAAGUUGAGUACAACACUCAAUGGGAGAGGCUUUAGGAAGUCUGAACUAGAUCACACUCUCUUCACCUUGACAGGACCUUCUGGGAGCAUUGUGAUUCUAGUGUAUGUGGAUGAUUUGAUUAUCACAGGAAGUGAUAAGGCAGGGAUUCAAGCUACUAAGGAGUUUCUCAAAUCUGUGUUUGACAUCAAGGAUUUGGGAGAGAUGAAGUAUUUUCUAGGCAUUGAGAUAUGCAGAUCAAAGGAGGGUUUGUUUAUGUCUCAAAGGAAGUAUACUAUGGAUAUGUUGAAGGAGACUGAUGUGCUUGGAGGAAAGAUAGCUAAGACACCCCUUGAGGAGGGAUAUAAGGUUCUGCGUGAGGGGGAGGUUGAAGAGAAGCAGUUGUUUGAGGAUCCUAAGCUAUACAGGAAGAUGGUUGGCAAGCUGAUCUACUUGACCAUCACACGGCCAGAUAUAUGUUUUGCUGUGAACCAAGUGAGUCAACAUAUGCAGGCGCCAAAGGUACAUCACUGGAAGAUGGUUGAUAGGAUACUGAGGUAUUUGAGUGGCACGCCUGGUCAAGGAGUUUGGAUGGGAUGCAAUGGCAGCACAGAAGUAGUGGGCUAUUGUGAUGCUGAUUGGGCAGGAGAUAGAGUGGACAGGAGAUCAACUACUGGCUAUUGUACAUUCAUUGGAGGGAACCAUUCAUUGGAGGGAACUUGGUUACUUGGAAGAGUAAGAAGCAAAAGGUUAUCUCUUGUUCAAGUGCUGAAGCUGAGUAUAGAGCCAUGUUGAAGCUGACAAACGAGUUGGUGUGGAUCAAGGGUAUCUUGAAGCAUCUGGAGAUUGAGCAGAGUACUCCUAUGACAAUGCACUGUGACAAUCAAGCAGCUAUCCAUAUUGCUUCUAACUCAGUCUUUCAUGAGAGAACGAAGCACAUAGAAGUGGAUUGUCACAAGGUGAGGCAGAUGAUUAUCUUAGGAGUGAUUCUGCCAUGUUAUACAAGGAGUGAGGAUCAACUGGCUGAUGUGUUUACUAAGGCAAAGGCAGCGAGAUUAAAGACAAUGGAGUCCAUACUUUCUAGGCUUGGGCUCAUUGAUCUUACUCCCAGGAGCUGAUCCCCUUACCCAUGGAGUCUCCACUCUUUUUCCCUCAUCAAGGUUUUAUCCCAAUGGGUUUUCCUUGGUGAGGUUUUUAAUGAGGGAGAUCUUCAUGGUUUCCAAGCUUGACUUGUUCUACAUGGUCAAGCUUGAGGGGGAGUGUUGAGAUGAGGUGAUAAGGAGUGGAUACAUUGAUAGAGGAAGAGUAUUGGGGCAGUUAGUAACUUUGGGGAUUUACCACAGUAACUUUAGUUUUACUGUGGUAACUAAGUUAAAACAUUGGGAAGUUACCUUUCACCCAUUUGGAGAGUGGAUCACGCCUAAGGAGAGUUUGGAUAAGGAAGGAGCAGUCUGGAUAAGGUCUGGUCAUAGCUGGAAAGGAAAACACCUUUACAGCCUGUCCAAGCAUGUGAGAACACCCAUUGGCUGCUUUUGGAUGGCUCUCCUUGACUCCACACGUUCUGGAUCCCCUCUGACCCUAUGAUUUCGAAUUGUAUCAUGUAUUACUCAUAUAAAGCCUUGUAAACCUGAUUGAUAAUAAUUAAUGGAGUUUUGAGUCUCUCUCUCUCUAGAAUCUCUCUAUUCUCUAAAUUCUACUCUAAUCUUCUCUGAUUAUUAUUAAACACACUCUAAAACACAAAAGUGUUUAUGGUAUCAGAGCCAGGUUGCUCAAAAGGGGAUGAGUGUGUGAUUUCUAUUUCGCAAAUCUGUGUUCUUUCUUGAGUGUUCUUGAGUGUUCUUGAGUGUUCUUGAGUGUUCUUGGUGUUCUUGAGUUCUGAUCUUUAUUAUCUGAGUGGUGUGAGAUAUUCUGAUGGAUUCAAACUAUCUCAACAUGGAAAUGAAGCACAGAUCUAGUAGUACAACCAUGGACCUUGAAGAAGAGAGGGAUGGCGAUUGGUCAAGAUGGGCAAAGAGAGCUUUGGAAAGCUGUGGGUUAUGGUGUGGUCAUGUAAAGGGGAAGCCUUUAGUGGAAAUGGCUACUGAAGAAAGGUCCAAACUUGUGAAGGUCAGUGGAGACAAGAGAGUGAUCCGUGGCUUGAGACAAGGAAAGGAUGAGUUGUAUCAGCUUGUGGGAAGGCUGAGGGAAGGAUGGAUGGAGCUGGAUAUGCUGAGACCAAGCACAGCUGAUCCGAGAGUUAUUAAAGAAAGAAGGAAACAAGGUGUGUUCUUUAGCUUUCUUGUGAAGGAGAUAUGGGUUCUUACUCUUCAAGCGUGUGAGUUGUGGGAAGAGAACAAGAGAUCAAACCUGUGGAAAGGUGGUACAAGAUGUAAGAAGGGAAGGCUGAGAAAGCUUUCUAGAGUGUGGCUUAAGAUGGGAAAGGCUUGGAAGAAGAACAUGGAGUCUGGUUAUCUAAGUGAUAAGAUGAGCUUGAAGAUGAUCAAGGAGGUGGCUCAACAAGUGGUAAGAGGAGAAUGUUCUUACUCUGCCUAUAUAAGUAACUCAGUGGAGGAUAGUAUGGUUAUGAAGGAGCAGGAGAUCAAAGGAGCAGAUGACCCUAUCACAAAGAAAGAAUGGGAUGGGUUUGUCAAGUAUGUGUAUGCUUUGGCUACGACCCGGAGACAAGGUGCUCCUGCCUUAGCAUCCACAUCCAAACCCAUUAUCAUUGAUUCUGGAGCAACACAUCAUAUGAUCAGUGAUAGAAGUCUGAUAAGUGAAGUCAAGGCUGCAACAGGGAGUGUCAUGAUAGCUAAUGGUGCUAGGAUCCCAAUAGAAGGAGUGGGAAACCUCAAGCUGUUUGAGAAGAACUCACCUGCAUUCUAUUUGCCUCAAUUCACCUCAAAUCUGAUAUCAGUGAAGAAGGCCACAGUUGAUCUUGAUUGUCAAGUAGUAUUCAGGCCAAAUGAGGUUGAGUUUCAAGACUUGAAGACUGGGAGAGUUAUUGGUAGAGGGGACAGCAGGAAUCAGUUAUAUCAUCUCCAAACAGCUAAGAACUCAGCAGGAAUCAGUUAUAUCAUCUCCAAACAGCUAAGAACUCUAAUCCUAUUGAUUCUAUAUGCUUGAGUAGUACUGCUGAUAGGUGUGACAGUAUUACUUGGCAUGCUAGAUUAGGACAUCCUCAUGCUCGUGCAAUUGAAUUGAUUAAACCUAAUAUGUCAUUCAAUCACUUGGAAUGUGAAGCUUGCAUCUUAGGGAAGCAUUGUAGAACUGUUUUUCCCACAUCAGAGACCAUAUAUGCAAAUUGCUUUGAUCUUGUUCAUUCUGAUGUGUGGACAGCCCCUUGUAUGUCUAGAGAAAACCAGAAGUACUUUGUGACAUUCAUAGAUGAGAAGUCUAAGUAUACAUGGAUCACAUUGCUGCCAUCUAAGGAUAGAGUGUUUGAAGCCUUUGUCAACUUCCAAGCAUAUGUAACUAACCAUUACAAUGCUACUGUGAAGGUACUACGGUCUGAUAAUGGAGGAGAAUACACCAGUCAUGCCUUCAAGAAUCAUUUGGCUAAACAUGGGAUAGUGCAUCAGACCAGUUGUCCUUACACACCACAGCAGAAUGGGGUAGCUGAGAGGAAGAAUAGGCAUCUGAUGGAGGUGGCUAGAUCCAUGAUGUAUCAUGCUAGUGUUCCAAAGAGGUUUUGGGGUGAUGCUGUUCAGACUGCAUGCUAUCUUAUCAAUCGGAUUCCAACUAAGGUAUUGAAGAAUCUGUCUCCGUUUGAAGUGCUGAACAAGAGCAAGCCACACAUAGAUCAUCUGCGUGUCUUUGGAUGUCUAUGUUAUGUCUGGGUUCCAGGAGAACAGAGAAACAAGUUGGAGGCAAAGAGCACUAAAGCAAUGCUCAUUGGGUACUCAGUAACUCAGAAGGGGUACAAGUGCUAUGAUACAGCAACCAGGAGAGUGUUGGUGUCUAGAGAUGUUAAGUUCAUAGAGACCAAGGGGUAUUAUGAAGAAAAGAAUUGGGAAGACUUGGAAGAUCUGUCUCAAGAACCAAGAAUGAAGAAAAGAAUUGGAAGGGGUAUUAUGAAGAAAAGAAUUGGGAAGACUUGGAAGAUCUGUCUCAAGAACCAAGAAACAUGGCAGAGAAUCUGAGGAACAUAUUGGAAAGGCUUGGGGUAAACAUGUCCCAGGAUAAGGUUAGAGAACCUGAAAGAACAACUCCCCUUGAUCAUGAGGGGGGGAAUGAGUCUGAAUCAGGAGUGCAAGAGCAGCACCAAGGGGAUUCAGGUCAUCAUGAUCAAGUGGUGACACAAGAAGUAGAGAAUUUUCCUCAGGUCAGUGUGGAUGAGCAAGGAGAGGUUCAUGAUCAAGAGGAGGUGAGUGAGGCAGGAACAGAGGUUCAAGCAGAGGUUCAAACUGAGGAACAGGUUCAACCAUUAAGGAGGAGCACACGGAUAAAGAGGGAUGCUUCCAACUGGGUAAACACGAGAGUGUACUACAAUGCCCAGGCUGUGGAGCAUCCUUCUCAAGCUGUGUGUUCCUUUGCAGAAUAUCCAGAAGAGCACAUGGUGUUUAUGUGUAACUUGGAUGAGAAUGAGAUACCAAGAUCUUAUGAAGAAGCUAUGAGGCACAAGGUUUGGAGAGAUUCAGUAGGAGAUGAAAGGGAUGCAAUGAUCAGGAAUGACACUUGGUAUGAGAGUGAGUUACCUAAAGGGAAGAAGGCAGUUUCAAGCAGAUGGAUCUUCACCAUCAAGUAUCUUGCAAAUGGGGAGAUAGAUAGGCGCAAGACCAGGCUGGUUGCAAGAGGAUUUACACAGACUUAUGGGGAAGAUUACAUUGACACUUUUGCACCAGUGGCCAAGCUUCACACAAUUCGAAUUGUGUUAUCCAUUGCAACAAACUUGGAGUGGGAUUUGUGGCAAAUGGAUGUGAAGAAUGCUUUCUUGCAAGGUGAACUUGAAGAUGAAGUAUACAUGCAUCCACCUCCUGGUCUUGAGCAUCUAGUAAAGCCAGGGAAUGUUUUGAGAUUGAAGAAGGCAAUAUAUGGGUUGAAACAGUCACCUAGAGCUUGGAACAGGAAGUUGAGUACAACACUCAAUGGGAGAGGCUUUAGGAAGUCUGAACUAGAUCACACUCUCUUCACCUUGACAGGACCUUCUGGGAGCAUUGUGAUUCUAGUGUAUGUGGAUGAUUUGAUUAUCACAGGAAGUGAUAAGGCAGGGAUUCAAGCUACUAAGGAGUUUCUCAAAUCUGUGUUUGACAUCAAGGAUUUGGGAGAGAUGAAGUAUUUUCUAGGCAUUGAGAUAUGCAGAUCAAAGGAGGGUUUGUUUAUGUCUCAAAGGAAGUAUACUAUGGAUAUGUUGAAGGAGACUGAUGUGCUUGGAGGAAAGAUAGCUAAGACACCCCUUGAGGAGGGAUAUAAGGUUCUGCGUGAGGGGGAGGUUGAAGAGAAGCAGUUGUUUGAGGAUCCUAAGCUAUACAGGAAGAUGGUUGGCAAGCUGAUCUACUUGACCACCACACGGCCAGAUAUAUGUUUUGCUGUGAACCAAGUGAGUCAACAUAUGCAGGCGCCAAAGGUACAUCACUGGAAGAUGGUUGAUAGGAUACUGAGGUAUUUGAGUGGCACGCCUGGUCAAGGAGUUUGGAUGGGAUGCAAUGGCAGCACAGAAGUAGUGGGCUAUUGUGAUGCUGAUUGGGCAGGAGAUAGAGUGGACAGGAGAUCAACUACUGGCUAUUGUACAUUCAUUGGAGGGAACCUGGUUACUUGGAAGAGUAUUGUACAUUCAUUGGAGGGAACCUGGUUACUUGGAAGAGUAAGAAGCAGAAGGUCAUCUCCUGUUCAAGUGCAGAGGCUGAGUAUAGAGCUAUGUUGAAGCUGACAAUUGUUCAAGUGCUGAGGCUGAAUAUAGGGCUAUGUUGAAGUUGACAAACGAGUUGGUGUGGAUCAAGGGUAUCUUGAAGCAUCUGGAGAUUGAGCAGAGUACUCCUAUGACAAUGCACUGUGACAAUCAAGCAGCUAUCCAUAUUGCUUCUAACUCAGUCUUUCAUGAGAGAACGAAGCACAUAGAAGUGGAUUGUCACAAGGUGAGGCAGAUGAUUAUCUUAGGAGUGAUUCUGCCAUGUUAUACAAGGAGUGAGGAUCAACUGGCUGAUGUGUUUACUAAGGCAGCGAGAUUAAAGACAAUGGAGUCCAUACUUUCUAGGCUUAGGCUCAUUGAUCUUACUCCCAGGAGCUGAUCCCCUUACCCAUGGAGUCUCCACUCUUUUUCCCUCAUCAAGGUUUUAUCCCAAUGGGUUUUCCUUGGUGAGGUUUUUAAUGAGGGAGAUCUUCAUGGUUUCCAAGCUUGACUUGUUCUACAUGGUCAAGCUUGAGGGGGAGUGUUGAGAUGAGGUGAUAAGGAGUGGAUACAUUGAUAGAGGAAGAGUAUUGGGGCAGUUAGUAACUUUGGGGAUUUACCACAGUAACUUUAGUUUUACUGUGGUAACUAAGUUAAAACAUUGGGAAGUUACCUUUCACCCAUUUGGAGAGUGGAUCACGCCUAAGGAGAGUUUGGAUAAGGAAGGAGCAGUCUGGAUAAGGUCUGGUCAUAGCUGGAAAGGAAAACACCUUUACAGCCUGUCCAAGCAUGUGAGAACACCCAUUGGCUGCUUUUGGAUGGCUCUCCUUGACUCCACACGUUCUGGAUCUCCUCUGACCCUAUGAUUUCGAAUUGUAUCAUGUAUUACUCAUAUAAAGCCUUGUAAACCUGAUUGAUAAUAAUUAAUGGAGUUUUGAGUCUCUCUCUCUCUAGAAUCUCUCUAUUCUCUCUAAAUUCUACUCUAAUCUUCUCUGAUUAUUAUUAAACACACUCUAAAACACAAAAGUGUUUAGAGAAUCACCAGGAAUUUGAAUAAAUCUCAUAGGAGUUAGGAUGAAGAAGUUAUCCCACUUUCAAAUAAGGUGAUCCCAGUUUCCCUGUUUGGGAAUAUGACAACUUCUUCGACAUUCUAAUCAAACCAGGAUGAAUCGCGAUGUACAAAGCUGUAUUUAGAUACAAAGAAUAGUGGAGAAUCACCAGGAAUUUGAAUAAAUCUCAUAGGAGUUAGGAUGAAGAAGUUAUCCCACUUUCAAAUAAGGUGAUCCUAGUUUCCCUGUUUGGGAAUAUGAAUACUUCUUCGUCAUCCUAUUCAAACCAGAAUGAAUCGCGAUGUAAGAACCUUCAUUUGGAUACAUAAAGUAGUGGAGAAUCACCAGGAAGUUGAAUAAAUCUCAUAGGAGUUAGGAUGAAGAAGUUAUCCCACUUUCAAAUAAGGUGAUCCCAGUUUCCAUGUUUUGGAAUAUGACAAUUUCUUCGACAUUCUAAUCAAACCAGGAUGAAUCGCGAUGUACAAAGCUUGAUUUAGAUACAUAGAGUAGUCAGGAAGUUGAAUAAAUCUCAUAGAAGUUAGGAUGAAGAAGUUAUCCCACUUUCAAUUAAGGUGAUCCCAGUUUCCUUGUUUGGGAAUAUGACAACUUCUUCGUCAUUCUAAUCAAACCAGGAUGAAUCGCGAUGUAAGAACCUUCAUUUGGAUACAUAAAGUAGUGGAGAAUCACCAGGAAGUUGAAUAAAUCUCAUAGGAGUGAGGAUGAAGAAGUUAUCCCACUUUCAAAUAAGGUGAUCCCAGUUUCCAUGUUUUGGAAUAUGACAAUUUCUUCGACAUUCUAAUCAAACCAGGAUGAAUCGCGAUGUACAAAGCUUGAUUUAGAUACAUAGAGUAGUGGAGAAUCACCAGGAAGUUGAAUAAAUCUCAUAGGAGUUAGGAUGAAGAAGUUAUCCCACUUUCAAAUAAGGUGAUCCCAGUUUCCCUGUAUGGGAAUAUUACAACUUCUUCGUCAUUCUAAUCAAACCAGGAUGAAUCGCGAUGUAAGAACCUUCAUUUGGAUACAUAAAGUAGUGGAUGUUGAAGAGUUGAGUAUACAGGUGUGAAGCACAAAGGGGUUAAGACUGAAGAGAGUAUGUUAAGCAUUGGUGUGAUGGGAGAGGUUCACAUUGGCCUGACCGUACAAGGCCGUACAAGGCCGUACGUCCGUACAUGUUAGGACAAGUGAAACCUCGACCACGGUCACAAAGAGUUACCCGGGUAACUCAUGUGGAAAGAAGAGGCUUUGGCUGAUGGAUCAGACCGUUGGAGGAUAAGAAGAGGCGCGGCUUGACAGGCUGGCACAGCUGGAAAGGCAAGAGCAUCUUGGUCCAAGAUGCUAGAUACUCCAAGCAUGUGGGGAAGCUGAUUGGCCGGUCCAAAGAAGGCUUAUCCUCUCCUUGUUGACUUCACAUGCUUAGCUUAGCUCUAUGAUUUCGAAAACCCUUAUGAUCUCAUCCUAUAUAUUGUAACUCUGGUCAUUUAAUAAGAAACAUACAGUUCUGAGUUUCUCUCACUAAGCUCAUACUCUCUUAAGCAUGAUUCUAGUCUAAUCUUUUCAUAAUCUCUCAUUCUGUUCCUUAAUCUUCUCUAAAUCAUUUCAUUCUCUUAAUCUUAUAUGGUAUCAGAGCCAGGUUACCCAUUUCCUGGUUUCUAAUCUCAGUAAUCUUCAGCUUCAUCCCAUUUGCGGUUGUUCUUAAGCAUUUGAAAUGGAAGAAAGCAAGAGCAAGGCUCUCUCGGUUGCUGUUACGUUGAAGGGUGGUACUAACUACCUGUUGUGGUCUCGCUUGGUGAAAGCGGCAGUUGGGAGCAAGGGUUUAUGGAGCCAUAUCUCAGAUGGAGCUCCGAGACCAGUUGCUAAAGAAGGAGAAGGCGGUCAAGAGCUGAUGGUGGUAGAUCAAGAGAAGUGGGAUCAAGAUGACUUGAAGGUGCUUACGGUACUACAUGGGUCACUUGAAGCUUCAAUCCUGGAAGCCUACAGCUACUGUGAGACGCCAAAGGACCUGUGGGAUACACUCCAAAAGGUCUACGGUAACAUCUCUAAUCUGAGCCGUGUGUUUGAGUUGAAGAGAUCAAUCAACACUCUUGUGCAAGAGGAGGUGGAGUUUACUAAACACUUGGGAAAGUUCAGAGCCUUAUGGUCUGAGCUAGAGAUGCUGAGGCCUAACACCACUGAUCAAGAUGUUCUCAUGGAGAGAAGAGAACAGGAUCAAGUGUUCGGUUUGCUGCUCACCUUGAAUCCGGUCUUUAAUGACCUCAUCAAACACAUUUUGAGAUCACCAAAGCUUCCUUCCCUUGAAGAUGUAUGCGCUCAGAUACAAAGAGAGGAGGGAUCAGUUGGGUUGUUUGGAGGAAAGGGGGAGCUUACACUCGCGAAUCAAGCUGAUGCUGUCCAAGCAAACAAAGCGGCAUACAGGACUGAGGAAGGAAAGUUUGGAGGGAAGUGUGAUCAUUGCAAGAAGCAGGGCCAUAAGAGGAGCCAGUGCUGGAUCCUACACCCCCACCUCAAGCCUACCAAGUUCAUGAGGGAUAGAGAAGCAAGGGCGCAUCUGUCUGAUGGAGCUAGUGAAGCUGGAACAUCCGGAGCUGGACAGGCAAUGCAAGAAGGGGUAGGGAAGGCCUUAACCACUCAGCACACUCCGGGGAAGAGCACUGAUGGUGAGAUGAUAAGGAGAUCAGACAUUGAUGCCCUUAUCAAAGCUCUCAAGGAGAAUGGUAACUGUAUGAACACUCCUCUAGGAUACUCUCUUGCUGCAUCUUACAUAGAUAGGACUCAUGGUUAUCUAAGUCAUAACAAUGAGAUAAACGAUGCAUCUAGAUGUCUAAACAGCUUGAAUGAUUUACCUAUAACACUUGCUGCUAAAAAUGUGAUAAAACCUUUGAUUGUAGAUUCAGGUGCAUCUCAUCACAUGAUUAGUGACACUAGUCUCAUUAAGGAUAUAGAACCUGCUUGUGGAAAUGUGAUGAUUGCAAAUGGUGAUAGAAUUGCAAUUAAAGGAAUAGGAAAUCUAAAUCUGUUUGAUAAAGAGUCUAGAGCUUUCUAUAUGCCUGAAUUCACAUCAAAUUUAUUAUCUGUUAAAAGAUGUACUACUGAUUUACAUUGCAAUGUUAUCUUUAGUCCUAAUGAUGUGAAGUUUCAGGAUAUUGACACAAGAAAGAUGAUUGGCAAGGGAGUUACCAAAGGAGAGCUUUAUAUGCUAGAAGACAUAGCUCCCAUUUCCAAUUCAAGUUUCUCUUUUAGUUCUGUCUCUAGUUUGAAUAAUGAUGCAUUAUGGCAUGCUAGAUUAGGCCAUCCACAUGAUAGGGCUUUGAACUUAAUGUUACCAGGUGUCAUGUAUAAAAAUAAUGAAUGUGAAGCAUGUAUCUUGGGCAAACAUUGUAAGGCAGUCUUUAGAAACUCAACUACUAUAUAUGAGAAAUGUUUUGAUCUUGUGCAUUCUGAUGUUUGGACUGCUCCUUGCUUGUCUAGGGAAAAUUAUAAGUACUUUGUAACAUUCAUUGAUGAAAAAUCCAAAUACACCUGGAUAACUCUCAUUAAAACUAAGGAUAGAGUUCUUGAAGCAUUUAAAAACUUUCAAGCUUAUGUAUCUAACCAUUAUAAUGCCAAGCUUAAGAUUUUCAGAUCAGAUAAUGGUGGGGAAUAUACAAGCAUUGCCUUCAAGCAACAUCUAGCCUUACACGGAAUCCUUCAUCAAACUAGCUGUCCUUACACUCCACAACAAAAUGGUGUGGCUGAGAGAAAGAACAGACAUCUAAUGGAGGUUGCAAGAUCAAUGAUGUUUCAAACCAAUGUCCCAAAAAGGUUUUGGAGUGAUGCUGUGAUCUCAGCCUGCUACUUGAUCAACCGAAUUCCUACAAGAGUCUUGGAAGAUCAAUCACCGUUUGAAGUUCUGAAUAAGAUCAAGCCAUCCCUAAGCCAUUUGAGAGUAUUCGGAAGCAUAUGUUAUGUGCUGAUUCCAGGAGACAUGAGGAACAAGUUGGAGCCUAAGAGUAUUAAAGCCAUGUUUGUGGGGUACUCAACAACACAAAGAGGAUACAAAUGCUUUGAGCCGCAAACAAGAAGGCUCCUAGUUUCAAGGGACGUAAAGUUCAUAGAAACUAAAGGUUACUAUGAAGAAAGGAGCUGGGAAGAUCUGAAAGAUCUAGCUCAACCAUCUGAUAAGGCUGCGAGUCUUAGGAUGAUCUUGGAUGGUCUUGGGAUCAAUACAACCCAGGAUCCAAAGGGGCGAGAAGCACCAGUUCAAAAUGAAGCUGAAGACACAUCCCAUGCUGAUCAUGAAGGGGGAAACAAGUCUGAUACAGCUCAUGAGAAUGAAGGGAGCUCAAGUCCUGAUCAACAAGUGAUGCACAAUGGAGAUGCAACUGAAGAAAGAAGAGAUCAGAUGGGGGUACAACCUGAAGAAAGGGAAGAGGUAAUCAAUGAAACGGCUAUAGAACCUGAGGUGGCCAGUGAGCCACUUAUGGAGACAGUGCCAUUAAGAAGAAGUACAAGAGUAAGGAAGGAUCCAUCUAACUGGGCCAAUACCAGAGUUUACUACAAUGCUCAAGCCGUUGCACAUCCCAGUCAAGCUGUCUGUUCAUUUGCCGAGUUCCCAAACGAGCAUUGUGCUUUUAUGACAAGUUUGGAUACAAGCUACAUACCAAGGACAUAUGAAGAGGCAAUGGAAGAUAAAGAGUGGAGAGACUCAGUUGCGGAUGAGGCUGAUGCUAUGAGUAAGAAUGGAACCUGGUAUGAGAGUGAGCUGCCUCAAGGGAAGAAGGCAGUAUCAUGUAAAUGGAUAUUUACAAUCAAGUAUAGACCAGAUGGGACGGUUGAUAGGAAGAAGACCAGGCUUGUGGCUAGAGGGUUUACACAGACAUAUGGAGAGGACUACAUAGACACAUUUGCUCCAGUGGCUAAGCUUCACACCAUCCGAAUCAUCUUAUCAAUUGCUACUAAUCUUGAAUGGGGAUUGUGGCAAAUGGAUGUGAAGAAUGCAUUUCUACAAGGGGAACUUGAAGAUGAGGUGUAUAUGCAGCCUCCUCCGGGUCUUGAGAGUAUUGUGAAGCCAGGGAAUGUCCUAAGGUUGAAGAAGGCUAUCUAUGGAUUGAAGCAAUCACCUAGAGCCUGGUAUCACAAGCUGAGUACUACACUGAAUGGAAAAGGCUUCAGGAAGUCUGAACUGGACCAUACCUUAUUCACUCUAAACACAACCUCAGGUAUCAUCUGUCUAUUGGUCUAUGUUGACGACAUUAUCAUUACUGGUAGUGAUAAGGUUGGAAUACAAGAAACCAAAGACUAUCUCAAGUCUGUGUUUGAGAUUAAAGAUCUUGGAGAGAUGAAAUACUUUCUUGGGAUUGAGAUUUGUAGAUCCAAGGAAGGAUUAUUCAUGUCCCAAAGGAAAUAUACACUUGAUCUUUUGAAAGAUGCAGGUAAACUUGGAGGACAAACCGCAAAAAUGCCAAUGGAGGAUGGGUACAAAGUGCCAAGAGAGGGGGAGCUUGAAGACAGCAAGCUGUUCCAUGAUCCUAAGCUUUAUAGGAAGCUAGUGGGUAAGCUAAUCUACCUAACAAUCACACGACCUGAUAUCUGCUUUGCUGUGAAUCAGGUGAGUCAACACAUGCAAGCUCCAAAGGAUCAUCAUUGGAGAAUGGUAGAUAGAGUGCUAAGCUACCUCAACGGAUCACCAGGCCAAGGAGUCUGGAUGGGAUGCAAUGGGAGUACAGAAGUGGUUGGCUACUGUGAUGCAGAUUGGGCUGGAGAUAGAGCAGACAGAAGAUCUACAACCGGCUACUGCACCUUCAUUGGAGGGAACCUUGUGACUUGGAAGAGCAAGAAGCAGAAGGUGGUCUCUUGUUCUAGUGCGGAGGCAGAAUAUAGAGCAAUGCUGAAGCUCACUAAUGAGUUGGUAUGGAUCAAGGGGAUCUUGAAGCACAUUGAGAUUGAGCAAGUGGCGCCAAUGACAAUGCAUUGUGAUAACCAAGCUGCAAUCCACAUUGCCUCCAACUCAGUCUUCCAUGAGAGAACCAAGCACAUUGAAGUGGAUUGUCACAAGGUAAGGCAGAUGAUAGUCUUGGGAGUGAUCCUGCCAUGCUACACACGGAGUGAAGAUCAACUGGCUGAUGUGUUCACAAAAGCAGCAAGAAUGAAGACAAUGGAGUCCAUCUACAUCAGGUUGGGACUCGUUGAUCUUUCAUCUAGGAGCUGAGCCCCUUACUAUGAGGUCUUUACUCUUUUUCCCUCAUCAAAGUUUUGUCCCAAUGGGUUUUCUUUGGUGAGGUUUUUAAUGAGGAAGAUCUCAUAGUGUCCAAGCUUAGACUUCACAAAGCUAAGCUUGAGGGGGAGUGUUGAAGAGUUGAGUAUACAGGUGUGAAGCACAAAGGGGUUAAGACUGAAGAGAGUAUGUUAAGCAUUGGUGUGAUGGGAGAGGUUCACAUUGGCCUGACCGUACAAGGCCGUACAAGGCCGUACGUCCGUACAAGGCCGUACAAGGCCGUACGUCCGUACAUGUUAGGACAAGUGAAACCUCGACCACGGUCACAAAGAGUUACCCGGGUAACUCAUGUGGAAAGAAGAGGCUUUGGCUGAUGGAUCAGACCGUUGGAGGAUAAGAAGAGGCGCGGCUUGACAGGCUGGCACAGCUGGAAAGGCAAGAGCAUCUUGGUCCAAGAUGCUAGAUACUCCAAGCAUGUGGGGAAGCUGAUUGGCCGGUCCAAAGAAGGCUUAUCCUCUCCUUGUUGACUUCACAUGCUUAGCUUAGCUCUAUGAUUUCGAAAACCCUUAUGAUCUCAUCCUAUAUAUUGUAACUCUGGUCAUUUAAUAAGAAACAUACAGUUCUGAGUUUCUCUCACUAAGCUCAUACUCUCUUAAGCAUGAUUCUAGUCUAAUCUUUUCAUAAUCUCUCAUUCUGUUCCUUAAUCUUCUCUAAAUCAUUUCAUUCUCUUAAUCUUAUAUGGUAUCAGAGCCAGGUUACCCAUUUCCUGGUUUCUAAUCUCAGUAAUCUUCAGCUUCAUCCCAUUUGCGGUUGUUCUUAAGCAUUUGAAAUGGAAGAAAGCAAGAGCAAGGCUCUCUCGGUUGCUGUUACGUUGAAGGGUGGUACUAACUACCUGUUGUGGUCUCGCUUGGUGAAAGCGGCAGUUGGGAGCAAGGGUUUAUGGAGCCAUAUCUCAGACGGGGGUCCAAAACCAGUUGCUAAAGAAGGAGAAGGCGGUCAAGAGCUGAUGGUUGAUGGAGCCAUAUCUCAGAUGGAGCUCCGAGACCAGUUGCUAAAGAAGGAGAAGGCGGUCAAGAGCUGAUGGUGGUAGAUCAAGAGAAGUGGGAUCAAGAUGACUUGAAGGUGCUUACGGUACUACAUGGGUCACUUGAAGCUUCAAUCCUGGAAGCCUACAGCUACUGUGAGACGCCAAAGGACCUGUGGGAUACACUCCAAAAGGUCUACGGUAACAUCUCUAAUCUGAGCCGUGUGUUUGAGUUGAAGAGAUCAAUCAACACUCUUGUGCAAGAGGAGGUGGAGUUUACUAAACACUUGGGAAAGUUCAGAGCCUUAUGGUCUGAGCUAGAGAUGCUGAGGCCUAACACCACUGAUCAAGAUGUUCUCAUGGAGAGAAGAGAACAGGAUCAAGUGUUCGGUUUGCUGCUCACCUUGAAUCCGGUCUUUAAUGACCUCAUCAAACACAUUUUGAGAUCACCAAAGCUUCCUUCCCUUGAAGAUGUAUGCGCUCAGAUACAAAGAGAGGAGGGAUCAGUUGGGUUGUUUGGAGGAAAGGGGGAGCUUACACUCGCGAAUCAAGCUGAUGCUGUCCAAGCAAACAAAGCGGCAUACAGGACUGAGGAAGGAAAGUUUGGAGGGAAGUGUGAUCAUUGCAAGAAGCAGGGCCAUAAGAGGAGCCAGUGCUGGAUCCUACACCCCCACCUCAAGCCUACCAAGUUCAUGAGGGAUAGAGAAGCAAGGGCGCAUCUGUCUGAUGGAGCUAGUGAAGCUGGAACAUCCGGAGCUGGACAGGCAAUGACAGAAGGGGGCGGGAAGGCCUUAACCACUCAGCACACUCCGGGGAAGAGCACUGAUGGUGAGAUGAUAAGGAGAUCAGACAUUGAUGCCCUUAUCAAAGCUCUCAAGGAGAAUGGUAACUGUAUGAACACUCCUCUAGGAUACUCUCUUGCUGCAUCUUACAUAGAUAGGACUCAUGGUUAUCUAAGUCAUAACAAUGAGAUAAACGAUGCAUCUAGAUGUCUAAACAGCUUGAAUGAUUUACCUAUAACACUUGCUGCUAAAAAUGUGAUAAAACCUUUGAUUGUAGAUUCAGGUGCAUCUCAUCACAUGAUUAGUGACACUAGUCUCAUUAAGGAUAUAGAACCUGCUUGUGGAAAUGUGAUGAUUGCAAAUGGUGAUAGAAUUGCAAUUAAAGGAAUAGGAAAUCUAAAUCUGUUUGAUAAAGAGUCUAGAGCUUUCUAUAUGCCUGAAUUCACAUCAAAUUUAUUAUCUGUUAAAAGAUGUACUACUGAUUUACAUUGCAAUGUUAUCUUUAGUCCUAAUGAUGUGAAGUUUCAGGAUAUUGACACAAGAAAGAUGAUUGGCAAGGGAGUUACCAAAGGAGAGCUUUAUAUGCUAGAAGACAUAGCUCCCAUUUCCAAUUCAAGUUUCUCUUUUAGUUCUGUCUCUAGUUUGAAUAAUGAUGCAUUAUGGCAUGCUAGAUUAGGCCAUCCACAUGAUAGGGCUUUGAACUUAAUGUUACCAGGUGUCAUGUAUAAAAAUAAUGAAUGUGAAGCAUGUAUCUUGGGCAAACAUUGUAAGGCAGUCUUUAGAAACUCAACUACUAUAUAUGAGAAAUGUUUUGAUCUUGUGCAUUCUGAUGUUUGGACUGCUCCUUGCUUGUCUAGGGAAAAUUAUAAGUACUUUGUAACAUUCAUUGAUGAAAAAUCCAAAUACACCUGGAUAACUCUCAUUAAAACUAAGGAUAGAGUUCUUGAAGCAUUUAAAAACUUUCAAGCUUAUGUAUCUAACCAUUAUAAUGCCAAGCUUAAGAUUUUCAGAUCAGAUAAUGGUGGGGAAUAUACAAGCAUUGCCUUCAAGCAACAUCUAGCCUUACACGGAAUCCUUCAUCAAACUAGCUGUCCUUACACUCCACAACAAAAUGGUGUGGCUGAGAGAAAGAACAGACAUCUAAUGGAGGUUGCAAGAUCAAUGAUGUUUCAAACCAAUGUCCCAAAAAGGUUUUGGAGUGAUGCUGUGAUCUCAGCCUGCUACUUGAUCAACCGAAUUCCUACAAGAGUCUUGGAAGAUCAAUCACCGUUUGAAGUUCUGAAUAAGAUCAAGCCAUCCCUAAGCCAUUUGAGAGUAUUCGGAAGCAUAUGUUAUGUGCUGAUUCCAGGAGACAUGAGGAACAAGUUGGAGCCUAAGAGUAUUAAAGCCAUGUUUGUGGGGUACUCAACAACACAAAGAGGAUACAAAUGCUUUGAGCCGCAAACAAGAAGGCUCCUAGUUUCAAGGGACGUAAAGUUCAUAGAAACUAAAGGUUACUAUGAAGAAAGGAGCUGGGAAGAUCUGAAAGAUCUAGCUCAACCAUCUGAUAAGGCUGCGAGUCUUAGGAUGAUCUUGGAUGGUCUUGGGAUCAAUACAACCCAGGAUCCAAAGGGGCGAGAAGCACCAGUUCAAAAUGAAGCUGAAGACACAUCCCAUGCUGAUCAUGAAGGGGGAAACAAGUCUGAUACAGCUCAUGAGAAUGAAGGGAGCUCAAGUCCUGAUCAACAAGUGAUGCACAAUGGAGAUGCAACUGAAGAAAGAAGAGAUCAGAUGGGGGUACAACCUGAAGAAAGGGAAGAGGUAAUCAAUGAAACGGCUAUAGAACCUGAGGUGGCCAGUGAGCCACUUAUGGAGACAGUGCCAUUAAGAAGAAGUACAAGAGUAAGGAAGGAUCCAUCUAACUGGGCCAAUACCAGAGUUUACUACAAUGCUCAAGCCGUUGCACAUCCCAGUCAAGCUGUCUGUUCAUUUGCCGAGUUCCCAAACGAGCAUUGUGCUUUUAUGACAAGUUUGGAUACAAGCUACAUACCAAGGACAUAUGAAGAGGCAAUGGAAGAUAAAGAGUGGAGAGACUCAGUUGCGGAUGAGGCUGAUGCUAUGAGUAAGAAUGGAACCUGGUAUGAGAGUGAGCUGCCUCAAGGGAAGAAGGCAGUAUCAUGUAAAUGGAUAUUUACAAUCAAGUAUAGACCAGAUGGGACGGUUGAUAGGAAGAAGACCAGGCUUGUGGCUAGAGGGUUUACACAGACAUAUGGAGAGGACUACAUAGACACAUUUGCUCCAGUGGCUAAGCUUCACACCAUCCGAAUCAUCUUAUCAAUUGCUACUAAUCUUGAAUGGGGAUUGUGGCAAAUGGAUGUGAAGAAUGCAUUUCUACAAGGGGAACUUGAAGAUGAGGUGUAUAUGCAGCCUCCUCCGGGUCUUGAGAGUAUUGUGAAGCCAGGGAAUGUCCUAAGGUUGAAGAAGGCUAUCUAUGGAUUGAAGCAAUCACCUAGAGCCUGGUAUCACAAGCUGAGUACUACACUGAAUGGAAAAGGCUUCAGGAAGUCUGAACUGGACCAUACCUUAUUCACUCUAAACACAACCUCAGGUAUCAUCUGUCUAUUGGUCUAUGUUGACGACAUUAUCAUUACUGGUAGUGAUAAGGUUGGAAUACAAGAAACCAAAGACUAUCUCAAGUCUGUGUUUGAGAUUAAAGAUCUUGGAGAGAUGAAAUACUUUCUUGGGAUUGAGAUUUGUAGAUCCAAGGAAGGAUUAUUCAUGUCCCAAAGGAAAUAUACACUUGAUCUUUUGAAAGAUGCAGGUAAACUUGGAGGACAAACCGCAAAAAUGCCAAUGGAGGAUGGGUACAAAGUGCCAAGAGAGGGGGAGCUUGAAGACAGCAAGCUGUUCCAUGAUCCUAAGCUUUAUAGGAAGCUAGUGGGUAAGCUAAUCUACCUAACAAUCACACGACCUGAUAUCUGCUUUGCUGUGAAUCAGGUGAGUCAACACAUGCAAGCUCCAAAGGAUCAUCAUUGGAGAAUGGUAGAUAGAGUGCUAAGCUACCUCAACGGAUCACCAGGCCAAGGAGUCUGGAUGGGAUGCAAUGGGAGUACAGAAGUGGUUGGCUACUGUGAUGCAGAUUGGGCUGGAGAUAGAGCAGACAGAAGAUCUACAACCGGCUACUGCACCUUCAUUGGAGGGAACCUUGUGACUUGGAAGAGCAAGAAGCAGAAGGUGGUCUCUUGUUCUAGUGCGGAGGCAGAAUAUAGAGCAAUGCUGAAGCUCACUAAUGAGUUGGUAUGGAUCAAGGGGAUCUUGAAGCACAUUGAGAUUGAGCAAGUGGCGCCAAUGACAAUGCAUUGUGAUAACCAAGCAGCAAUNNNNNNNNNNNNNNNNNNNNNNNNNNNNNNNNNNNNNNNNNNNNNNNNNNNNNNNNNNNNNNNNNNNNNNNNNNNNNNNNNNNNNNNNNNNNNNNNNNNNNNNNNNNNNNNNNNNNNNNNNNNNNNNNNNNNNNNNNNNNNNNNNNNNNNNNNNNNNNNNNNNNNNNNNNNNNNNNNNNNNNNNNNNNNNNNNNNNNNNNNNNNNNNNNNNNNNNNNNNNNNNNNNNNNNNNNNNNNNNNNNNNNNNNNNNNNNNNNNNNNNNNNNNNNNNNNNNNNNNNNNNNNNNNNNNNNNNNNNNNNNNNNNNNNNNNNNNNNNNNNNNNNNNNNNNNNNNNNNNNNNNNNNNNNNNNNNNNNNNNNNNNNNNNNNNNNNNNNNNNNNNNNNNNNNNNNNNNNNNNNNNNNNNNNNNNNNNNNNNNNNNNNNNNNNNNNNNNNNNNNAGAUACUCCGCGCAUGUGGAGAAGCUAAUUGGCUAGUCCAAAUGAGCUUAUCCUCUCCUGAUUGACCUCACAUGCUUUAGUCUUCUCUUGAUUUCGAAAACCCUUGUAUGCUCACACUAUAUAUUGUAACUCAUGUCCUUAAUGAAAGAUUAGACAGUUCUAAACAAAUCAAUCUCUCUAUACUUUUCAUAAUGAUUCUCCAUUAGUCUCUUAAUCUCUUAAAUCUACUCUAAUAUCUUCUCUAUUCUUAUCUAAACUCAGAUUAUCUUUUACAUUACUCAAAACUUAUAUGGUAUCAGAGCCAGGUUGAUUUCAAUCUGAGUUCUUGGCGUUUUUCUCUUGAAGAUUCAAACUUGAAACUUUGGGAGAUCAAGUGAGAGUGGUGUGAGUGUUCUUGGAAGAAGCUGCAUCCCGGGAGCUACAUCUUCAUUCCGGAAGUCUUAUCUAGCUGUUUGAGGGUUCUUUGAAGAGUAAAGACAAGGCACGGAAGGGUUUGAGCUGGUGUUGUAGUUCUGAGUCUCAAGAUCAAGUCUUUUACAAGUUAUUGAAGUGAAACUGUUGAAGAUGGAGAGUGGUUCCAAGAUGAAGGUUGCUGUGACUUUCAAGGGAAGUAACUACCUAGUAUGGUCUAGGAUGGUGAAGACUGCUGUGGGAAGUAAGGGUUUAUGGAAGCACAUCACAUCUGGUGAGGCUCCAAAGCUCAUUACUCAAGGAGGAUGUUGAAGAGUUAAGUAUAAAGAUGUGAAGCACAAAGGGGUUAAGACUGAAGGGAGUAUGUUAAGCAUUGGUGUGAUGGGAGAGGUUCACAAUGGCCUGACCGUACAAGGCCGUACAAGGCCGUACGGUCCGUACACAUUCAGAUAAGUGAAACCUCGACCACACGGUCACAAGAAGUUACCCGAGUAACUCAUGUGGAAAGGAGAGGCUUUGGCUGAUGGAUCAGACCGUUGGAGGAUAAGAAGAGGCGCGGCUUGACAGGCUGGCACAGCUGGAAAGGCAAGAGCAUCUUGGUCCAAGAUGCCAGAUACUCCAAGCAUGUGGAGAAGCUGAUUGGCCGGUCCAAAGAAAGCUUAUCCUCUCCUUGUUGACUUCACAUGCUUAGCUUAGCUCUUUGAUUUCGAAAACCCUUAUGAUCUCACACUAUAUAUUGUAACUCUUGUCAUUAAUAAUAAAUCAUACAGUUCUGAGUUUAUCUCUCUAAGUUCAUACUCUCUUAAUCAUGAUUCUAGUCUAAUCUCUUCAUAAUCUCUCAUUCUGUUCCUUAAUCUUCUCUAAAUCAUUUCAUUCUCUUAAUCUUUCAUGGUAUCAGAGCCAGGUUGCCCAUUUCCUGGUUUCUAAAUCUCAGUAAUCUUCAGCUUCAUUUCAUUUACGGUUGUUCUUAAGCAUUUGGAAUGGAAGAAAGCAAGAGCAAGGCUCUCUCGGUUGCGGUUACGUUGAGGGGUGGUACUAACUACCUGUUGUGGUCUCGCUUGGUGAAAGCGGCAGUUGGGAGCAAGGGUUUAUGGAGCCAUAUCUCAGAUGGAGCUCCGAAACCAGUUGCUAAAGAAGGAGAAGGCGGUCAAGAGCUGAUGGUGGUAGAUCAAGAGAAGUGGGAUCAAGAUGACUUGAAGGUGCUUACUGUACUACAUGGGUCACUUGAAGCUUCAAUCCUGGAAGCCUACAGCUACUGUGAGACGCCAAAGGACCUGUGGGAUACGCUCCAAAAGGUCUACGUUAACAUCUCUAAUCUGAGCCGUGUGUUUGAGUUGAAGAGAUCAAUCAACACACUUGUGCAAGAAGAGGUGAAGUUUACUAAACACUUGGGAAAGUUCAGAGCCUUAUGGUCUGAGCUAGAGAUGCUAAGGCCUAACACCACUGAUCAAGAUGUUCUCAUGGAGAGAAGAGAGCAGGAUCAAGUGUUUGGGUUGUUGCUCACCUUGAAUCCGGUCUACAAUGACCUCAUCAAGCACAUCUUGAGAUCACCAAAGCUCCCUUCCCUUGAAGAUGUAUGUGAGCAGAUACAAAGAGAGGAGGGAUCAGUUGGGUUGUUUGGAGGAAAGGGGGAGCUUACACUCGCAAAUCAAGCUGAUGCUAUCCAAGCAAACAAAGCGGCUUACAAGACUGAGGAAGGGAAGUUUGGAGGGAAGUGUGAUCAUUGCAAGAAGCAGGUCCAUAAGAGGAGCCAAUGCUGGAUUCUACACCCUCACCUCAAGCCUACCAAGUUCAUGAGGGAUAGAGAGGCAAGGGCGCAUCUGUCUGAUGGAGCUAGUGAAGCUGGAACAUCCGGAGCUGGACAGGCCAUGCGAGAAGGUGAAGGGAAGGCCUUAACCACUCAGCACACUCCGGGGAAGAGCACUGAUGGUGAGAUGAUAAGGAGAUCAGACAUUGAUGCCCUUAUCAAAGCUCUCAAGGAGAAUGGUAACUGUAUGAACACUCCUCUAGGAUACUCUCUUGCUGCAUCAUACAUAGAUAGAACUCAUGGUUAUCUAAGUCAUAACAGUGAGAUAAAUGAUGCAUCUAGAUUUCUAAACAGCUUGAAUGAUUUGCCUAGAACACUUGCUGCUAAAAAUGUGAUAAAACCUUUGAUUGUAGAUUCAGGUGCAUCUCAUCACAUGAUUAGUGACACUAGUCUCAUUAAGGAUAUAGAACCUACUUGUGGAAAUGUGAUGAUUGCAAAUGGUGAUAGAAUUGCAAUUAAAGGGAUAGGAAAUCUAAAUCUGUUUGAUAAGGAGUCUAAAGCUUUCUAUAUGCCUGAAUUCACAUCAAAUUUAUUAUCUGUUAAAAGAUGUACUACUGAUCUACAUUGUAAUGUUAUCUUUAGUCCUAAUGAUGUGAAGUUUCAGGAUAUUGACACAAGAAAGAUGAUUGGCAAGGGAGUUACCAAAGGAGAGCUUUAUAUGCUAGAAGACAUAGCUCCCAUUUCCAAUUCAAGUUUCUCGUUUAGUUCUAUCUCUAGUUUGAAUAAUGAUGCAUUAUGGCAUGCUAGAUUAGGUCAUCCACAUGUUAGGGCUUUAAGCUUAAUGUUACCAGGUGUCAUGUUUAAAAAUAAUGAAUGUGAAGCAUGUAUCUUGGGCAAACAUUGUAAGACAGUCUUUAAAAACUCAACUACUAUAUAUGAGAAAUGCUUUGAUCUUGUGCAUUCUGAUGUUUGGACUGCUCCUUGCUUGUCUAAGGAAAAUUAUAAGUACUUUGUAACAUUCAUUGAUGAAAAAUCCAAAUACACCUGGAUAACACUCAUUAAAACUAAGGAUAGAGUUCUUGAAGCAUUUAAAAACUUUCAAGCUUAUGUAUCUAACCAUUAUAAUGCCAAGCUUAAGAUUUUCAGAUCAGAUAAUGGUGGGGAAUAUACAAGCAAUGCCUUCAAGCAACAUCUAGCCUUACACGGAAUCCUUCAUCAAACUAGCUGUCCUUACACUCCACAACAAAAUGGUGUGGCUGAGAGAAAGAACAGACAUCUAAUGGAGGUUGCAAGAUCAAUGAUGUUUCAAACCAAUGUCCCAAAGAGAUUUUGGAGUGAUGCUGUGAUCUCAGCCUGCUACUUGAUCAACGGAAUUCCUACAAGAGUCUUGGAAGAUCAAUCACCGUUUGAAGUACUAAAUAAGGUCAAGCCAUCUCUAAGCCAUUUGAGAGUGUUCGAAAGCCUAUGUUAUGUGCUGAUUCCAGGAGACAUGAGGAACAAGUUGGAGCCUAAGAGUACCAAAGCCAUGUUUGUGGGAUACUCAACAACACAAAGAGGAUACAAAUGCUUUGAUCCGCAAACAAGAAGACUUCUAGUUUCAAGGGACGUAAAGUUCAUAGAAACUAAAGGUUACUAUGAAGAAAGGAGCUGGGAAGAUCUGGAAGAUCUAGCUCAACCAGGCCGCGAGUCUUAGGAUGAUCUUGGAUGGUCUUCGGAUCAAUACAACCCAGGAUCCAAAAGGGCGAGAAGCACCAGUUCAAAAUGAAGCUGAAGACACAUCCCAUGCUGAUCAUGAAGGGGGAAACAAGUCUGAUACAGCUCAUGAGAAUGAAGGGAGCUCAAGUCCUGAUCAACAAGUGAUGCACAAUGAAGAUGCAACUGAAGAAAGAAGAGAUCAGAUGGAGAUACAACCUGAAGAAAGGGAAGAGGUACUGAAUGAAACGGCUAUAGAACCUGAGGUGGUCAGUGAGCCACUUAUGGAGACAGUGCCAUUAAGAAGAAGUACGAGAGUAAGGAAGGAUCCAUCUAACUGGACCAAUACCAGAGUCUAUUACAAUGCUCAAGCCGUUGCACAUCCUAGUCAAGCUGUCUGUUCAUUUGCCGAGUUCCCAAACGAGCAUUGUGCCUUUAUGACAAGUUUGGAUACAAGCUACAUACCAAGGACAUAUGAGGAGGCAAUGAAAGACAAAGAGUGGAGAAACUCAGUUGCGGAUGAGACUGAUGCUAUGGUUAAGAAUGGAACCUGGUAUGAGAGUGAGCUGCCUCAAGGGAAGAAGGCAGUAUCAUGUAAAUGGAUAUUUACAAUCAAGUAUAGACCAGAUGGGACGGUUGAUAGGAAGAAGACCAGGCUUGUGGCUAGAGGGUUUACACAGACAUAUGGAGAGGACUACAUAGACACAUUUGCUCCAGUAGCUAAGCUUCACACCAUCCGAAUCAUCUUAUCAAUUGCUACUAACCUUGAAUGGGGAUUGUGGCAAAUGGAUGUGAAGAAUGCAUUUCUACAAGGGGAACUUGAAGAUGAGGUGUAUAUGCAGCCUCCUCCGGGUCUUGAGAGUCUUGUGAAGCCAUGGAAUGUCCUAAGAUUGAAGAAGGCUAUCUAUGGAUUGAAGCAAUCACCUAGAGCCUGGUAUCACAAGCUGAGUACUACACUGAAUGGAAAAGGCUUCAGGAAGUCUGAACUGGACCAUACCUUGUUCACUCUAAACACCACCUAAGGUAUCAUCUGUCUAUUGGUCUAUGUUGAUGACAUUAUCAUUACUGGGAGUGAUAAGGUGGGAAUACAAGAAACCAAAGACUAUCUCAAGUCUGUGUUUGAGAUUAAAGAUCUUGGAGAGAUGAAAUACUUUCUUGGGAUUGAGAUUUGUAGAUCCAAGGAAGAAUUAUUCAUGUCCCAAAGAAAAUAUACACUUGAUCUUUUGAAAGAUGCAGGUAAACUUGGAGGACAAACCGCGAAAAUGCCAAUGGAGGAUGGGUACAAAGUACCAAGAGAGGGGGAGCUUGAAGACAACAAGCUGUUCCAUGACCCUAAGCUUUAUAGGAAGCUAGGGGGUAAGCUAAUCUACCUAACAAUCACACGACCUGAUAUCUGCUUUACUGUGAAUCAGGUGAGUCAACACAUGCUAAGCUACCUCAACGGAUCACCAGGCCAAGGAGUCUGGAUGGGAUGCAAUGGGAGUAUAGAAGUUGUUGGCUACUGUGAUGCAGAUUGGGCUGGAGAUAGAGCAGACAGAAGAUCUACAACCGGCUACUGCACCUUCAUUGGAGGGAACCUUGUGACUUGGAAGAGCAAGAAGCAGAAGGUGGUCUCAUGUUCUAGUGCGGAGGCAGAGUAUAGAGCAAUGCUGAAGCUCACUAAUGAGUUGGUAUGGAUCAAGGGGAUCUUGAAGCAGAUUGAGCAAGUGGCGCCAAUGACAAUGCAUUGUGAUAACCAAGCCGCAAUCAACAUUGCCUCCAACUCAGUAUUCCAUGAGAGAACCAAGCACAUUGAAGUGGAUUGUCACAAGGUGAGGUAGAUGAUAGUCUUGGGAGUGAUUCUGCCAUGCAACACAAGGAGUGAGGAUCAACUGGCUGAUGUGUUCACAAAAGCGGCAAGGAUGAAGACAAUGGAGUCCAUCUACAUCAGGUUGGGACUCAUUGAUCUUUCACCUAGGAGCUGAGCCCCUUACUAUGAGGUCUUUACUCUUUUUCCCUCAUCAAAGUUUUGUCCCAAUGGGUUUUCUUUGGUGAGGUUUUUAAUGAGGAAGAUCUCAUAGUGUCCAAGCUUAGACUUCACAAAGCUAAGCUUGAGGGGGAGUGUUGAAGAGUUAAGUAUAAAGAUGUGAAGCACAAAGGGGUUAAGACUGAAGGGAGUAUGUUAAGCAUUGGUGUGAUGGGAGAGGUUCACAAUGGCCUGACCGUACAAGGCCGUACAAGGCCGUACGGUCCGUACACAUUCAGAUAAAUGAAACCUCGACCACACGGUCACAAGAAGUUACCCGAGUAACUCAUGUGGAAAGGAGAGGCUUUGGCUGAUGGAUCAGACCGUUGGAGGAUAAGAAGAGGCGCGGCUUGACAGGCUGGCACAGCUGGAAAGGCAAGAGUAUCUUGGUCCAAGAUGCCAGAUACUCCAAGCAUGUGGAGAAGCUGAUUGGCCGGUCCAAAGAAAGCUUAUCCUCUCCUUGUUGACUUCACAUGCUUAGCUUAGCUCUUUGAUUUCGAAAACCCUUAUGAUCUCACACUAUAUAUUGUAACUCUUGUCAUUAAUAAUAAAUCAUACAGUUCUGAGUUUAUUUCUCUAAGUUCAUACUCUCUUAAUCAUGAUUCUAGUCUAAUCUCUUCAUAAUCUCUCAUUCUGUUCCUUAAUCUUCUCUAAAUCAUUUCAUUCUCUUAAUCUUUCAGAGGAGACAAGGAGAGUGUCUCGGAAGCUGAAGCUGAGAAGUGACAACAAGAGGACAUGAUGGUGAUGUCUGCUCUUCAUAGCUCGUUGGAGCCAGCCAUUCUAGACGCUUACAGCUAUUGUGAGACAGCCAAGGAGCUGUGGGAAACAUUGAAGAAUGUGUAUGGAAACACCUCUAACCUCAGCCUGGUCUUUGAAGUGAAGAAAGCUUUGAAUGAUCUAACUCAGGAGGACAUGGAGUUCACUAAGCAUUUGGGGAGGUUCCGGACACUCUGGUCAGAGCUGGAGAUGCUGAGGCCGAGCACAACUGAUCCAGAGCUGCUAAAUGAAAGGAGAGAGCAAGAUAAGGUCUUUGGGUUGUUGCUUACAUUGAAUCCAAGCUACAGUGCGUUGAUUCAGCAUAUGUUGAGGGCUGAGAAGCUUCCGGACCUGGAGGAUGCGUGUGCUCAGAUACAAAAGGAGCAAGGCUCCAUUGGCUUGUUUGGUGGUAAAGGAGACUUGUCUCUAGCCAAUGCUGCGCGAACUGAUCAUGAGGAGAUACCACAAGCAAACAGAGCAGCACACGGCAAGUAUGAGGAUAGGAAGUUCAAUGGCAAUUGUGAUCACUGCAAGAAGCAUGGACACAAGAAGAGCCAGUGCUGGAUACUACAUCCUCAUCUGAAGCCGGCGAAGUUCAUGAAGGAAAGGGAGGCAAGAGCUCAUGCUUCUGAGGGAACAAGUGGAGCCGGAUCAUCUAGCCGUGAAGCUGAAGGAGAGGGGCGUGAGGGGUGAUGGCAAGGCACUGGUGACAUACUCAGGAGCUCCUAACAUCCGUGGUAAUGAUCAAGACUUCAUCAGGAGAUCCGAGAUGGAUGCUCUCAUCAAAAUGCUCAAGGAGAAUGGUAACACUCAUGGGUACUCCUUUGGUGCAUCCAUGAUAGCUAAGACUAUAGAAACAUCUCCUUGUGUUGCUGAUAUUGCUAGGAUGGAUAGAGUUAAAAGCAAUGAACAUGCUAGACAUGAGUACACCUUUGCUAGAAAUGCUAGGAUGAAUCAUGAACUAAAUGCAUUUAGAUCACCUUUGAACCUGUGUCAUAAUGCUAGCAGUAUAACUAAGCCAUUAAUUGUUGAUUCUGGUGCAUCUCAUCACAUGAUUAGUGAUACAAAUCUGAUUAAGGAUAUAGAACCAACUAGUGGACAUGUUAUGAUUGCAAAUGGGGACAAGAUCCCUAUUAGAGGAAUAGGAAAUUUGAAGUUGUUUGAUAAGAACACUAGAGCUUUCUACAUGCCUGAAUUUACAUCUAACUUGCUAUCUGUUAAGAAAUGCACAACUGAUUUGAAUUGCAAUGUUAUAUUCAGUCCUAAUGAUGUAAAGUUUCAGGAUAUUGAGAGCAGCCAGUUGAUUGGAAAAGGAAUCACUAAAGGAGAGUUGUAUUUGCUUGAAGAACUUGAUCAUGUUUCCAAUUACAAUUGCUCGUUUACUACUGCUUCUAGUUUAAAUAAAAAUGCUUUGUGGCAUGCUAGAUUAGGACAUCCUCAUGGUAGAGCUUUGAACUUGAUGUUACCAGGUGUUUUAUUUGAGAAUAAGGAUUGUGAAGCUUGCAUUUUAGGCAAGCAUUGUAAAACUGUGUUUCCAAACUCUACUAGUGUUUAUGAUAAGUGCUUUGAUCUUAUUCAUUCUGAUGUGUGGACUGCACCUUGCAUAUCUAGAGACAAUCAUAAAUACUUUGUCACAUUCAUUGAUGAAAAAUCCAAAUACACCUGGUUAACUUUAAUCCCAUCAAAAGAUAGAGUGAUAGAUGCAUUUAAGAACUUUCAAGCUCAUGUGACUAACCAUUAUAAUGCCAAGAUUAAAAUUUUUAGAUCAGAUAAUGGAGGUGAGUACACAAGCUAUGCGUUCAAGAGUCAUCUAGAGCAUCAUGGGAUCUUGCAUCAAACAAGCUGUCCUUAUACCCCACAACAGAAUGGGGUAGCUGAGAGGAAGAACCGACACUUGAUGGAGGUUGCUAGGUCAAUGAUGUUCCAAGCAAAUGUUCCAAAGAGGUUUUGGAGUGAUGCUGUGGCUACUGCUUGUUACUUGAUCAACAGGAUUCCCACAAAGGUGUUGAAGGAUCAAGCACCAUUUGAAGUUCUAAACAAGCACAAGCCAUCAGUGGAUUACUUGAGAGUAUUUGGAUGUUUAUGCUUUGUGUUGGUACCAGGAGAGUUAAGAAACAAGCUAGAUGCAAGGAGCACUAAGGCUAUGUUUAUUGGCUAUUCAACAACACAAAAGGGAUACAAGUGCUAUGAUCCAGAUACUAGAAGAGUCCUAAUCUCUAGAGAUGUGAAGUUCAUAGAAGCUAGAGGAUACUAUGAAGAAAGGAAUCAAGAGGAGCUAAAGGAUCUAACAUCAGAUAAGGCAGGCUCCUUAAGACUGAUUUUGGAGGGUCUAGGUAUCAAGAUGAACCAGGAUCCAAAUGUGGGGAGUAGGAACCAACAUGAGAGUUCUCCGGCCCCUGUUGAAGCUAAUCAGUCACCUAACCUUGAUCGUGACGGGGGCAGGGAAUCUGAAACUCAAGAAGAUGGUCAGGAUGGAGCCGGCUUGAGUGAAGAAUAAGAAGAGAGUGUUUCAGUCUCUCACAAUCAAGGUGAUCAAAGCCAAGGAGAAGUAGAAGCUCAGGCUGAAGCACCAGAACCGAGUGUCCAAGAGGAGCAGGUUCAGAACCAACCAGUAUUGAGAAGAAGCACAAGGCUGAGAAAGGAUCCUUCUAGUUGGGUAAACACGCGAGUGUACUACAAUGCCCAAGCUGUGGAGCAUCCUUCUCAGGCUGUGUUCCUUUGCUCAAUACCCUGAAGAACAUUGUGCUUUUAUGGUAAACUUGGAUGAGAACUACAUACCAAGAAACUAUGAAGAGGCAAUGAUGGAUAAAGAAUGGAAGGAAUCAGUUGGAGCUGAGGCAGGAGCUAUGAUCAAGAAUGAUACAUGGUAUGAGAGUGAGUUACCAAAAGGGAAGAAGGCUGUGACUAGUAGAUGGAUCUUCACAAUCAAGUAUAAGGCUGAUGGAAAGGUUGAGAGGAAGAAGUCAAGACUGGUUGCAAGAGGCUUUACUCAAACUUAUGGAGAAGAUUACAUUGAGACCUUUGCACCAGUAGCUAAACUACACACAAUCCGGAUUGUAUUAAGCUUAGCUGUGAACCUUGGAUGGGGCUUAUGGCAAAUGGAUGUGAAGAAUGCAUUUCUACAAGGAGAGCUGGAGGAUGAAGUGUAUAUGCAUCCACCUCCAGGCUUGGAACACUUAGUGAAGAGAGGGAAUGUGUUGAGACUGAAGAAAGCUAUCUAUGGACUAAAGCAAUCACCAAGAGCUUGGUACAACAAGCUAAGUACUACUCUGAAUGGCCGAGGCUUCAAGAAGUCUGAACUAGACCACACCCUCUUCACUCUCACUACUCCCUCAGGUAUGAUUGCACUCCUUGUGUAUGUUGAUGAUAUCAUUAUCACAGGAAGUGAUAAGGAAGGUAUCAUAGCAACCAAGGAGUUCCUUAAAUCCAUGUUUGAGAUUAAAGACUUGGGGGAAAUGAAAUACUUUCUUGGAAUUGAGAUAUGUAGAUCCAAGGAAGGUUUGUUCAUGUCCCAAAGGAAGUAUACACUUGAUCUUUUGAAAGGUGCAGGUGCUUAUGGAGGCAAGACAGCAAGGAUGCCUAUGGAGGAUGGCUACAAAGUCCCACGAGAGGGGGAGAUUGAAGACAGCAAACCUUAUCAGGAUCCUAAACUCUAUAGAAAACUAGUUGGCAAAUUGAUUUAUCUUACCAUAACUAGGCCUGACAUUUGUUUUGCUGUGAAUCAGGUGAGUCAACACAUGCAGGUGCCUAAGGAGCAUCAUUGGCGCAUGGUGGAGAGAAUCUUGAUGUAUCUCAACGGCUCACCUGAUCAAGGAGUAUGGAUGGGUUGCAAUGGGAGCACUGAAGUGGUUGGAUACUGUGAUGCAGAUUGGGCUGGUGAUAGAGCAGACAGGAGAUCAACCACAGGCUAUUGCACAUUCAUUGGAGGCAACUUGGUUACUUGGAAGAGUAAGAAGCACAAGGUGGUGUCUUGCUCAAGUGCAGAAGCUGAGUAUAGAGCUAUGCUGAAGCUUACCAACGAGCUGGUGUGGAUCAAAGGUAUCUUGAAGCAUUUGGAGAUUGAUCAAGCCACGCCAAUGACAAUGCAUUGUGAUAACCAAGCAGCCAUCCACAUUGCCUCCAACUCGGUGUUCCAUGAGAGAACCAAGCACAUUGAAGUUGAUUGUCACAAGGUGAGGCAGAUGAUCAUCCUAGGAGUCAUCUUGCCGUGCUACACAAGGAGUGAAGAUCAGUUGGCUGAUGUGUUCACCAAGGCUGCAAGGCAGAAGACAAUGGAGUCUAUCCACAUCAGGUUGGGCCUCAUUGAUCUUGGGAAGAGAAGGAGCUGAUCACCUUUGGCUGUGAGGUCUUUACUCUUUUUCCCUCAUCAAGGUUUUGUCCCAAUGGGUUUUCCUUGGUGAGGUUUUUAAUGAGGAAGAUCUCAUGGCUAUCCAAGCUUAGACUUUCACAAAGCUAAGCUUGAGGGGGAGUGUUGAGAUGAGUCAAGUAUAUGUGGAGCAAGUGAGGAGUUGAGACUAAGGAGAUGAGUUGAAGCUUGGAAAGGUUUGGGUAAGGUCCGUACUGUCCGUACAUGACCGUACCAUCCGUACACAUGGAGAUGGGUAAAACCUUGACAAGAGUAAAGAAGUUACUUGGGGUAACUUAUGGGAAGGGAAGGAACUUACCUGGAUGGAUCAGACCGUUGAGGGAUAAGGAAGAGCGAGCCUUGACAGGCUGGAACAGCUGGAAAGGCAAGAGCAUCUCGGUCCAAGAUGCUAGAUGCUCCGCGCAUGUGGAGAAGCUAAUUGGCUAGUUCAAAUGAGCUUAUCCUUUCUACAUUGACCUCACAUGCUUUAGUCUUCUCUUGAUUUCGAAAACCCUUGUAUGCUCACACUAUAUAUUGUAACUCAUGUUAUUAAUGAAAGAUUAGACAGUUCUAAACAAAUCAAUCUCUCUAUACUUUUCAUAAUGAUUCUCCAUUAGUCUCUUAAUCUCUUAAAUCUACUCUAAUAUCUUCUCUAUUCUUAUCUAAACUCAGAUUAUCUUUUACAUUACUCAAAACUNNNNNNNNNNNNNNNNNNNNNNNNNNNNNNNNNNNNNNNNNNNNNNNNNNNNNNNNNNNNNNNNNNNNNNNNNNNNNNNNNNNNNNNNNNNNNNNNNNNNNNNNNNNNNNNNNNNNNNNNNNNNNNNNNNNNNNNNNNNNNNNNNNNNNNNNNNNNNNNNNNNNNNNNNNNNNNNNNNNNNNNNNNNNNNNNNNNNNNNNNNNNNNNNNNNNNNNNNNNNNNNNNNNNNNNNNNNNNNNNNNNNNNNNNNNNNNNNNNNNNNNNNNNNNNNNNNNNNNNNNNNNNNNNNNNNNNNNNNNNNNNNNNNNNNNNNNNNNNNNNNNNNNNNNNNNNNNNNNNNNNNNNNNNNNNNNNNNNNNNNNNNNNNNNNNNNNNNNNNNNNNNNNNNNNNNNNNNNNNNNNNNNNNNNNNNNNNNNNNNNNNNNNNNNNNNNNNNNNNNNNNNNNNNNNNNNNNNNNNNNNNNNNNNNNNNNNNNNNNNNNNNNNNNNNNNNNNNNNNNNNNNNNNNNNNNNNNNNNNNNNNNNNNNNNNNNNNNNNNNNNNNNNNNNNNNNNNNNNNNNNNNNNNNNNNNNNNNNNNNNNNNNNNNNNNNNNNNNNNNNNNNNNNNNNNNNNNNNNNNNNNNNNNNNNNNNNNNNNNNNNNNNNNNNNNNNNNNNNNNNNNNNNNNNNNNNNNNNNNNNNNNNNNNNNNNNNNNNNNNNNNNNNNNNNNNNNNNNNNNNNNNNNNNNNNNNNNNNNNNNNNNNNNNNNNNNNNNNNNNNNNNNNNNNNNNNNNNNNNNNNNNNNNNNNNNNNNNNNNNNNNNNNNNNNNNNNNNNNNNNNNNNNNNNNNNNNNNNNNNNNNNNNNNNNNNNNNNNNNNNNNNNNNNNNNNNNNNNNNNNNNNNNNNNNNNNNNNNNNNNNNNNNNNNNNNNNNNNNNNNNNNNNNNNNNNNNNNNNNNNNNNNNNNNNNNNNNNNNNNNNNNNNNNNNNNNNNNNNNNNNNNNNNNNNNNNNNNNNNNNNNNNNNNNNNNNNNNNNNNNNNNNNNNNNNNNNNNNNNNNNNNNNNNNNNNNNNNNNNNNNNNNNNNNNNNNNNNNNNNNNNNNNNNNNNNNNNNNNNNNNNNNNNNNNNNNNNNNNNNNNNNNNNNNNNNNNNNNNNNNNNNNNNNNNNNNNNNNNNNNNNNNNNNNNNNNNNNNNNNNNNNNNNNNNNNNNNNNGUCAUGUAAAGGGGAAGCCUUUAGUGGAAAUGGCUACUGAAGAAGGUCAGAUAAGGAAUCUGAAAGGUGAAGAUGAAGCUGAUCAAGAAACCACUUUGGAGAGUGGGAUUGAAGAAGCUUAUGUAGAAAGGUCCAAACUUGUGAAGGUCAGUGGAGACAAGAGAGUGAUCCGUGGCUUGAGACAAGGAAAGGAUGAGUUGUAUCAGCUUGUGGGAAGGCUGAAAGAAGGAUGGAUGGAGCUGGAUGUGCUGAGACCAAGCACAUCUGAUCCGAGAGUUAUUAAAGAAAGGAGGAAACAAGAUGUGUUCUUUAGCUUUCUUGUGAAGGAGAUAUGGUUUCUGGUUCUUCACUUCAUGGUUUCCAAGCUUGACUUGUUCCACAUGGUCAAGCUUGAGGGGGAGUGUUGAGAUGAGAGAAUAGAGAUGUGAUAUAUUGAGAGAGGAAGAGAUUUGGAGCAGACAGUAACUUUGGAGAGUUACCACAGUAACUUUAUUGUUACUGUGGUAACUAAAGAAGUUACCAUAGUAACCAGGGUAACUCGGAUGGCAAGGAGGAGUUACCUUAGGUUGUCUACACUUGAUCUGAGUAUGGGAAGGGAUAAGAGAGGAGACUUGGACAGGCUGUCACUGGCUGGAAAGGAGAAGAGUGCUUUAGCACUAUUAGAAGCAUGUGAGCAAUCUCAGCCAUGGGAUUUACAGCCUGGCCUUUGACUACACAUGCUUAUCUUAUCCCCUUAGGUUGAUUUCGAAAAUGCUUCUUCCUUUUGUAUAUAUCUGAUGUAAACUCUCUCAUAAUUAAUCUAAUGGAGUUUUGAGUCUCUCUCUCUUGAUUCUCUCACUAAAAUCUCUUAAUCUCUUUAAUCUUUGAAUCUAAGUAUCUCUGGUUGUUUGAAUCAUUCUCUAAAACACAAAAGUGUUUAUGGUAUCAGAGCCAGGUUCCAUGAAAAGGAGAGAGUGAUUUCGUUUUUCUUGAGUGUUCUUGAGAGUUCAUGAGAGUUUUCAAGAGCUAGAUCCUUUGAAAUUCAAGUUUGUGUCUGUUGGUGUUUCUUUUGGAGAGUCAGCUUCAAGGGAGUCCCUUUAGGCGUGUGACAAGGUCAGAAGAGGGGUCUAGCUGGUUGGUAAGCUUGGCGAUCUAACUGAUAGGAUGAGCUUGAAGAUGAUCAAGGAGGUGGCUCAACAAGUGGUAAGAGGAGAAUGUUCUUACUCUGCCUAUAUGAGUAACUCAGUGGAGGACAGUAUGGUUAUGAAGGGGCAAGAGAUCAAAGGAGCAGAUGAUCCUAUCACAAAGAAAGAAUGGGAUGAGUUUGUCAAGUAUGUGUAUGCUUUGGCUACGACCCGGAGACAAGGUGCUCCUGCCUUAGCAUCCACGUCCAAACCCAUCAUCAUUGAUUCUGGAGCAACACAUCAUAUGAUCAGUGAUAAAAGUCUGAUAAGUGGAGUCAAGGCUGCAACAGGGAGUGUUAUGAUAGCUAAUGGUGCUAGGAUCCCAAUAGAAGGCGUGGGAAACCUCAAGCUGUUUGAGAAGAGCUCACCUGCGUUCUAUUUGCCUCAGUUCACUUCAAAUCUGAUAUCAGUGAAGAAGGCCACAGUUGAUCUUGAUUGUCAAGUAGUAUUCAGGCCAAAUGAAGUUGAGUUUCAAGAUUUGAAGACUGGGAGAGUUAUUGGUAGAGGAGACAGCAAGAAUCAGUUAUAUCAUCUCCAAACAGCUAAGACCUCUAACCCUAUUGAUUCUGUAUGCUUGAGUAGUAAUGCUGAUAGGUGUGAGAGUACUACUUGGCAUGCUAGAUUAGGACAUCCUCAUGCUCGUGCAAUUGAAUUGAUUAUGCCUAAUAUGUCAUUCAAUCACUUGGAAUGUGAAGCUUGCAUCUUAGGGAAGCAUUGUAGAACUGUUUUUUCUACAUCAGAGACCAUAUAUGCAAAUUGCUUUGAUCUUGUUCAUUCUGAUGUGUGGACAGCCCCUUGUAUGUCUAGAGAAAACCAGAAGUACUUUGUGACAUUCAUAGAUGAGAAGUCUAAGUAUACAUGGAUCACAUUGCUGCCAUCUAAGGAUAGAGUGUUUGAGGCUUUUGUUAACUUCCAAGCAUAUGUAACUAACCAUUACAAUGCUACUGUGAAGGUACUACGGUCUGAUAAUGGAGGAGAAUACACCAGUCAUGCCUUCAAGAGUCACUUGGCUAAACAUGGGAUAGUGCAUCAAACCAGUUGUCCUUACACACCACAGCAGAAUGGGGUAGCUGAGAGGAAGAAUAGGCAUCUGAUGGAGGUGGCUAGAUCCAUGAUGUAUCAUGCUAAUGUUCCAAAGAGGUUUUGGGGUGAUGCUGUUCAGACUGCAUGCUAUCUUAUCAAUCGGAUUCCAACUAAGGUAUUGAAGAAUCUGUCUCCUUUUGAGGUGCUAAACAAGAGCAAGCCAUACAUAGAUCAUCUGCGUGUCUUUGGAUGUCUAUGUUAUGUCUGGGUUCCAGGAGAACAGAGAAACAAGUUGGAGGCAAAGAGCACUAAAGCAAUGCUCAUUGGGUACUCAGUAACUCAGAAGGGGUACAAGUGCUAUGAUCCAGCAACCAGGAGAGUGUUGGUGUCUAGAGAUGUUAAGUUCAUAGAGACCAAGGGGUAUUAUGAAGAAAAGAAUUGGGAAGAUUUGGAAGAUCUGUCUCAAGAACCAAGAAACAUGGCAGAGAAUCUGAGGAACAUAUUGGAAAGGCUUGGGGUAAACAUGUCCCAGGAUAAGGUUAGAGAACCUGAAAGAACAACUCCCCUUGAUCAUGAGGGGGGUAAUGAGUCUGAAUCAGGAGUGCAAGAGCAGCACCAAGGGGAUUCAGGUCAUCAUGAUCAAGUGGUGACACAAGAAGUAGAGAAUUUUCCUCAGGUCAGUGUGGAUGAGCAAGGAGAGGUUCAUGAUCAAGAGGAGGUGAGUGAGACAGAAACAGAGGUUCAAGCAGAGGUUCAAGCUGAGGAACAGGUUCAACCAUUAAGGAGGAGCACACGGAUAAAGAGGGAUGCUUCCAACUGGGUAAACACGAGAGUGUACUACAAUGCCCAGGCUGUGGAGCAUCCUUCUCAAGCUAUGUGUUCCUUUGCAGAGUUUCCGGACGAGCAUACAGCCUUCACAGUAAGCUUGGAUGAGAGCUAUAUUCCAAGGACAUAUGAAGAAGCUAUGGCUUUAAAGGAGUGGAGAGAUUCAGUUGCUGAUGAGUCCGGAGCCAUGAUUAAGAAUGAAACGUGGUAUGAGAGUGAACUGCCUAAAGGGAAGAAGGCAGUGACUAGUAAAUGGGUGUUCACAAUCAAGUUUCAUCCUGAUGGGAGAAUAGAGAGGCGCAAAUCUAGGUUGGUGGCAAGAGGAUUUACUCAGACAUAUGGUGAGGACUAUGUUGAGACCUUUGCUCCUGUGGCUAAACUUCAUACUAUCAGGAUUGUAUUAUCUUUAGCUGUGAAUCUUGAGUGGGAUUUGUGGCAAAUGGAUGUGAAGAAUGCAUUCCUUCAAGGAGAGUUUGAAGAUGAAGUAUACAUGCAUCCACCACCAGGUCUUGAACAUCUAGUAAAGAAGGGUAAUGUGUUGAGGUUGAGGAAAGCUAUCUAUGGUCUCAAGCAGUCUCCAAGGGCGUGGUACAACAAGUUGAGUACUACACUGAAUGGGAGAGGGUUCAGAAAGUCAGAAUUGGAUCACACUCUCUUUACCCUAACCACCUCAUCUGGUAUUGUGGUGUUGCUUGUGUAUGUGGAUGAUAUCAUCAUCACAGGCAGUGAUAAGGAAGGCAUCAAGGCUACAAAGGAGUAUCUCAAGGCAAGCUUUGAGAUUAAAGACUUGGGGGAAAUGAAGUAUUUUCUUGGGAUUGAGAUAUGCAGAUCAAAGGAAGGAUUGUUUAUGUCCCAAAGGAAGUAUGUGAUUGAUCUCUUGAAGGGAGCAGAUGCCUAUGGAGGAAAGACAGCCAAGAUGCCAAUGGAGGACGGUUACAAGGUUCCACGUGAGGGGGAGAUUGAGGAUAGCAAGCCGUUCCAUGAUCCUAAGCUAUAUAGGAAGCUGGUGGGGAAGUUGAUUUAUCUUACCAUUACUAGACCUGAUGUGUGUUUUGCGGUGAAUCAAGUCAGUCAACACAUGCAAGUUCCUAAGGAGCACCAUUGGCGGAUGGUGGAAAGGAUCUUGAUGUAUCUGAAUGGAACUACUGGUCUUGGAGUAUGGAUGGGAUGUAACAAGAGUACUGAGGUUGUAGGCUACUGUGAUGCAGAUUGGGCUGGAGACCGAGCAGACAGAAGAUCAACCACAGGCUAUUGUACAUUCAUUGGUGGUAACUUAGUCACUUGGAAGAGUAAGAAACAGAAGGUAGUGUCUUGCUCCAGUGCUGAGGCCGAGUAUAGAGCAAUGCUGAAGCUUACAAAUGAGCUAGUGUGGAUAAAAGGGAUUUUGAAGCAUCUAGAGAUUAUUCAAGCAACGCCAAUGACAAUGCAUUGUGAUAAUCAAGCAGCUAUCCACAUUGCAUCUAAUUCUGUGUUCCAUGAGAGAACAAAGCACAUUGAGGUUGAUUGUCACAAGGUGAGGCAGAUGAUGAUUCUUGGAGUGAUUCUACCUUGUUAUACUCGGAGUGAGGAUCAGUUAGCAGAUGUGUUCACAAAGGCAGCAAGGCAAAAGACAAUGGAGUCCAUACACAUCAGGUUAGGACUCAUUGAUCUCUCGCCUAAGGACUAGUCUAUACACUCUCCUGAUCAUGUGAUCUCUACUCUUUCCUCAUUAAGGUUUUGUCCCAAUGUGUUUUCCUUAAUGAGGUUUUAAUGAGGGAGAUCUCAUGGUUCUUCCAAGCUUGACUUGUUUCACAUGGUCAAGCUUGAGGGGGAGUGUUGAGAUAAGAGAAUAAAGUGUUGAGAUGAGGAGAUGAAGAGUUGAUACAUGGAUAGAGGAAGGGAUUUGGAGCAGGUAGUAACUUUGGAGAUUUACCACAGUAACUUUAAUGUUACUGUGGUAACUAAGUUAAAAGACUUGGGAAGUUACCCUGCAUCCAUUUGGAGAGUGUAACACGACAGGAGGAGUCUGGAUAAGCAAGGAGGAGUUUGGAUAAGGUCUGGUCAAGGGAAGAGAGCUUUAGACAGGCUGGCACCAGCUGGAAAGCUAAAGCAAGAUUCCCAAGCAUGUGAGGAACCUUAUUGGCUGGUUUGAAUAAGGCAUCUUUGACUACACAUGCUUCUUAUCCUAACUAGACUGAACCUGGACGAAAAUAUGAAUCUCUAAUCUAUAUAUGUUGUAAACUCUCUCAUUAAUCAAGUAAAUGGAGUUUUGAGUCUCUCUCUCUCUCUUGUUCUUAAUCUCCAAUCUCUUUAAUUCUCAGAUUAAACUUAAUCACUCUUUAAAUCACUAAAUCUAUUAAACUCCUAUGAGAUUUAUUCAACUUCCUGGUGAUUCUCUGUUGAGAUGAAGACCAAAGAGGCUGAGACAGUAACUUUACAGUUUUACUGUGGUAACUUUCUUUUAACCACAGUAACUACUUGGGGAAGUUAUCUGAUGGGAUGAGGAGGUAACUUAAUGAGGAGAAGAGAGGAAAUUCGACCUAAGAGGAUAAGGAAGGAUAAGGGAGCACUUUGACAGCCUGGAGGAAAUUCGACCUAAGAGGAUAAGGAAGGAUAAGGGAGCACUUUGACAGCCUGUAUGAUGCUGGAAAGGAGAGGAUGCUUUUUACUAGUGCAAGCAUGUGAGAAAGCACAGCCAAGUGAUUCAAAAGGAGUUCCAGCCUGUACAUUGACUCCACAUGCUUAUACAUUUCGAAAACCCUUGUUGCUCUCUCUAUUAAUACUUGUAAACCUCAUCAGUUAUUAAUCAAUGGAGUUUUGAGUCUAUCUCUCUCUAGAAUCUCUCUAUUCUCUCUAAACUUUACUCUAAUCUUCUCUAAUUAUUAUUAAACACACUCUAAAACACAAAAGUGUUUAUGGUAUCAAAGCCAGGUUGCUCAAAAGGGGAUGAGUGUGUGAUUUGUUUUUCGCAAAUUUAGGUUCUUUCUUGGUGUUCUUGAGUGUUCUUGGUGUUCUUGAGUGUUCUUGGUGAUUCUGGGUUGUGUUCUUCUGUCACUAGUCUCGUCUGGAUCAUUCUGAUGGAAACAAACAAUCUAGACAUGGAGAAGAAGCACAGAUCUAGUACAAUCAUGGAGCUUGAAGAAGAGAGAGAUGGCGAUUGGUCAAGAUGGGCAAAGAGAGCUUUGGAAAGCUGUGGGUUAUGGUGUGGUCAUGUAAAGGGGAAGCCUUUAGUGGAAAUGGCUACUGAAGAAGGUCAGACAAGGAAUCUGAAAGGUGAAGAUGAAGCUGAUCAAGAAACCACUUUGGAGAGUGGGAUUGAAGAAGCUUAUGUAGAAAGGUCCAAACUUGUGAAGGUCAGUGGAGACAAGAGAGUGAUCUGCGGCUUGAGACAAGGAAAGGAUGAGUUGUAUCAGCUUGUGGGAAGGCUGAAAGAAGGAUGGAUGGAGCUGGAUGUGCUGAGACCAAGCACAUCUGAUCCGAGAGUUAUUAAAGAAAGGAGGAAACAAGAUGUGUUCUUUAGCUUUCUUGUGAAGGAGAUAUGGUUUCUGGUUCUUCAUGCGUGUGAUGUGUGGGAAGAGGACAAGAGUUCAAACCAGUGGAAAGGUGGUACAAGCUGUAAGAAGGGAAGGCUGAGAAAGCUUUCUAGAGUGUGGCUUAAGAUGGGAAAGGCGUGGAAGAAGGACAGGGAGUCUGGGUAUCUAACUGAUAGGAUGAGCUUGAAGAUGAUCAAGGAGGUGGCUCAACAAGUGGUAAGAGGAGAGUGUUCUUACUCUGCCUAUAUGAGUAACUCAGUGGAGGACAGUAUGGUUAUGAAGGGGCAAGAGAUCAAAGGAGCAGAUGAUCCUAUCACAAAGAAAGAAUGGGAUGAGUUUGUCAAGUAUGUGUAUGCUUUGGCUACGACCCGGAGACAAGGUGCUCCUGCCUUAGCAUCCACGUCCAAACCCAUCAUCAUUGAUUCUGGAGCAACACAUCAUAUGAUCAGUGAUAAAAGUCUGAUAAGUGGAGUCAAGGCUGCAACAGGGAGUGUUAUGAUAGCUAAUGGUGCUAGGAUCCCAAUAGAAGGCGUGGGAAACCUCAAGCUGUUUGAGAAGAGCUCACCUGCGUUCUAUUUGCCUCAGUUCACUUCAAAUCUGAUAUCAGUGAAGAAGGCCACAGUUGAUCUUGAUUGUCAAGUAGUAUUCAGGCCAAAUGAAGUUGAGUUUCAAGAUUUGAAGACUGGGAGAGUUAUUGGUAGAGGAGACAGCAAGAAUCAGUUAUAUCAUCUCCAAACAGCUAAGACCUCUAACCCUAUUGAUUCUGUAUGCUUGAGUAGUAAUGCUGAUAGGUGUGAGAGUACUACUUGGCAUGCUAGAUUAGGACAUCCUCAUGCUCGUGCAAUUGAAUUGAUUAUGCCUAAUAUGUCAUUCAAUCACUUGGAAUGUGAAGCUUGCAUCUUAGGGAAGCAUUGUAGAACUGUUUUUCCUACAUCAGAGACCAUAUAUGCAAAUUGCUUUGAUCUUGUUCAUUCUGAUGUGUGGACAGCCCCUUGUAUGUCUAGAGAAAACCAGAAGUACUUUGUGACAUUCAUAGAUGAGAAGUCUAAGUAUACAUGGAUCACAUUGCUGCCAUCUAAGGAUAGAGUGUUUGAGGCUUUUGUCAACUUCCAAGCAUAUGUAACUAACCAUUACAAUGCUACUGUGAAGGUACUACGGUCUGAUAAUGGAGGAGAAUACACCAGUCAUGCCUUCAAGAGUCACUUGGCUAAACAUGGGAUAGUGCAUCAAACCAGUUGUCCUUACACACCACAGCAGAAUGGGGUGGCUGAGAGGAAGAAUAGGCAUCUGAUGGAGGUGGCUAGAUCCAUGAUGUAUCAUGCUAAUGUUCCAAAGAGGUUUUGGGGUGAUGCUGUUCAGACUGCAUGCUAUCUUAUCAAUCGGAUUCCAACUAAGGUAUUGAAGAAUCUGUCUCCUUUUGAGGUGCUGAACAAGAGCAAGCCAUACAUAGAUCAUCUGCGUGUCUUUGGAUGUCUAUGUUAUGUCUGGGUUCCAGGAGAACAGAGAAACAAGUUGGAGGCAAAGAGCACUAAAGCAAUGCUCAUUGGAUACUCAGUAACUCAGAAGGGGACAAGUGCUAUGAUCCAGCAACCAGGAGAGUGCUGGUGUCUAGAGAUGUUAAGUUCAUAGAGACAAAGGGGUAUUAUGAAGAAAAGAAAUGGGAAGACUUGGAAGAUCUGUCUCAAGAACCAAGAAACAUGGCAGAGAAUCUGAGGAACAUCUUGGAAAGGCUUGGGGUAAACAUGUCCCAAGAUAAGGUUAGAGAAGUUGAAAGAACAACUCCCCUUGAUCAUGAGGGGGGAAUGGAGUCUGAAUCAAGAGUGCAAGAGCAGCACCAAGAGGAUUCAGGUCAUCAUGAUCAAGAGGUGACACAAGAAGUAGAGAAUGUUCCUCAGGUCGGUGUGAAUGAGCAGGGAGAGGUUCAUGAUCCAGAGGAGGUGAGUGAGACAGUAACAGACGUUCAAGCAGAGGUUCAAGCUGAGGAUCAGGUUCAGGUUUUGCGAAGGAGCACAAGGAUAAAGAGGGAUGCUUCCAACUGGGUAAACACGAGAGUGUACUACAAUGCCCAGGCUGUGGAGCAUCUUUCUCAAGCCGUAUGUUCCUUUGCAGAAUAUCCAGAAGAGCACAUGGUGUUUAUGUGUAACUUGGAUGAGAAUGAGAUACCAAGAUCUUAUGAAGAAGCUAUGAAGCACAAGGUUUGGAGAGAUUCAGUAGGAGAUGAAAGGGAUGCAAUGAUCAGGAAUGAUACUUGGUAUGAGAGUGAGUUACCUAAAGGGAAGAAGGCAGUUUCAAGCAGAUGGAUCUUCACCAUCAAGUAUCUUGCAAAUGGGGAGAUAGAUAGGCGCAAGACUAGGCUAGUUGCAGGAGGAUUUACACAGACUUAUGGGGAAGAUUACAUUGAUACUUUUGCACCAGUGGCCAAGCUUCACACAAUUCGAAUUGUGUUAUCCAUUGCAACAAACUUGGAGUGGGAUUUGUGGCAAAUGGAUGUGAAGAAUGCUUUCUUGCAAGGUGAACUUGAAGAUGAAGUAUACAUGCAUCCACCUCCUGGUCUUGAGCAUCUAGUAAAGCCAGGGAAUGUUUUGAGAUUGAAAAAAGCAAUAUAUGGGUUGAAGCAGUCACCUAGAGCUUGGUACAGGAAGCUGAGUACAACACUCAAUGGGAGAGGCUUUAGGAAGUCUGAACUAGAUCACACUCUCUUCACCUUGACAGGACCUUCAGGGAGCAUUGUGAUUCUAGUAUAUGUGGAUGAUUUGAUUAUAAUAGGAAGUGCUAAGGCAGGGAUUCAGGCCACUAAGGAGUUUCUCAAAUCUGUGUUUGACAUCAAGGAUUUGGGAGAGAUGAAGUAUUUUCUGGGCAUUGAGAUAUGCAGAUCAAAGGAGGGUUUGUUUAUGUCUCAAAGGAAGUAUACUAUGGAUAUGUUGAAGGAGACUGAUGUGCUUGGAGGAAAGAUAGCCAAGACACCUCUCGAGGAGGGAUAUAAGGUUCUGCGUGAGGGGGAGGUUGAAGAGAAGCAGCUGUUUGAGGAUCCUAGGCUAUACAGGAAGAUGGUUGGCAAGCUGAUCUACUUGACCAUCACUAGGCCAGAUAUAUGCUUUGCGGUGAAUCAAGUGAGUCAACAUAUGCAGGCGCCAAAGGUCCAUCAUUGGAAGAUGGUUGAUAGGAUACUGAGGUAUUUGAGUGGCACGUCUGGUCAAGGAGUUUGGAUGGGUUGUAAUGGCAGUACAGAAGUGGUUGGAUAUUGUGAUGCUGAUUGGGCAGGAGAUAGAGUGGACAGGAGAUCAACUACUGGGUAUUGUACAUUCAUUGGAGGGAACUUGGUCACUUGGAAGAGUAAGAAGCAGAAGGUUAUCUCCUGUUCAAGUGCUGAAGCUGAGUAUAGAGCCAUGUUGAAGCUGACAAACGAGUUGGUGUGGAUCAAGGGGAUCUUGAAGCAUUUGGAGAUUGAGCAGAGUACUCCUAUGACAAUGCAUUGUGACAAUCAAGCAGCUAUCCACAUUGCUUCUAACUCAGUCUUUCAUGAGAGGACGAAGCAUAUAGAAGUUGAUUGCCACAAGGUGAGGCAGAUGAUUAUACUUGGAGUGAUAUUGCCAUGUUAUACAAGAAGUGAAGAUCAGCUUGCAGAUGUGUUUACUAAAGCAGCGAGAUUAAAGACAAUGGAGUCCAUACUAUCAAGACUUGGACUCAUUGAUCUUACUCCUAGGAGCUGAGCCCCUCAACCAUGGAGUCUCCACUCUUUUUCCCUCAUCAAAGUUUUAUCCCAUUGGGUUUUCUUUGAUGAGGUUUUUAAUGAGGGAGGUCUUCAUGGUUUCCAAGCUUGACUUGUUCUACAUGGUCAAGCUUGAGGGGGAGUGUUGAGAUGAAGACCAAAGAGGCUGAGACAGUAACUUUAGAGUUUUACUGUGGUAACUUUCUUUUAACCACAGUAACUACUUGGGGAAGUUAUCUUAUGGGAUGAGGAGGUAACUUAAUGAGGAGAAGAUAGUAAAUUCGACCUAAGAGGAUAAGGAAGGAUAAGGGAGCACUUUGACAGCCUGUAUGAUGCUGGAAAGGAGAGGAUGCUUUUUACUAGUGCAAGCAUGUGAGAAAGCACAGCCAAGUGAUUCAAAAGGAGUUCCAGCCUGUCCAUUGACUCCACAUGCUUAUACAUUUCGAAAACCCUUGUUGCUCUCUCUAUUAAUACUUGUAAACCUCAUCAGUUAUUAAUCAAUGGAGCUUUGAGUCUAUCUCUCUCUAGAAUCUCUCUAUUCUCUCUAAACUUUACUCUAAUCUUCUCUAAUUAUUAUUAAACACACUCUAAAACACAAAAGUGUUUAUGGUAUCAAAGCCAGGUUGCUCAAAAGGGGAUGAGUGUGUGAUUUGUUUUUCGCAAAUUUAGGUUCUUUCUUGGUGUUCUUGAGUGUUCUUGGUGUUCUUGAGUGUUCUUGGUGUUCUUGAGUGUUCUUGGUGUUCUUGAGUGUUCUUGGUGUUCUUGAGUGUUCUUGGUGUUCUUGAGUGUUCUUGGUGUUCUUGAGUGUUCUUGGUGUUCUUGAGUGUUCUUGGUGUUCUUGAGUGUUCUUGGUGUUCUUGAGUGUUCUUGGUGUUCUUGAGUGUUCUUGGUGAUUCUGGGUUGUGUUCUUCUGUCACUAGUCUCGUCUGGAUCAUUCUGAUGGAAACAAACAAUCUAGACAUGGAGAAGAAGCACAGAUCUAGUACAAUCAUGGAGCUUGAAGAAGAGAGAGAUGGCGAUUGGUCAAGAUGGGCAAAGAGAGCUUUGGAAAGCUGUGGGUUAUGGUGUGGUCAUGUAAAGGGGAAGCCUUUAGUGGAAAUGGCUACUGAAGAAGGUCAGACAAGGAAUCUGAAAGGUGAAGAUGAAGCUGAUCAAGAAACCACUUUGGAGAGUGGGAUUGAAGAAGCUUAUGUAGAAAGGUCCAAACUUGUGAAGGUCAGUGGAGACAAGAGAGUGAUCUGCGGCUUGAGACAAGGAAAGGAUGAGUUGUAUCAGCUUGUGGGAAGGCUGAAAGAAGGAUGGAUGGAGCUGGAUGUGCUGAGACCAAGCACAUCUGAUCCGAGAGUUAUUAAAGAAAGGAGGAAACAAGAUGUGUUCUUUAGCUUUCUUGUGAAGGAGAUAUGGUUUCUGGUUCUUCAUGCGUGUGAUGUGUGGGAAGAGGACAAGAGUUCAAACCAGUGGAAAGGUGGUACAAGCUGUAAGAAGGGAAGGCUGAGAAAGCUUUCUAGAGUGUGGCUUAAGAUGGGAAAGGCGUGGAAGAAGGACAGGGAGUCUGGGUAUCUAACUGAUAGGAUGAGCUUGAAGAUGAUCAAGGAGGUGGCUCAACAAGUGGUAAGAGGAGAGUGUUCUUACUCUGCCUAUAUGAGUAACUCAGUGGAGGACAGUAUGGUUAUGAAGGGGCAAGAGAUCAAAGGAGCAGAUGAUCCUAUCACAAAGAAAGAAUGGGAUGAGUUUGUCAAGUAUGUGUAUGCUUUGGCUACGACCCGGAGACAAGGUGCUCCUGCCUUAGCAUCCACGUCCAAACCCAUCAUCAUUGAUUCUGGAGCAACACAUCAUAUGAUCAGUGAUAAAAGUCUGAUAAGUGGAGUCAAGGCUGCAACAGGGAGUGUUAUGAUAGCUAAUGGUGCUAGGAUCCCAAUAGAAGGCGUGGGAAACCUCAAGCUGUUUGAGAAGAGCUCACCUGCGUUCUAUUUGCCUCAGUUCACUUCAAAUCUGAUAUCAGUGAAGAAGGCCACAGUUGAUCUUGAUUGUCAAGUAGUAUUCAGGCCAAAUGAAGUUGAGUUUCAAGAUUUGAAGACUGGGAGAGUUAUUGGUAGAGGAGACAGCAAGAAUCAGUUAUAUCAUCUCCAAACAGCUAAGACCUCUAACCCUAUUGAUUCUGUAUGCUUGAGUAGUAAUGCUGAUAGGUGUGAGAGUACUACUUGGCAUGCUAGAUUAGGACAUCCUCAUGCUCGUGCAAUUGAAUUGAUUAUGCCUAAUAUGUCAUUCAAUCACUUGGAAUGUGAAGCUUGCAUCUUAGGGAAGCAUUGUAGAACUGUUUUUCCUACAUCAGAGACCAUAUAUGCAAAUUGCUUUGAUCUUGUUCAUUCUGAUGUGUGGACAGCCCCUUGUAUGUCUAGAGAAAACCAGAAGUACUUUGUGACAUUCAUAGAUGAGAAGUCUAAGUAUACAUGGAUCACAUUGCUGCCAUCUAAGGAUAGAGUGUUUGAGGCUUUUGUCAACUUCCAAGCAUAUGUAACUAACCAUUACAAUGCUACUGUGAAGGUACUACGGUCUGAUAAUGGAGGAGAAUACACCAGUCAUGCCUUCAAGAGUCACUUGGCUAAACAUGGGAUAGUGCAUCAAACCAGUUGUCCUUACACACCACAGCAGAAUGGGGUGGCUGAGAGGAAGAAUAGGCAUCUGAUGGAGGUGGCUAGAUCCAUGAUGUAUCAUGCUAAUGUUCCAAAGAGGUUUUGGGGUGAUGCUGUUCAGACUGCAUGCUAUCUUAUCAAUCGGAUUCCAACUAAGGUAUUGAAGAAUCUGUCUCCUUUUGAGGUGCUGAACAAGAGCAAGCCAUACAUAGAUCAUCUGCGUGUCUUUGGAUGUCUAUGUUAUGUCUGGGUUCCAGGAGAACAGAGAAACAAGUUGGAGGCAAAGAGCACUAAAGCAAUGCUCAUUGGAUACUCAGUAACUCAGAAGGGGACAAGUGCUAUGAUCCAGCAACCAGGAGAGUGCUGGUGUCUAGAGAUGUUAAGUUCAUAGAGACAAAGGGGUAUUAUGAAGAAAAGAAAUGGGAAGACUUGGAAGAUCUGUCUCAAGAACCAAGAAACAUGGCAGAGAAUCUGAGGAACAUCUUGGAAAGGCUUGGGGUAAACAUGUCCCAAGAUAAGGUUAGAGAAGUUGAAAGAACAACUCCCCUUGAUCAUGAGGGGGGAAUGGAGUCUGAAUCAAGAGUGCAAGAGCAGCACCAAGAGGAUUCAGGUCAUCAUGAUCAAGAGGUGACACAAGAAGUAGAGAAUGUUCCUCAGGUCGGUGUGAAUGAGCAGGGAGAGGUUCAUGAUCCAGAGGAGGUGAGUGAGACAGUAACAGACGUUCAAGCAGAGGUUCAAGCUGAGGAUCAGGUUCAGGUUUUGCGAAGGAGCACAAGGAUAAAGAGGGAUGCUUCCAACUGGGUAAACACGAGAGUGUACUACAAUGCCCAGGCUGUGGAGCAUCUUUCUCAAGCCGUAUGUUCCUUUGCAGAAUAUCCAGAAGAGCACAUGGUGUUUAUGUGUAACUUGGAUGAGAAUGAGAUACCAAGAUCUUAUGAAGAAGCUAUGAAGCACAAGGUUUGGAGAGAUUCAGUAGGAGAUGAAAGGGAUGCAAUGAUCAGGAAUGAUACUUGGUAUGAGAGUGAGUUACCUAAAGGGAAGAAGGCAGUUUCAAGCAGAUGGAUCUUCACCAUCAAGUAUCUUGCAAAUGGGGAGAUAGAUAGGCGCAAGACUAGGCUAGUUGCAGGAGGAUUUACACAGACUUAUGGGGAAGAUUACAUUGAUACUUUUGCACCAGUGGCCAAGCUUCACACAAUUCGAAUUGUGUUAUCCAUUGCAACAAACUUGGAGUGGGAUUUGUGGCAAAUGGAUGUGAAGAAUGCUUUCUUGCAAGGUGAACUUGAAGAUGAAGUAUACAUGCAUCCACCUCCUGGUCUUGAGCAUCUAGUAAAGCCAGGGAAUGUUUUGAGAUUGAAAAAAGCAAUAUAUGGGUUGAAGCAGUCACCUAGAGCUUGGUACAGGAAGCUGAGUACAACACUCAAUGGGAGAGGCUUUAGGAAGUCUGAACUAGAUCACACUCUCUUCACCUUGACAGGACCUUCAGGGAGCAUUGUGAUUCUAGUAUAUGUGGAUGAUUUGAUUAUCACAGGAAGUGAUAAGGCAGGGAUUCAGGCCACUAAGGAGUUUCUCAAAUCUGUGUUUGACAUCAAGGAUUUGGGAGAGAUGAAGUAUUUUCUGGGCAUUGAGAUAUGCAGAUCAAAGGAGGGUUUGUUUAUGUCUCAAAGGAAGUAUACUAUGGAUAUGUUGAAGGAGACUGAUGUGCUUGGAGGAAAGAUAGCCAAGACACCUCUCGAGGAGGGAUAUAAGGUUCUGCGUGAGGGGGAGGUUGAAGAGAAGCAGCUGUUUGAGGAUCCUAAGCUAUACAGGAAGAUGGUUGGCAAGCUGAUCUACUUGACCAUCACUAGGCCAGAUAUAUGCUUUGCGGUGAAUCAAGUGAGUCAACAUAUGCAGGCGCCAAAGGUCCAUCAUUGGAAGAUGGUUGAUAGGAUACUGAGGUAUUUGAGUGGCACGUCUGGUCAAGGAGUUUGGAUGGGUUGUAAUGGCAGUACAGAAGUGGUUGGAUAUUGUGAUGCUGAUUGGGCAGGAGAUAGAGUGGACAGGAGAUCAACUACUGGGUAUUGUACAUUCAUUGGAGGGAACUUGGUCACUUGGAAGAGUAAGAAGCAGAAGGUUAUCUCCUGUUCAAGUGCUGAAGCUGAGUAUAGAGCCAUGUUGAAGCUGACAAACGAGUUGGUGUGGAUCAAGGGGAUCUUGAAGCAUUUGGAGAUUGAGCAGAGUACUCCUAUGACAAUGCAUUGUGACAAUCAAGCAGCUAUCCACAUUGCUUCUAACUCAGUCUUUCAUGAGAGGACGAAGCAUAUAGAAGUUGAUUGCCACAAGGUGAGGCAGAUGAUUAUACUUGGAGUGAUAUUGCCAUGUUAUACAAGAAGUGAAGAUCAGCUUGCAGAUGUGUUUACUAAAGCAGCGAGAUUAAAGACAAUGGAGUCCAUACUAUCAAGACUUGGACUCAUUGAUCUUACUCCUAGGAGCUGAGCCCCUCAACCAUGGAGUCUCCACUCUUUUUCCCUCAUCAAGGUUUUAUCCCAUUGGGUUUUCUUUGAUGAGGUUUUUAAUGAGGGAGGUCUUCAUGGUUUCCAAGCUUGACUUGUUCUACAUAUUAGAUUUUGUGAUUUAAAGAGUGAUUAAGUUUAAUCUGAGAAUUAAAGAGAUUGGAGAUUAAGAACAAGAGAGAGAGAGAGACUCAAAACUCCAUUAGAUUGAUUAAUGAGAGAGUUUACAACAUAUAUAGAUAAGAGAUACACAAAAACGUCCAGGUUCAGUCUAGCUAGGAUAAGAAGCAUGUGUAGUCAAAGAUGCUUGAUUUAAACUAGCCAAUAAGGUUCCUCACAUGCUUGGGUAUCUUGCUUUAACUUUCCAGCUAGUGCCAGCCUGUCUAAAGCUCUCUAGCAUUGACCAGACCUUAUCCAAACUCCUCCUUGCUUAUCCAGACUCCUCCUGGCGUGUUUCACUCUCCAAAUGGAUGCAAGGUAACUUCCAAAGCCUUUUAACUCAGUUACCACAGUAACAAUUAAGUUACUGUGGUAAAUCUCCAAAGUUACUGUCUGCUCCAACUCUCUUCCUCUAUCCAUGUAUCAACUCUUCAUCACUUCAUCUCAACACUUUAUUCUCUCAUCUCAACACUCCCCCUCAAGCUUGACCAUGUGGAACAAGUCAAGCUUGGAAGAACCAUGAGAUCUCCCUCAUUAAAACCUCAUUAAGGAAAACCCAUUGGGACAAAACCUUAAUGAGGAAAGAGUAGAGAUCACAUGAUCAGGAGAGUGUAUAGACUAGUCCUUAGGCGAGAGAUCAAUGAGUCCUAACCUGAUGUGUAUGGACUCCAUUGUCUUUUGCCUUGCUGCCUUUGUGAACACAUCUGCUAACUGAUCCUCACUCCGAGUAUAACAAGGUAGAAUCACCCCAAGAAUCAUCAUCUGCCUCACCUUGUGACAAUCAACCUCAAUGUGCUUUGUUCUCUCAUGGAAUACAGAAUUAGAUGCAAUGUGGAUAGCUGCUUGAUUAUCACAAUGCAUUGUCAUUGGCGUUGCUUGAAUAAUCUCCAGAUGCUUCAAAAUCCCUUUUAUCCACACUAGCUCAUUUGUAAGCUUCAGCAUUGCUCUAUACUCGGCCUCAGCACUGGAGCAAGACACUACCUUCUGCUUCUUACUCUUCCAAGUGACCAAGUUACCACCAAUGAAUGUACAAUAGCCUGUGGUUGAUCUUCUGUCUGCUCGGUCUCCAGCCCAAUCUGCAUCACAGUAGCCUACAACCUCAGUACUCUUGUUACAUCCCAUCCAUACUCCAAGACCAGUAGUUCCAUUCAGAUACAUCAAGAUCCUUUCCACCAUCCGCCAAUGGUGCUCCUUAGGAACUUGCAUGUGUUGACUGACUUGAUUCACCGCAAAACACACAUCAGGUCUAGUAAUGGUAAGAUAAAUCAACUUCCCCACCAGCUUCCUAUAUAGCUUAGGAUCAUGGAACGGCUUGCUAUCCUCAAUCUCCCCCUCACGUGGAACCUUGUAACCAUCCUCCAUUGGCAUCUUGGCUGUCUUUCCUCCAUAGGCAUCUGCUCCCUUCAAGAGAUCAAUCACAUACUUCCUUUGGGACAUAAACAAUCCUUCCUUUGAUCUGCAUAUCUCAAUCCCAAGAAAAUACUUCAUUUCCCCCAAGUCUUUAAUCUCAAAGCUUGCCUUCAGAUACUCCUUUGUAGCCUUGAUGCCUUCCUUAUCACUGCCUGUGAUGAUGAUAUCAUCCACAUACACAAGCAACACCACAAUACCAGAUGUGGUGGUUAGGGUAAAGAGAGUGUGAUCCAAUUCUGACUUUCUAAACCCUCUCCCAUUCAGUGUAGUACUCAACUUGUUGUACCACGCCCUUGGAGACUGCUUGAGACCAUAGAUAGCUUUCCUCAACCUCAACACAUUACCCUUCUUUACUAGAUGUUCAAGACCUGGUGGUGGAUGCAUGUAUACUUCAUCUUCCAACUCUCCUUGAAGGAAUGCAUUCUUCACAUCCAUUUGCCACAAAUCCCACUCAAGAUUCACAGCUAAAGAUAAUACAAUCAUGAUAGUAUGAAGUUUAGCCACAGGAGCAAAAGUCUCAACAUAGUCCUCACCAUAUGUCUGAGUAAAUCCUCUUGCCACCAACCUAGAUUUGCGCCUCUCUAUUCUCCCAUCAGGAUGAAACUUGAUUGUGAACACCCAUUUACUAGUCACUGCCUUCUUCCCUUUAGGCAGCUCACUCUCAUACCACGUUUCAUUCUUAAUCAUGGCUCCGGACUCAUCAGCAACUGAAUCUCUCCACUCCUUUAAAGCCAUAGCUUCUUCAUAUGUCCUUGGAAUAUAGCUCUCAUCCAAGCUUACUGUGAAGGCUGUAUGCUCCUCCGGAAACUCUGCAAAGGAACACAUAGCUUGAGAAGGAUGCUCCAUAGCCUGGGCAUUGUAGUACACUCUCGUGUUUACCCAGUUGGAAGCAUCUCUCUUCACCCUUGUGCUCCUCCUUAGCUCCUGAACUUGUUCUUCUUGUGGCUCUUGCCCAUCUUCACUUGAUUGAGCACCACUCUCAUUUGACCCAUUAGGAUCUCAUUCCCACUCUCCACUCUCAUCUGAGCCAGUAGACUCUCUUUGCCCAUCUCCACUAGACUGAGCAUCACUUUCUACUUCCUGUGUCACCUCUUGAUUAUGCUGGCCUGAAUCUUCUUGAUUUUGCACUUGCUCAUGAGAUUCAGUUCCAUUCCCCCUCUCAUGAUCAAGAGGAGUUGUUCUUUCAGUUUCACUAGUCGGAUUGGAAGACUCUCUUCUUCCAGAUUCCUGAUCCUGGGAUAACCCUAUCCCUAGCUUCUCCAACAGCACCCUCAGUGUUGUUGCUCUAUCAGAUGGGGCUUGAUACAAAUCCUUCAUAUUUUCCCACUCCUUUUCUUCAUAAUACCCUUUUGAUUCAAUAAACUUCACUUCUCUAGAUACCAUCACUCUCCUUGCUUCAGGAUCAUAGCACUUGUAUCCCUUCUGAGUGAUAGAGUAUCCAAUGAACAUAGCCUUAGUACUCUUUGCCUCCAGCUUGUUUCUCUGUUCUCCUGGAGUCAUGACAUAGCGUACACACCCAAAUACUCGUAGGUGAUCAAUAAAAGGCUUGCUCUUAUUCAGCACCUCAAAUGGAGACAGAUUCUUCAGUAUCUUGGUUGGGACCCGGUUGAUGAGAUAGCAAGCAGUCUGUACAGCAUCUCCCCAAAAACGUUUUGGGACAUUUGCAUGAAACAUCAUCGACCUAGCAACCUCCAUCAAGUGCCUAUUCUUCCUCUCAGCUACACCAUUCUGCUGUGGUGUGUAGGGACAACUGGUCUGAUGCACAAUCCCAUGCUUGGCUAGAUGACUCUUGAAGGCAUUGCUGAUAUAUUCACCUCCGUUGUCUGAUCUCAGUACCUUCACAGUGGCAUUGUAUUGAUUAGAUACAUAUGCUUGAAAGUUCACAAAAGCUUCUAGCACCCUAUCUUUAGAUGGAAGCAAUGUGAGCCAUGUAUACUUAGACUUCUCAUCAAUGAAUGUCACAAAGUAUUUAUGGCUGUCUCUAGACAUGCAUGGAGCUGUCCACACAUCCGAGUGAACUAGAUCAAAGCACUGCUCAUAAGUAGUCUCAGAUGUUGGGAAAACAGUCCUACAAUGCUUUCCUAAUAUGCAUGCUUCACAAUUCAAGUGAUUGAAUGACAUAUUAGGGAUUAUCAAUUCAAUGGCACGAGCAUGAGGAUGUCCUAAUCUAGCAUGCCAAGUAAUACUAUCAAUCUUCUCAGCAGUACUACUCAAGCAAAUAGAAUCAAAGGGAUUAGAGGUCUUAGCCAAGUUGAGGUGGUAUAGCUGAUUCUUGCUGUCUCCUCUGCCAAUAACUCUCACAGUCUUCAAAUCUUGAAACUCAACUUCAUCAGGUCUGAAUACUACUUGACAAUCAAGAUCAAUGGUAGCUUUCUUCACAGAUAAUAGAUUUGAAGUGAACUGAGGCAUAUAGAAGGCAGCCGUAUCCUUCUCAAACAGUUUUAGCUUUCCCACUCCUUCUAUUGGGAUCAUGGCACCAUUAGCUAUCAUAACACUUCCUGUUGCAGCCUUGAUCUCACUUAUAAGCCUCCUAUCACUGAUCAUGUGAUGACUUGCUCCAGAAUCAAUCACAGUGGGUUUAGAAGCUCCGGAUUGUAUAGCAUGCUUCCUGCUUGCUGCUAAGGCUUGUACUUGUUCCAUGAACACUCUCCAUUCCUUCCUGGUGAUGCGAUCAUCAGCUCCACUCCCUUUCUCCUGCUCUUUUAACACCCCACUGUUUUCUACUGAUUCCCCCAUGUAGGCUGAGUAAGAACACUCUCCCACAACUCUCUUCCUACCCUUUCCUAUGUUGAUAGAAGCUUUGGAUAGCAUUCUGCACCUCCUCUUCUUCCGGAAGCCAUCACUCCUACUCCCGGUUAGCCUCCAUGAGCUCUCACUCCUACUCAUGGUUAGCUUCUGGAAGCUCUCACUCCUACUCCCAGUUGGCUUCCAUGAGCUCUCACUCCUACUCAUGGUUAGCCUCUCAUCAUCUCUCAUUAUCUCAUACGCCCUUCUUAUAAGCACACAUAUCUCUUCCAUUUCCGGAAGCUGUUCCCCUCUUAGAACCAUCUCCACCAGCCACCCAUAUGAUGACUCCAUGCUCGCCAAGAGCUUCAAGACCGUCGCUUGCUCUUGUGUAGUAUCCCCAUCCACAUGGGAUCUCAACCCUUGUAGUUCAAUCCACAAAUGUUGUAGCUUCCUCACAUGGUUAUUGAACCCUUCUCUUCCUGGUUUAACUUCACUAAUCACCUUCUUGACUUCAUACACUCUCCUAAGACUGAUCUUGUUCUCAUAAACAUCUUCAAUCUUCUCAAGCAGUGUACUUUCUUCAAGACUAAAGCAAUUUCCACUUGUUUCCCUUGCUGUCUGAUCUUUCUCAGCAGCUUUCCCCUUCAAAGACUCUUACUUCUCAUGGUUUCUCCAAACUCCACACCUUUUCAGAGUUGUUUUCAUUUGUGAGAACCACCCCCACUCAUUCCCUCUCUCUUUCUUCUCUUCACGCCUUGUUGUACCAGAUUGAAGCGGCUCCAUUUUCUUUAGCCUAGAUCUUCCCUCAAAUGCUUCUAAUCUCCCACGCCAAGCUUAACUACAAGCUAGACCCCUCUUCUGACCUUGUCACACGCCUAAAGAGACUCCCUUGAAGCUGACUCUCCAAAAGAAACACCAACAGACACAAACUUGACUUUUAAAGGAUCUAGCUCUUGAAAAAUCUCAAGAACUCUCAAGAACACUCAAGAACACUCAAAAACAUUUAUAAAAACAAAAUCUCUCUUUCCUUUUAAAGGAACCUGGCUCUGAUACCAUAUUAGAUUUUGUGAUUUAAAGAGUGAUUAAGUUUAAUCUGAGACUUAAAGAGAUUGGAGAUUAAGAACAAGAGAGAGAGAGAGACUCAAAACUCUGAGAAUUAAAGAGAUUGGCGAUUAUGAACAAGAGAGAGAAUGAAGAGAGAGAGACUCAAAACUCAUUAAUUAAUAACUGAUGAGGUUUACAAGUAUUAAUAGAGAGAGCAACAAGGAAAUUCGAAAUGUAUAAGCAUGUGUAGUCAAAUGACAGGCUGGAACUCCUUUUGAAUCACUUGGCUGUGCUUUCUCACAUGCUUGCACUAGUAUAAAAGCAUCCUCUCCUUUCCAGCAUCAUACAGGCUGUCAAAGUGCUCCCUUAUCCUUCCUUAUCCUUUCUGGUCGAAUCUUAUCUCUUCUCUUCACUAAGUUACCUUCUUAUCCCAUCAGAUAACUUCCCCAAGUUGUUACUGUGGUUAAACUAAAGUUACCACAGUAAAACUCCAAAGUUACUGUCUGCUCCAAAUCUCUUCCUCUCUCAACAUAUCAACUCUUUAUUCUCUCAUCUCAACACUCCCCCUCAAGCUUGACCAUGUGGAACAAGUCAAGCUUGGAAGGACCAUGAGAUCUCCCUCAUUAAAACCUCAUUGCUAGAUUAGGACAUCCUCAUGCUCGUGCAAUUGAAUUGAUUAAACCUAAUAUUUCAUUCAAUCACUUGGAAUGUGAAGCUUGCAUCUUAGGGAAGCAUUGUAGAACUGUUUUUCCCACAUCAGAGACCAUAUAUGCAAAUUGUUUUGAUCUUGUUCAUUCUGAUGUGUGGACAGCCCCUUGUAUGUCUAGAGAAAACCAGAAGUACUUUGUGACAUUCAUAGAUGAGAAGUCUAAGUAUACAUGGAUCACAUUGCUGCCAUCUAAGGAUAGAGUGUUUGAAGCUUUUGUCAACUUCCAAGCAUAUGUAACUAACCAUUACAACGCUACUGUGAAGGUACUACGGUCUGAUAAUGGAGGAGAAUACACCAGUCAUGCCUUCAAGAAUCAUUUGGCUAAACAUGGGAUAGUGCAUCAGACCAGUUGUCCUUACACACCACAGCAUAAUGGGGUACCUGAGAGGAAGAAUAGGCAUCUAAUGGAGGUGGCUAGAUCCAUGAUGUAUCAUGCUAGUGUUCCAAAGAGGUUUUGGGGUGAUGCUGUUCAGACUGCAUGCUAUCUUAUCAAUCGGAUUCCAACUAAGGUAUUGCAGAAUCUGUCUCCGUUUGAAGUGCUGAACAAGAGCAAGCCACACAUAGAUCAUCUGUGUGUCUUUGGAUGUCUAUGUUAUGUCUGGGUUCCAGGAGAACAGAGAAACAAGUUGGAGGAAAAGAGCACUAAAGCAAUGCUCAUUGGGUACUCAGUAACUCAGAAGGGGUACAAGUGCUAUGAUCCAGCAACCAGGAGAGUGUUGGUGUCUAGAGAUGUUAAGUUCAUAGAGACCAAGGGGUAUUAUGAAGAAAAGAAUUGGAAAGACUUGGAAGAUCUGUCUCAAGAACCAAGAAACAUGGCAGAGAAUCUGAGGAACAUAUUGGAAAGGCUUGGGGCUUGGGGUAAACAUGUCCCAGGAUAAGGUUAGAGAACCUGAAAGAACAACUCCCCUUGAUCAUGAGGGGGGAAAUGAGUCUGAAUCAGGAGUGCAAGAGCAGCACCAAGGGGAUUCAGGUCAUCAUGAUCAAGUGGUGACACAAGAAGUAGAGAAUUUUCCUCAGGUCAGUAUGGAUGAGCAAGGAGAGGUUCAUGAUCAAGAGGAGGUGAGUGAGACAGAAACAGAGGUUCAAGCAGAGGUUCAUACUGAGGAACAGGUUCAACCAUUGAGGAGGAGCACACGGAUAAAGAGGGAUGCUUCCAACUGGGUAAACACGAGAGUGUACUACAAUGCCCAGGCUGUGGAGCAUCCUUCUCAAGCCGUGUGUUCCUUUGCUGAGUUUCCAGAGGAGCAUCAUGCCUUUAUGAUUAGUCUGGAUGAGAGUUAUGUACCAAGGACUUAUGAAGAAGCUAUGUUAGACAAGGAAUGGAAAGAAUCAGUGGGAGCUGAAGCAGGUGCUAUGAUCAAAAAUGAUACAUGGUAUGAGAGUGAGCUGCCUAAGGGAAAGACGGCUGUAUCUAGUAGAUGGAUCUUCACAAUCAAGUAUCUAGCAAAUGGACAGAUUGAUAGGAAGAAGACCAGAUUGGUUGCAAGAGGAUUUACACAGACCUAUGGAGAGGAUUACAUUGAUACCUUUGCACCAGUAGCUAAGCUACAUACAGUUCGGAUUGUGUUGUCCAUUGCAACAAACUUGGAGUGGGAUUUGUGGCAGAUUAUGAGAUUUGAACAGAGUACUGGUUGUGUGUGUUUGUGUGUGUAUAAACUCCAAUGGAGAAAGAUGAGAGCUUGAAAGUGAUUUGAGAAAAGACUAGAAAGAGAGUUUGUGUCUAAGUGUUUAUGAGAUUGGUAACAAGUCUAGAGAUUCAAGAGUUUAGUGUCUAGGGUUUUAAGUUUCAAGAACAAGUUUAUGAAGAGAAGGGGAAACCCCCCUUUCAGCUUAAGAGCUUCAAAAUCGCCCAUUACACUAGCUUUUAUAAGCUUUACACAUUGCAUACAUUAGAAACCUAAAUCUAAUGGAUAGAAACACUUGAAAGAAUGAAUGGCUAGGAUGGAGCUUGGGCUUGAUCUGAGUGAAGGUAUCUCAUUGGUUCAGCUCUCUUUAGUAUCUGAUUGGUUAAUUCAAACUGGUCAAGGCAAGGGCUGGCUUCUCAUUGGCUCCUUAUAGGCUCCCAUGAAUAUUCCCAUGUAUCUGACCAGAUACAUGAUCAAGGGUGCUUCUUCUUUACAGCUCACGCCAGCUAACACCUUGCUGUCUUAUCCACAAGUGGUCCCAACACUUUAAAUAAAGCAUUGGCGCCCUUUAGGAUCAGAAUACACUCUUGGCCUCUUCCCAUAAUCAGCCACACGAGUUUCUUCUUCCUUGGGGCUCAAGACAGACUUGUUGCAACUUCAGGAUAUGUACGGAUUGUUUGCACUGACCGUACAACAUCCUUAAAUUGCACAAGUCCUAAAAUGUCUCAAAUGGCCGAGUUAUGCAAUAUGGGUCGACCCUGAUCCGUACUGAUCUGUCCUGGUCGCCCUAUCUUUGCAGACUCAACCAUUUGCUCCCAAUCACACUUCUAAGUCCCUCCUGGACUUGGCCCUAUCUUUGCACAACCAUCUGAUCACUUCUGGACACCUUCAAAACCCUCCUGAAGUCUUGACAGACAAUCUCUGAAGGUCUUGCCCUAUUCUUGCUCAAGACCCAUCUCAACCCAACUCCACCUUUGGCUCCAUUUCUUUCUUCAAGUUAACACUCCCCCUCAAGCUUGACUUUAGCAGAUCCUAAGUCAAGCUUGGAACCUUGAAGAACUUCCUCAUUAAAAACCUCACCAAGGAAAACCCUUUGGGACAAAACCUUGAUGAGGGAAAAAGAGUAAAGUCUCCAAGGCCUAGGGAUUGGCCAGUGAGUCUUUGUGUCUUAGUAUCAGUGUGAUAGACACAAAGACUCGGGAUCAUGGCCUCUUCACAUCACCCCACGCCUUGUACUCUUCUCUCAGCCUGCUCUUGGUCUCUCCCCCUUUCACCUAACCUUCUUGUUAGGUUGAAGUGCUCGGACAUACCAGAUCAGCCUCUUCAUAGAGAUACAAGAACUAGCUGAGCCUUGGAUGCUUCUUCUUCAUGAGUCACCACCUUGUUGCUGGAACUACAUAAGGAUGCUUCAGCCUCACUCCAACCACCUCAACACUUGAGGCCGCCUUGGACAUUGCUUCUUCAUCCUCCACCAUACUUCCUAACCGGUUUGCUUCUCUUCUUGAAUAACAACCAAGUACUCUCGGAUCAUGUAAGCUUCAACACUCCCCCUCAAGCUUGAGACUCUCACAUGAACAAGCUUGGACGGACUGCUUCAUGAUCCGCACACCCAAGCCACUGCAACCUCUCUUCUGAAUUCGCCACCUUGAUGGAAUGCUUGUGGAAGCUUCAGCUACUUCUUCAACCACCUCAACACUUGAAGCCACAUUGAUAGAGUAGCCUUCUUCUUCACACAGCCAAGAGUGCUCUGUCUUAGUUUGAACACUCUCUUGAAUAGACAUGCCACUGCCUAGACCCGGUUGGCUUCUUCUUCAGUUGCUUGCAAUGACUCUUGGAUAGACUAGGAAGCUCACUUAACUCCCCUCCUCAAGCUUGGCCGAAUCUAGGCCUAAGCUUGGAGUGAGCUUCAGUGAGCUUUAACACCAUGGACAAAGUCUUCCUCUUUCAAUUUGGAUGAAUGGUGAGCUAAGAACACAUCUUGUGAACCUGAAACAACACUCAAACUCCAGCAAAGAUAAGACACAAUAGUAUUGGGAUCAAUCCUUGAUUAAUCAUCAAGUUUGAUUCCCAAUAUCACAAGCAUUGCAACAGAUUAAACAAG